GAGCAUCGUAUUUCCAUCUCCGACACUUAUUUCCCCUUCAUUAUGAUCAAACUUUGCUUCGACAAUAUAUUCCAGUCUCUCGCAUCCACUUACAUUGAGACUUUUAAGCUGCUCCAAACUUCUAGCUUGUGACAACGUGAAGAUAUAUGUCAACUUGUUGCAGCCAUGCACAUUCAAUUUUGUAAGAGUUUGGAGACUGAUCACAUGUUGGGCGGGCGCCUUCCAUAUCCACUUCAGUUCUGGUAAGUCCCACAUAGAUAACUCUGCUAAUCUUGAGAGACUCUUUCCAUGCGGCGACUUAGAGGCUUCCAUUAUGCAUUCUAAAUCUUCGCAAUCGCGGACAUCAAGACAAGUCAACUCAUUUAAGCCCCUUUCAUCUAUGCUUGGCACGAUAUUAUGACAACCUAUUAACCCCCUCAAACAAAGAAAUUCCAGAUUUUGAUACAAUGCUGAAAAAAUAACGAGCGAGGUCGAAGUUUCAAUCUACGAAGUUCAUCCGACAAUUCUUCAGGAAUUUCAAUGGGAGAAUCCUCGAGAUAAAGAAGUUCAAGUCUCUUCAACUUUCCAAGAAAAGACGCGUCACUCACAUCACAUCGAAUCAACUGCAGAACUCGGAGGUUUUUGUCGAGGAAUCGAAGCGAUUUUAGUGAAAUGACUCCACCUAUUAUAGUAACAACUUUCAAUGCUGGCAUCCCUUUAAAAAAAUGUUCUGGAAUUUGCAAUUCAUAAUUAUAUACGGUGUUCACCAAUCGCAGAAUAUGAAGGUUAGGGCAUAUCAAACCACUAGGAAGCUCUUCUUCUUUUUUAUCUACGACCAAAGACAGUCCCCUACACUGUUCCAGGCCUUCUUCCACCGCCCGUUCCACCAUUUCGAUGCCAGUUAUACUAAAAAAUCUCUCCUCUUCCUCCUCCUUCUUUUUGCUUAUCCAUAUGGCUACAUCACGGACUACGUCAUGAAUUUUCACAGAUCUGUCAUUGCCAGUGUCUAACAGCAAUGAAGAAGCUUUGAGCUCUUUCAUCGUUCCACUCAGUAGGCUCCUGACUUUUUCAAUUGACUCAGCUCGAUACCAUCUCAACCCCACUGCAUAUCCAACCAAAUCAUCCAAAUAUAUCUCAUAAUCCUCUGGAAACAAAGAACACAACAAGAAGCACGACCUGGAAUCCUCACCAUUCAAAUAAUCGUAACUAAAUUUGAGACAAUGGUAAACGUCUUGGUCCUCCUUGCCAAUUCCUUCUAUUGUAUUGAGUUUUGAAUCUUGUAGUUUAUCUAGAGCUAGGUUCCACUCAUCAAAUCCUUUAGCUCUUAGUGCACUUCCAACAGCUUUAAUAGCUAAAGGCAGCCCCUUACAUUCAUUAGCAACCUGUUCUGAAACACCAAUCAAGGUUGAAUCAGCAACAUCAAUGCCAGCAAGCUUUCUUAGUAAAGCCAAUCCUUCUUCUCGCUUUAGAACACCUAGUUGAAUCUGCGGGUCACAACGCAUGCGAUCACAAACUGGCUGCAGGCGAGUGGUUAGAAGGAUUUUGCAACAAUUGUCUCCAUCACCAACAGGAAUACCUACUGUCUUCAAGUCGAGUUCAUUCCAGACAUCGUCAAGUAUUAUGAGUAUCUUGCUGCUUUUACUCUCAGAAAACAUCAAGCGCAAUCGGUCUGCUCUCUCUUUUUCAUCUUUCUCAUUUAGUGCCCAGCCUAACGACUUUGCUAGCUCACCUUGAACCUUUAUUAUAUCUGGAUCCUGAGACACAGUGGCUAUCCCCACCUCAUCGAAAAUCUUUUCUUGCCGAAGUUGAUUGCCCACAAAGUUUGCCAAAGUCGUCUUUCCGACACCACCGAUACCAUACAAUCCCACCAUCUUCGUGCUAUCUCUUUUCAGUUCUUCAAUAAUCUGAUUGCAAGUCGAUUCUGUAGUCUCGAAAGACAUAAAAUGUCUUGGUAUAUGCAAUUCUUUGUCUGAUGGUAGAGGUUUAGGAAGGGCAACUGAGCUGAAUUUGCUGCAUUUCUUUUGUAUAUCGGACAACUUGCUAGUCUUCUUUGAUGCUUUUCUACCUAGCCAAUAUCGCCAACCCCAAUUAGGACACCAUCCAUUAAGACAACUCUUCUUUUCAUCUAUCUUUGCUUUCAAAUUUCGAACGUCGGCCAUUUCUUUGUCUACAUCCUCAAGCCAUGUCUUGACAUCUUCCUCGACUUCUAUAGCACGGUGUAUUUGUCGUUCUUGUUCUACUCUUUUAUUGAUGCCAUCUUGUGCCUCCUUCAAAUUAGUUUCUUGAUCCUCAAGUUCUUUAAUAACGCUGUUGAAACAGAGCAGAUAACGAGCUUGGUUUAUGGUUGCAUCCACCAACAACUCUCCAAGCCUUGAUGCAACACCUGACAAAAGUUCCAUGCUAUUUAUCUGCAAUUAAUAAAGUUGAUCUCAGUAAGCUAUAAGCAAAACAAUGAGGCUUGAUCACAAGAUCGAACGAGAAAGUUUAAUUACCUUUUUCUAUUCUGUGAAUGCACGUUUAUUGACACUAGCUUUGACCAGUAAGAGCAAAAUGCAAACGCCGAGCUUUAAGUGGCCAUUAGCUGCAAAACAAAAGAGAGGAAAUAAGGUAAUUUAUUAUUAUUAUUAUUAUUAUUAUUUUUAAGGACGGAUAAAGGUUAGCUAGCUUGCAGACAAAUUUACUAAACUCAAGACAAACCUAAGAGUUUUCCUAAUUUGUUCAAACAUGGAAUAAGCGUUUCACAACAGUAUAUCCAUAAAGGCCCCAGCGAACGUAAUAUGUGCUGGACUAUAUUGAAAUUAGAUUAUUUUAGAAAAUUUUAAAUAAAAAAUAUCAAACAACAAAGAAAUCUAAUAGAAUCUGGAUAAACAGCAUGGGAGAAUAUGGUAAAAUUGAUAAACUUGGUUCAAAAAUUACAAUUCUUUUUGAGAUUUGAACCAACGAUUUUGACUAAGGUCUCCUAAGCCACAAAGCAUAACUCUUACUACUAAAUUACGCGCAUUUUGUUACAUUUAAAUGUGGUCAUAUUCUUUUUAUUAUCUUUUUUUAGAAGGGACUCAUGGUAUACUUAAAAGAAAUAAUAAUGAUUUAGAUGGGGCUGAAGCCCACUCAUGAAAAAAUUUAAAGGUUUUCAAGAUAAUAACCGAUUAUUUUCCACCCAAUAUUCUAAUAGAAUGGUGCCAGAAUUCUCAAAUAAUAUCUUAAUAUUAUUUAACUGGUUGGCACCCACCUAUUGGAUGAUUAAUUUAAUAAUUUGUUACAUUAUUUAAUACUCCAUCUCACUAUCUAGUGAUGUAAAUGGUGGAGAAGGAUCGUCUCCUAGACUUUUUUCUCUCACUAAUCUCUUAGUGAAAUAAGUGGCCGAAAUUGAAUUUUAAUUUUUGAUAUUGACAAUUAAAUUGGCUUGUUUCACAUUAUUAACAAUUAAGCCAAUUUUUUUUUUCUCCUUUUUUCAAUUAGAUUUGGAAGGCUAUAAGAGAGUAGGAGAGAAAAAACACUAGAAGGAGAUCUUAAUCCAUAAAUAGUACCUUAUUUGGGAUGGUAAAGAUUGAGAUAAAUUUCCUCUUAGUCUCUAAAAUUUUGGCCUAUGCGCAGCCAUAAUUUUAGUAUUUUUAAAAAGAAUGGGAUUAUUUACAUUCUAAAAUCUAUUUUGAAUACUCUUUUACUCAACACACUCAUUCAAUAAAUAAAUUUUAAAAAAUAAUUUUUACUUUACACACUAUUUCGAGAGUCAAAACUAUCCUUCAUUAGGACCAUUUCAUUAACUAAUUAUUUUCUAUUGACACCCAUAAAAUAUUCAUCAUUCUUGAACCAUGUGGCGUUAAUUAAUGAUUCCGAAGCAUUAUCAAGAUUCAAGAUUUAUGUUGAAAUUCUUUCAUCUGACAUUUGAACCCAGCCACUAGCUAUAUACAUAUAUACUUUCAAAUGCAGCUCUGGGAAUAUUUUGUGACUGAUUUUAUAAAGUGUUUUAGUUACAUUAAUGCAGUGAAACAAUAAAGAGUACGUGGCUUGCUGAUUUCCAAAUCAAGUUGGGGGAAAAAACAGAGCAUUUUUCUUUUAUAAUGGAUUAGAUUAGACGAUGAAGGACAAAUUAUUCGCGAUUAUUAGUACUUUUGUGUGUGUUAAGAGUAAUAAUAUUAUUUUAAAUUAUAUUAAUGCCUUUCGUAGUGAAUUCAAUUAGGGUUAUUUUAGUAAUAUAAAUUUUCAUUAAAAUUAAAGUGUCCAAAUUAUAAUUUAGAUUUUUCAAAUGUAAAAUAAUAUUUUUUUAUCUGAUAUAAAUUAAAAUUCAAACAAAUGUAUCAUGCAACAAAUGAAAAGUAAAGAAUAUUAAUUAGGUUUUAAUAGAAACAAAUAUAAAUAGAUGUUUUGAGUAGUUAUUUUUUGUUAUUUUAUGCUAUUGGUAGUUUGUGGAUUAAAUAAUUUGUAUAAGGAUAAAUGGGGGUUUGUAUAAUUUAGACGAAGAUAAUCUCCAAAAUAAGCUUAUAUGUCGAAUUAAAAAGUGUUAUAUAAGUAGUAAUUGUAUUUGCAUCAAAAUUUUUAAUAAAAUUUAUUUAGAAAUUGGCCAAUUGGGUUUUAUGAAGAAAAUAGAGGGGCAAGUAAUUAUGUAACAAGUAAUUUGUAGGUUGUGGUACUUCUCCAUACUUUAAAUCACUUUUAUCUAAUCAAUUGAUAAAUAUUUUUUGGGCACCAACAAAAUGAAAAGAAAAGUUUAAAAAUAAUUCUGAAAUUAAAAACGUUAGGUAUUGCCUAUAAGCUAUACAAUUUUACCUUUUCUUCUACACAAUUAGUAUUAGAAAUAAAAGUAGUUUCAAAAUAAAUGUAAUUAGGAGGUAAUAUUAUCUCAACAAUACCUUAUAGGGAAAAAGACAUCUACAUCCUAAAGUUUGGAGAAAUGGUCGUAAAGACCCUAGGUUUUCAGAAAGGGAUAUCAAGACCCUUUUUUUAUCGUAAUACCCUUUAAAUAUAGUAAUUAGAAAAUUGACUUUAAGAAUUUUUAAUUGACAAAUUUAAUAUAAAUAAUAUAAUCUAUCUAGUAGAUUAAUAAUAUUAACAAUAAAAAUAAUAUUAAAAUUUAAAUUCUUAUAUUUAUUUUAAUAAUAUAUUUUUUUUUUUAUAAAGAUUUUAAAUAAAUCCUUGGGUUAAAUAGGUUUUCCAGUUAACAAAAUAUACCCCUAUUAAUAAUAUUGAAAUUACUUUCUACAUAAUAUUUAAAAUAAUUAUAAUUUAUUUAUUUUAAUAUUAUGUUUCUAUUUAUUAAAAAUUACUUUAUUAGAGUAAAUUUUUAUUAAUUAAAGCUUUAAAAUCAAUUUUCUAAUUACUAAAUUAAAAGGGUAUUAUGGUAAAAAAGGGUCUUUCCUUUUUGAAAACUUAGGGUUUUUGCGACCAUCUCCGCAAACUUUGGAGUAUAGGUGUCCUUUUCCCUACUUCAUAUAAAGAUAUUCCAUAAGGUCUUAUAAUAACUUAUAUUAUAUGAAUUUAAUUAAAAGAUCAUUAAUACUUAAAUAAUAAUAAUUAUAGAAGACAUUGUAAUAAAUUAUUUGAUAUAUAUUAUUAAUGAUACUAUAUAUAUGUGUAUAUAACUACAUGAUGGCUUGGAUAUAUAUUGUUUAGUGGUAAUAAAUUUUUUUAAAAAAAUUUAAACUAAUGAUUUCAUGUAAUUCAAUGGUGGAUGAUUUAAAAUCAUAAAAUAUUGUUUUGACUUUCAAUAUCAACCGUUAGACUGUGAGAAAUUAAUUGCUCAAUAUUUUGUGUUAAAUUUUUGAAUUAAAAUAUCCCAAACCAUUUGUUUUACUUAAAAUACAAAAAAUAUAUAAAGAAAUUUUCUCAUUAAUUUUCAUAUUUUUAUUAGAGAUAAUAUUUUAUGUAUCGUCACCAUUAAUUGCCAUCAUUAAAGUAGUGACUCUUAGUAAUAUAAAAUUUUAUAAUUAGUUAAUUGCAAUCAAAGGAUAUCAAUAAAAUAAUAUUUUAUGAUUCAUAAAUUAAAGCUAAUUAAGAAUAUAUGUUUGUUUUAACUUUUAUGAAAUCAACUAAGUGAUAUUAGAAAAUAAAAUGAAAAUAAACUAGUGAAACUUAAAUUUUAUAAGGUUUGAAUAAUUUUCUACCAUGUAAGAAUAUUAAUUGUGACAUAAACCAUAGUUUCAUGGUAUAUGUAUGCCGAAUGGGGUAACAAAUAAUAUAUACUUCACGAUCAUGAUAGUAUAUAAAGUAGUGGAUAUUUUAAUAUAUAACAUAAAAUUCUUUAAGACAUAGGUGGUCAAUUAUAUAUUUUUUAGGACAUAGACAAUCUCAAUCAAGAGUUUAUUGAUGUGAAUAGAUGGCAUUCACUUAAAUGUAUACACUUAAUUGUGUUGUUUAUUGGUAUUAGAUAUUCACUUAAAUGUAUAUACUUAAUUGUGUUGUUUAUUGGUAUUACAUGUAACAAAAUUUUAUAUUAAAUUUUGAAGUUUUAUAUUGUUGUUUCUAUUGAAUUUAUAAAUACAAUAAAAUUAUGGCCAUCAACAAUCACAACCAACUGCCACCAACAAUUAGAUUCUCAUAUCCGUUGACGACAAUUUUUUAUACUAUUGGAACUCCAAUCUUUGAAGCUACACAAUAGUUAAAGUACCAACAUCACUAGAACUUCCGUUCAUUGUAGAUCUAUAGUCAAAGUUUCGAAUCUUAAAAAUUUGACAGCAGAUUUAUGUCAAAUGAAAGCUUGUUACCAGUGAUUCUUAUACAAUUAUGUUGUUAUAGUAAUAAGGAUUCUAGUGGUACUAAAAUGCACUCCAUUAGACAUAAAGAUCCGACGACUAGUGGCGACAACAACUAUCAUUAGUGACUUGGAGGUAAUUGCCAUUAAUAAAUUAUUUUUAACUUAAUAAUUAAUACAAACAAAUAAAAAAGUAAUUUAAUGAAAAUUAAUGUAAUAAAUAAUUGAAUUAAAAAAAUUAAAACCUAAAUUCUCGACCAUUUAUCCGUAUGUUUCGAAUCCAACGUUCAAAAUUGGAAUAAAACAUAGUAUAGCCAUUGGAAGUAAAACAAACAUUAAAGAGACUAGGAAAAAAUAUCUCAUACCUUCUAUAAUGAUACAUCCUCAAUCACUGCAGAAAGCUCCAAUUAAAAAGUCGCACAAGUUCGGAGAAAAUUACCUAACAACACAAAUAAACAUCAAAUCAAAGCAACAUAGGAUCCAGCUAAUUAACAUCAUAAGUAAGUCCUUGUUCUCAGUCAAAUCUUGCAUUCUUAGGAUAAAAAAAAAAUUGAAAGAAUAACGGUAACUGGAAAGUUUGACGACAUAAAGAUCUAGCUAAAUUUUAAGAAGCAAAAGUAAAUAAUGAAAGCUCAAUAAAAGAUCAUCAGCAUUAACAUACCGAAAUGAGAGCAGCUCACAGAACUGGUAAUUUCCAAGAACAGGAAAAAUAAGUGAGCUGAUAUUGAGGACAACUAAAGUAGUCAUGGAGUAAUUUGCUAUUGAGGACACCUAAAAUAAGAAAAUUAAUUAACAUUGCUCUAUACACCAUUUCAAUAAUUUGACUAUUAAAAAAAAAAUCUAUCUAGAUCACGAUUUCUCAAAAUGAUGCUUUUUCUAAUUAAAUAAAUCAAAAUGCUUGCUUCUUUCUUUUUCAGAAAAGAAAAAGUGGCAAUGGCAUCAAUUUUUUGCUAGAUUAUUAUCACCAAAAGCACAAGCAAGGAAUAAGGAUACUCUCUGAAACCAACCAUAUAAAGAGUAGAAAUAUUUGUUGGAGUGUAAGGUAGAAGUAAGUGGUCAAUUGUAAAUAAGUCUUUCUUUUUUCUUUGUUGUUUUUUCAUUUUUUGAAUGUGAACUAAAUAAAUUUAAGGGUGAAGCUAUUACACCUUGAAAACUAUGACUGAACACCCAUUUUUUUAAUUAAAUUUUUAUUACUAAAAUAACCAUGGAGUAAUUUGCUUCUAAGGAAAACUAGAAUAAUAACAUGAAUAAUGAUUGCUCUAUACACCCUUUUAUACGUCUAUCUUCUUCUUAAUUUCAUAAUUUGGCUGUCAAAAAGUAAUCUAUCUAGAUCACGAUUUCUCAAAAUGAUGCUUUUUAUAUCUAAAUAAAUGAAAAUGCUUGUUUCUUUCUUUCUCGAAAAGAAAAAGUGGCAAUGGCAUCAAUUUUUGCUUGCAAGCACAGCAAGUAAUCAGUAUACUCUCGGAAACUAACCAUAUUAAGAGUAGAAAUAUAUUGGGUUAUCACGAAGUAAGUUAGAAAUCAAUUAUAAAUGGUCUUUUUUUUUUUUUUUAAUGUGAACUAUAUAAAUUUAAGGUGAGGUUAUUUACACUUUGAAAAACAUUCUAAAAACCAUUAUUUCAUUAAAUUUUUUAUUAUUAAAGGUCCGUUUGCUGCCCCAAACGCUCUCUAAAAUAGCCAUGGAGUAAUUUCUUACUGAGGAAAACUAGAAUAAUAAAAUCAAUUAUCAUUCUGCCAUGACCCCGUUUCUAGAUGUAUCUUCUUCUUGAUUUGGUAACUUGGCUGUCAAAAAGAAAUCUAUCUAGAUCCCGAUUCCUCAAAAUGAUGCUUUUUCGGAUGAAAUAAAUGAAAUUGAACCUACAAUCUGUCACAAACACGUUAUAAUGAGCCUAAUGAAAAGCAGUAUGAGAAAUUUUGCUUCCAUGUUGUUUCUUCCAUAUGUAAAGGUAGUAAAAAGAAAUUUAAGUCCUAGAAACAAAUGGAUGAAGAAUUAUCAAUAAUUAAAAAUUAAAAAAAAAAACAGAGUUAUUAAAGAAUCACAGUUCCACCAAAAAUUAAGAGUUAUUUUAUUUGGUGGUUUCCUUAUCCCGAAGCAUUACUUGUAAAUAUGUGCUAACAAGUAAUAAUUAAGAAAGUUAAGGCCAAUCAUUUAGAAGGGAGAAAAAUGGAAACAUCCGGAAUAUUGUUAUGUGUUUUCAGUGCGUAUCUACCAAUCAAUAAUGAAAAAUUAAAUACGCAUGUGACGAAAAUUUAAUAAAGAGAACUGGACGUGACAAAAUUUUUAUUAUUCUAUCUUUUUCUCCUCUGAAACUUCCUUAAUUUGGUUGGGAAUUGCUUUGUCUUAGGCAGUGGAUCUGUUAUAAAUACCCUAUGCUAAAGUUAAUAUUUUGAUUGAAGAAAAAAAUAGAGGCGAAAAAUUUUAUUAAAGUAUAACAGAAUUUGAUAAAUUUAGAAUUGAGGAGAGAAAAUGAGUCUAAAUUCGAAAAUUUUGGCACUAUUUACAUAUCAUUAUUUGGGCAAAAAUUUAUUUCUCUGCUUUCAUAUGAUUUGGUCUUUUAUUGUUACGGUGCCAAUUUUUUAUUUAAAGAUGUAAGAUGGUGGUACUAUAGCUUAGAUUUUCCGUAAUUACUAUAUGGUAAGUACAAAAUAAAAUACUAGUUUAAAAUAUAAAAAUGAAAAACUAUUUUUAUAACCAAUAUUUAAUUAAAUACACUUGAAACUCUAUUUUUUCUUAAUAAAAAAAAUUCUAAUUUAUUUUCUCAAUUUAUCUAAACAACUUUACCUAAUCAAGCUAAAUCUACAUAUAACCCUAAACCUUAAUUUAUAAACACCCAAUCAAUCCAAUUGUUAAAUCCGAUUUCAUAAUUAAAAAAGUUAAAUUCUAUUUUAUUAUUUAUGGUGCAAAGUAAAAAAUGCCCUUGAAGUUAAGGGUAAAAUUGAUAUUUUAUUUAAAUUUGGGAAAUUAUCAUUCGUAUACCCUAUAUUUGCUCUGUUAUAAAAAAUACUACAACACUUUGAGGGUGUAUCAAUCGUCCACCCUAAGUUGACAAAAUGUAUCAACCGACCACUAAACCGUUAAUUGUCGUUUGAAAGUUAACGGAAUUACAGUGAAUUGACGAUUUUACCCUUGAAAAUUAUCACUUGUAUACCCUUAAAUUAUCACUUGUAUCAUAUGAAAAGACCAGAUUACCCUUCUGACGUUAUCAUAUUUAAACGGCAACUAACGGUUCGGUGGUCGGUUGAUACAUUUUGUCAACUUAGGGUGGACGAUUGAUACACCCUCAAAGUGUUGUAGUAUUCUUGAUAAUGAAGUAAACUAAGGGUAUACAAAUGAUAAUUUCCCUUUAAAUUUUGUUAAUAUUCUAAUAAUGUUAAUGUCUUAGUGGUUAAUAAAAUCACAAAGUCAAACUUUUGUAGUAUUUUUUAUAAUAAGGUAAAGAUAUAUGUUUGAUAAUUUUCCUACGUCUUUUUACGUUAAAUUGAGUCUCAAGGGAAAAAUGGUUAAUUUGCUAUAAUUCUGUCAGUUUUCUAAUGGAAGAUAAUGAUAUAAUGAAUAAAUAAUACAUAUUCUUAAAUUAGUAUAGAUGAAUGAUACAACUUGAAAAUAUUGUAGUAUUCUUAAUAGUAGAGAAAUUUAAAAGUGGAUGGUUGAUAAUUUAAUGAAGUAACUACAGAAUUUUCCUUUCAAAUAUAUUUUUUAAAAUAUAUGAUGAGUAAAAAUCAUUUUACAGAAUGAUCUUUCAAAUGCACAUUCCACAAGCCAAAAAGAAAGGGUAGCGAACAACCCUUGUUGAAAUGGCACCCCGGCUUUUGCAGCGUACCCAAGUGCAGCCACCACCCCAGAAUCUGGUACUACAAUCACAACAUCACACUCAACAGGAGCCUCGGUAGCAAGUACUUCCCCAAAAUGAUACCUCGACUCGUAAGACCUUCCAAAAACAACAGAAUUAGGCAAAGCAAAAUAAAUAUGCUCAAAGAUGCACUGCUUAGGUUCAGGGUGAGGCAUCAAACAAAGUGAUUGAACCCCAUCUUUAUCCACCAUCAAAACUUCACCGGGAUAUACCUCUCUCUCGUAUGUGGCCUCAAUCAAAUCAAGUGCGCAAGUUUCUGAUGCAAAAACCACAGCACCGUUACUCCUCCUACCCAUCACCAACGGCCUAAACCCAUACGGGUCACGAACCGCAACAAGCUUAUCCUCAGUAACAAACACCAUUGAAUAAGCACCCUCAAGCUUCUCACAAGCAUCCACAAUCCUCAAAAAGAACGGCUUAGCUUUCGAUAUCGCAAUCAAAUGGAGAACAAUCUCAGUAUCAGAACUAGUAUAAAAAAUGGAUUCAUUAUCCUCGAGCUUAGCCCUCAAAGUAUUAUAAUUACCUAAAUUCCCAUUAUGUGCAACACCAACAGAACCAAACCUGUACCCAGCAACAAAAGGCUGCACAUUCUUAAGCAUAGAACUACCCGCAGUCGAAUAUCUAACAUGACCAAUGGCCAUAUCACCCGGCAAUUGAUCAAGUUUAGACUGAUUAAACACAUCAGAGACUAAACUGUUGAUGCGAGAUUCUGGUUGUCCUCGUUCUACGACCAGGGUCUCUGCUCGAUCAACUUCACCACGACCAGGAUCUCUCCUCGUAAAGCUUCUUCUCCAGAGGUUCCUGCGCACACAGACAAGUCAGAGUACGCCGGUUAUUUUCCCGGCGCAAACCCUCCGACGCUCAAGUCAGAUAUGAAGGUUCGGGGAACACUUGCCACAGAUCUUAUGGCUUUUGGGUAGUUUUCUCUUCUUUAGAAUUUCUUUAUCUCUCUUCUAAUGUCAAAAUUGCUAACCCUUUUACCUUCGUUGGCUACCUUUUUAUAGGCUUCCUCUGAAUCCCAGUUUUCCGCAGUCUACGUCCGUUAUCCUCCCACCUCUCGAACGUGGAUUCCCCAUUUCCGUAGUCGUGGGUGGUUGCGUGGCCUUCGUGCCUAGAUUCUCGGGCUGGAGAGCAUGCCUUGCCAACUGUCGUUGACCGGGCCUCCUCGAAUCAACCCUUAGCAAGAAUACAGCAGGAAUGGCUUUAUGCUUCUUACAAGAAAUUGGCCUCGCGGAUGACGUGCUCGUGGAUGAGCAGGAUAUUCCUGCCCCUGCUCCCCUGCUACUUGGCUCUUACAGGACACACCUGCUCGCCGACUUCUGCCACCAAACAUCUGCUCAUCACGUCUGGUCUCGUCGGAGUAUUUCCCUCAAACACCGGUCCCCCAGUUUCUGGUGUUGGGUAAUGUAAUGGACCAGCAGUAGAAACUUAGCGGUUCUUGGUCGCGUGGGACUGAAAAAGGCUGCCAAGAGUCAUAUCGCAUUUAAUUGCGGACGAGGUGAUGUGGCAGAAAUCUGCCCCUCUAUUCGAAUUUCCAACCAACGGUUACGAGGCCCUUGGGAUUUGGUGCCGUUAAAUGCUGGCAACCCAAGAGUCCGUCCCCAUUAGGAAACCUAAAUCCUUUCAAACAGCAAAUUCGUCAUUCCCUCCGUCUCCGUCCCUGUCUCUCCGGCAAAGAAGUUCCAGCAUAAAGGCCUCCAUCUCUGUCUUUCACCGACUGAACCAUUACUUCAUGUAUUUCUUCUAUCUCCUUGGUCUCGGAUAGUUGUAGAUAAUUUCUGUUCUCUUUUGUUUGGGUAGUAGUUGGUGGUGGUGUUGUGGUUAGAGUUUAGGGAAUGUCGAAAGCUAAAGAGAAGGUCAUUGAAGUUGACGACGAUGAGUUAGACUUCCUGCCUAGUCUGCUCACUGAUCCUGCUUUUGACCCCGGGAUCCCCUUAGAGCCCAUUAGAUCUAGUGUCGGCACUAGCGCUAGGAGGAUGUCUCCCCAAACGACCUCCUCGAGCAGAGAUAGUGAUGAAGAGGGGUCUUCCGGCUCGGAGAACACCCUGAGUGAGGGCCGAGGAGAUGAUUCUGGCGAGGUGUCCCCAUCAGGAGCGUCGCGACCAGAAGGGCGGAGUACAAUAGGAGGUAGAGCCCUAUCGCGGGAUUACGCUAUUGAUUACAUGACAUGCACAACCACGUUUGAUGAGCUCAAUGACCUCCGGCUUAGGUAUAGUAUUCCUGGUGAAAUCCCUCUUAAGGUCCCAGGAAAGAAGGAUACUCCUAGCCGGCCUCCUAGGGGAUACGUUACCCUGUAUCUGGAUAGGUUUAAGUAUGGGCUGAGGUGUCCCGUGCAACCUUACUUUGCCCGGAUACUUAGCGGGCUGAAUCUAUCUCCUGGUCAGCUGAACCCAAAUGGUUGGAGAGUACUUUAUGGUCUGUUUAUAUUGUGGGACAGAUGUUGCCAGAGCGAGCCCACAGUUGAUGAGGUGAAGCACUUGUACCAGCUAAAGAGCAGCCCCAAAGAUGCCGGCUGGUACUACUUUCAAUCUAGUACCAAGACCAGGAAACCCAUAACCGACCUCCCUACUGGUGGUGGUGGGAAUUGGAAGAGGAAAUUCUUUUUUGCUGGGGGUCCUUGGGGUUAAGUUGCACAAAUAGACGGGAAGGAUUAUCGCGUCCCACCCCGUUUCACGGUCCCAGGUUGCCUGCUCGCUUUAGGUGUCUUGUGUCCGUAAUUGUGCUCGCUUUGUUGGUUUGUCUCUAACCAAGUGUCUAUUUGUGUUGUAGUUUCUUGGGGUGUUCAUUUCUCGCUCAAACCUGGCCAACUCAAACGGGUCGAGGCUGUGCUAGCCAAUUCCUGCUCGAGCCGGGAGCUGAUAACUACAUACAACUUGCUCGAGUCUCGCUUAAUACUCCCUGGUCAUAAGAUGGAGGACGCUGUGAUUGGGGCUCUGAACAGGAAACGUUCUCGACCUCAAACCACGAAGAGGGACCAGAAUAAGGACGCCCCUACUGCAAAGCGGGCCAACAUCGUGCAGCAGGUCUCUCCCUUGAAGACUUUACCUCCUGCUCCUGCCAAAGUCGGGGAAACUAGUGGAGGAGCAGCCACCGAUCCUGCUUCUUCUUCUCCUCAUGUCGGGCCUCGAUCUCGCUUACCUGACAGCCGAGCAGAACACUUGGUCCCCUAUCUCAAUGAGUUAUCUAAACUCGUGAGCAAGAAGGACCUGGAGGACUUUGAUGGCUGCACUCUGGGCGAGCUGGUGCGAGCCAUGCAGUAUAGCGCUUUCCAUCUCAGCUGCAUGACCACCUACUAUAAGGCCAAGGUCGGCCGUUAUGACAGGAAGAUGAAGGAGGACAUUCAGUUAGCGAUGACCAGAGCUGACGGCGCCGAGAAGAAAGCAGGAGCGCUGAAUGUCGAGAACCUGAAGCUGAUAGAGCAAGAAUCUCUUGCUCAAGCGAAAGCCAUUACCCUCGAGGAGGAGCUGACCAAGGUCAAAGAGGAUCUUCAAAGGCAGAAGGCUAUGUAUGAGGCUCAGCUCGAAUCUCUCCGUGAUUCCCACCGGGUUCAGGUCGAGAACUUAGAGAAGGAGGCUGACAACCAGUACGACCAGGGACUUCGGCAUUCCUAUCGUUGCAUCAUGGCCGUCCUCGGGAAGCAACACCCUGAUCUGAAGAUGGAUGACCUUGCAGCUGGUGUUGCUCAACAUAUGGACGAGGAGGCGGCCAAGGAAGACGCUGAAGGGGUAGAGCCGAUCGUGAUUGAGGAGGAAAACUCUCCUUCUCGUGCAGAACCUGCUGGUGUUGGCGAGGCGAGCACCCCCCGGACGCAACUGGUGAUACCCCCUGCACCUGAGGAGGUCCAGCCGACUGAUGCUGCUCGGCUUACUGAUCCACCAUCUUAUUGAUAUAUUUCUUGUAUUGUAAUGCACAAUGUUUGUGAAGAUUAUCUCCUCUGUUAAUUAUUAACAAAUUAAUAAAGAUGUUUUUGAUUACUUUCUUGUGUUGUAAUCAUGAGUUAUUUUUCGUUUGAGAAUCUGCUCGUCUUUGUCUGGUCGAGCAGGUUCUGGCUUGGCACAUGGUUUUGCCACAUGCCUUUGAAAAUUCUUCAAUGCUUGGGAUUCUGCUCGCCUUCGCAUGGUCGAGCAGAUCCUGGCAUGCUUGGCUUCUGGUCUCGCCAAAAGACAGGCUUUCAGACUUGGUGAGCUUUUGCAUGCCUUUGAUUCUGCAAUGAUUGGGAGUCUGCUCGCCUUCUCGUGGUCGAGCAGAUCCUGGCACGCAUGGCAUCUGGUCUCGCCAUAAACAGGCUUUGAGACUUGAUAAGCCUUUGCAUGCCUUUAAUAAUUUCUUGAAUGCUUUGGAGUCUGCUCGCCUUCUUGUGGUCAAACAUAUCCUGGCACGCUUGGCUUCUGUCGCAUGCCUUCAAUUCUUCAAGGAUUGAGAUUUCGCUCGCCUUCUCGUGGUCGAGCAGAUCCUGGCACGGUUGGCUGCUGUCUCGCCAUAAAACAGGCUUUGAGACUUGCCGAGCCUUUGCAUGCCUUUGAUUCUUCAAGGAUUGGGAUUCUGCUCGCCUUCUCGGGGUCGAACAGAUCCUAGCACGCUUGGCUUCUGUCUCGCCAUAAAAUAGGCUUUGAGACUUGCUGAGCCUUUGCAUGCCUUCAAUUCUUCAAGGAUUGGGAUUCUGCUCGCCUUCUCGUGGUCGAGCAGAUCCUGGCACGCUUGGCUUCUGUCUCGCCAUAAAACAAGCUUUGAGACUUGCUGAGCCUUUGCAUGCCUUUGAUUCUUCAAGGAUUGGGAUUCUGCUCGCCAUCUCGUGGUCGAGCAUAUCCUGGCACGCUUGGCUUCUGUCUCGCCAUAAAACAGGCUUUGAGACUUGCCGAGCUUUUGCAUGCCUUUGAUUCUUCAAGGAUUGGGAUUCUGCUCGCCUUCUCGUGGUCGAGCAGAUCCUGGCACGCAUGGCAUCUGGUCUCGCCAUAAACAGGCUUUGAUACUUGAUGAGCCUUUGCAUGCCUUUGAUAAUUUCUUGAAUGCUUUGGAGUCUGCUCGCCUUCUUGUGGUCAAACAUAUCCUGGCACGCUUGGCUUCUGUCGCAUGCCUUCAAUUCUUCAAGGAUUGGGAUUUCGCUCGCCUUCUCGUGGUCGAGCAUAUCCUGGCAUGGUUGGCUGCUGUCUCGCCAUAAAACAGGCUUUGAGACUUGCCGAGCCUUUGCAUGCAUUUGAUUCUUCAAGGAUUGGGAUUCUGCUCGCCUUCUCGUGGUCGAGCAGAUCCUGGCACGCUUGGCUUCUGUCUCGCCAUAAAACAGGCUUUAAGACUUGUUGAGCCUUUGCAUGCCUUUGAUUCUUCAAGGAUUGGGAUUCGGCUCGCCUUCUCGUGGUCGAGCAGAUCCUGGCACGCUUGGCUUCUGUCUUGCCAUAAAACAGGCUUUGAGACUUGAUGAGCCUUUGCAUGCCUUUGAUAAUUUCUUGAAUCCUUUGGAGUCUGCUUGCCUUCUCGUGGUCGAGCAUAUCCUAGCACGCUUGGCUUCUGUCUCGCCAUAAAACAGGCUUUGAGACUUGAUGAGCCUUUGCAUGCCUUUGAUAAUUUCUUGAAUGCUUUGGAGUCUGCUCGCCUUCUCGUGGUCGAGCAUAUCUUGGCACGCUUGGCUUCUGUCUCGCCAUAAAACAGGCUUUGAGACUUGCUGAGCCUUUGCAUGCCUUCAAUUCUUCAAGGAUUUGGAUUCUGCUCGCCUUCUCGUGGUCGAGCAGAUCCUGGCACGCUUGGCUUCUGUCUCGUCAUAAAACAGGCUUUGAGACUUGCCGAGCCUUUGCAUGCCUUUGAUUCUUCAAGGAUUGGGAUUCUGCUCGCCUUCUCGUGGUCGAGCAGAUCCUGGCACGCUUGGCUUCUGUCUCGCCAUAAAACAGGCUUUGAGACUUGCCGAGCCUUUGCAUGCCUUUGAUUCUUCAAGGAUUGGGAUUCUGCUCGCCUUCUCGUGGUCGAGCAGAUCCUGGCACGCUUGGCUUCUGUCUCGCCAUAAAACAGGCUUUGAGACUUGCCGAGCCUUUGCAUGCCUUUGAUUCUUCAAGGAUUGGGAUUCUGCUCGCCUUCUCGUGGUCGAGCAGAUCCUGGCACGCUUGGCUUCUGUCUCGCCAUAAAACAGGCUUUGAGACUUGCUGAGCCUUUGCAUGCCGUUGAUUGUUCAAGGAUUGGGAUUCGGCUCGCCUUCUCGUGGUGGAGCAGAUCCUGGCACGCUUGGCUUCUGUCUCGUCAUAAAACAGGCUUUGAGACUUGAUGAGCCUUUGCAUGCCUUUGAUAAUUUCUUGAAUGCUUUUGAGUCUGCUUGCCUUCUCGUGGUCGAGCAUAUCCUGGCACGCUUGGCUUCUGUCUCGCCAUAAAACAGGCUUUGAGACUUGCCGAGCCUUUGCAUGCCUUUGAUUCUUCAAGGAUUGGGAUUCUGCUCGCCUUCUCGUGGUCGAGCAGAUCCUGGCACGCUUGGCUUCUGUCUCGCCAUAAAACAGGCUUUGAGACUUGCUGAGCCUUUGCAUGCCGUUGAUUGUUCAAGGAUUGGGAUUCGGCUCGCCUUCUCGUGGUCGAGCAGAUCCUGGCACGCUUGGCUUCUGUCUCGCCAUAAAACAGGCUUUGAGACUUGCUGAGCCUUUGCAUGCCUUCAAUUCUUCAAGGAUUGGGAUUCUGCUCGCCUUCUCGUGGUCGAGCAGAUCCUGGCACGCUUGGCUUCUGUCUCGCCAUAAAACAGGCUUUGAGACUUGCUGAGCCUUUGCAUGCCUUUGAUAAUUUCUUGAAUGCUUUGGAGUCUGCUCGCCUUCUUGUGGUCAAACAUAUCCUGGCAAGCUUGGCUUCUGUCGCAUGGCUACAAUUCUUCCAGGAUUGGGAUUUCGCUCGCCUUCUCGUGGUCGAGCAGAUCCUGGCAUGGUUGGCUGCUGUCUCGCCAUAAAACAGGCUUUGAGACUUGCCGAGCCUUUGCAUGCCUUUGAUUCUUCAAGGAUUGGGAUUCUGCUCGCCUUCUCGUGGUCGAGCAGAUCCUGGCACGCUUGGCUUCUGUGUUGCCAUAAAAUAGGCUUUGAGACUUGCUGAGCCUUUGCAUGCCUUUGAUUCUUCAAGGAUUGGGAUUCUGCUCGCCUUCUCGUGGUCGAGCAGAUCCUGGCAUGGUUGGCUGCUGUCUCGCCAUAAAACAGGCUUUGAGACUUGCCGAGCCUUUGCAUGCCUUUGAUUGUCCCAUCGCCAUAAAACAGGCUUUGAGACUUGAUGAGCCUUUGCAUGCCUUUGAUAAUUUCUUGAAUGCUUUGGAGUCUGCUUGCCUUCUCGUGGUCGAGCAUAUCCUGGCACGCUUGGCUUCUGUCUCGCCAUAAAACAGGCUUUGAGACUUGCUGAGCCUUUGCUUGCCUUCAAUUCUUCAAGGAUUGGGAUUCUGCUCGGCUUCUCGUGGUCGAGCAGAUCCUGGCACGCUUGGCUUCUGUCUCGCCAUAAAACAGGCUUUGAGACUUGCUGAGCCUUUGCAUGCCUUCAAUUCUUCAAGGAUUGGGAUUCUGCUCGCCUUCUCGUGGUCGAGCAGAUCCUGGCACGCUUGGCUUCUGUCUCGCCAUAAAACAGGCUUUGAGACUUGCUGAGCCUUUGCAUGCCUUUGAUUCUUCAAGGAUUGGGAUUCUGCUCGCCUUCUCGUGGUCGAGCAGAUCCUGGCACGCUUAGCUUCUGUCUCGCCAUAAAACAGGCUUUGAGACAUGCCGAGCCUUUGCAUGCCUUUGAUUCUUCAAGGAUUGGGAUUCUGCUCGCCUUCUCGUGGUCGAGCAGAUCCUGGCACGCUUGGCUUCUGUCUCGCCAUAAAACAGGCUUUGAGACUUGCUGAGCCUUUGCAUGCUUUGAUUCUUCAAGGAUUGGGAUUCGGCUCGCCUUCUCGUGGUCGAGCAGAUCCUGGCACGCUUGGCUUCUGUCUUGCCAUAAAACAGGCUUUGAGACUUGAUGAGCCUUUGCAUGCCUUUGAUAAUUUCUUGAAUGCUUUGGAGUCUGCUGGCCUUCUCGUGGUCGAGCAUAUCCUGGCACGCUUGGCUUCUGUCUCGCCAUAAAACAGGCUUUGAGACUUGCUGAGCCUUUGCAUGCCUUCAAUUCUUCAAGGAUUGGGAUUCUGCUCGCCUUCUCGUGGUCGAGCAGAUCCUGGCACGAUUGGCUUCUGUCUUGCCAUAAAACAGGCUUUGAGACUUGAUGAGCCUUUGCAUGGCUUUGAUAAUUUCUUGAAUGCUUUGGAGUCUGCUUGCCUUCUCGUGGUCGAGCAUAUCCUGGCACGCUUGGCUUCUGUCUCGCCAUAAAACAGGCUUUGAGACUUGCUGAGCCUUUGCAUGCCUUCAAUUCUUCACGGAUUGGGAUUCUGCUCGCCUUCUCGUGGUCGAGCAGAUCCUGGCACGCUUGGCUUCUGUCUCGCCAUAAAACAGGCUUUGAGACUUGCUGAGCCUUUGCAUGCCUUUGAUUCUUCAAGGAUUGGGAUUCUGCUCGCCUUUUCGUGGUCGAGCAGAUCCUGGCACGCUUGGCUUCUGACUCGCCAUAAAACAGGCUUUGAGACUUGCCGAGCCUUUGCAUGCCUUUGAUUCUUCAAGGAUUGGGAUUCUGCUCGCCUUCUCGUGGUCGAGCAGAUCCUGGCACGCUUGGCUUCUGUCUCGCUAUAAAACAGGCUUUGAGACUUGCUGAGCCUUUGCAUGCCGUUGAUUGUUCAAGGAUUGGGAUUCGGCUCGCCUUCUCAUGGUGGAGCAGAUUCUGGCACGCUUGGCUUCUGUCUCGUCAUAAAACAGGCUUUGAGACUUGAUGACCCUUUGCAUGCCUUUGAUAAUUUCUUGAAUGCUUUGGAGUCUGCUUGCCUUCUCGUGGUCGAGCAUAUCCUGGCACGCUUGGCUUCUGUCUCGCCAUAAAACAGGCUUUGAGACUUGCCGAGCCUUUGCAUGCCUUUGAUUCUUCAAGGAUUGGGAUUCUGCUCGCCUUCUCGUGGUCGAACAGAUCCUAGCACGCUUGGCUUCUGUCUCGCCAUAAAACAGGCUUUGAGACUUGCCGAGCCUUUGCAUGCCUUUGAUUCUUCAAGGAUUGGGAUUCUGCUCGCCUUCUCGUGGUCGAACAGAUCCUAGCACGCUUGGCUUCUGUCUCGCCAUAAAACAGGCUUUGAGACUUGUUGAGCCUUUGCAUGCCUUUGAUUCUUCAAGGAUUGGGAUUCGGCUCGCCUUCUCGUGGUCGAGCAGAUCUUGGCACGCUUGGCUUCUGUCUCGCCAUAAAACAGGCUUUGAGACUUGAUGAGCCUUUGCAUGCCUUUGAUAAUUUCUUGAAUGCUUUGGAGUCUGCUGGCCUUCUCGUGGUCGAGCAUAUCCUGGCACGCUUGGGUUCUGUCUCGCCAUAAAACAGGCUUUGAGACUUGCUGAGCCUUUGCAUGCCUUUGAUUCUUCAACGAUUGGGAUUCGGCUCGCCUUCUCGUGGUCGAGCAGAUCCUGGCACGCUUGGCUUCUGUCUUGCCAUAAAACAGGCUUUGAGACUUGAUGAGCCUUUGCAUGCCUUUGAUAAUUUCUUGAAUGCUUUGGAGUCUGCUGGCCUUCUCGUGGUCGAGCAUAUCCUGGCACGCUUGGCUUCUGUCUCGCCAUAAAACAGGCUUGAGACUUGCUGAGCCUUUGCAUGCCUUCAAUUCUUCAAGGAUUGGGAUUCUGCUCGCCUUCUCGUGGUCGAGCAGAUCCUGGCACGAUUGGCUUCUGUCUUGCCAUAAAAACAGGCUUGAAGACUUGAUGAGCCUUUGCAUGCCUUUGAUAAUUUCUUGAAUGCUUUGGAGUCUGCUUGCCUUCUCGUGGUCGAGCAUAUCCUGGCACGCUUGGCUUCUGUCUCGCCAUAAAACAGGCUUUGAGACUUGAUGAGCCUUUUGCAUGCCUUUGAUAAUUUCUUGAAUGCUUUGGAGUCUGCUUGCCUUCUCGUGGUCGAGCAUAUCCUGGCACGCUUGGCUUCUGUCUCGCCAUAAAAUAGGCUUUGAGACUUGCUGAGCCUUUGCAUGCCUUUGAUUCUUCAAGGAUUGGGAUUCUGCUCGCCUUCUCGUGGUCGAGCAGAUCCUGGCACGCUUGGCUUCUGUCUCGCCAUAAAACAGGCUUUGAGACUUGCCGAGCCUUUGCAUGCCUUUGAUUCUUCAAGGAUUGGGAUUCUGCUCGCCUUCUCGUGGUCGAGCAGAUCCUGGCACGCUGGCUUCUGUCUCGCCAUAAAACAGGCUUGAGACUUGCUGAGCCUUUGCAUGCCUUUGAUUCUUCAAGGAUUGGGAUUCGGCUCGCCUUCUCGUGGUCGAGCAGAUCCUGGCACGCUUGGCUUCUGUCUCGCCAUAAAACAGGCUUUGAGACUUGAUGAGCCUUUGCAUGCCUUUGAUAAUUUCUUGAAUGCUUUGGAGUCUGCUCGCCUUCUUGUGGUCGANNNNNNNNNNNNNNNNNNNNNNNNNNNNNNNNNNNNNNNNNNNNNNNNNNNNNNNNNNNNNNNNNNNNNNNNNNNNNNNNNNNNNNNNNNNNNNNNNNNNNNNNNNNNNNNNNNNNNNNNNNNNNNNNNNNNNNNNNNNNNNNNNNNNNNNNNNNNNNNNNNNNNNNNNNNNNNNNNNNNNNNNNGCUCGCCUUCUCGUGGUCGAGCAGAUCCUGGCACGCUUGGCUUCUGUCUCGCCAUUAAAAGGCUUGAGACAGCCUUUGCAUGCUUUUGCCUUUGGAUCGAGCUCCUGCACGCUUGCUUCUGUCGCCAUAAAACAGGCUUUGAGACUUGCUGAGCCUUUGCAUGCCUUCAAUUCUUCAGGAUUGGAUUCUGCUCGCCUUCUCGUUGGUCAGCAGAUCCUGGCACGCUUGGUUCUGUCUCGCCAUAAAAGGCUUUGAGACUUGCUGAGCCUUUGCAUGCCCUUUGAUUCUUCAAGGAUUGGGAUUCUGCUCGCCUUCUCGUGGUCGAGCAAGAUUCCUGGCACGCUUGAGCUCUGUCUCGCCAUAAAACAGGCUUUGAGACUUGCUGAGCCUUUGCAUGCCUUUCGAUUCUUCAAGGAUUGGGAUUCUGCUCGCCUUCUCGUGGUCGAGCAGAUCCUGGCACGCUUGGCUUCUGUCUCGCCAUAAAACAGGCUUGAGACUUGCUGAGCCUUUGCAUGCCUUGAUUGUUCAAGGAUUGGGAUUCGCUCGCCUUCUCGUGGUCGAGCAGAUCCUGGCACGCUUGCUUCUGUCUGCCAUAAAACAGGCUUUGAGACUUGAUGAGCCUUUGCAUGCCUUUGAUAUUCUUGAAUGCUUUGGAGUCUGCUGCCUUCUCGUGGUCGAGCAUAUCCUGGCACGCUUGGCUUCUGUCUCGCCAUAAAACAGGCUUUGAGACUUGCUGAGCCUUUGCAUGCCGUUGAUUCGUUCAAGGAUUGGGAUUCGGCUCGCCUUCUCGUGGUCGAGCAGAUCCUGGCACGCUUGGCUUCUGUCUCGCCAUAAAACAGGCUUUGAGACUUGAUGAGCCUUUGCAUGCCUUUGAUAAUUUCUUGAAUGCUUUGGAGUCUGCUUGCCUUCUCGUGGUCGAGCAUAUCCUGGCACGCUUGGCUUCUGUCUCGCCAUAAAACAGGCUUUGAGACUUGCUGAGCCUUUGCAUGCCUUUAUUCUUCAAGGAUUGGGAUUCUGCUCGCCUUCUCGUGGUCGAGCAGAUCCUGGCACGCUUGGCUUCUGUCUCGCCAUAAAACAGGCUUUGAGACUUGAUGAGCCUUUGCAUGCCUUUGAUUCUUCAAGGAUUGGGAUCUGCUCGCCUUCUCGUGGUCGAGCAGAUCCUGGCACGCUUGGCUUCUGUCUCGCCAUAAAACAGGCUUUGAGACUUGCUGAGCCUUUGCAUGCCUUUGAUUCUUCAAGGAUUGGGAUUCUGCUCGCCUUCUCGUGGUCGAGCAGAUCCUGGCACGCUUGGCUUCUGUCUCGCCAUAAAACAGGCUUUGAGACUUGCUGAGCCUUUGCAUGCCUUUGAUUCUUCAAGGAUUGGGAUUCUGCUCGCCUUCUCGUGGUCGAGCAGAUCCUGGCACGCUUGGCUUCUGUCUCGCCAUAAAACAGGCUUUUGAGACUUGCUGAGCCUUUGCAUGCCUUUGAUUCUUCAAGGAUUGGGAUUCUGCUCGCCUUCUCGUGGUCGAGCAGAUCCUGGCACGCUUGGCUUCUGUCUCGCCAUAAAACAGGCUUGAUUGCGAGCUUUGAGCUUGACUGAGUCCUCCCUCUUGACAGAUCCGCACCUUGCUCUGUCUCGCAUAAACAGCGAACUUGUUUGCAUUUUGUUUUCAAGGAUUGGGAUUCGGCUCGCCUUCUCGUGGUGGAGCAGAUCCUGGCACGCUUGGCUUCUGUCUCGUCAUAAAACAGGCUUUGAGACUUGAUGAGCCUUUGCAUGCCUUUGAUAAUUUCUUGAAUGCUUUGGAGUCUGCUGGCCUUCUCGUGGUCGAGCAUAUCCUGGCACGCUUGGCUUCUGUCUCGCCAUAAAACAGGCUUUGAGACUUGCUGAGCCUUUGCAUGCCUUUGAUUCUUCAAGGAUUGGGAUUCUGCUCGCCUUCUCGUGGUCGAGCAGAUCCUGGCACGCUUGGCUUCUGUCUCGCCAUAAAACAGGCUUUGAGACUUGCUGAGCCUUUGCAUGCCUUUGAUUCUUCAAGGAUUGGGAUUCUGCUCGCCUUCUCGUGGUCGAGCAUAUCCUGGCACGCUUGGCUUCUGUCUCGCCAUAAAACAGGCUUUGAGACUUGCUGAGCCUUUGCAUGCCUUGAUUCUUCAAGGAUUGGGAUUCUGCUCGCCUUCUCGUGGUCGAGCAGAUCCUGGCACGCUUGCUUCUGUCUCGCCAUAAAACAGCUUUAGACUUGUGAGUUUGCUUUUUUUUUGGUUGGAUUUGCUUUUUGGUAGCAGAUCUGGCACGCUUGGCUUCUGUCUCGCAUAAAACAGGCUUUGAGACUUGAUGAGCCUUUGCAUGCCUUUGAUAAUUUCUUGAAUGCUUUGGGAUUCUGCUCGCCUUCUCGUGGUCGAGCAUAUCCUGGCACGCUUGGCUUCUGUCUCGCCAUAAAACAGGCUUUGAGACUUGAUGAGCCUUUGCAUGCCUUUGAUAAUUUCUUGAAUGCUUUGGAGUCUGCUGGCCUUCUCGUGGUCGAGCAUAUCCUGGCACGCUUGGCUUCUGUCUCGCCAUAAAACAGGCUUUGAGACUUGCUGAGCCUUUGCAUGCCUUUGAUUCUUCAAGGAUUGGGAUUCUGCUCGCCUUCUCGUGGUCGAGCAGAUCCUGGCACGCUUGGCUUCUGUCUCGCCAUAAAACAGGCUUUGAGACUUGCCGAGCCUUUGCAUGCCUUUGAUUCUUCAAGGAUUGGGAUUCUGCUCGCCUUCUCAUGGUCGAGCAGAUCCUGGCACGCUUGGCUUCUGUCUCGCCAUAAAACAGGCUUUGAGACUUGCUGAGCCUUUGCAUGCCGUUUGAUUGUUCAAGGAUUGGGAUUCGGCUCGCCUUCUCGUGGUGGAGCAGAUCCUGGCACGCUUGGCUUCUGUCUCGUCAUAAAACAGGCUUUGAGACUUGAUGAGCCUUUGCAUGCCUUUGAUAAUUUUCAAGUUGGAUUCUCGCCUUCUUGUGAGCAAUCUGGCAGCUUGGCUUCUGUCUCGUCUUUACUUUUUCUUUGAUUUUUGAUUUUGUCUCUUUCUCGUGGUCGAGCAUAUCCUGGCACGCUUGGCUUCUGUCUCGCCAUAAAAACAGGCUUUGAGACUUGCUGAGCCUUUGCAUGCCUUUGAUUCUUCAAGGAUUGGGAUUCUGCUCGCCUUCUCGUGGUCGAGCAGAUCCUGGCACGCUUGGCUUCUGUCUCGCCAUAAAACAGGCUUUGAGACUUGCUGAGCCUUUGCAUGCCGUUGAUUGUUCAAGGAUUGGGAUUCGGCUCGCCUUCUCGUGGUGGAGCAUAUCCUGGCACGCUUGGCUUCUGUCUCGCCAUAAAACAGGCUUUGAGACUUGCUGAGCCUUUGCAUGCCUUCAAUUCUUCAAGGAUUGGGAUUCGGCUCGCCUUCUCGUGGUGGAGCAUAUCCUGGCACGCUUGGCUUCUGUCUCGCCAUAAAACAGGCUUUGAGACUUGCUGAGCCUUUGCAUGCCUUCAAUUCUUCAAGGAUUGGGAUUCUGCUCGCCUUCUCGUGGUCGAGCAGAUCCUGGCACGCUUGGCUUCUGUCUCGCCAUAUAAAACAGGCUUUGAGACUUGCUGAGCCUUUGCAUGCCUUUGAUUCUUCAAGGAUUGGGAUUCUGCUCGCCUUCUCGUGGUCGAGCAGAUCUUGGCACGCUUGGCUUCUGUGUCGCCAUAAAACAGGCUUUUAGACUUGCCGAGCCUUUGCAUGCCUUUGAUUCUUCAAGGAUUGGGAUUCUGCUCGCCUUCUCGUGGUCGAGCAGAUCCUGGCACGCUUGGCUUCUGUCUCGCCAUAAAACAGGCUUUGAGACUUGCUGAGCCUUUGCAUGCCGUUGAUUGUUCAAGGAUUGGGAUUCGGCUCGCCUUCUCGUGGUGGAGCAGAUCCUGGCACGCUUGGCUUCUGUCUCGUCAUAAAACAGGCUUUGAGACUUGAUGAGCCUUUGCAUGCCUUUGAUAAUUUCUUGAAUGCUUUGGAGUCUGCUGGCCUUCUCGUGGUCGAGCAUAUCCUGGCACGCUUGGCUUCUGUCUCGCCAUAAAACAAGCUUUGAGACUUGCUGAGCCUUUGCAUGCCUUCAAUUCUUCACGGAUUGGGAUUCUGCUCGCCUUCUCGUGGUCGAGCAGAUCCUGGCACGCUUGGCUUCUGUCUCGCCAUAAAAACAGGCUUUGAGACUUACUGAGCCUUUGCAUGCCUUUGAUUCUUCAAGGAUUGGGAUUCUGCUCGCCUUCUCGUGGUCGAGCAGAUCCUGGCACGCUUGGCUUCUGUCUCGCCAUAAAACAGGCUUUGAGACUUGCCGAGCCUUUGCAUGCCUUGGAUUCUUCAAGGAUUGGGAUUCUGCUCGCCUUCUCGUGGUCGAGCAGAUCCUGGCACGCUUGGCUUCUGUCUCGCCAUAAAACAGGCUUUGAGACUUGCUGAGCCUUUGCAUGCCUUUGAUUCUUCAAGGAUUGGGAUUCUGCUCGCCUUCUCGUGGUCGAGCAGAUCCUGGCACGCUUGGCUUCUGUCUCGUCAUAAAACAGGCUUUGAGACUUGCCGAGCCUUUGCAUGCCUUUGAUAAUUUCUUGAAUGCUUUGGAGUCUGCUUGCCUUCUCGUGGUCGAGCAUAUCCUAGCACGCUUGGCUUCUGUCUCGCCAUAAAACAGGCUUUGAGACUUGCUGAGCCUUUGCAUGCCGUUGAUUGUUCAAGGAUUGGGAUUCGGCUCGCCUUCUCGUGGUGGAGCAGAUCCUGGCACGCUUGGCUUCUGUCUCGUCAUAAAACAGGCUUUGAGACUUGAUGAGCCUUUGCAUGCCUUUGAUAAUUUCUUGAAUGCUUUGGAGUCUGCUGGCCUUCUCGUGGUCGAGCAUAUCCUGGCACGCUUGGCUUCUGUCUCGCCAUAAAACAAGCUUUGAGACUUGCUGAGCCUUUGCAUGCCUUUGAUAAUUUCUUGAAUGCUUUGGAUUCUGCUCGCCUUCUCGUGGUCGAGCAGAUCCUGGCACGCUUGGCUUCUGUCUCGCCAUAAAACAGGCUUUGAGACUUGCUGAGCCUUUGCAUGCCGUUGAUUGUUCAAGGAUUGGGAUUCGGCUCGCCUUCUCGUGGUCGAGCAGAUCCUGGCACGCUUGGCUUCUGUCUCGCCAUAAAACAGGCUUUGAGACUUGCUGAGCCUUUGCAUGCCUUCAAUUCUUCAAGGAUUGGGAUUCUGCUCGCCUUCUCGUGGUCGAGCAGAUCCUGGCACGCUUGGCUUCUGUCUCGCCAUAAAACAGGCUUUGAGACUUGCUGAGCCUUUGCAUGCCUUUGAUUCUUCAAGGAUUGGGAUUCUGCUCGCCUUCUCGUGGUCGAGCAGAUCCUGGCACGCUUGGCUUCUGUCUCGCCAUAAAACAGGCUUUGAGACUUGCCGAGCCUUUGCAUGCCUUUGAUUCGUCAAGGAUUGGGAUUCUGCUUGCCUUCUCGUGGUCGAGCAGAUCCUGGCACGCUUGGCUUCUGUCUCGCCAUAAAACAGGCUUUGAGACUUGCUGAGCCUUUGCAUGCCUUUGAUUGUUCAAGGAUUGGGAUUCGGCUCUCCUUCUCGUGGUCGAGCAGAUCCUGGCACGCUUGGCUUCUUUCUCGCCAUAAAACAAGCUUUGAGACUUGCCGAGCCUUUGCAUGCCUUUGAUUCUUCAAGGAUUGAGAUUCUGCUCGCCUUCUCGUGGUCGAGCAGAUCCUGGCACGCUUGGCUUCUGUCUCGCCAUAAAACAGGCUUUGAGACUUGCUGAGCCUUUGCAUGCCUUUGAUUGUUCAAGGAUUGGGAUUCGGCUCGCCUUCUCGUGGUGGAGCAGAUCCUGGCACGCUUGGCUUCUGUCUCGUCAUAACACAAGCUUUGAGACUUGAUGAGCCUUUGCAUGCCUUUGAUAAUUUCUUGAAUGCUUUGGAGUCUGCUCGCCUUCUCGUGGUCGAGCAUAUCCUGGCACGCUUGGCUUCUGUCUCGCCAUAAAACAGGCUUUGAGACUUGCUGAGCCUUUGCAUGCCUUCAAUUCUUCAAGGAUUGGGAUUCUGCUCGCCUUCUCGUGGUCGAGCAGAUCCUGGCACGCUUGGCUUCUGUCUCACCAUAAAACAGGCUUUGAGACUUGCUGAGCCUUUGCAUGCCUUUGAUUCUUCAAAGAUUGGGAUUCUGCUCGCCUUCUCGUGGUCGAGCAGAUCCUGGCACGCUUGGCUUCUUUCUCGCCAUAAAACAGGCUUUGAGACUUGCCGAGCCUUUGCAUGCCUUUGAUUCUUCAAGGAUUGGGAUUCUGCUCGCCUUCUCGUGGUCGAGCAGAUCCUGGCACGCUUGGCUUCUGUCUCGCCAUAAAAUAGGCUUUGAGACUUGCUGAGCCUUUGCAUGCCUUUGAUUGUUCAAGGAUUGGGAUUCUGCUCGCCUUCUCGUGGUCGAGCAGAUCCUGGCACGCUUGGCUUCUGUCUCGCCAUAAAAUAGGCUUUGAGACUUGCUGAGCCUUUGCAUGCCUUUGAUUGUUCAAGGAUUGUGAUUCGGCUUGCCUUCUCGUGGUCGAGCAGAUCCUGGCACGCUUGGCUUCUGUCUCACCAUAAAACAGGCUUUGAGACUUGCUGAGCCUUUGCAUGCCUUUGAUUCUUCAAAGAUUGGGAUUUUGCUCGCCUUCUCGUGGUCGAGCAGAUCCUGGCACGCUUGGCUUCUGUCUCGCCAUAAAACAGGCUUUGAGACUUGCCGAGCCUUUGCAUGCCUUUGAUUCUUCAAGGAUUGGGAUUCUGCUCGCCUUCUCGUGGUCGAGCAGAUCCUGGCACGCUUGGCUUCUGUCUCGCCAUAAAAUAGGCUUUGAGACUUGCUGAGCCUUUGCAUGCCUUUGAUUGUUCAAGGAUUGUGAUUCGGCUUGCCUUCUCGUGGUCAAGCAGAUCCUGGCACGCUUGGCUUCUGUCUCGCCAUAAAACAGGCUUUGAGACUUGCUGAGCCUUUGCAUGCCUUCAAUUCUUCAAGGAUUGGGAUUCUGCUCGCCUUCUCGUGGUCGAGCAGAUCCUGGCACGCUUGGCUUCUGUCUCACCAUAAAACAGGCUUUGAGACUUGCUGAGCCUUUGCAUGCCUUUGAUUCUUCAAAGAUUGGGAUUCUGCUCGCCUUCUCGUGGUCGAGCAGAUCCUGGCACGCUUGGCUUCUGUCUCGCCAUAAAACAGGCUUUGAGACUUGCCGAGCCUUUGCAUGCCUUUGAUUCUUCAAGGAUUGGGAUUCUGCUCGCCUUCUCGUGGUCGAGCAGAUCCUGGCACGCUUGGCUUCUGUCUCGCCAUAAAACAGGCUUUGAGACUUGCCGAGCCUUUGCAUGCCUUUGAUUCUUCAAAGAUUGGGAUUCUGCUUGCCUUCUCGUGGUCGAGCAGAUCCUGGCACGCUUGGCUUCUGUCUCGCCAUAAAACAGGCUUUGAGACUUGCCGAGCCUUUGCAUGCCUUUGAUUCUUCAAGGAUUGGGAUUCUGCUCGCCUUCUCGUGGUCGAGCAGAUCCUGGCACGCUUGGCUUCUGUCUCGCCAUAAAAAUAGGCUUUGAGACUUGCUGAGCCUUUGCAUGCCUUUGAUUGUUCAAGGAUUGUGAUUCGGCUUGCCUUCUCGUGGUCAAGCAGAUCCUGGCACGCUUGGCUUCUGUCUCACCAUAAAACAGGCUUUGAGACUUGCUGAGCCUUUGCAUGCCUUCAAUUCUUCAAGGAUUGGGAUUCUGCUCGCCUUCUCGUGGUCGAGCAGAUCCUGGCACGCUUGGCUUCUGUCUCACCAUAAAACAGGCUUUGAGACUUGCUGAGCCUUUGCAUGCCUUUGAUUCUUCAAAGAUUGGGAUUCUGCUCGCCUUCUCGUGGUCGAGCAGAUCCUGGCACGCUUGGCUUCUGUCUCGCCAUAAAACAGGCUUUGAGACUUGCCGAGCCUUUGCAUGCCUUUGAUUCUUCAAGGAUUGGGAUUCUGCUCGCCUUCUCGUGGUCGAGCAGAUCCUGGCACGCUUGGCUUCUGUCUCGCCAUAAAACAGGCUUUGAGACUUGCUGAGCCUUUGCAUGCCUUUGAUUCUUCAAGGAUUGGGAUUCUGCUCGCCUUCUCGUGGUCGAGCAGAUCCUGGCACGCUUGGCUUCUGUCUCGUCAUAAAACAGGCUUUGAGACUUGCCGAGCCUUUGCAUGCCUUUGAUAAUUUCUUGAAUGCUUUGGAGUCUGCUUGCCUUCUCGUGGUCGAGCAUAUCCUAGCACGCUUGGCUUCUGUCUCGCCAUAAAACAGGCUUUGAGGCUUGCUGAGCCUUUGCAUGCCGUUGAUUGUUCAAGGAUUGGGAUUCGGCUCGCCUUCUCGUGGUGGAGCAGAUCCUGGCACGCUUGGCUUCUGUCUCGCCAUAAAAUAGGCUUUGAGACUUGCUGAGCCUUUGCAUGCCUUUGAUUGUUCAAGGAUUGUGAUUCGGCUUGCCUUCUCGUGGUCAAGCAGAUCCUGGCACGCUUGGCUUCUGUCUCACCAUAAAACAGGCUUUGAGACUUGCUGAGCCUUUGCAUGCCUUCAAUUCUUCAAGGAUUGGGAUUCUGCUCGCCUUCUCGUGGUCGAGCAGAUCCUGGCACGCUUGGCUUCUGUCUCGUCAUAAAACAGGCUUUGAGACUUGAUGAGCCUUUGCAUGCCUUUGAUAAUUUCUUGAAUGCUUUGGAGUCUGCUUGCCUUCUCGUGGUCGAGCAUAUCCUGGCACGCUUGGCUUCUUACUCGCCAUAAAACAGGCUUUGAGACUUGCCGAGCCUUUGCAUGCUUUUGAUUCUUCAAGGAUUGGGAUUCUGCUCGCCUUCUCGUGGUCGAACAGAUCCUAGCAUGCUUGGCUUCUGUCUCGCCAUAAAACAGGCUUUGAGACUUGUUGAGCCUUUGCAUGCCUUUGAUUCUUCAAGGAUUGGGAUUCGGCUCGCCUUCUCGUGGUCGAGCAGAUCCUGGCACGCUUGGCUUCUGUCUCGCCAUAAAACAGGCUUUGAGACUUGCUGAGCCUUUGCAUGCCUUUGAUUCUUCAAGGAUUGGGAUUCUGCUCGCCUUCUCGUGGUCGAGCAGAUCCUGGCACGCUUGGCUUCUGUCUCGCCAUAAAACAGGCUUUGAGACUUGCCGAGCCUUUGCAUGCCUUUGAUUCUUCAAGGAUUGGGAUUCUGCUCGCCUUCUCGUGGUCGAGCAGAUCCUGGCACGCUUGGCUUCUGUCUCGCCAUAAAACAGGCUUUGAGACUUGCUGAGCCUUUGCAUGCCGUUGAUUGUUCAAGGAUUGGGAUUCGGCUCGCCUUCUCGUGGUGGAGCAGAUCCUGGCACGCUUGGCUUCUGUCUCGUCAUAAAACAGGCUUUGAGACUUGAUGAGCCUUUGCAUGCCUUUGAUAAUUUCUUGAAUGCUUUGGAGUCUGCUUGCCUUCUCGUGGUCGAGCAUAUCCUGGCACGCUUGGCUUCUGUCUCGCCAUAAAACAGGCUUUGAGACUUGCCGAGCCUUUGCAUGCCUUUGAUUCUUCAAGGAUUGGGAUUCUGCUCGCCUUCUCGUGGUCGAGCAGAUCCUGGCACGCUUGGCUUCUGUCUCGCCAUAAAACAGGCUUUGAGACUUGCUGAGCCUUUGCAUGCCGUUGAUUGUUCAAGGAUUGGGAUUCGGCUCGCCUUCUCGUGGUCGAGCAGAUCCUGGCACGCUUGGCUUCUGUCUCGCCAUAAAACAGGCUUUGAGACUUGCUGAGCCUUUGCAUGCCUUCAAUUCUUCAAGGAUUGGGAUUCUGCUCGCCUUCUCGUGGUCGAGCAGAUCCUGGCACGCUUGGCUUCUGUCUCGCCAUAAAACAGGCUUUGAGACUUGCCGAGCCUUUGCAUGCCUUUGAUUCUUCAAGGAUUGGGAUUCUGCUCGCCUUCUCGUGGUCGAGCAGAUCCUGGCACGCUUGGCUUCUGUCUCGCCAUAAAACAGGCUUUGAGACUUGCCGAGCCUUUGCAUGCCUUUGAUUCGUCAAGGAUUGGGAUUCUGCUUGCCUUCUCGUGGUCGAGCAGAUCCUGGCACGCUUGACUUCUGUCUCGCCAUAAAACAGGCUUUGAGACUUGCUGAGCCUUUGCAUGCCUUUGAUUGUUCAAGGAUUGGGAUUCGGCUCUCCUUCUCGUGGUCGAGCAGAUCCUGGCACGCUUGGCUUCUUUCUCGCCAUAAAACAAGCUUUGAGACUUGCCGAGCCUUUGCAUGCCUUUGAUUCUUCAAGGAUUGAGAUUCUGCUCGCCUUCUCGUGGUCGAGCAGAUCCUGGCACGCUUGGCUUCUGUCUCGCCAUAAAACAGGCUUUGAGACUUGCUGAGCCUUUGCAUGCCUUUGAUUGUUCAAGGAUUGGGAUUCGGCUCGCCUUCUCGUGGUGGAGCUGAUCCUGGCACGCUUGGCUUCUGUCUCGUCAUAAAACAGGCUUUGAGACUUGAUGAGCCUUUGCAUGCCUUUGAUAAUUUCUUGAAUGCUUUGGAGUCUGCUCGCCUUCUCGUGGUCGAGCAUAUCCUGGCACGCUUGGCUUCUGUCUCGCCAUAAAACAGGCUUUGAAACUUGCUGAGCCUUUGCAUGCCUUCAAUUCUUCAAGGAUUGGGAUUCUGCUCGCCUUCUCGUGGUCGAGCAGAUCCUGGCACGCUUGGCUUCUGUCUCACCAUAAAACAGGCUUUGAGACUUGCUGAGCCUUUGCAUGCCUUUGAUUCUUCAAAGAUUGGGAUUCUGCUCGCCUUCUCGUGGUCGAGCAGAUCCUGGCACGCUUGGCUUCUGUCUCGCCAUAAAACAGGCUUUGAGACUUGCCGAGCCUUUGCAUGCCUUUGAUUCUUCAAGGAUUGGGAUUCUGGUCGCCUUCUCGUGGUCGAGCAGAUCCUGGCACGCUUGGCUUCUGUCUCGCCAUAAAAUAGGCUUUGAGACUUGCUGAGCCUUUGCAUGCCUUUGAUUGUUCAAGGAUUGUGAUUCGGCUUGCCUUCUCGUGGUCAAGCAGAUCCUGGCACGCUUGGCUUCUGUCUCGCCAUAAAACAGGCUUUGAGACUUGAUGAGCCUUUGCAUGCCUUAGGAAAUUUUCACAGUUUCAAGCGAAUGAAAUUCCUCAUUGAUUCAUUUAUUGCUGAGUUCGGCUUACAUGAGGUUGGUUUGAAAUAAGAAAUCAAAAAUAGAAAACAACGGACACGAACAGAAAAAAAAAAAACUUUAAAACAUGAAUAAGUCUUACUAGAAAUAUUUCCUGAGGUGUGCCGCGCUCCAUGGACGUUUCACCUCGUGGCCCUCCGUGCGAACCAACUUGUAGACUCCGGGUCCAACUAGCUGCCUUUCCCGGCUUCCACUCGGGUACCAAGGUAUGUUAUCUGCAUUGCUUCCCUUGCUGCCGAGGAGUAACAAGUUCGUGCGAUUCUCUGGUCUCCUCGUACCACUCCAACUACCCCAUUCACCCGGUACUUGAGAGCCAGAUAAUGGUUGGACAGCACCGCUUUGCUCAUCCUCAGAAAUGGCCGACCUAGGAUCAUCUGAUAAGGACCUUCCUCAUCCACUACCACAAAGUCCAGUAUCAUUGUCCUUUCUGUCGGGGAGCUCCCAAUCGUGAUAGGCAGCUCGACCACGCCCAGAGGGACCAGCUUUCCUCUUCCAAACCCCUUCAAGGAGGUAUUGGUGUAUUCCAACUUCCGGUCUACUAUUCCCAUCUCCUCCAAGGUUGACUUAAAUAAUACAUCAACUGAACUCCCUGUAUCAACCAGUAUCCGGUCACACUUCUUGCUAGCGACAGUAGCCUUGAUGACUAAAGCAUCCUCGUGGGGGUAUAGAAUUCCUUCCUCAUCUUCAUCCGUCCACAUGAUUGGCACUUGCCUGACCCUUGCUCGUUUGGCUGCUGGGGUGUUGAAGAAUACCUCUUUACUAGUCAUGGCGUAUCUAGCAUAGUUCUUCCUAGAUCUGUUGGAAUCUCCAGCCAAUGUCGGGCCCCCAGCAAUCACCCUUACUGUAGGCUGCUCGUGCCUCAAAUUUCUGCCACUCUGCUCCCCUUCACAUGUCGAGGCCACCAUCGGGAAAGUCCCAUCUACAAACUCGUCCAGGUACCGAUUUCUCACCAAAUCUUCAACCUGGGUCUUGAGAUCUUUGCAUUCUGCAGUGGUAUGGCCAUGAGUGCCAUAGAACUUACAAUGGCGUCCCCUAUCCCUCCUGCUGGGUAGCUUUGUUAUUAGGGCAGGGAGGUACAGCAAUCCUCGGUCCUUUAUGGCCUCGUAUACUUUGUCCAGGGACAUCUUCAAGGAGGUGUAUCGCCCAUACUCCUGGUUUUGGUCAAUCAGGUGCACAGCCCUUUCUCUAUUUGCUCCGUUUUGAGUUGGAGGCGAUGGCAGCAUUUCUGGUCUGCUCCCUCUACUACUGUGGGAGUGUUGAUGAAGACCACCAUAUGCCGAAUCAUGCCUUCUCCAAGGCUCCCUAGCUGGGGAACGAGGAGGGUGCGCCCUGCUGCGCUGAUACUGUGGUGGCCUCUGAUGAGGCUGGUGAGCUGUUAUCCGACCUCCUGUUCCACUACCUGAGGCCUGGAGGUCCCUCCUCCUGAUCGGCCCAUUUCCCGGUAAUGCCCUCUUCUCUUUCUUUUCCAGCCCCUCCAGCUGGUCUGUCUUAAUCCGACCUGCCUUUUCUUCCUCGAUCUCUAUGUCUCUUUUAGCCUGCUCGUAUGCGGCUGCAUACGUCUGAAUAGCUGGGCUUCUCAAGUUGUACCACAGCCUUCCUAUCUUCACUCCCUCUUUCAAUCCCCUUAGUGCCUGAGGAUGGUCGAAGGCUCCCAAAUCGAGGACAGCACGAUGAAACCUCUUGAUGAAUUCCCGAAGGGUUUCUUGCUCCCCUUGCUUCAUGCUUUUCAGCUCCAUCAUGUCAUCUUCUGGUGCCAUUGCCCCACGAAACUGCUCUGCAAACUCCUGGCACAUCUGCUCGAAGGUUUUAAUGCUCCCCCGAGGAAGUUUCUUGUACCACUCUCGUGCACGUCCCUCAAGAGAUAGUGGGAACACCCUGCACCUUUGGGAUUGAGAUAAUCCUUGUACCCCAGUUAUGUCGUUGAAACGCUCUAUGUGCACCAGCGGAUCCGUUCGUCCCGAAUACCUAAGGUCUGGGAGGCGGAAAUCUCUCGGAAUAACUGCCCUCAUGAUCUCUGCUGCGAGCGGUGAUUCUCCGUCCAGCAUUAUCCUCCAACCAGGAGCUCUGCUCCUUCCUUGCAUGUCGUCAAUUAUCUGCGCUAGUCUGCGCACUUCCUCCUCCAGCUGCACUGCGCGACUAGGGUCACGUGCUGCAGCUUGAUCCCGCUCUUGCUCUACAUCAAGCAAGUGUUGCCUCAACUCUGUUUCCUCUGCAUUUGCCACCCUGUCCACUUUAAAUCUGGUGUGGUUAAUGAACAUUUUGAGGUCACAAAAUUUGCACUACUGGAAACAAUAAAGGAAGCAGUACCAGAGAUAUGGUCACCAGAAAUGAAGAGUGCCUGGUCCGAAGCUUGCGAUCAAUUGGUUGCAGCCAUUAAGUUAGAGAUGAAGCCCUCCUCUUAGAGUUUCCUGAACAAAUUUCUCUUCCCUUGUAAUAUUAAAGAAUUUCAACAAGAUCAUUGUUUAUUUGUUAAUCUUUGCAUUGGUACCCAUGUGUGUUUCUUAUGCCUUUUUGUAUCAAUCCUUGUGUUCAACUCUUAAAUCUUAAUAAUAAAAGUUUGUUCCUAAUAUUUGCAUUUAAAUAUUAACAUGUGUGUUAGAUGAUUUGCCUCUUUGAUUCUGUUGCUUCAUUCCCGUGCAUCUAUCCAAUUAUACUGAUUAGUCCUAAACUGGUUUCAAUGCUCUUAACAAGGAAAAGCUUCAAAAUAAGCUCUUCUUUUUUAGUUGUAAGUGUGUUCUCUUCUGUUGAGUUAUUAAUGGAUCAGUGAAAAGGGCUAACAAUUCUUUUGGAAUGUGUUUGCACUAUGUAUAACAACAAUAAAUGAACUCAAAAGAUUAACGUAUAAUGAAGUUAACUUUCUAUAAUGAAGUUUGUUGUGUUUAAUUUAUAUCAUAUUUGUUCUUUUCUAUUGAUAGUGAUCCAGUUGAAAGAAAAGCAGGGGAAGAAAAAAUGGACAACAUCCAAGAAGCAUCUCAUGCCUUUAAGCCGGCAAAAAUUUCGUGCUUCUAAUGUUUUCUUGCUGCUGAAUUCUUGAAUGUAGAAGUUCAACAGUCAAUUCUCACGAACCAGUUGGCGUUUUGCAGCUUGGAAGCUCUAUACUUGAGGUUUUGCAGUUUGCAAUUUGCAGUCUGCAGAUUGUAAGUUUUGAGGGGAGUGUUAUGGUUCACGCUUGCGCAAAUAGAAGGAUAAAGAGAAUGCUCACGUGCUGCACAGGUGGAAUUAAAAGGAAAGCAAUCAAAACCAAAAAGCAAUCAAAGCAAAAGAAAAGUAAUCAAAGCAAAAAGAAAGCAAUCAAAGCAAAAUGCACCGUUUUUACCAAUAUUCCGGGGGCGGAUUCAGGGUUUAAUUCGGGGUAAAUAGCUUUUUCCCUAUUAUAAACACCUGAAGUCAAAGUUAAUGUUUUAAUUUCUUUAGUUUGGUAAAGACUGCUUAAGCUGACUUGAAAAGCUCAAAUAUAAGUUCUAUAUUAACAAAUGCCCGCAGCUUGUGAAGACAUAGAUAAUUGAAGCCGAUGAGGCAUAUUUAACAGAUGAUAAUCAAAACUAAUGUGAUUAAAAUUAUAAUUCAAUAAUUAAGCACAUAAAACAACAAGUAACUAGUUGUAUAUAUACCAAACAACAUUUUGAAGUUAAGGCGUAAAACAGCAACAUAGAACAAAUUAAUUAAAUAUACCAGCACCAAUACUCUUAUUAUUAUCCACAUAGAAAAGAACAAUAUAUCAAACAAGGAAAAUGAAAUAUUGUUAAUAACUCAAAAACCACUAGUGUCAAGGACUAGACUAAUAAGUGAAACCCAUAAUUGGAGGAUAAUUAUGUGCACAUGAGUUCGCUUAGCAAAAGUCCGCCUAGGCGUGGAGUGCGCUUAAAAGCGGGAUGCACUUAGAAGUGAGAUGCGCUUAGCAAAUCAUCCAAGCCCAACCCAAGAUCUAGAACUCUCUGUAAAUUAUUAAUAAGCUAAAGUUUUUAUGUUUCUCCAUGUAGGUCCCUAGGAUAUUUAUGGAAGUUGCUAGGAAGUUUCCUCCCCUAGAACUCUAAUACCUAUAAAUAGGGGUGGGCCGCCUCAUUUGCCCACCAAUCACACCACACACACAAACACUCCAGCACACACACACAAGCUCUCUAGCUUUUGCAAAAAACUCUCUUGUAUAUUCUCUCUUUGUGAGUAAUAAAAUCAUAUUCAGCCAUAUUGCUCUACAUAAAAUCAUAUUCGGCCAUAUUGCUCUACUUCUCUCUAGCAUUUUCCGCAAGUGUUCUUGCUUUGCUAGUUUGAGGAGUGGUCUAGGCUUGCUUAGCAACUUGUUUGCUACAAGGACAUCUUGGUCACAAAACAUGGACAUGCAAGGAAAAAAAAAUAUUGAUACGUUCUAAAAAUAAUACGCAUUCUUCUACAGUGAACCAAAAAAUUUAGGCUAAUGGUAGCAAGUGAAGGAAUUGUGAUUUCACGUGCAUUUUGUUGACAUGAAGGUAAAGAACUUUUUUAUAGUUUAUAUUGUUUAAUAUAACAUUUGAAUUGCAAAAUAGGGGUACAAAAUUGAUACACGAAGUGAGAAAACUAAGCUAAUUAUGAUAAAUAUUGAAUUAAAAGAUUUAGGUUUAAUCAUAAAGACAUAAGUGGCCCACAAAGUCAUGAAUUGAUAUCAUCCACGAUGCAAGUUCAAAAAACUGCAUAAUAAGUUGCCCCAAGCUAAACUAUUAAUCUAGUAACUAUUCUAGUCGAUGUGGGAUAAUUUUCCUAUCACCAUCUAUCACGUGCAGGCCGAAUUUGUUGCUUGGUCCUUACAUGUGGUAAGGUAAUAUGAAUCCACUUGCGCAUGAAUUUGGCUCCGAUAUUAUAUAGAAGCCUAUGACACAAAAUUAUACUUAAAGGUUAUUUCAAGAUUUGAGGGUUGCCUCAAGCUAAUAUUAUUAUUAGCCUGGUAACCCUUUUUUUUUUUGUUGAUAUGUGAUAUUUUCCCUAUAACUUUUAUUAAUCUUUAUGCUUAUGUUUUGUCAUUUAUCCCAAAAUAUAACAAUAACAAAAGUUCCAAAAUUUCCUUCAAGAGAUAUAUUUGAGACAAGUAAUUUGUGCAAUAACUUUGUGAAUUGAUGAGCAAAUUCAGAGAAAAGAAUAUAUGUGCCAAACGUAACGUUUAUUAUUGUGUUUAUUUGUAGAGCUAUUUAAAGCCCAAAAAAAAAAAAAAAGCACCGGUCCGCUAUUAUUUCAAAUAAGUUCAAGCCCUAUGUCAUUAUUGGUACAAAAAUGUAUUAGAAUGGUUAAAAACUAUUUUUAUUUAACUUAUAAACUUAGGAAAUUAUCAACUGUUCACCCUUAAAUUGCAUUGUUAUAAAAAAUAUUACAACAUUUUCAGGUUGUAUCAUUCAUCUACCAUAAAUUUACAAUUUGCAUCAUUUAUCCACCAAAUCAUUAACUUCGUUAAAAAGUGAUAGACGUCACAAGGGUAAUUUAGACAUUUAACACACAAAAAAAAUAAAAGAGAAAUUAUCUAAGCUUACCAUGUUAUCAAAAUUGCUACAAAAUUUUAAAUUUAUUCAAUUUUCCAAUCUAAGUUUAUGACCUCCAAGAUGUUAAUUGCAGUUUGUAAUUAAUGACUUCAUAAGGAUAAUUUAGACACUCAAUAUGCAAAAUAAAAAAUAAAAUAAUGGCUUAAAACAUUAAAACAAAAAACUACUUUUUAUAAUUGAUAUUCAAUUAAAUACACAUAAACUCUAUUUUUUUCUUAAUUAAAAAAAUUCUAAUUUAUUUUCUCAAUUUAUCAUCAUAAAUUUACAUUAAUAAACUAAAUCCACAAAUUACCCUAAACCCUAAUUCAUAAAUGCCCAAUCAAUCUAAUAGUUUAAUUCGAUUUCAUAAUUAAAAAAGCUAAAUUUAUUAUAUUAGUUGUGGUGCAAAGUCAAAAAUGCCCUUAAAUUCAAGGUAAAAUAACAUUUUAUGUAAAUUCUAUAAAUUAUUCUAACAAUGUUAACAUUUUGGUGGACGGUUAAUAUAAGUUACAAACUUAAAAUAGAAAAUCAAAUAAAUUCAAAAUUUCAAACUAUUUAGGGCAAAUUUAGGAUAUAUGGUUAAUAAUUUUCCCAUGUCUUUUUACAUUGGUUGAUAUAAGUUACAAACUUAAAAUAGAAAAUCAAAUAAAUUUAUAUUUUCAAACUAUUUAGGACAAACUUAGGGUAUAUGGUUAAUAAUUUUUCUUUAUCUUUUUACGUUAAAUUGAGUUUCAAAGGUAAAAUGAUCAAUUUAUUAUAAUUCUAUUCAUUUUUUAGUGGAAGCAAAUGAUAUAAUGGACGAGUGAUAUAAAUUGUAAAAUUCUAUUCAUUUAAAGUGCAUGAAUGAUACAACUUUAAAGUAUUGUAGUAAUUUUAAUAAUAGAACAAUUUAAGGGUGGAUUGGCAAUAAUUUAAACUUUAAUGAAGCAACUAAAAAAAUUUGUUAACAAAGAAAAAUAAUUGAAUGCUUGGUGAAACCAAAAGUAAUUGAAAAGCUUUAAGAAAAAUAAAGGAAAUUAAAUAUCUUUAUAAAAACAUAAUUGAGUAAAAUCAUUUUACAAAAUGCUCUUUCAAAUGCACAUUCCACAAGCCAGGGAGAACGGGUGGCUAACAAAAAUGUCACUUUUUAUGAGUUUAUAAAAUCUCACUUUCGCUAAAUUAAAAAAUAACCAAUACUAAUGACACAAAAAAUAAAAAUUAUUGCUGUCACGACAUUACACACUUUCUUCGCAGUUUAGAAAGGUGGAACAUUUUGAAGUUCCUCAAUACAAAAUGCGUGCUACUACUAAAUUGGCCCAAUUAAUGCCCAUCGAAAAGGCCAUCAAUUUAGCCGCCAAUUUUGUCAAAAUUUCAACAAUUGAAGAAAUAAUGAGCACAAAUGGAAAAAAAAAAUCAUAAAGCUACCAAAAGGAACCACAAAAUCAUCAAUAUUAUCGUUUAAUAUGGGGAACGGCCUGCGCAUCCAAAUUGUGCGAACUGAACACGUUGAAAUGUGUUUUUUUUUUUGGAUUUUUGGAAUUUUUUAAAAUCAUUUAUGUUCGCUGCCAUCUUUUUCUUCGCUGGCGUCUUCAUUGGCAUCCCUCUCUUGGCUGGCAUCUGCCUCGUCUGCAGUUUGCUGUGCCUAUAUAUCCAACCAAUAAAUUGGGCAUUAAAUACGAAUGAUGAAUAAAAUGAUUAAAAACAAACAGAGAAAAUUAUAAUAUAACACAUAUAUAUUGAAAGAGAAAUUUUGAUUUUAGGAUAGAUCAAUUAGCUAUCACAAACGAAAACAUGUACCAACUAUGUAUAGAGUCAAUUAACUAAAGUUCUCAAGAGUUGACCUGUGCUCCUGAAUCCUUGGAAUCAUCUAUCUCCUUCUGAAUUUCCACGAAGCCUGGGACAAUCUUGAACAACAACGUUAAAGGAUGGAAUUGAGAUCUGAUAACCCGCAGGCCAAAUGUUGGUGAGGUUUGGUAAGUUUAUCAGUUCCACCCGAAGUUCAUUCAUAACAAUUUCAUUGUAAUCCGUGACGUCUGCUCCAUCUUUAUGCCAGAAUACUUCUUCUAAUUCAUCAUUAGCUGCUAUGUUUAGGUUCUUCAGUUUUUGAAGACUUGGAGCUACGCUGAUAUGAAAUAGAUGCUUUAGUUUGGGGCAAUAAGCGACAGUGAUCUCUGUGAGUUUUGGGAAACAUACAGGUUGGAGAUGAUCCUCAUCCUCAUCCUCAUCAAUGAUUUGCUCUAAUUCCCAGCAAUUGCGAAUGUAUAACUCCUUCAAACAUGGGAAUAGUUUGUUUUCUGGUCCCUCAGCGAUAAUAGCUUCCAAUUGAAAUACCACCUGUACUCCAAUUUCCCUAAUAUGCAAUUCUUCCAAAUUUUUUAAUCCGUGCUUCAACAGUGCUGGAAUCGUGUCACUCAAAUGGGAACAAUUGUCCACAUCUAGAGUAUUUAAGUUCUGAGACAAAUAAAUAAAUAACUUGAUGCAAUUAAAAUUUAUUAGCAGCUAGGAUUAUCACAUGAUAAGUGAUGAACACCGCAAAAAUAUCAUAAUACAUAUGUAAACUAAUAAAAUAAUUAAAAAGUAAUGGAUUUAAAAAAAAUGAAAUUAGUUAAAAGAGAUCAUGUGAAGUGAUAUAAAUGUGACAGUAGAUUGUUUUAGAAAAAAAUAUUAUUCUAUUAAUUUAUAUGGCUUGAUAAACUAUUUAAUUGAAUUUGAAUAAUAUUAUAUACACUUCUGAAGUAUUUGCAUCAAUUCUUUCUAAACCAAAAUGAGAUAUGACUUUCAUUUGAAGAAUGGUUUUAGGCCCUAUAAUAAAGAAAUUUUCCUAAGAUAUCUGAGCAUUAUUAUUAUCAUUACCACAUCCACCACCACCAUCAUCAUCUCCAUAGGAUCAAAUAAUUGUCAAAAGUCAUGGCUGGCAUCGGCCAUCUAGAUGGCCAGUGCCAUGCGAUUCAACACGGCCCACCAUUAUUGGUGGUGCCGCGUUGACUUAUUCUAUAAAAAAAAAAAAGGAGCCAAAAUUUUGGCUAUAUAAAGAGGGCUUCCCACCCUCAUUUUGCAUUCCAUUACGAGAGAGCAAUUUAGUAGUUGAGAGAGAGUUUAGAGAGCUUGAAAUUAUAAAGCUUUUGUUAUAGUGAUUUAGAGAGUUUGGGUGUAUUGAGAUUUUUGGGAAGUGAGCUAAAAUACUACAAUACUUGUAACUCCUUUUCACUAGUAAAAUAUUUCCUUCUGUUUUUGCCCGUGGACGUAGGCUAAAAGCCGAACCACAUAAAUUCUGGUGUCCUCUAUUAUGCUUGUUCUUUAUUUUCUUCCAAUUUCACUUUAGCUGCUUGUCUGCUUCACCCACCAAUUUCCUAACAGUGGUAUCAGAGCUAUUGGUUGUAUUUUUUUGAGUCGGGUACUGUUCACGUAAGGGGUACUAUUCACGUAUACGGUACUAUUCACGUAUACAGUACUAUUCACGUAUACGGUACUAUUCAUGUAUACAGUACUAUUCACGUGAAACGGUGGGAGCGAUCCAAGAAUUUUACGGUGCAAAGCAGGGAAUAGUGGUGUGAGUAAAACAACUGUGUGGUUUUGUACAUGUCUAGGAAAGUUAUGUCACAAAGGCGAUAAGAGCUUAAGGAGUCUGGGUUUUAAGUGGGACCAUUGUGACCCCUCCAGUCUUUCCUGGGAACUUUCCUGGUGUGCAUUCUCACACAUACUUACAACUAUUCAAGGUGGUACACUAGUUUGUGUGCGGUAUUUAUCAACAAAAUGGCGGCAAAGUAUGAAAUUGAGAAAUUUAACAGAAACAAUUUUUCGUUGUGGAAAAUGAAGAUGAAAGCUGUAUUGAGGAAAAAUAAUUGCUUGGCAGGAAUUGGAGAAAGGCCCAUGGAGAUAACUGAUGACAAGUGGAAUGAGAUAGAUGGCAACGCCAUUUCUGAUCUACACUUGGCACUUGCAGAUGGAGUAUUAUCCAGUGUGGCAGAGAAAAAUACAGCGAAGGAAAUAUGGGAUACUCUUACAAAAUUGUACGAGGCCAAGUCACUACACAACAAAAUCUUCUUGAAGAGGAAACUUUAUACUCUUCGAAUGACGGAAUCUACAAUGGUGACCGACCACAUCAACACCUUGAAGACUCUAUUUUCACAACUCACAACGUUGGGUCAUAAUAUAGAGGAGAAUGAACGAGCAGAGCUUCUACUUCAAAGUCUAUCAGAUUCGUAUGAUCAACUCAUCAUCAACCUAACGAAUAAUAAUCCAGUGGACAAUCUAGUUUUCGACGAUGUUGCAGUCUCCGUAUUAAAUAAGGAGAGUAGGCGGAAAAAUAAAGAAAACAGACAAGCAAGUUCACAGCAAGCGGAGGCGCUAUCGGUGACGAGAGGGAGAUCAACAGAACGUGGCCCCAGUGAGAGCCACAAUCAUGGUAGAUCAAAAUCCAAAAGUAAGAAGAAUAUUAAAUGCUACAACUGUGGCAAGAAAGGGCACAUCAAGAAAAAGUGUUGGAGUAACCAGAAGAGAAGAGAGGGCAAAGAACCUGAGUAAUCAAAUGCUCAGGGUUGUGUAGCAAGUACCUCGGAUGAUGGCGAAAUUCUCUACAGUGAGGCAACAACUGUUUCAGAAGGCAGAAAACGACUAUUUGAUGUCUAGCUUAUAGACUCAGGAGCUACCUGGCAUAUGACCUCUCGGAGAGAAUGGUUCCACACAUAUGAACUUAUCUAAGGAGGAUCUGUAUAUAUGGGUAAUGAUCAUGCCUUGGAGAUCGCUGGUAUUGGUACUAUCAAAAUAAAAAUGUUUGAUGGUACAAUUCGCACAAUUGGGAAGGUACGACAUGUCAACGGCCUGAAGAAAAAUCUAUUGUCUUUGGGACAAAUGGAUAGUUAUGGGUAUAAAACUCAUGUGGAGAAUGUAAUUAUGAAGAUCGUUAAAGGAGCGCUUGUAUUAAUGAAGGCAUAAAAGAUCAGUGCUAAUCUAUUCAUGCUUAAAGGAGAAACACUACAGGAGGCUGAUGCGUGUGUCGCAUUUAAUGGAGAAGAAUCAACGAUGAUGUGGCAUCUCAAACUUGGCCACAUGUCAGAACAAGGUUUGAAGAUUCUCUCUGAGCGAAAAUUGCUUCUGGGGCUCAAAUCGGUAAGUUUACCAUUUUGCGAUCAUUGUGUUACAAGUAAGCAGUAUAGAUUAAAAUUUAGUAGAUCUAUUGCUAGAAGUAAAUGCAUUCUAGACUUGAUUCAUUUUGAUGUUUGGGAAUCACCGGAUAUAUCCAUGGGAGGUGCAAAGUACAUGGUGACUUUCAUUGAUGAUUAUUCCAGAAAAUGUUGGGUGUAUCCAAUUAAGAAAAAGUCAGAUGUAUUUCCAGUGUUUAAAGAAUACAAAGCGCGGGUGGAACUUGAAUCUGGUAAAAAGAUCAAGUGCUUGAGGACAGAUAAUGGUGGAGAGUAUACAGACGGCGAGUUUCUUGCUUUCUGUAAGCAAGAAGGUAUUCAGAGACAGUUCACGCUAGCAUACACUCCUCAACAAAACGGAGUGGCGAAGCGGAUGAACAGAACUCUUACAGAAAAAAUAAAAGCUAUGUUGAGGACUGCUGGUCUACCCAAUUUAUUCUGGGCAGAAGCAGCCAAAACUGCUUGUUAUAUAGUAAAUCGGUCGCCAUCUACAGUUAUUGGGCUGAAGACAGCGAUGGAGAUGUGGACUGGAAAGCCAGCUGAUUAUUCAUACCUACAUGCAUUUUGAUGUCCUGUGUAUGUGAUGUACAAUGCCCAAGAAAGAAAAAAACUGGAUCCAAAAUCUAGAAAAUGUAUCUUCUUGGGAUAUGCUGAUGGAGUAAAGGGGUAUCGUCUGUGGGACCCCACUGCCCACAAGAUCGUCAUCAGCAGAGAUGUUAUAUUUAUAGAAGAUCAACUGCAAAGGAAAGAUGAGGAUGAUAGCACUAUAAAAGAAAAGUCAGAGACUGUACCGGUAUAUGUGAAAAAUAAUCCAGAAGAUUCAUAUUCUUCUGAAGCAGCACCAGAGCACGAGGAACAAGAACCAGUCGAGUCCGAGGCUCAAGAAGUUCGUCGAUCAACUCGUGAGAGACGACCGCCAACGUGGCACUCGGAGUAUGUUACAGAGAUCAACGUUGCAUACUGUCUUCUAACAGAGAAUGGAGAGCCUUCAACUUUCCAUGAAGCUUUAAACAACUCAGAUGUUACUUUGUGGAUGACAGCAAUGCAGGAAGAAAUUGAGGCUCUACACAAGAACAAGACAUGGGAACUUGUACCACUACCACGUGGAAGAAAAGCCAUUGGAAACAAAUGGGUCUACAAGAUCAAACGUGAUGGCAAUGACCAAGUGAAGCGGUAUCGUGCGAGAUUGGUGGUGAAAGGAUAUGCUCAGAAAAAAAGUAUUGACUUCAACGAGAUAUUUUUACUGGUGGUUCGACUCAUAACAGUCAGAGUAGUCUUGGUGAUGUGUGCUACAUUUGACUUACAUCUUGACCAGUUAGAUGUGAAAACUGCAUUUCUUCAUGGAGAACUUGAAGAAGAAAUAUAUAUGCUCCAACCAGAAGGUUUUGCAGAAACAGGAAAGGAGAACUUGGUUUGCAGGUUGAACAAAUCUCCAUACGGUCUUAAACAGGUGCCGAGGUGUUGGUAUAAGAGAUUUGAUUCCUUCAUUGUGAGUCUUGGAUACAAUAGACUCAGUUCAGACUAUUGUGCAUAUUACAAGAGGUUUGAAGACAAUGAUUUCAUUAUUUUACUGUUGUAUGUGGAUGACAUGUUGGUAGCAGGCCCCAACAAAAAUCAAAUCCAAGAAUUGAAGGCACAGUUGGCUAGGGAGUUUGAAAUGAAGGACUUGGGACCAGCAAACAAGAUUUUAGGGAUGCAAAUUCACCGAGACAGAAAUAACAGGAAGAUUUGGCUUUCGCAGGAGAAUUACUUGAAGAAAAUAUUGCGGCGCUUCAACAUGCAAGAUUGUAAGUCAAUUUCUACCCUACUUCCUGUUAAUUUCAAACUAUCCUCAAGUAUGUGUCCUAGCAAUGAAGCAGAGAGGAAGGAGAUGUCUCGAGUAUCGUAUGCAUCAGCAGUGGGAAGUUUGAUGUUCGCUAUGAUAUGUACAAGACCAGACAUUGCACAAGCAGUGGGAGCAGUCAGUCGAUACAUGGCGAAUCCUAGUGGAGAGCAUUGGAUAGCUGUGAAGAGGAUUAUGAGAUACAUCAGAGGAACCAUCAGAUGUUGCAUUAUGUUAUGGAGGAUCAGAGUUUACUGUCAGGGGCUAUGUGGAUUCAGAUUUUGCAGGAGACCUUGAUAAAAUGAAAUCUACUACUGGUUAUGUGUUUACACUUGUGGGAGCAGCUGUAAGCUGUGUUUCAAAACUGCAGACCGUUGUAGUUUUAUCUACGACAGAAGCAGAAUACAUGGAAGCUACACAAGCUUGCAAGGAAGCUAUUUGGAUACAAAGGUUAUUGGAGGAGCUCGGGCACAAACAACAGAAAAUUCCUGUGUUUUGUGACAGUCAGAAUGCCUUGCACAUUGCAAGGAAUCCAGCCUUUCAUUCCAGGACAAAGCACAUAGGAGUUCAGUAUCACUUCGUUCGUGAAGUAAUGGAAGAUGGAAGUGUGGAUUUGCAGAAAAUCCAUACCAAAGAGAACCUAGCAGAUGUUUUGACCAAGCCGAUAAAUACUGAUAAGUUUGUUUGGAGUAGAUCUUCUUGUGGCCUAGCAGCAACAUAAGCAACAUGACUACGACGAAGCAGAAAGGAUAAUGUGGAGAUUGAUUAAUUCUCAAUCUAAUCUCCAAGUGGGAGAAUGUCAAAAGUCAUGGCUGGCACCGGCCAUCUAGAUGGCCAGUGCCAUGCCAUUCAACACGGCCCACCAUUAUUGGUGGUGCCGUGUUAACUUAUUCUAUUAAAAAAAAAAAGGAGCCAAAAUUUUGGCUAUAUAAAGAGGGCUUCCCACCCUCAUUUUGCAUUCCAUUAAGAGAGCAAUUUAGUAGUUGAGAGAGAGUUUAGAGAGCUUGAAAUUAUAAAGCUUUUGUUAUAGUGAUUUAGAGAGUUUGAGUGUAUUGGGAUUUUUGGGAAGUGAGCUAAAAUACUUGAUGGGUGUCGAAGCCAACAAAAAUAAAUUCCUACUCUAAAUAAAUUGUGUAUAGUGAUUGAGCAGGGUCGUGUCCACAGAGAUCGGUAAUUAUUUAAAUCCUUUUGAAACGUAAAACGUAAAAUGGGGGAAUUGUAGACAAUAAUAAAAAUCAAAUUAAAUAACAAGAAUGCAAAUUAAAGUUGUAAUUCAAAUUGGAGAAAGCUCUGGUUGAAGGAAUUAACUAAGCUUGAUUCGACUACUGAUCAUUGAUUCAAAUAUAGAUUAUUAUUACUCAUGAAUAGACCGGUUAUAGCUAUUGAGACCCUCUAAUAGCCAAUCUCUCCUUAACUAGUCGAUAACCAAGGUACGACCGUUAGUUAUUUCCCUAAUCAAUAGACAACCCUAGAUACGAUCAUAUGAUUUAAUCAAUUGACAGCCUGAAAAACCAGAGAGACCCAAAUCCUAAUCAACACAUAUGAUGAUUCAUUUAAAUUAGAUUGUUUAUUCUCACAACACAACUCUCUGCUAUGUUAUUUGUCACAAACAUUAAAUUCUUAAUACGAUGAAUCCUUUAAUUGACAAUAGAUUAAGUUGAUAAUUAAAUAGUGGUCAAUUACCUAAUUAACAAACAUAAUCAUGAAACUAAUUCAGAGAAUAAACAAAUACCCAAAAAGUAAUAAAACAAUUAAAGCAUAAGAAAGAUCUCACAGUAGUGAUGAAUCAAAGCUUCAUUAUCCUUCAACCAGAAAAAUAGGUUUAGUUCUUCAUAGAGAGAAGAGAAUCUAGGGUUUCUUUCUUCUUCUUCAAUCCAAAAAUCCCCCUUUUUCACAAUAGAUUCCUCCCUUAAAUACUCUCUCUCUCUUCUCUUUUAGAGUUCUAUUUAAAAUAAAAUACUAAUAUCUGAAAUAUUAAAUUUGUAAUUACAAAAAUAACCAAAAAUACAAAAUACGUUAAACUAAAAACUGCAGGUCCGUAGUUGACAGCACGCGCCCACGCCUUAUCAACAAAGUUCUUCUGACGCUCAUAAUUUCUCCAAGAGAACAAUCAUCAUUAAAUAUCAUCUUGUAGCUUAAUUUUAUCACCAAUCAAUAGAAUUGCACCUACAAAAGUAAAACACAAGUAAAUCACUAUUAUUAAGUGCAAAACAUCGAUAUUAAGGGAAGUAAACAAUGCAAAACUAGUGCUUAAAUUGCACUCUAACAAAUUCCCCCAUACCAAGAUGAUGCUUGUCCUCAAGCAUAUAACUCAAGACUAAUCCCAAAUCUCCACUCAAUUCUCAUCUCAACUCAUCCAAAAACAAUUUUAAGCAAGUAUACCUCAAGAAAUUAAGUCGAUCAACAUUCGAGAGACAAGGAUUUUAAAGCAUAGAAUCUCAUAAGAUAGAAUAAGAACAUUCAACCACUAAGAAGAUCCAUUCAAAAUUCAAGUGCAACAAGAUUUAAUAGCCCUCUCAUUGACUUCACUCCAUGCACUCAAAGUGUUUAGGGUGUCAUUUAUUCACUCAAAUCAAAUCAAAGAAUGCUAUUACCAUAAGCUUGCUUAUAUAUCACAUCUCAAUCCACAAAACAUGAAUUAAAUGCAAAAAUCUAAGGGUCUUAAAAGGUUGUAACGGGGUUAAAUGGGUUAAAUGAAAAAGAAAGGUUUAUGAAAGAAAAAGAGAUCAAAAUGAGAAGAAUGAACUCAUUGAACGAACUUUAUGAUAUCGAAACGCUUAUUUCUACUCAAGUCACCAAGAAUGUAAACAUUUUUUUUUUCGAUCUUUCUUUUUCUUUUUUCUUUUUUUCUUUUUUUUUUCUCUUUUUUUUGAAUCAAACAAAAGAAACGAACCUUGCACAAUUUAAUUCAAGCAUAAUGCUUGUUGAUCUAAUUGAGAAACUUUAUUACAAGGUAGAAAAAGCAACAAAAUAUAUCCACACAAUGAGUCCAAAAAUCUCCUUAAAUUGAGGCUCAAAAAGAAGAAAAAUGGUUAAGUAGACGGAGAAAAUUAGAUGGGUAAUGGUUAAGGCUCAAACAAAGAUAGCAAAUAAAGGUCUUCGAGUAGAGAAAAAAAAAUGCGAGAAUAGAAAAAUGGAAAAGGGUUUGCCCUUAUCAUUUUAAUGCAUAAAAUCCCGUAAUGCGGCUUCAACAUGCAUAACAAAGCAAGUUCUAGAAUAAACAAACUAAGAUUGAUAUUCACAUAACAAAAAUAUUAGAGCAAAGUGGUUGCUCAUAGGCUCAAAUCCUCACAAAGUUGGUAAAUUUGCCAUCAAAUCAUGUACACUCUUCAAAUGAAUCAACCAUCAAUAGUGGUGUAGAAUGAGAAGAAGGUAUGAGUGAAGGAAAGGUAAAAAUGAUAAGAAAUGAGAAAGAUGUAUGUAGUAAUAUGAAAAGUGAAAGAUAAAAUGUGAGUGAUGAAAGAAUAUGGUAAAAUAAAAAUAGAUAUGAAUAAUUUGAAAUAGAUGGGAAAAAAGUAGUGAGAAAGCGAGGAAAAGAAAAUUAAUAAUAUAUGAAGCAUACUAACUCCAAAAUCAUUUAAGGAUGAGUAGAGUGAAAAUAGAUGAGUAGAGUGAAAACAAUAAUUUCAGACAUCAAUAAUGCAAAAAUCCCUCCCCCACACCAAGAACUUACAUUGUCCUCAAUGUAAAAUAAUCAAAGCUCACAUAAAAAUUAAAGCGUAAAGAUAAAAGAUUAAAGGAAAAAAAAACUUCCCUGAAUUGUGAACUUUGAUCCACAUAACGUCUAUGGUUGCGUUGUGAUUGCUGCUCGGCUGGAGCUUGCUUGAUGGACGCGGGAUGGAGCUGAUUGUGUUGCGCGCGCGCGCUGGGGCUGCUAGAUCUGCGCGCUGCGUGGGCUGUGUUGCGCGUGAGAGCUGGGCUGACGCUGGUUCUGCGCGCUGCUGGGCGAAGGCUGGAUCUACUCACGCGGGUUGCUGCUCGCUGGACGCGGGAUGCUGGUGCUGCUGGUUGCGUUGCGCGCGCGGGACUGAUGCACUGCGCGAUGGUGAUGGCUGGAGCUUUCUGCGCCCGGGCUGGUUGCGUUGCAGGUGGGACUGAUGCGGCUGCGUUGCGCGCGCGAGAACUUGCGUUUUCCGGCGGGCUAGUUUGCUACUGGUGUGCUGCAAGCGGCUGGAGAAGAAAACAAGAUCUGGAAAAUUAGGGAUUUUGUGAACAAUAAAUUUUUUUUUUUUUUAAACAAUGAUGAUUUUUUUUAUUAUAAAUAAAUAAAUAAAUAUAUAAAAGAAGAACAAAACAAAAUCUCUUUUUUUGUUUUUUUUUUUAAAUAAAAUUAAAUUAAAAAAAAUUUUUUUUUUGAAUCACUUUGAGACACCAAAAAUUUCAAAAGUACUUUUUUAAUAAGCACGUGGGCAAGCCUUAAAACUAUUUUACUUUAAAAAUUACAGAAGUACUUUUUAGUUAAGACGUGGGCACGCCUUAUCGAAAAUUUUCUUUUGGCCAAAAUAAGCAAACACAUUAUUUUUUAAAAAAAAUCGGAAUCAAAAUUAAAAGAAAAUAUAACAAAAACCAAAAUAAAUAAAUCAUUUGGGUUGCCUCCCAAAAAGCGCCUUUGUUUUAUGUCUUUGGCUAGACACAUUGAUGCAUCAAUCUCCAUAAUUGGGACUCUCGAGAGCCACAUCUUCCACAAUAUUUACCGAAAAACCUUCAUAAAAAGGUUUUAAGCGAUGACCAUUAACCUUAAAAACUUUGUCAGAGGUCGGACUCCGAAUCUCAACUGCACCAUAAGGAAAAACAUUAGUAACAAUAAAAGGUCCAACCCAGCAAGAACGUAAUUUACCCGGAAAUUACGUCAUGCAUAUCCAUAUGGCUACAUCAUGGCUUUACUAAGAGAGCAUGCUGGCAUUGUUGUUGCUAAUUCAACCUUGAUUGGUGUUUCAGAACGAGUUGCUGAUGAAUGUAAGGGGCUGCCUUUAGCUAUUAAAGCUGUUGGAAGUGCACUAAAAGGUAAAGGAUUUGAUGAGUGGAAUCUAGCUCUAGAUAAACUACAAGAUGCAAAACUCAAUACAAUCGAAGGUAUUGGCAAUGAGGACCAAGACGUUUACCAUUGUCUCGAAUUUAGUUACGAUUAUUUGAAUGGUGAGGAUUCCAGGUCGUGCUUCUUGUUGUGUUCUUUGUUUCCAGAGGAUUGUGAGAUAUAUUUGGAUGAUUUGGUUGGAUAUGCAGUGGGGUUGAGAUGGUAUCGAGCUGAGUCAAUUGAAAAAGUCAGGAGCCUACUGAGUGGAACGAUGAAAGAGGUCAAAGCUUCUUCAUUGCUGUUAGACACUGGCAAUGACAGAUCUGUGAAAAUGCAUGACGUAGUCCAUGACGUAGUCCAUUACAUAAUUUACCUUUUAGUGCACUUCCAACAGCUUUAAUAGCUAAAGGCAGCCCCUUACAUUCAUCAGCAACUCGUUCUGAAACACCAAUCAAGGUUGAAUUAGCAACAACAAUGCCAGCAUGCUCUCUUAGUAAAGCCAAUCCUUCUUCUCGCUUUAGAACACCUAGUUGAAUCCGCGUGUCACAACCCAUGCGAUCACAAACUGGCUGCAGGCGAGUGGUUAUAAGGAUUUUGCAACAAUUGUCUUUAUCACCAACAGGAAUACCUACUGUCUCCAAGUCGAGUUCAUUCCAGACAUUAUAAGAAGAAGAAAUUAAGAACCAUAACAAAUUUGAUGAUUCUAAUUUGCUAGAAAUAUUGCAAUCCAAAACUAAGAAAGUUAAAACCAAUUAUUUGAAGAAAAAAGUAGGAUAGAAGCUCCCAGAAUAUUGUUAUGUGUUGUAUGUUUUCAGUUUGUAUUUCCCAAUCAAUAAGGAAAAGUAAGUACACAUGUUACAAAAAUUUAAUAAAAAAGAUUGGAGGUGACAAAACCUAUCAAUCUUCUAAUUAACUUUCUCUCCUUUCGAAUUUCCUGAGUUUGGUAGAGAUUGCUUAAGUAGUGUAUCUAUUAUAAACAGGCAAAACUAUGUUGCAACAGUGGUAUGGUACUACUGUUGCAACCAGCCAUUGGAUCUAUAAUUGUUCAGUUACAUUAGCAAGAUCCAAUGAUUGAAAGCAACAUUAGUACCGUAUCACUGUUGCAACAUAGCUGGACCCAUUAUAAACACCUGAAGUCAAAGUUAAUGUUUUAAUUGUUAAGAAAAGUUAGAAGAAGAAAUUUUUGUAUAAGAGAAUUGGGUUUAAAUUUAGAAUUCUUUGGGAGGAAAUGAGUCAAAAUUCCAAUAAUAUAAUUCAGCAGUAUUUAUAUAUAUCAUUAGUUGGGUGAAAAAUUAAUUUCCCUCCUUUGAUGUGAUUUUCAUAAUUUAUUUUCAUAUGAUGGUAAUUUUUUGUUUAGAGUGAAGUUAUUGGCACCCUUUCAUUAUCCUUAUAAAAUCCUACUUCAAAUAAAAUUACACUUAAAGACAAUAGAAUUAAAUAACAUAGUUUUUUUUUUCAAACAAAUUACUCACAUUCAUAAUUUUUUUUCUUCUAAUUUUCUACAGGUUGCUUUGUAUCUAACUAAAAUAAAUUGUACAAAUUUAGAAUAAUCUAUUAUUCUUUUUAAAUUUCUUAUUGAUUAAAUAUUUGUGUGCUUAAGGUAGCUUUAAAAUUAUAAGAUAAAAUAUAUAUAAUUUAAGCCAAUGAUUAACAUUCAAAAAUUUAUCUCUCAUAAAAGUUUUUAAUUUGUGCGUAGGGUAAUAAUAAAAUUGCAAAAGAAAUGAAAAAUAGCAUAGCACUAUUUUGAGUUUAAACAAUAAAAAUUUAAAUGAAAAAUUAGAAGUGUAUUUAAAAAAAAGGAUAUUUUUAAAAAUAAAAUAAAUAUAAUUAAAAAAAAAAGAGUUUCAUGAGGGGUGCAAUAGUUCAACUCUUUUGUUUAUAAGUUUUAAGAUGUUGGUAUCCGUAGCUUAGCUUUUCCCUAAUUAUUAUAUUAAAAUGUAACAACAAUGAUGAUCAACCCUAAUUUCGUGGAGGUCAAAGAUUUUGGUCAUGCCGCAUUAAUUAGUUCGGUCAUACUUUCUACAAAUUUAUUUACAUUUAAUAAUUUGACCAAGACUACGUAAGGCGCCGCCUGGAGUCAUAGAAUUUUAUAUGUCGUUUAAUAUGCUCAUUUUGUAUUUUUUUUAAAAAGUUUUAUUAAUUUUUUUUUGUUUUUAAAAAUAUCAUUUAUUUAUUUAAAUUUUUUUAAAGGUAAAGAAGUGGGUAAAGUUUAAAUUCAAUUUUUAUCCCUUACAUCAUGGCCCCUAAGAUUUGAACUAAAAUCUUAAAAAUGAAAUUGUAAAGAAAUCCCAGUUCGUAUAAAAGAAAGAAAACAAAAUUAAGGAAAACAUAAGCACAACAAAAUUUGACUGAUUAUUAAAAAUGAGAAAUGAGUUAUAAUGAGAAUUUUAGCUUUGUCGUGAAAUAAAUUGGGAAGUAUCCAAAGUACGCAUGUAAAUAAUGUAAAUGAUAAGAAGACGAAGGGAACAUAAUGAUAAUAAGCAAGCCAAAUAUUAAAAUGCAGAUUCUACGCUUCCGCCCCCAUACUUCAAGUUAGUGUCUCGCUAAUCAUUUUAGAUGUAUCAAUUACAAAGGGAGGCCAUCUAUUUAUGGUAAGCGUACGCCUCUAAUGCUUUGCCAAGUGUCCAUUGAUAAUAUCACAAGGGAAAUUAAAUUGGUGUAUGUGUAUUACACCUCCUAAAGUCAUGUUAAGAUAGUUAGUGAGCUGAUAAAGUUUGUUGCACGUGUGAGUUGGUUAAAUCUGCUAGAAAUGCAAACGUGUAAAGCUGAGUUAGCAAGUUAGUUAAGGUUGUUACGAAUUCUUAGAUUCAGCUCACGUGUAUUGUAUGUAAUACUUAGAUUCAGGUCAUGUAGAUUGUGUAAACAACUUUCUAAUAUUCUUUAGAUCUCAAUAUAAAUACUUGUAAUCAACAAAUACAAUAAUAAGAGUCAUCAUUCUUCAUUUUCUCUCUGUUUCUCCAUAUUUUCUCUACAUCCAAACACAAUAUUCUCAGUUCUUGACUUGGUAUCAGAGUUGCAGUUUAAUUGUCAUGGCUUCCUUAAGCACAAAUUCAAACACAAAUCAGUCUCCUUCAUUCUUUACCCUCACAAAUGCGAUCAAACUGGACAGAUCUAACUAUACGAUCUGGAAAUCUCAGAUCCUCUCUUCAGUGCGUGCCAAUGGACUUGAAGGCUUUCUUAAUGGAACUAAAAUUUGUCCAGAUCAGUUACUUACUCAAGAGAUUGAAAGUUAUGGUGUUGAAAAUACUGGUGGUGAAAGCUCAGCUGAUAGAUCUCAGGAGAAUCCAGCCUUUGUUGCUUGGAAAAGGUAGGAUCAAUUAUUAUUAAGUUGGCUCAUGUCCUCCAUCAGUGUUGAGAUACUUAGUCUUGUGGUAAAUUCUGAUUCUUCUCAUAAACUUUGGACUAAUCUUGAAGAAAAUUUUUGGAUUAGAAACUAUGGCUAAGAAAGCACACUUAAAAAUGAUGUUAAGCAAUCUCAGAAAGGGAUCAAUGACAAUAACUGAGUAUUUUGCCAAACUUAGAGCUGUAACUAAUAAACUUGCUGUAACUGGUAGCCCUGUUUCUACUCUAGACUAUAUUACUCAUCUAAUAUCUAAAUUAGGCCAGCCAUACUACCCUGUUGUUUUGUAUAUUGAAGCUAUUGUUUUGUAUAUUGAAGUUAAUAUGAUGAAAAUAUUUGUCAAUGAAGCAUAUUCUAUGCUUUUAACUCAUGAAGCAAGAAUUAAAGCUAAUCAUCCAAGUGCAAAUAAAGAAGCAAAGUUGAAUUAUGCUGCUAACAUAGCUUAGGCUGGACCUAGUACUAAAUAACAAUAAGAAGUCUAGUAAUCAAGCUAAUUACUAUCAGGGCAACCAAGGUAACUGGAAAAGAAAUGCUCAUUGGUGUGGUAACAAUGGAGGAAGAGGUGGCUUUGGCAGAGGUUUUUCAGGGCAAGGAAGGGGUAAUUAGAAUAAUGGUGGUCAUUGGAACAAUGGACCUUGGAGUAGUAGUUGAGGAGGCUAUAAUGGUUCUGAUAUAAACAAUAUGACAUGGUUGCUGGUGAACCUGUAAACAUAACCAAAAAAGUAAGAAGGCAUAAUUUUUUUAUAAGAAACUCAAAAAUAUAUUAAUGAUGAAAAUUUUAAAACAGAUAGUGGACCAGCUGUCCAGUAAGAAAACAAAAAAUUGAAUAUUUGUGCUAUAAAAAGGCACACCCAAUCUCACCCCUAUAAAAGGCUAGAAUCAGCUACAAAUCCCUAUCUCAAAACCCCAUCCCAGUUUAGAUGAAUGAAGAAAAAAGAUGAAUCUUGAAACUCCUUAGAAACUGAAUCCCAAAGUGAAGCAAGAAGAUGAACUCUAUCCCAAGCAAGCAAUAUGGCAUAUUUCUCCAUUAAUGGUUAAAAUAGGAUAAAAGCUCGUUUCAUCCUUAUAUUUUAAUAUUCGUGCCUAUUUAGUCUCUGUAUUUUAAAAAAUACCUCAAAACAUCCUUAUCCUUAAAUUAUUGACAUUUCUGCUGUUACUUUUUGUUUUUUUUAACUUGCUUUUACAAUAUUACCCUCUUACAAUAAUGUUUCUUUUUAUAAAGUUAAUAAAAAAAUUAAAUUAUCAAUUUAACCCCAAAAAUAAAAUAAAAACAAAAAGAAUAUAUUAAUUUUUGUGAAAGCUUACAUGUGUCUAAAAAUUUUUUUAUUGUAAAAAUAAUUAAAUUACCUUGUUUUUGGACAUUGGUAAUAAAAAAAUUAAUAUAUUAAUUCCUCAGCAGUGUGUUACAAAAAAGUAACAUAUAUUAAUUUUGUUUCUAUUUUAUUUUUUGAGAUUAAAUUAAUAAUUAUUUUUUUUCUUUUUACUAAUGUCCAAAAAAAAUAUUAUAAGAGGGUAAUAUUGUAAAAAUUAAGCCAAAAGUAACAAAAAGUAAGAGGAAAUGUGCUAAUAAUUUAAUGUCAGGGAUGUUUUGAGGUAUUUUAAAAAAUAUAGGGAGUGAACGGGUACUAACCUCAAAAUAUAGGGACUAACCGAGAUUUUACCCGUUAAAAUAAAGUAGAUGGCUGUCUUGAUGAAUGGGAAAUUGUCAAGAUCAAUAUUCAAACUCACGCAAAGUAAACGGACUUAAUUCUCAGGGGCUACUCAUUCUAAGUCUUAAAGAAAAUUUUUCUAAUUUCUAAAGAUUAUAUGGGGAAAAAUCAUUAUUUUCUAACAUGGAAAAUUUGAUACGGUGUUUAAUGUCUGAUCACAAUGAUAAUAUGAGUACUAACAAAAACAUCUUUAAUCGGCAUGGUGCGAGUAAAACACCUUUGCAAUCCAAUCAGCGAACGCCUUUGCAUUAGGCACAGUACCCGAGAGGAACACAAAUCGGGAGUCCUUUGGAGCCAUCACAAUGCUCUCUUCCCAUACCACACCUCUCUCACGAUCACGCAUGUAAUGUACCUCAUCAAAUAUAGCCCAAGCCACUUCACGCGUAAUCUCUGAGCCUUUGUACUGCAUACUACGCCAGAUUUCAGUAGUCAUCACCUGAAAUUAAACUUCAUAUAAGCAAUCCACAAAUCAAAGCGCUGCAACACCCAAAAGAUGACACUACCAAGUUGACCUACCAAACAAGAAGCAUUAGGGUCAAUUGUGACAUCCCCAGUCAUCAAACCGACAUCUGAAAACUCUUCUUUAAACUCCCUGUACUUCUGAUUGCUGAGUGCCUUAAUCGGUGAAGUAUAUAUCACACGUUGCUUAUUCCGCAACGACAUAGCAAUAGCAUACAAUGCUACCACAGUCUUCCCAGCAGAUGUAUGGUUCGAUACCUUUCAAAUAAAUGAAAGGCAAUUAAAAAAAGAAAAGAAAAAAAAAAACUAUUUUUAUUUUCACACAAGAUAACACUUCAUGCAAAACUUCUUAAUUCUUAUCGGUGAGCUGAAAAGCAGAGCGCUUUGUACAAAAGCACUUCCAAAUUCGAAUUAAAUUUUUUACAAAAAAUUACAGCUUUAUAUAUAUGUGUGUGCGCGUGCGUAUAAUAAUAAUAAUUAACGAACCGUAACGGACUGGCCGUUGUCGAGGCACUUGAUAGCUUCGGACUGGAAUGGGUCGAGAGUGAAAAGGAAUUCCUUAGCAGGUUUAGCGUCAGCUUCAGCCACUUGACCAAGACCCAUUAAACAUAAAACGCGGCGUUUUCAUGGACUAGUACAUUCCAUGCUUCGAAAGUUUUAUGUUUUAGACUGAUUGGUUUGAUACAUUAUUUGUUUAUUGCGUUUUUCUUGCUUUAAAUAUUAUGUUGGAUUGAUAAGUUUUGUACACAUUUAUAUUGCUCGCAGUAAAUAAUUUAUUACAUUUAAAAAACUAUCAACCGUCUAUCGAAAGAUUUCUACUAUAAAUAUAUAUACACAAAAAACUUUUAAUUUGGUCUAUUUGUUCUCUUAUUUAUUUUUGCUCUAUUUCUCUUUUUCUUUCCUUUCAUUUUAUUGUUUUAUGGUACAAAAAAAAAUAACCUUAAAAUUUAAGGGUAAAAUACUCAUUUUACUAAAUUCCGUUUAAUAUCAUAAUGCUGUCAAUGGACAAUGGCAAAGUACACGAGUGAUACAAAUUAAAAACAAAUAAAUUGAAAGUUUUUAUGUAUUUUCCUUUUAUUUUUUUAUAGCCGAUUGAGAUUUCCCUUCGUAUUCUUAAAUUCAAUACGUUUAGACCGUUUAAAAAAUUUUAAAUUAAAAAAAACCCGUGGUGUAAUAACAAACUCACAUCAAAUCCUGUCCACUGUCAUCCCUAAUAAUAUUUACCACUUCAUACUCAAGUGUGAUAAUAACUGUGUAUCACAAUUGAUUUUACAUACGGGUAAAAGUUCCAAGUCCGGAUAUUUAGUUAAUGAAAUUGAUGAAAAGGGCAUGAAAGAAAAUAAGAAAUUAAAUAAUACAGGUAUUAAUCAUUACAUAUUUAGUUAAUGAAAAUUGAUGAAAAUAUUUCUGCAGACAUGAGCCGUAAUUAUAAUACCGUUAAGAAUGAAGCAGCAGAGUUUCCCCAAACAAGCUAAAACACGGCACCUGAAUUUAAAGAAUUUUUAUGUCACAGUAUCGGGACAAAAAGUUUAAUGCAACAACAUACAUUAAGUUAAUUCCAUAAUCUAUCACCAAAGAAAGACAAACACAAGCUUAUAAGAUUAAAACUUUGGAAAACAUUGAAGAGUCGGACAAAAUUGUGUAACCUUCAGAGUUUAGAGCCUAGUUCAUCCAGGAAAGCAAAAGAAAAUAAUAAUAAUAAUAAUAAUAAUGGUGGUUUGAUCUCAAAAGGUGGCAUCAAAGUGGUAACUUUGAGGUAUUGGAAGCAAUAACGUCUUCAACUUUGUCCUGAUUUCGAAGUCCCUUAACCCAUCCGCCAUCAAUGGAUUGAAUGCUUCCAUUCAACCCAUCAUCCACAAAAUCACCAACCCGUUUCACCUUCAUCUCCUCCGCUUAACAGGGUACUUCCCAGAGAAGCUAGCAUAACAAAAAUUCUGAGAAUCAUUGCCUAACAACUUGUUCAAGAUGUCAAUCGGCAGAAAAGCAAGCAAAUCACACCCAAUAAACUCCCUGAUUUCCUCGACGCUCAUCCUGUUGGAAAUCAACUCCUCAGUACUCGGAGUGUCCACUCCAUAGUAACAAGAAGCUAUGAUUGGUGGGCUUGCAAUUCUCAUGUGAACCUCUUUAGCUCCAGCCUCCUCAAGCAACCUAACAAUUUUCGAUGAAGUUGUUCCUCUCACUAUCGAAUCAUCGACAACCACAACUCUCUUUCCCUCCAACACUCCCCUUACAGGAGAGAGCUUAAGCUUGACACCAAAGUCCCUAAUCUUCUGGGAAGGCUCAAUGAAAGUUCUCCCAACAUAGUGUGACCUUAUCAACCCUUGUUGAAAUGGCACCCCGGCUUUCGCAGCGUACCCAAGUGCAGCCACCACUCCAGAAUCUGGUACUGCAAUCACGACAUCACACUCAACAGGAGCCUCGGUAGCAAGUACUUCCCCAAAAUGAUUCCUCGACUCAUAAACAGACCUUCCAAAAACAACAGAAUUAGGCAAAGCAAAAUAAAUAUGCUCAAAGAUGCACUGCUUAGGUUCAGGGUGAGGCAUCAAACAAAGUGAUUGAACCCCAUCUUUAUCCACCAUCAAAACUUCUUGGGGAUGUACCUCCUCAAUCAAAUAGUGCACAAGUCUCUGACGCAAAAACCACAGCACCAUUACUCCUCCUACCUAUCACCAACGGCCUAAACCCGUACGGGUCACGAACCGCAACAAGCUUAUCCUCAGUAACAAACACCAUUGAAUAAGCACCCUCAAGCUUCUCACAAGCAUCCACAAUCUUCAAAAAGAACGGCCUAGCUUUCGAUAUCGCAAUCAAAUGGAGAACAACCUCAGUAUCAGAACUAGUAUUAAAAAUGGAACCAUUAUCUUCAAGCUUAGCCCUCAAAGUAUUAUAGUUAAAUAAAUUCCCAUUAUGUGCAACACCAACAAAACCAAACCUGUACCCAGCAACAAAAGGCUGCACAUUCUUAAGCAUGCAGUCGAAUAUCUAACAUGACCAAUGGCCAUAUCGCCAGGCAAUUGAUCAAGUUUAGACUGAUUAAACACAUCCGAGACUAAACCAACACCGGUAAUAGACUGAAGAACUUUAUUAUUCACAGCAACUAUAACUACACCUUCUUGGCCGCGAUCUGCAGAGCGUGCAGCGCCAAAUAGCACAAACGCGAGGCCUCUGGGUCACCGUAUGAAACGACCCGCCCCGAAUCCCCCGUGCGAGUCAAUCUAGUCUCAUCAAAACGGAUUUGAUAAUAAUCUAAUUAGUAAGGAUUCUGCCGAAAAUUCGGCAGAGUCUCCUUUAUAUAUAUAACACUCCCAAUCUACAAAUAUGAAUAUAACACUCAUAAUAUAAUUCAAUAUACAACAAACUCCAGUGAUCAACAUCCUCAACCAAAAUGCUGAGUUUUAUAUCUCCAGAGUCUCAAAAGAUAAUAUUAUAACUAAUAUUAAUAUCUAAGUUUAUUCUUAAUCCCAAAAGAAUAAUAUAAAAAAAUUAUACAAUCCCAACAGGACGAGAUAACCAAGAUGUCCUAACAAAAACAUUUAUAUUUUCUAACACCAUCACGUGGCCAAGACUCAAAAUAUAUUUACAGUCGCUGGGUCGGUCUGGUGUACCUGCAACCUCCUGGUGAGGGGGGGGGAAAUAUAAUAAAAACGGGGUGAGUUUAAAACUCAGUGAGAUCAAUGAGUGGAUAGUAGUUUUUGAAAAUUAAUGCUUACUUUAAAAGAAAUAUUCAUAUAAUUUCCAAACACGAUUUCAUCAAACCAUAUGCAAGAAACCAAUAGUAAAUCAUUUAACAUUUAAAUCAGAUUACUAACCAUGAAAAGCAUAUAUAAUAUCGUACCAAAUAACCAUGGAAAUCAUAUUACAAUAUCAUAUAUAAUACACAAAUUUGAAAAUCAUCACCAAACAAGUACCCAGAGAAAUAAUCUCGUCAUAUCCGGACAUCAACGGACGUGCAAUGACGUACUAUAUGGGUACCGUCACGCCCCGGAGCUACACGGAUAGACAGGGAAAUAUAAUCUCAUAUCUCAUCAUAUCUUAUCAUAUAUGUGCAUGCAUAAUCUAGUCCCCAAAGGACAAAAACGCCCAAGCACAUGGCCCAAAGCCUCUGUGUGUACUCAGACGGGCCCCAAAGGCCUGUAUCUCAUCUGUAUCAUCUGUAUCUCAAUAUCUGUCUGUAUCUCAUAUCUGUGUAUCUGUAAUCAUCAUACCGCAUGCAUAUGCCCUCAAAAGGCAAAAACGCCCAAACACACGGCCCAAAGCCUCUAUGUGUGUUCAAACGGGCCCCAAAGGCCUCUCAUCUCAUCUCAUCUAUAUCACUGUAUCUGGAGGGGAAGGGUACUGUCUAGUGAUUUCAAAAACAAUCAUUAUACUCAUAUUCACAUACUUUUUUAACCAUAUUUUAAAUCAUACCACAUUUGAAUCCACUUUUCUUAUCUUUAAAAUACUAUCAUGCUUAUUCAAAGUCGAUACGAAAAAUCAUUAACCAAACAUUUUAAUAAAAUACCAAUGCGUGGACAAAAUCCAUUUCGAGGUAAUCAUUAAAUCAGAUCAUUUAAAAUACUUAUUUCGCAAACAUACUUUACUAUCAUAAUUAACUAUGAAAAUAGGUUUUGUAUAUUCCACUCACAGUGACGGUGUUCACGCUCGGUUAUCGUCCACGUCCGCGGACCUAUUCUUGCUCGCGGAUCCUCCUAAAUCAAGGAAACGACAUAAAUAUUUUCCGUAAAACAGAAUUAAGACUAAAUUUAUGCAAUAAACUCGAAACGAACAUCUAUCCAUAAUUUACAACUCCCGUGUCGCUAAAAUUACUAAAAUGCCCUCGAGUCCGUAAAUCAGUAAAAUACUUCGAAAUCGGAAAUCACCGAAUCACCCUCGGAAUCGUAAUUACACCCAAUCCUCACUUCUAGGAAUUACUAAAAUAUCAAUAGGCUCAGAAAUUACAAAAUUGCCCUCAUAGUGUGAAAUUACCGAAAUGCCCUUGUGAUGGUUGUCGAAGCCAACAAAAAUAAAUACCUACUCUAAAUAAAUUGUGUAUAGUGAUUGAGCAGGGUCGUGUCCACAAAGAUCGGUAAUUAUUUAAAUCCUUUUGAAACGUAAAACGUAAAAUGGGAGAAUUGUUAACAAUAAUAAAAAUCAAAUUAAAAUAACAAGAAUGCAAAUUCAAGUCGUAAUUCAAAUUGGAGAAAGCUCUGGUUGAAGGAAUUAAUUCAGCUUGAUUCGACUAUUGAUAAUUGAUUCAAAUAUAAAUUAUUAUUACUUAUGAAUAGACCAAUUAUAGCUACUGAGACCCUCUAAUAGCCAAUCUCUCCUUAACUAGUCGAUAACCAAGGUACGACCGUUGGUUAUUUCCCUAAUUAAUAGACAACCCUAGAUACGAUCAUAGAAUUUAAUCAAUUGACAGCCUGAAAAACCAGAGAGACCCAAAUCCUAAUCAACAAACACAUACGAUGAUUCAUUUAAAUUAGAUUGUUUAUUCUCACAACACAACUCUCUGCUAUGUUAUUUGUCACAAACAUUAAAAUCUUCAUACGAUGAAUCCUUUAAUUGACAAUAGAUUAAGUUGAUAAUUAAAUAGUGGCCAAUUACCUAAUUAACAAACAUAAUCAUGAAAAUAAUUCAGAGAAUAAACAAAUACCCAAAAAGCAAUAAAUUAAUUAAAGCACAAGAAAGAUCUCACAGUAGUGAUGAAUCAAAGCUUCAUUAACCUUCAACCAAAAAAAUAGGUUUAGUUCUUCAUAGAGAAAAGAGAAAAUUUAGAUCUAGGGUUUCUUUCUUUUCUCCAAUCUCCCUUCUUUCACAAUAGAUUUCUCCCUUAAAUACUCUCCCUCUCUUCUCCUCUAAAAUUCUAUUUAAAAUAAAAUACUAAUAUCUGAAAUAUUAAAUUCGUAAUUACAAAAAUAACCAAAAAUACAAAACACGUUUAAACUAAAAACUGCAAGUCCGUAGUUGACAGCACGCGCCCACGCCUUAUCAACAAAGUUCUUCUAACGCUCAUAAUUUCUCCAAGAGAACAAUCAUCAUUAAAUAUCAUCUUGUAGCUUAAUUUUAUCACCAAUCAAUAGAAUUGCACCUACAAAAGUAAAACACAAGUAAAUCACUAUUAUUAAGUGCAAAACAUCGAUAUUAAGGGAAGUAAACAAUGCAAAACUAGUGCAUAAAUUGCACUCUAACACCUUGCCGGUCAACGGUCACCGAAAUUUGGUCAACGCUGGCCGGGAAGCUCAAGUCUGAAAGUUCCAAUCACGCUAAGUUCAAUGGUACCGGCGGUGAGCUCCAACGCGCAACAACGACGUCGGAAUCUAGCUCGGCAGCCGUGAAUUCCAACAAUUGACCGGCGGCGAAACAGUGACUCCCGGUGACUAUGGAUGGUUGGAAAUGGAAGAGGGAGUCGUGAGGAACAAAAUCCAACCGGUGGUGUCACCCAAAACUGGUGAAAAUCCCGGCGGAACAAAACGAUACAGUCGCGGGUUUUCAAACUUUGAUUGCCGGCGUUCCGGUUGGUUUUCGGCGGCCAGGAUGGCAGGGGAAUGAUGGCUGGCUUCUAAGUUUCAGAUUGGUACUAAGCUCGGCCGAAAUAGUGGCCGGAAAUAGAAGUUAUGGCCGGGUCAAUUUCGCGGGUCGGGUCGGGUUUUCCGGGUCAGUUGAUAGCUUCUGUUACUCUCACACGUGUGUGUAUAAGUUCCAUGUUUCUAACUUAUUCUAUUAUUUUUAAUAAAGUCUUUAACCGCCUCAAUUUCAUUUUUAAUUCACAUAUGUUACAAUCCUCCCCCCUUAUAAAAAUUUUGUCCUUGAAAUUUACGUACCUGAUAAGAAAAGAUAUGGAUACUGAGCUCGCAUUAAGUCCUCGCGUUCCCAGGUAGCCUCUUCCUUUGUAUGAUUCCUCCACCAUACUUUUACUAGAGGAAUGGUCUUAGAACGUAGAACUUGGUGUUUCUCUUCCAAUAUCUCCACUGGUUCCUCUUCGUAAGUCAAAUCUUCCUUCAACUGAAUUGGUUGCUUCGAUAACACAUGACUCGGAUCAUAUAUGUACUUCUGGAGCAUUGAGAAAUGAAAUACAUCGUGGAUUCUGGAUAACUCGGGUGGUAGUGCUAAUUGAUAAGCUAAUGGACCGAUGCGCUCAAUGAUCUCAUAUGGCCCAAUGUAACGUGGACUUAGCUUCCCACGUUUCCCAAAUCGAAGCACCCUUUUCCAAGGAAAUAUCGGUAUGAAAACUCUAUCAUCAACUUCGAAUUCAAGUUCCCGCCUACGCUUGUCUGCAUAGCUCUUUUGUCUAUCUUGAGCCACCUUUAAUCUAUCCCGGAUUAAUUGUAUCUUCUCGUUAGUAUCCUGGACAAGUUCUGGACCGAAUAACCUCCGCUCACCAACCUCAUCCCAACACAUUGGAGUCCUGCAUUUUCUACCAUACAAAGCCUCAUAUGGUGCCAUCUCGAUACUAGCUUGAUAGCUGUUGUUGUAAGCAAACUCCAUCAGAGGUAAAUGAUUGUCCUAAUUACCUUUAAACUCCAUAACACAAGCUCGCAACAUAUCCUCCAGAGUUUGAAUAGUAUGCUCUGACUGUCCAUCAGUCUGUGGAUGAAAAGUUCAACUUUGUGCCUAAGGCAUUUUGCAAGCUAGUCCAGAACUUAGAAGUAAACCGGGAAUCUCUAUCUAAAACUAUAGACACGGGUACUCCGUGAAGUCGAACUAUCUCAGCCACAUAAAUACUCCCUAACUUGUCCAUCGAAUAGGUGGUUUUGAAUGGUAAAAAAUGAGCAGAUUUUGUAAGUCGAUCAACGACCACCCAAACACUAUCAUAUCCUUUCUGAGUACGUGGAAGUCCUGCUACAAAAUCCAUGGUGAUGUGCUCCGACUUCCACUCAGGAAUAGGAAGCGGCUAAGAACACCCUGCAGGCCUCUAGUGUUCAGCCUUAAUCUGCUGACAGACUAAACAUCGAGAAACAAACUCUGCUAUCUCUCUCUUCAUACCCUGCGUCCAGUAAUGAUCCAUCAGGGUACGAUACAUCUUCGUACUACCAAGAUGCAUCGCAUAUGCUGAGCAGUGAGCUUCUUCCAUAAUCUCUUCUUUCAGAUCUUUAAUAUCAGGUACACAAAGUCUAUUACCCAUGACUAAGACUCCGUCGCCUCUCACCGUAAAAUCGGUUCGUAAACAUUUUUGCACAUCCUCUUUCAACUUCAUUAACUGUGGGUCCUGAGCUUGCAUCUGGUGAACUUUGUCCAUCAAAGUCGGCCUAACUCGAAAAUUAGCUAUCAAAACUCCACAAUCGUCAGCGUUCAACUCGACUCCCAAAGAUCUCAACUCGAUCAACAGAGGCAUCUAUUUCACUCGCAAGUGAGCUAUAGAGCUGGAAGACUUCCUACUGAGUGCAUCGACUAGAAAAAAACAUACCUCUUUGAGAUACUACAAAUUGGCUUUAAUUCAGUACUGUUGAUGGUCAAGUUGGGAAAGUAAUGAAGCUGUAACUCUUCCAAUGCUGUCCAAAUUGAACAAUAAUUUUCUGAACAGAAGCUAACGAGUUCUGGGAGACUUCGAAGUGUUAAUUCUCUUAACAAAGGGAGGGCGAGCAUCGUAUUUCCAUCUCUGACACUUAUUUCCCCUUCAUUGUGAUCAAACUUUGCUUCGACAAUACAUUCCAGCCUGUCGCAAUAAGUCACACUGAGACUUUUAAGCUGCUCCAAACUUUGAGCUUGUGAUAACGUGAAGAUAUAUGUCAAAUUAUGGCAGCCAUACACACUCAAUUCUGUAAGAGUUUGGAGGCUGAUCACAUGUUGGGCAGGCGUCUUCCAUAUCCACUUUGCUAAUCUUGAGAGCACCUCAUGAUUCCCACUCUUUCCAUGCGGCGACUGAGAGGCAUCCACUAUGCAUUCUAAAUCUUCACAAUAGUUGACAAAUAGAUGAGUCAACUCAUUUAAGCCCCCUUAAUCUAUGCUUGGAACAAUAUUAUGGAGACCUAUUAUCCUCCUCAAAUUAAGAAAUUUCAGAUUUUGACACAAUGUCGAAAAAAUACUGAGCGAGGCCGCUUCACAAUAGUUAAUCAUUAAGCACCUGCUCCGUCCAAAAAAUUCAUCUUCUUUUUUCAUUCAAACUUCAAGUUUGUUACAGUUACUGACGAAGUACAUUUGCAAUUUUGGAAAUGUAAAGUCUUUUGAAAGACGUACAAUUUUUUGUUCAAUAUGUAAAGUCUUUCCAUCAUCAUCUUGGAUUUCAUCACCGUCGGGUUGGGAGUUCAACUCAGUAGCCCUAGCGUAACUUUCUUCUGAACUCAUCCCUUCAGCCUCCCAAUCUUUUAUCCGACCAUAAAAUUCUUCUAAUUGAGGAAAUUUUUUUAUCGUAAUAGGAGAAAUAGAACCAGAAUCAAUGAAUAGAAGAAGUUUCAAUCUACUAAGUUGAUCCUCAAAUUCUUCAGGAAUUUCAAUGGGAGACCCCUUGACACAAAGAAUUUGAAGUCUCUUCAACUUUCCAAGGAAAGACGCGUCACUCACUUUACAUCGAAUCAACUGCAGAACUUGGAGGUUGGUGAGGAAUUGAAGCGAUUUAAGUGAAAGGACUCCACCUAUUAUAGUAAGAACUUUUAAUGCUGGCAUCUUUUCGAAAAAAUAUUCUGGAUCUUGCAAUCGGUCGCCAUAUUUAGCAUUCUCCAAUCGCAAAAUAUGAAGGUUAGGGCAUACCAAACCACUUGGAAGCUCUUCUUUUUCAUUUCCCAUCAAAGAGAUUCCUUUGUAUUGUUCCACUGCCUGUUCCGCCAAUCCAAUGCCAACUUUACUAGUAAAAUAUUUUUUCUCCAUUGAGCCUAUCCAUAAGGCUACAUCACGAACAAUGUCAUGCAUUUUCACAAAUCUCUCAUUACCAGCAUCUAAUAGCAGUGAAGAAGCUUUGAGCUCUUUAAUCGUUCCACUCAAUAGGCUCCUGACUUUUUCAAUUGACUCAGCUCGAUACCAUCUCAACCCCACUGCAUAUCCAACCAAAUCAUCCAAAUCUAUCUCAUAAUCCUCUGGAAACAAAGAACACAACAAGAAGCACGACCUGGAAUCCUCAUCAUUCAAAUAAUCGUAACUAAAUUUGAGACAGCGGUAAACGUCUUGGUCCUCCUUGCCGAUACCUUCUAUUGUAUUGAGUUUUGCAUCUUGUAGUUUAUCUAGAGCUAGAUUCCACUCAUCAAAUCCUUUACCUUUUAGUGCACUUCCAACAGCUUUAAUAGCUAAAGGCAGCCCCUUACAUUCAUCAGCAACCUGUUCUGAAACACCAAUCAAUUUUGAAUCAGCAACAUCAAUGCCAGCAUGCUCUCUUAGUAAAUCCAAUCCUUCUUCUGGCUUUAGAAAACCUAGUUGAAUCUGCGGGUCACAACGCAUGCUAUAACAAACUGGCGGCAGGCGAGUGGUUAGAAGGAUUUUCCAACAAUUGUCUCCAUCACCAACAGGAAUACCUAUUGUCUUCAAGUCGAGUUCAUUCCAGACAUCGUCAAGUAUUAUGAGUAUCUUGCUGCUUUUACUCUCAGAAAACAUCAAGCGCAAUCGGUCUGCUCUCUCUCUUUCAUCUUUCUCAUUUAGUGCCCAGCCUAACGACUUUGCCAGCUCACCUUGAACCUUUAUUAUAUCUGGAUCCUGAGACACAGUGGCUAUCCCCACCUCAUCGAAAAUCUUUUCUUGUCGAAGUUGAUUGCCCACAAAGUUUGCCAAAGUCGUCUUUCCGACACCACCGAUACCAUACAAUCCCACUAUCGUCGUGCUAUCUCUUUUUAGUCUUCAAUAAUCUGAUUGCAAGUCGAUUAUGUAGUCCCGAAAGACAUAAAAUGUCUUGGCAUAUGCAAUUCUUUGUCUGAUGGUAGAGGUUUAGGAAGGGCAACUGAGCUGAAUUUGCCGCAUUUCUUUUGUAGAUCAGACAACUCGCUAGUCUUCUUUGAUGGUUUUCUACCUAGCCAACAUCGCCAACCCCAAUUAGGACACCAUCCAUUAAGACAGCUCUUCUUUUCAUCUAUCUUUGCUUUCAAAUUUCGAACAUCGACCAUUUCUUUGUCUACAUCCUUCAACCACUUCUCUACAGAUUUCUCGAUUACAAUGGCUCGGUGUAUUUGUCGUUCUUGUUCUAUUUUUUCAUUGAUGCCAUCUUUUGCCUCCUUCAAAUUAGUUUCUUUAUCCUUAAGUUCGUUAAUAAUGCUGUUGAAACAGAGCAGAUAAUGAGCUUGGUUUAUGGUUGCUUCCACCAACAAUUCUCCAAGCUUUGAUGCAACACUUGAGCAAAUUUCCAUGCUAUUUAUCUGCAAUUAAUAAAGUUGAUCUCAGUAUGCUGUAAGCAAAACAACGAGGCUUGAUUACAAGAUCGAACGAGAAAGUUUAAUUACCUUUUUCUAUUAUGUGAAUGCACGUUUAUUGACCCUAGCUUUGACCAAUAAGAGCAAAAUGCAAACGCCGAGCUUUAAGUGGCCUUUAGCUGCGCAAAACAAAAGAGAAGAAACAAGGUAGCUUAUUAUUAUUAUUAUUGUUUUUAAGGACGGAUAAAGAUUAGCUAGCUUGCGGACAAAUUUACUAAAAUCAAGAUAAACCUAAGAGUUUUCCUAAUUUGUUCAAACAUAGAAUAAGCGUUUCUCAACAUUAUAUCCAUAAAUGCCCCAGCAAACGUAAUAUGUGGUGGAUUAUAUUUAAAUUAGUUUAUUUUAGAAAAUUUUAAAUAAAAAAUGUCAAACAACAAAGAAAUCUAAUAGAAUCUGGAUAAACACCGAAGAGUUCCUACAUGGGAGAAUAUGGUAAAAUUGAUGAACUUGGUUCAAAAAAUUGCAAUUCUUAUUGAGAUUAGAACCAAAGAUUUUAACUAAGGUCUCCUAAGCCAUAAAGCAUAACUCUUACUACUAAAUUACAAGUAUUUUGUUACAUUUGAAUGUGGUCUUAUUUUUUUAUUGUCUGUUUUAGAAGGGACUCAAGGUAUGUUUAAAAGAAAUAAUAAUGGUUCGGAUGGGGCUGAAGCCCACUCAUGAAAAAUUUAAAGGCUUCAACAUAAUUACCAAUUGUUUCUUCAUCCAAUUUUCUAAUAGAAUAUUGCCAGAAUUCUGAAAUAAUAUCUUAAUAUUUUUCUUCAAGUGUUUACGGCACCCUCGUAUUGGAUUGUCAAUUUAAUAACUUGUUAAAUUAUUUAAUACUUCAUCUCACGAUCUAAUGGAUAUAAAUGCUGGAGAAGGAUCAGUUCCCAGACGUUUUUCUCUCACUAGUCUUUUGGUGAAAUAAGUGACUAAGAUUAAAUUUUAAUUUUUGAUAUUGACAAUUAAAUUGGCUUGUUUCACAUUAUUAACAAUUAAGCUAGCUUUCUUUUUUUCCCCCAACUGGAUUUGGAAGGUUAUGAGGGAGUAGGAGAGAAAACACGAGAAGAACGAGAUCCUAAUUCAUAAAUAGUACCUUACUUGGGAUGGUAAAGAAUUUAAAGAUUGGGGUGAAUUCCAUUUUAGUCUCUAAAAUUUUGACUUGCGAGUAACCAUACUUUUAGUAUUUUUAAAAAGAAUGGGAUUAUUUACAUUGUAAAAUCUAUUUUGAACACUCUUUUACUUAACACAGUCAUUCAACAAAUUUUAAAAAAUAAUUUUUACUAGGGUUCGCAAUAAACUCUAGAUCCGGCCCAGAUCCGAAAUUCGGAUCCGAAAAAAUCAGGAUCGGCAUGUUAAAAAAUGCGGAUCCGGAUCUUAAAAAUCAAGAUUCAUACGGAUCUGGAUCCACAUGCAAGUGCAUCCGGAAAACCGGAUAUCCGGAUCCGCAUUAUUUUAUAAUUAAAUUAUUUAUUUAAUUAAAUUUUAAUUGAAAAAUAUAUAAAUUAAAUUAUUUAUUUAAAUGUAUAAGCAUAAUUAACUCUAAAAUCUUCAUUAAUUAUGAAAAAUAUGUUAAAAUAAUAAUAAUAAUAAUUAGAGAAUAUUGUAAUAAAUCGGUUUACCUUAGAUUUUUUUUAUGUUUGAUUUAUAUUAUGAAAUUAUUGUUUGUGAAUUUAUGGUGUUGAAUUGAUGUUAAAUUGUCGAUUGUUAAGUUAUAAUUGAAUUUUAUUUAAUAUUAUUAUGUAAAUUAUUAAAUUUAAAAUUAAAUUUAAAUUUAUUAUUAUGCGGAUCCGAAUAUUCGGAAUAUCCACCCACAAUCCGUGCGGAUAUUACCCGCAUCCAGAUCCGCAUAUUUUUUUUUACGGAUCUAAAUACAGAUCGGGAUGCCAAAAGCUUAAUCUAGAUCCGAAUUCGGAUGCACCUACAUCCGGAUCCGGAUUUGGAUUUUGCCAUCCCUAAUUUGUUACUUUACACACUAUUUCAAAUGUCAAAACUGUCCUUCAUUAGGACCAUUCAUUAACUAAUUAUUUUCUAUAAAAUAUUCAUCAUUCUUGAGCCAUGUGGCGUUAAUUAAUGAUUCCUAAGCAUUAUCAAGGUUCAAGAUUUAUGUUGAAACUCUUUCAGUUGAGAUUUGAGCCUAGGCACUAGCUAUAUACAUACAUACUCUUUCAAAUGCAGUUCUGGGAAUAUUUUGUGACUAAUUUUAUAAAAGUGUUUUAGUUACAUUAAUGCAGUGAAACAAUAAAGAGUACGUGGCUUGAUGAUUUCCAAAUCAAGUUGGGGAAAAAACAAAGCAUUUUCUUUUAUAAUGGAUUAGAUUAGACGAUGAAGGGAAAAUUAUUUACGAUUAUUACUUGUUUGUGUGUUUAGAGUAAUAAUAUUUUCUUAAAUUAUACUAAUGUCCCUAGUAGUAAAUUUAAUUAAGGUUAUUUUCGUAAUAUAAAUUUUAUUAAAAUUAAAGUGUCUAAAAUAGAAUUUAGAGUGAAAAUAGCUCUUAGACGUCCAUAUCAUUACCUUUAUAACUAUUGAAAAUAUGAAUUUUCAAAUGUAAAAUAACAUUUCUAUAUGAUAUAAAUUAAAAUUCAAUCAAAUUUAUCAUGCAACAAAUGAAAAGUAAAGAAAAUUAAAUAGGUUUUAAUAGAGACAAAAUAAGCUUCUAUGUUGAAUUUAAAAGUAUUAUAUUAGUAGUAAUCAUAUACGUAUCGAACUUUUUAAUAAAAUUUAUUUAGAAAUUGGCCAAUUGGGUUUUAUGAAGAAAAUAGAGGGGCACGAAUGGCGCCACUUUUAAUUAUUGUUGCUGUACAACUGAAAAUUGAAAUGUUGUAUUUAAAAAGUACUUGUUAGAUGUGUAAAAUGCACCAACUUGAAAUGGCACGAGAGCAUAAUGGAAUUUUGUUGGGAAAUUUACAAAAAUAACCAUAAAACUUUUACUAUUUUCACAAUUAACCCUCUAAACGUUUUUCUAUCAACAUUAACCAAACACAUGCUUUUCUCCCCAAAUUACCCUUGUAUUUGCUAACCAACCUGUCGCACAUAGUUUGGUGCGACAGGCACCUGUCGCACGAAGCUAAGUGCAACAUGCACCUGUUGCACUGUUAUAGUGCAAUUUAUGCACUAGUUUUGCAUUGUUUACUUCCCUUAAUAUCGAUGUUUUGCACUUAAUAAUGAUGAUUUACUUGUGUUUUACUUUUGUGUUAUGAGCGUCAGAAGAACUUUGUUGAUAAGGCGUGGGUGCGUGCUGUCAACUACGGACCUACAGUUUUUAGUUUAACGUGUUUUGUAUUUUUGGUUAUUUUUGUAAUUACGAAUUUAAUAUUUCAGAUAUUAGUAAUUUAUUUUAAAUAGAAUUCUAGAGAAGAAGAGAGAGAGAGUAUUUAAGAGAGGAAUCUAUUGUGAAAAAGGGGACUUUUGGAGAAGAGAAAGAAACCCUAGAUCUAAACUUUUCUCUUCUCUCUAUGAAGAACUAAACCUAUUUUUCUGGUUAAAGGAUAAUGAAGCUUUGAUUCAUCACUACUAUGAGAUCUAUUUUAUGCUUUAAUUGUUUUAUUGCUUUUUGGGUAUUUGUUUAUUCUCUGAAUUAUUUUCAUGAUUAUGUUUAUUAAUUAGGUAAUUGGCCACUAUUUAAUUAUCAACUUAAUCUAUUGUUAAUUAAAGGAUUCAUCGUAUGAAGAUUUUAAUGUUUGUGACAAAUAACAUAGCAAUGAGUUGUGUUAUGAGAAUAAACAAUCUAAUUUAAAUGAAUCAUCGUAUGUGUUGAUUAGUAUUUGGGUCUCUUUGGUCUUUCAGGCUGUCAAUUGAUUAAAUCCUAUGAUCGUAUCUAGGGUUGUCUAUUGAUUAGGGAAAUAGUCAACGGUCGUACCUUAGUUAUCGACUAGUUAAGGAGAGAUUGGCUAUUAGAGGGUCUCAGUAGCUAUAACCAGUCUAUUCAUAAGUAAUAAUAAUCUAUAUUUGAAUCAAUGAUCAGUAGUCGAAUCAAGCUGAAUUAAUUCCUUCAACCAGAGCUUUCUCCAAUUUGAAUUACAUCUUUAAUUUACAUUCUUGUUAUUUUAAUUUGAUUUUUAUUAUUGUCAACAAUUCCCCCAUUUUACGUUUUACGUUUCAAAAGGAUUUAAAUAAUUACCGAUCUCUGUGGACACGACCCUACUCAAUCACUAUACACAAUUUAUUUAGAGUAGGAAUUUAUUUUUGUUGGCUUCGACAACCAUCAAAUUUUGGCGCCGUUGCCGGGGAUUGGUGUCAUUUAUUUAAUCCUUUUUACGUUUUACUUGGUGUAUGGUUCGUUCUUCUCGUACAUGUAUACUUUCGUUUGAUCCUGAAAUUGAGAAGACAACUCGCCAACUGAGACAGCAGACGAAGCGAGCUAAGCAAUGAUCCUCGUCGCCUUUGCUUUCUGAAACAGAUAUAGUGCCUAAUUUAGUUGAAUCAUCUAGUGAUUCAGAAGAACAAGUGAUGGAUAGACCUGCACCUGUAGAAAGAACCCUUAGAGAGUUAGCUGAACCAGACUUGAAUCAACAACCACUCUGCAUUCAAUAUGUAGACUUGGAGGUAAAUUUUGAAUUAAAGUCUGGUCUUAUUCAUUUAUUACCCAAGUUUCAUGGUUUUGCAGGUGAAGAUCCUCAUAAACAUCUUAAGGAGUUUCAUGUUGUGUGUUCAAGUAUGAGACCACAAGGCGUGACUGAAGAGCAGAUUAAGCUGCGUGCUUUUCCUUUCUCUUUAGAUGGACUAGCUAAAGACUGGUUGUACUACUUGCCUCCUGGAUCAAUUACAACGUGGAAUGGUUUGAAGAAGCAAUUCCUCGAGAAGUACUUUCCUGCUUCAAGAGCUGUUAACAUCAGAAAAGACAUUUGUGGGAUCAGACAACUUCCUGGGGAGACUUUGUAUGAGCAUUGGGAGCAAUUCAAACAAUUGUGUGCCAGCUGUCCUCAGCAUCAGAUUUCUGAUCAACUUCUUAUUCAAUAUUUUUACGAAGGACUGUCAUUGAUGGAUAGGAGUAUGAUAGAUGCUGCUAGUGGAGGCGUGUUGGUGAACAAGACCCCUACUCAAGCAAGGGAGCUGAUAUCAAAUAUGGCUGCCAACGCACAACAAUUUGGCAGCAGGUAAGAUCUCACUUCAAGGAAGGUGAAUGAGGUAAAUAUUUCUUCUGUUAAACAACGUUUAGAUAAACUUACUUCUCUUGUGAAAAAGUUUGUUGUAGGUAAUGUGCAACAGGUGAAGACUUGUGGCAUUUGUUACAAUAUGGGUCAUUCAACUGAUAUGUGUCCUACACUUCAAGAAGAACCCGUUUAACAAGCCAAUGCAGUUGGAGGAUUUCCAGGCAUGCCUUAGAGGAGGUAUGAUCCUUAUGCACAAACAUACAAUCCGGGAUGGAAGGAUCAUCCCAACUUCAGCUAUGGAGUUAGGCCGUCAGGAUUCCCACAACAGUAUCCACCAAGACAACUAGCACCUCCACAGUCAAACUCCAAGUUAGGUAUAUCUCUUGAAGAAAUUGUUAAAUCACUUGCAACUAACACUCAACAAUAUUAGCAGGCAACUAUAGCAAGCAUUCAGAAUUUGGAGAACCAAAUGAGUCAAUUGGCGACUACAGUGAGCCGUCUGGAGUCUCAAGUAUUAGGGAGAUUGCCUUCACAAUCUGAGGUGAAUCAAAAGCAAAACGUUAGUGCUGUCAUCCUUAGAAGUGGGAAGGAGUUGCAAGAGCCUAGUAAGAAAGUGACAAAGCAUGUAGAAGAUGAGCUUGAGAAGAAUGAAUUGAUGCCUAAAUCUCAAGAUGCACAACUCACCAGAGCGAAACCCCUACCUAUUGUGAUACCUCCUCCUUUUCUAAGCCGGUUUGCAAAAUCCAAGAAGGAGGAACAAGAGAAAGACAUCCUGGAGACAUUUCGCAAGGUUGAGGUAAAUAUUCCUUUAUUAGAUGCUAUAAAACAAAUACCUCGAUAUGCUAAAUCUAUUUUUUAGCCCCUACCUCCUUGGCUAAGAUCUAACUUGGGUGGCAAAUUAAAUAAACUUGUUUGAAACUACUCAGCCACAUCUUUAGGGGUAUUAUUGUUAGUUGCUUAACUACUAAAUUAAUAAAAUUUGUAAUAUUUUCAAUAAAGAUUUUCCUAUAAUAUUGUAUAAGCUUUUAUAGUAUUAAUAAUGGGACUAUUGUGGACCCAUGAAUUUAAGUGUUUUAUGGUGCAUUCAGUAUUGUUUUCAAAUUUCAUUUUCUGUCUUCUAAAUUCAAGAAACAUCAAAUACAUGUUUGGUAGAUUGUUUCUAAAUAUACCUUUGAAAAUUUAAAAUUUAUUUAUACUUUUAACUAAGAAAAUAAGAAAACAACAUUUUCUUGUUUUCUUUGUUUCCCAAUUCAAUUUAAGCUUCAAUAUGAAAAAUUUUCUUCCGCCAUCUCUCAAAAUAAUAAUGACAUCAACAACAACAAAGACAACAACAACAACAUUGUUGUUGUUGUUGUUGUUAUUAUUAGACCACCUAAAAAUCAACUUCCAUUAUAAUAAUCUUUUCUUCUUUUAUGCAUUAUAAUAUUUAUGCUUUUAUAUAUUAAUUAAAUCAAGUAUGCAUAGUUUAUCAUUUUUCUUUAAACAAAAAAAGAUCACCUAAUUUAUUCUUAAAGUUAAAAAAUCAAACUAAUUAAACAAUUAAAAUCACCUAAUUACACUACUUAAUAUUAAGUUUAUGGAAAUUAUUCUAAUAAUAAUUAUUUAAGCUAUUCCUAUCGAGCAUGUUUUUCUUUUUUCUCACGUUCAAGAUUAUUUUCGAAAAUGAUAUCGAACACAUUUAAAAAUUUUUAAAAAUAAAUUCGAAAAUAGCAUUUUCAUUCUCAUUUUUUUUAAUGAAAACAACAAUUGAAAAACAAUACCUAAAUAUGAUAUAAUGAUAAAAAUUUAAUGAAAUAUAUAGUAGUGGGUAAUCUUCAGGUUAUAAGUGAAUGUAGAUAUAUAUAUAUAUAUUACUUUCAACUAAUAGAUAAAAGAAAUUUUCUAUGGUGUUGGGAUGAAAAUCCCAUUAUCAAUGAUGAGAUUAUUAUUGAUCAUUAGAUUUAAAUAUUAGAAUCUUCAACCUUAAUUUAAUUUUAAUAGUAAGUAAUUGUGUAACAAGUAAUUUGCAUGUUGUGAUAUUUCUUUAUACAUUAAUUUAUUUUUAUCCAAUCAAUUGAUAAACAUUUUUAGGUCACCAAAAAAUUGUAAAAAAAAGUAAAAGUAAUUCUGAAAUUAAAAACGUUAUAUACUGCCUAUAGCUAUAUAAUUUUACUGUUUCUUCUUUCACAAUUAAUAUUCAUAUAAAAAUAGCUUCUAAAUAAAUGUAAUAUUACUCCAACAAUAUUUUAUAGGGACAAUGACACCUAUACCCUACAGUUUAGGGAAAUGUUCACAAAUAUCUCUAAGUUUUCAGGAAGGGACAUCAACACCCAUUUUAACCAUAAUGCCCUUUGAAUUUAAUAAUUAGAAAAUUGACUUUAAGAUUUUUUAAUUGACAAAUUUAAUAUAAAUAAUAUAAUCUAUCAAGUAGACUAAUAAUACUAAAUUAUUUUUAACAUUUAAAAUAAUAUUAAAAUUUUAAAUUAUUAUAUUUAUUUUAAUAAUAUAUUUGUAUAUAUUAUAAACAUUUUAAAUAAAUCUUGGGUUAAAUAGAUUUUACAAUUAAAAAAAAUACCCCUAUUAAUAAUAUGAAAAUUAUUUUUACAUAAUAUUUAAAAUAAUUUUAAUUUUAAUUCAUUUAUUUUAAUAUUAUGUUUCUAUUUGUUAUUAAAAGUUAAUUUAUUAUCUUAAAUUUGUAUUAAUUAAAAAACUUUAAAGUAAAUUUUCUAAUUCCUAAAUUCAAAGGACAUUACGAUUAAAAAGGGGUUUCGGUGUUCCUUUUUGAAUACCUGGAGAUCUUUGCGACCAUUUCCCCAUACCUUAGAGGUGUAAGUGUUUUUUUCCUUACUUUAUAUAAAGAUAUUUCAUAGAUCUUAUAAUAAUUUAUACUGUAUGAAUUUAAUCAAAUGACCAUUAAUACUUAAACAUUAAUAAUUAUAGAAGGUAUUGUAAUAAAUUAUUUGAUAUAUAUUAUUAAUGAUACUAUAUAUGUGUGUAUAUGACUACAUGAUGGCUUGGAUAUAUAUUUUUAGUAGUAAGUAUUUUAACUUAAAUUUUUAAAACAAAAUUUAUACUAUUGAUUUCAUGUAAUUCAAUGGUGGAUGAUUUAGCAUCAUAAAAUAUUGUUUUGAUGUUUAAUAUAAUCAUUAAAUUGUGAGAGAUUAAUUUCUCAAAUUUUGUGUUAAAAUUUUAAGUUAAAAUAUCCCAAACCAAUUGUUUUAUGAAAAUACAAAAAUAUAUAAAGAAUUUUUCUCAUUAAUUUUCAUAUGAAUAUUAUUAUAGGUAAUAUUUUAUAUAUUGUCACCAUUAAUUACCAUCAUUAAAAUAGUGACUCUUAGUAAUAUAGAAUUUUAUAAUAAGUUAAUUGCAACCAAAGGAUACCAACAAAUAAUAUUUCACGAUUCAUAAACUAAAGCUAAUUAAGAAUAUAUUUUAGGUUUAACUUUUAUGAAAUCAACAAAAUGAUAUUAGAAAAUAAAAUGAAAAUAGACUAGUGAAAGCUUUGAGUAAUUUUCUGCAAUGAAAGAAUAUUAAUUGUAAUAUAAACCAUAAUUUCAUCGUAUAGCUACGCUAAAUGGGAGUAACAAAUAAUAUAUACUUUACGAUCAACUAUUAAAUGGUCCUUAAUAGCAUAUAAAGUAGUGGGUAUUUUAAUAUAUACUAUUAAACUUUUUUAAAACAUAAGUAGUUAAGUAUAUGAUUUUUAGGAUAUAAACAAUCACAACCAAAUGUUUAUUGAUGUAAAUUAUAUGGCAUUCAGUUAAAUGUACAUACUUAAUUCUAAUUGGUUAAACAAUUCUCUUUCUUUCUUCGCUCUCUUACGACUUGAGGCACAUAACUAAACGCGUGGCUAUUAGCAUUUGCCACCAUGUAUUUAACAACCCCAAAUGAAGAUAUUAAUUUUUUUAGUUUAAUUGCUGCUUCAAAAUGGGGUACUGCAUUUGGAUUUUGUUAUUCAAAUACCAAAAUGUUCCCACAUUGUGUUGGACAGUUUUUGGUUCUAAAGUUGAUGACUGGUUUUGCCAAUCAGGCUUCAAAUGAGAACUUCUAAACAAUAAGACAAAUGGGUUUUGAGUUUAUAAUCUUGUAAACUUUGUUCUAUUGUAUAAGUUAUGAAAUCGUUGAAACAUCACUACAGCUACAGGUCUUUAUGUGUCAAUGAACUGCAGAAGCUGAUGAUCUACUUGUAGUAGACUUCUAUUGCCCCUGCCAUUCUCGGAAGACAAACAAGUUCAGGAACUACUUCUGGACCAAACUCAUAAUAUUGCCACUGCUUUGUGCCAAUCUGAGACGGAAAGAAGAUUGAAGUUCCUAAAUAAGGCACAUCAUGAUUUAAUAGAAGUACCACUAUAAGGAAAAAUUGAUUUCAGGAAAGCACUAAAAUAUGACAUAAUCUCCCCCUAAUGGUCUAAAGUAGUCAAAAAAUUAUAUCAACCAAGCAAAAACACAUAAACUAGUUGAGAUACAAAGUUAUCAUAAAAGUCAAUUUUGAUCACAAAUCCAUUAAAAUUAAAAGACAUCAGAAAGUUAGAGAACAUUAUAAUUUAGGACUCAGCUAAGUUGCAGAUUCUGUAACUAACAGCUGAGUCCACAUUGGCCUUGCAUCAGCUGAGUUUGGGUUGCUUUCCUCUCUCCUGCAACGCGUGGAAGCGUCCCAUUUGCUGUGUUAUAUACAGAGUCGGUACCGUAGCAAGCUCCUAUAAUUUAAGUUUGACUACUGUGGACAAUAGUCUGCCUCUGUUCAAAAGCUAUGCUGCAAGAUAUAGCAUCUUUGCAAUGUUAUACUUUCUAAAAGUAAUAAGAAAUGAAACCAAGGGGUAAAUCGAACACCAAAAGAAAUUUAGUCGGCCAACCACAUUAUGUUCCCACACAGUCCACCAAUUAAGUUAAUAAUUAAAGGGAAUCAAAAUCUAAGAAAUCUCAUCUUCAAGCAAAAUACAAACACACCGGGAUUGAAAAUCAUAAAAUCAUAAAAAGAAGCUGACUUGAAAAGCUCAAAUAUACGUUCAUCAGCCUCUCAACUUAUAUCUAAGAACAAAUGCCUGCAGCUUGUGAAGACAUAGAUAAUUGAAGCUGAUGAGGCAUAUUUAACAGAUGAUAAUCAAAACUCGUGUGAUUAAAAUUAUAAUUCAAUAAUCGAGCACAUAAAACAAGAAGUAACUAGUUGUAUAUAUACCAAACAACUUUCUGAAGUUAAGGCGUAAAACAACAACGUAGAACAAAUUAAUUAAAUAUACCAGCACCAAUACUCUUAUUAUUAUCCAAAUAUAGAAGACCAAUGUAUCAAACAAGGAAAAUGAAAUAUUGUUAAUAACUCAAAAACCACUAGUGUCAAGAAAUAAACUAAUAAGUAAAACCCAUAACCAGACACGACCACUUCAAAAUCUCUGAAAAUUGAGGUCUAAACAUUGAAAACAAUUAGACAUAUAUAACAGUCAAUCGAAACAAAGCCUCAAAAUAAUAAUGAACUACAAUAAGACAGAAACUAAAUUGUAAACAACCGCAUACCCAAUAACAGUAAUCAAGUAACGAGUCAAAACCAGAAUCAAACGUAGAAUUUGAAAUCCAUACGAACUCUAACGUAUUAGAAUGAAAGAAUAAGGACGAUCGAUAAACUAGACUAAAAAAAAAACAUGCCCAGUUAAAAAACGAAGGUAAAUAAAUAAAAAUGGUAUAAAACUGCGAAAAAAAUUAAUUAAAUGAAGAGAAAAUCACAGGAAUCCUAUGAAAAGGAAGGUAAACAAAACCUUCGGGAGCCGAGAAGAUGCCUUUUUUUGUUCACUUUUGUGCCUAUACAUACAUUUUUUUUUUUUGUUGGUAAUUUUGAAGAAAGUAUUGGUUAAAUAUUGUUAGAACGAAAUAUUAAUAGAUGCUGGAAAUUUCAACAAGGACAAUCUUCGAUUCAAAUGUAUCCCUAUGAUAAAGAAAAAGCCUACUUGGCUAAAUUUUGAGCACCACAUUACAAGAUCUAGGUGUAUGUAACCAUGCAAAAUGAAACAUCUAUUAAUUGUAAGUCCCUUGACCUCUGGAACCAGCCAACCAGUCUCUUUCCUGCUAGACAACCUUCCAUCGAUCAGACUAAUAAUAUUUACUAAAUCAUGUUCUACAGUUAAUGGAGUUGGACCCAAGGCAAUUGUUAGAAGUCCGCCUAGACAUAGAGUGCGCUUAGAAGUGGGAUGCUUAGAGAUGGGCCGCCAACACAACCAGCCAACCGUAGUGUGCUUAGCAAAUCACCCAAGCCCGGCCCAAGAUCUAGAACUAUCUACAAAUUGUAAAUAAGCUAAAAGUUUCUAAGUUUCUCCACAUAGGUCCCUAGGAUAUUUAUGGAAGUUGCUAGGAAGUUUCCUCCCCUAGAACUCUAAUACCUAUAAAUAGGGGUAAGCCCCCUCAUUUGCCCACCAACCACACCACACACACAAACACUCUAGCACACACACAAGCUCUCUAGCUUUUGUAAAAAGCUCUCUUGUAUAUUUUCUCUUUGUGAGUAAUAAAAUCAUAUUCAGCCAUAUUGCUCUACUUCUCUCUAGCAUUUUCUGCAAGUGUUCUUGCUUCGCUAGUUUGAGGAGUGUUCUAGGGUUGCUUAACAACUUGUUCGCUAGAAGGACAUCAUGGUCACAAAACAUGGACAUGCAAGAAAAAAAUAAUAUUGAUACGUUCUAAAAAUAAUAUGCGUUCUUCUACAGUGAACCAAAAAAUUUAGGCUAAUGGUAGCAAGUGAAGGAAUUGUGAUUUCACGUGCAUUUUGUUGACAUGAACGUAAAGGACUUUUUUUUAUAGUUUAUAUUGUUUAAUAUAACAUUUGAAUUGCAAAAUAGGGGUACAAAAUAGAUACACGAAGUGAUAAAACUAAGCUGAUUAUAAUAAAUAUUGAAUUAUAAGAUUUAGGUUUAAUCAGAAAGACAUAAGUGGCGCACAAAGUCACGAAUUGAUAUCAUCCAUGAUGCAAGUUCAAACAACUGCAUAAUAAGUUGCCCCAAGCUAAACUAUUAAUCUAGUAACUAUUCCAGUCGAUGUGGGAUAAUUUUCCUAUCACCAACUAUCACGUGCAAACCGAAUUUUUUGCUUGGUCCUUACAUGUGGUAAGGUAAUAUGAAUCCACUUGUGCAUAAAUUUGGCUCAGAUACUAUAUAGAAGCCUAUGACCCAAAAUUAGACUUAAAGGUUAUCUCAAGAUUUGAGGGUUGCCUCAAGCUCAUAUUAUUAUUAGCCUGGUAACCUUUUUUGUUUGUUGAUAUGUGAUAUUUUCCCUAUAACUUUUAUUAAUCUUUAUGCUUAUGUUUUGUCAUUUAUCCCAAAAUAUAACAUUAACAAAAGUUCCAAAAUUUCCUUCAAGAGAUAUAUUUGAGACAAGGAAUUUGUGCAAUAACUUUGUAAAUUGAUGAGCAAAUUCAGAGAAAAGAAUAUAUGUGCCAAACAUAACGUUUAUUAUUGUGUUUAUUUGUAGAGCUAUUUAAAGCCCAAAAAAAAAAAAAAGCACCGGUCCGCUAUGAUUUCAAAUAAGUUCAAGCCCUAUGUCAUUAUUGGUACAAAAAUGUAUCAAAAAGGUUAAAAACUAUUUUUAAAGGUUAAAAACUAUUUUUAUUUAACUUAUAAACUUAGGAAAUUAUCAACUGUUCGCCUUUAAAUUGCGCUAUUAUAAAAAAUAUUACAAUAUUUUCAGGUUGUGUCAUUCAUCUACCAUAAAUUUACAAUAUGCAUCAUUUAUCCACCAAAUCAUUAACUUCGUCAAAAAGUGAUAGACGUCACAAGGGUAAUUUAGACAUUUAACACAAAAAAAUAAAAGAGAAAUUAUCUAAGCUUACCAUGUUAUCAAAAUUGCUACAAAAUUUUAAAUUUGUUCAAUUUUCUAAUCUAAGUUUAUGACCUCCAAGAUGUUAAUUGCAGUUUGUAAUUAAUGACUUCAUAAGGAUAAUUUAGACACUCAAUAUGCAAAAUAAAAAAUAAAAUAAUGGCUUAAAACAUUAAAACAAAAAACUACUUUUUAUAAUUGAUAUUCAAUUAAAUACACAUAAACUCUAUUUUUUCUUAAUUAAAAAUAUUCUAAUUUAUUUUCUCAAUUUAUCUUCAUAAAUUUACAUUAAUAAACUAAAUCCACAAAUUACCCUAAACCCUAAUUCAUAAAUGCCCAAUCAAUCUAAUAGUUUAAUUCGAUUUCAUAAUUAAAAAAAGCUAAAUUUAUUAUAUUAGUUAUGGUGCAAAGUAAAAAAUGUCCUUAAAUCCAAGGGUAAAAUAGCAUUUUAUUUAAAUUCUAUAAAUUAUUCUAACAAUGUUAACAUUUUGGUGGACGGUUAAUAUAAGUUACAAACUUAAAAUAGAAAAUCAAAUAAAUUCAAAAUUUCAAACUAUUUAGGGCAAAUUUAGGAUAAUAAUGGUCAAUUUAUUAUAAUUCUAUUAAUUUUUUAAUGGAAGCAAGCGAUAUAAUGGAUGAAUGAUAUAAAUUGUAAAAUUAAGGUGCAUGAACGAUAUAAUUUUAAAGUAUUGUAGUACUUUUAAUAAUAGAACAAUUUAAAGGUGGAUUGGCGAUAAUUUAAACUUUAAUGAAGCAACUAAAAAAUAUUUUUAACAAAGAAAAAUAAUUGAAUGCUUUGUGAAACCAAAAAUAUUUGAAAUGUUUUAAGAAAAAUAAAGGAAAUUAAAUAUCUUUUUAAAAAACAUAAUUGAGUAAAAUCAUUUUACAAAAUGCUCUUUCAAAUGCACAUUCCACAAGCCAAGAAGAACGGGUGGCUAACAAAAAUCUCACUUUUUAUGAGUUUAUAAAAUCUCACUUUCGCAAAAUCCAAAAAUAACCAAUACUAUCACACAAAAAAUAAAAAGUAUUGCUGUCACGACAUUACACACUUUCUUCGCCGUCUAGAAAGGUAGAACAUUUUGAAGUUCCUCAAUACAAAAUGCGUGCUAUUACUAAAUUGGCCCAAUUAAUGCCCAUCGAAAGGCCAUCAAUUUAGCCACCAAAUUUGCCAAAGUUUUAACAAUUGAAGAAAUAGUGAACUCAAAAGGAACAGAUAAAUUUUGAAGUUGAACAAACCUUAAGGUACAUACAACAAAGCCUUGAAACUUUAGUCUUCACAAUUUAAGCACGCAAUAAUAUUAAGUAUCCACCUAAAAAACAAGUAUAGAACAAAGCUUGUUAGCUUCUUGGGCAUUAACUAUGAAUGAUGAGUAAAAUUAAAAAAGCAAACAGAGAAAAUUAUAAGAAGAAGAAAAGCAAACAGUUAAAAAAAAAUUAUGAGAAGGAAAAUUUUGGUAGAACUCCGCGGCUCAUCUGUGAAAUUAAUGUCAAUAUGUAUUUUUAUGUAAAUAGGGUCUCUGGAUUUUAGGAUGAAUCAAUCAGCUACCACAAACGAAAACAUGAACCAACUAUAUAUAGAGUCAAUCAACUAUAAUUAAAGUUCUCAAGAGCUUACCUCUGCUCCAGAAUUCUCGGAAUCAUCUAUUUCCUUCUGAAUUUGCGCGAAGCUUGGGACAACUAAGAAAGCGUCCAUGUGGAGCUGGGAUCUGAUAACCCGCAGGCCAAAAGUUGGUGAGGUUUGGUAAAUCUAACAGUGUCAAGUUCCAAAAUCCAUUCAUAACAAUUUCAUUGUAAUCCGUGACAUCUGCUCCAUCUUUAUGCCAGAAUACUUCUUCUAAUUCAUAAUUACUUUCUACCCAUAGUUGAGUUAGAUUUUGAAGACUUGGAGCUACGCUAAUAUGAAAUAGAUGCUUUAGUUUGGGGCAGUUGUAGAAAGUGAUCCUUCUGAGUUUUGGGAAACAUACAGGUUGGAGAUGAUCCUCAUCCUCAUCCUCAUCAAUGAUUUGCUCUAAUUCCAAGCAUUUCCGAACAGAUAACUCCUCCAAUUGCAACAGAUUUCGAGCAAGUGUCGAUGAGAGGAGACGUUUCAACUUAGAGCACCGGAUCACGAGUAAACGGGUAAGAUUUUGCAGGCUAAAAAUAUGCGUGGGACCUUCAUGAUAUAAUACUUGCAGUUCUGGAAGAUUUUUCAAUUGCAACGACUUCAAACAUGGGAAUAGUUUGUUUUCUUGUCCCUCAGCGAUAAUAGCUUCCAAUUGAAACACCACAUGUACUCCAAGUUGGCUAAUUUUCAAAUCUUCCAAAUUUUUUAAGUCGUGCUUCAACAGUGCUGGAAUCGUGUCACUCAAAUGGGAACAAUUGUCCACAUUUAGAAUUUUUAAGUUCUGAGACAAAUAAAUAAAUAACUUGAUGUAAUUAAAAUCUAUUAGCAGCUAAGAUUAUCACAUGAUAAGUGACGAACACCGCAAAAAACAAAAAUAGAAACAAAAUCCAUACAAAAAUAUAAUAAUACAUAUGUAAACUAAUAAAAUAAUUAAAAAGUAAUAUGGAUUGAUCAUGUGAAGUGAUAUAAAGGUGACAUUAGAUUGUUUGAGAAAAAUUAGUAUUCUAUUAAUUUCUAUGGAUUGAUCAACUAAUUAAUUGAAUUUGAGUAAUAUUAUAUACACUUCAGUAAGUGUUUCUAUCAAUUCUUUCUAAACCAAAAUGAGAUAAGACUUCCAUUUGAACAAUGAUUUUAGGCCCUAAAAUAAAGAAAUUUCCCUAAGAUAUUUGAGCAUUAUUAUUAUCAUCACCACAUCCACGAUCAUCAUCAUCUCCAUAGGACCAAAUAAUUAAUGGCUGAUCAUAAAAUUUAUUGCUAAAUUAUCAUUUUGAGUAAAAUUGAAGGAAAAGAAAAAAUGUAAACACAAACAAACAUACCUCUUCAAGAUACUGCAAAUUGGCUUCAAGUUCAGUACUGCUGACGGUCAAGUUGGGACAGUGCCUAAGGUGUGACUCUUCCAAUGCUGUCCAAAUUGAACAAUAAUUUUCUGAACAGAAGCUCUUGAGUUUUGGGAGAUUGUGAAGUGUUAAUUUUGUCAACAAAGGGAGGGCAAGCAUCGUAUUUCCAUCUCCAACACUUAUUUCCCCUUCAUUAUGAUCAAACUUUGCUUCGACAAUACAUUCCAUUCUCCGGCAUCCACUUACAUAGAGACUUUUAAGCUGCUUCAAACUUCUAGCUUGUGACAACGUGAAGAUAUAUGUCAAAUUGUUGCAUCCACACACAGUCAAUUCUGUAAGAGCUUGGAGGCUGAUCACAUAUUGGGCGGGCGCCUUCCAUAUCCACUUCAGUUCUGGUAAUUGCCACAUAGAUAACUCUGCUAAUCUUGAGAGCAUCACAGGAUUCCCACUCUUUCCAUGCGGCGACUUAGAGGCAUCCAUUAUGCAUUCUAAUUCUUUGCACUCGUUGACAGAAAGACAAGUCAACUCAUUUAAGCCCCUUGGAUCUAUGCUUGGCACAAUAUUGUGACAACCUAUAAUCGUUCUUAAAUUAAGAAUUUCCAGUUCUUGAUACAAUGCCGAAAAAAUACCGAGAGAGGUUGCUUCACAAUUAUUAAUCUUUAAGCCCCUUCUCUGUCCAAAAAUUUCAUCUUCUUCUUGCAUUAGAAAUUCAAGUUUGUUACCAUUACUGACGUGGUGCCUUUCCAAUUUCGGGAAUGUAAAGUCUUUUGGAAGACGUGCAAUUUUUUUGCCAGUAUGUAAAGUCUUUCCAUCGUCAUUUUCUUCUGAACUCAUCCCUUCAGCCUCCCAAUCUUUUAUCCGACCAUAAAAUUCUUCUAAUUGAGGAAAUUUUUUUAUCGUAAUGGGAGAAAUACAACCAGAAUUAAUGAAUAUAAGAAGUUUCAAUCUACUAAGUUGAUCCCCAAAUUCUUCAGGAAUUUCAAUGGGAGACUCCUUGACACAAAGAAUUUGAAGUCUCUUCAACUUUCCAAGGAAAGAUGCGUCACUUACUUUACAUUGAAUCAACUGCAGAACUUGGAGGUUGGUGAGGAAUUGAAGCGAUUUAAGUGAAAUGACUCCACCUAUUACAGUAACAACUUUCAAUGCUGGCAUCCCUUCGAAAAAAUGCUCUGGAACGUGAAAUUGAUAGUCAUAACCACUAGGAAGCUCUUCUUUUACAUAUCCCAGGAAAGAGAUUCCUUCGUAUUGUUCCAUUGCCCGUUCCGCCAAUCCAUCUGUAGUAACAACUUUCAAUUUGUAGUUAUAUACAGUAUUCUGCAGUUGCAAAAUUUGAAGGUUAGGACAUACCAAACUGGUAGGAAGCUCUUCUUUUUUAUUUCCUACCAAUGAGAUUCCCUUGCAUUGUUCCAGGCUUUCUUCCACUACCCGUUCUGCCAAUCCAAUGCCAACUUUACUAGUAAAAUAUUUCUUUCCCACUGAGCCUAUCCAUAAGGAAACAUCACGAACAAUGUCAUGCAUUUUCACAGAUCUAUCAUUACCGGUGUCUAACAGCAGUGAAGAAGCUUUGAGCUCUUUAAUCGUUCCACUCACUAGGAUCCUGGCUUCUUCGAUUGACUCAACUUGAUACCAAUCCAACGCCACUGCAUAUCCAACCAAAUCAUUCGAAUCUAUCUCAUAAUCUUCUGGAAACAGCGAACACAACAAAAAGCAUGACCUGGAAUCCUCACCAUUCAAAUAAUCGUAACUAAAUUUGAGACAAUGGUAAACGUCUUGGUCAUCCUUACCAAUACCUUCUAUUGUAUUGAGUUUUGCAUUUUUUAGUUUAUGUAGAGCUACUUUCCAUUGACCAAAUCCUUUACCUCUUAGCGCACUUCCAACAGCCUUAAUAGCUAAAGGCAACCCCUUACAUUCAUUAGCAAUUUUUUCUGAAACACCAAUCAAGGUUGAAUCAGCAUCAAUGCCGGCAUGCUUUCUUAGUAAAGCCAAUCCUUCUUCUCGCUUUAGAACACCGAGUUGAAUCUGCGUGUCACAACCCAUGCGAUCACAAACUGGCUGAAGGCGAGUGGUUAGAAGGAUUUUGCAACAAUUGUCUCUAUCACCAACAGGAAUACCUAUUGUCUCCAAGUCAAUUUCAUUCCAGACAUCGUCAAGGAUUAUGAGGAUCUUGGGGCUUUUACUCUCAGAGAACAUCAAGCGCAAUCGGUCUGCUCUAUCCUUCUCAUCUUUCUCCGUUAAUGCCCAACCUAACGACUUUACUAGCUCACUUUGAACAUUUAUUAUAUUUGGAUCCCGAGAUAUAGUGGCUAUCCCUACGUGAUCGAAAAUCUUUUGUUGCCGAAGUUGAUUGCCCGCAAAUUUUGCCAAGGUCGUCUUUCCAACACCACCGAGACCAUGCAAUCCCACCAUCUUUGUGCUCUCUUUUUUCAGUGCUUCAAUGAUCUGAUUACAAGCCAAUUCUGUAGUCUCGAAAGACAUAAAAUGUCUUGGUGCAGGCAAUUCUUUGUUCAAUGGUAGAGGUUUAGGAUGGGCAACAGUGCUGAAUUUGCCGCGGUCUAGUAGAUCGGCCAACUUGCUAGUCUUCUUUAAUGCUUUUCUUCCCAGCCAAUAUCGGCAACCCCAAUUAGGACACCAUCCAUUAAGACAACUCUUGUUUUCAUCUAUCUUUGCUUUCAAAUUUUGAACAUUGGCCAUUUCUUUGACUACAUCCGCCAGCCACUUCUCUACAUCUUUCUCCACUACUACGGCGCGGUGUUUUUGUCGAUCUUGUUCUACUUUUUCAUUGAUGCCAUCUUGUGCCUCCUUCAAAUUAGUUUCGUUAUCCCCAAGUUCUUUAAUAAUGCUGUUGAAGCAGAAUAAAUAGCGAGCUUGGUUUAUGGUUGCGUCCGCCAAUAAUUCUCCAAGCUUUGAUGCAACACCUGAUAAAAUUUCCAUGCUAUUUAUCUGCAAUUAAUGAAAUUGAUCUCAGUAUGCUAUAAGCAAUUAAAACAACAUGGCUUGAUCGCAAGAUCGAACGUGAACGUUUAAUUACUUUAAUUUUUUUUCUUUUGGCUUAUUAACGCCAGCAUUGAUCAAUAAGAGCAAAAUGCAAAACAAAGGAGAAGAAAUAAGGUAAACGUUAUAUAUGAUGGAUUACAUUGAAAUUAGAUUACUUUAGAAAUUUUUAAAUAAAAAUUUAAUAGAAUCCGGAUAAACCUAAGAGUUUGUUGUGCAUUGCGAGUGAAGACAGGCAGUUGCAUGGGGAAUAUGAUAAAAGUGAUGAAUAACUGAAAAGCCACCCAUAAUAACAAUUAAAAAGAGUAUUAGAGAUUAGAGGAGUUCAACAUUCUAUGCAAGCCCACUCACGAUAAAAUUUGAAUGGUUUCAACAGGAUUACCAUUUUUUGACCUUUAAUAAAUAUUCUAAUAAAAUAAUACCAUAAUUCCAAACAAUAUCUGAAUUUCUUUUUCCUUCAAAUGUUCAUUAAACUCACAUAUUGGAUAAUUAAUUUAAUUAUUUUUUAAAAUUAUUUAUUACCCUAUCUUAUUGUUCAAUAGAUAUAAAUGACACCUUAUUUGGUAUGGUAAAAAUUGGGGUAAAUUUUCUUUUAUUCUCUAAAGUUUGGACCUAUUACCAGUUAUAUAUAGUAUUUGUAUUUUGUAAAAUUUUACCUAAAACGUCCAUGUCAUUACUUUUAUAGCUAUUGAACCUGAAUUUUCCAGUGUAAGAUAUUAUUUUUGUCUAUUAUAAAUUAAAAUUCAAAUAAAUCUAUCAUGCAACAAACAAAACGUAAAGAAAAUUAAUUAGGUUUUAAUUGGAAACAAAUAUAAAAUAUCGAUUUUUUUAUUAAUUUUUGUGAAUUCUUUUAUUGUUCGAAUUAGAAUUGAAUAAUUUGUAUAAGGAUAAUUUAUAUGAAGAUAAUCUGCAAAAUAAGCUUAUAUGCCGAAUUUAAAAGAGUUAUAUUAGCAAUCAUAUAUUUAUCAAAAUUUUUAAUAAAACUAUUGUUUAAAAAUUGGCCAAAUGGGUUUCAUGAAGAAAAUAGAAGGGCAUGAACAAUUUAAAAGACGUAUUAAAUGGACCAAUUUGAAAUGGUAUGAGAGCACAAUGAACUCAUGUUGGUACCUGGGUAGGCAAAUUAAUUUUAUUUUUAAAGUAUGGUUAACAGUACUGACUUGGAGGUGAUUGACGUUAAGUUAAAUUAAUGCAAACAAAUGGUAAAAAUAAUUUAAUGAAAAUUAAUUAAUAAAAAAAUGCAUUAAAAAAUUAGAACUUAAGUUCUUGAUCAUUUUGUCCGUAUGUUUUUAAUCCAACGCUCAGAAUUGGCGUAAAACUAGCCAUUGGAAGUAAAACACAAAAAUCGAAUUAAGGGCCUAUGAAACAAUAAGAUCUCAUACCUUCUUCGUUAUAAAUCCUCAAUUACUGUUGAAAGCUCCAGUUAAGAGAGUCGCACAAGUUCGGAGAAAAUUAAAAAGCUGCAUAUGGCAAUAUAAAUAAACAUCAGAUCAAAACGAUAUAGGAUAUAUCUGGCUAAUUAACAUCUUAUAUAAGUCCUUGUUCUCAGUCAAAUCUUUCAUACUUAGAAAAAAAAAAAGAUUGAAAUAAUAACUGUAUGUUUUUAAUCCAACGUGCAAAAUUGGCAUAAACAAACUAAUAUAGCAUAAAACAAACAUCAAAUUAAGAGCCUAUGAAAUAAUAAUAUCUCAUACCUUCUUCAUUAUAUAUCCCCAAUUACUACUGACAGCUCCAGUUAGAGUGGCAUAAUUUCCGAGAAAAUUAAAAGCUGCAUCUAGCAAUAUAAAUAAACAUCAGGUCAAAACAAAAUAGGAUAUAUCUAGCUAAUGAACAUCAUAUAUAAGUCCUUGUUCUCUAUCAAAAUCUUUCCUUCUUAAAAAAUAAUAAUAAUAAUAACAAUAAUAAUUGAAAUAAUAACUGUGGGUGACACAUGAAGCAAAAGUAACAUACCGAAAUGAGAGCAGCUCACAUAUCUGGUGACUUCCAAGAGAAUGAAAAAUGAAUGACCUUCGGCAGCAAGAUCCAAAUCAAGUAUCACAAAUUGCUACUGACUUCGUGGCUUCACUUUCCUUUUCUUUUUCUUUUUUUUUAUAUCACAGUGUGAAUUGAAAGGUGAAAAGUGAAAUGGUACACAUGCGUAUGAUGAGGGGGUAAUUUUUAGACACCUGCCCGAGGUUUAAGGUCUUCUGAAUUAGAUGGAUUGUAUUUUCGUAUUAUCAAAUACCUCCCCUGCCCGUUUUUAUUCCAUUUAGUAUUUUCUAAAUGGCUGAAGGUAAAUUGGUAAAAACUCAUUUAAAAUAAAAAAAAAUCAAAGAAAUUCAAGAAGAAGCUUUAUAUCUGCCAUUUGUAUUUGGGGUAUCUUUUUGGUUGUUGAGUGAAUGAGCUUAAAUCUUAAAUAUUUAUUUUCUUAUUAUAUAUUUCUUAUUGGAAAGAAUUUGAAUCUUAUUCUUAUUAAACUUAUUCUCUUUAAAUAAAAGUAGAUUUCUCUCCAUGUAUUUAGUGUGUAUUUUGAAAUUAAUGUUCAACAUAUCUUUAGAUCCUAUUAUAAAUAUUCAUAUCUAAAAUCUCAACAGAUUCCAACAUAUAAAUAUAUAUAAAGAGAGAGAGUAACGUUCUAAUAAGAAAUUUUUUAAAUUAUCAAAUUAAAGGAUAAUUCAAAAGAUAAAAAAAUACAUAAUCUAAUAUAUUAUAUAACAAAAUAUACUAUAUUAAAAUAUAUAUUUUGCUUAAUUUUUUAAUAUAUCCCAUAAUAACUUAAGAAAUCCUUUAUUUACCUGAUAUAUAUAUAUAUAUGUAUAAUUUUUUACAAAAUAAACAAUUUAGAGUAAAACAAAGGACAUUCUGGGGCCUUUUGCUAGACUACCAAUCUACCAUUUUGGAUUGCAAUAAAGUGAAAAUACUGGACUACCAAUCUACUAUUUUGGAUUGCAAUAAAGUUAAAAUGGGUUACACCAAAAAAGUAAAAAAAAAAAAAAAGUGACAAUCAAUCUUGUCGGCCAAUACAUCGAGUUUUUUGCCGGAUUAGUAUCACCGUCAAAAACAAAUUAUUGCAAGCACUAGCAAAAAGCAAUCGAUGAUUUCGCAAUUUGGUUGUUAAAAAGCAAACUAGAUCACGAUUCCUCAAUUCAAAAUGGGGCAAAAUUAUGGUAUCACAAUGUUACCGUACUACAGCUGGAUCCAGCUUACAGUUACCAUCAUAAUUGAAUCUAACAGUUGGAUCCAUCUAUAGUAUGGUAUUACUGUGGUACCAUAGCUGGACCCUUCAAAAAAAUGCUUUUUUUAAUUAAAUAAGUGAAAAUUAAACCUACAAUUCAAAAUAGAAGACUGUAGAUGCGUAUAAAUUGAAGAAGGUAAAUUUUGUGUGUGCGUAAAUAUUUUAGUCAACAACAAAAAAUUCUAACAAGUUAAUAUAAGAGUAUCAUAGCAGUACAAGAGAAUUUUUUUUUUUUUUGGAUGUUAUGAGUUAUCGAGAUACCCAAUAUAUAUGUGUGUGUGAGAGAGUGGGGAAGAAAAAAAAUAUUAAGAAUAGUUUUGGCAUUUUGAUGGGUUUUAUAGAGUAAAAUCUAUAUUUUCAAAUAUGAUAAUUCUUUAAUUUAAUUUUUUGUUAUGAAAAAAAAGGGCAUUUUAAAUAUGUUUUAAGUUAUAAAUAACUCCAUCCAAAAUUUAAAAAUGAAAUCUUAGGGGGGAAAAUUUUUCACCCAAACUAAGGCCCAAAGUAGCCGCGGCAUUUUUCACCAAUUCUCCAAUUCCCAAUGUGGUCUAAUUAUUUACAAGGAAUAUGAGUAGGGGUGGGCACGGUUCAGUCCGGUUUGGUUAGAAUCUAAAUUAAGCAGAACCGAUUUAAAUAGGUUAUUUUAUAAAAAAAACUAAAUAAGAACCGAACUCAAUAAAAAUUGGACAUAAACGGAUCUUUUCAGAUCGGUUUGGUUCGGUUCGGUUUUUUCGGUUUUGGGCGUAUUUUGAAUUUCUAAAUUUUAGCCCAUUAGGCCUCAUGAAUGUAAUGAUUUUAUUCAACAAUUAAUUUAUCCUAAUUUCAUUACAAAUAUUAACAAUAAAUACAAAGUAUUCAAAACACAUUUUAUCACUAAUAUCUUACUAACUACUAAUAAGGUACUUAUAAAAUAUGAAAUAUUAAGAUUUCAAAAUACAUAAUCAAACUCCAAUACUCCAUCUACAUAAACACAAUGUUGUAACGACAAAAAAAAAUAAUAACAACAAUUAAAACUUACAACACAAAAUAAAAAGAAAAUUUGGAAACAAACACUAACAACAAUUUUUAAAUAAAUAAAUAAAUAUAUAUAUACUCGUAAUUGUGUGUGUGCAUGUCUAUUUUAGUUAUCUUACGCAACCAAUUAAAAUUUAACAUGUGUCUAUUUAAAUAAAAUUCCAAGAAUAACUCGGUUUUUCGGUUCUGUUUUUUGGUUCAGCUGAGUGAACCGAAUACCGAACCUGUAUUUUAGUUUUUUUUACAAACCAUAUAUUUCAGUUAUUUUUUAAAAUUAAAACCAGUCCAAACGGAACGGAACGGUUCAGAUCGAUUUUCUCUAGUGCACGGUUUUUUUGCCCACCCCUAAAUAUGAGAUUCUCUACCACUCCAAUUUAUCCCAUUGUUAGCAAUCCUAUUAGAUGUUUUAUAUCCUAUUUUUAUUAUGCUCCCCAAACAAAUAUGUUUCACCUAAAGGUGCCCAACGGGCUACACCGUCCGUCUGAAUGAGCGCACGAGAGGCUCCACAGGCGUGUCUGAUAUGCUCUUUCAAGUCUACAUACCUAACGUUCUUUUUUUAAGUGCAUAUAUAUUUUUUAAAGCUCAUGUGAAAUUCAGUAGUAAGAGAAUGCAAUACUAGUUAAUAAGUUAGAGCCUACAAAAUAAUAAUAAUAAUAAUAAAAUUUUCUCUAAGGGUUAACAUUUUAUUGUUAACUUGAAUUUAUAUACAGUUAUCGAUUAUAGUCCAUAAUAAUAUUAAUACUUACAAGUUUCAAAUUAAAAUUUAAUAAUUAACAUUUCAUUAACACAACUAUAUUAUCUAAUUUUGCAAUAACCAAUUAUAAUACAACAAUACAUAAUUAUAAUUUCAUAGACCAUGGUAAUAAAAUCUCUACGUUAAUGAAAAAUUUUAUUUUGAUAUAUGUUGGUCUGCUUGCUAUUGAUGGCCGAUGGUCGUAUGCUAGCCUGCUAAUGAAACGUGUUUAUUAUUGGUUUUUUAACAUGUCUUGCUUUACCACAUCUCUAAUCAAAUUGUGCUCUUAAAAUCCAUAGCCUAACCUAGCCUCUGUGUGUAUCCUGCCGUGCCAUACUAUACAAACAUGUAUCUGGUACCAUGCCACGUACCGGUCGGCCCUUAGCCAUCUCUAGUUUCACCCCUAAAUAAAAUCUAAACGGCUACUGGCAAGUGAGAAAACUUGUUAUUCUUUAUUUUGAAAAUAAAGGGAAUUGGCGAAUUGCUUAGUUUGAUAUUGUUUUUGGUAAGUCAUUUUUUGUUUUGAAACAUUUUUCUGAGAUGUUGUUGUAUUUGGUGAAAAAUAAAUUAUUUUAUUUUAUACUUUUAAUGAAGAAAAGUAGAGAAAAACAUUUUGUUGUUUUCGACAACAUUUGCCUUAUAAGUGCACCCGUGCCACUUUUUUCUUGUUUUAUUUGUAUGAUAAUUAUCAUGGACCCACGUAACUUUCUUUUGCAUUUAAAAUUUCAUAAUAAAUUAAAUUAGACAAAAGAAAAGAGUCCCACAAAUAAUUUAUUUUAUAAUUUUUUAAAUAAUACUAUUUUAAAAUAAAUUAUCAAAACAAAUUUCAUAUUCACUAAAAUUAAUCAUAUUCAUAUUAUAAAAUUAAUAUAAAAACAAUAUCUGAAAAGUAAUGCUAAAUACACUGUUAAAUUUUAUAAACGGCAUUAGAAUUGAUGAACAAUCUGACAAAGAUGCUGCGAUUUAAGUAGGGAUGACAAUUAAAGCCGUAUUUGAAAAAUUUCGUCUCCAAAUUAAAAAAUAUGGAUUCGGAUAUGGAAAUUUGGAAUUCACAUAGAUCCAUAUAAAUUUUAUUUUAAAUUAAAAAUAUAUAUUAAAAAUUAAAUGAAAAAUUAAAAAAUAAAUUUUAUUUGUGAUUUUAUGAUGUUGUUGUAUAUUAUUCAUGUUGAAUUAUUAAUGGUUGGAUUAUGAUUGAAUUUUAUUUGAUAUUAUUAGGUAAAUUAUUAAUUUUUAUUUAAAAUAAAAAAUAUAUAUUAAAAAUUAAAUAAAAAUAAAAAAUUAUAUUUUAUUUGUAGAUUUAUGAGAUUAUUGUAUGUUAUUCAUGUUGAAUUAUUAAUUGUUGAAUUAUGAGUGAAUUUUAUUUGAUAUUAUUAGAAAAAUUAUUGAACUUUUAAAUUAUAUAUUAAAUUAUUUAAUUUUAAUUUUUACGGAUCUGGAUAUCCAGAAUAUCCUCCGGUAUCCGUUGCGGAUAUUACCCGCUUCUGGAUCCGCAUUUUUUUAUACAAAUUCAGAUAAAAUAUGAAUGCGAAUCCGAAUCUGGAUUUUACCAACCUUGAACCUAAGCAUGAAUGGGCCUAAAGUUUUUACAACAAACAUGGAUCAUUCAAUGACACGAGAUGUUUUACAGCUCUCACUAGUAUAAUUAAAUAAUUAAUUCAUCUCUAUAUUCAACUUACUCCGUCUCAAAUUGCAUGCAAAUACGAAAAUACACUUCUGAAUCGUUCACUUGAGGAAAAUUCCAAAUUCUCCACGUAGAAUUUAGAUUCAAACCAUAGCAAAUUAGACAUAAUUCUAAUUUAUAUGGGAAAUAUAAUUAGCGAAGACACUCUUUAUAUAAACAUUAUUGUCAUAGGAUGCCAAACCUAAUAAGAUUCAAGAUCUUAACAUACUUCAUAUGAAAUUUGAUCUUGACGCGUACCGACAGGCAUAACAUCAAGACUCUACUUCAUAUAUUAUAAUGUAACUUCAUGGAUUUUUCGCUCUCUUGGGGGUCUAUCGUUUGUUUGCAAACUUUUCCAUUUUAAAUUGACAAUUAUAGGCGCUCUCUUGUGGUACAUAAAAUAAACGUUUAUUUUUAGAAUAUUAUUAUUUAUCUCAAUUUUUUAUUUAAUAGUUAAUUUUAACCAAUUCUUAAACUGUCAUAAUCAAUUAAUUUUUUACAUUAUGGCGUCUUAAAUAAAUUUUGGAUCUGUAAUAAAUAAAAACUGGUAACGUUUGUUCUUUUAAAACAUAAAACAACCGUAACAUUGGUUUUUACAUUUUGAAUUUUUCUUGCAUCACUAUUUAGAAAAAUGAUGUUAAAUCAACUCACAAAAUAUAUCAAGCCAUCUAAAAUCCAAAUAUUAUUACAUUUGUAUUGCAUUGUUAAAUUGUUGGAACGACGGCAAAGCAAUUGAAAAGAUAUUAACAAAAAAAUAAAGAUUGGCCAAGGAUUAUUCAUGUUUAGGAAAUGCCUUAACUUUUGAUAUAAUCAUUGUUAUAAUUAUAUUGUAGAAAUAAUCAAUUACCUAAUGUUUGUGGUGGUAAAUAUUAUUAACUUGUUUUACUAUACCCGUGUUUAUGCUGGUCUCCUUUUUGUCCAUUUCUGUACAACGAAAUAUUUGCAUGUGUUGAUAGAAAUUGGUUUAAAUGACAUUUAAAAUAGUAUAUCCCCAGACAAUUAACGAAAUAUUUGGAUGGUAGGAUGAAGUAAUAAAUAGUUUUACAAAUUACCAUAUUAGAGGUAAAAAAAAUUCGAGAGGUUACUUGACAAUUAUGACGUUACUAACUACAAAUUUAACACAAAAAGUUUAAUUAACUUUUCUUUUUGAGAUGGCAAAAUCUCUGGUGUUGAAAACAAUGAGGUUUGAGGUUCAAGCUUGAAUAUCAAGUUACAAUUAAUAGAUGGUCUUAGGACAUAUCAAAGAUUUCUUUAAAGACAAAAUAAUAAUUACAAGCAAUAGGAAUUUAUGGUAUUCAGAACAUUUAUAUCUUCGCACAUGAAGCUUGAAUCCAGAACAAGAUGCAGCUAGCCAAUCCUUCCAAAACCCCACAAAACCUCUGUCAACAUAUCUGCUCUACUUCAAUAUUAAGCACAUUCAUAGCGGUAUCAACAGCUUACAGCGCCAAAAUAUUUUCCCCAAAAAGAGUGAGAGAUUUCACUGAAGCUAAGUUGUGACUUGUGACUGCCCAAAUGUUCUAUAACACGAUAUGAUUAUUCUAGUAACACAAAUCCAAUAGCAUGCAACAUAAUCUACUCUCUAACAUUGUGCAUUAGUAAAAUAAAACAGAGUAAAAAGAGAAACCAUGCCUGUGAAUCUCUUCUUUUCCCCCUGCCACCCCUUUUUUUGGUGAAGUCCAUCAAAUGAAAAUGCAGCAUGACCACGUUGGCCACUGCCACUGCCAUUACUUCUUCAACUGUGCCUUUUGUUGCAAGAAAUAUUCAAGUGAAAGAUUGGAUUAUAUAAUUCAAGAUUCCAAUAGACCUGAGCUGCAAAGGUUGCCUUCCACUAGCCUAUCAGAGACUAUGCUUUCUAUUUUCCUAGUUUGUUAAUCAAAAUUUUAUAAGAUUUAUUUAUGGAAAUCUUGGACAAAAUUUUACGUAAGAUACCACAAAGCCAAAUGCAAUCAUUGUAAUUCUCAGCAGCAACAUUUAAAGUGAAAAAUGGAAGCCAUAUAAACAUAACUAUGUUUGCUACGAGGAACAAUUAUUUCAAGCUUUCAGAAAUGCUAGCAAGAAAUUGUAAGAGAACUUUACCUAGUCACAGAAUAUGUCAAACAUACUACCACCGUCUUUAGCACGAUUGUUAUGGAAGUAGCUUUUGAAUCGGAAGAUUCCAGCUUCCACCAGGCACCAUUUUUUUCAUUUUUGAUACAAUCUGCAUCACUGGCAUUAGUUAUACCAUCAACAUUUGCAUCCUCACUCUCAUCAUCCCAAUCAAGGCUUCUUCUCCAGCUCUGGAUUAUAAGUCCACUCCGACAUCUUCGAACACCUCGGUCCUUCCAUUUGCCAACAACCGAUAUGGCUUCCUUCCUUGCCUUCCCCAUUAAUAUAUCACUCGAAGGCAAAAAAAGCAUCAGCAAUUCUCUUCAACGCCUCAUCGUUUAUAACCCCCCAAAAAAAGGGUCUUCAGACACCUCAACUUUGCCUUCUGCAAAACCUCCACAAAAUCUGAAUUAUCCAACACAACAGCCAGACACUCAAUCCUUCUUUUGUCCAUCAUAUCCACCGUAUGAUUCCUCAACAAAAUAUCUACAGCUUGUGGCUUUUCUAACACUGUCUUGAUCCAAAACCCUGCUCUUUUCAACUCAUCUGCCAAACCAUAACCCACUUUUGGAGUCAAAAUUGUCCUUGCAGCCCUUUUAUAUUUUUCCAUCUCCAUCGAAUACUUGCCACUCAAAUCGAAUUACCAGACAGGAAUCCCAGUAACAAGUCCACUCAACUUCUUCUCAUCUGAUCCCUCUUUCACUCUGGCGGAAACAUUAAUAACCAUUCACCAGCCACAAAUUACCCAAGUAAGUAUUCGUGUCGUCAACACUUACCCUUCACUUCAUCUACGCAAACAAGAAUUCAAAUUGCUUAUUAGCUAGUGCUCGAGCGAAAGCCAAAAUAAAUUAAAUAUGUGUGUGUGUGUGUUAAAAGAGAAACGGUAGCGAAGUUAUUACACAAUAAAGCAAACCAAAAUAAAUUCUACACUCAUGUGGGUGUUUCGCUCGCAAAAUCUGGACAAGAAAAAAUAAUAUUGAUACAAUCUCCAAAUAAAGAGCAUUCCUCUUGGUAAAAUAGACAAAUCCUAUAAAUUUUGAUUAAUGGUGCCAAAUGAAAGAGUUGUAAUUUCAUGUACAUUUUGUUAACAUGAAUAAGGGUACAAAAUAGAUAACAAAGUGACAAAAACAAAGCUAAUCACAAUGAAUGAUAAGGUUUAGAGUAAACAUAAAGUUAUAAUCUUGAACAUAAGUGGCGCUCAAAGCCAUGAAUUUGAUAUCAUCCAUGAGGGGAGUUCAAACAACACCAUGUAAGAAGCAACAAGUGUUGAGAAAAAAAAAAUUCAUUCUAACACAACAGAAUAAAUUGUAAAGAAAUCCCAGUUUGUAUAAAAGAAAGAAAACAAAAUUAAGGAAAACAUAAGCACAACAAAAUUUGACUGAUUAUUAAAAAUGAGAAAUGAGUUAUAAUGAGAAUUUUGGCUUUGUGGUGAAAUAAAUUGGGAAGUAUCAAAGUUUGCAUGUAAAUAAUAUAAAUGAUAAGAAGACGAAGGGAACAAAAUGAUAAUAAGAAUGCCAAAUAUUAAAAUGCAGAUUCUACGCUUCCGCCCCCCCAUACUUCAAGUUAGUGUCUCGCUAAUCAUUUUAGAUGUAUCAAUUACAAAGGGAGGCCAUCUAUUUAUAGUAAGUGUACGCCUCUAAUGCUUUGCCAAGUGUCCAUUGAUAAUAUCACAAGGGAAAUUAAAUUGGUGUAUGUGUAUUACACCUCCUAAAGUCAUGUUAAGAUAGUGUGCUGAUAAAGUUUGUUGCACGUAUGAGUUGGUUAAGUCUGCUAGAAAUGCAAACGUGUAAAGCUUAGUUAGUUAAGGUUGUUACGAAUGCUUAGAUUCAGUUCACGUGUAUUGUAUGUAAUGCUUAGAUUCAGGUCAUGUAGAUUGUGUAUACAACUUUCUUAUAUUCUUUAGAUCUCAAUAUAAAUACUUGUAAUCAACAAAUACAAUAAUAAGAGUCAUCAUUCUUCAUUUUCUCUCUGUUUCUCUCAUAUUUUCUCUGCAUCCAAACACAAUAUUCUCAGUUCUUGACUUGGUAUCAGAGUUGCAGUUUAAUUGUCAUGGCUUCCUUCCUUAAGCACAAAUUCAAACAUAAAUCAGUCUCCUUCAUUCUUUACCCUCACAAAUGCGAUCAAACUGGACAGAUCUAACUAUACGAUCUGGAAAUCUCAGAUCCUCUCUUCAAUUCGUGCCAAUGGACUUGAAGGCUUUCUUAAUGAAACUAAAUUUUUUCCAGAUCAGUUACUUACUCAAGAGAUUGAAAGUUAUGGUGUUGAAAAUGUUGUUGGUGAAAGCUCAGCUGAUAGAUCUCAGGAGAAUCCAGCCUUUGUUGCUUGGAAAAGGUAGGAUCAAUUGUUAUUAAGUUGGCUCAUGUCCUCCAUCAGUGUUGAGAUACUUAGUCUUGUGGUAAAUUCUGAUUCUUCUAAUAAACUUUAGACUAAUCUUGAAGAAAAUUUUUGUAUUAGAAACUAUGGCUAAGAAAGCACACUUAAAAAUGAUGUUAAGCAAUCUCAGAAAGGGAUCAAUGACAAUAACUGAGUAUUUUGCCAAACUUAGAGCUGUAACUAAUAAACUUGCUCUAACUGGUAGCCCUGUUUCUACUCUAGACUUUAUUACUCAUCUAAUCUCUAGAUUAGGCCAGCCAUACUACCCUGUUGUUUUGUAUAUUGAAGCUAAUAUGAUGAAAAUAUUUGUCAAUGAAGCCUAUUCUAUGCUUUUAACUCAUGAAGCAAGAAUUAAAUUUAAUCAUCCGAGUGCAAAUAAAGAAGCAAAGUUGAAUUAUGCUGCUAACAUAGCUUAGGCUGGACCUAGUAAUAACAAUAAGAAGUCUAGUAAUCAAGCUAAUUACUAUCAGGGCAACCAAGGUAACUGGAAUAGAAAUGCUAAUUGGUGUGGUAACAAUGGAGGAAGAGGUGGCUUUGGCAGAGGUUUUUCAGGGCAAGGAAGGGGUAAUUAGAAUAAUGGUGGUCAUUGGAACAAUGGACCUUGGAGUAGUAGUCGAGCAGGUUAUAAUUGUUCUGAUAUAAACAUUAUGACAUGGUUGCUGGUGAACCUGUAAACAUAACCACAAAAGUAAGAAGGCAUAAUCUUUUUAUAAGAAACUCAAAAAUGUAUUAAUGAUGAAAAUUUUAAAACAGAUAGUGGACCAACUGUUCACUAGGAAAACAAAAAACUGAAUAUUUGUGCUAUAAAAAGGUCACACCCAAUCUCACCCCUAUAAAAGGCUAGAAUCAGCUACAAAUCCCUAUCUCAAAACCCCAUCCCAGUUUAGAUGAAUGAAGAAAAAAGAUGAAUCUUGAAACUCCUUAGAAACUGAAGCCCAAAGUGAAGCAAGAAGAUGAACUCUAUCCCAAGCAAGCAAUAUGGCAUAUUUCUCCAUUAAUGGUUCAAAUAAAGUGAAUGGCUUUCUCUGAUGAAUGGGAAAUUGUCAAGAUCAAUAGUCAAACUCACGCAAAGUAAACGGACUUAAUUCUCAGGGGCUACUCAUUCUAAGUCUUAAAGAAUUUUUUUCUAAUUUCUAAAGAUAAUAUGGGGAAAAAUCAUUAUUUUCUAACAUGAAAAAUUUGAUAUAGUGUUUAAUGUCUGACCACAAUGAUAAUAUGAGUACUAACAAAAACAUCUUUUAUCAGCAUGUGCGAGUAAAACACCUUUGCAAUCCAUAAAUGUAAGACGCCGCCUGGAGACUGGAGUCAUCGAAUUUUAUAUGUCAAAAGCGCGUUUCAGUUCAAUAAGCCAUAAAUGUCGUUUAAUAUGCUCAUUUUGUACUUUUUAUAUAAAAAAAAUUAUUUAUUUUUUUUAAUAUUGUUUAUUUAUUUAAAUUUUUUUUAAAGCUAAAGAGGUGGGUAACAUCUAAAUUCAAUUUUUAUCCCUUAUGUCCUGACCCUAAGAUUUGAACUAAGGUGAAUAGCCAAAUGUAUAAUAACAGGUAUUUCGAAUUUCAUUUUAAAUGAUAUGCAAUUCAUUAAGUGAUUGUUAAUUUUUUAUAAGAUCAAAAUGAAUUAAUUGUAUUAUCUUACUAACUAAUUGAUGAGUGCCCUAUUAUUUGGGAUAACUUUUGAAUAAAAAAAUUUUGAUGGAUGAAAUAUUCUUUUGAGAAUUUAUUGACUUAUCUCAUUUAUGACUUAUUGUUGCAUUUAAGUGAUAUUGCAAAAAUUAUUUUGCAAUAAUAUUAUUGUUUUGACGAGUAAGUUUGGAGUAAAUAAUACAUAUGGCAAGUAAGAGGUUCGUUAUUGCAUUUAUUUUGCGGACCUAUUUUAAAGCCAAAAAAAGACAUUUCGAUUCAUUAUGAUUCCAAAUAAUUUCAAGCCAUAUGUCAUUAUUGGGAUAAAAAUAAAGUAAAAUGGUUAAAACUAUUUUUAUGUAAUUUAUAAAAAUUAAUGAAGCAACUGCACAAUUUUUUAACACGAAAAACAAUUGAAAUGUGUGUGGAAAAAGAAGAAAAAAAGAAGGCAUUUAAAUAUCUUUAAAAAAAAUAUGAUUGAGUAAAAUCAUUUUACAGAAUGCUCUUCCAAAUGCAAUUCCACUUUUUUUUUUAAUUGCAUUGGGAUAUUCCAAAAUUGGCACAAUUCAUUAAGAAUUCGGCAACUCAAAUUUUAUUUAUCUCUCUAUGCAUUUGACAAAUUAAAAAGAAAAAAAAAAUCAUAUAUCUUCUGUUCAAAAGAAACCUUGGUAAAUAUUGUAAAACAAAUUACCAAUUUUUUUAAUUUAUGCCAUUAUAUCGUCGCUAUUUUCUCGCCCACUUUCUAUCAAAUGAAAAUGUAAUUAUAUGGUUCAGGAUACCAAUAUGCCGGAGCUGCAAAGGUUGACUUCCACUAUGCUAUCAAUGUCUAUACUUUCUAUUGAAUUUCCUUGUUUUUUUUUUAAAUUGCGAGAUUUAUUUUUGGAAAUCUUUGACACAUUUUAUGUAAGAUACCAUAAAGCCAAAUACAACCUUUUUUAUUCUCAGCAGCAACUUUUUUUUUUCCUUUUAAAAAAAGGAAGCCAUAUAAAUAAUGCUUAAAACAUUAUUUGCAACAAGGAACAAUUAUUUCAUGCUUUCACAGAAUAUGUACUGCUGUUAGCCCGAUUGUUAUGAAGUGGCUUCUGCAUCAGAAGAUUCCAGCUCCCACCAAGCAUUGUUAUCUCUAUUCUAAAUACAAUCUACAUCGCUGGGCAUGAGUUAUAUCAUUAAUGUCUACAUCCUCACUUACAUCAUCCCAAUCAAGUGCUUUUUCUCCACAUCUGGAUUAUAAGCCCACUCCAAUCUCUUCAAAACAUCCCAGUCCUUCCAUCACAACUGAUACGACUUCCUUCCUUACUUCCCCAUUAAUAAAUCGCUCCGAGAAAAAAAAAAAAAAAAAAAAAAAAAAAGCAUUAGCAAUUCUCUUCAACGCCCCAUCAUUCAUAUCCCCUACAACAACCAUCUUCAGACACCUCAACGUUGCCUCUUGAAAGACCUCCACAAAAUCCAAAUCAUCCGACACAACCACCAAACACCCAAACCUUCUCUUGUCCACCAUAUCCACCAUAUAAUUCCUCAACAAAACAUCGGCAUCUUGUGGCUUAUCUAACACCAUCCUGACCCAAAACCAUGCUCUUUUUAACUCAUCUGCAAAACCAUAACCCACUUUUGGAGUCAAAAUUGCGCUUGCAGCCAUUUUAUAUUUUUCCAUCUUUGUUGAAUAGUUGCCAACCAAAAGCACUCUCACCUUCCCUCUAGCUGAUUCUAUUUGAUUCGACCUUUUCUUUUAUUCGCCCUCAUGAAUUUGCUUAGAAUGAUUAACAAGCUUGUCAUUAUUAUAAAAUCUCCUUCCACAAUCACCAAUACAUACGGCUUAGCAGGCCUAAUUACACCCUUGAUUUCUAAUUGGUUAAACAAUUCUCUUUCUUUCUUUGCUCUCUUACAACUUGAGGCACAUAACUAAACUCGUGGCUAUUAGCAUUUGCCACCAUGUAUUUAACAAUCCCAAAUGAAGAUAUUGAUUUUUUUCAGUUUAAUUGCUGCUUCAAAACGGGGUACUGAAUUUGGAUUUUGUUAUCCAAAUACCAAAAAUUUCCCACAUUGUGUUGGACAGUUUUUGGUUCUAAAGUUGAUGACUGGUUUUGCGAAUCAGGCUUCAAAUGAGAACUUCUAAACAAUAAGACAAAUGGGUUUUUGAGUUUCUAAUCUUGUAAACUUUGUUCUAUUGUAUAAGUUAUGAAAUCGCUGAAACAUCACUACAGCUACAGGUCUUUAUGUGUCAAUGAACUGCAGAAGCUGAUGAUCUACCUGUAGCAGACUUCUAUUGUCCCUGCCGUUCUAGGAAGACAAACAAGUUCAGGAACUACUUCUGGACCAAACUCAUAAUAUUGUCACUGCUUUGUGACAAUCUGAGAGGGAAAGCAUAUUGAAGUUCCUAAAUAAGGCACAUCAUGAUUUGACAGAAGUACCACUAUGAGGAACAAUUGAUUUCAGGAAAGCACUAAAAUAUGACAUAAUCUGCCCCUAAUGGUCUAAAGUAGUCAAGAAAUUAUAUCAACCAAGCAAAAACACAUAUACUAGUUGAGAUACAAAGUUAUUGUAAAAGUCAAUUUUGAUCACAAAUCCAUUAAAAUUAAAAGACAUCAGAAAGUUAGAGAACAUUAUAAUUUAGGACUCAGCUAAGUUGCAGAUUCUGUAACUAACAGCUGAGUCCACAUUGGUCUUGCAUCAGCUGAGUUUGGGUUGCUUUUCCUCUCUCCUGCAACGCGUACGUGGAAGCGCCCCAUUUGUUGUGUUAUAUACCGAGUCGGUACCGUAACAAGCUCCUAUAAUUUAAGUUUGAUUACUGUAGACAAUAGUCUGCCUCUGCUCAAAAGCUAUGCUGCAAGAUCUAACAUCUUUGCAAUGUUAUACUUUCUAAAAGUAAUAAGAAAUGAAACCAAGGGGUAAAUCGAACACCAAAAGAAAUUUAGUCGGGAAACCACAUUAUGUUCCCACACAGUCCACUAAUUAAGUUAAUAAUUAAAGGGAAUCAAAAUCUAAGAAAUCUCAUCUUCAAGCAGAAUACAAACACACCGCGAUUGAAAAUCACAAAUUCAUAAAAAGAAGCUGACUUGAAAAGCUCAAAUAUACGUUCAUCAGCCUCUCAACUUAUAUCUAAGAACAAAUGCCUGCAGCCUGUGAAGACAUAGAUAAUUGAAGCUGAUGAGGCAUAUUUAACAGAUGAUAAUCAAAACUCGUGUGGUUAAAAUUACAAUUCAAUAAUGGAGCACAUAAAACAACAACUAGUUGUAUAUAUACCAAACAACUUUCUGAAGUUAAGCCGUAAAACAAAAACAUAGAACAAAUUAAUUAAAUAUACCAGCACCAAUACUCUUAUUAUUAUCCACAUAGAAAAGAACAAUGUAUCAAACAAGGAAAAUGAAAUAUUGUUAAUAACUCAAAAACCACUAGUGUCAAGAACUAGACUAAUAAGUGAAACCCAUAAUCAGACACAACCACAUCAAAAUCUUUGAAAAUUGAGAUCUUUGAAAAUUGAGGUCUAAACAUUGAAAACAAUUAGACAUAUAUAACAGUCAAUCGAAACAAAGCCUCAAAAUAAUAAUGAACUACAAUAAGACAGAAACUAAAUUGUAAACAACCGCAUACCCAGUAACAGUAAUCAAGUAACAAGUCAAAACCAGAAUCAAACGUAGAAUUUUGAAAUCCAUACGAACUCUAACGUAUUAGAAUGAAAGAAUAAGGACGAUCGAUAAACUAGACUCAAACAAAAACAUGCCCAGUUAAAAAAUGAAGGUAAAUAAAUAAAAAUGGUAUAAAACUACGAAAAAAAUUAAUGAAAUGAAGAGAAAAUCACAGGAAUCCUAUGAAGAGGAAGGUAAACGAAACCUUCGGGACCCGAGAAGAUGCCUUUUUUGUUGACGUUUGUGCCUAUACAUAUAUAUAUUUUUUUAUUUUGAAGAAAGUAUUGGUUAACAAAACGAAAUAUUAAUAAUAGAUGCUGGCAAUUUCAACAAGGACAAUCUUCGAUUCAAAUGUACCCCUAUGAUAAAGAAAAAUCUUGAGCACCACAUUACAAGAUCUAGGUGUAUGUAACCAUGCAAAAUGAAACAUCUAUUAAUUGUAAGUCCCUUGACCUCUGGAACCAGCCAACCGGUCUCUUUCCUACUAGACAACCUUCCAUGGAUCAGACUAAUAAUAUUUACUAAAUCAUGUUCUACAGUUAAUGAAGUUGGACCCAAGGCAAUUGUUAGAAGUCCGCCUAGACAUAGAGUGCGCUUAGAAGUGGGAUGCUUAGAAAUGGACCGCCAACACAACCAGCCAACCGUAGUGUGCUUAGCAAAUCACCCAAGCCCGGCCCAAGAUCUAGAACUAUCUACAAAUUGUGAAUAAGUUAAAAGUUUCUAAGUUUCUCCACAUAGGUCCCUAGGAUAUUUAUGGAAGUUGCUAGGAAGUUUCCUCCCCUAGAACUCUAAUACCUAUAAAUAGGGGUGAGCCCCCUCAUUUGCCCACCAAUCACACCACACACACAAACACUCCUGCACACACACAAGCUCUCUAGCUUUUGUAAAAAGCACUCUUGUAUAUUCUCUCUUUGAGAGUAAUAAAAUCAUAUUCAGCCAUAUUGCUCUACUUCUCUCUACCAUUUUCCGCAAGUGUUCUUGCUUCGCUAGUUUGAGGAGUGUUCUAGGCUUGCUUUGCAACUUGUUUGCUACAAGGACAUCUUGUUCACAAAACAUGGACAUGCAAGGAAAAAAAAAUAUUGAUACAUUCUAAAAAUAAUACGCAUUCUUCUACAGUGAACCAAAAAAUUUAGGCUAAUGGUAGCAAGUGAAGGAAUUGUGAUUUCACGUGCAUUUUGUUGACAUGAACGUAAAGAAAUUUUUUAUAGUUUAUAUUGUUUAAUAUAACAUUUGAAUUGCAAAAUAGGGGUACAAAAUGGAUACACGAAGUGAUAAAACUAAGCUCAUUAUGAUAAAUAUUGAAUUAUAAGAUUUACGUUUAAUCAUAAAGACAUAAGUGGCGCACAAAGUCACGAAUUAUCAUCCAUGAUGCAAGUUCAAAUAACUACAUAAUAAGUUGCCCCAAGCUAAACUAUUAAUCUAGUAACUAUUCCAGUCAAUGUGGGAUAAUUUUCCUAUCACCAUCUAUCACGUGCAAGCCGAAUUUGUUGCUUGGUCCUUACAUGUGGUAAGGUAAUAUGAAUCCACUUGUGCAUAAAUUUGCCUCCGAUAUUAUAUAGAAGCCUAUGACCCAAAAUUAUACUUAAAGGUUAUUUCAAGAUUUGAGGGUUGCCUCAAGCUAAUAUUAUUAUUAGCCUGGUAACCUUUUUUUUUUGUUGAUAUGUGAUAUUUUCCGUAUAACUUUUAUUAAUCUUUAUGCUUAUGUUUUGUCAUUUAUCCCAAAAUAUAACAUUAACAAAAGUUCCAAAAUUUCCUUCAAGAGAUAUAUUUGAGACAAGUAAUUUGUGCAAUAACUUUGUGAAUUGAUGAGCAAAUUCAGAGAAAAGAAUAUAUGUGCCAAACGUAACGUUUAUUAUUGUGUUUAUUUGUAGAGCUAUUUAAAGCCCAAAAAAAAAAAGCACCGGUCCGCUGUGAUUUCAAAUAAGUUCAAGCCCUAUGUCAUUAUUGGUACAAAAAUGUAUCAGAAAGAUUAAAAACUAUUUUUAUUUAACUUAUAAACUUAGGAAAUUAUCAAUUGUCCGCCCUUAAAUUGCGCUAUUAUAAAAAAUAUUACAAUAUUUUCAGGUUGUAUAAUUCAUCUACCAUAAAUUUACAAUCUGCAUCAUUUAUCCACCAAAUCAUUAACUUCGUUAAAAAGUGAUAGACGUCACAAGGGUAAUUUAGACAUUUAACACAAAAAAAAAUAAAAGAGAAAUUAUCUAAGCUUACCAUGUUAUCAAAAUUGCUACAAAAUUUUAAAUUUGUUCAAUUUUCCAAUCUAAGUUUAUGACCUCCAAGAUGUUAAUUGCAGUUUGUAAUUAAUGAGUUCAUAAGGAUAAUUUAGACACUCAAUAUGCAAAAUAAAAAUAAACUAAUGGCUUAAAACAUUAAAACAAAAAACUACUUUUUAUAAUUGAUAUUCAAUUAAAUACACAUAAACUCUAUUUUUUUCUUAAUUAAAAAUAUUCUAAUUUAUUUUCUCAAUUUAUCAUCAUAAAUUUACAUUAAUAAACUAAAUCCACAAAUUACCCUAAACCCUAAUUCAUAAAUGCCCAAUCAAUCUAAUAGUUUAAUUCGAUUUCAUAAUUAAAAAAGCUAAAUUUAUUAUAUUAGUUAUGGUGCAAAGUAAACAAAUGCCCUUAAAUUCAAGGGUAAAAUAACAUUUUAUUUAAAUUCUAUAAAUUAUUCUAACAAUGUUAACAUUUUGGUGGACGGCUAAUAUAAGUUACAAACUUAAAAUAGAAAAUCAAAUAAAUUCAAAAUUUCAAACUAUUUAGGGCAAAUUUAGGAUAUAUGGUUAAUAAUUUUCCCAUGUCUUUUUACAUUGGUUGAUAUAAAUUACAAACUUAAAAUAGAAAAUCAAAUAAAUUUAUAUUUUCAAACUAUUUAGGACAAACUUAGGGUAUAUGGUUAAUAAUUUUCUUUUAUCUUUUUACGUUAAAUUGAGUUUCAAAUGUAAAAUGGUCAAUUUAUUAUAACUCUGUUAAUUUUUUAGUGGAAGCAAACGAUAUAAUGGACGAAUGAUAUAAAUUGUAAAAUUAAGGUGGAUGAAUGAUACAACUUUAAAGUAUUGUAGUAAUUUUAAUAAUAGAACAAUUUAAGGGUGGAUUGGCAAUAAUUUAAACUUUAAUGAAGCAACUAAAAAAAAUUUUAACAAAAGAAAAAUAAUUGAAAUGCUUUAAGAAAAAUAAAGGAAAAUAAAUAUCUUUAUAAAAACAUAAUUGAGUAAAAUCAUUUUACAAAAUGCUCUUUCAAAUGCACAUUCCACAAGCCAGGGAGAACGGGUGGCUAACAAAAAUCUCACUUUUUAUGAGUUGAUAAAAUCUCACUUUUGCAGAAUCCAAAAAUAACCAAUACUAAUCACACAAAAAAAUAAAAAUUAUUGCUGUCACGACAUUACACACUUUCUUCGCUGUCUAGAAAGGUAGAACAUUUUGAUGUUCCUCAAUACAAAAUGGGUGCUACUACUAAAUUGGCACGAUUAAUGCCCAUCGAAAAGGCCAUCAAUUUAGCCAGCAAUUUUGUCAAAAUUUCAACAAUUGAAGAAAUCUUGAGAUACAUACAACAAAGUCUUGAAACUUUAGUCUUCACAAUUUGAGCACGCACUAAAUAUUAACCAUCCAUCUGCAGAGCAAGUAUAGAACAAAGCUUGAACUGAACACGCUGAACACAGCUUUUUUUUUUUUGGAUUUUUAGAAUUUUUUAAAGUCAUUUAUGUUCGCUGCCAUCUUUUUCUUUGCUGGCAUCUUCAUUGGCAUCCAACCAAUAAAUUGGGCAUUAAAUACGAAUGAUGAAUAAAAUGAUUAAAAAAAAACAAACAGACCUUUCAAAAAAAAAAAAAACAGAGAAAAUUAUAAUAUAACACAUAUAUAUUGAAAGAGAAAUUUUGAUUUUAGGAUAGAUCAAUUAGCUAUCACAAACGAAAACAUGAACCAACUAUGUAUAGAGUCAAUUAACUAAAGUUCUCAAGAGUUGACCUGUGCUCCAGAAUUCUUGGAAUCAUCUAUCUCCUGAACUUGGACGAAGCUUGGGACAAUUACGAACAUCUUCAUCGGAUGCAGAUGGAAACGGGAUCUGAUAACCCGCAGGCCAAAAGUUGGUGAGGUUUGGUAAAUCUCUCAGUAUCAAGCCCCGAAGUUCAUUCAUAACAAUUUCAUUGUAAUCCGUGACGUCUGUUCCAUCUUUAUGCCAGAAUACUUCUUCUAAUUCAUCAUUACCUACUAUGUAUAGGCAAUCCAGUUUUUGAAGACUUGGAGCUACGCUGAUAUGAAAUAGAUGCUUUAGUUUGGGGCAAUAACGGACAGAGAUCCUUUUGAGUUUUGGGAAACAUACAGGUUGGAGAUGAUCCUCAUCCUCAUCAAUGAUUUGCUCUAAUUCCAAGCAAUUCGAAACAGAUAACACCUCCAAUUGCAACAGAUUUCGAGCAAGUGUUGAUGAGAAGAGACGUCUCAGCAUAGUGCACCCGUCCACUCUUAAAUAGGUAAGACUUUGCAGGCUAAAAUUAUGGGUGGGACCUUCAUGAUAUAAUAAUACUUGCAGUUCUGGAAGAUCUUCCAAUUGCAACGACUUCAAACAUGGGAAAAGUUUGUUUUCUUGUCCAUCAGCGAUAAUAGCUUCCAACUGAAAUACCACCUGUACUCCAAUUUCCCUAAUAUGCAAUUCUUCCAAAUUUUUUAAUCCGUGCUUCAACAGUGCUGGAAUCGUGUCACUCAAAUGGGAACAAUUGUCCACAUCUAGAGUAUUUAAGUUCUGAGACAAAUAAAUAAAUAACUUGAUGCAAUUAAAAUCUAUUAGCAGCUAGGAUUAUCACAUGAUAAGUGAUGAACACCGCAAAAAACAAAAACAGAAAACAAAAUCCAUACAAAAAUAUCAUAAUACAUAUGUAAACUAAUAAAAUAAUUAAAAAGUAAUGGAUUUAAAAAAAAAUGAAAUUAGUUAAAAGAGAUCAUGUGAAGUGAUAUAAAUGUGACAUUAGAUUGUUUUAGAAAAAUUAUUAUUCUAUUAAUUUAUAUGGCUUGAUCAACUAUUUUAUUGAAUUUGAAUAAUAUUAUAUACACUUCAGAAGUAUUUGCAUCAAUUCUUUCUAAACCAAAAUGAGAUAUGACUUUCAUUUGAAGAAUGAUUUUAGGCCCUAUAAUAAAGAAAUUUCUCUAAAAUAUCUUAGCAUUAUUAUUAUCACCAUCACAUCCACCACCAUCAUCAUCUCCAUAGGAUCAAAAAAUUAAUGGCUGAUCAUAAAAUUUAUUGCUAAACUAUCAUUUUGAGUAAAAUUGAAUGAAAAGAAAAAACAUGAACCCAAACAAACAUACCUCUUUGAGAUACUGUAAAUUGGCUUCAAGUUCAUUACUGUUGAUGGUCAAGUUGGGACAAUUAUGAAGGUCUAAAUUUUCCAAUGCUGUCCAAAUUGAACAAUAAUUCUCUGAACAGAACUUGGUGAGUUCUGGGAGAUCUUUAAGUUUUAAUUUUCUCAACAAAGGGAGGGCGAGCAUCGUAUUGCCAUCUCCGAAACUUAUUCCCCCUUCAUUGUGAUCAAACUUUGCUUCGACAAUAUAUUCCAGUCUCUUGCAAUAAGUCACAAUGAGACUUUUAAGCUGCUCCAAACUUCUAGCUUGUGACGACGUGAAGAUGUAUGUCAACUUGUUGCACCUAUGCACAUUCAAUUCUGUAAGAGUUUGGAGACUGAUCACAUGUUGGGCGGGCCCCUUCCAUGUCCACUUCAGUUCUGGUAAGUCCCACAUAGAUAACUCUGCUAAUCUUGAGAGACUCUUUCCAUGCGGCGACUUAGAGGCUUCCAUUAUGCAUUCUAAAUCUUCGCAAUCGCGGACAUCAAGACAAGUCAACUCAUUUAAGCCCCUUUCAUCUAUGCUUGGCACAAUAUUGUAACAACCUAUAAUCCCACUUAAAUAAAGAAUUUCCAGUUCUUGAUACAAUGCCGAAAAAAUACCGAGCGAGGUCGCUUCAGGAGGGUGGUUACCAAUCAUUAAGAUCCUUGCCUUAUCAUCAUGUUCCCUUUCAUCAUAAACUCCUUCAACUUUAUAGAUGACGUACCUUUGCAAUUUCGGGAAUGUAAAGUCUUUUGGAAGACAUACAACAGAUCUGUCGGCUUGGGAGUUCAACUCAGCAAGCCUAGCAUUACUUUCUUCUGAACUCAUCCCUUCAACCUCCCAAUCUUUUAUCCGACCAUAAAAUUCUUCCAAUUGAGGAAAUUUUUUUAUCGUAAUGGGAGAAACAGAACCAGUAUCAAUAUAUAGAAGUUUCAAUCUACCAAGUUCAUCCGACAAUUCUUCAGGAAUUUCAAUGGGAGAUGACUGGAGAUAAAGAAGUUCAAGUCUCUUCAACUUUCCAAGAAAAAACGUGUCACUCACAUCACACCGAAUCAACUGCAGAACCUGGAGGUUGGUGAGGCUCUGAAGCGAUUUAAGUGAAAGAACUCCACCUAUUAUAGUGACAACUUUCAAUGCUGGCAUCCCUUUAAAAAAAUGUUCUGGAACUUGCAAUCGGUGGUCGUAUUCAGGAUUCUCCAAUCGCAAAAUAUGAAGGUUAGGGCAUACCAAACCACUAGAAAGCUCUUAUUUUUUAUUUCCCACCAAAGAGAUUCCUCUGUAUUGUUCCAGGCCUUCUUUCAUUGCCCGUUCUGCCAAUCCAAUGCCAAAUUUACUAAAAAAUUUCUUCUCCUCUAGAACUAUUGAGCCUAUCCAUAUGGCUACAUCACGAACCAUGUCAUGCAUUUUCACAGAUCUGUCAUUACCAGUGUCUAACAGCAGUGACGCAGCUUUGAGCGCGUUAAUCGUUCCAUGCAGUCGGCUUCUGGCGUUUUCUAUUGACGGAGCACAUUGAUACCAAAUAACCCCCACUGCGUAUCCAACCAAAUCCUCCAAAUAAAUCUCAUAAUCUUCUGGAAACAGAGAACACAACAAGAAGCAUAACUUGGACUCCUCACUAUUUAAAUUGUCGUAACUGAAUUUAAGACAACCGUAAACGUCUUGGUCAUCCUUGUCAAUACCUUCUAUUGCAUAGAGUUUUGCUUCCUUUAGGUUAUUUAGUGCUAGUUUCCAUUCAUCAGAUCCUUUUUCUCUUAGUGCACUUCCAACAGCUUCAAUAGCUAAAGGCAGCCCCUUAAUUACAUUCGUCGGCAACUUGUUUUGAAACACCAUCCAAGGAGGAGUCGUUUACAUUAAUACCGGCAUUCAUUUUUAGUAGAGUCAAUCCUUCUUCUGGUGUUAUUGUACCAAGUUCAAUCUGUGGGUAACAACCGAAAGAACCACAAAUUGACUUUUUGCGAGUGGUUAGAAGGAUUUUGCAACAAUUGUCUCUAUCACCAAUGGGAAUACCUAAUUUUUUCUCCAAGUCGAGUUGUUUCCAAACAUCACCAAGGAUUAUGAGGAUUUUGCUGCUUUUACUCUCAGAAAACAUCAACCGCAAUCGAUCUGCUCUCUCUUUUUCAUCUGUCUCAUUUAACGCCCAGCCUAACGACUUUACCAGCUCACUUUGAACCUUUAUUAUAUCUGGAUCCUGAGACACAGUGACUAUCCCAACUUCAUCGAAAAUCUUUUGUUGCCGAAGUUGAUUGCCCACAAAAUUUGCCAAGGUCGUCUUCCCUACACCACCGAGACCGUGCAAUCCCACCAUCUUUGUGCUCUCUUUUUUCAGUGCUUCAGUGAUUUGAAUGCAAGCCAAAUCUGUAGCCUUGAAAGGAGAAAAAGAUCUCGGUAUAGGCAAUUCUUUGUCUGAUGGUAGAGGUUUAGGACGGGCAACUGUGCUGAAUUUGCUGCGGUCUUGUAGCAGAUCGGACAACUUGCUAGUCUUCUUUGAUGCUUUUGUACCCAGCCAGUAUCGGCAACCCCAAUUAGGACACCAUCCAUUAAGACAACUCUUCUUUUCAUCUAUCUUUGCUUUUAAAUUUCGAACGUCGGCCAUUUCUUUAUCUACAUCCUCAAGCCAUGUCUCGACAUCUUUCUCGACUACUAUAGCACGGUGUAUUUGUCGUUCUUGUUCUACUCUUUCAUUGAUGCCAUCUUUUUCCUUCUUCAAAUUGGUUUCUUUAACCUUAAGUUCUUUAUCUAUGCUGUUGAAACACAGCAGAUAACGAGCUUGGUUUAUGGUUGCAUCCACCAACAAUUCUCCAAGCCUUGAUGCAACACCUGACAAAAGUUCCAUGCUAUUUAUCUGCAAUUAAUAAAGUUGAUCUCAGUAAGCUAUAAGCAAAACAAUGAGGCUUGAUCACAAGAUCGAACGAGAAAGUUUAAUUACCUUUUUCUAUUCUGUGAAUGCACGUUUAUUGACACUAGCUUUGACCAGUAAGAGCAAAAUGCAAACGCCGAGCUUUAAGUGGCCUUUAGCUGCAAAACAAAAGAGAGGAAAUAAGGUAAUUUAUUAUUAUUAUUAUUUUUAAGGACGGAUAAAGGUUAGCUAGCUUGCAGACAAAUUUACUAAAAUCAAGACAAACCUAAGAGUUUUCCUAAUUUGUUCAAACAUGGAAUAAGCGUUUCACAACAGUAUAUCCAUAAAGGCCCCAGCGAACGUAAUAUGUGCUGGACUAUAUUGAAAUUAGAUUAUUUUAGAAAAUUUUAAAUAAAAAAUAUCAAACAACAAAGAAAUCUAAUAGAAUCUGGAUAAACAGCAUGGGAGAAUAUGGUAAAAUUGAUAAACUUGGUUCAAAAAUUACAAUUCUUUUUGAGAUUUGAACCAACGAUUUUGACUAAGGUCUCCUAAGCCACAAAGCAUAACUCUUACUACUAAAUUACGCGCAUUUUGUUACAUUUAAAUGUGGUCAUAUUCUUUUUAUUAUCUUUUUUUAGAAGGGACUCAUGGUAUACUUAAAAGAAAUAAUAAUGAUUUAGAUAGGGCUGAAGCCCACUCAUGAAAAAAUUCAAAGGUUUUCAAGAUAAUUACCGAUUUUUUUCCACCCAAUAUUCUAAUAGAAUGGUGCCAGAAUUCUCAAAUAAUAUCUUAAUAUUAUUUAACUGGUUGGCACCCACCUAUUGGAUGAUUAAUUUAAUAAUUUGUUACAUUAUUUAAUACUCCAUCUCACUAUCUAGUGAUGUAAAUGGUGGAGAAGGAUCGUCUCCUAGACUUUUUUCUCUCACUAAUCUCUUAGUGAAAUAAGUGGCCGAAAUUGAAUUUUAAUUUUUGAUAUUGACAAUUAAAUUGGCUUGUUUCACAUUAUUAACAAUUAAGCCAAUUUUUUUUUUCUCCUUUUUUCAAUUAGAUUUGGAAGGCUAUAAGAGAGUAGGAGAGAAAAAACACUAGAAGGAGAUCUUAAUCCAUAAAUAGUACCUUAUUUGGGAUGGUAAAGAUUGAGAUAAAUUUCCUCUUAGUCUCUAAAAUUUUGGCCUAUGCGCAGCCAUAAUUUUAGUAUUUUUAAAAAGAAUGGGAUUAUUUACAUUCUAAAAUCUAUUUUGAAUACUCUUUUACUCAACACACUCAUUCAAUAAAUAAAUUUUAAAAAAUAAUUUUUACUUUACACACUAUUUCGAGAGUCAAAACUAUCCUUCAUUAGGACCAUUUCAUUAACUAAUUAUUUUCUAUUGACACCCAUAAAAUAUUCAUCAUUCUUGAACCAUGUGGCGUUAAUUAAUGAUUCCGAAGCAUUAUCAAGAUUCAAGAUUUAUGUUGAAAUUCUUUCAUCUGACAUUUGAACCCAGCCACUAGCUAUAUACAUAUAUACUUUCAAAUGCAGCUCCGGGAAUAUUUUGUGACUGAUUUUAUAAAGUGUUUUAGUUACAUUAAUGCAGUGAAACAAUAAAGAGUACGUGGCUUGCUGAUUUCCAAAUCAAGUUGGGGGAAAAAACAGAGCAUUUUUCUUUUAUAAUGGAUUAGAUUAGACGAUGAAGGAAAAAUUAUUAGCGAUUAUUAGUACUUUUGUGUGUGUUAAGAGUAAUAAUAUUAUUUUAAAUUAUAUUAAUGCCUUUGGUACUGAAUUCAAUUAGGGUUAUUUUAGUAAUAUAAAUUUUCAUUAAAAUUAAAGUGUCCAAAUUAUAAUUUAGAUUUUUCAAAUGUAAAAUAAUAUUUAUUUAUUUGAUAUAAAUUAAAAUUCAAACAAAUGUAUCAUGCAACAAAUGAAAAGUAAAGAAUAUUAAUUAGGUUUUAAUAGAAACAAAUAUAAAUAGAUGUUUUGAGUAGUUAAUUUUUGUUAUUUUAUGCUAUUGGUAGUUUGUGGAUUAAAUAAUUUGUAUAAGGAUAAAUGGGGGUUUGUAUAAUUUAUACGAAGAUAAUCUCCAAAAUAAGCUUAUAUGUCGAAUUUAAAAGUGUUAUAUAAGUAGUAAUCGUAUAUGCAUCAAAAUUUUUAAUAAAAUUUAUUUAGAAAUUGGCCAAUUGAGUUUUAUGAAGAAAAUAGACGGGCAAGUAAUUUGUAGGUUGUGGUACUUCUCCAUACUUCAAAUCACUUUUAUCUAAUCAAUUGAUAAAUAUUUUUGGGCUCCAACAAAAUGAAAAGAAAAAGUUAAAAAUAAUUCUGAAAUUAAAAACGUUAGGUACUGCCUAUAAGCUAUACAAUUUUACCUUUCCUUCUAUCACAAUUAGUAUUAGAAAUAAAAAUAGUUUCGAAAUAAAUGUAAUUAGGAGGUAAUAUUAUCUCAACAAUACCUUAUAGGGAAAAAAACAUCUAUAUCCUAAAGUUUGGAGAAAUGGUCGUAAAGACCCCAGGUUUUCAGAAAGGGAUAUCAAGACCCUUUUUUGACCGUAAUACCCUUUAAAUCUAGUAAUUAAAAAAUUGACUUUAAGAUUUUUUAAUUGACAAAUUUAAUAUAAAUAAUAUAAUCUAUCUAGUAGAUUAAUAAUAUUAACAAUAAAAAUAAUAUUAAAAUUUAAAUUCUUAUAUUUAUUCUAAUAAUAUUUUUUUAUUUAUUAUAAAGAUUUUAAAUAAAUCCUUGGGUUAAAUAGGUUUUCCAGUUAACAAAAUAUACCCCUAUUAAAAAUAUUGAAAUUACUUUCUACAUAAUAUUUAAAAUAAUUACAAUUUAUUUAUUUUAAUAUUAUGUUUCUAUUUAUUAUUAAAAAUUACUUUAUUAGAGCAAAUUUUUAUUAAUUAAAGCUUUAAAAUUAAUUUUCUAAUUACUAAAUUAAAAGGGUAUUAUGGUCAAAAUGGGUCUUUCAUUUUUGAAAACUUAGGGUUUUUGCGACCAUCUCCCCAAACUUUGGAGUAUAGGUGUCCUUUUCCCGACUUCAUAUAAAGAUAUUCCAGAAGGUCUUAUAAUAACUUAUGUUAUAUGAAUUUAAUUAAAAUAUCAUUAAUACUUAAAUAAUAAUAAUUAUAGAAGACAUUGUAAUAAAUUAUUUGAUAUAUAUUAUUAAUGAUACUAUAUAUAUGUGUAUAUAACUACAUGAUGGCUUGGAUAUAUAUUGUUUAGUGGUAAUAAAUUUUUUUAAAAAAAUUUAAACUAAUGAUUUCAUGCGAUUCAAUGUUGGAUGAUUUAAAAUCAUAAAAUAUUGUUUUGACUUUCAAUAUCAACCGUUAGACUGUGAGAAAUUAAUUGCUCAAUAUUUUGUGUUAAAAUUUUAAAUUAAAAUAUCCCAAACCAUUUGUUUUACUUAAAAUACAAAAAAUAUAUAAAGAAAUUUUCUCAUUAAUUUUCAUAUUUUUAUUAGAGGUAAUAUUUUAUGUAUCGUCACCAUUAAUUGCCGUCAUUAAAGUAGUGACUCUUACUAAUAUAAAAUUUUAUAAUUAGUUAAUUGCAAUCAAAUGAUAUCAAUAAAAUAAUAUUUCAUGAUUCAUAAAUUAAAUCUAAUUAAGAAUAUAUGUUAGUUUUAACUUUUAUGAAAUCAACUAAGUGAUAUUACAAAAUAAAAUGAAAAUAAACUAGUGAAAUGAUGUGCUCAUAAUUUAUCUAUUAUUUUAAUGCUUCCAUAACUUAAUUUUAUGUUAAAUUAUAUUUUAUUAUAUUAAUUUUUAUCUUAAUUUUUAUAUUUUGUCAUUGUAGGAAUAAUGGGAAUAUUCAUGAGAAAAGAAGCUUAAAGAGGAAACAAAUUAGAGUAUAAUGAAAAUAAUGUGGAAGCAAAAGGGAAAGAAAUAAAAAGCCAAAUCAAGGCUGAUUGAAUUUAAUCAUCAUGCAUGCAACACGUGGGGGGAGCAUUAAAGAAUUAAUUUGCAAAUUGGCCAAUUAAACUUUACAAGUCACGUGGAUGGGCUUAAAAGGUGGCUAGAAUUGUUUUGUUUUAAAAAUCCCUUUCAUUUAAGGAUUCGUGGGCUGGAUUUGCAAUCCUUUUCCUUUAAGGAUUUGGAAGAAACCACAACAUUAUAAAAGAGAAGAAAGGCAGCCGCACAAGAGGGAUGGAAGCCAAGAGAAAAGAAAUAAUUGAGCAGCAACCGGAAGUCUUGAACGAAAACCGAAGAGCAGCAGCAAUAAUUUAGAGCAGAAGGAAGACACGUUAAUUCUUGAGUUUUUCUCUCUCUCUUCUCUAUUAUCUUGCUUGAAUGUUUCCAAUUAAAUUAAUGAAUUCUCUUUAUAUUCCCAUGAACUAAUUUAUUUACUAGGGCUACGAUGUAGCCUAAUUAUGAAGAUUUAAUUCCAUAAAUCUAUGUUAUUUUUUAAUUAAUUAUUCCAUGAUUGAGUGUUCAUUAUUGUGCUUAAUGCUUUUAAAUAUCUGGCCAAUAUUUGAAUGAUUCGAGGAUACAUAAUGAGACCGAGAUGAGAUUUAUGUAUUUUUGCUCUGUGUAAUGGAUGCCAUGAAUUGAACGAAAGACAUAGAUGUGCCAACGUGAUUCAUGCAGUUUUAUCUAAGAAUUUCCAUAGAACUUAAUGAAUCUUUGCAUAUUUAAAUUCACAUAGAGAUAUAGUGGGUUGAUAUGUGGAGAUAUUUUUGAUAUUACUCGAGAGAGGAUAUUGAAUAAAUUAGGGAAAUUCACUGUCAACAUGGGUAAUAAACUUUAAUAGCAUAGAUAGAGGAUUAAAUUGGAUUGGUUAUGGUGAAAUCGGAUGUCCUAGUGUUUUAAUCUCUUGGUGAUUUCUAUUACUGCCUGCGUCUUCAUUUAAUUUUUAAUUAUUUUAUUUUAUUUAACUUUAAUCUAAAUUCGCCUAAUCGAUUGUUCAAAUAAAGCAGGGUUAGAAUAAUUUCGGUAACUAAUAGGAUAUACAAUCUCUGUGGGACGAUACUCUACUCUUCAUUAUAUUACUUGUGCCGACUAGUACACUUGCUAAUUUACGCAACAAGUUUUUGAUAUAAAAUUUACACUUGCUAAAGUAGUGACUCUUACUGAUAUAAAAUUUUAUAAUUAGUUAAUUGCAAUCAAAUGAUAUCAAUAAAAUAAUAUUUCAUGAUUCAUAAAUUAAAUCUAAUUAAGAAUAUAUGUUAGUUUUAACUUUUAUGAAAUCAACUAAGUGAUAUUAGAAAAUAAAAUGAAAAUAAACUAGUGAAACUUAAAUUUUAUAAGGUUUGAAUAAUUUUCUACCACGUAAGAAUAUUAAUUGUGACAUAAACCAUAGUUUCAUGGUAUAUGUAUGCCAAAUGGGGUAACAAAUAAUAUAUACUUCAUGAUCAUGAUAGUAUAUAAAGUAGUGGAUAUUUUAAUAAAUAACAUAAAAUUCUUUAAGACAUAGGUGGUCAAUUAUAUAUUUUUUAGGAUAUAGACAAUCUCAAUCAAGAGUUUAUUGAUGUGAAUAGAUGGCAUUCACUUAAAUGUAUAUACUUAAUUGUGUUGUUUAUUGGUAUUACAUGUAACAAAAUUUUAUAUUAAAUUUUGAAGUUUUAUACUGUUGUUUCUAUUGAAUUUAUAAAUACAAUAAAAUUAUGGCCAUCAACAAUCACAACCAACUGCCACCAACAAUUACAUUCUCAUAUCUGUUGACGACAAUUUUUUAUACUAUUGGAACUCCAAUCUUUGAUGCUACACAAUAGUUAAAGUACCGACAUCAAUAGAACUUCCGUUCAUUGUAGAUCUAUAGUCAAAGUUUCGAAUCUUAAAAAAUUGACAGCAGAUUUAUGUCAAAUGAAAGCUUGUUACCAGUGAUUCUUAUACAAUUAUGUUGUUAUAGUAAUAAAGAUUCUAAUGGUACUAAAAUGCACUCCAUUAGACAUAAAGAUCCGACGACUAGUGGCGACAAUAACUAUCAUUAGUGACUUGGAGGUAAUUGCCGUUAAUAAAUUAUUUUUAACUUAAUAAUUAAUACAAACAAAUAAAAAAGUAAUUUAAGGAAAAUUAAUGUAAUAAAUAAUUGAAUUAAAAAAAUUAAAACCUAAAUUCUCGACCAUUUAUCCGUAUCUUUGGAAUCCAACGUUCAAAAUUGGAAUAAAACAUAGUAUAGCCAUUGGAAGUAAAACAAACAUUAAAGAGACUAGGAAAAAAUAUCUCAUACCUUCUAUAAUGAUACAUCCUCAAUCACUGCAGAAAGCUCCAAUUAAAAAGUCGCACAAGUUCGGAGAAAAUUACCAACUGUACCUAACAACACAAAUAAACAUCAAAUCAAAGCAACAUAGGAUCCAGCUAAUUAACAUCAUAAGUAAGUCCUUGUUCUCAGUCAAAUCUUUCGUUCUUAGGAAAAAAAAAAAAAUUGAAAGAAUAACGGUAACUGGAAAGUUUGACGACAUAAAGAUCUAGCUAAAUUUUAAGAAGCAAAAGUAAAUAAUGAAAGCUCAAUAAAAGAUCAUCAGCAUUAACAUACCGAAAUGAGAGCAGCUCACAGAACUGGUAAUUUCCAAGAACAGGAAAAAUAAGUGAGCUGAUAUUGAGGACAACUAAAGUAGUCAUGGAGUAAUUUGCUAUUGAGGACACCUAAAAUAAGAAAAUUAAUUAACAUUGCUCUAUACACCAUUUCAAUAAUUUGACUAUUAAAAAAAAAAUCUAUCUAGAUCACGAUUUCUCAAAAUGAUACUUUUUCUAAUUAAAUAAAUCAAAAUGCUUGCUUCUUUCUUUUUCAGAAAAGAAAAAGUGGCAAUGGCAUCAAUUUUUUUGCUAGAUUAUUAUCACCAAAAGCACAAGCAAGGAAUAAGAAUACUCUCUGAAACCAACCAUGUAAAGAGUAGAAGUAAGUGGUCAAUUGUAAAUUAGUCUUUCUUUUUUCUUUGUUAUUUUUUUCAUUUUUUGAAUGUGAACUAAAUAAAUUUAAGGGUGAAGCUAUUACACCUUGAAAACUAUAACUGAACACCCAUUUUUUUAAUUAAAUUUUUAUUACUAAAAUAACCAUGGAGUAAUUUGCUACUAAGGAAAACUAGAAUAAUAAAAUGAAUAAUGAUUGCUCUAUACACCCUUUUCUAAGUCUAUCUUCUUCUUAAUUUCAUAAUUUGGCUGUCAAAAAGUAAUCUAUCUAGAUCACGAUUUCUCAAAUGAUGCUUUUUCUAUCUAAAUAAAUGAAAAUGCUUGUUUCUUUCUUUCUCGAAAAGAAAAAGUGGCAAUGGCAUCAAUUUUUGCUUGCAAGCACAGCGAGGAAUCAGUAUACUCUCGGAAACUAACCAUAUUAAGAGUAGAAAUAUUUAUUUGGUUAUCACGAAGUAAGUUAGAAAUCAAUUAUAAAUGGUCUUUUUUUAUUUUUUAAUGUGAACUAUAUAAAUUUAAGGUGAGGUUAUUUACACUUUGAAAAACAUUCUGAAAACCAUUAUUUCAUUAAAUUUUUUAUUAUUAAAGGUCCGUUUGGGGCAGCUACGUUGAAGCAGCGCAGCUGCCCCAAACGCUCUCUAAAAUAGCCAUGGAGUAAUUUCUUACUGAGGAAAACUAGAAUAAUAAAAUCAAUUAUCAUUCUUCCAUGAACCCGUUUCUAGAUGUAUCUUCUUCUUGAUUUGGUAACUUGGCUGUCAAAAAGAAAUCUAUCUAGAUCACGAUUCCUCAAAAUGAUGCUUUUUCGGAUGAAAUAAAUGAAAUUGAACCUACAAUCUGUCACAAACACGUUAUAAUGAGCCUAAUGAAAAGCAGUAUGAGAAAUUUUGCUUCCAUGUUGUUUCUUCCAUAUGUAAAGGUAGUAAAAAGAAAUUUAAGUCCUAGAAACAAAUGGAUGAAGAAUUAUCAAUAAUUAAAAUUAAAAAAAGAAACAGAGUUAUAAAAGAAUCACAGUUCCACCAAAAAUUAAGAGUUAUUUUAUUUGGUGGUUUCCUAUCCCGAAAGCAUUACUUGUAAAUAUGUGCUAACAAGUAAUAAUUAAGAAAGUUAAGGCCAAUCAUUUAGAAGGGAGAAAAAUGGAAACAUCCGGAAUAUUGUUAUGUGUUUUCAGUGCGUAUCUACCAAUCAAUAAUGAAAAAUUAAAUACGCAUGUGACGAAAAUUUAAUAAAGAGAACUGGAGGUGACAAAAUUUUUAUUAUUCUAUCUUUCUCUCCUCUGAAACUUCCUUAAUUUGGUUGGGAAGUGCUUUGUCUUAGGCAGUGGAUCUGUUAUAAAUACCCUAUGCUAAAGUUAAUAUUUUGAUUGAAGAAAAAAAUAGAGGAGAAAAAUUUUAUUAAAGUAUAACAUAAUUUGAUAAAUUUAGAAUUGAGGAGAGAAAAUGAGUCUAAAUUCGAAAAUUUUGGCACUAUUUACAUAUAAUUAUUUGGGCAAAAAUUCAUUUCUCUGCUUUCAUAUGAUUUGGUCUUUCAUUGUUACGGUGCCAAUUUUUUAUUUAAAGAUGUAAGAUAGUGGUACUAUAGCUUAGAUUUUCCGUAAAUACUACAUGGUAAGUACAAAAUAAAAUACUAGUUUAAAAUAUAAAAAUGAAAAACUAUUUUUAUAACCAAUAUUCAAUUAAAUACACUUGAAACUCUAUUUUUUCUUAAUAAAAAAAUUCUAAUUUAUUUUCUCAAUUUAUCUAAACAACUUUACCUAAUCAAGCUAAAUCUACAUAUUACCCUAAACCUUAAUUCAUAAACACCCAAUCAAUCCAAUUGUUAAAUCCGAUUUCAUAAUUAAAAAAGCUAAAUUCUAUUUUAUUAUUUAUGGUGCAAAGUAAAAAAUGCCCUUGAAGUUAAGGGUAAAAUUGAUAUUUUAUUUAAAUUUUGUUAAUAUUCUAAUAAUGUUAAUGUCUUAGUGGUUAAUAAAAUCACAAAGUCAAACUUUUGUAGUAUUUUUUAUAAUAAGUUAAAGAUAUAUGUUUGAUAAUUUUCCUACGUCUUUUUACGUUAAAUUGAGUCUCAAGAGAAAAAUGAUUAAUUUGCUACAAUUCUGUCAGUUUUCUGAUGGAAGAUAAUGAUACAAUGAAUAAAUAAUACAAAUUAUUAAAUUAAUGUUGAUGAAUGAUACAACUUGAAAAUAUUGUAGUAUUCUUAAUAGUAGAGAAAUGUAAAGGUGGAUGGUUGAUAAUUUAAUGAAGUAACUACAGAAUUUUCCUUUCAAAUAUUUUUUUAAAAUAUAUAAUGAGUAAAAAUCAUUUUACAGAAUGAUCAUACGCAUUUUGUAUCACAAACGAAAACAUGAACCAACUAUGUAUAGAGUCAAUUAACUAAAGUUCUCAAGAGUUGACCUGUGCUCCUGAAUUCUUGGAAUCAUAUAUCUCCUUCUGAAUUUCCACGAAGCCUGGGACAAUUAUUAACAUAUACAAACUUGGCAGAUGGAAAUGGGAUCUGAUAACCCGUAGGCCAAAAGUUGGUGAGGUUUGGUAAAUCUGACAGUAUCAACUCCCCAAGUUCAUUCAUAACAAUUUCAUUGUACUCCGUGACGUCUGCUCCAUCUUUAUGCCAGAAUACUUCUUCUAAUUCAUCAUUACCUAUUAUCCAUAUGUACUUCAGUUUUUGAAGACUUGGAGCUACGCUGAUAUGAAAUAGAUGCUUUAGUUUGGGGCAAUAACCGACAGAGAUCCUUUUGAGUUUUGGGAAACAUACAGGUUGGAGAUGAUCCUCAUCCUCAUCCUCAUCAAUGAUUUGCUCUAAUUCGAAGCAAUUCCAAACAUAUAACGCCUCCAAUUGUAACAGAUUUCGAGCAAAUGUUGAUGAGAAGAGACGUCUCAGCAUAGUGCACCCGUCCACUGUUAAAUAGGUAAGACUUUGCAGGCCAAAAUUAUGCGUGGGACCUACGUGAUAUAAUACUUGCAGUUCUCGAAGGCUUUCCAACUGCACCUCCUUCAAACAUGGGAAUAGUUUGUUUUCUUGUCCCUCAGCGAUAAUAGCUUCCAAUUGAAAUACCACAUGUACUCCCAGUCGUCUAAUACCCAAUUCUUCCAAAUUUUUUAAGCCGUGCUUCAACAGUGCUGGAAUCGUGUCACUCAAAUGGGAACAAUUGUCCACAUAUAGAAUUUUUAAGUUCUGAGACAAAUAAAUAAAUAACUUGAUGCAAUUAAAAUUUAUUAGCAGCUAGGAUUAUCACAUGAUAAGUGAUGAACACCGCAAAAAACAAAAACAGAAAACAAAAUCCAUACAAAAAUAUCAUAAUACAUAUGUAAACUAAUAAAAUAAUUAAAAACUAAUGGAUUUAAAUAAAAAAUGAAAUUAGGUAAAAGAGAUCAUGUGAAUUGAUAUAAACGUGACAUUAGAUUGUUUUAGAAAAAUUAUUAUUCUAUUAAUUUAUAUGGCUUGAUCAACUAUUUAAUUGAAUUUGAAUAAUAUUAUAUACACUUCAGAAGUAUUUGCAUCAAUUCUUUCUAAACCAAAAUGAGAUGUGAUUUUCAUUUGAAGAAUGAUUUUAGGUCUUAUAAUAAAGAAAUUUCUCCAAAAUAUCUGAGCAUUAUUAUUAUCACCACCACAUCCACCACCAUCAUCAUCUCCAUAGGAUCAAAAGUUUAAUGGCUGAUCAUAAAAUUUAUUGCUAAACUAUCAUUUUGAGUAAAAUUGAAUGAAAAGAAAAAACAUGAACCCAAACAAACAUACCUCUUUGAGAUACUGCAAAUUGGCUUCAAGUUCAUUACUGUUGAUGGUCAAGUUGGGACAGUUAUGAAGGUCUAAAUUUUCCAAUGCUGUCCAAAUUGAACAAUAAUUCUCUGAACAGAACUUGGUGAGUUCUGGGAGAUCUUUAAGUUUUAAUUUUCUCAACAAAGGGAGGGCGAGCAUCGUAUUUCCAUCUCCGACACUUAUUCCCCCUUCAUUGUGAUCAAACUUUGCUUCGACAAUAUAUUCCAGUCUCUCGCAAUAAGUCACAAUGAGACUUUUAAGCUGCUCCAAACUUCUAGCUUGUGACAACGUGAAGAUGUAUGUCAACUUGUUGCACAUAUGCACAUUCAAUUCUGUAAGAGUUUGGAGACUGAUCGCAUGUUGGGCGGGCGCCUUCCAUAUCCACUUCAGUUCUGGUAAUUGCAACAUAAAUAACUCUGCUAAUCUUGCGAGACUCUUCCCAUGCGGCGACUUAGAGGCAUCCAUUAUGCAUUCUAAAUCUUUGCAAUCGCGGACAUCAAGACAAGUCAACUCAUUUAAGCCCCUUUCAUCUAUGCUUGGCACAAUAUUGUAACAACCUAUAAUCCCACUCAAAUAAAGAAUUUCCAGUUCUUGAUACAAUGCCGAAAAAAUAACGAGCGAGGUCGCUUCAGGAGGGUAAUUAUUAAUUAUUAAGCUCUUUCUCUGACUAACAUAUUUCAUUUUAUCAACAACUCCUUCAACUUUAUAGAUGAUGUACCUUUGCAAUUUCGGGAAUGUAAAGUCUUUUGGAAGACAUACAACAGAUCCGUCGGCUUGGGAGUUCAACUCAGCAAGCCUAGCAUUACUUUCUUCUGAACUCAUCCCUUCAACCUCCCAAUUUUUUAUCCAACCAUAAAAUUCUUCCAAUUGAGGAAAUUUUUUUAUCGUAAUGGGAGAAACAGAACCGGUAUCAAUAAAUAGAAGUUUCAAUCUACGAAGUUCAUCCGACAAUUCUUCAGGAAUUUCAAUGGGAGAAUCCUCGGGAUAAAGAAGUUCAAGUCUCUUCAACUUUCCAAGAAAAGAUGCGUCACUCACAUCACAUCCAAUCAGCUGCAGAACUCGGAGGCUGCUGGCGAGGAAUCGAAGCGAUUUUAGUGAAAGGACUCCAUCUUUUAUAGUAACAACUUUCAAUGCUGGCAUCCCUUCAAAAAAAUGUUCUGGAACUUGAAAUUUGUAGUCACAUAGAGUAUUGUCCAAUCGCAAAAUAUGAAGGUUAGGGCAUACCAAACCACUAGGAAGCUCUUCUUCUUUAUUUCCCAUUACAAAGAUUCCUCUGUAUUGUUCCAGGCCUUCUUCCAUUGCCCAUUCUGCCAAUCCAAUGCCAACUUUACCAAAAAAUUUCUUCUCCACUAGUACUUCUGACCCUAUCCAUAUGGCUACAUCACGAACUAUGUCAUGCAUUUUCACAGAUCUGUCACUACCAGUGUCUAACAGCAGUGAAGCAGCUUUGAGUCCUUCAAUUGUUCCACGCAGUAGGCUUCUGGCGUGCUCUAUUGAUUCAGCUUGAUACCAGGUCAACCCCACUACAUAUCGAACCAAAACCUCCAAAUUAAUCUCAUAAUCUUCUGGAAACAGUGAACACAACAAGAAGCAUAACUUGGAAUUGUCAUCAUUCAAAUUGUCGUAACUAAAUUUGAGACAACCGUAAACGUCUAGGUUCUCCUCAUCAAUACCUUCUAUUGCAUAGAGUUUUGCAGCCUUUAGGUUAUGUAGAGCCAGGUUCCAUUCAUUAAAUCUUUUUCCUCUUAGUGCACUUCCAACAGCUUCAAUAGCUAAAGGCAGCCCCUUACAUUCUCCAGCAACUUCUUUGGAAACAUCAUUCAACGUGGAGUCAUUUACAUCAAUGCCGGCAUUUUGUCGCAGUAAAGCCAAUCCUUCUUCUGGCGUUAGUGUACUAAGUGGAAUCUGUGUGUCACAACCCAAAGAAUCAAAAACUGACUUUUUGCGAGUGGUUAGAAGGAUUUUGCAACAAUUAUCUCUACCACCGACGGGAAUACCUAAUUUUUUCUCCGAGUCGAGUUGUUUCCAAAUAUCAUCAAGGAUUACGAGGAUUUUGCUGCUUUUACUCUCAGAAAACAUCAAGCGCAAUCGGUCUGCUCUCUCUUUUUCAUCUUUCUCAUUUAGUGCCCAGCCUAACGACUUUGCCAGCUCACCUUGAACCUUUAUUAUAUCUGGAUCCUGAGACACAGUGGCUAUCCCCACCUUAUCGAAAAUCUUUUGUUGCCGAAGUUGAUUGCCCACAGAUUUUGCCAAGGUCGUCUUUCCUACACCGCCGAGACCAUGCAAUCCCACCAUCUUUGUGCUGUCUUUUUUCAGUGCUUCAGUGAUCUGAUUACAAGCCGAUUCUGUAGUCUCGAAAGAAGAAAAAAAUCUUGGAAUAGGCAUUUCUGUGUCUGAUGGUAGAGGUUUAGGAAGGGCAACUGUGCUGAAUUUGCCGCGGUCUUGUAGAUCGGACGACUUGAGAGUCUCCUUUGAUGCUUUUCUACCCAUCCAAUAUCGGAAACCCCAAUUAGGACACCAUCCAUUAAAACAACUCUUCUUUUCAUCUAUCUCUGCUUUCAAAUUUCGGACAUCGGCCAUUUCUUCGACUACAUCCGCCAGCCACUUCUCUACAUCUUUCUCAACUACUACAGCGCAAUGUUUUUGUCGUUCUUCUUCUACUUUUUUGUUGAUGCCAUCUUGUGCCUCCUUCAAAUUAGUUUCUUUAUCCUCAAGUUCUUUAACAAUGCUGUUGAAACAGAACAGAUAGCGAGCUUGUUUUACGGUAGCAUCCACCAAUAAUUCUACAAGCUUUGAUCCAAUACCUGAUAAAAUUUCCAUGCUAUUUAUCUGCAAUUGACAAAGUUGAUCUCAGUACACUAUAAGCAAAACAACAAGGCUUGAUCACAAGAUCGAACGAUAAUGUUUAAUUACUUUUUUAUUGAAUGUUUAAUUACUUUCUUUUAUUCUAUGAAUGCACGUUUAUUAACGCCAGCUUUGAUCAAUAAGAGCAAAAUGCAAACGCCAGGCUUCAAGUAGCCUUUAGCUGCAAACAAAAGAGAAGAAAUAAGGCAAACGUGAUAGAUGGUGGAUUAUAUUGAAAUUAGAUUACUUUAGAAAUUUUUAAAUAAAAAUAUCAAACAACAAAUUUAAUAAUAGAAUCUAGAUAAAUCGAAGAGUUUGUUAUGCAUUGCGAGUGAAGACAGGCAGUUACAUGGGGGAAUCUUGUAAGAGUGAUGAAAAUUAAAAAGCCAUCCAUAAUUGAAGUUAAAAAGAGUAUUAGAGAUUAGAGGGGUUCAACAUCUUAUGCAAGCUCACUCAUGAUAAAAUUUGAAGAUAAUUAUCCCAUUUUUACUUCAAUCAAUAUUCUAAUACAAUAAUUCCAUAAAUCUCAAAUAGUAUCUUAAGAUUUUUUUUUUUCCUCAAAAUUACCAUUAAAAGUAAAACAAACAUGAAGCUAAGAGCCUAUGAAACAAUAAUAUCUCAUACCUUCUUUCUCAUAGAUCCUCAAUUACCCCUGAAAGCUCCGGUUAGAGAGUCGCACAAGCUCGGAGAAAAUUAAAAGCUGCAUCCAGCAAUAUAAAUAAACAUCAGAUCAAAACAACAAAGCAUAUAUCUAGCUAACUAAACAUCAUCUAUAACUCCUCGUUCUCAGUCAAAUCUUUCAUUCUUAGGAGAUAAAAAAAAGAUUGAAAUAAUAACUGUAACUGAUAUAGGAAGCAAAAGUAACAUACCAAAACGAGAGCGGCUAGCUCACAGAUCUGGUGACUUCCAAGAGCAUGAAAAAUGAUUGAGGUUUAAUAGCAAGUUCACAGAUGACAGAUGUGGUGACUUCAAGAGCAUGAAAAAUGAUAAAACUUUGGUAGAAAGGUCUGAGCCGUGUUUCACAAGUUGCUAUUGACUUCGUGGCUUCGCUUUUAUUUAUUAUUAUUAUUAUUUUUUUAAAUUCUAUAUCAGUGAGAAUUGAAAUGUGGAAAGUGAAAUGAUACACAUGCCUUAUCAUCUAUCAUGAGGGGUGAUUUGGUAAAACCGAUUUAAAAUAAAAAAAAGUUUAAAAAGAUGCUUUGUGUCUGACUGCUUGUAUUUGGGGUAUUUUUCGGGUUGUUGAGAGUGAGUUUAAUUAAAUAUAAGAUUUUCAUUUUUCUUAUUCUAUUUUUCUCUUUAGAAUGAAUUUAAAUCUCAUUCUUAUUAAAUCCAUUUUUUUAAAUGAAAGUAGAUUUCUCUCCACACAUUUGAGAUAUAUUUUAAAAUUAAUGUUCAGUAUAUCUCUAAAUUAUAUUAUAAAUAUUUUUAUUUAAAAUCUCAACAGAUUUCAUAACGUACAAAGAGAAAUACAUAUAUAUGUUGUAAUGUUUUAAUGAUGGAUCUCCAAAGUUAUCAAGUUAAAAAAUAAAUUAAAAAAUAAAAAAUACACACUUCAACUUAUUAUAUGAUAAAAUAUAAUAAAUUAAAGUGAGUAUUAUAUUUAUUUUUUAUUUUAUCUCUUAACUUAAUAACCUAAAAUAUAUUUAUUUAAUAAUGAUUAUAUAUAUAUCUAUAUAAUUUUUUUAAAAAAUAAACAAUUUAAGUGAAGCAAAGGACAUUUUAGAGGCAUUGCGAGACUACCAAUUUACCAUUUUGGGUUGCAAUAAAGUGAAAACUGUAGACUACCAAUCUACCAUUUUAUUGAAUCGGGUCCCGCUGACUUGGAGCUUAUGUAAAGUUACAUUCAUAACAAAUUGAUACUUGUCUUUAUUAUAAAUUAUUCUUUUAUUCAAAUAUACGUUCAUUUCUUCAAUCAAGUCCUCAUAUUUGUUCAAUUUAUGAUAAGAUCCUUGUAUGGGAGCAUAUCUGCAAAUGUAAUAAUUAUUCUUCUAUUUCAGAUAGUUUUUGUGAAAAAAUACUUUUAUCAAUUAUUUAUGUUUACUAAUUCUUAUGUCUUUUUUUAUUACUUUCCAUAGCUCUAUACAAAUGUUUGCUAUAGAAUUUGUGUUAUUUCGCUAUAAUAUAAUUUAUAUUGUAAACCUCUGUUCAUCUGUAAAUAAAAUGACAAUUUUUUUGUUUACUCCUAAAAAAUAUGAAAAUAUUAAUUUACUCUCAUAUUUAUUUAGAAGACAAUGGCAAAUAAGGUCGCAUUGAUAAUUUUUUUUAUUUACUUAUUAAUUAAUUAGAGUAAAUUAAUAUUUUCAUAAUGAGAGAUACAUUGAAGAUUGUCAUUCUUAGUAGAGGGUAAAUUAAAGUUUAUCUAAUUAAUUUAAAAUAUCAUUAAAAUUUAACAUUCUAAUCUGGAUUAGAUUUCUGGGGGGGAGGGAGGGGAACGUCCUUAUUCGGAUUAGACUCAGCUGGAAGAGGCACAUCCUUAGCUGGAUCAAUUUGUUCAAGAUUGGAUGCAUCCAUCGGUUUCAAAUUUGUCUCUUGUAAGCAUCAUCGGAUUUCUUUACUAAAAUUUAGAUUAUCAAUCACAUCUAAAACUUAUUGAAUGAUACAUUUCAUUUCUAUAAAAUUGAGUUACUAUUACCACCUCACAUCUUAUAAAUUCUAGAAAAUAAUCAAGGCUUGACAUACUUUUAUUUAUGCAAAAGCAUAAGAAAAUAAUUCAAAGUACUAAUUAGUGCAGUAUUACUCAAAAUUCUAGAAUAGAUUUGCUAGUUCUCUUUAGCCAUAGAUUGGUCCAUGAUUGGCACCGCAAUAGCUCAGAAUCACCUCAACGAUUGUUCCACACAGCCCAACAUGACACACUGUAAACUAGUCUAACAUGAACUUUCUGAGUGGCUUUCUAACAAUAGUCUUAGAGAAAGUGUUUAGUAGUAUGAAGUCUUCUUUUUUUAACAUAAAUGUUGGCAUGAUAUUCUUAAUAUAUUUCUAAAAUCAAAAUAAGAUGCAUAGAGGACGAUGAUAAUUUUAUUUCAUAAUUGAAUUUUUUGCAAAGAAAGUUUGAACAUGAGAGUGAUGAGAGAUGAGAAUAUUGAUGAUGGUGUGUACUUUAGAUGUAAAAAUAGAUUGGAAAUAUAUAUAGACAUAUUAAAAGAAAAAAAUUUGGUCUAUUUCAUAAGAGAAACAAAAAAUUAUAAACGCGGGUGUUAAAAUAUAUUCAGAAUUUAUAAAUUUUUAUAAAUAUGAUAAUCAUUAGACCCUUAUAAAAGUAUAGCAAAAAGUUUAAAUUUUUUUAAUAAAUAUCGAAGAGAUGGACGAAGAAACCAUCCACCAGUUCAGAAUUAAUAAUCAAAGAUAUGAUGACUUGAUUGAAGAAAUGGUGAAAAAUAAAAGGACAGUAGGACACUGGGUUGGUUGGCAGGACCCUAAUAUUAAUGGUUAAAAAUAAAAGGACACUGGGUUGGUAUCAAUUUCUACCGUGUAGGUUCAUAGCCGGGGAAGUAAUUGGGCACAAAUAUCUCGGAUGAGAAAUAACCAUUUUAUCCCGCAACCAUAUGUUUAUGGCCUCUAAAAAUUUUCACCUCUUUCACUUCUGGAACCCGUGGUUUCUGGCACAUGCACAAUACUUGGUUGCUACUUAUAGAGCGUUUUUAGAAUUGCAAUAUAAUCUACAGCUGGUUGUUGACAUUACACUGCGGGUGUGUAAUUAUUACAUAUGCAGAUAUUCUCCCAUGCGAGGAUCUUAUCAUAAAUUUAAAGGAUACGAGGACUUGAUUGAAGAAAUGAACGAAUAUUUGAAUAAAAAAAAAUUUUAAAAUAAAGACAAGUAUUAAUUUACUAUGAAUGCAACUUACAUAAGUUAGCGGGACAAUAUUGAAUCACACGCAAAAAACAAUCUGUCUUCUUCUUGAUUUCGUAAUUUAGCUGUCAAAAUAUAAUCUAUAAAGAUUACGAUACCUCGAUUCAAAAAAUGAUGUAUCUGAUGAAAUAAAUGAAAAUUGAACGUACAAUCUACCACGAACACUAUUCAAUUAACCGUUUAUUUCCCCUUAAAUUUUUAAUUUCAAUGAAACAUAGAUCUAAUGGGAACUACAUAUAUAUAAAAAUACUAUAGAUUGAAGAAGUUGAAUUUUUCUUGUGUGUUAAGUAUUUUUAGUUAAUACAAAAGGAUUCUAGCAAGUUAAUACAAAAGUAUCAUAAAUUCAUAGUAGUACAAGAGAUUUUUUUUUUUCUUUGAUGUUAAGAGUUUUGGAGAUAAAAAAAAAUAUAUAUAGGUGAAAGAAGAAGAUGAGAGAAGAGAAAAUAUUAAGAAUAGUUUUGGAAUUUUGAUGCGUUUUAUAGAGUAAAAUCUAUAUUUUAUAGUAUAAAAUGAUAUACCCAAAAUUUAAUGAUAAAAUUUUAAGAAAAAAUUGCACUCGUCAAAAAAAAAAAAAGCUCAGCUUAGCCCAAAAUUUUUUUAUUAAUCAUCUAGUCACUAAUGUAAUCUCUUUUUUAUGAGAUUCUUGAGCAUUUUAAUUUAGUCCAUUGUUAGCUAUCCUAAUAGCUUUUAUGUGCAUCUAUUUUUAUUUGAAAUAUGUUUCAAGCUUGAAUAAAAUCUGCGGGACAACUGGUAAGUAAUAAAGCUCAUUAAUUUUUUAUUUUGAAAAUAAAGGGAAUCACUUACACUUAGCAUGAUAUUAUUUUUGAUAAGUCAUUUUUUUGGUAGAUUAUUUUUUCUGACACGCUCUUAGAUUUAGUGAAAAUAAAUUGUAUACUUUAAACGAAGAAAAGUAAAGAUCAACCAAAUAUUUUGUUCUUUCCGACAACUUUUGCGUUCUCAAGUGCGCCUGAUACCCUUUUUUUUUUAACAUGAGCCCACGUGCCAUUGUUUCCAUUUCAAGUUCAUAAUUUAACAGUAGAAAUGGGUUCCACAGAUACUUUAUUUUAUAAUUUUUUAAAAAAUUACCAAAAUAUAAUAAAUAAGGUAAUAAUAAUUAAUAAAAAAGUAGAUUUUAAGAUGGAAAAAUCUUUUUGUGUGCUUAAUAAAAAGAUGAUAAGAAUGGGAUGCUUUUAGUUAAUUGGUUUACAUUCUCAUGGUUAUUUAUACUGAAAAAUUACAUCAAAAUUUAAUUAAUAAAUCAGUGAACUGCAGACUUAUUAAAUUUAAGCUAUUUUAAUAAGUCAUAAAUAUACUAAGUUAAAAUAGUAGUAAACCCAUUGUUACACAAUACUCUCCAUUGAGUGUUCACCAUUUUAAGAUAAUCAUAAAAUGACACCGGAAGUGCUAUUAUAGCUGUCUCAUGGAAAGCCUUCACCAAUAAAAAGGAGGAUAGAGCACAUACAUCCAGUUUUUAUACCCUUUGAUGCUCAGUCGACACGUGCCAAUGCUAUAGACUAUCGGAUAAUCUACUAAGGUGACGCAUGCCAAUGCUAUAGACUAGCUUUUCAAAGGUUGAACUGGGAAUACUUUUAGUAAAAAGACCUGCAAAAUCAUAGUGUACCUAUUUGACAUCAACUUUUUUUAUCUGCUGGAGCUUAUGAUUAUAGAAGAUCUUCGGUAAGAUGUGUUUGAUAUUAGAAAAUCUCCUUUUAUAUAUCCUCUUCUAACUUGUGUAAUAGUAGUAAACCCCUGCCCCUCUUUAUUUCGUUUAGUAUUUUCUAAAUGGCCGAAGGAAAAUUGGUAAAAACUCAUUUAAAAAUUAAAAAAUCAAAGAAACUCAAGAAGAAGCUUUUGUAUCUGCCAUUUGUAUUUGGGGUAUUUUUUUGGUUGUUAAGUGAAUAAGCUUAAAUCUAAAACAUUUAUUUAUAUAUUUCUUGUUGGAAAGAAUUUAAAUUUUAUUCUUAUUAGACUUAUUCUCUCUAAACAAAGGUAGAUUUUUCUCUAUGUGUUUAACGUGUAUUUUAAAAUUAAUGUUCAACAUAUCUUUAGAUUCUAUUAUAAAUAUUCAUAUCUAAAAUCUCAACAGAUUUCAUAAUAUAUAAAUAUAUAUAAAGAGAGAGAAUAACGUUUAUAAUAAGAAAUUUAUUAAGUUAAAGAAUAAUUCAAAAGAUAAAAUAACACACUCUAAUAUAUUAUAUAAUAAAAUAUACUAUAUUAAAAUAUAUAUUUUGUUUACUUUUUUUAAUAUAUCUCUUAAUAACUUAAGAAAUCCUUUGUUUAACACACACUCUCUCUCUCUAUAUAUAUAUAUAGAGAGAGAGAAAUGUUCGCGGAAAACCUUUAAAACCACAUGAUUUUAAAUAUUUAAACUUUAAGAACCGAUGAACAAUUUUUGACAAAGACGUUGCGACCUAAGUAGGGAUAGCAACUAAAUUCGGAUCCAACUCCGCAUGUAAGGAUCCGAAAGAUCCAGAUCCAGAAAAUUUUUAUCUGAAUAUUAAAAAAUGUUGAUCCGAAUAUAGAAAUUUGGGAUCUGCACGGAUUGGGAUGGAAGUACAUUCGGAAAAUUGGAUAUCGAGAUCUGGAUAAAUUUUGUUUCAAAUUAAAAAUUAAAUUAAAAAUUAAAUGAAAAAUUAAAAAAGUAAAUUUUAUUUGUGGAUUUAUGAUGUUGUUGUAUAUUAUUCAUGUUGAAUUAUUAAUUGUUGGAUUAUGAUUGAAUUUUGUUUGAAAUUAUUGGGUAAAUUUUUUAAUUUUAUUUUAAAUUAAAAAUAUUUAUUAAAAUUAAAUAAAAAUAAAACAUUAAAUUUUAUUUGUAAAUUUAUGAGAUUAUUGUAUGUUAUUCAUUUUGAAUUAUGAUUAAAUUUUAUUUGAUAUUAUUAGGUAAAUUAUUAAACUUUCAAAUUAUAUAUUAAAUUAUUUAAUUUUAAUUUUUUGCGGAUCCGAAUAUCUAGAAUAUCUGUCCGCAUCCGGAUCUACAUAUUUUUUUAUGAAUCCAGAUAUAAGAAUAUGAAUGCGGAUCCAAAUUCGGAUUUUGCCAACCCUAGACCUAAAAUGUUGUGACUUGUCUGUUCUACUUCAAUAUUAAGCACAAAUUCUCUGUCAACAUGUCUGUUCUACUUCAAUAUUAAGCACAUUCAUAGCGGUAUCAAAAUGUUGUGACUUGUGACUACCCAAAAUCCCCAGAAAGAGUGAGAGAUUUCACUGAAGCUAAGUUGUGACUUGUGACUACCCAAAUGUUCUAUAACACGAUAUGAUUAUUCUAGUAACACAAAUCCAAUAGCAUGCAACAUAAUCUACUCUCUAACAUUGUGCAUUAGUAAAAUAAAACAGAGUAAAAAGAGAAACCAUGCCUGUGAAUCUCUUCUUUUCCCCCUGCCACCCCUUUUUUCGGUGAAGUCCAUCAAAUGAAAAUGCAGCAUGACCACGUUGGCCACUGCCACUGCCAUUGCUUCUUCAACUGUGCCUUUUGUUGCAUGAAAUAUUCAAUUGAAAGAUGGUUUAUAUAAUUCAAGAUUCCAAUAGACCUGAGCUGCAAAGGUUGCCUUCCACUAGCCUAUCAGAGAAUAUGCUUUCUAUUUUCCUAGUUUUUUAAUCAAAAUUUUGCAAGAUUUAUUUAUGGAAUACUUGAACAAAAUUUUAUGUAAGAUACCAUAAAGCCAAAUGCAAUCUUUUUAAUCCUCAGCAGCAACAUUUAAAGUAAAAAAAUGGAAGCCAUAUAAAUAUAACUAUGUUUGGUACAAGCAACAAUUAUUUCAAGCUUUCAGAAAUGCUAGCAAGAGAUUGUAAGAGAACUUUACCUAGUCACAGAAUAUGUCAAACAUACUACCACCAACUGUCUUCAGCACGAUUGUUAUGAAGUCGCUUUUGAAUCGGAAGAUUCCAGCUUCCACCAGGCACCAUUAUUUUCAUUCUUGAUACUAUCUGCAUCACUGGCAUUAGUUAUAUCAUCAACUUUUGCAUCCUCACUCUCAUCAUCCCAAUCAAGGCUUCUUCUCCAGCUCUGGAUUAUAAGUCCACUCCGACAUCUUCAAACAUCUCGGUCCUUCCAUUUGCCAACAACCGAUAUGGCUUCCUUCCUUGCCUUCCCCAUUAAUAUAUCACUCGAAGGAAAAAUAGCCCCCACAAAAAGGGUCUUCAGACACCGCAACUUUGCCUUCUGCAAAACCUCCACAAAAUCUGAAUUAUCCAACACAACAGCCAGACACUCAAUCCUUCUUUUGUCCAUCUUAUCCACCGUAUGAUUCCUCAACAAAAUAUCUACAGCUUGUGGCUUAUCUAACACUGUCUUGAUCCAAAACCCCGCUCUUUUCAACUCAUCUGCCAAACCAUAACCCACUUUUGGAGUCAAAAUUGUCCUUGCAGCCCUUUUAUAUUUUUCCAUCUCCAUCGAAUACUUGCCACUCAAAUGGAAUUACCAGACAGGAAUCCCAGUAACAAGUCCACUCAACUUCUUCUCAUCUGAUCCCUCUUUCACUCUGGCGGAAACAUUAAUAACCAUUCACCAGCCACAAAUUACCCAAGUAAGUACUCGUGUCGUCAACACUUACCCUUCACUUCAUCGACGCAAACAAGAAUUCAAAUUGCUUAUUAGCUAGUGCUCGAGCGAAAGCCAAAAUAAAUUAAAUAUGUGUGUGUGUGUGUGUUAAAAGAGAAACGGUAGCGAAGUUAUUAUACAAUCAAGCAAACAAAAAUAAAUUCUACCCUCAUGUGGGUGUUUCGCUCGCAAAAUCUGGACAAGAAAAAAUAAUAUUGAUACAAUCUCCAAAUAAAGAGCAUUCCUCUUGGUAAAAUAGACAAAUCCUAUAAAUUUUGAUUAAUGGUGCCAAAUGAAAGAGUUGUAAUUUCAUGUACAUUUUGUUAACAUGAAUAAGGGUACAAAAUAGAUAACAAAGUGACAAAAACAAGGCUAAUCACAAUGGAUGAUAAGGUUUAGAGUAAACAUAAAGUUAUAAUCUUGAACAUAAGUGGCGCUCAAAGCCAUGAAUUUGAUAUCAUCAACAAGGGGAGUUCAAACAACGGCAUGUAAGAAGCAACAACUGUUGAGAAAAAAAAAAUUCAUAGUAACACGAGAAUAAAUUGUAAAGAAAUCCCAGUUUGUAUAAAAGAAAGAAAACAAAAUUAAGGAAAACAUAAACACAACAAAAUUUGACUGAUUAUUAAAAAUGAGAAAUGAGUUAUAAUGAGAAUUUUGGCUUUGUGGUGAAAUAAAUUGGGAAGUAUCCAAAAUUCGCAUGUAAAUAAUAUAAAUGAUAAGAAGACGAAGGGAACAAAAUGAUAAUAAGCAAGCCAAAUAUUAAAAUGUAUUACACCUCCUAAAGUCAUGUUAAGAUAGUUAGUGAGCUGAUAAAGUUUGUUGCACGUUUGAGUUGGUUUUUUUUCUUUUUAAAAGAAAGUAACCAACCCUUUCAUUAAUCACAAGAACUUGAGUACAUCGUAUAAUUCAGUUAGAAUAUUUUCCAGCCACAUAAAGGGAGAGUUUUUCUCCAAAACUAUCUUAUUUAAGUAAUGGGCACAUGCAUUACAAUGUCUUAGAAUGUGAUUGACAACAACUUUUUGGAAGUUUUUCAUCUGGUUUUGGAUUGCCAGAAUUGUCCAAAAAAAUUUUGAUCUGUUGCCCUUGGUGUUGUUCACUAGCUGGACCACCUCUAAGCAAUCUGACUCAAUGAUCAAAGAGGUUACAUCCGCACUUCUUGCCAGCUGAAGGCCCCAAAGCACAGCCUCUACUUCAGCCAAGCUUACUGACCCCUUUAGGAGGUUCUGAUUAAUCCCAGCUGCAACUAUCUUACCAUUAGAGUCUCUAAUCACAGCUCACACUCCUUCACUCAGAUUCUUUGAAUUAAUAGCAGCAUCCACGUUAACUUUGAAAACAUUCUCAGGGAGGAGCCACUCCUGAUGCUUCUCUUUUCUGUGGAGAGAGAUAUGAGCUUGCUCGGGCUUCUUAACUCUCUGAAAUGCUAUCAACACAGAUUCCACUUUAGCAGCUGAGAUAAUAGGAUUAAUCUCCCUGCCAUCGAAAAUACAUUUGUUCCUAGCCUACCAAGCAGACCAACACAGAGCUACCAUUAAUUCCAAAUCUGUUUUCCUCAGCUCCUUAGCCAUUCUUUGAAGAGUGCUGAAGAUGUCCUAAGAAUUAGCUUCUAAGUUAUGGGCUGUAAAAGGGGACUGGAGCCAAAUCUUUCUCGCAACCUUGCACUCCAAGAGGGCAUGGCUGAUAGUCUCUACACUUAUUUUGCAUCGCUUACAAGUUGGCUCCUCCACUAACUUCCUUUUCCACAAAUUUUCCACCGAUGGAAGCAGAUUAUUUGAGACCCUCCACAUGAAGAUUUUAAGCUUCUCAGGUAGCUCCAGUGACCAAAGGGCACUCCAGUACUGGUUGGAAGCCUCUGAGCAGCUGGUAGAAUCUGAAAAUUUCGUUCUCAAUGCUAGUUGGUACCCACUCUUGACAGAGUGGUUCCCUCUUUUGCCGUAAUGCCAAAGCACUUCAUCUUCCGUUUGCUCAGCUGGGAGGGAAAUCUUGAGGAUCUCUGCUGUGUCUGCAUCCAUGAAGUGCUGUCGUGGCUUGAUUUCAUCCUAUUGGUUGUUAGCCUUAAUUAAGUCUACAACAACUGAGUUUACAGGCAAUGAUGGAAAAUAGAUCUGAAGGUCUCUGGUCUUGGCAGCCAAUUGUACGAGAAAAUUGCUAUCUUCUUGCCAUUACCUAUAUGCCACUCAGGCCCUUCUUAAUCACUUGCCUACCUCAAAGGAUGCUUCUCCAAAUAUACGAGGCAUUGGCUCCUGCUUCUGCACAUAAAAAGCUGGAUUUCCUGUAAUAUCUUGCUUGAAGGACUCUUGAGACUAGGGAAUUUAGGUACUGCAAUAACCUCCAUGCUUGCUUAGCUACCAAUGCUUGAUUGAAACAAGUAAACUCUCGAAAUCCCAGCCCCCUCUAAUCUUUGCUUGGCUAAGCUUCUCCCAUUUCCGCCAAUGGAUUCCGCGCUUAUCCCCUUUCGAGCCCCACUAGAACUUCACUAUAGCUCAUUGAAUAUCAUCACAAAGGCCUUUUGGGAGCUUGAAAACACUCAUUGCAUACACUGGAAUUGCUUGGGCUGCCGCUUUGAUCAGAAUUUCCUUCCCCCCACUAGACAACAUUUUAUGCUGCCAUCCUGCAAUCUUGUUCAACACUUUCAGUUUGAUGUCAUUAAAGAACCCCAUCUUCUUCCUCCCAAUCAUUGAUAGAAGACCGAGGUAUUUCUUGUGCUUUGAGACCACAUUUAGAUUAAAGAUACCCCUUAUAGCAGCCCUUUGAUGCUCUAGAAUUUUGCCACUGAAGAACAAUGAGGAUUUCUGAAAAUUAAAGAUCUGUCUUGAUGUUGCAGCGUAUUUAUCAAAAAUCUCUUUUAAAUGAAUGCAUUCAGCCACUGAUGCACGAGAGAAGACCAAGCUGUCGUCCGCAAACAACAAGUGAGUAAUUGAAACUUCCCGUACAAAUUUGAGGCCUCGGAUUAGCUGGUUUUGUUAUGCCAAUAUCAACAAAUUGGAGAGAGCCUCUGCACAAAGAAUAACAAGGUACGGGGAUAGUGGGCAGGCCUAUCGCAAGCCUCUUUCCAGCUGGAUCAUUCCUUUUGGCACACCAUUAAUAAGCACCGAGAAUGAAACGGAAGUAACACAUCUCAUUAUCAAAGCUACCCAAUUACUAGGAAACCCCAACUUUAUCAUAGUUUGUUCUAAAAAGGGCCACUCAACUCUAUCAUAAGCCUUACUUAUGUCCAAUUUUAAAGCCAUAAGUUCGUUCUUCUUCCCUUUGCUAUGUCUUAUUUUAUGAAUGCAUUCAUAACCAAUAAUGACAUUAUCGGUAAUGAGCCUAUUAGGGAUGAAUGCACUUUACAUUGGGGAGAUGAUUUGGGAAAGGAUCGGCUUCAUUCUAUUUGCAAUGGCCUUAGCUACAACUAUAUAAAUAACAUUACAAAUGCUGAUAUGUCUAUAAUCACUCACUUUCCUAGGAUUUGCAAUUUUUGGAAUCAAAGCAAUAAAAGUGUGAUUGAGGAUAGAUGGGUUACCUUGCUCAUUAAGGACAUUAAGACACGUUGAGAUCACUCAUUUACGGACGGAUUUCUAAUGCUUCUGAAAGAAGACAGCUGGAAGACCAUCAGGCCUUAGGGCCUUUGUGGGGCACAUGUUGGCAAGGGCUUCCUCUACGUCUUCAGCGAUGAACGGCUUUUCCAGCUGAACAUUCAUCUCCAGAGUUACUUUUGCAGUCAUUCCUUGAAGGGUUGCUUGGAUUUGGCUUGGAGUCGGGCUGGAAGUAGUGAAUAGCUCUUGGAAAUGGCUGCAAAACUCCUCCUCUAUUUCAUCCAUGUCCUUCACCCAAGUGCCUUAGUCGUUUUCAAUCCCCCACACCUUGUUCUUCCUUUUGCAGGCAGAAGCUUUGGCGUGAAAAUACUUCGUGUUCUUAUCCCCUUCUCUAAGCCAGUUGGCCCUCGAACGCUGUUUCCAGUAAAUCUCCUCGUCAACUAGCAUAGAGUUAAUCUGACUUUCCAACCUCUUAAUUUCCUUGCCAUCAUCCAGCUUUGAAUUCCAUCUCAUAGCAUCUUGAAGGCUCUGCAUCAACUUUUCUUGCUUUCUUUGCCUACCAUUAAAUUCGGUUUUGCUCCAAAGUUUUAGCUGGGCCAAUGAAGCUUUGGCCCUUCUCUAAAAUUGUUGAACAGGGGAUUCCCAAGCUCUAGUCCCAUGUCGACUCCACUCUUCCUGGACUCUACUCUUGCAGCCUUCGUGAGAACUCCACAUAUCCUCAUAAUGAUCUCGGGGGAAUGAUUUGCCCACAUUUCUCGAAUUCUUGCUUCGCUCAUUGAAUUCUAGAAUGAUUGGGCAAUGGUCCAAAGUCCAGUUCACUAGAUUUGUGGCUAUAGAUUCUUGGAAUUUAAUCCCCCAAUCCUUACUACACAGAAAUCGGUAUAAUCUCUCCUCAAUGAAAUGAUCUCCGUAUCUUUUAUUUGACCACGUAUAGAGAUAUCCCUUACUACCCAUAUCCUGCAAAUUGCAGUUUUGCACAACUUCCCUAAACUCGGCAACCAUAUUCAGAUUUCUCUCAUUGCCCCCAUUUUUCUCAUGCAUAUGCAUUAUCUCAUUGAAAUCCCCAAAACAGCACCAAGGAUAGGAGAAUAGACUGGCAACCCUUUUCAUGAGAGUCCAAGUAUUAUGCUUCUGGCUGAACUCGGGAUGGCUGUAGAUCCCUAUGCAUCUCCACCUCAAUCCACUUUCAUUACUCACUAUUGCAUCUAUAUGAUGUGGGCUGUACGAGGUAAUGCUAACAUUAACAUCUGCACUCCAAAGCAAGGCUAGACCUCCCCCCAUGCCCGUUCUAUCUACUGCAAAACAAUUCUCGAGAUUAAAGUCUCUACAAAUAGAUUCAACUUGCCUAGCCAACAUCUUGGUUUCACAAUAGAAAAGAAUUUGAGGCUGGUGUAGGUGGAGAAUUUUUUUGAGAGCUAGGCGCGUUCGAGGUUUCCCCAGACCUCAAACGUUCCAACUUAGGAGUUUCAUGGUUGUCGACGGGCCUGAAAUUCAGCACCCGCCGAUACUUCUUCUUCCAUAGCUGCCACAUUUUCCCCUUCAUCUGAUAUCUCUUCUGUUAUCUUUAGCUGCCGAGCUGUUCUGUUGGAGCUAAUGUGGUUGCAGUAGUCUGAGUUUAUUGCUAAACUUAUGUGGUUUCCCACGUGUGGUUGUUUUGGUGGACUGAGCACUCUUUUUUUUUGUGGGCUGAGCUGAUUGUCAUCACUACUAGGUCUUUUUGCUCCUAUUAACCCAUGAUCCUUCGCUCCUUUUGCUAUGGGAAUUCUUGCCUUAAGUUUCCAUUUUCUUGCUUUGGGCUUCACGUUAGUCUUGCUUGGCCCACUAUCCAUUUCUUCCAUAUCUGAUCUGGCACUCUCUUCAGCCUGCUUCCUUUUAUCUUUUAUUAUUUUCAAUCUUGCUUUAUCCAUAGGAUUUUCGUUUUCCUUCAAAAUCUUUUCUCCCACCUUUGUACUUUCAUAGCUAUAAUGGCUAUCAUUACUUGCCACCCUAUUCUGCACCUCGUCGAUGUCACAGCCCAUACUUUGACUCCCCACUUGCUGAUUUUUCGUCUAUGAAGAGGUCAACAUUAAAUGUGCUUUGUCAUAUUUCAGCAUGUUUCUUGUAUCCUCUAGUUCUGCUCCAUCUUUUAUUUCCUGAUUCGAUUUGUUCAAUUUUGACCUGUCUCGAUCAAUCGGGUUGUUUGAGCUUGGGCUGGUUGUUGCUUGCACAUUUGCUUUGAGAUUGGAUUGCUCUCGAUUGCCUUUCUCUCUACUUCGAUUUUGCUUUAUCCUGUCAGCUUGUGUAACAGUUCUCAUCCAUCCACCAUAAGGCAAGUCCUCCUUUUGUUGCCCUUUGUAUCUCAGGCAUUCCCUGUACUGGUGACCGAUAUGCGCACAACAAAAGCAAAAAUCAAGAAGUUUUUCAUACAAAAUUGGCAUUGGAGUUUUGCCAUCCGCUUGUUGUAGGAACACAAUCUUUUUUAGAGGCUGUGAAAUGUCAAUGGAUAUCCUGACUCUCGCAAACUGCCCAAUACAUUCCCCAGCUUCGUCUGUCUCCACUUCCUUGACUGUACCAAUUUUUUCUCCCAGCUUUUGGAUGACCUCCUUGUUCAUACACAUUAUUGGUAUGUUAUGGAUCUGAACCCAGAAUGUGGUAUGUGUAAAAGAUUGAUUUUUGAUAUCUCCAGUCAAGACUAUCAAUACUUUGUCGAAAUGCCACGACCCUCCCAUGAGCACCCUUUUCUUUUCUUCUUCAUAGGCGAACUUGAACAUGAAAAUGUUAUCCCCCAUGCUUUCUAUUUUAACCUCUUUGACGGAUCUCCAAGCCAUUUGCAUUGCAGCUUUCAAGCCCUCCUUGUUUAUACUUCUUGAUGUUAGCACUUUGCCCACUAAACAAUUCGCAGCUACUUCCUCUCCCUUUAUCUUCAUCCGCCCCAUGAAUGUUACGUUUAAUAUUAUAACGCUGUCAAUGGCAAAGUACGUGAGUGAUACAAAUUAAAAACAAACAAAUCAAACCCUGUGCACUGUCAUCCCUAAUUAUAUUUACCACUUCAUACUCACAGUGAUAAUAACUGUGUAUCACAGUUGACUUUCCAGACGGCUAAAAGUUCCAAGUCCGGAUGCUUGGUUAUUGAAACUUGAUGAAAAGGGCAUGAAAGAAAAUAAGAAAUUAAAUAAUACAGGAGGUAUUAAUCAUAACAUCUCUAGUUAAUGAAAAUUGAUGAACGGUAAUCCAAUAUUUCUGCAGACAUGAGCCGUAAUUAUGAUACCAUUAAGAAUGAAGCAGAAGAGUUUCCCCAAAAAAGUUAAAACGCGGCACUUGGAUUUAAAGAAUUAUCAUAUCACAGUACCGGGACAAAAAAAGGUUAAUGCAACAACAUACAUCAAGUUAAUUCCAUAAUCUAUCGCCAAAGAAAGACAAACACAAGCUUAUAAGAUUAAAACUUUGGAAAACAUUAGAGUCGGACAAAAUUGUGCAAUCUUCAGAGUUUGGAGCCUAGUUCAUCCAGGAAAGCAAAAGAAAUAAUAAUAAUAAUAAUAAUAAUAGUGGUUUGAUCUCAAAAGGUGACAUCAAGGUGGUAACUUUGAGGUAUUGGAAGCUAAAACGUCUUCAACUUUGUCCUGAUUUUGAAGUCCCUUAACCCAUCCGCCAUCAAUGGAUUGAAUGCUUCCAUUCAACCCAUCAUCCACAAAAUCACCAACCCGUUUCACCUUCAUCUCCUUCGGCUUAACAGGGUACUUCCCAUAGAAGCAAGCAUAACAAAAAUUCUGAGAAUCAUCGCCUGACAACUUGUUCAGGCUGUCAAUUGGCAGAAAAGCAAGCGAGUCACACCCAAUAAACUCCCUGAUUUCCUCGACGCUCAUCCUGUUGGAAAUCAACUCCUCACUACUUGGGGUGUCCACUCCAUAGUAACAACUUAACAAGAAGCUAUGAUUGGUGGGCUUGCAAUUCUCAUGUGAACCUCUUUAGCUCCAGCCUCCUUAAGCAACCGAACAAUUUUCGAUGAAGUUGUUCCUCUCACUAUUGAAUCAUCCACAACCACAACUCUCUUUCCCUCCAACACUCCCCUUACAGGAGAGAGCUUAAGCUUGACACCAAAGUCCCUAAUUUUCUGGGACGGCUCAAUGAAAGUUCUCCCAACAUAGUGUGACCUUAUCAACCCUUGUUGAAAUGGUACCCCGGCUUUCGCAGCGUACCCAAGUGCAGCCACCACUCCAGAAUCUGGUACUGCAAUCACAGCAUCACACUCAACAGGAGCCUCGGUAGCAAGUACUUCCCCAAAAUGAUACCUCAACUCAUAAACAGACCUACCAAAUACAACAGAAUUGGGCAAAGCAAAAUAAAUAUGCUCAAAGAUGCACUGGUUAGGUUCAGGGUGAGGCAUCAAACAAAGUGAUUGAACCCCAUCUUUAUCCACCAUCAAAACUUGGAUAUACCUCUCUCUCGUAUGUGGCCUCAAUCAAAUAGUGCACAAGUCUCUGUCGCAAAAACCAGAGCACCAUUACUCCUCCUACCCAUCACCAACGGCACAAACCCAUACGGGUCACGAACCGCAACAAGCUUAUCCUCAGUAACAAACACCAUUGAAUAAUUAUAUUAUUAUUAUUAUUGUUUUUAAAAAUAUCAUUUAUUUAUUUUUUAAAAUUUUUUUAAAGGUAAAGAAGUGGGUAAAGAUCAAAUUCAAUUUUUAUUCCUUACCCCCUAAGAUUUGAACUUAAGUGACCAAAUGUAUAAUAUUAAGCAUCUCAAAUUUCAUUUCUAAUGAUAUACAAUUUAUUAAGUGAUUGUUAAUCUUUACAAGAUUCGAGUGAAUUAAUUAUAUUAUUUCACUAUUAAUAAUAUGAGUAUCAUAUUAUUUGGAAUAACUUUUGAAUAAAAACAUUGUGAUGGAUGAAAUAUUCUUUUGAGAAUUUAUUGACUUAUCUCAUUUAUGAUUUAUUGUUGCAUUUAAGUGAUAUUGCAAAUAAUCUCAGAUAAUUUCAAGCCAUAUGUCAUUAUUGGGAUAAAAAUAAAGUAAAAUGGUUAAAACUAUUUUUAUGUAAUUUAUAAAAAUUAAUGAAGCAACUACAAAAUUUUUUAAACGAAAAACAAUUGAAAUGUGUGUGGAAAAAGAAGAAAAAAAAUAAGGCAUUUAAAUAUCUUCUUAAAAAAUACGAUUGAGUAAAAUCAUUUUAACAGAAUGCUCUUCCAAAUACAAUUCCACAUUUUUUUUAUUGCAGUGGGAUAUUCCAAAAUUGGCACAACUCAUUAAGAAUUCGGCAACUCAAAUUUUAUUUAUCACUCUAUGCAUUUGACAAAUUAAAAAGAAAAAAAAAAUUCAUAUAUCUUCUGUUCAAAAGAAACCUUGGUAAAUAUUGUAAAACAAAUUACCAUUUUUUUUAAUUUAUGCCAUUAUAUCGUCGCUAUUUUCUCGCCCACUUUCUUAAAAUAGAAUCAAUAUUCAUUGAUGGGUUGGGUUCCAGAGUAAGCACCAAUUCUGCAAAAUGGUUUUAUAGUAGAAAAAGCACUUGUAAGACAUUCAGAACACAUUUUUCAAUUUUGUCUUUUGAAAAUGAGUCUUGAGUUCCACAAGCCAAGAAGAAUGGCUAAAAAAUGUAUGGUAUCAAAGAAAGAGAAACACCCACACACACAGAGAUUAAUGGGGAGAUAUAUGAUUGUGUAAUUUGCAUAUAUAUCCCCAUUAAUUGUUGAUAGUCCAAUGGGUCUAUGCAAAAGGAAAAAAUUGGCUGUCCUUAAAGACAAAAUUGACUGUCACAUGAAAAUAAAAAAAUUUGUUACCACGCAACGAAAAUAAAGAUUUCAAGAACAACUUUAUGGUCCCCUUUCUGUCCAAACAUAUGCGAUAGCAAUUAGUGUAAACGACACUUGAAAUAUAUAUAGUAGAUCCUCACGCAAUUGAUAAAUAUUUAUAGUAGGAUGGAGUGAUAAAUAGUUUCACAAAAUUAUUGGAAUUAACUAUUGAAUACAUGAGAUCUAUCUCAUUAAGGAUAAAAGAUUUGAGUGCUACUUCAAAAGCAUGACGUUGCUGGCAACAAAUUUAACACAAAAGUUUAAUUAAUUAUCUUAGUUGAGACGAUAAAAUCUUGGAUUAAGAACAAAAGGUUUGAGGUUCGAACCUUCUCAUUCAAGAAAAUCAAAAUAUUACAUCUUCCAGCACAUAUCAAACAUUUUUUCAAAGGCAGACUGACAAUUCAGGGUAAAAAAAACAAAAAAACAAAAGGAAUAUAUGCUAUUGAAGACAAGUAUACCUUGGACAUGAAGUCUGAGUCCAGAACAAGAAGCAAUUAGCUGAUCUUUCAAUUUCCAAAACCCAACAAAAUCUUUGUCAAAAUAUACGAUCUAGUCCCAUAUUAAGCACAUUCAUAGCCGUAUCACCAGGUUCAAAAUAUUUUCCCCAAAAAGAGAUAGAGAUUCCAUUGAAGUUGAGUUGUGACUGUCCCAACGUUUGUAAUUAUAUGUUUCAGGAUACCAUGCCUAUGAAUCAUUUUUUUUUUCCAUGUUUCGAAGUCUAUCAAAUGAAAAUGUAAUUAUAUGGUUCAGGAUACCAAUAUGCCAGAGCUGCAAAGGUUGACUUCUACUAUCCUAUCAAUGUCUAUACUUUCUAUUGAAUUUCCUUGUUUGUUUUUUUAAAUUGCGAGAUUUAUUUUUAGAAAUCUUUGACACAUUUUAUGAAAGAUACCAUAAAACCAAAUACAACCAUUUUGAUUCAGCAACAACUUUUUUUUUUCCUUUUAAAAAAAGGAAGCCAUAUAAAUGAUGCUUUAAACAUUAUUUGCAGCAAGGAACAAUUAUUUCAUGCUUUCAGGUAUUAGAAACUUCCCAAAAAUGCUAGCAAGAAAAUGAAAUGGAACUUUACCUAGUCACAGAAUAUGUAUUGCUGUUAGCCCAAUUGUUAUGAAGUGGCUUCUGCAUCAGAAGAUUCCAGCUCCCACCAAGCAUUGUUAUCUCUCUUCUGAAUACAAUCUGCAUCCCUGGGCAUGAGUUAUAUCAUUAAUGUCUGCAUCCUCACUUACAUCAUCCCAAUCAAGUGUUUUUUCUCCAUAUCUGGAUUAUAAGUCCACUCUAAUCUCUUCAAAACAUCCUAGUCCUUCCAUCAUACGACUUCCUUCCUAAUUACUUUCCCAUUAAUAAAUCGCUCCAAGAAAAAAAAAGCAUUAACAAUUCUCUUCAACGCCCCAUCACUCAUAUCCCCUACAACAAACAUCUUUAGACACCUCAAUGUUGCCUCUUGAAAGACCUCCACAAAAUCCGAAUCAUCUGACACAACCAUCAAACACCUAAACCUUCUUUAGUCCACCAUAUCCACCAUAUAAUUCCUUAACUAAACAUCGGCAUCUUGUGGCUUAUCUAACACCUUCCUGACCCAAAACCAUGCUCUUUUCAACUAAUCUGCAAAACCAUAACCCACUUUUGGAGUCAAAAUUGCGCUUGCAGCCAUUUUAUAUUUUUCCAUCUUUAUUGAAUAGUUGCCAACCAAAAGCACUCUCACCUUCCCUCUAGUUGAUUCUAUUUGAUUCGACCUUUUCUUUUGUUCACCCUCAUGAAUUUGCCUAAAAUGAUUAAUAAGUUUGUCAUUAUUAUAAAAUCUCCUUCCACAAUCACCAAUACAUACGGCUUAGCAGGCCUAAUUACACCCUUGAUUUAUAAUUGGAUAAACAAUUCUUUUUCUUUCUUUGCUCUCUUACAACUUGAGGCACAUAACUAAACGUGUGGCUAUUAGCAUUUGCCACCAUGUAUUUAACAACCCCAAAUGAAGAUAUUAAUUUUUUUAGUUUAAUUGCUGCUUCAAAAUGGGGUACUGCAUUUGGAUUUUGUUAUUCAAAUUCCAAAAUGUUCCCACAUUGUGUUGGACAGUUUUUGGUUCUAAAGUUUAUGACUGGUUUUGCCAAUCAGGCUUCAAAUGAGAACUUCUAAACAAUAAGACAAAUAGGUUUUGAGUUUCUAAUCUUAUAAACUUUGUUCUAUUGUAUAAGUUAUGAAAUCGCUGAAACAUCACUACAGCUACAGGUCUUUAUGUGUCAAUGAACUGCAGAAGCUGAUGAUCUACUUGUAGUAGACUCCUAUUGCCCCUGCCAUUCUAGGAAGACAAACAAGUUCAGGAACUACAUCUGGACCAAACUCGUAAUAUUGCCACUGCUUUGUGCCAAUCUGAGACGGAAAGAAGAUUGAAGUUCCUAAAUAAGGCACAUCAUGAUUUAAUAGAAGUACCAUUAUAAGGAAAAAAUGAUUUCAGGAAAGCACUAAAAUAUGACAUAAUCUCCCCCUAAUGGUCUAAAGUAGUCAAGAAAUUAUAUCAACCAAGCAAAAACACAUAAACUAGUUGAGAUACAAAGUUAUCAUAAAAGUCAAUUUUGAUCACAAAUCCAUUAAAAUUAAAAGACAUCAGAAAGUUAUAGAACAUUAUAAUUUAGGACUUAGCUAAGUUGCAAAUUCUGUAAUUAACAGCUGAGUCCACAUUGGCCUUGCAUCAGCUGAGUUUGGGUUGCUUUUCCUCUCUCCUGCAACGCGUGAAAGCGUCCCAUUUGCUGUGUUAUAUACAGAGUCGGUACCGUAGCAAGCUCCUAUAAUUUAAGUUUGAUUACUGUAGACAAUAGUCUGCCUCUGUUCAAAAGCUAUGCUGCAAGAUAUAACGUCUUUGCAAUGUUGUACUUUCUAAAAGUAAUAAGAAAUGAAACCAAGGGGUAAACCGAACACCAAAAGAAAUUUAGUCGGCCAACCAUAUUAUGUUCCCACACAGUCCACUAAUUAAGUUAAUAAUUAAAGGGAAUUAAAAUCUAAGAAAUCUCAUCUUCAAGCAGAAUACAAACACACCAGGAUUGAAAAUCACAAAAUCAUAAAAAGAAGCUGACUUGAAAAGCUCAAAUAUACGUUCAUCAGCCUCUCAACUUAUAUCUAAGAACAAAUGCCUGCAGCCUGUGAAGACAUAGAUAAUUGAAGCUGAUGAGGCAUAUUUAACAGAUGAUAAUCAAAACUCAUGUGAUUAAAAUUAUAAUUCAAUAAUGGAUCACAUAAAACAACAAGUAACUAGUUGUAUAUAUACCAAACAACUUUCUGAAGUUAAGGCGUAAAACAAAAACGUAGAACAAAUUAAUUAAAUAUACUAGCACCAAUACUCUUAUUAUUAUCCACGUAGAAAAUAACAAUGUAUCAAACAAGGAAAAUGAAAUAUUGUUAAUAACUCAAAAACCACUAGUGUCAAGAACUAGACUAAUAAGUGAAACCCAUAAUCAGACACAACCACAUCAAAAUCUCUGAAAAUUGAGGUCUAAACAUUGAAAACAAUUAGACAUAUAUAACAGUCAAUCGAAACAAAGCCUCAAAAUAAUAAUAAACUACAAUAAGACAGAACCUAAAUUGUAAACACACGCAUACCCAGUAACAGUAAUCAAGUAACAAGUCAAAACCAGAAUCAAACGUAGAAUUUUGAAAUCCAUACGAACUCUAACGUAUUAGAAUGAAAGAAUAAGGAUGAUCAAUAAACUAGACUCAAACAAAAACAUGCCCAGUUAAAAAAUGAAGGUAAAUAAAUAAAAAUGGUAUAAAACUGCGAAAAAAAUUAAUGAAAUGAAGAGAAAAUCACAGGAAUCCUAUGAAGAGGAAGGUAAAGAAACCUUCCAGAGCCGAGAAGAUGCCUUUUUGGUUGACGUUUGUGCCUAUACAUAUAUAUAUAUAUUUUUUAAUUUUGAAGAAAGCAUUGGUUAACAGAAAGGGAUGGCAACGUGGCAGAUAUAUAUUAGAUUUAUUCUACUCCAGAUUCGUAUCCAUAAUAAAAAUUAAAAUUCGUAUAUGCUCUAUAUUUGUCAUAAAUUUAUAUUUUUCGUUCCAUAUUCAGAUCUAAAAAAUAAAUAAAUAUCUAUAACUGCUCUAAAUCUGGAAAAAAAAAUUAAAAUCCAAAUAUACUUUAAAUUCAUCAUGAAUUCUAAAACUUAGUAAUAAAAAAGUAAUAAUUUUUUAGAAUGAAAAUUGAAGACUAAAAUGUAUUGAUAACAAUAAAUUAUAUAUUUUUUCUCAAAAAUAUAAUAAAUAUUGUAGCUUAUACUUUUACACUAAAACAACAAAUAAGAAAGAUAAUAAAAUAUUUUUCAAAAGUAAUUGCAGGAGUAAGAUCAAUAUAAUAUUAUACUGUCUCUUUUAUCAUUUUAAUAUCCAUGACACACCUACCCUUAUUUCUACAACAUUAGAUAAUGACAUAUAAAUUAAAUAUGAUUUAUAUUCAGUGCUUUUUAUUUUUAUUAUGACCAUAUUUAACUAAAUAUAUGAAUAAUUAUAUUCAUUAAAAAUUAUUUGGCCAAUAUAAUGAAAUAAAUUGUCAGGUUGUAUUACUUGGCUUGCAAUUUGAAUAUUGCAUGUACAUGCUUUGGGGCUGGCUGAUCUUUAAAUUUACAAAACUAAUCUUUAAGUUUUAAGAGUUUAAAUACAUGGUAAAUAUUACUAAUAUACUAUGAAUAAAAUUUAUUAUCAUUAUAAUUCCACAAUUUUUAAGAAACUUUUAAAAUAAAAUAAAAUUAAAAGAUUGGUGGAUAUGGAUAUGGAUUUAGAUAUUAUGAUAGAUCCAGACCUGCUCCAGAUCUGUCUUAGAUCCGCACAUCAAUAUCCAAAUAUGAUCUAAAUUCAUUUUAAGCUGACCCAAAUCCGAUCCGAUUGGAUUUAGAUCACGUGGAUCUUGAGUCAGAUCCAAUCAUUGCCAUUAGGGAUGGCAAUUUGCGGGCCUGGGCCGGGCUUUUUAAAGCUCAGGCCCAAGCCCACAUCAGUUAAACGAUGUCCAGGCCCUUCAAAAGCCCGCCCAACCGAACUCGGGUCAGGCCUAAGCGGGCCUAGGCUAGGCUCGGGCUUUUAAAAUUAAUUAUAAAAUAUUUUUUAAAUUAAGAAAAUUAUUUAAAUUAAAGAUAAUAAUAUAAUAUAUAAAUAGAAUAAUAGUCAAAUACAUUAAAUAUUAGCAAUACAACCUAAUAAAAUAACAAAUACUAAUAUAAAAAAUUAAAGUAAUUUAAUAUUUUGAUUUUUUUCUUUUUUAUUUAAAUUAAAUUUAUUUUUUAUUCAUAAAUUUAGAAAGCCCUUGCUUUUUUGCUAAGCCCUUGUCUAGGCCCAACAUAUGUGGGCUUUGUAAUUUUUAGGCUCAUAUCCAAGCCCACCCCCUUGCGGGCCGGGUGUUAGGCCCGCGGGCCUGGGCUGGGCUUGACCGGGCCUGGGCCGGCCCGGGCUUUUUUGCCAAAUAUGAUCUAAAUUCAUUUUAAGCUGACCCAAAUAUGAUCCGAUUGGAUUUAGAUCACGUGGAUCUUGAGUCAGAUCCAAUCCAUUGCCAUCCCUAUUAACAGAACGAAAUAUUAAUAAUAGAUGUUGGCAAUUUCAACAAGGACAAUCUUGGAUUCAAAUGUACCCCUAUGAUAAAGAAAAAGCCAGCUUGGCUAAAUUUUGAGCACCACAUUACAAGAUCUAGGUGUAUGCUUAACUAUGCAAAAUGAAACAUCUAUUAAUUGUAAGUCCCUUGACCUCUGUAACCAGCCAACCGGUCUCUUUCCUACUAGACAACCUUCCAUCGACCAGAUUAAUAAUAUUUACUAAAUCAUGUUCUAUAGUUAAUGAAGUUGGACCAAGGCAAUUGUUAGCUUAAUGUCACAGGCCGCUCAAAUUUGCCGUAAUUGGAGGAUAAUUAUGUGCACAUGAGUUUGCUUAGCAAAAGUCCGCCUCGACGUGGAGUGCGCUUAAAAGCGGGAUGCACUUAGAAGUGGGAUGCGCUUAGCAAAUCAUCCAAGCCCAACCCAAGAUCUAGAACUCUCUGCAAAUUAUAAAUAAGUUAAAAGUUUUUAUAUUUCUCCACGUAGGUCCCUAGGAUAUUUAUGGAAGUUGCUAGGAAGUUUCCUCCCCUAAAAUGUUAACAUUUUGGUGGACGGUUAAUAUAAGUUACAAACUUAAAAUAGAAAAUCAAAUAAAUUCAAAUUUUCAAACUAUUUAUGGCAAAUUUAGGACAUAUGGUUAAUAAUUUUCCCAUGUCUUUUUACAUUGGUUGGUAUAAGUUACAAACUUAAAAUAGAAAAUCAAAUAAAUUUAUAUUUUCAAACUAUUUAGGGCAAACUUAGGGUAUAUGGUUAAUAAUUUUCCUUUAUUUUUUUUUACGUUAAAUUGAGUUUCAAAGGUAAAAUGGUCAAUUUAUUAUAAAUCUGUUAAUUUUUUAGUGGAAGCAAAUGAUAUAAUGGACGAAUGAUAUAAAUUGUAAAAUUAAGUUGCAUGAAUGAUACAACUUUAAAGUAUUGUAGUAAUCUUAAUAAUAGAACAAUUUAAGGGUGGAUUGGCAAUAAUUUAAACUUUAAUGAAGCAACUAAAAAAAAUUUUUAACAAAAGAAAAAUAAUUGAAAUGCUUUAAGAAAAAUAAAGGAAAUUAAAUAUCUUUAUAAAAACAUAAUUGAGUAAAAUCAUUUUACAAAAUGCUCUUUCAAAUGCACAUUCCACAAGUCAGGGAGAACGGGUGGCUAACAAAAAUCUCACUUUUUAUGAGUUUAUAAAAUCUCACUUUUGCAGAAUUCAAAAAUAACAAAUACUAAUCACACAAAAAAUAAAAAUUAUUGCUGUCACGACAUUACGCACUUUCUUCGUUGUCUAGAAAGGUAGAACAUUUCGAUGUUCCUCAAUACAAAAUGCGUGCUACUACUAAAUUGGCCCAAUUAAUGCCCAUCGAAAAGGCCAUGAAUUUAGCCAACAAUUUUGUCAAAAUUUCAGCAAUUGAAGAAAUAAUGAUCACAAACAGAACAGUUGAAUUUUGAAGUUUGAAAAAAUCUCCAGAUACGUACAACAAAGUCUUGAAGCUCUGGUCUUUACAAUUUGAGCACAGAAUAAAUAUUAACUACCUGCCAUUUAUAAUUUGUAUUAACUCUGUACCAAAACGUUAAUCGUCAUUCAUAAUUAAUGACGUGACAAUGAUAAUUUAAACAUUUGAUAUGCUUAAUAAAAAAUAAAAUAAUAACUUUAAAUAUAAAAAUUAAAAGAUAUUUUUAUAAUCAAUUCAAUUAAAUACACUUAAAAACUCACAUUAAUCCACAAAAUGCAUACAAAUGUACAGUACCAGAGAAUGAGAAACACACAUUUAUAGGCAAUCCAUUUGAGUUUAUGAAAUCUCAGUUCCCAAAAUCCAAAAAUAUUCAAUACACUCACAAACUUAAAAAAUAAAAAUGAUUGCUGUCAAGACACUUUUUAGCUGUCUAAAAAGCUAAACAUUUGAAGUUGUUUGAUACAAAAUGCAUGCUAAAUUGGCACAAUAAAUCCCCAUCGAAAGGUUAACAAUUGAAGGACAAUGAACACAAACGUAAUCUUUAGAUACAUACAACCAAUCCUUCAAACUUUAGUCUUCACAAUUUGAGCACGCCAUAACCACCCGCAAACAAGUUUUGGUAGCUUCUUGCGCGAACUGAACCCGCUGAAAUGUUUCUCUUAUUUUGUUAUUUUUUUUCUUUUUUUUUCUUUUUAGUCAUUUAUGUUCGCUGGCAUCUUCGUUGGCGUCUCUAUCUUCGCUGGCAUCUGCCUCGCCUGUAGUUUCAGUGCUAAUAUCCAACCAAUAAAAUGGGCAUUAAAUAUGAAUGAUGAAUAAAAUAAAAUAAAACAGAGAAAAUAAUGACAAGAAGAAAAACAAACUUUAAAAAAAAUUAUUAAAAGGGAAAUUUUGAGUUUAGCAUAGAUCAAACAGGCAUCACAAACUAAAACAAGAACCAACUAUAAAUAGAGUCAAUUAAUUGAAGUUCUCAAGAGCUUACCUCUGCUCCGGAAUUCUCGGAAUCAUCCACAUAUCUCCUUUUGAAUUUGCACCAAGCUUGGGACAAUUAUAAACGUAUGCAGAUGGAAAUCGAUUUUGAAAAGAGCUGUGGAAAAAGGGAUGGCGAAUGUUGCGAUAUGGAAAAUUUAGCAGUUCAAACUCCCGAAGUUGCUUCAUAACAAUUUGAUUGCAAUCCACGACGUCUGCUCCAUUUUUAUGCCAGAAUAUUGCUUCUAAUUCAUCAUUUCGUUCUAUCCGUAAGAAAUAUAGUUUUUGAAGACUUGGAGCUACGCCGAUAUGAAAUAGAUGCUUUAGUUUGGGGCAACCACAGACAGUGAUGCUUGUGAGUUUUGGGAAACAUACAGGUUGGAGAUGAUCCUCAUCCUCAUCCUCAUCAAUGAUUUGCUCUAAUUCGAAGCAGUUAUCAAUAACCAGCCCCUGCAAUUGCAACAGAUUUCGAGCAAAUGUUGAUGUGAAGAGACGCCUGAGCAUAGUGCACCCGUCCACUCUUAAAUGGGUAAGAUUUUGGAGGCUAAAAUUAUGCGUGGGACCUUCAUGAUAUAAUAAUACUUGCAGUUCUCGAAGGUUUUCCAACUGCACCUCCUUCAAACAUGGGAAUAAUUUGUUUUCUUGUCCCUUAGCGAUAAUAGCUUCCAAUUGAAAUACCACAUGUACUCCAAGUUGGCUAAUACCCAAUUCUUCCAAAUUUUUUAAGCCGUGCUUCAACAGUGCUGGAAUCGUGUCACUCAAAUGGGAACAAUUGUCCACAUAUAGAAUUUUUAAGUUCUGAGACAAAUAAAUAAAUAACUUGAUGCAAUUAAAAUCUAUUAGCAAGCUAGGAUUAUCACAUGAUAAGUGAUGAACACUGCAAAAAACAAAAACAGAAAACAAAAUCCAAACAAAAAUAUCAUAAUACAUAUGUAAACUAAUAAAAUAAUUAAAAAGUAAUGGAUUUAAAAAAAAAUUAGUUAAAAGAGAUCAUGUGAAGUGAUAUAAAUGUGACAUUAGAUUGUUUUAGAAAAAAUAUUAUUCUAUUAAUUUAUAUGGUUUGAUCAACUAUUUAAUUGAAUUUGAUUAAUAUUAUAUACACUUCAGAAGUAUUUGAAGAAUGGUUUUAGCCUUAUAAUAAAGAAAAUUCCCUAAGAUAUCUGAGCAUUAUUAUUAUCAUUACCACAUUCACGACCACCAUCAUCAUCUCCAUAGGAUCAAAAAAUUAAUGGCUGAUCAUAAAAUUUAUUGUUAAAAUAUCCUUUUGAGUAAAAUUGAAUGAAAAGAAAAAAUAUGAACCCAAACAGACAUACCUCUUUGAGAUACUGCAAAUUGGCUUCAAGUUCAUUACUGUUGAUGGUCAAGUUGGGACAGCAAUCAAGCUGUAACUCUUCCAAUGCUGCCCAAAUUGAACAAUAAUUCUCUGAACAGAACUUGGUGAGUUCUGGGAGAUCUUCAAGUUCUAAUUUUCUCAACAAAGGGAGGGCGAGCAUCGUAUUUCCAUCUCCGACACUUAUUUCCCCUUCAUUAUGAUCAAACUUUGCUUCGACAAUACAUUCCAGUCUCUCGCAUUCCCUUACAUGGAGACUUUUAAGCUGCUCCAAACUUCGAGCUUGUGACAACGUGAAGAUAUAUGUCAACUUGUUGCACCUAACCACAUUCAAUUCUGUAAGAGUUUGGAGACUGAUCACAUGUUGGGCGGGCGCCUUCCAUAUCCACUUCAGUUCUGGUAAGUUCCACAUAGAUAACUCUGCUAAUCUUGAGAGACUCUUUCCAUGCGGCGACUUAGAGGCUUCCAUUAUGCAUUCUAAAUCUUCGCAAUCGCCGACAUCAAGACAAGUCAACUCAUUUAAGCCCCUUUCAUCUAUGCUUGGCACAAUAUUGUAACAACCUAUAAUCCAUCUUAUAUAAAGAAUUUCCAGUUCUUGAUACAAAGCCGAAAAAAUACCGAGCGAGGUCACUUCAGGAGGGUCAUUCUCAAUGAUUAAGCUCUUUCUCUGACUACCAUAUUCCAUUUUAUAAAAAACUUCUUCACCUUUACAGAUGACGUACCUUUGCAAUUUCGGGAAUGUAAAGUCUUUUGGAAGAUAUACAACAGAUCCGUCGGCUUGGGAGUUCAACUCAGCAAGCCUAGCAUUACUUUCUUCUGAACUCAUCCCUUCAACCUCCCAAUUUUUUAUCCGACCAUAAAAUUCUUCUAAUUUUUUUAUCGUAAUGGGAGAAACAGAACUAGUAUCAAUAUGUAGAAGUUUCAAUCUACCAAGUUCAUCCGACAAUUCUUCAGGAAUUUCAAUGGGAGACGACCGGAGAUAAAGAAGUUCAAGUCUCUUCAACUUUCCAAGAAAAAACGCGUCACUCAAAUCACACAAAAUCAACUGCAGAACUCGGAGGUUAUUGGCUAGGAAUCGAAGUGAUUUUAGUGAAAGGACUCCAUUUAUUAUAGUAACAACUUUCAAUGCUGGCAUCCCUUCAAAAAAAUUUUCUGGAACUUGCAAUUUGUAGUCACAUAGAGUGUUGUCCAGUCGCAAAAUAUGAAGGUUAGGGCAUACCAAACGACUAGGAAGCUCUUCUUCUUUAUUUCCCAUUACAGAGAUUCCUCUAUAUUGCUCCGGGCCUUCUUCCAUUACCCGUUCUGCCAAUCCAAUGCCAACUUUACUAAAAAAUUUCUUCUCCACUAGUACUUCUGAGCCUAUCCAUAUGGCUACAUCACGAACUAUGUCAUGCAUUUUCACAGAUCUGUCAUUACCAGUGUCUAACAGUAGUGAAGCAGCUUUGAGUCCGUCAAUUGUUCCAAGCAGUAGGCUUCUGGUGUUCUCUAUUGACUCAGCUUGAUACCAAGUCAACCCUACUGCAUAUCCAACCAAAUCCUCCAAAUUAAUCUCAUAAUCUUCUGGAAAUAGCGAACACAACAAGAAGCAUAACUUGGAAUUGUCAUCAUUCAAUUCGUCGUAACUAAAUUUGAGACAACCGUAAACGUCUAAGUUCUCCUCAUCAAUACCUUCUAUUGCAUAGAGUUUUGCAGCCUUUAGGUUAUGUAGAGCUAGGUUCCAUUCAUUAAAUCUUUUUCCUCUUAGUGCACUUCCAACAGCUUCAAUAGCUAAAGGCAGCCCCUUACAUUCUCCAGCAACUUCUUUGGAAACAUCAUUCAAGGUGGAGUCAUUUACAUUAAUUUUGGCAUUUUUUCGCAGUAAAGCCAAUCCUUCUUCUGGCGUUAGUGUACUAAGUGGAAUCUGUGUGUCACAACCCAAAGAAUCACAAACUGACUUUUUGCGAGUGGUUAGAAGGAUUUUGCAACAAUUAUCUCUACCACCGACGGUAAUACCUAAUUUUUUCUCCGAGUCGAGUGGUUUCCAAACAUCAUCAAGGAUUACGAGGAUUUUGCUGCUUUUACUCUCAGAAAACAUCAAGCGCAAUCGGUCUGCUCUCUCUUUUUCAUCUUUCUCAUUUAGUGCCCAGCCUAACGACUUUGCCAACUCACCUUGAACCUUUAUUAUAUCUAGAUCCUGAGACAUAGUGGCUAUCCCCACCUUAUCGAAAAGCUUUUGUUGCCGAAGUUGAUUGCCCACAUAUUUUGCCAGGGUUGUCUUUCCUACACCACCGAGACCAUGCAAUCCCACCAUCUUUGUGCUCUCUUUUUUCAGUGCGUCAAUGAUCUGAUUGCAAGCGGAUUCUGUGGUCUUGAAAAUAGAAGUAAAAUGCCUUGGCAAACUUAAUUCUCUUUCUAAUGGUAGAGGUUUAGGAGAGGCAACUGUGUUGAAUUGGCUGCAGCCUUGUAGCAGAUCGGACAACUUGCUAGUCUUCUCUGAUGCUUUUCUGCCCAGACGAUAUCGGCAACACCAAUUAGGACACAAUCCAUGAAGACUACUAUCCUUUUCAUCUAUCUCUGCUUUCAACUUCCAAACAUCGUCCAAUUCUUCGACUCCAUUAUUCAGCCACUCCAUUACAUUUUCAUCGACUACUAUGUCGGGGCAUUUUCGCAGUUCAUCGUCUAUUCUUGUUUUGAUGCCAUCUCGUGCCUUCUUCAACUUAGUUUCUUUAUCCUCAAGUUCUUUAACAAUGCUGUUGAAACAGAACAUAUAGCGAGCUUGGUCAAUGGCUGCAUUCACCAAUAAUUCUUCAACCUUUGAUUUUAAAGCUUCCAUGCUAUUUAUCUGCAAAUAACGAAGUUGAUCUCAGCACACUAUUAGCGAAACAACAAGGCUUGAUCACCAGACAAAAUGAGAACGUUUAAUUACCUCUUUCUGCACUGUGAAUGCACGUCUAUUAACACCAGCUUUGACCAAUAAGAGCAAAAUGCAGAGGUGGGGCCUUAAGAGUUUCGGUGGCCUUUAGCUGCAAAACGGCAGAUGACAAAUAAGGUGAACGUUCCUAGCAAACGUGAUUUACGGUGAAUUAUAUUCAAAUUAGAUUAUUUUAAAAGUUGGUAAAUUAUUUAUCACUCUAUCUUAAUGAUACCUUAUUUGGGAUGAUAAAGAUUGGGGUAAAUUCCCUUUUAUUCUCACAUGUUUAUAGUAUUUAUAUUUUUAUAAAUUACCUAAAACAUCCAUGUAACUUACUUUUAUAGCUAUUGAACAUAUCAUUUCAAAUAUAAAAUACUAUUUCUGUCUAAUAUAAAUUAAAAAUCAAACAAAUCUAUCAUGCAAUAAAUGAAAAGUAAAGAAUAUUAAUUAGGUUUUAAUGGAAACAAAUAUAAAACAUAGAGGUUUUGAGUAACUUUUGUAUUUUUUUUAAUGUUCAAUUUAGAAUUGAAUAAUUUGCAUAAUGAAAUUUUGAGGUUUCUAUAAUUUAUAUGAAGAUAAACUGCGAAAUAAGUUUAUAUGCCGAAAUUAAAAUAGUUAUAUAUUAGCAAUCAUAUAAUAAUAAAAAAUUUUAAUAAAAUUUAUUUAAAAAUUGGCCAAUUGUGUUUCAUGAGUAAAACAGAGAGCAUAAUGGACUUAUGUUGGGUCUUGGGAUUGAAAGACUAAGGGUAAGGGGCCGGGAGGUAGGACGGUAGGAAAAUUAAUUUUUGUUAUUUUUAAAGUAUGGUCAACAUUAGUGACUUGGAGGUGAUUGCCGUUAAUCAAUUACCUUUAACUUAAGAAUUAAUACAAAUAAAUGGCAAAAAUAAUUUAAUGAAAAUUAAUUUAAUAAAAAAUUGCACUAAAAACUUAGAACUCAAAUUCUCGAUCAUUUUAUCCGUACGUUUUAAUCCGACGCUCAGAAUUGGCAUAAAACAAACUAAUAUAGCCAUUGGAAAUAAAACAAACAUCAAAUCAAGAGCCUAUGAAACAAUAUUAUCUCGUACCUUCUUCCUUAUAGAUCCUCAAUUGCUGUUGAAAGCUGCAUAUGACAAUAUAAAUAAACAUGAGAUCAAAACAUCAUAGGAUAUAUCUAGCCAAUUAACAUCAUAUAUAACUCCUUGUUCUCAGUCAAAUCUUUCAUUCUUAGAUUAAAAAAAAAAUGAAAUAAUAACUGUUAAGUGAUAUAGGAAGCAAAAGUAACACACCGAAAUGAAAGCAGCUAGUUCACAGAUGACAGAUGCGGUGACUUCAAGAGCAUGAAAAAUGAUUAAACUUUGGUAGAAGGGUCUGAGCCGUGUUUCACAAGUUGCUAUUGACUUCGUGGCUUCGCUUUUAUUUAUUAUUAUUAUUUUUUUAAAUUCUAUAUCAGUGAGAAUUGAAAUGUGGAAAGUGAAAUGAUACACAUGCCUUAUCAUCUAUCAUGAGGGGUGAUUUGGUAAAACCGAUUUAAAAUAAAAAAAGUUUAAAAAAAUUUAAAAAGAUGCUUUGUGUCUGACUGCUUGUAUUUGGGGUAUUUUUCGGGUUGUUGAGACUUGAGAGUGAGUUUAAUUAAAUAUAAGAUUUUCAUUUUUCUUAUUAUAUUUUUCUCUUUAGAAUGAAUUUAAAUCUCAUUCUUAUUAAAUUCAUUUUUUUAAAUGAAAAUAGAUUUCUCUCCACACAUUUGAGAUAUAUUUUAAAAUUAAUGUUAAGCAUAUCUCUAAAUUAUAUUAUAAAUAUUUUUAUUUAAAAUCUCAACAGAUUUCAUAACACACAGAGAGAAAUACAUAUAUAUGUUGUAAUGUUUUAAUGAUGGAUCUCUAAAGUUAUCAAGUUAAAAAAUAAAUAAAUAAAUAAAAAAUACACACUUCAACUUAUUAUAUGAUAAAAUAUAGUAUAUUAAAGUGAGUAUUUUUUGUGUGAAAUAAAAUUAAAGUGAGUACUAUUACCACCUCACAUCUUAUAAAUUCUAGAAAAUAAUCAAGGCUUGACAUACUUUUAUUUAUGCAAAAGCAUAAGAAAAUAAUUCAAAGUACUAAUUAGUGUACUAUUCCUCAAAAUUCUAGAAUAGAUUUGUUAGUUCUCUUUAGCCAUAGAUUGGUCCGUGAUUGGCACCGCAAUAGCUCAUAAUCACCUCAACAAUUGUUCCACACGGCCCAACAUGACACAUUGUAAACUAGUCUACAAGAAUUUUUUGAGUGGCUUUCUAGCAAUAUUCUUAGAGAAAGUGUUUAGUAGUUUCAAAUCUUCUUUUUUUAACACAAAUGUUGGCAUGAUAUUCUUAAUAUAUUUCUAAAAUCAAAAUAAGAUGCAUAGAGGACGAUAAUUUUAUUUCAUAAUUGAAUUUUUUGCAAAGAAAGUUUGAACAUGAGAGUGAUGAGAGAUGAGAAUAUUGAUGAUGGUGUGUACUUUGAAUGGAAAAAUAGAUUGGAAAUAUAUAUAGACAUAUUAAAAGAAAAAAAUUUGGUCUAUUUCAUAAGAGAAAUAAAAAAUUAUAAACGCGGGUGUUAAAAUGUAUUCAGAAUUUAUAAAUUUUUAUAAAUAUGAUAAUCAUCAGACCCUUAUAAAAGUAUAACAAAAAAGUUUAAAAUUUUUUAAUAAAUGUAGAAGAGAUGAACGAAGAAAUCAUCCACCAGUUCAGAAUUAACAAUCAAAGAUAUGAGGACUUGAUUGAAGAAAUGAUGAAAAAUAAAAGGAAACUGGGUUGGUUAGCGGGACCCUAAUAUUAAUGGUGAAAAAUAAAAGGACACUGGGUUGGUUGGCAGGACCCUAAUAUUAAUGGCAAAAAAUAAAAGGACACUGGGUUGCUAUCAAUUUCGAUCGUGUAGGUUCAUAGCCGGGGAAGUAAUUGGGCACAAAUAUCUCGGAUGAGAAAUAACCAUUUUAUCCCGCAACCAUAUGUUUAUGGCCUCUAAAAAUUUUCACCUCUUUCACUUUCUGGAACCCGUGCUUUCUGGCACAUGCACAAAUACUUGGUUGCUACUUAUAGAGCGUUUUUGGAAUUGCAACAACAUGGUGCUCUUUGAUAAUUCAAAAAUCCAAUAUAAUUUAUAGAGAAUUACAGAAUUGUGGUACGUGAUAAUUUGCUGAUGCAAUGAGGCGCCGAAAUUCUUAUACAUGUGAUUUAAGUUAUAUAUGUAUAAUUAAGUAAUUAGAAUAUACUAGUUGGGGGUAUUUGUGUCCAUGAAAAUUUACAGCUGGUUGUUGACAUUACACUGCGGGUGUGUAAGUGUAAUCAUGGAUCUGACCAUUCAAAUUUAAAAAAUGGGGGUCCCGCUAGCUUACGGAGUUAGUAAUUAUUAGAUAUGCAUAUAUGCUCCCAUACGAUAAUCUUAUCAUAAAUUUGAAGGAUACGAGGACUUGAUUGAAGAAAUGAACGAAUAUUUGAAUUAAAAAAAAUUUUAGAAUAAAGACAAGUAUUAAUUUACUAUGAAUGCAACUUACAUAAGCUGUAAGUUAGCGGGACACUAUUAAAUCACAAGCAAAAAGCAAUCUGACUUCUUCUUGAUUCCGUAAUUUGGCUGUCAAAAUGUAAUCUAUAAAAAUUACGAUACCUCGAUUCAAAAAAAUGUUGUUUCUGAUGAAAUAAAUGAAAAUUGAACGUACAAUCUGCCACGAACACUGUUUAAUUAACCGUUUAUUUCCCCUUAAAUUUUUAAUCUCAAUGAAACAUAGAUCUAAUGGGAACUACAUAUAUAUAAAAAUACUAUAGAUUGAAGAAGUUGAAUUUUUCUUGUGUGUUAAGUAUUUUUAGUUAAUACGAAAGGAUUCUAGCAAGUUAAUACAAAAGUAUCAUAAAUUCAUAGUAGUACAAGAGAUUUUUUUUUUCUUUUGAUAUUAAGAGUUUUCGAGAUAAAAAAAAAAAAAAUAGGUGAAAGAAGAAGAUGAGAGAAGAAAAAAUAUUAAGAAUAGUUUUGGCAUUUUGAUGCGUUUUAUAGUGUAAAAUCUAUAUUUUAUAGUAUAAAAAGGUACACCCAUAAUUUAAUGAUAAAAUUUUAGGAAAAAAUUGCACUCGUCAAAAAAAAAAAGAAAAGGCUCAGCUUAGCCCAAAAAUUUUUUAUUAAUCGUCUAGUCGCUAAUGUAAUCUCUUUUUUAUGAGAUUCUUUGGCGUUUUAGUUUAGUCCAUUGUUAGCAAUCCUAAUAGCUUUUAUGUGCAUCUAUUUUUAUUUGGAAUAUGUUUCAAGCUUGAAUAAAAUCUGCGGGACAACUGGUAAGUAAUAAAGCUCAUCAUUUUUUUAUUUUGAAAAUAAAGGGAAUCACUUACACUUAGCAUGAUAUUAUUUUUGAUAAGUCAUUUUUUUGGUAGAUUAUUUUUUCUAACACGCUCUUAGAUUUAGUGAAAAUAAAUUGUAUACUUUUAAUGAAGAAAAGUAAAGAUCAACAAAAUAUUUUGUUCUUUGCGACAACUUUUGCGUUCUCAAGUGCGCCUGAUACCCUUUUUUUUUUAACAUGGGCCCACGUGCCAUGUUUCCAUUUCAAGUUUCAUAAGUUAACAGUAGAAAUGGGUUCCACAGAUAAUUUAUUUUAUAAUUUUUUUUAAAAAUUACUAAAAUAUAAUAAAUAAGGUAAUAAUAAUUAAUAAAAAAGUAGAUUUUAAGAUGGAAAAAUCUUUUUGUGUACUUAAUAAAAAGAUGAUAAGAAUGGGAUGCUUUUAGUUUACAUUCUCAUAGCUAUUUAUACUGAAAAAUUACAUCAAAAUUUAAUUAAUAAAUCAGUGAACUGCAGACUUAUUAAAUUUAAGCUAUUUUAAUAAGUCAUAAAUAUACUAAAUUAAAAUAGUAAUAAACCCAUUGUUACACAAUACUCUCCAUUGAGUGUUCACCAUUUUAAGAUAAUCAUAAAAUGACACCGGAAGUGCUAUUAUAGCUGUCUCAUGGAAAGCCUUCACCAAUAAAAAGGAGGAUAGAGCACAUACAUCCAGUUUUUAUACCCUUUGAUGCUCAGUCGACACGUGCCAAUGCUAUAGACUAGCUUUUCGAAGGUUGAAGUGGGUAUGCUAUUAGUAAAAAGACCUGCAAAAUUAUAGUGUACCUAUUUGACAUCAACUUUUUUUAUCUGCUGGAGCUUAUGAUUAUAGAAGAUCUUCGGUAAGAUGUGUUUGAUUUUAUCUUCUUUUAUAUAUCCUCCUCUAACUUGUGUAAUAGUAGUAAACCCCUGCCCGUUUUUAUUUCGUUUAGUAUUUUCUAAAUGGCCGAAGGAAAAUUGGUAAAAACUCAUUUAAAAAUAAAAAAAAAUCAAAGAAAUUCAAGAAGAAGCUUUGUAUCUGUCAUUUGUAUUUGGGGUAUUUUUUUGGUUGUUAAGUGAAUGAGCUUAAAUCUAAAACAUUUAUUUAUAUAUUUCUUGUUGGAAAGAAUUUAAAUUUUAUUCUUAUUAGACUUAUUCUCUUUAAACAAAGGUAGAUUUUUCUCUAUGUGUUUAACGUGUAUUUUAAAAUUAAUGUUCAACAUAUCUUUAGAUUCUAUUAUAAAUAUUCAUAUCUAAAAUCUCAACAGAUUUCAUAAUAUAUAAAUGUAUAUAAAGAGAGAGAAUAACGUUUCUAAUAAGAAAUUUAUUAAGUUAAAGAAUAAUUCAAAAGAUAAAUUUGUAUUCAACCCAUUUAUAUGAUUAAUUAAGGUUUUAAACAAAUUUUGGACUUGUUCUAUUGUAGAGCUUAAAUUCAAAAUGGAAGAGUGAAGAAGGGAAAAAGAAGACGAAUAAAGAAGAAAAGAGGAGAACAACUUAUACAAAAGAGGGAGAACGAAAAAGUGAAGGGCAGAAAAAGAAAAAGAAUAAAGAAGAAAUUAAUCAUCGCUGAUAUGAAAAUAAUUCCUUCUUCUUUAUUGUUCUUAGUGGUUCUACUUUUUUUUAUUGGAUUCUAAAUUUUUGUCGUAGAUGGAUUAUAAGAACUAGAAAAUUAUAAAGAUAAUUUUUUAAUUAUUCGAUUAAUUAAUUCCAGCAGAAGACAAGAAAUUGAUUCUGCUUCGUUAGAAAGCCAUCACAUUCUAUACGCAAUUGCAAAAAGUAUAUAUUUUUGUCUGUUUUAGACAAGAAUAAAAGGGAUACCUGGUAUUGCAAAUCUAGACACGUUUUAGUGCUUUAUGUCCGAAUGAAUUCUUUCUUGCAACAAUAAACUUGGCCGAUCAGGAUUUGCCGUUUACAUAUGUAGGUCCUGUUGGUUCUGUAGUAGGACUCAUAAAUUUUUAUUUUUAAUUUACUGAAUCCAUAAAUUUAAAAUAACGGUGCAACUCCUGAGGAUGACAAUGGGGCGGGUGAGGUCUUGGAGUCCUGAAAAAAUUUAUAUCUGCAUAUUAAAAAAUGUGGAUCCGAAUAAGAAAAUCCGCAUGAAUCCGAAUGCAAGUGCAUUUGGAAAAUCGGAUAUCGAGAUCUGGAUAAAAAUUUAUUUCAAAUUAAAAAUUAAAUUAAAUAUAUAUUAAAAAGUAAAUGAAAAAUUAAGAAAGUAAAUUUUAUUUGUAGAUUUAUGAUGUCAUUGUAUAUUAUUCAUGUUGAAUUAUUAAUUGUUGGAUUAUGAUUGAAUUUUAUUUGAUAUUAUUGGGUAAAUUAUUGAAUUUCAUUUUAAAUUAAAAAUAUUUAUUAAAAAUUAAAUUUUAUUUGUAGAUUUAUGAGAUUAUUGUAUGUUAUUCAUUUAAAAUUUUUAAUUAUUGAAUUAUGAUUGAAUUUUAUUUGAUAUUAUUAGGUAAAUUAUUAAACUUUUAAAUUUUAUAUUAAAUUAUAAGCAGUAGGAAAUUAUGGUAUUCAGAACAUGUAUACCUUCGCACAUGAAGCUUGAGUCCAGAACAAGAUGCAGCUAGCCAAUCCUUCAACUUCCAAAACCCCACAAAACCUCUGUCAACAUAUCUGCUCUACUUCAAUAUUAAGCACAUUCAUAGCGGUAUCAACAGCUUACAGCUCCAAAAAUAGUUUGAGAUUUCAUUGAAGCUAAGUUGUGACUUGUGACUGUCCAAAUGUUCUGUCACACGAAAUGAUUAUUCUUGUAACACAAAUCCAAUAGCAUGCAAUAUAAUCUACUCUCUAACACUGUGCAUUAGUAAAAUAAAACAGAGUAAAGCAUUAGUAAAAUAAAACAGAGUAAAAAGAGAAACCAUGCCUGUGAAUCUCUUCUCCUCCCCCCACCACCCCUUUUUUUGGUAAAGUCUAUCAAAUGAAAAUGCAGCAUGACCACAUUGGCCACUACCACUGCCAUUACUCCUUCAACUGUGCCCUUUGUUGCAAGAAAUCUUCAAGUGAAAGAUGGAUUAUAUAAUUAAAGAUUCCAAUAGAAGCAGCAAAGGUUGCCUUCCACUAGCCUAUCAGAGAAUAUGCUUUCUAUUUUCCUAGUUUUAAUCAAAAUUUUGCAAGAUUUAUUUAUGGAAAACUUGGACAAAAUUUUAUGUAAGAUACCAUAAAGCCAAACACAAUCUUUUUAAUUCUCAGCAGCAACAUUUAAAGUAAAAAGAUGGAAGCCAUAUAAAUAUAACUAUAUUUGGUACGAGGAACAAUUAUUUCAAGCUUUCAGAAAUGCUAGCAAGAAAUUGUAAGAGAACUUUACCUAGUCACAGAAUAUGUCAAGCAUACUACCACCAACUGUCUUUAGCACAAUUGUUAUGAAGUAGCCUCUGAAUCGGAAGAUUCAAGCUUCCACCAGGCACAAUUAUUUUCAUUCUCCAUACAAUCUGCAGCAGUGGCAUGAGUUAUAUCAUCAACAUUUGCAUCCUCACUCUCAUCACCCCAAUCAAGGCUUCUUCUCCACCUCUGGAUUAUAAGUCCUCUUCGACAUCUUCAAACAUCUCGGUCCUUCCAUUUGCAAACAACCGAUAUGGCUUCUUUCCUUGCCUUCCUCAUCGUUUAUAUCCCCCAAAAAAGGGUCUUUAGACACCUCAACUUUGCCUUCUGCAAAACCUCCACAAAAUCUGAAUUAUCCAACACAACAGCUAGACGCUUGAUCCUUCUUUUGUCCAUCAUAUCCACCGCAUGAUUCCUCAACAAACAUCUGCAGCUUGUGGCUUAUCUAACACUGUCCUGACCCAAAACCCCACUCUUUUCAACUCAUCUGCCAAACCAUAACCCACUUUUGGAGUCAAAAUUGUCCUUGCAGCCCUUUUAUAUUUUUCCAACUCCAUUGAAUACUUGCCACUCAAAUGCACUCUCCUACCUCUAGCUGAUUCUACUUGAUUCAACCUCUUCUUUUGUUUACACUCAUGAAUUUGGAUAAAAUAAUUAACAAGUUUGUCAUUAUUAUAAAAUCUCCUUUCACAAACACCACAUAAAUAUGGCUCAGCAGGCUUAAUUACACCCUUGCUUUCCAAUUGGUUAAACAAUUUUUCUCUUCUCUUUGCUCUCUUACAACUUGAGGCACAUAACUAAAUGCAUGGCUAUUGGCAUAUGCCACCAUGUAUUUAACAACCCAAGUGAAGAUAUUGAUUUGGGGGUUUGUUGUCCAAAUCCCUAAAAAUUCACACAUUGCGUUGGACAGUUUUUAGUUCUACAAUUAAUGAUACGUUAUGUGAAUUAAGCUCCAAAUGAGAACAUCUAAACAAUGAGACAAAUGGGCUCUAGGUUUCUAAUCAGUAAACAUCGUUCAGUCGCAUAAUUUAUGAAAUUUUUGAAACAUCACUACAGCUACAGGUCUUUAUGUGUCAAUGAACUGCAGAAACUAAUGAUCUACUAGUAGUAGACGUUUGUUGUCCCCACCGUUCCAGGAAGAAAAAUAAGUAGAAGAACUACUUUUAGACCAAAAUUAAAAAAUUGAAACUAUCUUGAAAGACUUUCCCUUCAACUAAGUAAAAAAGAAAAGAAAAAAAAAAGGUAUUAGACAAGCAUUUUCAAAGGAAAAAGAUCAUCCAUUUAUUGUAUGUACUCAGGAAAAAUAAAUGUACUAAUAGGUAGAAACACAGCAAUAAAACUCAAAAACUAACAUCUAUAAAGCUCAAUAACAAUUAUGAAUUAGAUAUUUUGGUCCCUUCAUAAUUCCUCCUCUUGACUUCACAUUUCCCCUCAGCCCGUGAUAAUUUUACCUAUUGAAUUCACAUUUCCCCUCAUCCAUUGAACUUUCCCAAUAACAAGAUGAGUCUAAAUCAUCAAUCUCAUUAAACACUCACAUCUACUAAAUAAUAUCGCAUGCAGUAACUUUAAGUAAGGAUCUAAAACUUACAAGAAAAAGAAAACUACUGUUUAUUAAUUUCAAAAUUUACACAAAAUUACAAAUGAUUUUAUAAACUGUACCAAAACAUGUUCUCUAAAAGAGAUUCAUUAUCCUGCAUUUUCAAAAACAAUAUAAACUAACACUAGAAUAGCCAUUUGAUAAUGAUGUGAAUUUGGGCAGCACCAAGAAGCAGUGAGCCCCAUUUGGUGAAAGCAAAAAGAAAAAAAAUUAAAAUAAAGCACUAUAAAUUCUAAUCAAAUUAUUAACAUUAGCUACACAUCAAGAAACCAGAAUAAAAUCGUUAUCUAAACCACAUACUGAAAAAGAAAAAACAAUGCAGUUAAAAUUCUAUCAUUUUCACUUACAAACAAAUAAAGAAAAAAUUAAGAACAAAGGUUGAAGCAAAGAAUGAUUGUACCUUGAGGUACUUGAGGUUAAUGUUUCCAUAAACGAGACCGAGCGAAAAAGCCGAAACCAGAGCAACCUAUUCUUACUACUCAAAAACACGCCCAGAUCAGAAAAUAAAUGAUCAUUCAAUAACAAUUCAUAGGAAAAUGAUGUUUGCCCCGGGUCAAACCCCGGGUCAAACCCCGAAAAUAACUUAAACGGCGUCGUUUUGAUUAUUUUUUUUCUUUUGGAAUACUCCAAAACGACGACGUUUCUGAUGAUAUUUUGAGAAGAAUAAAAUCUAUCUUCCUCUUCGUUUUCGUUUCUUCGUUUCACCUGUGAAAGAACAGAGCAACAGAGCAACAGAGAUCCCAACUUGGUCUUGUUCCGUUUGACCGUAAAUCUCUUCAUUUCUUCGUUUCUUCGUUUCUUCAAAUAACGGCAAUAUCACCCAAAACAAAGUUUCAUGCAAUGUUGUAAAAAAUAAAUUAUGAUUUGAGAACUGAAAAAAUAAUAUGAGAACUAAAAAAAUGAGACAAAUCAAGAAUAUGAGAACUGAAAAAAUUAAUUCAAUGUUACAAUGUUACAAUGUUCUAAAAACGAAGGCCAACUUCCUAAAAUAAAAUUAAAAAACAAAAUGCUACAAUGUUAAUCUUCGAAAAUUAAACUGAAAAAAUGAGACAGUACCGAAAAAAACAAAUCUUCGAAAAUUCAAGCUUGGCACAAUGUUAAUCUUUCGUCCAAACUCAGCUUUCAACCGUCCAAAUUCAGCUUGUCCAAACUCAGCUUUCAACCGUCCAAACUCAGCUUGUCCAAACUCAUCUUUCAACCGUCCAAACUCAGCUUUCAAGGACACAUUUCGCAGCCGAAACUCAGCCGAAACUCAGCUGCUGUUGGUCUUGUUCUUCAAUGGGUACCAAACGAAAAAGAAACGAAAAAGAAACUCAGACGCUUUCAACUCAGCUUCCAAGGACAAAUUUCGCAGCCGAAACUCAGUCGAAACUCAGUUGCUGUUGGUCUUGUUCUUCAAUGGGUGCGAAACGAAAAACAAACUCAGAUGAAGAGGAUGGAGCUUUAAUUAGUAGAUCCCGUUCUGCUGUCGAUGAGUGCUCCGGCUGUGGAUCUCGGUCGAGGAUGGAAGAAACGAAAAAGAAACGAACAAACGAAAAAGAAAAUAAAAGAAAACGACGCAAAUCAUUCAAUAAACAAACGAAAAAGAAAAAAAAAAAAGAAACGACGCAAACGACGCCGUUUAAGUUAUUUUCGGGGUUUGACCCGGGGCAAACAUCAGCACUCUUUCCUUUAUGAAUUGGGAAAAUGCUACUUUCCCCGGGUCAAACCCCGAAUUAUUUCAAAACGGUGUCGUUUUGUUUUUUUUUUUUUCUUUUUACUUGCAUGAAACGUGGUCGUUUGAGCUAGUAAAAACAAAACAAACUAAAGCAGAAAAAACUCAAGUGCUUAUCUUCUCUGCCCCUUUCUUAAUUUCCUUUUGACAAACCACGGAAUCACACCCACAAACAACAAUCACCCACAGUCACGCGAACAGCCGGCACAGACGAAGGAUGAGCCCACAGACGACGGACCACCGCAUUGAAAUCUCUGUCCACAUCACCGGCACCAUCAUCGUAGGUCUGUAACAAACUGUCGUAAGUUAAACCCUUCUCACCGUCGAUGAACUCGACGUAAGUACGGAAUACUUCGUCGAGAAUUGCGUUGAUUUGUUCGUCGCUGAAUUUGACUCGAGGGUUUACGGCCACCACUAAAGCCGCCAUUUCUUCUCUAUUACGGCCACCGUCGCGGUUCGUGUCAAAUUGUUGAAAAAUUCUCUUCACUUUCUCUGAUCUGCUUCCUCUCGUAGCCAUUUUUUUUUUCUGUUUUUCUGGGGGUCAGUUUGGUUUCUCAGUGUUUGUUUGAGAAAGCGGAAUUAGUAGAUAAGGGAAUAUAAGGAAAAGUUGAUAAAAAGGCAAAGGGUGGUUACUUUAAUUGUUGGUGAGAAUAAUGAUGAUGAUGGCUUAAUUCUGGGUUUUGUUGGAUCUGAAUGAAUUCUUAACGGCAAAAGUUAAAGAGUAGAAGAAGAGCAAGAGGACGGACUCUCAUUCUUUCCCUUUUUUCUUUUAAUUUUAAAUAUAUCAAAAACGGCAGCGUUUUGGAGAAACAAAAAAGAAAAAAAAAUUAAAACAAAACGACGCCGUUUUUGUUUUCGGGGUUUGACCCGGGGCAAACAUCAGCACUCAUUCAUAAAAACUCCAUCCCAUCGCAUUUAAAACAAAACAAAGAAAAUAUUGAUUAGAAAAAAAAUUACACGCAUGGAAUAAAAGAAUAUAAAAAUGGAAUUACCAGAGGGAGCUAGUGCCGGAGUAGGAACCAGAAGGCAGCGCCAUAUGAUGCUCUUGUUAUGGUUUUCCUUCUUGUGGGUCUGCGCUGAAGUCGAAGAUGAAGAAACAAGAAAGAGCCAGCAAAUUGAGAAAUCGACUACCAUCUUCGAUUCCGACUCGCAUGGCCAUUUUUCUUUGAUGAAUGAAAUAUUGUUUUACUCCCUAAUUCUUAACCAAAUUACAAGUUUUGACUUCUGUUUGUAUGUUCUUUCAUACGGGUUCUUGUUCACAGGAAUAACAAAUGGGCCGGACGUGUGGCUAAGCCCGGGCCUGGUGUCGAUAGCCAGGCCUGGGCUUUUACGAGCCCAGGCAUUUUAUUCUGAGUAUGAUCCUUAUAUCACUUCACUUUUGUAAUCGUAAUUUUAUUGUACUGAAAAUUAUAUGAACGAUUAAUAUGAAUUUAAUUAAACAAACAUGUCUUUACAACUCAUGCAACCUUACUAUUUUCUAAUCCUAAUAUGUGAUAUAAUUAAUUUUACUGAUAAAAUCAAAAUAAUUUUUAAACAAUGAAGAAAUAAAUUAUAAUAACAGUAAAUUUAUUACGAAAAAGUAUGUUUACAAAAUUUAUUUUAAAUGAUAUGAAAUCUAAUUAAAAUUCUAUUCUAAUUUUAUGCCCUUUUUUACAAUUUUAUUAAAAAGUGGGAUCUCUUAAGAUUUUAGGAGUGUUGGAAUUCUAUUUUUCCAGAUUUGAAUUUUAGUGACCUUUACUUCAUUUAAAUUUUUUGUUAUAAACUUGCAAGCAAGUGCAUUUAGGAUAUCUUUGGUGAACUGGAUUGUAACAAUAAUUUUAUUUAUUAAAAUUAUUAAAAGUAUUUAAUUAAUAAAACUUCACGUAUCCUCGGGUCUAACCAAUCAAAUUCUUUCUCUCAAAAGUACACAAAAGUGAGAUUGGCUCUUGCCUAUUAGUUAACAUAUGCAUAUUAAUUAACACUGACAGAUAUAUAGAUAUACAGCACAGCUAGCAGCACAUUCGACUUACAGAUAUACAGAACUUGAACAUAAUUCACAUAUCUGAAGGGAGAGGGAUAUCGAUGUUGCGGCCUGCAAUUCAUAACAUAUCAUCGGUCAUUUAAUCUAGAAUUGAGGAGAGAAAAUGAGUCUAAAUUCGAAAACUUUGGCACUAUUUACAUAUCAUUAUUUGGGUGAAAAUUCAUUUCUCUGCUUUGAUAUGAUUUGGUCUUUCAUUGUUACGGUGCCAAUUUUUUAUUUAAAGAUGUAAGGUAGUGGUACUAUAGCUUAUAUUUUCCGUAAUUACUAUCCGGUAAGUACAAAAAUAAAAUACUAGUUUAAAAUAUAAAAAUGAAAAAUUAUUUUUAUAACCAAUAUUCAAUUAAAUACAUUUAAAACUCUAUUUUUUCUUAAUAAAAAAAAUUCUAAUUUAUUUUCUCAAUUUAUCUAAACAACUUUACCUAAUCAAGCUAAAUCUACAUAUUACCCUAAACCUUAAUUCAUAAACACCCAAUCAAUCUAAUUGUUAAAUCUUAUUUCAUAAUAAAAAAAAAUUAAUUUCUUUUUUAUUAUUUAUGGUGCAAAGGAAAAAAUGAAUUUAAAGGUAAAAUUGAUAUUUUAUUUAAAUUUUGUUAAUAUUCUAAUAAUAUUAAUGUCUUGGUGGUUAAUAAAAGCAUAAAGUUAAACUUUUGUAGUAUUUUUAAUAAUAUGGUAAAGAUAUAUGUUUGAUAAUUUUCUUAUGUCUUUUUACGUUAAAUUGAGUCUCAAGUAUAAUGAAUAAAUAAUACAUAUUAUAAAAUUAGUGUAGAUAAAUAAUACAACUUGAAAAUAUUAUAGUAUUCUUAAUAAUAGAGAAAUUUAAAGGUGGAUAGUUGAUUGUUUAAUGAAACAACUACAGAAUUUUCCUUUCAAAUAUCUUUUUGAAAAAACAUGAUUGAGUAAAAAUUAUUUUACAGAAUGACCUUUCAAAUGCCCAUUCGACAAGCCAAGAAGAAAGGGUAGCUAACAAAUUUACAAGUACCAGAGAUCCAGAAACACAUUUAUAGCCAAUCCAUUUAUGAGUUACAUUCAACACUCUCACAAACUGAAAAAAUAAAAAUUAUUACGGUCAAGACGCACACUUUUUGACAUCCAAAAAGCUAAACAUUUGAAGUUCUUCAAUACAAAAUGCAUACUAAAUUGGCACAAUUAAUGCCCAUGGAAGGGUCAUCAAUUUAAGCCAACAAAUUUGCCAAAGUUUUAACAGUGAACACAAAAGGAACAUGUAAAAUUUGAAGUUGAACAAAUCUUCACAUGCAUACAACAAGCCUUAAAACUUUAGUCUUCACAAUUUGAGCACGCAAUAAAUAUUAAGUGACCACCCGCAGAACAAGUCUAGAAUAAACUUGUUAGGUUCUUGCGCGAACUGAACCCCUCUGAAACACUAAAAGAGAAAGUACAAAAUAAAGAAGACCAUAUUACGUGGCUAACUAACAGCCAUUCCCAAAGAAAUGAGAGUGAUGAUAACGUCUUUUUUUUUUUUUUUUCCUUUCAAUCAUAUUUCUCGUCAUCUUCUUCUUCACGGGCAUCUACACUGACGUCUCCCUCUUGGCUGGCAUCUUCCUCGUUUGUAGUCGGUCGCUAUCCAACCAACAAAUUGGGCAUUAAAGAACAAACAGAGAAAAUUAUAACAAUAAGAACUAUAAACAUGAAAAGAAAAAAAAAAAAAAGAUAUUUGAAGGGAAAUUUUGGUAGAACUCUAUGGCUCAUCCGUGAAAUUAAUGUUAAUAUAUAUGUUUAUGUAAUGACGGUCUAUUGAUUUUAGGAUAGAUCAAUAAGCUAUUACAAACGAAAACAUGAACCAACUAUAUGUAGAGUUAAUUAAUUUAAAGUUCUCAAGAGCUUACCUCUGCUCCAGAAUUCUCGGAAUCAGCGCGAAACUUGGGACAACGACAAACGCGUGCAAGUGGAACUGGGAUCUGAUAACCCGUAGGCCAAAAGUUGGUGAGGUUUGGUAAAUCUUUCAGACUCACGUACGGAAGUUCGUCCAUAACAAUUUCAUCGUAAUCCAUGACGUGUGCUCCAUCUUUAUCCCAGAAUACUUCUUCUAAUUCAUCAUUACUAAAUAUCUCUAGUUUCAUUAGUUUUUGAAGACUUGGAGCUACGCUGAUAUGAAAUAGAUACUUUAGUUUGGGGCAAUGACCGACAAAGAUCCAUGUGAGUUUUGGGAAACAUAUAGGUUGGAGAUGAUCCUCAUCCUCAUCCUCAUCAAUGAUUUGCUCUAAUUCCCAGCAUUUCCAAAUAUAUAACUUCUCCAAUUGCAACAGAUUUCGAGCAAGUGUUGAUGAGAGGAGACGUCUCAGCUUAAUGCACCCCCUUACGGUUAAAUCAGUAAGAUUUUGCAGGCUAAAAUUAUGGGUGGGACCUUCAUGAUAUAAUAAUACUUGCAGUUCUCGAAGAUCUUCCAAUUGCAACGACUCCAAACAUGGGAAUAGUUUGUUUUCUUGUCCCUCAGCGAUAAUAGCUUCCACUUGAAAUACCACCUGUACUCCAAUUUCCACAAUAUUCAAUUCUUCCAAAUUUUUUAAUCCAUGCUUCAACAGUGCGGGAAUUGUGUCACACAAAUGGGAGCAAUCUUCCACAUCUAGAGUAUUUAAGUUCUGAGACAAAUAAAUAAAUAACUUGAUACAAUUAACAUCUAUUAGCAGCUACGAUUAUCACAUGAUAAGCAAUAAACUAACACCAAAAAAAAAAAAUCUAAAUCCGUACAAAAUAGUUAUACUUUAUGAAAGUAAUGGAUUUAUUAAAAAAAUGAAAUUAGUUAAAAGAGAUCGUGUGAAGUGAUAUAAUGGUGAAAUCGGUUUGUUUAUGAAAAUUUUGUAUUCUAUUUCUAUGGCUUGAUUAACGAAUUAAUUGAAUUUGCUUAAUAUUAUAUGUACUCCACCAGUGUUUGCAUCCAUUUUUUUUUCCUUCAAAAGCGAAGCGAGAUUUGACUUUCAUUUGAAGAAUGAAUUUUAGGCCCUAAAAUAAGGAAGUUUCCCUAACAUAUUGGAUUUUAUUAUUAUCAUCACCAUUAGCACUACGAUCAUCAUCAUCAUCUCUCUCUACAAAGCCAAAUGCAAGGUGGUAUGAAUGGCGGAUCAUAAAAAUUAUUGAUAAACUAUCAAUUUGAAUAAAAUUGAAGAAAAAUAAAGAAAAAAACAUAAACACAAACGAACAUACCUCUCCAAGAUACUGCAAAUUGGCUUCAAGUUCAGUAUUGUGGACAGUCAAGUUUGGACAGCUGGUUACAUCUAACUUUUCCAACGCUGGCCAAGUUGAAUAAUAAUUUUCUGAACAAAAGCUAAUGAGUUGGGAGACCUUCAAGGCUUAAAUUUCUCAACAAAGAGAGCUCGAGUAUUCUAUUUUCAUCUGCUACACUUAUUUCCCCUUCAUUAUGAUCAAACUUUACUUUGACGAUGCAUUCCAGUCUCUCGCAUCCACUCACUUCGAGACUUUUAAGCUGCACCAAACUUCGAGCUUGUGACAACGAGAAGAUAUAUGUCAAGUUGUUGCAUCCGUACACACUCAGUGCUGUAAGAGUUUGGAGGCUCACAUGUUGGGCGGGCGCCUUCCAUAUCUGCUUCAGUUCUGGUAACUCCUGCAUAUAUAACCUUGCUAAUCUUGAGAGCAUCAUAGGAUUCCCACUCUCUCCUUGCGGCGACUGAGAGGCAUCCAUUAUGCAUUCUAAAUCUUCACAAUUGUUGACAAAAAGAAAAGUCAACUUAUUUAAGCCCCUUGGAUCUAUGCUUGGCACAAUAUUAUGACAACUUAUUAUGUCAAACAAAGGUUUCAAUGCAGAAAAUAAUUCUUUCGUAUAUUCUUCUCCAAAUCAGAGGCAAUAUAUGAAGCUAAUUACAUCCUAAAAAAGGAAGAAAUAAAUUGUUUCUAUAUUUAAAUACAAGAUUGAUCAACUAAAAAGAUUCCCGGACGUAAUAACAAAAUCAAUUCUAUAAUUGACAGCACAUGCCGACAGCUCAUGCUAGCUCAUGCCGACACUCCCCCUCAAGUUGGAGCAUAGAUAUCUAUCAUGCCCAACUUGUCAAUUAUAUCAUGAAACACCCUUCCUGAUACUGUUUUUGUGAGUAUGUCAGCCAACUGAUCUCCAGAUUGAACAAAUGGGAACUGUAUAGUUUUCUCGUCAAGCUUCUCCUUGAUGAAAUAACGAUCUACUUCAACAUGUUUUGUGCGAUCAUGUUGUACAUGAUUCUGGGCAAUCUCUAUGGCUACUUUAUUAUCACAUUUAAGAUUCAUGGGUUUUGCAUAAUCAAUCCCCAAAUCUUUCAGUAUGUUCUUGAUCCAUAACAUCUCACAUACACCUUGUGCCAUUCCACGAAAUUCCGCUUCAGCGCUUGAUCUUGCCACAACCUUCUGCUUCUUGCUUCUCCAAGUGACGAGAUUGCCUUCAACAAAUGUAAAAUAACCUGAGGUAUAUCUUCUUGUUGUCUGGUCACCUGCCCAAUCAGAGUCCGUAUAUCCUUCAAUGUUUGAGACAGUAUUUUUUGAGAACAAUAAACCUUUUCCAGGAGCACACUUCAAAUAUCUCAGAAUUCGAUAGACUGCAUCCAUAUGUUCUUCACUUGGUGAAUGCAUGAAUUGGCUUACUAUACUUACGGCAUACGCUAUGUCUGGCCUUGUGUGGGAUAAAUAGAUUAACCUCCCAACUAGCCGUUGAUAACGACCCUUAUCAUUUGGUAAAAUCCCAAGCUUGUGAUUCAUCUCUAUAGGCGUUUCAACUAGUUUACAAUCAAGCAUACCAGUUUCAGUGAGGAGAUCUAACACGUAUUUUUGUUGUGAAAGAAAAAUUCCACUUUUCGAUCUUGCUACCUCAAUCCCCAAGAAGUAUUUAAGCUGCCCAAGAUCUUUCAUUUCGAAUUCAGUAGCCAAAUGUUCUUGUAGUGCUUUCAUUUCAGAUAAAUCAUCCCCUGUUAACACCAUAUCAUCAACAUACACUAUUAACACCGUCACUUUUCCGCCUUUGUGUUUUAUAAACAAAGUAUGGUCUGAAUUACUUUGUUUAUAACCAGCAGCUUUCAUUGUCGCUGAAAACCUCCCAAACCAUGCCCUAGGUGACUGUUUUAGUCCGUACAAGGACUUCUUCAGCUUACAUACUUCAUUCCUAUGCAUAGAACUAUGUUUGACACCAGGAGGUAGCUCCAUGUAAACUUCUUCUUCUAAAUCUCCAUUGAGAAAAGCAUUUUUGACAUCGAACUAUUUUAAGGGCCAAUCUCGAUUUGCUGCUAUAGAAAUAAUAAUACGAAUGGUAUUUAUCUUGGCUACUGGUGCGAAAGUGUCUUGGUAAUCUAAUCCAUACCUUUGUGUAUAUCCCUUUGCCACUAGUCUCGCUUUAUACCUAUCAAUGAUUCCAUCCGCUCUGAGUUUUACCGUGAAUACCAUCUACAUCCAAUUGUUUUCCUUUCCUUAAGUAGUGAAACCAGUUCCCAAGUGGCAUUUUUUUGUAGAGCUUCCAUCUCUUCAUUCAUCGCCUUAGUCCAUUUUGGAUCCUCCAAAGCAUCCUGUACACUACUAGGAAUAGAUAUAGUGGAUAAUUGAUUAAUAGUAAGUGCAUAUGAUUCACACAACCUAUGAGAUGACAUGUAGUUACUGAUUGGGUAUUUUAUUUUGGAUUUGGGAUCAGGUUCAUAUUGUUUAUUUGGAAUUCCUCUAUUUGACCUUUGUGGAUAUUUAGGAUUCAUGUCUUCUACAGAAAAAAAUGGUUCAUUAGACUCAUUAGACAAUGGAUUUGAAAUUACAUGAGGAGGAACACUUUCGGUUAAUUCUUCAGUUAAUGGUGUAGACAUGGGUAGCUCUAGUGGCCUUGAUUGUGCUUCAGACAUGUCCAGAAAAUUGGAGGGAUCACAUUCGGUUUCAGUCAUGUUAUCACACCCUUGUUGAACCUCAUUUCCAUCACUGUUUUGAAGUUUUUCGACCAUGUCUUCUAAUUCUACAAAAUCACCUCCUCCUUCAUUUUCCCUUUGACCAUUCUCUUCACACAAACUCUCCCCCUGGAGGGAAUGGUAAGAGACUCCCCCUGAGUAAUAAGGUUCUAAUUCAUGAAAAGAGACAUCCAAAGUUACAUGCAAUUUUUUUGUGUGUGGAUCAUAGCACCUAUAACCUUUUUGAAGAUCAGAAUAGCCAAUAAAAACACAGCGUUUGGCACAUGGAUCAAGUUUAGUUCGUAAACUUUUUGGAAUGUAAGCAUAAACAAUACAACCAAAUAUUCGGGGUUCAAGAUUAGGAAGAUGAGGAAUUGAGAGUAAGGAUUGCAUUUUUUGUUGGGGAGUUUGAAAAUCUAGCACUCGUGAAGGGGUUCGAUUAAUGAGAUAAGCUGUCCCCAAUAAAACCGAGGCAUGUUCAUGCCAAAAAGAGAAGCACGAACCACCUCUAAAAUCUGUCUAUUUUUCCUCUCAGCCAGCCCGUUUUGUUGUGGGGUGUAAGUGCAUGAGGUCUGAUGACGAAUUCCAUGAAUGUUUAAAAACUUGCCAAGAGAGGCAUCCAUAUACUCAGUACCAUUGUCAGAUUGAAGUACACGAAUCUGCUUUUGAUAUUGAGUACUUACCAUUUUGUGAAAUUCUUGAAAGGCUAGACAUACAUCGCUUUUUUUUAUAAGUAAAGACACCUAAAUCAUUCUAGUACAUUCAUCAAUAAAUGUCACAAAAAAACGAGCUUUAGAAAGAGAAGCAACUUUUGCAGGACCCCAAACAUCGGAAUGAAUCACCACAAAAAGGUUCUAGACUUUUAUUUAAACUUGGUAAAUAAGAAGUGCGAUGGCUUUUAGCCAUCUCACAAAUGUCACAAUGAAAAUUCAAAUCAUUUAGAGUUGAAAAAAGAUGAGGCUGUAAUUUUUUGAGAUAACCAAAAGAAAGGUGUCCUAAUCUACGAUGCCAUAACCAAACAUUUGCCCGAGUUCUAUCUUUAUUAGAAGCUUGAUUUGCCUGACUGAUAUUUGGUCCCUCAUUUUCUGUCAAUUCCAAGUAAUAGAGUUUACCCCGUCUAACACCAUAAUCAAGAAUCUUCCGAGUUAGGAUGUCCUGAAAAACACAAAAAGCGGGCCAAAACGUUACAGUGCAAGCAAGUGUGGAGGUAAUUUGGCUAACCGACAAAAGAUUAUAUUCAAGAGAUGGGACAACAAGAACUGUAUCUAAUGUAAGAGUAUUACUCAAGGUAAUAGACCCUUCCCCAAUAAUAGGAGAAGUACUACCGUUUGCAGUGGAGAUAACAGAUUGAGAAGAGGGAAGAACAGAUUUUAAUUGGCUAGAAUCUCUGGUCAUAUGCUCAGAUGCACCUGUAUCAAUAAUCCAUAUUCUAUUCUUAGAAGUUACAGAACAUACAGAUGUCUUACCAAUAAUACCUGGGUGGGCAACAUUUGCUGAAGGGGAUGGUUGUUCUUCAUCCUUUGCUGCUGUCACAUUAGCCUUCCCAGAUAUUUUCUUACGGGGCUUCUUUGAGAAAUCCCACCAAUCUGGAUAGCCAAUGAUUUCAUAGCAGCGUUGUUGUGAAUGACCUUUUUCUCCGCAGUGAGUGCACACAAGGUUGUUAACUUUGCUGGAUGAUUGAUUGCCUCGAUUUUUUGAAGAUCCAUUUCGGUUUUGACUGGCCAGCAUGGCAAGGUUCUCCGAAAUUAAAUUAGAGCCUCUCAUUGUUUGUCUCUGUUGGUAAUCCCUUCUAACAUAAGCAUAUGUGCUUUCUAAAUCAAGUUUUGGGUAUUUUCGCAAUAUUUCUCCACGAACCUGUUCAAACUCUGAGUCGAGGCCACUUAGAAAAAUAUGAACUCGAAGCCUAGCCAUUGCAGAAUGCAGCUGUAAUAGCCCUUCGACUGUGCCUUCUUUAGUGGUAGUCCUAUGAUCGAUUUCCUGAAAAAUGGCAACCAGUUCAUUGUAAUACGUUGGCAAUGGUCGCCCAUCCUGUUUGGUAGAGAAAGAUCUCUGGUUCAGCUCAAAAAUACAGGUUUCAUCGGUUCCAUCAUAGAAGGUUUUCGAUACAGCCUCCCAUAUAUCUUUGGCUGUAGGGAGACGAAUAAAUCGUUGCAUCAACGAUGGACUCAUUGAGUCAAUCAACCAGCUCUUGACUCUUUGAUUUUCAGUAAUCCAUGAUCCAAGAUUAGGAUCUCCUGGUGCUGGUUUCUUCGUUUCUCCAGUAAGAUAACCAGCUUUGUUGCGAGCACUAAUCCGCAUCUCUAUGAGUUGAGACCAUAAUGAGUAGUUGGUCUCAUCCAGAGUGAUUCCAGUUGGAAAUGCCGAGUUGUCUUGAUGAACAACAACUUGUGGUGCUGGUGGUGGGAUAAUAUCCAUUGAUACGCCUGUGAUAUCAGUCAUAGAGAUCACAACAACGGUGAAUAUUCAGAAUACGAAUACAAAUUUCGAGAGAAAAAAAGAAAAAAGAAAAUAUUCGGUUGUCAACACAAAUUCUCUUGAUGAGGAACCUGCUCUGAUACCAUGUCAAACAAAGGUUUCAAUGCAGAAAAUAAUUCUUUCGUAUAUUCUUCUCCAAAUCAGAGGCAAUAUAUGAAGCUAAUUACAUCCUAAAAAAGGAAGAAAUAAAUUGUUUCUAUAUUUAAAUACAAGAUUGAUCAACUAAAAAGAUUCCCGGACGUAAUAACAAAAUCAAUUCUAUAAUUGACAGCACAUGCCGACAGCUCAUGCUAGCUCAUGCCGACAUAUUAUCCUGCUCAAAUCAAGAAAUUCCAGAUUUUGAUACAAUGCUGAAAAAAUAUUGAGCGAGGUCGCUUCAAAAGGGUAAUCAAUGAUUAAGCUCCUUGUCUUAUCAGCAUCUUCCAUUUUAUAGUCAACUCCUUCACCUUUAAUCGUGUACCUUUGCAAUUUUGGGAAUGUAAAAUCUUUUGAAAGAUAUACAACAGAUCUGCCAACUUGGAAGUUAAACUCAGCAAGCCUAGCAUUACUUUCUUCUGAACUCAUCACUUCAACCUCCCAAUCUUUUAUCCGACCAUAAAAUUCUUCUAAUUGAGGAAAUUUUUUUAUCGUAACGGGAGAAACAGAACCAGUAUCAAUAUAUAGAAGUUUCAAUCUACGAAGUUCAUCCGACAAAUCUUCAGGAAUUUCAAUGGGAGAAUUCUCGAGAUAAAGAAGUUCAAGUCUUUUCAACUUUCCAAGAAAAGACGCGUCACUCACAUGACGUCCAAUCAACUGCAGAACUCUGAGGCUAUUGGCAAGGAAUCGAAGCGAUUUUAGUGAAAGGACUCCAUUGAUUAUAGUAACAACUUUCAAUGCUGGCAUCCCUUCAAAAAAAUUUUCUGGAACUUGCAAUUUGUAGCGAUAUAGAUUAUUGUGCAGUCGCAAAAUAUGAAGGUUAGGGCAUACCAAACGACUAGGAAGCUCUUCUUGUUUAUUUCCCAUUACAGAGAUUCCUCUAUAUUGCUCCAGGCCUUCUUCCAUUGCCCGUUCUACCAAUCCAAUGCCAACUUUACUAAAAAAUUUCUUCUCCACUAGUGCUUCUGAGCCUAUCCAUAUGGCUACAUCACGAACUAUGUCAUGCAUUUUCACAGAUCUGUCAUUACCAGUGUCUAACAGCAGUGAAGCAGCUUUGAGUCCCUCAAUUAUUCCACGCAGUAGGCUUCUGGCGUUCUCUAUCGACUCAGCUGGAUGCCAAAUCAACCCCACACCGUAUCCAACCAAAACCUCCAAAUAAAUGUCAUAAUCUUCUGGAAACAUCGAACACAACAAGAAGCAUAACUUGGAAUCCUCACCAUUCAAAUUGUCGUAACUAAAUUUAAGACAACCACAAACGUUUCGCUCAUCCUUAUCAAUCCCUUCGAUUGCAUAGAGUUUUGCUUCCCUUAGGUUAUGUAGAGCUAGAUUCCAUUCAUCAAAUCCUUUUCCUCUUAGUGCACUUCCAACAGCUUCAAUAGCUAAAGGCAGCCCCUUACAUUCUCCAGCAACAUCUUUGGAAACAUCAUUGAAGGUGGAGUCAUUCACAUCAAUGCCGGCAUUUUUUUGCAGUAAAGCCAAUCCUUCUUCUGGCGUUAGUGUACCCAGUGGAAUCUGCGAGUCACAACGCAUGCGUUCACAAACUGACUGCAGGCGAGUAGUUAGAAGGAUUUUGCAGCGAUUGUCUCUAUCACCAAUGGGUAUACCUAAUUUUUCCUUCAAGUUUAGUUCGUUCCAGACAUCAUCGAGGAUUAUGAGGAUUUUGGUGCUUUCGCUCGCAGAAAACAUCGAGCGCAGUUGGUCUGCUCCAUCUUUUUCAUCUUUCUGCUUUAAUUCCCAACCUAAUGAAUUUACCAGCUCAUUUUGAACAUUUAUUAUGUUUGGAUGCUGAGAUACAGUGGCUAGCCCCACUUUAUCGAAAAUCUUUUGUUGCCGAAGUUGACUGCCCACAAAUUUUGCCAAGGUCGUCUUUCCUACACCACCGAGGCCAUGCAAUCCCACCUUCUUUGUGCUCUCUUUUUUCAGCGCGUCAAUGAUCAGAUUGUAAGCUGAUUCUGUGGUCUUGUAAGUAGAAGAAAAAUAACUUGGUAAACUUAAUUCUCUCUCUAAUGGUGGAGGUUUAGCAAGGGCAGCUGUGUUGAAUUGGCUGUAGUGUUGUAGCAGAUCAAACAACUUCCUAGUCUUCUCUGAUGCUUUUCCGCCCAGACUAUAUCGGCAACCCCAUUCAGGACACAAUCCAUGAAGACUACUAUCCUUUUUAUCUAUCUCUGCUUUCAACUUUUGAAUAUCGCCCAAUUCCCCGUCUACAUCCUUCAGCCACUCCGUUACAUUUUGAUCGACUACUAUGUCGGGGCGUUUUUGUCGUUGAUCUUCUAUUCUCUUAUUGAUGACAUCUAGUGCCUUCUUCAACUUAGUUUGUUCAACCUCAAGUUUUUUCACAAUGCGGUCGAAACAGAAUAGAUAGGAAGUUCUUUGAUUUCAUUCACCAAAUAUUUUCCAAUCGAUUCUAAAAGUGGUUUAAAAAUUUCUUUUAAACAAUCUUUUAAAAUUUCCAUGCUAUUUAUCUGCAAAUAAAAAAGUUGAUCUCAAUACGCUAUAAGCAAAAGAACGAGGCUUGAUCACAAGAUCGAAUGAAGACGUUUAAUUACCUUUUUUUGUUAUGUGAAUGCACGUUUAUUAACACCAGCUUUUUUUUUUUUGGUCUAAUCCAUCCGGUAUCCGGUGACCACAUUGGGCCCCGACUACUCCGGAUUCGGAGAGAGGGCGUAAUUCUCCUCCCAACGUAGGCGACUCCACCAAGACUCGAACUGGGGAGCAAACCCAGUCGAGCCCCUGAGGGGUUCAGCCCGCUGCCAACUGAACCAACCAGUCGUUGGUUUAUUAACACCAGCUUUGAUCAAUAAGAGCAAAAUGCAAACGCCGGGCUUCAAGAGUUCUAAGUGGCCUUUAGCUGCAGAAUAGAAGAUGACAAAUAAGGUAAAACGUUCCCAGCAAACGUGAUAUGUGGUGGACUUAAAAUGAUACCUUAUUUGGGAUGAUAAAGAUUGGGGUAAAUUCUCUUUUGUUCUCAAAAUUUUGAACCUAUUAUCAGUUGUAGUAUUUGUAUUUUUAAAAAUUACCUAAAACAUGCAUGUCACUACUUUCAUAGCUAUUGAACAUUUCAUUUCAAAUAUAAAAUACUAUAAAUUAAAAAUCAAACAAAUCUAUCAUGCAACAAACGAAAAGUAAAUACUAAUAAUUAGGUUUUAAUGGAAACUAAUAUAAAACAUAGAGGUUUUAAUUAAUUUUUGUGAUUUCUUUUAAUGUUCGAUUUAGAAUUGAAUAAUUUGUAUAAGGAAAAUAAACUGCAAAAUAAGUUUAUAUGCCGAACUUAAAAUAGUUUCAUAUUAGUAAUCAUAUAAUUAUCAAAUUUUUUAAUAAAAUUUAUUUAAAAAUUGACCAAUUGCGUUUCAUGAGGAAAACAGAGAGCAUAAUGGACUUAUGUUGCGACUUGGGAUUGAAAGGCCAGAAGGUAGUGUUAGCCUAUAUGGCUAUAAAAUAUUGAUUUUGAUGAUAACAAACCACAUGUAUUGACUAAGCAAAGAUUUAUAAAUUAUGCUUUUAUAAUAAGAAAAUAAUGUUAUGGAAUUAAAGUAUUUUGGACUAAAAUGAAAGUAUUUUAAAAUCUUUGAUAGUGUUUUUAAAUUUCGGAUUUGGACCUAUUUAAAACUAUUUAAAUGUUUUUGGGUCAUUCUAUAAGUAUGGGUCAGUUGAAAUUUAAUGGAAAAGUUUACGACAUAGUCAAAGUUCGAGAGCUAUUUUCAAUUUGAGGAUAAAACAAUGUUGCAAUUGUUGGCUUGUUGCAACAUUCCAUAACUUUUGUGUAUUUGUGGCUUAAGUAUAUGGCAGUCCUUGAUAUUGUAUAUUACAUAUAUCCUGCCUUCAACUCACUGAGAGUAAGAGUGCCACUGUUGUCAGUGUCCAUCUCUCUAAAUUUUUCCGUUAGCUUUUGCUUUUCUCCUGUUGGAAGAUUUUCCACAAUGACCUGAAAAUCCACUCAGUUUUAUCAGUAGAGGAAGCACAAUUAAAUGCAUAAAUUUAAUGGCUUGCACAUAUAUAGCUAACUGAAUAUAAUAACAAGUACUUCGCAAUAAAACAUUGUUGGUGAGGAAGUGCAGAUGCAGAAAUUCGAUCAAGCAUUUAACUAAUGAUUGUCGCUGUUGUAUCCAAUUCUCAUACUUAGCCCUAAUCUGAGCUAGCUCCUAAAUGGGAAGAAUCUUUUUAAUUACAUGCGUAUGUAUAUAAUUAUUAGUUAGCUAGUUGUGGUCAAUGUGACCUGUAUUUUAUCAAUGGAAUUUUAAUCAGGUGUGCGCGACAUCACACAUUGUGCACUAGAUCAAUCCUCUUAUCAAUUAAUAUAUAUUAUAUAUAGAUAUAGACACGUAUGUGAGUGGAGGAAGAAAAAAAAAUUAAGAAUAAUUUUGGCAUUUUGAUGGGUUUUAUAGAGUAAAAUCUAUAUUUUCAAAUAUGAUAAUUCUUUAAUUUAAUUUGGUGUUAUGAAAAAAGGGCAUUUUAAAUAUGUUUUAAGUUAUAAAUAACUCCAUCCAAAAUUUAAAAAUGAAAUCUGGGGGGGGGGGGGGGGGGAGGAGGGGGGGAAUUUCACCCGAACUAACAAAGGCCCAGAGUAGCCGCGGCUUUUUUCACCAAUUCUCUAAUUCCCAAUGUGGUCUAAUUAUUUACAAGGAAUAUGAGAUUCUCUACCACUCCAAUUUAUCCCAUUGUUAGUAAUCUUAUUAGCUGUUUUAUAUCCUAUUUUUAUUAUGCUCCCCAAACAAAUAUGUUUCACCUAAAGGUGCCCAACGGGCUGCACCGUCCGUCUGAAUGAACGCAUGAGAGGCUCCACAUGACCCGGCAAUCUUUUUCUUUUUAAUGAGGGCGUGACUGAUAUGCUUUUUCAAGUCUAACGCUCUUUUUUUUAAAAUCCAUAUAUUUUUUUAAGCUCAUGUCAAAUUCGGUAGUAAGAGAAUGCAAUGCUAGUUAAUAAGUUAAAGUGCAUCCGUGCCACUUUUUUCUUGUUGUUUUAUUUGUAUGAUAAUUAUCAUGGACCCACGUAACUUUCUUUUCCAUUUAAAAUUUUAUAAUAUAUUAAAUUAGACAAAAGAAAUGAAUCCCACAAAUAAUUUAUUUUAUAAUUUUUUAAAUAAUACUAUUUUAAAAUAAAUUAUUAAAACAAAUUUUAUAUUCACUAAAAUUAAUCAUAUUCAUAUUAUAAAAUAUAAAAACAACAUUUGAAAAAUAAUAUCAAAUACACCCUUAAAUUUUAUAUCGGCACUAGAACCGAUGAACAAUUUUUGACAAAGAUGUUGCGACCUAAGUAGGGAUAGCAACUAAAUUCGGAUCCAACUCGGAUAUGUAAGGAUCCGAAAGAUCCAGAUCCAGAAAAUUUUUUAUCUGAAUAUUAAAAAAUGUUGAUCCGGAUAUAGAAAUUUGGGAUCUGCACGGAUUGGGAUGGAAGUACAUUCGGAAAAUUGGAUGUCGAGAUCCGGAUAAAUUUUGUUUCAAAUUAAAAAUAUAUAUUAAAAAUUAAAUAAAAAUUAAAAAAGUAAAUUUUAUUUGUGGAUUUAUGAUGUUGUUGUAUAUUAUUCAUGUUGAAUUAUUAAUUGUUGGAUUAUGAUUGAAUUUUGUUUGAAAUUAUUGGGUAAAUUUUUGAAUUUUAUUUUAAAUUAAAAAUAUUUAUUAAAAAUUAAAUAAAAAUAAACAUUAAAUUUUAUUUGUAAAUUUAUGAGAUUAUUGUAUGUUAUUCAUUUUGAAUUAUUAAUUGUUGAAUUAUAAUUAAAUUUUAUUUGGUAUUAAUAGGUAAAUUAUUAAACUUUCAAAUUAUAUAUUAAAUUAUUUAAUUUUAAAUUUUGCAGAUCCGAAUAUCUAGAAUAUUUGUCCGCAUAUUUUUUUACGAAUCCAGAUAUAGAAAUAUGAAUAUGGAUCCAAAUUCGGAUUUUGACAACCCUAGACCAAAGCAUGAAUGUGCCUAAAGUUUUUACUAAGAACAUGGAUCAUUCAAUGACCCGACAUGUUUUGCAGCUCUCAUUAGUAUAAUUGAAUAAUUAAUUCAUCUCUAUAUUCAGCUUACACCGUCUCAAAUUGCAUGCAAAUACGAAAGUACACAUCUGAAUCGUUCACUUGAGGAAAAUUAAUUUUAACGCAAUAAGUCCUAAUUCUCCACGUAGAAUUUUAAUUCAAAGCAUAGCAAAUUAGACAUAAUUCUAAUUUAUAUGGGAAAUAUAAUUAGCGAAGACACUCUUUAUAUAAACAUUAUUGUCAUAGGAUGCCAAACCUAAUAAGAUUCAAGAUCUUAACAUACUUCAUAUGAAAUUUGAUCUUGGCGCGUACCGACACGCUUAACAUCAAGACUCUACUUCAUAUAAUGUAACUUCAUGGAUUUUUUGCUCUCUUGUGAAAUUGACAAUUAUUGGCGCUGUGUGGCAGUGGUACAUAAUAAAAUAAACGUUUAUUUUUAGAAUAUUAUUAUUUAUCUCAAUUUUUUAUUUAAUAGUUAAUUUUAAUAAAUUCUUAAACUGUCAUAAUCAAUUAAUUUUUUACAUUAUGGCAUCUUAAAUAAAUUUUGGAUCUAUAAUAAAUAAAAACUGGUAACGUUUGUUCUAUUAAAACAUAAAACAACCGUAACAUUGGUUUUUACAUUUUGAAUUUUUCUUGCAUCACUAUUUAGAAAAAUGAUGUUAAAUCAACUCACAAAAUAUAUCAAGCCAUCUAAAAUCCAAAUAUUAUUACAUUUGUAUUUGCAUUGUUAAAUUGUUGGAACGACGGCAAAGCAAUUGAAAAGAGAUUAACAAAAAAGUAAAGAUUGGCCAAGGAUUAUUCAUGUUUAGGAAAUGCCUUAACUUUUGAUAUAAUCAUUGUUAUAAUUAUAUUGUAGAAAUAAUCAAUUACCUAAUGUUUGUGGUGGUAAAUAUUAUUAACUUGUUUUACUAUACCCAUGUUUAUGUUGGUCUCCUUUUUGUCCAUUUCUGUACAACGAAAUAUUUGCAUGUUUCGAUAGAAAUUGGUUUAAAUGACAUUUAAAAUAGUAUAUCCCCAGACAAUUAACGAAAAAUUUGGAUGGUAGGAUGAAGUAAUAAGUAGUUUUACAAAUUACCGUAUUAGAGGUAAAAAAAAAUCAAGAGGUUACUUGACAAUUAUGACAUUACUAACUACAAAUUUAACACAAAAAGUUUAAUUAACUUUUCUUUUUGAGAUGACAAAAUCUCUGGUGUUGAAAACAAUGAGGUUUGAGGUUCAAGCUUGAAUAUCAAGUUACAAUUAGUAGAUGGUCUUAGGACAUAUCAAAGAUUUCUUUAAAGACAAAAUAAUAAUUACAAGCAAUAGGAAUUUAUGGUAUUCAGAACAUGUAUAUCUUCGCACAUGAAGCUUGAGUCCAGCAAAAGAUGCAGCUAGCCAAUCCUUCAACUUCCAAAACCCCACAAAAUCUCUGUCAACAUUGUUAGAGUUAUAAAUAUAAAGAAUAUUUUUGUAAUGAUUCUGCUGAUGUGGCAGCUGAGUAAGCAAGGCUAUUAUUGUUAGUUUGUAAGUUUGUUAUGGAGCUAAGAAGUUAGUUAAUCACAGCUCACUCUCAACACGUGUGUGAGCAAAUGCAUAAGGUUCUGGAUCUUAGUAUAUAAGGUCAACAUAUGUAUUCAUAAUUCAUUGAAUAAGAUUCGAUCUAUUUUUUCUUAUAGUUUCUCUUAUUGCUCAUUAAAUUUUCCUUCAUUUUCUCUGCAACCAAACAAGCAUAAAUAGCUUGGUUAAACUUCAAUUUGGUAUCAGAGCCACAUCUAGUCUAAUCUCAUGGCAUUAUCAAGCUUGAACACAAACAUCUCUUCUUCAGCAACAACCUGUACUUUCACAACUCCAAUAAAACUUGAUCGAUCAAAUUACUUAAUCUGGAAAUCUCAAAUUCUAUCCUCAGUUCGAGCAAAUGAGCUUAAGAGUUUGCUUGAUGGAUCCAGAAUCUGUCCAGAUCAAUUUCUCUCAAGCACUCAAGGAAAUUCAGAUGCUAUGUUCAAUGCUUCUGCAAGUUCAACUAUUGCUUCACGAGAGAAUCCUGAGUUUAAUGUGUGGAGAAAGCAAGAUCAGAUGCUACUGAGCUGGCUGCUAUCCUCUAUCAGCAUUGAAAUCCUCAGCUUGUGGUAAACUCUAAAACCUCUUAUGAACUGUGGUCUAGUUUAGAGCAACAAUUUGGAUCUGAAACUGAUGUUAAGAAAGUUCAUCUCAAAAUGAUGUUGAAUAAUCUGAAGAAAGGAUCUAUAACUAUGACAGAAUAUUUUAGUAAGUUGAAGUCAGUUACAGAUGAGCUUGCUAUUGCUGGAAGUCCUGUUAGUUCUUUGGAUUUUAUAACUCAUCUCAUCUCUGGAUUAGGUCAGCCUUAUUAUCCAGUAGUUGUGUAUAUUGAAGCAAAUGUUCUAAAAAUGAGUAUUAAUGAGGCUUAUUCAAUGUUGUUGACACAUGAGGCACGUUUAGAAAGCAAUCAAUCUAAUUCUUUCAAGGAAGUGAAACAGAACUAUGCUGCUAACUUAGCUCAGGCUGGAAAUAAUCAAAAGAAAGUUAACAAUCAGGGAGGCUGGAAUAAUAAUAGUCAAGGAGGCUGGAAUGGAAACACUGGAAACAAACCUGGAUUUCAUAACUGGAAUGGAAACUUUACAAACAGAGGAGGUUUCAAUUCAGGAAGGGGACAAAAUUCAGGUAGAGGACAAUGGAAUAAUAACUGGAAUAACUGGAAUGGAAAUCAAGGUAGAGGCAAUUUUGCUGGUGCUGCUGGAAAUUUUUCUGGUAGAUUUCCUGGUGGCUAUAAUGGAUUUGGAAGAGGAGGAGGCAGAGGAAAUAUUGUUUGUCAGAUUUGUUUCAAACACAAUCAUACUACAGUUGAUUGCAAAGAUAGAUUUAACAGAAAUUUUGUUCCUAAUUUUUCUGUGCAAGGAAAUUUUCCAGAUCAGAAUCAAACUUCUAGAUCUGCUUUCAUGGCUACAUCAGAAGGAGUUGCUGACCAAGGAUGGUAUCUGGAUAGUGGAGCAACACAUCAUCUCACAAACAAUGUGGUGAACCUAGCUGAAGGUAAACCUUAUCUUGGAUCUCAGUUGCUGUUAGUUGGUAAUGGACAAGGUCUUAGAAUCACUUCCAUAGGCAAUAUCUGUCUCUUUACAUCCUUUGGCAAUCAAUUAAACCUUUCCAAUGUUCUGUGUGUUCCCAAAAUUACCAAGAAUCUUAUUAACUUAUCUAAACUUCUCUCUGACAAUCAUAUAAUCAUUGAAUUUGUUUCUAAUCUUUGUUUCAUUAAGGACAAGAUGGUCUCUUUAAGCUACUGACUCAAGAUACACCUCUUUCUGAUUCUAAAGCCUUGGGUCUCAAACCUAGUUCAAUGUUGUCUGUUUUUUCAAAUAAAGAGAAUGUACACUCUUUGAAAGAGUUGAAUAACCAAAUAAAUGUCUGUUCAAAUUUGAUCAAUUCCAAUAAUGAGAAUUCUGUCAGUUUUUUAGCUUCCAGUAGUGAGUCUAUGUAGUUGCUACACAAUAGGUUUGGUCAUCCAACCAAACAUGUCUUGCAAACAAUAAUGAAAAGUCUUCCCAUGCAUUCAACCCAUUCUCAAUCUCUUAAUUUUUGUGAUGCUUGUCAAUAUGGCAAAUUACAUUAAUUCCAUUUUCCAGUCACUGAUAUAAAAUCAAAAUUCCCUCUCCAACUCUUAUAUGCUGACUUAUGGGGUCCAGCUUCUGUGUUGUUUAUGGACGGAUACAAGUACUAUAUUUCUUUUGUUGAUGAUUUCACAAGAUAUUGUUGGAUAUUUCCACUCACACUCAAAUCUGAGGCAUUUGACACCUUCAAAUAUUUCAAGUCUCUUGUCGAAAAACAGUUUUCUUUAUCCAUCCAAACACUACAAACUGAUAUGGGGGGUGAGUUUAUAGCUUUCAGAUCAUUUCUCCAACAAGAGGGUAUUCAAUUUAGAUAUAGUUGCCCCCACACUCACCAUCAAAAUGGUGUGGUGGAAAGGAAGCAUAUGCAUGUUGUUGAAACUGGACUCACACUCUUAGCUCAAGCUCACUUACCUCUCUCUUUUUGGUGGGAAGCUUUUCAUACAGCCACUUACUUAGUGAAUAGAAUGCCAACACCUGUUCUAAACAAUUUAUCUCCUUUUCAGAAACUAUACAAUCAGCUUCCAUAUCACAAGUUUGCUAAAGUGUUUGGAUGUUCUUGUUUUCCUUUUCUUCGAAAUAAGUGAAAAUUAAACCUACAAUUCAAAAUAGAGGACUGUAAAUGCGUAUAAAUUGAAGAAGGUAAAUUUUGUGUGUGCGUAAAUAUUUUAGUUAACAACAAAAAAUUCUAACAAGUUAAUAUAAGAGUAUCAUAGCAGUACAAGAGAAUUUUUUUUUUUUUUUAAUGUUAAGAGUUAUCGUGAUACCCAAUAUAUAUGUGUGUGUGAGAGAGUGGAGGAAGAAAAAAAUAUUAAGAAUAGUUUUGGCAUUUUGAUGGGUUUUAUAGAGUAAAAUCUAUAUUUUCAAAUAUGAUAAUUCUUUAAUUUAAUUUGGUGUUAUGAAAAAAAAAGGGUAUUUUAAAUAUGUUUUAAGUUAUAAAUAACUCCAUCCAAGAUUUAAAAAUGAAAUCUUAGGGGGGAAAAAAUUUCACCCGAACUAAGGCCCAAAGUAGCCGCGGCAUUUUUCACCAAUUCUCCAAUUCCCAAUGUGGUCUAAUUAUUUACAAGGAAUAUGAGUAGGUGUGGGCACGGUUCGGUCCGGUUCGGUUUGGAUCGAAAUUAAGCAGAACCAAUUUAAAUCGGUUAUUUUAGAAAAAGAACUAAAUAAGAACCGAACUCAAUAAAAACCGAAGAUAAACGAAUCUUUUCGGAUUGGUUCGGUUCGGUUCGGUUUUUUCGGUUUUGGGCCUAUUGGGCCUAUUUUCAAUUUUUAAAUUGUUAGCCCAUUAGGCCUCAUAAAUGUAAUAAUUUUAUUCAACAAUUAAUUUAUCCUAAUUUCAUUACAAAUAUUAACAAUAAAUACAAAGUAUUCAAAACACAUUUUAUCAUUAAUAUCUUACUAACUACUAAUAAGGUACUUACAAAAUAUGAAAUAUUAAGAUUUCAAAAUACAUAAUCAAACUCCAAUACUCCAUCUACAUAAACAUAAUGUUGUAAAGAAAAAUAAAAAUAACAACAAUUAAAACUUACAACACAAAAUAAAAAGAAAAUUUGGAAACAAACACCAACAACAAUUUUUAAAUAUAUAUAUAUACCAGUAAUUGUGUGUGUUCAUGCCUAUUUUAGUUAUCUCACGCAACCAAUUAAAAUUUAACACGUGUCUAUUUAAAUAAAAUUUCAAGAAUAACUCGGUUUUUCGGUUCGGUUUUUUGGUUCAGCUGAGUGAACCGAAUAUCGAACCUGUAUUUCGAUUUUUUUUACAAACCAUAUAUUUCAGUUAUUUUUUAAAAUUAAAACUAGUCCGAACGGAACGGAAUGGUUCGAAUCAAUUUUCUCUAGUGCACGAUUUUUUUGCCCACCCCUAAAUAUGAGAUUCUCUACCACUCCAAUUUAUCCCAUUGUUAGCAAUCCUAUUAGCUGUUUUAUAUCCUAUUUUUAUUAUGCUCCCCAAACAAAUAUGUUUCACCUAAAGGUGCCCAACGGGCUGCACCGUCCGUCUCAAUGAGCGCACGAGAUGCUCCACAUGACACGGCAAUCUUUUUCUUUUUAAUGAGGGCGUGUCUGAUAUGCUCUUUCAAGUCUACAUACCUAACGUUCUUUUUUUAAGUGCAUAUAUUUUUUUUAAAGCUCAUGUGAAAUUCAGUAGUAAGAGAAUGCAAUACUAGUUAAUAAGUUAGAGCCUACAAAAUAAUAAUAAUAAUAAUAAAAUUUUCUUUAAGGGUUAACAUUUUAUUGUUAAUUUGAAUUUACAUACAGUUAUAGAUUAUAGUCUAUAAUAAUAUUAAUACUUACAAGUUUCAAAUUAAAAUUUAAUAAUUAACGUUUCAUUAACACAACUAUAUUAUCUAAUUUUGCAAUAACCAAUUAUAAUACAACAAUACAUAAUUCUAAUUUCAUAGACCAUGGUAAUAAAAUCUAUACGUUAAUGAAAAAUUUUAUUUUGAUAUACGUCGGUCUGCUUGUUAUUGAUGGCCGAUGGUCGUAUGCUAGCCUGCUAAUGAAGUGUGUUUAUUAUUGGUUUUUUCACGUGUCUUGCUUUACCACAUCUCUAGUCAAAUUGUGUUCUUAAAAUCCACAGCCUAACCUAGCCUCUGUGUGUGUCCUGUUGUGCCAUACUAUACAAACACGUAUCCAGUACAAUGCCACAUACCGGUCGGCCCUUAGCCAUCUCUAGUUUCACCCCUAAAUGAAAUCUAAACGGCUACUGGCAAGUAAGAAAACUUGUUAUUCUUUAUUUUGAAAAUAAAGGGAAUUGCUUAGUUUGAUAUUGUUUUUGGUAAGUCAUUUUUUUGUUUUGAAACAUUUUUCUGAGAUGUUGUUGUAUUUGGUGAAAAAUAAAUUAUUUUAUUUUAUACUUUUAAUGAAGAAAAGUAGAGAAAAACAUUUUGUUGUUUUCGACAACAUUUGCCUUAUAAGUGCACCCGUGCCAUUUUUUUCUUGUUUUAUUUGUAUGAUAAUUAUCAUGGACCCACGUAACUUUCUUUUGCAUUUAAAAUUUCAUAAUAAAUUAAAUUAGACAAAAGAAAUGAGUCCCACAAAUAAUUUAUUUUAUAAUUUUUUAAAUAAUACUAUUUUAAAAUAAAUUAUCAAAACAAAUUUCAUGUUCACUAAAAUUAAUCAUAUUCAUAUUAUAAAAUAAAUAUAAAAACAAUAUCUGAAAAGUAAUGCUAAAUACACUCUUAAAUUUUCUGUACAGCAUUAGAAUUGAUGAACAAUCUGACAAAGAUGCUGCGACUUAAGUAGGGAUGACAAUUAAAGCCGAAUUUGGAAAAAUUCAUGUCUGCAAAUUAAAAAAUGUGGAUUCGGAUAUAGAAAUUCGGAAUUCAUACGGAUCCAAAUAAAUUUUAUUUUAAAUUAAAAAUAUAUAUUAAAAAUUAAAUGAAAAAUUAAAAAAUAAAUUUUAUUUGUGGUUUUAUGAUGUUGUUGUAUAUUAUUCAUGUUGAAUUAUUAAUGGUUGGAUUAUGAUUGAAUUUUAUUUAAAAUUAAAAAUAUAUAUUAAAAAUUAAAUUAAAAAAAAUUAAAUUUUAUUUGUAGAUUUAUGAGAUUAUUGUAUGUUAUUCAUGUUGAAUUAUUAAUUGUUGAGUUAUGAUUGAAUUUUAUUUGAUAUUAUUAGGUAAAUUAUUGAAAUUUUAAAUUAUAUAUUAAAUUAUUUAAUCUUAAUUUUUACAAAUAUGAAUAUCUAGAAUAUCUGCCUGCAUCCGUUGCAGAUAUUAUCUGCUUCCAGAUCCACAUCUUUUUACGAAUCUAAAUAUAGAAAUAUGAAUGCGGCUCCGAAUCUAGAUUUUACCAACCCUGAACCUAAGCAUGAAUGGGCCUAAAGUUUUCACAACAAACAUGAAUCAUUAAAUGACACGAGAUGUUUUACAGCUCUCAUUAGUAUAAUUGAAUAAUUAAUUCAGCUCUAUAUUCAGUUUACACCGUCUCAAAUUGCAUGCAAAUAGGAAAAUGCACUUCUGAAUUGUUCACUUGAGGAAAAUUAAUUUUAACUCAAUAAGUCCUAAUUGUCCACGUAGAAUUUUAACUCAAACCAUAGCAAAUUAGACAUAAUUCUAAUUUAUAUGGGAAAUAUAAUUAGCAAAGACACUCUUUAUAUAAACAUUAUUGUCAAAGGAUGCCAAACCUAAUAAGAUUCAAGGUCUUAACAUACUUCAUAUCAAAUUUGAUCUUGGCGCGUACCGACACGCAUAACAUCAAGACUCUACUUCAUAUAUAAUAAUGUAACUUCAUGGAUUUUUCGCUCUCUUGUGAAAUUGACAAUUAUAGGCGAUGUGCCAGUGAGGCAGUGGUACAUAAAAUAAAGGAUAAAAGUUCAUUUAGUCCUUAUAUUUUAAUAUUAAUGUCUAUUUAGUCCCUGUAUUUGUUAAAAUACCUCGAAACAUUCCUGCCGUUAAAGUAUUGAUGCCCUUACUGUUACUUUUUAUUUUUUUAGCUUACUUUUACAAUAUUACCCUUUUAUAAUAAAUUUUUUGUUUGGACAUUAAUCAAAAUAAAAUAAUUAAUUAUCAAUUUAACCCUAAAAAAAUUAUAUUAAUUUUUAAUUGUCAAAAAUUAAAUUGUCAAAUAUCAAGUGUGCAAAUGGUGCUUGCAAAAAAAUUAAUAUAAUUUUUUUUAGGGUUAAAUUUGGUAAUUUAAUUAUUUUAUUUUUAUUAAUGUCCAAACAAAAAAAUUAUUAUAAAAGGGCAAUAUUGUAAAAGUAAGCCAAAAGAAAUAAAAAGUAAUGGUAGGGGUAUCAAUACUUUAACGGCAUGGAUGUUUCGAGGUAUUUUUAAAAAUACGGGGACUAAAUGGACACUAAUCUCAAAAUACAGGGACUAAAUAGACUUUUACCCUAAAAUAAAUGUUUAUUUUUAGAAUAUUAUUAUUUAUCUCAAUUUUUAUUUAAUAGUUAAUUUUAAUCCAUUCUUAAACUGUCAUAAUCAAUUAAUUUUUUACAUUAUCACAUCUUAAAUAAAUUUUGGAUCUGUAAUAAAUAAAAACUGGUAACGUUUGUUCUUUUAAAACAUAAAACAACCGUAACAUUGGUUUUUACAUUUUGAAUUUUUCUUGCAUCACUAUUUAUAAAAAUGAUGUUAAAUCAACUCACAAAAUAUAUCAAGCCAUCUAAAAUCCAAAUAUUAUUACAUUUGUAUUUGCAUUGUUAAAUUGUUGGAACGACGGCAAAGCAAUUGAAAAGAGAUUAACAAAAAAGUAAAGAUUGGCCAAGGAUUAUUCAUGUUUAGGAAAUGCCUUAACUUUUGAUAUAAUCAUUGUUAUAACAAUAAUGCUACACAUCCCAAAUUUUUUAUCCCAAAAAGUUAUCCCAAAUGAUAUGUCAUUAAUUGAGUGGUUGAUAAUUCUUUACAAGAUCCAAGUGAAUUAAUUGUAUUAUCUCACCAACCAAUUGAUUAAUGCCACAUCAUUUGGGAUAACUUUUUGGGAUAAAAAAUUUGGGAUGUGUAGCAUUAUUGUUGUUAUAAUUAUAUUGUAGAAAUAAUCAAUUACCUAAUGUUUGUGGUAGUAAAUAUUAUUAACUUGUUUUACUAUACCCGUGUUUAUGUUGGUCUCCUUUUUGUCCAUUUCUGUACAACGAAAUAUUUGUAUGUUUUGAUAGAAAUUGGUUUAAAUGACAUUUAAAAUAGUAUAUCCCCAGACAAUUGACGAAAUAUUUGGAUGGUAGGAUGAAGUAAUAAAUAGUUUUACAAAUUACCAUAUUAGAGGUAAAAAAAAAUCGAGAGGUUACUUGACAAUUAUGACGUUACUAACUACAAAUUUAACACAAAAAGUUUAAUUAACUUUUCUUUUUGAGAUGGCAAAAUCUCUGGUGUUGAAAACAAUGAGGUUUGAGAUUCAAGCUUGAAUAUCAAGUUACAAUUAGUAGAUGGUCUUAGGACAUAUCAAAGAUUUCUUUAAAGACAAUAAUAAUUACAAGCAAUAGGAAUUUAUGGUAUUCAGAACAUGUAUAUCUUCGCACAUGAAGCUUGAAUCCAGAACAAGAUGCAGCUAGCCAAUCCUUCAACUUCCAAAACCCCACAAAAUCUCUGUCAACAUGUCUGUUGUACUAAGCACAUUCAUAGGGGUAUCAACAGCUUACAGCUCCAAAAUAUUUUCCCCAAAAAGAGUUGAGAGAUUUCACUGAAGCUAAUUUGUGACUUGUGACUGCCCAAAUGUUCUAUAACACGGUAUGAUUAUUCUAGUAACACAAAUCCAACAGCAUGCAACAUAAUCUACUCUCUAACAUUGUGCAUUAGCAAAAUAAAACAGAGUAAAAAGAGAAACCAUGCCUGUGAAUCUCUUCUUUUCCCCCUGCCACCCCUUUUUUUGGUGAAGUCCAUCAAAUGAAAAUGCAGCAUGACCAUGUUGGCCACUGCCACUGCCAUUACUUCUUCAACUGUGGCUUUUGUUGCAGGAAAUAUUCAAGUGAAAGAUUGGAUUAUAUAAUUCAAGAUUCCAAUAAACCUGAGCUGCAAAGGUUGCCUUCCACUAGCCUAUCAGAGACUAUGCUUUCUAUUUUCCUAGUUUUUUAAUCAUAAUUUUGCAAGAUUUAUUUAUGGAAAACUGGGACAAAAUUUUAUGUAAGAUACCAUAAAGCCAAACACAAUCUUUUUAAUUCUCAGCAGCAAGAUUUAAAGUUAAAAAAGGGAAGCCAUAUAAAUAUAACUAUGUUUGGUACAAGUAACAAUUAUUUCAAGCUUUCAGAAAUGCUAGCAAGAGAUUGUAAGAGAACUUUACCUAGUCACAGAAUAUGUCAAACAUACUACCACCAACUGUCUUUAGCACGAUUGUUAUGGAAGUAGCUUUUGAAUCGGAAGAUUCCAGCUUCCACCAGGCACCAUUAUUUUCAUUCUUGAUACAAUCUGCAUCACUGGCAUUAGUUAUAUCAUCAACAUUUGCAUCCUCACUCUCAUCAUCCCAAUCAAGGCUUCUUCUCCAGCUCUGGAUUAUAAGUCCACUCCGACAUCUUCAAACAUCUCGGUCCUUCCAUUUGCCAACAACCGAUAUGGCUUCCUUCCUUGCCUUCCCCAUUAAUAUAUCACUCGAAGGAAAAAAAGCAUCAGCAAUUCUCUUCAACGCCUCAUCGUUUAUAACCCCCCAAAAAAAGGGUCUUCAGACACUUCAACUUUGCCUUCUGCAAAACCUCCACAAAAUCUGAAUUAUCCAACACAACAGCCAGACACUCAAUCCUUCUUUUGUCCAUCAUAUCCACCGUAUGAUUCCUCAACAAAAUAUGUACAGCUUGUGGCUUAUCUAACACUGUCUUGAUCCAAAACCCCGCUCUUUUCAACUCAUCUGCCAAACCAUAACCCACUUUUGGAGUCAAAAUUGUCCUUGCAGCCCUUUUAUAUUUUUCCAUCUCCAUCGAAUACUUGCCACUCAAAUGGAAUUACCAGACAGGAAUCCCAGUAACAAGUCCACUCAACUUCUUCUCAUCUGAUCCCUCUUUCACUCUGGCGGAAACAUUAAUAACCAUUCACCAGCCACAAAUUACCCAAGUAAGUACUCGUGUCGUCGACACUUACCCUUCACUUCAUCUACGCAAACGAGAAUUCAAAUUGCUUACUAGCUAGUGCUCGAGCAAAAGCCAGAAUAAAUUAAAUAUGUGUGUGUGGUAGCGAAGUUAUCUAUAUAUAUAUAUAUAUAUAUAUAUAUAUGAAGUUGGGACACGAGGAGAUGACGUGGCAUCACCAUUUCUCAUCUUUGUAUAUUCUCUAUUAUCUAAUAAAUAGAGAAUUUUUUUUUCAGAUUUAACUUUUCAUCUUCUCAUAAUUAAUUUAAUUGUUAUUACACAAUAACAAUUAUGUAAAAAUUUUAAUGAGGCAUAUUCUUUAUAAUGAACAUCCAAAGGGAAGUGUUAUGAAUUUAUUAAAAUAAAUGUAGAUGUUCAUAACAUAUAUCUCUUAUUCUCACCACUAUCUCUCAUUAGCAACCUUUAGCUUCCCUAUAACUCCCACUAUCUCACAAGGAAUUAUGAUCCAUAAUUUUUCAUUAAUUUCAUAGAGUGAUUAUGUAACUAUAAAAGGAGAGCUCAUCUUUUGUUCUGUACACACACAAUUAGAAUGAAUAAAAUCACUCUAUAAUAUAUUCUCUCAUUUUAUUCUUUAUCUUGCGUUGCUUCUUUAUUUGUAUUGCUGGUUAAUAGUUUUUUUUUUUUGUUUUUUAUAAGGCUGCCUCAUCUUCAAAAAAAAUCAAUUCAUAUUUUUUAUCAGUUUCAUAAAGUGUAAAGUAAAAAAAAAUAAUACUAAAUUCUUUUUUCAAAGUCGCAUGAAACGCGGUUCUAUUUUUUAGUAUAUAUAUAAAGCUGGAACUGGAGGAGGUGAUGUGGCAUCACCAUUUCUCAUCUUUGUAUAUUCUCUAUUAUUUAAUAAAUAGAGAAAUUUUCUUUUAGAUUUGGCUUUUCAUCUUCUCAUAAUUAAUUUGAUUGUUAUUACACAAUAACAAUUAUGUAAAGAUUUUAAUGAGGCAUAUUCUUUGUAAUGAAUAUCCAAGGGGGAGUAUUAUGAAUUUAUUAAAAUAAAUGUAGAUGUUCAUAACAUAUAUCUCUUAGUCUCCCCACUAUCUCCCAUUAACAAUCUUUAGCUUCCCUAUAACUCCCACUAUCUCACAAGGAAUUAUGAUCCAUAAUUUUUCAUUAAUUUCAUGGAGUGAUUAUGUAACUAUAAAAGGAGAGCUCAUCUUUUUGUUUUGUACACACACAAUUGGAAUGAAUAAAAUCACUCUAUAAUAUAUUCUCUCAUUUUAUUCUUUAUCUUGCGUUGCUUCUUUAUUUGUAUUGCUGUCUAAUAGUUUUUUUUUUGUUUUUUAUAAGGCUGCCUCAUCUUAAAAAAAAAUCAAUUCAUAUUUUUUUAUCAGUUUCAUCAAAUAUAAAGUAAGAAAAAAUGAUAAUACUAAUUUUUUUUUUCAAAGCCGCGUGAAACGCGGUUCUAUUUUCUAGUUAUACAAUAAAGCAAACCAAAAUAAAUUCUACACUCAUAUAUAUAUAUAUAUAUAUAUAUAUAAAGCUGAGACUUGAGGAGGUGAUGUGGCAUCACCAUUUCUCAUCUUUGUAUAUUCUCUAUUAUCUAAUAAAUAGAGAAAUUUUCUUUUAGAUUUGACUUUUCAUCUUCUCAUAAUUAAUUUGAUUGUUAUUACACAAUAACAAUUAUGUAAAGAUUUUAAUGAGGCAUAUUCUUUGUAAUGAAUAUCCAAGGGGGAGUGUUAUGAAUUUAUUAAAAUAAAUGUAGAUGUUCAUAACAUAUAUCUCUUAGUCUCCCCACUAUCUCCCAUUAACAAUCUUUAGCUUCCCUAUAACUCCCACUAUCUCACAAUGAAUUAUGAUUCAUAAUUUUUCAUUAAUUUCAUGGAGUGAUUAUGCAACUAUAAAAGAAGAGUUUAUCUUUUUGUUUUGUACACACACAAUUGGAAUGAAUAAAAUCACUCUAUAAUAUAUUCUCUCAUUUUAUUCUUUAUCUUGGGUUGCUUCUUUAUUUGUAUUGCUGUCUAAUAACUUUUUUUUUGUUUUUUAUAAGGCUGCCUCAUCUUAAAAAAAAAAAUCAAUUUAUAUUUUUUUAUCAAUUUCAUCAAAUGUAAAGUAAGAAAAAAUGAUAAUACUAAAUUCUUUUUUCAAAGCCGCGUGAAACGCGGUUCUAUUUUCUAGUUAUACAAUAAAGCAAACCAAAAUAAAUUCUACACUCAUGUGGGUGUUUCGUUCGCAAAAUCUGGACAAGAAAAAUAAUAUUGAUACAAUCUCCAAAUAAAGAGCAUUCCUCUUGGUAAAAUAGACAAAUCCUAUAAAUUUUGAUUAAUGGUGCCAAAUGAAAGAGUUGUAAUUUCAUGUACAUUUUGUUAACAUGAAUAAGGGUACAAAAUAGAUAACAAAGUGACAAAAACAAAGCUAAUCACAAUGAAUGAUAAGGCUUAGAGUAAACAAAAAGUUAUAAUCUUGAACAUAAGUGGCGCUCAAAGCCAUGAAUUUGAUAUCAUCCAUGAGGGGAGUUCAAACAAUAGCAUGUAAGAAGCAACAAGUGUUGAGAAAAAAAAAAUUUCAUUCUACCACAACAGAAUAAAUUGUAAAGAAAUCCCAGUUUGUAUAAAAGAAAGAAAACAAAAUUAAGGAAAACAUAAGCACAACAAAAUUCGACUGAUUAUUAAAAAUGAGAAAUGAGUUAUAAUGAGAAUUUUAGCUUUGUUGUGAAAUAAAUUGGGAAGUAUCCAAAGUACGCAUGUAAAUAAUAAAAAUGAUAAGAAGACGAAGGGAACAUAAUGAUAAUAAGCAAGCCAAAUAUUAAAAUGCAGAUUCUACGCUUCUGCCCCCCCAUACUUCAAGUUAGUGUCUCGCUAAUCAUUUUAGAUGUAUCAAUUACAAAGGGAGGCCAUCUAUUUAUAGUAAGCGUACGCCUCUAAUGCUUUGCCAAGUGUCCAUUGAUAAUAUCACAAGGGAAAUUAAAUUGGUGUAUGUGUAUUACACCUCCUAAAGUCAUGUUAAGAUAGUGUGCUGAUAAAGCUUGUUGCACGUGUGAUUGGUUAAGUCUGCUAGAAAUGCAAACGUGUAAAGCUGAGUCAGCAAGUUAGUUAAGGUUAUUAUGAAUGCUUAGAUUCAGCUCACGUGUAUUGUAUGUAAUACUUAGAUUCAGGUCAUGUAGAUUGUGUAAUCUCAAUAUAAAUACUUGAUGAUCAUGAUUCGACAUUCCUCACAGCAGGAGCUGUGGAUCUUUAGACAUCAGAUUUUAAUUUCUGUAAUGUUAAAUUUGGAUCCCAUAUUCGACAUUCCUCACAUCAGGAGCUGUGGAUCUUUAGACAUCAGAUUUUAAUUUCUGUAAUGUUAAAUUUCCCAAAACAUUAAAAAAAACAAUGCUGUAUACAUGGUGAAUGAUCUGGCGUAUCUAUAGGUAUUACCCAAGACAUUUCUGAGAACCUGAACUAGGAAUCCUUGUAUUUUUCUUUAUGUCAAGACAGUGACUUGAAGAUUUUAGAUUAUUUUUUUUGGCCAUUUUAUAAUUGUUGGCAUAUUGAACUUGAGUAAUUUUGAUAAACCAUAGUUCAGGAAUGUCUGAUAGAAAUAUUGGAGACUUGAACUUGAAUAUUAGAUUUGAAAUUAAAGAGGUAAGCCAUUAAAAUACAUCAAAGGAUUUGGAAAAUGGAGGAAUUGGAAUAUUGGUAUGAUGGGAUUACAAGAAAGGGAAACUUUUGCAUCAACAUCAAGCAUUGGGCAUUUUCAUUUGUCCUAUUCUAACACCAGUUAGGAAUAUCAACAAGGAGUUACGCUAUGAAUUAAGUAAUCUGCCAGUAAUGCAAGCAUUGAAUGUGAAGAGCUUCACAUAACUUUGAAUUAGCUUAUGAUUUAACACUAUUCCUUUUUGUGUGUGAUCAUGCAUUACGCCGUACUAGAUUUUUCUCUUUCUCUGCGGGAGAGAAAAGAAAGAGAAACAAUGGAUGCAAUAUAAAAAAAGUAAUACAUAUUUACCUAUUUAGUAGGCAAUUUACGCCAACGGUGACACUAUCACAUCAUGAGCGAGUUAUGUAAUAGUUCUUAGAUGAGAUCAUUCUUGCUGCAUUAUUAUUAGAAGUAUCUAUUUAUGCAAGAUUGAUAAUUUGAAUACACGUCCAAAUUAACAAGAGUUUUUAGGCAGUUUAAUUUAACUAACUAGCUAUUUAGAAUACACAUCAUAAUAAAAAAAAAGUACAAUUUAAGAUGUAUGAUUAGACUAUCUAUCUGCUCAAUCAAGACUGAGUGUGAUAUUUCCUCCGUAAACUCAUAGUUAGUUUUGUCACGCUUACAAAUCAAACUACAUUAACAUGAUUUAGGUAUUAGGGCAAGAUUGGAAAAAAAUGUCGAUAAUGCAAUGAUUAUGACGGAGAACAAACCUACAAACAGUACAGCGCAUGGACCUUUUUUCAAAAGAAAUUAUUCUUGAAAGAUAAAAAAAUUCCUUGCUUUUUACAUUAUUUUUUAAUGUAAAAAAUAUUCUCAGUUCUUGACUUGGUAUCAGAUUUUUACGUUACUAGAAAAAUCUAGUACGGCGUAAUGCAUGAUCACACACAAAAAUUUGAGGAGUUGAUGAUAAUCUCAAUAUAAAUACUUGUAAUCAACAAAUACAAUAAUAAGAGUCAUCAUUCUUCAUUUUCUCUCAGUUUCUCUCAUAUUUUCUCUGCAUCCAAACACAAUAUUCUCAGUUCUUGACUUGGUAUCAGAUUUGCAGUUUAAUUGUCAUGGCUUCCUUCCUUAAGCACAAAUUCAAACACAAAUCAGUCUCCUUCAUUCUUUACCGUCACAAAUGCGAUCAAACUGGACAGAUCUAACUAUACGAUAUGGAAAUCUCAGAUCCUCUCUUCAGUGCGUGCCAAUGGACUUGAAGGCUUUCUUAAUGGAACUAAAAUUUGUCCAGAUCAGUUACUUACUCAAGAGAUUGAAAGUUAUGGUGUUGAAAAUGCUGUUGUUGAAAGCUCAACUGAUAGAUCUCAGGAGAAUCCAGCCUUUGUUGCUUGGAAAAGGUAGGAUCAAUUGUUAUUAAGUUGGCUCAUGUCCUCCAUCAGUGUUGAGAUACUUAGUCUUGUGGUAAAUUCUGAUUCUUCUCAUAAACUUUGGACUAAUCUUGAAGAAAAUUUUUGGAUUAGAAACUAUGGCUAAGAAAGCACACUUAAAAAUGAUGUUAAGCAAUCUCAGAAGGGGAUCAAUGACAAUAACUGAGUAUUUUGCCAAACUUAGAGCUGUAACUAAUAAACUUGCUCUAACUGGUAGCCCUGUUUCUACUCUAGACUUUAUUAAUCAUCUAAUCUCGAGAUUAGGCCAGCCAUACUACCCUGUUGUUUUGUAUAUUGAAGCUAAUAUGAUGAAAAUAUUUGUCAAUGAAGCCUACUCUAUGCUUUUAACUCAUGAAGCAAGAAUUAAAUUUAAUCAUCCGAGUGCAAAUAAAGAAGCAAAGUUGAAUUAUGCUGCUAACAUAGCUUAGGCUGGACCUAGUAAUAACAAUAAGAAGUCUAGUAAUCAAGCUAAUUACUAUCAGGGCAACCAAGGUAACGGGAAUAGAAAUGCUCAUUGGUGUGGUAACAAUGGAGGAAGAGGUGGCUUUGGCAGAGGUUUUUCAGGGCAAGGAAGGGGUAAUUAGAAUAAUGGUGGUCAUUGAACAAUGGACCUUGGAGUAGUAGUCGAGCAGGUUAUAAUUGUUCUGAUAUAAACAUUAUGACAUGGUUGCUGGUGAACCUGUAAACAUAACCACAAAAGUAAGAAGGCAUAAUUUUUUUAUAAGAAACUCAAAAAUGUAUUAAUGAUGAAAAUUUUAAAAUAGAUAGUGGACCAUCUGUCCAGUAAGAAAACAAAAAACUGAAUAUUUGUGCUAUAAAAAGGCACACCCAAUCUCACCCCUAUAAAAGGCUAGAAUCAGCUACAAAUCCCUACCUCAAAACCCCAUCCCAGUUUAGAUGAAUGAAGAAAAAUGAUGAAUCUUGAAACUCCUUAGAAACUGAAGCCCAAAGUGAAGCAAGAAGAUGAACUCUAUCCCAAGCAAGCAAUAUGGCAUAUAUCUCCAUUAAUGGUUCAAAUAAAGUGAAUGGCUUUCUCUGAUGAGUGGGAAAUUGUCAAGAUCAAUAGUCAAACUCACGCAAAGUAAACGGACUUAAUUCUCAGAGGCUACUCAUUCUAAGUCUUAAAGAAAAUUUUUCUAAUUUCUAAAGAUUAUAUGGGGAAAAAAUCAUUAUUUUUAAGAUGGAAAAUUUGAUAUGGUGUUUAAUGUCUGAUCACAAUGAUAAUAUGAGUACUAACAAAAACAUCUUUAAUAGGCAUGGUGCGAGUAAAACACCUUUGUAAUGUACCUCAUCAAAUAUAACCCAAGCCACUUCGCGCGUAAUCUCUGAGCCUUUGUACUGCAUACUACGCCAGAUUUCAGUAGUCAUCACCUGAAAUUAAACUUCAUAUAAGCAAUCCACAAAUCAAAGCGCUGCAACACCCAAAAGAUGACACUACCAAGUUGACCUACCAAACAAGAAGCAUUAGGGUCAAUUGUGACAUCCCCAGUCAUCAAACCAACAUCUGAAACUCUUCUUUAAACUCUUCUGAUUGCUGAGUGCCUUAAUCGGUGAAGUAUAUAUCACACGUUGCUUAUUCCGCAACGACAUAGCAAUAGCAUACAAUGCUACCACAGUUUUCCCAGCAGAUGUAUGGGCCGAUACCUGUCAAAUAAAUGAAAGGCAAAUCCAAAUUAAAAAAAGAAAAGAAAAAAAAAACUAUUUUUAUUUUCACACAUGAUAACACUUCAUGCAAAAAUUCUUAAUUCUUAUCGGUGAGCUGAAAAGCAGAGCGCUUUGUACCAAAGCACUUCCAAAUUCGAAUUAAUGUUUUUACAAAAAAUUACAGCUUUAUAUAUUUGUAUGUGCGCGUGCGUAUAAUAAUAAUAAUAAUAAUUAACGAACCGUAACGGACUCGCCGUUGUCGAGGCACUUGAUAGCUUCGGACUGGAAUGGGUCGAGAGUGAAAGGGAAUUCCUUAGCAUGUUUAGCGUCAGCUUCAGCCACUUGACCAAGACGCAUUAAACAUAAAACGCGGCGUUUUCAUGGACUAGUACAUUCCAUGCUUCGAAAGUUUUAUGGUUUAGACUGAUUGGUUUGAUACAUUAUUUGUUUGUUGCGUUUUUCUUGCUUUAAAUAUUAUGUUGGAUACUUGGAUUGAUAAGUUUUGUACACGUUUAUAUUGCUCGCAGUAAAUAAUUUAUGACAUUUAAAAAACUAUCAACCGUCUAUCAAAAGAUUUCUACUAUAAAUAUAUAUACACAAAAAACUUUUAAUUUGGUCAAUUUGUUCUCUUAUUUAUUUUUGUUCUAUUUCUCUUUUCCUUUCCUUUCAUUUUAUUGUUUUAUGGUAUAAAAUAAAAAAAUAACCUUAAAAUUUAAGGUGAUGUUUGGUUGGGAGGAGAGAAUGUAGGAGAGGAAAGUAAUUUAAAUUCUCUUGUUAUUUCCAUUGUUUGGUUUGACAAAAUGUAUAAGAAUUAAAUUUUUAUUAGAAUUUAAUAUCCAUCAUAAUGUAGAAUUUGAAUUCCAUAUUAAGUAGCGAAGAAUUUAAAUUUCUCUUCUAUUAGAAACUAAAGGUUCCAAAAUUACCCUUCAACUUUUUAGCUUAUUUAAUGCCAUUAAUAAUAAUAAUUUAAUAUUAUAAAUGGACCUCCACCGGAAAGUCGCCGGACUACCCCCGGAUCUCGUCGGACCACCGCCGGAAGAUCGUCGGACCACUGCCGGAAAAUCACCGGACCACCGCCGACCUCGCCGGACCUCCGCCGCCGGCCACCGGAUCGCCAUUUAUAUAUAUAUAUAUAUAUUAUUACUAAUAUAAAUAGUUUAAUAUUUAAGGUAAAAGAUAAAUUUGUCUAAAGAAAAAAAUUAUAAUUCAUUUCCUUAUCAAAUUUUAUAUCAAACCAAACAACAAAAUUUAAUUUCACUACUCUUCUCUAUUCCUUUCUUCUCCAUUCCUCUCCAUUCCACUCUUUUCCACUCCUCCAUUUUCUUCAAACCAAACAUGACCUAAGGGUAAAAUACUCAUUUUACUAAAAUUCCGUUUAAUAUCAUAACGCUGUCAAUGGAAAAAUAUACGAGUGAUAUAAAUUAAAAACAAAUAAAUUGAAAGUUUUUAUGUAUUUUCCUUUUAUUUUUUUAAUAGCCGAUUGAGAUUUCCCUUCAUAUUUUUAAAUUCAAUAGGUUUAGACCGUUUAACAAAUCUUAAAUUAAAAAAACCCGCGGUGUAAUAACAAACUCACAUCAAACCCUGUACACUGUCAUCCCUAAUUAUAUUUACCACUUCAUACUCACAGUGAUAAUAACUGUGUAUCACAAUUGAUUUUGCAUACGGGUAAAAGUUCCAAGUCCGGAUAUUUAGUUAAUGAAAUUUGAUGAAAAGGGCAUGAAAGAAAAUAAGAAAUUAAAUAAUACAGGAGGUAUUAAUCAUUACAUAUUUAGUUAAUGAAAAUUGAUGAAAAUAUUUCUGCAGACGUGAGCCAUAAUUAUAUUACCGUUAAGAAUGAAGCAGAAGAGUUUCCCCAAACAAGCUAAAACACAGCACUUCAAUUUAAAGAAUUUUUAUAUCACAGUACCGGGGUAAAAAGUUUAAUGCAACAACAUACAUUAAGUUAAUUCCAUAAUCUAUCCCCAAAGAAAGACAAACACAAGCUUAUAAGAUUAAAACUUUGGAAAACAUUAGAGUCGGACAAAAUUGUGUAAUCUUCAGAGUUUGGAGCCUAGUUCAUCCAGGAAAGCAAAAGAAAUAAUAAUAAUAAUAAUAGUGGUGGUUUGAUCUCAAAAGGUGGCAUCAAAGUGGUAACUUUGAGGUAUUGGAAGCAAUAACGUCUUCAACUUUGUCCUGAUUUCGAAGUCCCUUAACCCAUCCGCCAUCAAUGGAUUGAAUGCUUCCAUUCAACCCAUCAUCCACAAAAUCACCAACCCGUUUCACCUUCAUCUCCUUGGGCUUAACAGGGUACUUUCCAGAGAAGCAAGCAAAACAAAAAAUCCGAGAAUCAUCGCCUAACAACUUGUUCAAGCUGUCAAUCGGCAGAAAAGCAAGCGAAUCACACCCAAUAAACUCCCUGAUUUCCUCAACGCUCAUCCUGUUGGAAAACAACUCCUCAGUACUUGGAGUGUCUACUCCGUAGUAACAAGAAGCUAUGAUUGGUGGGCUUGCAGCGUACCCAAGUGCAGCCACCACUCCAGAAUCUGGUACUGCAAUCACGACAUCACACUCAGCAGGAGCCUCGGUAGCAAGUACUUCCCCAAAAUGAUACCUCGACUCAUAAACAGACCUUCCAAAAACAACAGAAUUAGGCAAAGCAAAAUAAAUAUGCUCAACGAAGCACUGCUUAGGUUCAGGGUGAGGCAUCAAACAAGGUGAUUGAACCCCAUCUUUAUCCACCAUCAAAACUUCACCGGGAUAUACCGUAUGUGGCCUCAAUCAAAUAGUGCACAAGUCUCUGACGCAAAAACCAGAGCACCAUUACUCCUCCUACCCAUCACCAAUGGCAUAAACCCAUACGGGUUACGAACCGCAACAAGCUUAUCCUCAGUAACAAACACCAUUGAAUAAGCACCCUCAAGCUUCUCACAAACAUCCACAAUCCUCAAAAAGAACGGCCUAGCUUUCGAUAUCGGAAUCAAAUGGAGAACAACCACAGUAUCAGAACUAGUAUUGAAAAUGGAUCCAUUAUCUUCAAGCUUAGCCCUCAAAGUAUUAUAAUUAACUAAUGUGCAACACCAACAGAACCAAACCUGUACCCAGCAACAAAAGGCUGCACAUUCUUAAGCAUAGAACUACCCGCAGUCGAAUAUCUAACAUGACCAAUGGCCAUAUCACCCGGCAAUUGAUCAAGUUUAGACUGAUUAAACACAUCAGAGACUAAACCAACACCAGUAAUAGACUGAAGAACUUUGUUAUUCACAGCAACUAUACCUGCACCUUCUUGGCCGCGAUGCUGCAUCGCGUGUAGCGCCAAAUAGCACAAACGCGAGGCCUCUGGGUCACCAUAGAUGCCCAUAACACCACACUCCUCACGGGGCUUAUCGUCGUCAUCAUCAUCAAAACUGCCAAAACCGUCAUCUGGAUAUUCUUUAUUUGUGGUGAAAAACUCAGAGAUGGGGUUUUUUGAUAGAACAGUGAAGUUAUUUUUGUGGAUUAAAGAUUGUUGUUUCUGAGGAAAAAAAGGGUUUUUUUGCAGGGUUUUGGAGAAAAGAGAAAGAUGGGUUUUUUGCGACGGCUUAGGGUUAACAGAUGGAGAUGGGUUUGAGAGAGGGCAGAUGUUGGCGUGCCUGUUGUGGUGGCUGCCAUUAAUGGCUGAAUUUAUUCUAUUCUAUUUUAUUUAUUGGGUUGCCUUGCCCUUGCUCAAAGAAAAAACAGAGGAGGUGUGUGGAGGGAGACAGUGGCGAAGGGUACUUUAAGUAGAGGGGAACUUGUUCUAGGUUUUUUUCUGGAAUUGUGAGGGAAUCUGAUCCUGGGUUUGUGCAUAUGAUUCAAUUACUUAUAGGUGAUACUGUUGUGUCACCACAAAUUCUAAUUGGGAAGCUUCAGCUGUCAAUUUUUUUCCAAGGGUUAAUUAGGUAGAACUUUCAUGUCGUCGAUUUUAUUUGGAGAUUCUAAAAGUAGUUUCCAAAUAAAGAGAUGGACCAAAAUCAACAAUGUGACAAAGAUACUUUAGAUUUUUUUUCCUUGUGGGACAUGAAAAUUGAUGCAUGUUCCAAUGCAUUGCUCUAUCAGAAUUGGAAUUAAACUUAGUUUGUAUUCUCCUAUUCCGAAAGCAAAACUUAUAAGUGAUAUUAUAAGAAGAAGAAAUUAAGAACCAUAACAAAUUUGAUGAUUCUAAUUUGCUAGAAAUAUUGCAAUCCAAAACUAAGAAAGUUAAAACCAAUUAUUAGAAGAAAAAAGUAGGACGGAAGCUCCCAGAAUAUUGUUAUGUGUUGUAUUUUUUCAGUUUGUAUUUCCCAAUCAAUAAGGAAAAGUAAGUACACACGUUACAAAAAUUUAAUAAAAAAGAUUGGAGGUGACAAAACCGUCAAUUUUCUAAUUAACUUUCUCUCCUUUCGAAUUUCCUGAGUUUGGUAGAGACUGCUUAAGUGGUGUAUCUAUUAUAAACAAGCAAAACUAUGUUGCAACAGUGGUACGGUACCACUGUUGCAACAGUGGUACGGUACCACUGUUGCAACCAGCUAUUGAAUCUAUAGUUGUAUAGUUACAUUAGCAAGAUCCAAUAGCUAAACGAAACAAUAGUACCGUACCACUGUUGCAAUAUAGCUAGACCCAUUAUAAAUACCUGAAGUCAAAGUUAAUGUUUUAAUUGUUAAGAAAAGUUCGAAGAAGAAAUUUUUGUAUAAGAGAAUUGGGUUUAAAUUUAGAAUUCUUUGGAAGGAAAUGAGUCUAAAUUCCAAUAAUAUAAUUCAGCUCUAUUUAUAUAUAUCAUUAGUUGGGUGAAAAAUUAAUUUCCCUCAUUUGAUGUGAUUUUCAUCAUUUAUUUUCAUAUGAUGAUAAUUUUUUGUUUAGAGUGAAGUUAUUGGCACCCUUUCAUUAUCCUUAUAAAACCCUACUUCAAAUAAAAUUACACUUAAAGACAAUAGAAUUAAAUAACAUAGUUUUUUUUUUCAAACAAAUUACUCACAUUCAUAAUUUUUUUUUCUUCUAAUUUUCUAUAGGUUGCUUUGCAUCUAACUAAAAUAAAUUGUACAAAUUUAGAAUAAUUUAUUAUUCUUUUUAAAUUUCUUAUUGAUUAAAUAUUUGUGUAUUUAAGAUAGCUUUAAAAUUAUAAGAUAAAAUAUAUAUAAUUUAAGCCAAUGAUUAACAUUCAAAAAUUUCUCUCUCAUAAAAGUUUUUAAUUUGUGCGUAGGGUAAUAAUAAAAUUGCAAAAGAAAUGAGAAAUAGCAUAACACUAUUUUGAGUUUAAACAAUAAAAAAAUUAAAUGAAAAAUUAGAAGUGUAUUUAAAAAAAGGAUAUUUUUAAAAGUAAAAUAAAUAUAAUUAAAAAAAAAGAGUUUCAUGAGGGGUGCAAGCAAUAGUUCAACUCUUUUGUUUAUAAGUUUUAAGAUGUUGGUAUCCGUAGCUUAGCUUUUCCCUAAUUAUUAUAUUAAAAUGCAACAACAAUGAUGAUCAACCCUAAUUUCAUGGAGGUCAAAGAUUUUGGUCAUGCCGCAUUAAUUAGUUCGGUCAUACUUUCUACAAAUUUAUUUACAUUUAAUAAUUUGACCAAGACUAAGGCGCCGCCUGGAGUCAUAGAAUUUUAUAUGUCAAAAAUGCAUUUCACUUCAAUUAAGCCAUAAAUGUCGUUUAAUAUGCUUAUUUUGUAUUUUUUUAAAAAGUUUUAUUAAUUUUUUUUGUUUUUAAAAAUAUCAUUUAUUUAUUUUUAAAUUUUUUUUUUUAAAGGUAAAUAAGUGGGUAAAGUUCAAAUUCAAUUUUUAUCCCUUACGUCAUGGCUCCUAAGAUUUGAACUUAAGUGACCAAAUGUAUAAUAAUAGGCAUCUCAAAUAUCAUUUCUAAUUAUAUGUAAUUUAUUAAGUGAUUGUUAAUCUUUACAAGAUCCAAGUGAAUUAAUUGUAUUAUUUCACUACUAAUUGAUGAGUAUCAUAUUAUUUGGAAUAACUUUUGAAUAAAAAAAUUGUGAUGGAUGAAAUAUUCUUUUGAGAAUUUAUUGACUUAUCUCAUUUAUGAUUUAUUGUUGCAUUUAAGUGAUAUUGCAAAUAAUUUUUCCAAUAAUAUUAUUGUUUUGACGAGUAAGUUUGGAGUAAAUAAUACAUAUGGCAAGUGUGAGGUUUGUUAUUGCAUAUAUUUUGUGGAUCCAUUUUAAAGCCAAAAAAAAGGCAUUUCAAUUCAUUAUGAUUCCAGAUAAUUUCAAGCCAUAUGUCAUUAUUGGGAUAAAAAUAAAGUAAAAUGAUUAAAACUAUUUUUAUGUAAUUUAUAAAAAUUAAUGAAGCAACUGCAAAAAUUUUUAAACGAAAAACAAUUGAAAUGUGUGUGGAAAAAGAAGAAAAAAAUAAGGCAUUUAAAUAUCUUCUUAAAAAAUACGAUUGAGUAAAAUCAUUUUAACAGAAUGCUCUUCGAAAUGCAAUUCCACAUUAUUUUUUUUAUUGCAGUGGGAUAUUCCAAAAUUGGCACAACUCAUUAAGAAUUCGGCAACUAAAAUUUUAUUUAUCACUCUAUGCAUUUGACAAAUUAAAAAGAAAAAAAAAUCAUAUAUCUUCUGUUCAAAAGAAACCUUGGUAAAUAUUGUAAAACAAAUUACCAAUUUUUUUAAUUUAUGCCAUUAUAUCGUCGCUAUUUUCUCGCCCACUUUCUUAAAAUAGAAUCAAUAUUUAUUGAUGGGUUGGGUUCCAAAGUAAGUACCAAUUCAACAAAAUGGUUUUAUAGCAGAAAAAACACUUGUAAGACAUUCAGAACACAUUUUUCAAUUUUGUCUUUUGAAAAUGAGUCUUGAGUUUCCACAAGCCAAGAAGAAUGGCUAAAAAAUGUAUGGUAUCAAAGAAAGAGAAACACACACACACACAGAGAUUAGUGAGGAGAUAUAUGAGUGUGUAAUUUGUAUAUAUAUCCCCAUUAAUUGUUGAUAGUCCAAUGGGUAUAUGCAAAAGGAAAAAAUUGGCUGUCCUUUUAAGACAAAAUUGACUGUCACAUGAAAAUGUUAGCACACUUGCCACGCAACGAAAAUAAAGAUUCCAAGAACAAACUUUAUAGUCCCCUUUCUGUCCAAACAUAUGCGAUAGAAAUUAGUGUAAACGACACUUGAAAUAUAUAUGUAGAUCCUCACACAAUUGAUUAAAUAUUUAGAGUAGGAUGGAGUGAUAAAUAGUUUCACAAAAUUAUUGGAAUUAACUACUUAAUACAUGAGAUCUAUCUCAUUAAGUAUAAAAGAUUGAGUGCUGCUUCAAAAGCAUGACGUUGCUGGCAACAAAUUUAACACAAAAAUUUAAUUAACUAUCCUAGUUGAGAUAAUAAAAUCUUGUGUUGAAAACAAAAGGUUUGAGGUUCGAACCUUCUCAUUCAAGAAAAUCAAGUCAAAAUAUUACAUCUUCCAGCACAUAUCAAAGAUUUUUUCAAAGGCAGACUGAUAAUUCAGGGUAAAACAAAAAAAAACACAAGGACUAUAUGCUAUUCAAGACAGGUAUACCUUGGACAUGAAGUCUGAAUCCAAAACAAGAAGCACCUAGCUGAUCUUUCACUUUCAAUUUCCAAAAUCCAACAAAAUCUUUGUCAAAAUAUCUGAUCUAGUCUCAUAUUAAGCACAUUCAUAGCCGUAUCAACAGGUUCAAAAUAUUUUCCCCAAAAUGAGACAGAGAUUCCACUGAAGUUGAGUUGUGAAUGUCCCAACGUUCUGUAAUUAUAUGGUUCAGGAUACCAUGCCUAUUAAUCUUUUUUUUUCCUUUUAAAAAAAGGAAGCCAUAUAAAUAAUGCUUAAAACAUUAUUUGCAACAAGGAACAAUCAUUUCAUGCUUUCAUGUAUUAGAAACUUUCCAAAAAUGCUAGCAAGAAAAUGAAAUGGAACUUUACCUAGUCACAGAAUAUGUACUGCUGUUAGCCCAAUUGUUAUGAAGUGGCUUCUGCAUCAGAAGAUUCCAGCUCCCACCAAACAUUGUUAUCUCUCUUCUGAAUACAAUCUGCAUCGUUGGGCAUGAGUUAUAUCAUUAAUGUCUGCAUCCUCACUUACAUCAUCCCAAUCAAGUGCUUUUUCUCCAUAUCUGGAUUAUAAGUCCACUCCAAUCUCUUCAAAACAUCCUAGUCCUUCCAUCACAACUGAUACGACUUCCUUCCUAAUUACUUUCCCAUUAAUAAAUCGCUCCAAGAAAAGAAAGCAUUAGAAAUUCUCUUCAACACCCCAUCACUCAUAUCCCCUACAACAACCCUCUUCAGACACCUCAACAUUGCCUCUUGAAAGACCUCCAUAAAAUCCGAAUCAUCCGACACAACCACCAAACACCCAAACCUUCUUUUGUCCACCAUAUCCACCAUAUAAUUCCUCAACAAAACAUCGGCAUCUUGUGGCUUAUCUAACACCAUCCUGACCCAAAACCAUGCUCUUUUUAACUCAUCUGCAAAACCAUAACCCACUUUUGGAGUCAAAAUUGCGCUUGCAGCCAUUUUAUAUUUUUCCAUCUUUAUUGAAUAGUUGCCAACCAAAAGCACUCUCACAUUCCCUCUAGCUGAUUCUAUUUGAUUCGACCUUUUCUUUUGUUCCUCAUGAAUUUGCCUAAAAUGAUUAACAAGUUUGUCAUUAUUAUAAAAUCUCCUUCCACAAUCACCAAUACAUACGGCUUAGCAUGCCUAAUUACACCCCUGAUUUCUAAUUGGUUAAACAAUUCUCUUUCUUUCUUUGCUCUCUUACAACUUGAGGCACAUAACUAAACGCGUGGCUAUUAGCAUUUGCCACCAUGCAUUUAACAACCCCAAAUGAAGAUAUUAAUUUUUUUAGUUUAAUUGCUGCUUCAAAAUGGGGUACUGAAUUUGGAUUUUGUUAUCCAAAUACCAAAAAUUUCCCACAUUGUGAUGGACAGUUUUUAGUUCUAAAGUUGAUGACUGGUUUUGCGAAUCAGGCUUCAAAUGAGAACUUCUAAACAAUAAGACAAAUGAGUUUUUGAGUUUCUAAUCUUGUAAACUUUGUUCUAUUGUAUAAGUUAUGAAAUCGCUGAAACAUCACUACAGUUACAGGUCUUUAUGUGUCAAUGAACUGCAGAAGCCGAUCUUCACGUUUUCACGCGGAAGUGCACAUUUGUGAGGCGUACUCUUCAUGCACGAGGACGUGCAUGGUCAUGGCGGUGGGAGAAUGUCACGGACCGCAAUCGUGGCACCCAAGAUAUGUGCUUGUAUGCUAAUGUCGAUUAUGGUUGUGCUGAUUGUUGGAGACGUGCUUCAGGGGCGUGCAUGUGGGGAAUAUAAUGGCCCUAGACUCUUUGGAGUUCAGGCAGGCCAACCCGGUUUAGUUUGGGGAGCUUGUUGCUAGUCGAGGACUUAACCUUGAAGAGGGGUCUAGGCAAAACCCUACACACACUAGUUGGGAACUGGAGUCGUUCUCCUAACAAGCCCAAGGCAGGGCGAAACCAGUCGAUAUUGUGCCACUUCCACUAGGCUUACUCUCGUAGUAUGGGAUGCGGGAGUGCCGCACGGGUUCAAAACCUCUCGUCUCGUGACACUCUGCUCAAAAGCUAUGCUGCAAGAUAUAACAUCUUUGCAAUGUUAUACUUUCUAAAAGUAAUAAGAAAUCAUUUUAAAAAAAAGUAAUAAGAAAUGAAACCAAGGGGUAAAUCGAACACCAAAAGAAAUUUAGUCGGCCAACCACAUUAUGUUCCCACACAGUCCACUAAUUAAGUUAAUAAUUAAAGGGAAUCAAAAUCUAAGAAAUCUCAUCUUCAAGCAGAAUACAAACACACCGCGAUUGAAAAUCACAAAAUCGUAAAAAGAAGUUGACUUGAAAAGGGGUGGGCCGCCUCAUUUGCCCACCAACCACACCACACACACAAACACUCCAGCACACACACAAACUCUCUAGCUUUUGUAAAAAACUCUCUUGUAUAUUCUCUCUUUGUCAGUAAUAAAAUCAUAUUCAGCCCUAUUGCUCUACUUCUCUCUAGCAUUUUCCUCAAGUGUUCUUGCUUCGCUAGUUUGAGGAGUGGUCUAGGCUUGCUUAGCAACUUGUUUGCUACAAGGACAUCUUGGUCACAAAACAUGGACAUGCAAGGAAAAAAAAAAUAUUGAUACGUUCUAAAAAUAAUACGCAUUCUUCUACAGUGAACCAAAAAAUUUAGGCUAAUGGUAGCAAGUGAAGGAAUUGUGAUUUCAUGUGCAUUUUGUUGACAUGAAGGUAAAGAACUUUUUUAUAGUUUAUAUUGUUUAAUAUAACAUUUGAAUUGCAAAAUAGGGGUACAAAAUAGAUACACGAAGGGAUAAAACUAAGCUGAUUAUGAUAAAUAUUGAAUUAUAAGAUUUAGGUUUAAUCAUAAAGACAUAAGUGGCCCACAAAGUCACGAAUUGAUAUCAUACACGAUGCAAGUUCAAACAACUGCAUAAUAAGUUGCCCCAAUCUAAACUAUUAAUCUAGUAACUAUUCUAGUCGAUGGGGGAUAAUUUUCCUAUCACCAUUUAUCACGUGCAAGCCAAAUUUGUUGCUUGGUUCUUACAUGUGGUAAGGUAAUAUGAAUCCACUUGUGCAUAAAUUUGGCUCCGAUAUUAUAUAGAAGCUUAUGACCCAAAAUUAUACUUAAAAGUUAUUUCAAGAUUUGAGGGUUGCCUCAAGGUAAUAUUAUUAUUAGCCUGGUAACCCUUUUUUUGGUUGAUAUGUGAUAUUUUCCCUAUAACUUUUAUUAAUCUUUAUGCCUAUGUUUUGUCAUUUAUCCCAAAAUAUAACAUUAACAAAAGUUCCAAAAUUUCCUUCAAGAGAUAUACUUGAGACAAGUAAUUUGUGCAAUAACUUUGUGAAUUGAUGAGCAAAUUCAGAGAAAAGAAUAUAUGUGCCAAACGUAAUGUUUAUUAUUGUGUUUAUUUGUAGAGCUAUUUAAAGCCCCAAAAAAAAAAAAAAAGCACCGGUCCGCUAUUAUUUCAAAUAAGUUCAAGCCCUAUGUCAUUAUUGGUACAAAAAUGUAUUAGAAUGGUUAAAAACUAUUUGUAUUUAACUUAUAAACUUAGGAAAUUAUCAACUGUCCACCCUUAAAUUGCAUUGUUAUAAAAAAUAUUACAACAUUUUCAGGUUGUAUCAUUCAUCUACCAUAAAUUUACAAUCUGCAUCAUUUAUCCACCAAAUCAUUAACUUUGUUAAAAAGUGAUAGACGUCACAAGGGUAAUUUAGACAUUUAACACACACAAAAAUAAAAGAGAAAUUAUCUAAGCUUACCAUGUUAUCAAAAUUGCUACAAAAUUUUAAAUUUAUUCAAUUUUCCAAUCUAAGUUUAUGCCUCCAAGAUGUUAAUUGCAGUUUGUAAUUAAUGAGUUCAUAAGGAUAAUUUAGACACUCAAUAUGCAAAAUAAAAAAUAAAAUAAUGGCUUAAAACAUUAAAACAAAAAACUUGAUAUUCAAUUAAAUACACAUAAACUCUAUUUUUUUCUUAAUUAAAAAUAUUCUAAUUUUUUUUCUCAAUUUAUCAUCAUAAAUUUACAUUAAUAAACUAAAUCCACAAAUUACCCUAAUUCAUAAAUGCCCAAUCAGUCUAAUAGUUUACUUCGAUUUCAUAAUUAAAAAAGCUAAAUUUAUUAUAUUAGUUAUGGUGCAAAGUCAAAAAUGCCCUUAAAUUCAAGGGUAAAAUAACAUUUUAUUUAAAUUCUAUAAAUUAUUCUAACAAUGUUAACAUUUUGGUGGACGGUUAAUAUAAAUUGCAAACUUAAAAUAGAAAAUCAAAUAAAUUCAAAUUUUCAAACUAUUUAGGGCAAAUUUAGGAUAUAUGGUUAAUAAUUUUCCCAUGUCUUUUUACAUUGGUUGAUACAAGUUACAAACUUAAAAUAGAAAAUCAAAUAAAUUUAUAUUUUCAAACUAUUUAAGAUAAACUUAGGGUAUAUGGUUAAUAAUAUUCCUUUAUCUUUUUACGUUAAAUUGAGUUUCAAAGGUAAAAUGAUCAAUUUAUUAUAAUUCUGUUAAUUUUUUAGUGGAAACAAAUGAUAUAAUAGACGAAUGAUAUAAAUUGUAAAAUUAAGGUGCAUGAAUGAUACAACUUUAAAAUAUUGUAGUAAUUUUAAUAAUAGAACAAUUUAAGGGUGGAUUGGCAAUAAUUUAAACUUUAAUGAAGCAGCUAAAAAAAAUUUUUAACAAAGAAAAAUAAUUGAAUGCUUUGUGAAACCAAAAAUAAUUGAAAUGCUUUAAGAAAAAUAAAGGAAAUUAAAUAUCUUUAUAAAACCAUAAUUGAGUAAAAUCAUUUUACAAAAUGCUCUUUCAAAUGCACAUUCCACAAGCCAGGGAGAACGGGUGGCUAACAAAAAUCUCACUUUUUAUGAGUUUAUAAAAUCUCACUUUUGCAGAAUCCAAAAAUAGCCAAUACUAAUCACACAAAAAAUAAAAAUUAUUGCUGUCACGACAUUACACACUUUCUUCGCGGUUUAUAAAGCUAGAACAUUUUGAAGUUCCUCAAUACAAAAUGCGUGCUGCUACUAAAUUGGCCCAAUUAAUGCCCAUCGAAAAGGCCAUCAAUUUAGCCAUCAAUUUUGUCAAAAUUUCAACAAUUAAGAAACAAUGAUCGCAAACGGAACAUGUGAAUUUUGAAGUUGAAGAAAUCUUGAGAUACAUACAACAAAGCCUUGAAACUUUAUUCUUCACAAUUUGAGCACGCACUAAAUAUUAAACAAGUAUAGAACAAAGCUUAUUUUUAGCUUCUUGUGCGAACUGAACACGCUGAAUGAAGCUUUUUUUUUUUUGGAUUUUUGGAAUUUUUUAAAGUCAUUUAUGUUCGCUGCCAUCUUUUUCUUCGCUGGCGUCUUCCUCUCGGGGCUGGCAUCUGCCUCGUCUGUAGUUUGCUGUGCCUAUAUAUCCAACCAAUAAAUUGGGCAUUAAAUACGAAUGAAUGAUGAAUAAAAUGAUUAAAAAAAAACAGAGAAAAUUAUAAUAUAACACAUAUAUAUUGAAAGAGAAAUUUUGAUUUUAGGAUAGAUCAAUUAGCUAUCACAAACGAAAACAUGAACCAACUGUGUAUAGAGUCAAUUAACUAAAGUUCUCAAGAGUUGACCUGUGCUCCUGAAUUCUUGGACUCAUCUAUCUCCUUCUGAAUUUCCACGAAGCUUGGGACAAUUACGAACAACUUUAUGGGAUGCAGAUGGAAAUGGGAUCUGAUAACCCGCAGGCCAAAAGUUGGUGAGGUUUGGUAAGUCUUCCAGUAUCAAGUCCCGAAGUUCAUUCAUAACAAUUUCAUUGUAAUCCGUGACGUCUGCUCCAUCUUUAUGCCAGAAUACUUCUUCUAAUUCAUCAUUAGCUGCUAUACAUAGGUGCUUCAGUUUUUGAAGACUUUGAGCUAUGCUGAUAUGAAAUAGAUGCUUUAGUUUGGGGCAAUCAAGGACAGCGAUAUUUGUGAGUUUUGGGAAACAAACAGGUUGGAGAUGAUCCUCAUCCUCAUCCUCAUCAAUGAUUUGCUCUAAUUCCUGACAAUUCACAAUAGAUAACACCUCCAAUUGCAACAGAUUUCGAGCAAGUGUUGAUGAGAAGAGACGUCUCAGCAUAGUGCACCCGUCCACCCUUAAUCUGGUAAGACUUUGCAGGCUAAAAUUAUGCGUGGGACCUACGUGAUAUAAUACUUGCAGUUCUCGAAUGUUUUCCAACCACAACGACUUCAAACAUGGGAAUAGUUUAUUUUCUUGUCCCUCAGCGAUAAUAGCUUCCACUUGAAAUACCACCUGUACUCCAAUUUCCAAAAUAUUCAAUUCUUCCAAAUUUUUUAAGCCGUGCUUCAACAGUGCUGGAAUCGUGUCACUCAAAUGGGAACAAUUGGCCACAUCUAGAGUAUUUAAGUUCUGAGACAAAUAAAUAAAUAACUUGAUGCAAUUAAAAUCUAUUAGCAGCUAGGAUUAUCACAUGAUAAGUGAUGAACACCGCAAAAAUAUCAUAAUACAUAUGUAAACUAAUAAAAUAAUUAAAAAGUAAUGGAUUUAAAAAAAAAUGAAAUUAGUUAAAAGAGAUCAUGUGAAGUGAUAUAAAUGUGACAUUAUAUUGUUUGAGAAAAAUUAGUAUUCUAUUAAUUUCUAUGGAUUGAUCAACUAAUUAAUUGAAUUUGAGUAAUAUAAUAUACACUUCAGUAGUGUUUGCAUCAAUUCUUUCUAAACCGAAAUGAGAUAUGACUUUCAUUUGAAAAAUGAUUUUAGGCCCUAAAAUAAAGGAAUUUCCUUAAGAUAUUUGAGCAUUAUUAUUAUCAUCAUCACAUCCACGAUCAUCAUCAUCUCCAUAGGACCAAAUAAUUAAUGGCUGAUCAUAAAAUUUAUUGCUAAACUAUCAUUUCGAGUAAAAUUGAAGGAAAAGAAAAAACAUAAACACAAACAAACAUACCUCUUUGAGAUAUUGCAAAUUGGCUUUAAGUUCAGUACUGUUGAUGGUCAAGUUGGGACAGUCAUGAAGCUGUAACUCUUCCAAUGCUGUCCAAAUUGAACAAUAAUUUUCUGAACAAAAGCUCUUGAGUUCUGGGAGUUCUUGAAGUGUUAAUCUUCUCAACAAGGGGAGGGCGAGCAUCGUAUUUCCACCUUCGACACUUAUUUCCCCUUCAUUGUGAUCAAACUUUGCUUCGACAAUACAUUCCAGUCUCUUGCAAAAAGUCACACUGAGACUUUUAAGCUGCUCCAAACUUCUAGCUUGUGACAACGUGAAGAUAUAUGUCAACUUGUUGCACCUUUGCACAUUCAAUUCUGUGAGAGUUUGGAGGCUGAUCACAUGUUGGGCGGGCGCCUUCCAUAUCCACUUCAGUUCUGGUAAUUGGAACAUAUUUAACUCUACUAAUCUUGAGAGACUCUUUCCAUGCAGCGACUUAGAGGCAUCCAUUAUGCAUUCUAAAUCUUCGCAAUCGCGAACAUCAAGACAAGUCAACUCAUUUAAGCCCCUUUCAUCUAUGCUUGGCACAAUAUUAUGACAACCUAUUAACCCCCUCAAACGAAGAAAUUUCAGAUUUUGAUACAAUGCUGAAAAAAUAACGAGCGAGGUCGCCACUUCAUGAGGGUAAUUCUCAAUGAUUAAGCUCCUUGUUUCAUCACCAUGUUCCAUGUCAUGAUCAGAUAAUUGACCAUUACCGAUGACGUACCUUUGCAUUUUCGGGAAUGUAAAGUCUUUUGGAAGACAUAUAACUUGGGAGUUCAACUCAGCAAGCCUAGCAUUACUUUCUUCUGAACUCAUCUCUUCAACCUCCCAAUCUUUUAUCCGACCAUAAAAUUCUUCCAAUUGAGGAAAUUUUUUUAUUGUAAUGGGAGAAACAGAACCAGUAUCAAUAUAUAGAAGUUUCAAUCUACCAAGUUCAUCCGACGACAAUUCUUCAGGAAUUUCAAUGGGAGAUGACUGGAGAUAAAGAAGUUCAAGUCUCUUCAACUUUCCAAGAAAAAACGCGUCACUCACAUCACACCGAAUCAACUGCAGAACCUGGAGGUUGGUGAGGCUCUGAAGCGAUUUAAGUGAAAGAACUCCACCUAUUAUAGUGACAACUUUCAAUGCUGGCAUCCCUUUAAAAAAAUGUUCUGGAACUUGCAAUCGGUGGUCGUAUUCAGGAUUCUCCAAUCGCAAAAUAUGAAGGUUAGGGCAUACCAAACUACUAGGAAGCUCUUCUACUUUAUUUCCCAUUACAGAGAUUCCUCUGUAUUGUUCCAGGCCUUCUUCCAUUGCCCGUUCUGCCAAUCCAAUGCCAACUUUACUAAAAAAUUUCUUCUCCACUAGUACUUCUGAGCCUAUCCAUAUGGCUACAUCACGAACUAUGUCAUGCAUUUUCACAGAUCUGUCAUUACCAGUGUCUAACAGUAGUGAAGCAGCUUUGAGUCCGUCAAUUGUUCCAAGCAGUAGGCUUCUGGUGUUCUCUAUUGACUCAGCUUGAUACCAAGUCAACCCUACUGCAUAUCCAACCAAAUCCUCCAAAUUAAUCUCAUAAUCUUCUGGAAAUAGCGAACACAACAAGAAGCAUAACUUGGAAUUGUCAUCAUUCAAUUCGUCGUAACUAAAUUUGAGACAACCGUAAACGUCUAAGUUCUCCUCAUCAAUACCUUCUAUUGCAUAGAGUUUUGCAGCCUUUAGGUUAUGUAGAGCUAGGUUCCAUUCAUUAAAUCUUUUUCCUCUUAGUGCACUUCCAACAGCUUCAAUAGCUAAAGGCAGCCCCUUACAUUCUCCAGCAACUUCUUUGGAAACAUCAUUCAAGGUGGAGUCAUUUACAUUAAUUUUGGCAUUUUUUCGCAGUAAAGCCAAUCCUUCUUCUGGCGUUAGUGUACUAAGUGGAAUCUGUGUGUCACAACCCAAAGAAUCACAAACUGACUUUUUGCGAGUGGUUAGAAGGAUUUUGCAACAAUUAUCUCUACCACCGACGGUAAUACCUAAUUUUUUCUCCGAGUCGAGUGGUUUCCAAACAUCAUCAAGGAUUACGAGGAUUUUGCUGCUUUUACUCUCAGAAAACAUCAAGCGCAAUCGGUCUGCUCUCUCUUUUUCAUCUUUCUCAUUUAGUGCCCAGCCUAACGACUUUGCCAACUCACCUUGAACCUUUAUUAUAUCUAGAUCCUGAGACAUAGUGGCUAUCCCCACCUUAUCGAAAAGCUUUUGUUGCCGAAGUUGAUUGCCCACAUAUUUUGCCAGGGUUGUCUUUCCUACACCACCGAGACCAUGCAAUCCCACCAUCUUUGUGCUCUCUUUUUUCAGUGCGUCAAUGAUCUGAUUGCAAGCGGAUUCUGUGGUCUUGAAAAUAGAAGUAAAAUGCCUUGGCAAACUUAAUUCUCUUUCUAAUGGUAGAGGUUUAGGAGAGGCAACUGUGUUGAAUUGGCUGCAGCCUUGUAGCAGAUCGGACAACUUGCUAGUCUUCUCUGAUGCUUUUCUGCCCAGACGAUAUCGGCAACACCAAUUAGGACACAAUCCAUGAAGACUACUAUCCUUUUCAUCUAUCUCUGCUUUCAACUUCCAAACAUCGUCCAAUUCUUCGACUCCAUUAUUCAGCCACUCCAUUACAUUUUCAUCGACUACUAUGUCGGGGCAUUUUCGCAGUUCAUCGUCUAUUCUUGUUUUGAUGCCAUCUCGUGCCUUCUUCAACUUAGUUUCUUUAUCCUCAAGUUCUUUAACAAUGCUGUUGAAACAGAACAUAUAGCGAGCUUGGUCAAUGGCUGCAUUCACCAAUAAUUCUUCAACCUUUGAUUUUAAAGCUUCCAUGCUAUUUAUCUGCAAAUAACGAAGUUGAUCUCAGCACACUAUUAGCGAAACAACAAGGCUUGAUCACCAGACAAAAUGAGAACGUUUAAUUACCUCUUUCUGCACUGUGAAUGCACGUCUAUUAACACCAGCUUUGACCAAUAAGAGCAAAAUGCAGAGGUGGGGCCUUAAGAGUUUCGGUGGCCUUUAGCUGCAAAACGGCAGAUGACAAAUAAGGUGAACGUUCCUAGCAAACGUGAUUUACGGUGAAUUAUAUUCAAAUUAGAUUAUUUUAAAAGUUGGUAAAUUAUUUAUCACUCUAUCUUAAUGAUACCUUAUUUGGGAUGAUAAAGAUUGGGGUAAAUUCCCUUUUAUUCUCACAUGUUUAUAGUAUUUAUAUUUUUAUAAAUUACCUAAAACAUCCAUGUAACUUACUUUUAUAGCUAUUGAACAUAUCAUUUCAAAUAUAAAAUACUAUUUCUGUCUAAUAUAAAUUAAAAAUCAAACAAAUCUAUCAUGCAAUAAAUGAAAAGUAAAGAAUAUUAAUUAGGUUUUAAUGGAAACAAAUAUAAAACAUAGAGGUUUUGAGUAACUUUUGUAUUUUUUUUAAUGUUCAAUUUAGAAUUGAAUAAUUUGCAUAAUGAAAUUUUGAGGUUUCUAUAAUUUAUAUGAAGAUAAACUGCGAAAUAAGUUUAUAUGCCGAAAUUAAAAUAGUUAUAUAUUAGCAAUCAUAUAAUAAUAAAAAAUUUUAAUAAAAUUUAUUUAAAAAUUGGCCAAUUGUGUUUCAUGAGUAAAACAGAGAGCAUAAUGGACUUAUGUUGGGUCUUGGGAUUGAAAGACUAAGGGUAAGGGGCCGGGAGGUAGGACGGUAGGAAAAUUAAUUUUUGUUAUUUUUAAAGUAUGGUCAACAUUAGUGACUUGGAGGUGAUUGCCGUUAAUCAAUUACCUUUAACUUAAGAAUUAAUACAAAUAAAUGGAAAAAAUAAUUUAAUGAAAAUUAAUUUAAUAAAAAAUUGCACUAAAAACUUAGAACUCAAAUUCUCGAUCAUUUUAUCCGUACGUUUUAAUCCGACGCUCAGAAUUGGCAUAAAACAAACUAAUAUAGCCAUUGGAAAUAAAACAAACAUCAAAUCAAGAGCCUAUGAAACAAUAUUAUCUCGUACCUUCUUCCUUAUAGAUCCUCAAUUGCUGUUGAAAGCUGCAUAUGACAAUAUAAAUAAACAUGAGAUCAAAACAUCAUAGGAUAUAUCUAGCCAAUUAACAUCAUAUAUAACUCCUUGUUCUCAGUCAAAUCUUUCAUUCUUAGAUUAAAAAAAAAAUGAAAUAAUAACUGUUAAGUGAUAUAGGAAGCAAAAGUAACACACCGAAAUGAAAGCAGCUAGUUCACAGAUGACAGAUGCGGUGACUUCAAGAGCAUGAAAAAUGAUUAAACUUUGGUAGAAGGGUCUGAGCCGUGUUUCACAAGUUGCUAUUGACUUCGUGGCUUCGCUUUUAUUUAUUAUUAUUAUUUUUUUAAAUUCUAUAUCAGUGAGAAUUGAAAUGUGGAAAGUGAAAUGAUACACAUGCCUUAUCAUCUAUCAUGAGGGGUGAUUUGGUAAAACCGAUUUAAAAUAAAAAAAGUUUAAAAAAAUUUAAAAAGAUGCUUUGUGUCUGACUGCUUGUAUUUGGGGUAUUUUUCGGGUUGUUGAGACUUGAGAGUGAGUUUAAUUAAAUAUAAGAUUUUCAUUUUUCUUAUUAUAUUUUUCUCUUUAGAAUGAAUUUAAAUCUCAUUCUUAUUAAAUUCAUUUUUUUAAAUGAAAAUAGAUUUCUCUCCACACAUUUGAGAUAUAUUUUAAAAUUAAUGUUAAGCAUAUCUCUAAAUUAUAUUAUAAAUAUUUUUAUUUAAAAUCUCAACAGAUUUCAUAACACACAGAGAGAAAUACAUAUAUAUGUUGUAAUGUUUUAAUGAUGGAUCUCUAAAGUUAUCAAGUUAAAAAAUAAAUAAAUAAAUAAAAAAUACACACUUCAACUUAUUAUAUGAUAAAAUAUAGUAUAUUAAAGUGAGUAUUUUUUGUGUGAAAUAAAAUUAAAGUGAGUACUAUUACCACCUCACAUCUUAUAAAUUCUAGAAAAUAAUCAAGGCUUGACAUACUUUUAUUUAUGCAAAAGCAUAAGAAAAUAAUUCAAAGUACUAAUUAGUGUACUAUUCCUCAAAAUUCUAGAAUAGAUUUGUUAGUUCUCUUUAGCCAUAGAUUGGUCCGUGAUUGGCACCGCAAUAGCUCAUAAUCACCUCAACAAUUGUUCCACACGGCCCAACAUGACACAUUGUAAACUAGUCUACAAGAAUUUUUUGAGUGGCUUUCUAGCAAUAUUCUUAGAGAAAGUGUUUAGUAGUUUCAAAUCUUCUUUUUUUAACACAAAUGUUGGCAUGAUAUUCUUAAUAUAUUUCUAAAAUCAAAAUAAGAUGCAUAGAGGACGAUAAUUUUAUUUCAUAAUUGAAUUUUUUGCAAAGAAAGUUUGAACAUGAGAGUGAUGAGAGAUGAGAAUAUUGAUGAUGGUGUGUACUUUGAAUGGAAAAAUAGAUUGGAAAUAUAUAUAGACAUAUUAAAAGAAAAAAAUUUGGUCUAUUUCAUAAGAGAAAUAAAAAAUUAUAAACGCGGGUGUUAAAAUGUAUUCAGAAUUUAUAAAUUUUUAUAAAUAUGAUAAUCAUCAGACCCUUAUAAAAGUAUAACAAAAAAGUUUAAAAUUUUUUAAUAAAUGUAGAAGAGAUGAACGAAGAAAUCAUCCACCAGUUCAGAAUUAACAAUCAAAGAUAUGAGGACUUGAUUGAAGAAAUGAUGAAAAAUAAAAGGAAACUGGGUUGGUUAGCGGGACCCUAAUAUUAAUGGUGAAAAAUAAAAGGACACUGGGUUGGUUGGCAGGACCCUAAUAUUAAUGGCAAAAAAUAAAAGGACACUGGGUUGCUAUCAAUUUCGAUCGUGUAGGUUCAUAGCCGGGGAAGUAAUUGGGCACAAAUAUCUCGGAUGAGAAAUAACCAUUUUAUCCCGCAACCAUAUGUUUAUGGCCUCUAAAAAUUUUCACCUCUUUCACUUUCUGGAACCCGUGCUUUCUGGCACAUGCACAAAUACUUGGUUGCUACUUAUAGAGCGUUUUUGGAAUUGCAACAACAUGGUGCUCUUUGAUAAUUCAAAAAUCCAAUAUAAUUUAUAGAGAAUUACAGAAUUGUGGUACGUGAUAAUUUGCUGAUGCAAUGAGGCGCCGAAAUUCUUAUACAUGUGAUUUAAGUUAUAUAUGUAUAAUUAAGUAAUUAGAAUAUACUAGUUGGGGGUAUUUGUGUCCAUGAAAAUUUACAGCUGGUUGUUGACAUUACACUGCGGGUGUGUAAGUGUAAUCAUGGAUCUGACCAUUCAAAUUUAAAAAAUGGGGGUCCCGCUAGCUUACGGAGUUAGUAAUUAUUAGAUAUGCAUAUAUGCUCCCAUACGAUAAUCUUAUCAUAAAUUUGAAGGAUACGAGGACUUGAUUGAAGAAAUGAACGAAUAUUUGAAUUAAAAAAAAUUUUAGAAUAAAGACAAGUAUUAAUUUACUAUGAAUGCAACUUACAUAAGCUGUAAGUUAGCGGGACACUAUUAAAUCACAAGCAAAAAGCAAUCUGACUUCUUCUUGAUUCCGUAAUUUGGCUGUCAAAAUGUAAUCUAUAAAAAUUACGAUACCUCGAUUCAAAAAAAUGUUGUUUCUGAUGAAAUAAAUGAAAAUUGAACGUACAAUCUGCCACGAACACUGUUUAAUUAACCGUUUAUUUCCCCUUAAAUUUUUAAUCUCAAUGAAACAUAGAUCUAAUGGGAACUACAUAUAUAUAAAAAUACUAUAGAUUGAAGAAGUUGAAUUUUUCUUGUGUGUUAAGUAUUUUUAGUUAAUACGAAAGGAUUCUAGCAAGUUAAUACAAAAGUAUCAUAAAUUCAUAGUAGUACAAGAGAUUUUUUUUUUCUUUUGAUAUUAAGAGUUUUCGAGAUAAAAAAAAAAAAAUAGGUGAAAGAAGAAGAUGAGAGAAGAAAAAAUAUUAAGAAUAGUUUUGGCAUUUUGAUGCGUUUUAUAGUGUAAAAUCUAUAUUUUAUAGUAUAAAAAGGUACACCCAUAAUUUAAUGAUAAAAUUUUAGGAAAAAAUUGCACUCGUCAAAAAAAAAAAAGAAAAGGCUCAGCUUAGCCCAAAAAUUUUUUAUUAAUCGUCUAGUCGCUAAUGUAAUCUCUUUUUUAUGAGAUUCUUUGGCGUUUUAGUUUAGUCCAUUGUUAGCAAUCCUAAUAGCUUUUAUGUGCAUCUAUUUUUAUUUGGAAUAUGUUUCAAGCUUGAAUAAAAUCUGCGGGACAACUGGUAAGUAAUAAAGCUCAUCAUUUUUUUAUUUUGAAAAUAAAGGGAAUCACUUACACUUAGCAUGAUAUUAUUUUUGAUAAGUCAUUUUUUUGGUAGAUUAUUUUUUCUAACACGCUCUUAGAUUUAGUGAAAAUAAAUUGUAUACUUUUAAUGAAGAAAAGUAAAGAUCAACAAAAUAUUUUGUUCUUUGCGACAACUUUUGCGUUCUCAAGUGCGCCUGAUACCCUUUUUUUUUUAACAUGGGCCCACGUGCCAUGUUUCCAUUUCAAGUUUCAUAAGUUAACAGUAGAAAUGGGUUCCACAGAUAAUUUAUUUUAUAAUUUUUUUUAAAAAUUACUAAAAUAUAAUAAAUAAGGUAAUAAUAAUUAAUAAAAAAGUAGAUUUUAAGAUGGAAAAAUCUUUUUGUGUACUUAAUAAAAAGAUGAUAAGAAUGGGAUGCUUUUAGUUUACAUUCUCAUAGCUAUUUAUACUGAAAAAUUACAUCAAAAUUUAAUUAAUAAAUCAGUGAACUGCAGACUUAUUAAAUUUAAGCUAUUUUAAUAAGUCAUAAAUAUACUAAAUUAAAAUAGUAAUAAACCCAUUGUUACACAAUACUCUCCAUUGAGUGUUCACCAUUUUAAGAUAAUCAUAAAAUGACACCGGAAGUGCUAUUAUAGCUGUCUCAUGGAAAGCCUUCACCAAUAAAAAGGAGGAUAGAGCACAUACAUCCAGUUUUUAUACCCUUUGAUGCUCAGUCGACACGUGCCAAUGCUAUAGACUAGCUUUUCGAAGGUUGAAGUGGGUAUGCUAUUAGUAAAAAGACCUGCAAAAUUAUAGUGUACCUAUUUGACAUCAACUUUUUUUAUCUGCUGGAGCUUAUGAUUAUAGAAGAUCUUCGGUAAGAUGUGUUUGAUUUUAUCUUCUUUUAUAUAUCCUCCUCUAACUUGUGUAAUAGUAGUAAACCCCUGCCCGUUUUUAUUUCGUUUAGUAUUUUCUAAAUGGCCGAAGGAAAAUUGGUAAAAACUCAUUUAAAAAUUAAAAAAAAAAAUCAAAGAAAUUCAAGAAGAAGCUUUGUAUCUGUCAUUUGUAUUUGGGGUAUUUUUUUGGUUGUUAAGUGAAUGAGCUUAAAUCUAAAACAUUUAUUUAUAUAUUUCUUGUUGGAAAGAAUUUAAAUUUUAUUCUUAUUAGACUUAUUCUCUUUAAACAAAGGUAGAUUUUUCUCUAUGUGUUUAACGUGUAUUUUAAAAUUAAUGUUCAACAUAUCUUUAGAUUCUAUUAUAAAUAUUCAUAUCUAAAAUCUCAACAGAUUUCAUAAUAUAUAAAUGUAUAUAAAGAGAGAGAAUAACGUUUCUAAUAAGAAAUUUAUUAAGUUAAAGAAUAAUUCAAAAGAUAAAUUUGUAUUAAACCCAUUUAUAUGAUUAAUUAAGGUUUUAAACAAAUUUUGGACUUGUUCUAUUGUAGAGCUUAAAUUCAAAAUGGAAGAGUGAAGAAGGGAAAAAGAAGACGAAUAAAGAAGAAAAGAGGAGAACAACUUAUACAAAAUAGGGAGAACGAAAAAGUGAAGGGCAGAAAAAGAAAAAGAAUAAAGAAGAAAUUAAUCAUCGCUGAUAUGAAAAUAAUUCCUUCUUCUUUAUUGUUCUUAGUGGUUCUACUUUUUUUUAUUGGAUUCUAAAUUUUUGUCGUAGAUGGAUUAUAAGAACUAGAAAAUUAUAAAGAUAAUUUUUUAAUUAUUCGAUUAAUUAAUUCCAGCAGAAGACAAGAAAUUGAUUCUGCUUCGUUAGAAAGCCAUCACAUUCUAUACGCAAUUGCAAAAAGUAUAUAUUUUUGUCUGUUUUAGACAAGAAUAAAAGGGAUACCUGGUAUUGCAAAUCUAGACACGUUUUAGUGCUUUAUGUCCGAAUGAAUUCUUUCUUGCAACAAUAAACUUGGCCGAUCAGGAUUUGCCGUUUACAUAUGUAGGUCCUGUUGGUUCUGUAGUAGGACUCAUAAAUUUUUAUUUUUAAUUUACUGAAUCCAUAAAUUUAAAAUAACGGUGCAACUCCUGAGGAUGACAAUGGGGCGGGUGAGGUCUUGGAGUCCUGAAAAAAUUUAUAUCUGCAUAUUAAAAAAUGUGGAUCCGAAUAAGAAAAUCCGCAUGAAUCCGAAUGCAAGUGCAUUUGGAAAAUCGGAUAUCGAGAUCUGGAUAAAAAUUUAUUUCAAAUUAAAAAUUAAAUUAAAUAUAUAUUAAAAAGUAAAUGAAAAAUUAAGAAAGUAAAUUUUAUUUGUAGAUUUAUGAUGUCAUUGUAUAUUAUUCAUGUUGAAUUAUUAAUUGUUGGAUUAUGAUUGAAUUUUAUUUGAUAUUAUUGGGUAAAUUAUUGAAUUUCAUUUUAAAUUAAAAAUAUUUAUUAAAAAUUAAAUUUUAUUUGUAGAUUUAUGAGAUUAUUGUAUGUUAUUCAUUUAAAAUUUUUAAUUAUUGAAUUAUGAUUGAAUUUUAUUUGAUAUUAUUAGGUAAAUUAUUAAACUUUUAAAUUUUAUAUUAAAUUAUAAGCAGUAGGAAAUUAUGGUAUUCAGAACAUGUAUACCUUCGCACAUGAAGCUUGAGUCCAGAACAAGAUGCAGCUAGCCAAUCCUUCAACUUCCAAAACCCCACAAAACCUCUGUCAACAUAUCUGCUCUACUUCAAUAUCAAGCACAUUCAUAGCGGUAUCAACAGCUUACAGCUCCAAAAAUAGUUUGAGAUUUCAUUGAAGCUAAGUUGUGACUUGUGACUGUCCAAAUGUUCUGUCACACGAAAUGAUUAUUCUUGUAACACAAAUCCAAUAGCAUGCAAUAUAAUCUACUCUCUAACACUGUGCAUUAGUAAAAUAAAACAGAGUAAAAAGAGAAACCAUGCCUGUGAAUCUCUUCUCCUCCCCCCACCACCCCUUUUUUUGGUAAAGUCUAUCAAAUGAAAAUGCAGCAUGACCACAUUGGCCACUACCACUGCCAUUACUCCUUCAACUGUGCCCUUUGUUGCAAGAAAUCUUCAAGUGAAAGAUGGAUUAUAUAAUUAAAGAUUCCAAUAGAAGCAGCAAAGGUUGCCUUCCACUAGCCUAUCAGAGAAUAUGCUUUCUAUUUUCCUAGUUUUAAUCAAAAUUUUGCAAGAUUUAUUUAUGGAAAACUUGGACAAAAUUUUAUGUAAGAUACCAUAAAGCCAAACACAAUCUUUUUAAUUCUCAGCAGCAACAUUUAAAGUAAAAAGAUGGAAGCCAUAUAAAUAUAACUAUAUUUGGUACGAGGAACAAUUAUUUCAAGCUUUCAGAAAUGCUAGCAAGAAAUUGUAAGAGAACUUUACCUAGUCACAGAAUAUGUCAAGCAUACUACCACCAACUGUCUUUAGCACAAUUGUUAUGAAGUAGCCUCUGAAUCGGAAGAUUCAAGCUUCCACCAGGCACAAUUAUUUUCAUUCUCCAUACAAUCUGCAGCAGUGGCAUGAGUUAUAUCAUCAACAUUUGCAUCCUCACUCUCAUCACCCCAAUCAAGGCUUCUUCUCCACCUCUGGAUUAUAAGUCCGCUUCGACAUCUUCAAACAUCUCGGUCCUUCCAUUUGCAAACAACCGAUAUGGCUUCUUUCCUUGCCUUCCUCAUCGUUUAUAUCCCCCCAAAAAAGGGUCUUUAGACACCUCAACUUUGCCUUCUGCAAAACCUCCACAAAAUCUGAAUUAUCCAACACAACAGCUAGACGCUUGAUCCUUCUUUUGUCCAUCAUAUCCACCGCAUGAUUCCUCAACAAACAUCUGCAGCUUGUGGCUUAUCUAACACUGUCCUGACCCAAAACCCCACUCUUUUCAACUCAUCUGCCAAACCAUAACCCACUUUUGGAGUCAAAAUUGUCCUUGCAGCCCUUUUAUAUUUUUCCAACUCCAUUGAAUACUUGCCACUCAAAUGCACUCUCCUACCUCUAGCUGAUUCUACUUGAUUCAACCUCUUCUUUUGUUUACACUCAUGAAUUUGGAUAAAAUAAUUAACAAGUUUGUCAUUAUUAUAAAAUCUCCUUUCACAAACACCACAUAAAUAUGGCUCAGCAGGCUUAAUUACACCCUUGCUUUCCAAUUGGUUAAACAAUUUUUCUCUUCUCUUUGCUCUCUUACAACUUGAGGCACAUAACUAAAUGCAUGGCUAUUGGCAUAUGCCACCAUGUAUUUAACAACCCAAGUGAAGAUAUUGAUUUGGGGGUUUGUUGUCCAAAUCCCUAAAAAUUCACACAUUGCGUUGGACAGUUUUUAGUUCUACAAUUAAUGAUACGUUAUGUGAAUUAAGCUCCAAAUGAGAACAUCUAAACAAUGAGACAAAUGGGCUCUAGGUUUCUAAUCAGUAAACAUCGUUCAGUCGCAUAAUUUAUGAAAUUUUUGAAACAUCACUACAGCUACAGGUCUUUAUGUGUCAAUGAACUGCAGAAACUAAUGAUCUACUAGUAGUAGACGUUUGUUGUCCCCACCGUUCCAGGAAGAAAAAUAAGUAGAAGAACUACUUUUAGACCAAAAUUAAAAAAUUGAAACUAUCUUGAAAGACUUUCCCUUCAACUAAGUAAAAAAGAAAAGAAAAAAAAAAGGUAUUAGACAAGCAUUUUCAAAGGAAAAAGAUCAUCCAUUUAUUGUAUGUACUCAGGAAAAAUAAAUGUACUAAUAGGUAGAAACACAGCAAUAAAACUCAAAAACUAACAUCUAUAAAGCUCAAUAACAAUUAUGAAUUAGAUAUUUUGGUCCCUUCAUAAUUCCUCCUCUUGACUUCACAUUUCCCCUCAGCCCGUGAUAAUUUUACCUAUUGAAUUCACAUUUCCCCUCAUCCAUUGAAUUUUCCCAAUAACAAGAUGAGUCUAAAUCUGUUAGGAAAUUGAUGGGUGAAGCAGACACGCAGCUAAAGUAAAAUUGGAAGAAAAUAAAGAACAAGCACAAUAGAGGACACCAGAAAUUACGUGGUUCGGCUUUUAGCCUACGUCCACGGGCGAAGACAGAAGGAAAUAUUUUACUAGUGAAAAUGAGUUACAAGUAUUGUAGUAUUUUAGCUCACUUCCCAAAACCCCAAUACACCCAAACUCUCUAACUCACUAGACACUCAAGAGUUUAUUAAACUCUUAAAACUCUCAACACUCAAGAAAGCAAUGCUUCUCUCUCGAUGGAAAUUGAAUACAAAUGAAUGAGUGAGCACUUCCUUUUAUAGCCAAAAAAUGGCUAUUAAAUUAAUAUAUAUAUGUAUAUAUUUCAAAUGUAGUUACCAACUUCUUCUUUUUCUCCAUUUGGAUGGCACCAUUUUCUUUGGCCGGCUGCACCAUUUUCUUUUUUCAAAUGUCAAACCUGUGUGCUCAUUUUCCUUUCCAACUUGCUGCAAAAUUCCUCUUCUUUGAACAACAUGGAUGUUGACCAUCUAGAUGGCUGCUUUUGACAUUUCUCCCACUUGGAGAUUAGAUUGAGAAGCAAUCAAUCUCCACACCAUCCUUUCUGCUUCGCCAUAAUCAUGUUGCCUACGUUUCUGCUAGACCACAAGAGGAUCUACUCCAGACAAACUUAUCAGUAUUUAUCGGCUUGGUCAAAACAUCUGCUAGGUUCUCUUUGGUAUGGAUUUUCUGCAAAUCCACACUUCCAUCUUCCACUACUUCUCGAACGAAGUGAUACUGAACUCCUAUGUGCUUUGUCCUGGAAUGAAAGGCUGGAUUCCUUGCAAUGUGCAAGGCACUCUGACUGUCACAAAAUACAGGAAUUUUCUGUUGUUUGUGCCCGAGCUCCUCCAAUAACCUUUGUAUCCAAAUAGCUUCCUUGCAAGCUUGUGUAGCUGCCAUGUAUUCUGCUUCUGUUGUAGAUAAAGCCACAACGGUCUGCAGUUUCGAAACCCAGCUUACAGCUGCUCCCGCAAGUGUAAACACAUAACCAGUAGUGGAUUUUCUUUUAUCAAGAUCUCCUGCAAAAUCUGAAUCCACAUAGCCCCUGACAGUAAACUCUGAUCCUCCAUAACAUAACGCAACAUCUGAGGUUCCUCUUAUGUAUCUCAGAAUCCUCUUAACAGUUAUCCAAUGCUCUCUACCAGGAUUCGCCAUGUAUCGACUAAUUGCUCCCACUGCUUGUGCAAUGUCUGGUCUUGUACAUAUCAUAGCGAACAUCAAACUUCCCACUGCUGAUGCAUACGGUACUCGAGACAUCUCCUUCCUCUCUGCUUCAUUACUAGGACACAUACUUGAGGAUAAUUUGAAAUUAACAGGAAGUGGGGUAGAAAUUGACUUACAAUCUUGCAUGUUGAAGCGUCGCAAGAUUUUCUUCAAGUAAUUCUUCUGCGAAAGCCAAAUCUUCCUGUUAUUUCUGUCUCGGUGAAUUUGCAUCCCUAGAAUCUUGUUUGUUGGUCCCAAGUCCUUCAUGUCAAACUCCCUAGCUAACUGUGCCUUCAAUUCUUGGAUUCGAUCUUUGUUGGGACCUGCUACCAACAUGUCAUCCACAUACAAUAGCAAAAUAAUGAAAUCAUUAUCUUCAAACCUCUUGUAAUAUGCACAAUGGUCUGAACUGAGUCUGUUGUAUCCAAGGCUCAUGAUGAAGGAAUCAAAUCUCUUAUACCAACACCUCGGCGCCUGUUUGAGACCGUAUAGAGAUUUGUUCAACCUGCAAACCAAGUUCUCCUUUCCUGUUUCUGCAAAACCUUCUGGUUGGAGCAUAUAUAUUUCUUCUUCAAGUUCUCCAUGAAGAAAUGCAGUUUUCACAUCUAACUGCUCUAGAUGUAAGUCAAAUGUAGCACACAUUGCCAAGACUACUCUGACUGUUGUGAGUCGAACCACGGGCGAAAAUAUCUCGUUGAAGUCAAUGCCUUCUUUCUGAGCAUAUCCUUUCACUACCAAUCUUGCACGAUACCGCUCCACUUGGUCAUUACCAUCACGCUUGAUCUUGUAGACCCAUUUGUUUCCAAUGGCUUUUCUUCCAUGUGGUAGUGGUACAAGUUCCCAUGUCUUGUUCUUGUGUAGAGCUUCAAUUUCUUCCUGCAUUGUUGUCAUCCACAAAGCAAUAUCUGAGCUUUCUAAAGCUUCAUGGAAAGUUGAUGGCUCUCCAUCCUCCGUUAAAAGACAGUAUGCAACGUUGAUCUCUGUGACAUACUCCGAGUGCCACGUUGGCGGUCGUCUCUCACGAGUUGACCGACGAACUCUGGAGCCUCGGACUCGACUGGUUCUUGUUCCUCGUUCUCUGGUGCUGCUUCAGAAGAAUCUGAAUCUUCUGGAUUAUUUUCCACAUAUACUGGUACAAUCUCUGACUUUUCUUUUACAGUGCUUUCAUCCUCAUCUUUCCUUUGCAGUUGAUCUUCUAUAAAGAUAACAUCUCUGCUGAUGACGAUCUUGUGGGCAGUGGGGUCCCACAGACGAUACCCCUUUACUCCAUCAGCAUACCCUAAGAAGAUACAUCUUCUAGAUUUUGGAUCCAGCUUUGUUCUUUCUUGGGCAUUGUACAUCACGUACACAGGACAUCCAAAUGCAUGUAGGUAGGAAUAAUCAGCUGGCUUUCCAGUCCACAUCUCCAUCGCUGUCUUCAACCCAAUAGCUGUAAAUGGCGACCGAUUUACUAUAUAACAGGCGGUUUUGGCUGCUUCUGCCCAGAAUGAAUUGGGUAAACCAGCAGUCCUCAACAUAGCUCUUAUUCUUUCUGUAAGAGUUCUGUUCAUCCGCUCCGCUACUCCGUUUUGUUGAGGAGUGUAUGCCACCGUGAACUGCCUCUGAAUACCUUCUUGCUUACAGAAAGCAAGAAACUCUCCGUCUGUAUAUUCUCCACCAUUGUCUGUCCUUAAGCACUUGAUCUUUUUACUAGAUUCAAGUUCCAACCGCGCUUUGUAUUCUUUAAACACAGGAAAUACAUCUGACUUUUUCUUAAUUGGAUACACCCAACAUCUUCUGGAAUAAUCAUCAAUGAAAGUCACCAUGUACUUUGCACCUCCCAUAGAUAUAUCCGGUGAUUCCCAAACAUCAGAAUGAAUCAAGUCUAGAAUGCAUUUACUCCUAGCAAUAGAUCUACUGAAUUUUAAUCUAUGCUGCUUACUUGUAACACAAUGCUCGCAAAAUGGUAAACUUACCGAUUUGAGCCCCGGAAGCAAUUUUCGCUCAGAGAGAAUCUUCAAACCUUGUUCUGACAUGUGGCCAAGUUUGAGAUGCCACAUCAUCGUUGAUUCUUCUCCAUUUGAUGCGACACACGCAUCAGCCUCCUGUAGUGUUUCUCCUUUAAGCAUGAAUAAAUUAGCACCGAUCUUUUCUGCCUUCAUCAAUACAAGCGCACCUUUAACGAUCUUCAUUAUUCCAUUUUCCACAUGAGUUUUGAACCCAUGACUAUCCAUUUGUCCCAAAGACAAUAGAUUUUUCUUCAGGCCAUUGACAUGUCGUACCUCCCCAAUUGUGCGAAUUGUACCAUCAAACAUUUUUAUUUUGAUAGUACCAAUACCAGCGAUCUCCAAGGCAUGAUCAUCUCCCAUAUAUACAGAUCCUCCUGAGAUAGGUUCAUAUGUGUGGAACCAUUCUCUCUUAGAGGUCAUGUGCCAGGUAGCUCCUGAGUCUAUAAGCCAGACAUCAGAUAGUCGUUUUCUGCCUUCUGAAACAGUUGUUGCCUCGCUGUAGAGAAUUUCACCAUCAUCUGAGGUACUUGCUACACAACCCUGAGCAUUUGAUGACUCAGGUUCUUUGCCCUCUCUUCUCUUCUGGUUACUCCAACACUCUUUCUUGACGUGCCCUUUCUUGCCACAGUUGUAGCAUUUAACAUUCUUCUUACUUCUGGAUUUUGAUCUACCCUGAUUUUGACUCCCACUGGGGCCACGUUCCGUUGAUCUCCCUCUCGUCACUGAUAGCGCUUCUGCUUGCUGCGAACUUGCUUGUCUGUUUUCCUUGUUUUUCCGCCUGCUCUCCUCAUUUAAUACGGAGGCUGCAACAUCGUCGAAAACUAGACCCUCCACUGGAUUGUUGUUCGUCAGGUUGAUGAUGAGUUGAUCAUACGAAUCUGGUAGACUUUGAAGUAGAAGCUCUGCACGUUCAUUUUCCUCUAUAUUAUGACCCAACGUUGUGAGUUGUGAAAAUAGAGUCUUCAAUGUGUUGAUGUGGUCGGUCACCAUUGUAGAUUCCGCCAUUCGAAGAGUAUAGAGUUUUCUCUUCAAGAAGAUUUUGUUGUGUAGUGACUUGGCCUCGUACAAUUUUGUGAGAGUAUCCCAAAUUUCCUUCGCCGUAUUUUUCUCUGCCACACUGGAUAAUACUCCAUCCGCAAGUGCCAAGUGUAGAUCAGAAAUAGCGUUGCCGUCUACCUCGUUCCACUUGUCAUCAGUUAUCUCUAUGGGCCUUUCUCCAAUUGCUGCCAAACAAUUAUUUUUCCUCAAUACAGCUUUCAUCUUCAUUUUCCACAACGAAAAAUUAUUUCCGUUAAACUUCUCAAUUUCAUAUUUUGCCGCCAUUUUGUUGAUAAUACUGCACACAAGCUAGUGUACCACCUUGAAUAGUUGUGAGUAUGUGUGAGAAUGCACACCAGGAAAGUUCCCAGGAAAGACUAGAGGGGUCACAAUGGUCCCACUUAAAACCCAAACUCCUUAAGCUCUUAUCGCCUUUGUGACAGAACUUUCCUAGACAUGUACAGAACCACACAGUUGCUUUACUCACACCACUAUUCCCUGCUUUGCACCGCAAAAUUCUUGGAUGGCUUCCACCGUUUCACGUGAAUAGUACCGUAUACGUGAAUAGUGCCGUAUACGUGAAUAGUGCCGUACACCGUAUACGUGAAUAGUGUCGUACACCGUAUACGUGAAUAGUAUCGUACACCGUAUACGUGAAUAGUGCCGUACGCCGUAUACGUGAAUAGUCCCGUACGCCGUAUACGUGAAUACGUGAACAAUUCCUGACUCCAAAAAUACAACCAAUAGCUCUGAUACCACUGUUAGGAAAUUGAUGGGUGAAGCAGACACGCAGCUAAAGUAAAAUUGGAAGAAAAUAAAGAACAAGCACAAUAGAGGACACCAGAAAUUACGUGGUUCGGCUUUUAGCCUACGUCCACGGGCGAAGACAGAAGGAAAUAUUUUACUAGUGAAAAUGAGUUACAAGUAUUGUAGUAUUUUAGCUCACUUCCCAAAACCCCAAUACACCCAAACUCUCUAACUCACUAGACACUCAAGAGUUUAUUAAACUCUUAAAACUCUCAACACUCAAGAAAGCAAUGCUUCUCUCUCGAUGGAAAUUGAAUACAAAUGAAUGAGUGAGCACUUCCUUUUAUAGCCAAAAAAUGGCUAUUAAAUUAAUAUAUAUAUGUAUAUAUUUCAAAUGUAGUUACCAACUUCUUCUUUUUCUCCAUUUGGAUGGCACCAUUUUCUUUGGCCGGCUGCACCAUUUUCUUUUUUCAAAUGUCAAACCUGUGUGCUCAUUUUCCUUUCCAACUUGCUGCAAAAUUCCUCUUCUUUGAACAACAUGGAUGUUGACCAUCUAGAUGGCUGCUUUUGACAAAAUCAUCAAUCUCAUUAAACACUCACAUCUACUAAAUAAUAUCGCAUGCAGUAACUUUAAGUAAGGAUCUAAAACUUACAAGAAAAAGAAAACUACUGUUUAUUAAUUUCAAAAUUUACACAAAAUUACAAAUGAUUUUAUAAACUGUACCAAAACAUGUUCUCUAAAAGAGAUUCAUUAUCCUGCAUUUUCAAAAACAAUAUAAACUAACACUAGAAUAGCCAUUUGAUAAUGAUGUGAAUUUGGGCAGCACCAAGAAGCAGUGAGCCCCAUUUGGUGAAAGCAAAAAGAAAAAAAAUUAAAAUAAAGCACUAUAAAUUCUAAUCAAAUUAUUAACAUUAGCUACACAUCAAGAAACCAGAAUAAAAUCGUUAUCUAAACCACAUACUGAAAAAGAAAAAACAAUGCAGUUAAAAUUCUAUCAUUUUCACUUACAAACAAAUAAAGAAAAAAUUAAGAACAAAGGUUGAAGCAAAGAAUGAUUGUACCUUGAGGUACUUGAGGUUAAUGUUUCCAUAAACGAGACCGAGCGAAAAAGCCGAAACCAGAGCAACCUAUUCUUACUACUCAAAAACACGCCCAGAUCAGAAAAUAAAUGAUCAUUCAAUAACAAUUCAUAGGAAAAUGAUGUUUGCCCCGGGUCAAACCCCGAAAAUAACUUAAACGGCGUCGUUUUGAUUUUUUUUUUUCUUUUGGAAUACUCCAAAACGACGACGUUUCUGAUGAUAUUUUGAGAAGAAUAAAAUCUAUCUUCCUCUUCGUUUUCGUUUCUUCGUUUCACCUGUGAAAGAACAGAGCAACAGAGCAACAGAGAUCCCAACUUGGUCUUGUUCCGUUUGACCGUAAAUCUCUUCAUUUCUUCGUUUCUUCGUUUCUUCAAAUAACGGCAAUAUCACCCAAAACAAAGUUUCAUGCAAUGUUGUAAAAAAUAAAUUAUGAUUUGAGAACUGAAAAAAUAAUAUGAGAACUAAAAAAAUGAGACAAAUCAAGAAUAUGAGAACUGAAAAAAUUAAUUCAAUGUUACAAUGUUACAAUGUUCUAAAAACGAAGGCCAACUUCCUAAAAUAAAAUUAAAAAACAAAAUGCUACAAUGUUAAUCUUCGAAAAUUAAACUGAAAAAAUGAGACAGUACCGAAAAAAACAAAUCUUCGAAAAUUCAAGCUUGGCACAAUGUUAAUCUUUCGUCCAAACUCAGCUUUCAACCGUCCAAAUUCAGCUUGUCCAAACUCAGCUUUCAACCGUCCAAACUCAGCUUGUCCAAACUCAUCUUUCAACCGUCCAAACUCAGCUUUCAAGGACACAUUUCGCAGCCGAAACUCAGCCGAAACUCAGCUGCUGUUGGUCUUGUUCUUCAAUGGGUACCAAACGAAAAAGAAACGAAAAAGAAACUCAGACGCUUUCAACUCAGCUUCCAAGGACAAAUUUCGCAGCCGAAACUCAGUCGAAACUCAGUUGCUGUUGGUCUUGUUCUUCAAUGGGUGCGAAACGAAAAACAAACUCAGAUGAAGAGGAUGGAGCUUUAAUUAGUAGAUCCCGUUCUGCUGUCGAUGAGUGCUCCGGCUGUGGAUCUCGGUCGAGGAUGGAAGAAACGAAAAAGAAACGAACAAACGAAAAAGAAAAUAAAAGAAAACGACGCAAAUCAUUCAAUAAACAAACGAAAAAGAAAAAAAAAAAAGAAACGACGCAAACGACGCCGUUUAAGUUAUUUUCGGGGUUUGACCCGGGGCAAACAUCAGCACUCUUUCCUUUAUGAAUUGGGAAAAUGCUACUUUCCCCGGGUCAAACCCCGAAUUAUUUCAAAACGGUGUCGUUUUGUUUUUUUUUUUUCUUUUUACUUGCAUGAAACGUGGUCGUUUGAGCUAGUAAAAACAAAACAAACUAAAGCAGAAAAAACUCAAGUGCUUAUCUUCUCUGCCCCUUUCUUAAUUUCCUUUUGACAAACCACGGAAUCACACCCACAAACAACAAUCACCCACAGUCACGCGAACAGCCGGCACAGACGAAGGAUGAGCCCACAGACGACGGACCACCGCAUUGAAAUCUCUGUCCACAUCACCGGCACCAUCAUCGUAGGUCUGUAACAAACUGUCGUAAGUUAAACCCUUCUCACCGUCGAUGAACUCGACGUAAGUACGGAAUACUUCGUCGAGAAUUGCGUUGAUUUGUUCGUCGCUGAAUUUGACUCGAGGGUUUACGGCCACCACUAAAGCCGCCAUUUCUUCUCUAUUACGGCCACCGUCGCGGUUCGUGUCAAAUUGUUGAAAAAUUCUCUUCACUUUCUCUGAUCUGCUUCCUCUCGUAGCCAUUUUUUUUUUCUGUUUUUCUGGGGGUCAGUUUGGUUUCUCAGUGUUUGUUUGAGAAAGCGGAAUUAGUAGAUAAGGGAAUAUAAGGAAAAGUUGAUAAAAAGGCAAAGGGUGGUUACUUUAAUUGUUGGUGAGAAUAAUGAUGAUGAUGGCUUAAUUCUGGGUUUUGUUGGAUCUGAAUGAAUUCUUAACGGCAAAAGUUAAAGAGUAGAAGAAGAGCAAGAGGACGGACUCUCAUUCUUUCCCUUUUUUCUUUUAAUUUUAAAUAUAUCAAAAACGGCAGCGUUUUGGAGAAACAAAAAAGAAAAAAAAAUUAAAACAAAACGACGCCGUUUUUGUUUUCGGGGUUUGACCCGGGGCAAACAUCAGCACUCAUUCAUAAAAACUCCAUCCCAUCGCAUUUAAAACAAAACAAAGAAAAUAUUGAUUAGAAAAAAAAUUACACGCAUGGAAUAAAAGAAUAUAAAAAUGGAAUUACCAGAGGGAGCUAGUGCCGGAGUAGGAACCAGAAGGCAGCGCCAUAUGAUGCUCUUGUUAUGGUUUUCCUUCUUGUGGGUCUGCGCUGAAGUCGAAGAUGAAGAAACAAGAAAGAGCCAGCAAAUUGAGAAAUCGACUACCAUCUUCGAUUCCGACUCGCAUGGCCAUUUUUCUUUGAUGAAUGAAAUAUUGUUUUACUCCCUAAUUCUUAACCAAAUUACAAGUUUUGACUUCUGUUUGUAUGUUCUUUCAUACGGGUUCUUGUUCACAGGAAUAACAAAUGGGCCGGACGUGUGGCUAAGCCCGGGCCUGGUGUCGAUAGCCAGGCCUGGGCUUUUACGAGCCCAGGCAUUUUAUUCUGAGUAUGAUCCUUAUAUCACUUCACUUUUGUAAUCGUAAUUUUAUUGUACUGAAAAUUAUAUGAACGAUUAAUAUGAAUUUAAUUAAACAAACAUGUCUUUACAACUCAUGCAACCUUACUAUUUUCUAAUCCUAAUAUGUGAUAUAAUUAAUUUUACUGAUAAAAUCAAAAUAAUUUUUAAACAAUGAAGAAAUAAAUUAUAAUAACAGUAAAUUUAUUACGAAAAAGUAUGUUUACAAAAUUUAUUUUAAAUGAUAUGAAAUCUAAUUAAAAUUCUAUUCUAAUUUUAUGCCCUUUUUUACAAUUUUAUUAAAAAGUGGGAUCUCUUAAGAUUUUAGGAGUGUUGGAAUUCUAUUUUUCCAGAUUUGAAUUUUAGUGACCUUUACUUCAUUUAAAUUUUUUGUUAUAAACUUGCAAGCAAGUGCAUUUAGGAUAUCUUUGGUGAACUGGAUUGUAACAAUAAUUUUAUUUAUUAAAAUUAUUAAAAGUAUUUAAUUAAUAAAACUUCACGUAUCCUCGGGUCUAACCAAUCAAAUUCUUUCUCUCAAAAGUACACAAAAGUGAGAUUGGCUCUUGCCUAUUAGUUAACAUAUGCAUAUUAAUUAACACUGACAGAUAUAUAGAUAUACAGCACAGCUAGCAGCACAUUCGACUUACAGAUAUACAGAACUUGAACAUAAUUCACAUAUCUGAAGGGAGAGGGAUAUCGAUGUUGCGGCCUGCAAUUCAUAACAUAUCAUCGGUCAUUUAAUCUAGAAUUGAGGAGAGAAAAUGAGUCUAAAUUCGAAAACUUUGGCACUAUUUACAUAUCAUUAUUUGGGUGAAAAUUCAUUUCUCUGCUUUGAUAUGAUUUGGUCUUUCAUUGUUACGGUGCCAAUUUUUUAUUUAAAGAUGUAAGGUAGUGGUACUAUAGCUUAUAUUUUCCGUAAUUACUAUCCGGUAAGUACAAAAAUAAAAUACUAGUUUAAAAUAUAAAAAUGAAAAAUUAUUUUUAUAACCAAUAUUCAAUUAAAUACAUUUAAAACUCUAUUUUUUCUUAAUAAAAAAAAUUCUAAUUUAUUUUCUCAAUUUAUCUAAACAACUUUACCUAAUCAAGCUAAAUCUACAUAUUACCCUAAACCUUAAUUCAUAAACACCCAAUCAAUCUAAUUGUUAAAUCUUAUUUCAUAAUAAAAAAAAAUUAAUUUCUUUUUUAUUAUUUAUGGUGCAAAGGAAAAAAUGAAUUUAAAGGUAAAAUUGAUAUUUUAUUUAAAUUUUGUUAAUAUUCUAAUAAUAUUAAUGUCUUGGUGGUUAAUAAAAGCAUAAAGUUAAACUUUUGUAGUAUUUUUAAUAAUAUGGUAAAGAUAUAUGUUUGAUAAUUUUCUUAUGUCUUUUUACGUUAAAUUGAGUCUCAAGUAUAAUGAAUAAAUAAUACAUAUUAUAAAAUUAGUGUAGAUAAAUAAUACAACUUGAAAAUAUUAUAGUAUUCUUAAUAAUAGAGAAAUUUAAAGGUGGAUAGUUGAUUGUUUAAUGAAACAACUACAGAAUUUUCCUUUCAAAUAUCUUUUUAAAAAACAACAGAAUGACCUUUCAAAUGCCCAUUCGACAAGCCAAGAAGAAAGGGUAGCUAACAAAUUUACAAGUACCAGAGAUCCAGAAACACAUUUAUAGCCAAUCCAUUUAUGAGUUACAUUCAACACUCUCACAAACUUAAAAAAUAAAAAUUAUUACUGCCAAGACGCACACUUUUUGACAUCUAAAAAGCUAAACAUUUGAAGUUCUUUGAUACAAAAUGCAUACUAAAUUGGCACAGUUAAUGCCCAUCGAAAGGGUCAUCAAUUUAGCCAACAAAUUUGCCAAAGUUUUAACAGUGACCACAAACGGAACAGGUAUAGAAUAAAAGCUUGUUCGGUUCUUGCGCGAAGUGAACCCCUCUGAAACGCUAAAAGAGGAAAUACAAAAUAAAGAAGACCAUAUUACGUGGCUAACUAACAGCCAUUCCCAAAGAAAUAGAGUGACGAUAAUGUGCUUCUUUUUUUUUUUUUAGAAAAGAACACAGACCCCUAAUAUUUAAAUAAAAAACAUAAAAUUUCUUAAUAUUUAAAAAAAAACAUUCAGACCUUAUUGUUUAACAGAAACUGUUUUUUUAACAGAAAUUAUAAUUUUAAAAUAUAAUUACCAUUAUAUCCUUAUAACAUAUUAAAACUAAUUAUUCAUUGUCCAAUUUAUCUUUAUAUUAUUAAUAAAAUUACGAAAAUAAAUUUGAUAAAGAAAAUUUCAUGCACAUCUAAAAAUUGAUAAAGAAAAAAAAAUAACAAAAGUAAUUAGUAAGAAAUCUCCAAUAAACCGACAAAUUAAGAACCCUGUUCAUCAAACUACCAUAAACCAAAAAAAAAAAUUCUCGUAAUCAUUUAUUUAUAUUCUUGCACAUACAUCACAUAUGCAUCAAGCAUGCUAGAGAAGUUAAUUUAGUAAAAAAAAAUGAAAAUUAAAGAGAAUUCAACAGGCAAGAUCAGCAACCAAACGCAAGCACAAGCAGCAGCCAAACGCGAGAUUCAACAAGCAAGAUCAGCAACCAAACGCGAGCACAAGCAGCAGCCACAAGCGAGCACAAGAAGCAGCUAAAAGCGAGCACAAGCAGCAGCCAAACGCGAGCAAUUCCAACAGCCAAACGCGAGCGAUUCCAACAGUUCCAACAGCACAAGCAGCAGCCAAACGUCGAUUGCGAGCAGAUCCAGCAACCAGACGCGGUCUCGAUCGACGCACGAGCAGUUCCAGCAGCUUCUGGUAGCGUGAGCAGUUCCAGCAACUUCCGGCAGCCCUAGCAGCUUUCGGCAAAGGCAAACCGUGAGUGUGUGUUAAAAGAUUUGUCUGGAAUCAGCGUGUGAUGUGUGUGUGGGGUUUGUUUGUGCGUGUGAUGUGCGUGUGGGGUUUUAGUCAAUUCACUUGUUUUUAAUUUAUAAUUACGAUAUUAACCUUGUAAUGAUUUAAGGAAACGAUUUCCGUUAAGUAAUGGGUCCGAAUGUUUUUUUUAAAAUAUUAAAACGUUUUGUCUCUUACUCAAACGUGGGUCUCUGUACCCUUUUCCCUUUUAUUUAUUCUUCGCUGGCAUAUUUCUCUUCAUCUUCUUCUUCACUGGCAUCUACAUUGGCGUCUCCCUCUUGGUUGGCAUCUUCCUCGUUUGUUGUUUGCGGUGGCUGUCCAACCAAUAAAUUGGGCAUUAAAGAACAAACAGAUAAAGUUAUAACAAUAAGAAUUAUAAACAUAAAAAGAAAAAAAAAAGAUAUUUGAAGGGAAAUUUUGGUAGAACUCCAUGGCUCAUCUAUGAAAUUAAUUUAAAGUUCUCGAGAGCUUACCUCUGCUCCAGAAUUCUCGGAAUCAUCCAUCUCCUUCUGAAUUUGCAGGAAGCAUGGGACAAUUACGAAUAAUUGCAUUCACUGCAGAUGGAAAUGGGAUCUGAUAUCCCGUAGGCCAAAAGUUGGUGAGGUUUGGUAAAUCUUUCAGCCUCAAGUUCCGAACUUUAUCCAGAACAAUUUCAUCGUAAUCCAUGACGUCUGCUCCAUCUUUAUGCCAGAAUACUUCUUCGAAUUCAUUAUUUUCUUCUAUGCAUAUACGAAUUAGUUUUUGAAGACUUGGAGCUACGCUGAUAUGAAAUAGAUGCUUUAGUUUGGGACAAUAACAGACAGAGAUCUCUAUGAGUUUUGGGAAACAAACAGGUUGGAGAUGAUCCUCAUCCUCAUCAAUGACUUGCUCUAAUUCCAGGCAAUAUAGAAUAUCCAACCUCUCCAAUUGCAACAGAUUUCGAGCAAGUGUUGAUGAGAGGAGACGUCUCAGCUUAGUGCACCCCCUUACGGUUAAAUCAGUAAGAUUUUGCAGGCUAAAAUUAUGCGUGGGACCUUCAUAAUAUAAUACUUGCAGUUCGUCAAGAACUUCCAAUUUCAACUCUUUCAAACAUGGGAAAUGUUUGUUUUCUUGUCCAUCAGCGAUAAUAGCUUCCGACUGAAAUAACACUUGCACUUCAAUUUCUCUUAUAUUCAAUUCUUCCAAAUUUUUUAACCCACGCUUCAACAGUGCGGGAAUUGUGUCACGCAAAUGGGAGCAAUCGUCCACGCUUAGAAUUCGUAAUUUCUGAGAAAAAUAAAUAACUUGAUGCAAUCAAAAUCUAUUAGCAGCUAGGACUAUCUCAUGAUAAUCAAUAAACUAACACCAAAAAAAAAAAAAAUUCCAAAUCCGUACAAAAUAGUUAUAUUUUAUGAAAGUAAUAUAUUUAUUAAAAAAAUAAAAUUAAUUAAAAGAGAUCAUGUGAAGUGAUAUAACGGUGAAAUCUGUUUGUUUAUGAAAAAAUUGUAUUCUAUUUCUAUGGCUUGAUAACUACUUAAUUGAAUUUGUUUAAUAUUAUAUAUGCUUCACAAGUGUUUUCAUCCGACCUUUUUUUUACCCCCUUCAAAACAAAAACGAGAAUUUGACUUUCAUUUGAAGAAUGAAUUUUAGGCCCUAAAAUAAGGAAGUUUUCCUAAGAUAUUGGAUCUUAUUGUGAUCAUCACCGUUAGCACUACCAUCAUCAUCAUCUCUCUACAAAGCCAAAUGCAAGGUGAUAUGAAUGGCGCAUCAUAAAAAUUAUUAAUAAACUAUCACUUUGAGUAAAAUUGAAGAAAAAAAAAAGAAAAAAACAUAAACACAAACGGACAUACCUCUCCAAGAUACUGCAAAUUAGCUUCAAGUUCUGUAUUGUUGGCGGUCAAGUUUGGACAGCAUCUUAGGUCUAACUUUUCCAACGCUGGCCAAGUUGAAUAAUAAUUUUCUGAACAGAAGCUGGUGAGUUCGGGGAGAUCUUCAAGGCUUAAUUUUCUCAACAAAGAUAGCUCGAGUAUUCUAUUUUCAUCUGCUACACUUAUUUCCCCUUCAUUAUGAUCAAACUCCGCUUUAACGAUAAAUUUUAUUCUCUCGCAUCUGAACACUGCAAGACUUUCAAGCUGCUUUAAACUUCGAGCUUGUGACAACGAGAAGACAUACGUCAAAUUGUUGCACGCGUACACAUGCAAUGCUGUAAGAGCUUGGAGGCUCACAUGUUGGGCGGGCGCCUUCCAUAUCUGCUUCAUUUCUGGUAACUCCAGCAUAUAUAACCUUGCUAAUUUUGAGAGCAUCAUAGGAUUCCCACUCUCUCCUUGCGGCGACUGAGAGGCAUCCAUUAUGCAUUCUAAAUCUUCACAAUUGUUGACAGAAAGAUAAGUCAACUCAUUGAAGCCCCUUGGAUCUAUGCUUGGCACAAUAUUAUGACAACCUAUUAUCCUGCUCAAAUCAAGAAAUUCCAGAUUUUGAUACAAUGCUGAAAAAAUACGGAGCGAGGUCGCUUCAAAAGGGUGAUCAAUGAUUAAACUCCUUGUCUUAUCACCAUCUUCCAUUUUAUAGCCAACUCUUUCACCUUUAAUCAUGUACCUUUGCAAUUUUGGGAAUGUAAAAUCUUUUGAAAGAUAUACAACAGGUCUGCCAACUUGGAAGUUAAACUCAGCAAGCCUAGCAUUACUUUCUUCUGAACUCAUCACUUCAACCUCCCAAUCUUUUAUCCGACCAUAAAAUUCUUCUAAUUGAGGAAAUUUUUUUAUCGUAACGGGAGAAACAGAACCAAUAUCAAUAUAUAGAAGUUUCAAUCUACGAAGUUCAUCCGACAAAUCUUCAGGAAUUUCAAUGGGAGAAUCCUCAAGAUAAAGAAGUUCAAGUCUCUUCAACUUUCCAAGAAAAGACGCGUCACUCACAUGACAUCCAAUCAACUGCAGAACUCGGAGGCUAUUGGCAAGGAAUCGAAGCGAUUUUAGUGAAAGGACUCCAUUUAUUAUAGUAACAACUUUCAAUGCUGGCAUCCCUUCAAAAAAAAUUUCUGGAACUUGCAAUUUGUAGACAAAUAGAGUAUUGUGCAGUCGCAAAAUAUGAAGGUUAGGGCAUACCAAACUACUAGGAAGCUCUUCUUUUUUAUUUCCCAAUACAGAGAUUCCUCUGUAUUGCUCCAAGCCUUCUUCCAUUGCCCGUUCUGCCAAUCCAAUGCCAACUUUACUAAAAAAUUUCUUCUCCACUAGUACUUCUGAGCCUAUCCAUAUGGCUACAUCACGAACUAUGUCAUGCAUUUUCACAGAUCUGUCAUUACCAGUGUCUAACAAUAGUGAAACAGCUUUGAGUCCGUCAAUUGUUCCAUGCAGUAGGCUUCUGGUGUUCUCUAUUGACUCAGCUUGAUACCAAGUCAACCCUACUGCAUAUCCAACCAAAUCCUCCAAAUGAAUCUCAUAAUCUUCUGGAAACAACGAACACAACAAGAAGCAUAACUUGGAAUUGUCAUCAUUCAAUUUAUCGUAACUAAAUUUGAGGCAACCGUAAACAUCUAAGUUCUCCUCAUCAAUACCUUCUAUUGCAUAGAGUUUUGCAGCCUUUAGGUUAUGUAGAGCCAAGUUCCAUUCAUUAAAUCCUUUUCCUCUUAGUGCACUUCCAACAGCUUCAAUAGCUAAAGGCAGCCCCUUACAUUCUCCAGCAACUUCUUUGGAAACAUCAUUCAAGGUGGAGUCAUUUACAUUAAUUCUGGCAUUUUUUCGCAGUAAAGCCAAUCCUUCUUCUGGCGUUAGUGUACUAAGUGGAAUCUGUGUGUCACAACCCAAAGAAUCACAAACUGACUUUUUGCGAGUCGUUAGAAGGAUUUUGCAACAAUUAUCUCUACCACCGACGGUAAUACCUAAUUUUUUCUCCGAGUCGAGUGUUUUCCAAACAUCAUCAAGGAUUACGAGGAUUUUGCUGCUUUUACUCUCAGAAAACAUCAAGCGCAAUCGGUCUGCUCUCUCUUUUUCAUCUUUCUCAUUUAGUGCCCAGCCUAACGACUUUGCCAGCUCACCUUGAACCUUGAUUAUAUCUGGAUCCUGAGACACAGUGGCUAUCCCCACCUUAUCGAAAAUCUUUUGUUGCCGAAGUUGAUUGCCCACAGAUUUUGCCAAGGUCGUCUUUCCUACACCGCCGAGACCAUGCAAUCCCACCAUCUUUGUGCUGUCUUUUUUCAGUGCUUCAGUGAUCUGAUUACAAGCCGAUUCUGUAGUCUCGAAAGAAGAAAAAAAUCUUGGAAUAGGCAUUUCUGUGUCUGAUGGUAGAGGUUUAGGAAGGGCAACUGUGCUGAAUUUGCCGCGGUCUUGUAGAUCGGACAACUUGCGAGUCUCUUUUGAUGCUUUUCUACCCAUCCAAUAUCGGAAACCCCAAUUAGGACACCAUCCAUUAAAACAACUCUUCUUUUCAUCUAUCUCUGUUUUCAAAUUUCGGACAUCGGCCAUUUCUUCGACUACAUCCGCCAGCCACUUCUCUACAUCUUUCUCAACUACUAUAGCGCAAUGUUUUUGUCGUUCUUCUUCUACUUUUUCGUUGAUGCCAUCUUGUGCCUCCUUCAAAUUAGUUUCUUUGAAACAGAACAGAUAGCGAGCUUGUUUUACAGUAGCAUCCACCAAUAAUUCUCCAAGCUUUGAUGCAAUAGCCAAUAAAAUUUCCAUGCUAUUUAUCUGCAAUUAACAAAGUUGAUCUCAGUACGCUAUAAGCAAAACAACAAGGCUUGAUCACAAUGUUUAAUAAGUUUUUUACUGAACGUUUAAUUACUUUCUUCUAUUCUGCGAAUGCACGUUUAUUAAUGCCAGCUUUGAUCAAUAAGAGCAAAAUGCAAACGCCAGACUUUAAGUAGCCUUUAGCUGCAAACAGAAGAGAAGAAAUAAGGUAAACGUGAUAGAUGGUGGAUUAUAUUGAAAUUAGAUUACUUUAGAAAUUUUUAAAAUUUGAAGAUAAUUAUCCCAUUCUUACUUCAAUCAAUAUUCUAAUACAAUAAUUCCAUAAAUCUCAAAUAAUAUCUUAAGAUUUUUUGUUUUCCUCAAACACUCAUAUGAUUAGUUUAAUUAUUUAUUACUCUAUUUUACUACAUAAUUGAUGCAAAUAACACUUUGUUUGGGAUGGUAAAGAUUGGGGUAAAUUCCCUUUUAGUCUCUAAAAUUUGGGCCUAUUAUAGCUAUUGAACAUACUUUCAAAUGUAAAAUAGUAUUUUCUGUCUAAGAUAAAUUAAAAAUCAAACAAAUCUAUCAUGCAACAAAUGAAAAAUAAAGAAUAUUAAUUAAGUUUUGAUGGAAACAAAUAUAAAAUAUAGAGGUUUUGAGUAAUUUUUGUAUUUUUUUAAUGGUUGAGUUAGAAUUGAAUAAUUUGCAUAAUGAAAAUUUGAGGUUGUAUAAUUUAUAUGAAGAUAAACUGCAAAAUAAGUUUACGUGCAGAAUUUAAGAUAGUUAUAUAUUAGUAAUUAUGCAAUUAUCAAAUUUUUUUAAUAAAAUUUAUUUAAAAAUUGGCCAAUUGUGUUUCAUGAAGUAAACAAAGAGCAUAAUGGACUUAUGUGGGUGCUUGGGAUUGAAAGACUAAGAGGCCAGAAGAUAGGACGGUACGAAAGUUAAUUUUAAUUAUAAGGUAUGCUCAACAGAAGUGACUUGGAGGUGAUUGUCGUUAAUCUAUUAUCUUUAACUUUAGAAUUAAUACAAAUAAAUGAAUGAAAAUUAAUGUAAUAAAAAAAUCGCACUAAAAACUUGGAACUUAAAUUCUCAAUCAUCUUUUCCGUAUGUUUUAAUCCAACGGUCAGAAUUGGCAUAAAACAAACUAGUAUAGCCAUUGGAAUUAAGUAAAAUAAACAUCAAACUAAGAGGCAAGAGCCUAUGAAAGCAAUAAUAUCUCAUACCUUCUUCCGUUUAUAUCUUCAAUUACUGCUGAAAGCUCUAGCUAGAGAGUCGCACAAGCUCGGAGAAAAUUAAAAGCUGCAUCUAGCAAUAUAAAUAAACAUCAGAUCAAACCAACAUAGGAUAUAUCUAGAUAAUUAACAUCAUAUAUAACUGCUUAUUCUCAGUCAAAUCUUUCAUUCUUAGAAAAAAAAAAUUGAAAUAAUAACUGUAAGUGAUAUAGGAAGCAAAAGUAACAUACCAAAACGAGAGCAGCUAGCUCACAGAUCUGGUGACUUCCAAGAGCAUGAAAAAUGAUUGAGGUUUAAUAGCAAGGUCCGAGUCAUGUUUCAUAAGUUGCUAUUGACUUCGUGGCUUCGCUUUUCUUUGUUUUUUUUCGUUUUUUGUGUUUGUUUAUAUAUAUAUAUGAUGAGGGGGUAAUAAUUUUUUUGGGUUCGGCUAUAUUGUAGUUUAUCUACGGUGGAGCGCAAAUCACAGCCACACACAUAAAGUGAUAAUUAAUAAAUAAUGAAUUAUAAUGAGAUUUUUACUAUUUAUCAUUUUGCGUGUGUGAUUGAGAUUCGUGCUCACUGUAGGUGAAAUUCAACAUAGCCAUACCCUUUUAAAAACCUUUCGUGAGGUUUAAGGUCACUCGGAUAGACUAUAUUUCGGAACUACCAAAUAUCCCCCUGCCCAUUGUACUCUGUUUAGCAUCUUUUGGAUGGUUGAGGGUAAUUUGGUAAAACUCAUUUAAAAAUAAAAAAUUUCAAAGAAAUUCUAAAAGAAGCUUUGUAUCUGGCCAUCUGGGGUAUAUCCUUGGAGUUGUCGUGGGAAUGAGUUUGAAUCUAAAGAUUUUCAUUCUCUUAUUUUAUUUAUUUCUCCUAGGAAUGAAUUUGAGCCUUAUUUUCAUGAGACUCAUUCUUUUUAAAUAAAGAUAGAUAUCUCCCUACAUAUUUGAGGUAUAUUUUUAAAAUUAAUGUUCAACAUAUCUGUGGAGUGUAUUAUAAAUAUUUAUGUCUAAAAUCUCAACAGAUUUCACUAUAUAUAUAUAUAUAUAUAUAUAUAUAUAUAUAUAUAAGCGGGAUUAGCUAAACAAUAAAAAGAACACAUUAUGAUUGGAAAUACGGAAUUAGAAUUGUGAUUAUAAUAUGAAUUUUAAUUGAAAUUGAAAUUGUAAUUGCAACUAGAAUUGUAAUUGCGAUCGGAUAUGUAAUUAUCAAUGUAAUAGAAGUUGUAAUUAUUACGGCUAUUGUAAUUGUUCUUGUGUAAUUGCAACUGUGUUUUUAAUUUUAAUUACACUUAAUAAUACAAUUAUAAUUGUGAUCAUAAUUGCAAUUGUAAUUACAAUUGUAUCUUUAAAAAAAAAUUAAUUACAGUUGUUAUUCUAUUUAUUGUUACAAUUACAAUUUUAUUAUCGUUAUUCUUAUUGUAAUUGUUGUUAAAUAUUAUUAGAAUAAAAAUAUUAUUAGAAUAGCCAUUGUAACUGUCAAUGGAAUUACGAGUACAAUUGUUAUUGUAAUUAUUAUUGUAAUUGGGAUUAAAAUUGAAAUUGUAACAAAGUAAAUGGAAUUACAAUUGAAAUUAAAUUUGUAACGGUUGUUUAAAUUAAUAAUAAAAAAAUGAAAUUGAAAUUAUUGAUGUAGUUAUUAUAAUUGCAAUUGUAAUUUUAGUUGUAAGAAAGUUCAACUGAAAUUAUCAAUCGUAAAUAUAAUUAAAAUUGCAAUUAGAAUUGUUCAACAAACAUUUACAGAAAAAAGUGUCAAUGCUAUUUUUUAUUUUUGAAAAAGAAAGAGAAGCAACAGUAACCAAAUUCUUAGAGCAGUAUAAAUGCUGCGUUUAAUUGUCAGUAAUCUAAAUGGGUUGGAAUGAGUAUGAGCUGUAAUGGAAAUGGGGAAUGAAAAUCAAAAUAAGUUGUUUACUUGAGCUAUAGGAAUCAAAAUCGAAAUAGACUGAAAUUCUAUUGAUGUGUUUAUUUUAUUUUGAAAUAAGAACCGAAAUAAGUUAAAUAAUUCUAAAUUACUAAAAUGUUGUUAGUUAAUUAUAAUAUAAUUAUUUUAUUAUCGUCGCCAUCAGGGGCGGAUUCACCUUAGGACCAGUGGGGACUUAAGCCCCCACUGGAAAAUUUUUUUUUUAAUAAUUAAUUUAGUUUUCUUAAAAUUCUCAAUAAUUUUUUCUAAAGCCCCCACUAAUUUAUAGUCAAGCCUAUAAUUUUUUCUAAAGCCCCCAGUGAAUCACUAUGAUUUUUUCUAAAGCCCCCAGUAAAUCACUAUGCUGUCUCCGCCCCUGGUCGCCAUCAUCAUCAUUAUCAUUACCAUUAUCAUAUUUUUUAAUUUUUAUUAUUAUAAAAAUAAUUGUUAAUAAUAAUAAUAUUAAAAAUAAUAUCAUUAAUAAUUUAUUAAAAUGCCUUUUGUUAAUUAUUGUCUAAUGAUGGUGGUGGUGGUGGUGGUGAUAAUAAUGGUGAUAAAUAAUAAUUAAUAAAUUAAUAACAAUAAUGACGACACCAAUAAUAAUAGUAAAAUUUGUAAUAUAAAUAAAAUAAUUAAUAAUAAUUAUUAUUAUUACAAUAAUAAAUAAAUAAUAGAAAUAAUUAAUAAAUUAAUAACAAUAACAACAAUAAUAAUAAAUUUUAUAAUAAUAUAAAUAAUAAAAUAACAACAACAACCAAUUAUAACAACAAUAAUAACUAAAUUCCAUAAUAAUAAUAAUAAUAAUUUUCAGUUUUUUUCAAUUUAUAUUUUUAAUUUCUAAAGAGGGUGUAUUUAAAACGUAUUAGAAAUAAUUUUGUUAUUCUAGGGAAUGGAGUUUCCAUUCCCAACUCUUCUUAAGAAAUCACAACUCUAACAAUCAAUCUAAAAUUUAUGAGGAGUCAUGAAACUCAUUCUGAUUCCGAAACUUAAUUUAACAAAUAAACAAAUUAUUCAUUUCAAUUCAUUUUCUCCGAUUCCCGAGUUGUAAAACACAGUAUAACUUUUUUUUUUUUUUGUUGUUGUUUCAGCUGGGCGACCACAAGUUGUUGCUGUCAGUUGCCCGCAAAUUCUCGACUAUUUCAAAAUAACUUCCAGUCGCUGAUUGUACAAGGCAUCAAAUCCAGUGCUCUAUAUUUGUUUAAAAACAUUUUAUUACAUGGGAUCUUUUAAUAGAUCCAGUGCAUGCAGCCGUAGCCGUUGUGGGGUUUCGACAACUUUUGUCUUAUAUGGCGACUUUUUGUUGUUGUUUUAUUUGUAUGAUGACUAUCAUGGACCUACGUGCCCGCAUUUAAAACUUCAUAAUAAUUUAAAAAAACAAAAGAAAUUGGUCUCACAUUAUAAUUUGUUCAAACAAUAUUAUUUUAACACAAACGAUCAAAAUAAAUUUUAUAUUCACUAAAAACUUAAUAUAUAUAUAUAUAUAUAUAUAUUAUAACAUAAAUAUGAAAACAACAUUUGAAAAAAAAAUACAUAGGCACCUUUAAAUUUGAUGUAUAGCACUAGAAUAUUCUUUGUUGUAGGUCGCUUCUUUUGUAUUUAAAAUUUUCUAAUAAUUUAAAUAAAAUAAUAGAAGUGCGUCUCACAUAUAGUUUAUUGUAUAAUUUUUUCAAACAAUAGUAUUUUAAUACAAACGACCAAAGCAAACUUCAUAUUUACUAAAAAUUAACCAUAUAUAUUAUAACAUAAAUAUGAAAACAACGUUUGACAAAAAUAUAAAGGCACCUUUAAAUUUAUUGUACAGCACUCUAUCAAUAUUUGUCGUAGGUCUUUCUUUUGCAUUUAAAAUUUCGUAAUGACUUAAAUAAGACAAAAGUAGUGGGUUUCACAUACGAUUUAUUAUAUAAUUUUUUAAACAAUAUUAUUUUAAUACAAAUGACGAAAAAAAAACUGUAUAUUCACUAAAAAUUAUAUAUAUACACACACACACAUAUACAUAUUAUUACAUAAAUAUGAAAACAACAUUUGAAAAAAAUACAAAGACACCUUUAAAUUUAUUGUAGAACACUCGAUCAAUUCUUAUCUUAGGUCCCUUCUUUUUCAUUUAAAAUUUUGUAAUAAUUUAUAUAAGACAAAAGAAAUGGACUUGACACAUAAUUUAUUGUAUUUUUUUUAAGGUUGUAUAUUUUUUUCAAAUAAUAUUAUUUUAAAAUUUCAUAAUAAUUUAAAUGAGACAAAAGAAAUGGGUCUCACAUAUAAUUUAUUGUAAAUUUUUUUUUCAAACAAUAUUAUUUUAAUACAAACGACCAAGAGAAAUUUCAUAUUCACUAAAAAUUAAUCAUAUUUACAUUAUAACAUAAGGCAAUUCCUAAGUUACGAUUUGUGUAACUUACGGCCUGGCAAAUUUUAAGUGUUAAAUGUGCUUGUAUCCAAUCCAACGGACGACAUCAAAUUUAUCACAAAGUAGUAACGAGUGGUAACUCGACUGAACUGAUUGUUUCAAGUGAUGGGCUACCUGUCCUUGCCUCUCUCUUAAGAAUCUAAGCAGCGAAGAACUUGACUUGGAAAUUGGCGAGGAAGGACUGUUUAUCGGAGAUGAGUAUAGAGGUGGUGACCUCCCAAGUAGCGUCGGCUUGUUGAAACUGAAUGAGCCACUAAUUCGCUGCCACGCGGUUGCAUAAUUAGUUCUUGUGAUUCAACCCAUGAAAAAUUGCUCCACCUGAAUUUGCAAGUCCAUCUGCAUCACAUGACAAAUUCGGUUGCGGAUUUUGAGGAGGAUGGUCUUGGAGGAUAUGAAACUCCUCUUGCUUAACAUUUUGGGUCUUCCUAAUUUUUGUUUCUUCAUACAAUAGCAAACAUUUGAGGUUAAAGCCUAUUUAAUCUAUUUAUUUUUUAAAAUAUCUUAAAACAUCCUUAUCGUUAAAGUAUUAAUACACCUGCCGUUAUUUUUAUUUAUUUUGGCUUAUUUGUACAAUAUCACCCUUUUAUAAUAAUUUUUUUAUUUAGACAUUAAUAAAAAGAAAAUAAUUAAAUUACCAAUUUAAUUAUAGAAAAUAAAAAAAAUUAUAAUAAUUUUUUUACAAGCACCAUUUGCACACUUGGUAGUUUGCAUACAAUUUUUGACAAUUAAAAAUAAUAUAAUUUUUUAUUUUAUUUUUAGGGUUAAAUUGGUAAUUUAAUUAUUUUUUUAUUAAUGUUCAAAAAAUAUUAUAAAAGGGUAAUAUUAUAAAAGUAAGCCAAAAGAAAUAAAAAGUAACGGUAGGGGUAUCAAUACUUUAACGGCAGGGAUAUUUCGAGACAUUUUAAAAAAUAUAGAAACUAAAUAAAUACUAAUCUUAAAAUAAAAGGACUAAUAAACUUUUACGUUUGGGAUUUAUUUCAGUGAAAUCCACCAUAAAGCCCUCAAAUCUCUAAUACUCGCUUCUUUGGGAAGAUCUUUCACUUAACCAAUCACAAAAAAAGAUGUCUCUCUUUAAAGUUAAGGAAAAGGCACAAAGAAACAUUAAACAUAACCGACCACAGAAAAAAUCCAAUUUUCAGUUUAAUGUUUAAAAUUCAAUAAAGUUAAGAAAGCAUGUUUCACUCUUUCAGGGAUUGCAUCCCUUGUCAAUCAAUCGUUUCUUCGUGCAUGGUCCAACCUGAAUAUGUCAUUCAACCCGUAAAAGCUUCCCUGAAGUUUUGGCAUCAAAUGGAACAUCUGCUGAACCCACAAGUUGGAGAUUAUCGGAGACAAAAAUAAGCACGCUGCCAGCGGGACUACAGAGCUGGCAAUUGAUGGUGGUGAUGGAGUGUUGGCACUGCAGGAAGGGAUGGCUAGUGAACUCAGCAACGAUAUUUUGCGAGUCUACGCCUCCCUCUCUUUUUUAAUUUCGCAUUUACUGUUUCCGCUAGAGACUCACGUGACCGAGAGAGAGAGAGAGAGGGGUCUUCUUAAUUUAAUGUUUAGAAUUUAAUCGUGAAACGACCUCGUUUUUAUUUAUCGCCAUGGAUUAUAGAAGGUAAUCUUUUACGCUACGUUUGAAAGAUAUAAUUGGAUUAAAUUAGAGUUGAUUAUAUAAUACUAUCUUUUGUUUGGUACAAUAUUAGACAAGACUAUGCUAAUUUAAUUUAAUAAAGCUAAAUACUAUUUAAAUAAUAUAAUAUUUUUAAAUUAUAUUGAUAAUUGUUUACUUUAAUAUUUAAUAUCCAAUAUUAGUUUAAGUAAAUUAAUGAAUAAAAUUUUGAUGUUCUAUAUAAAAUAAAAUUACAUGUUGAAAAAAUUAUGAAAUUAACUUCUAUGUUUAAUUUUUUUUUCUAAAUAUUAGGUUAAAUGAAAAAUAAAAUAGUGAAAAAAAUACACAAAUUCUUCAUUUAAUUUUAUCCCACCUAAACCCAUAUAAAUAUGAGGACUAAUAAUCCCAAUUUUUUUGACUAAAUCUUAAUCUAUCCUAUUAGUUCAUGACACCUAAACAUAUUUUAGGAUUAAAUUAUUUUAUUAAUCUUAAAAUAUAAUCCAAUCGCACAAUUUAUCCAACCUUCCAAACAUAACCUUAAUUGACUCUUUUACCAUCGCUCUCCAACCGUUUCAACCAAUUACAAUUUCCUUACUGUUACGUACAUGUGGCAUAUUUUUACUGGUUGACUAAUUAAAUCACGGGCUGUAACAUACAGUAAAACGUAACUUAGGGUGACCCCAUAACAUAAAUAUGAAAACGGGAAAAUUCUAUAAUGUCGUAAUUAAAUUUACGGCAUUGAUGCCGUAAUAGACGUGGACCGUUAGAUUAAAUCAACGAUUCACAAUAAUAAUAAAAUAAUAAAAAAAUUUAAUUAAAUUAUAUAUAACCGGUUUAUAACCGGUUAAGUACUUUUUAAAAUAAAAUUCCGGUGAUAUAAAUUUAAAGGAAAAAAGGAUUUACUUUUUAAAAGAAUAAAAAAAAAUACAAAGGGAAAACUUGAUCCCUAAUUAACGAAUUGCAAAAGAUAUAGUCACACCCACUGCUGCGUUAACUUCCGUUCGGGUGCACCGGCGAUACGUCUGCAGAUUGCAACCAUUCUUUGAGUUGAUUUUCUGUCUUGUUCGAAUUGUUGAGUCUCUGUCGUUGCUGCCUCUGUCUUGGUUUUGGCAGUCGUCACCUGUGCAAGGUAAGUUUAAUCCUCUUUCUCGUUCGAAUUGCUAAGCAAUUUCGUUUUCUUUGCUGAAUUUGCUAAGUAAUUUAAUUCCAGAUUUCUCAUUCAAUUUUAUAUUAACUGACAUAGUAUCAUCGUCAUAAUUUGUUCACGGAAUUCUUAGAUUCAAUUCCGCUGGAAUUAACAAGUCUCUGCACGCCGGAUUUGUUCACGGAAUUAAGAAGGUCUGUGCAAAGUGUUUGGGUUUGCUGGACCACAUAGACAUUGCCCACUUGCCUGGCAAUCUGUCACUAUACCGGCUGGACCACAUAGACAUCUUUCUCAAAGUCUUUGAGUGAAUAGUAAGUUCAUACUCUCCAUUUUCUAGUGUAUAUAUAUCUCAAUUGUGGGAAAGAAAUCUGUAAUAAUUCACUGCUACUAACAGAUCAUAAUUUAGUACAAGUUCACGCUCAUGAUAAUUUGUAAUAAGAUGUCUGUUUUCCAGCAAUUGUUAAACUUGCAAUCAUUGUUCACAAUUGCAGCCUGCAUCUUUGCCGUAUUUCUCAUUUUCAAAUGGUUUCUUAUCCAACCACUUAGCACCAAAAAAACUUCAAAGUAGGUUGAUGAUUUUCUUGAGGUAGUCAUUCAAGAACAUGAGAAUAAGAUGAGUGACAAUUCUCAAGUUGAAGAUCAUAAGGACUUUAUAGAUGUCUUGUUUUGGCUUGAGAAAGAAAAUAAUUAGCUGCUGUUUUUAGGUUAAAUUUUCUGUUGUUUCUGGGUAAAUUGGCUGGUGUUUUUCAGUUAUUUUUCUGCUGUUUUUGGGUUAUAUUUUUUGCUGUUUCCAGGUAAAAUGUUCUGGUGUUUUGGGCUUCAUUUGCUGCUGGUUCUAGGUUAAAUAUUUUGCUGUUUUUGGGUAAAUAUACUGCUAUUUUUCAGUUAAAUUUUCUGCUGUUUUUGGAUAAAAUUUUUGCUGUAUUUGGGAUGAUUUGCUACUGUUUGUGGUUAAAAUUUUCUGGUGUUUUGGGCUUCAUUUGCUGCUGUUUUUAGGUUAAAUUUUCUGCUGUUUUUGGGUAAAUUGGCUGCUGUUUUUCAGUUAAAUUGUUUGCUAUUUUUGGAUAAAUUUACUGCUGUUUUUGGGUUAUAUUUUAUGCUGUUUCCAGGUAAGUCUUUUUGGUGUUAUGGGCUUCAUUUACUGCUAUUUUUUGGUUAAAUAUUUUGCUGUUUUUGGAUAAAUUUACUGCUUUUUUGGAUAAAUUUACUGCUGUUUUUGGGUUAUAUUUUUUGCUGUUUUCCUGGCAGUCUGUCACUAUGUCGGCUGGACCACAUAGACAUCUUUCUCAAAGUCUUUGAGUGAAUUGUAAGUUCAUACUCUCCAUUUUCUAGUGUAUAUAUAUCUCAAUUGUGGGGAAGAAAUUUGUAAUAAUUCACUGCUACUAAUAGAUCAUAAUUUAGUACAAGUUCACGCAUAUGAUAAUUUGUAAUAAGAUGUCUGUUUUCCAGCAAUUGUUAAACUUGCAAUCCUUUAUCACAAUUGCAGCCUGCAUCUUUGUCGUAUUUGUCCUUUUCAAAUGGUUUCUUAUCCAACCACUUAGCACCAAAAAAUCACUACCACCUUCUCCCCCACAGCUCCCAAUCAUUGGAAACCUUCACCAACUGGGCUUGUUCCCUCAUUGCUCACUCGGUGCUUUGGCACAAUGCUAUGGCCCCCUGAUGUUGCUUCACUUAGGCAAAGUGCCAGUGCUUGUUGUCUCUUCUGCUGAUGUUGCCUGUGAGAUCGUUAGAAAUGUAAUCUUUGCAAUCAACCAAAAUUAACCCCAUUUGUAAAACUUUUAAACGGUUGUAUAGAUGUCUCUAUGACACCUUAUGGUGAGUACUUAAGAAAAGUUAAAAGCUUAUUUGUUGUACAACUUUUAAGUAACAAAAGGAUUCAUUAUUCUUUUCGUGAUGUUAGAAUAGAAAAAUAUAAUGAUCAAGGAGAAGUUGGUAGUAAGUUUAGGAAGCAGUUUAAGGACUUUAUUGAGUUGAUGGCUACUUUUCAUGUGGGAGAUUAUAUUCCAUGGCAAGGUUGGUUGUGCUAUUUUAAUAGCUUGAAUGCCAAGCUUAAGAAAACUUCAAAGGAGGUUGAUGAUUUUCUUGAGGUAGUCAUUCAAGAACAUGAGAAUAGGAUGAGUAACAAUUCUCAAGUUGAAGAUCACAAGGACUUUAUAGAUAUCUUGCUUUGGCUUCAGAAAGAAAAUAUUUUAAACUUUCCUAUUGAUAAAGCUUCAUUUGCUGCUAUUUUUAGGUUUAAUUAUCUGCUGUUUCUGGGUAAGGUGGCUGCUGUUUUUCAGUUUAUUUUUCUGCUGUUUUUGGAUAAAUUUACUGCUGUUUUUGGGUUAUAUUUUUUGCUGUUUUAAGGUAAUUUUUUUGGUGUUUUGGAUCCUCUUCUUUCUCCAAUUGCAGGGCCUGAAGAUAUAAACAUCAGCUAUCAGGAAGCCCAAAGUAACAAUGAUGAGAGUAAAACUACCAAGAAUUUCAAUAAUUCCAUAUUUAAAGUUUAUAGAAUUUGUUACUAGAAUACUCUGAAUGGCUAAGUAAUUUCUCAAAAGAUUUGGAAACAAUGAAACAUAUGUUUGACUUACAAUUGAUCAAAAAAUAGGUCCAUCAACAUUGUUUUCCCGGUCCCUACUCCCCCAUAAAGGUACAAUCCUUUGACAGGUGAGUAUGAAGAUUGUGGUAGUAAACGUGACCACAGCCACCGACUCCUGUAGACAAACAGGACUAUCUGUCAAAUAGUUAUGUAAAUUCGCACCACAUUAACAUUGUAGAAUUACAAAUUUAAAAAAAGAAAAAUAGACCAGAUGAACAGGGGAGUGAUCCUGCAAUAUUAAAAUGUAAUCCAUUAGUUGAAAUCUGAACAAAAUUAGAGUAAACUGUAAUAUUUACCUUUCAGAUUUCUCAGAAGAUGAAUAGCGAUCUAACUUCCAGGCAUCAGCUGAUUCAACAAGCUAAUCAUACAGUCUUUGAAGUUCUCCUAACGCUCCUAACUGCCAAAAAAAAAAAUUUCACUGUAAGGGCAACUUUUACAUCAUUAAACAACAUAGUAGAUGGUCCACUCACUUCUUAGUCAUCAGGGAACUGACCGUUCCAGUGGUGCCAACUUUGAUGGAUCCUCCACUGCUCUUGAUAGUUUCUAGUGUAUGAACCAUGUUUUUCCACAAGUUUCAAUUAGAAGUCUAAGAAAAGAUCUUCCAAAAGAUGAAGUUCUUUGCCCUCAAAGCUCGCUUGGAGAAAGAUUGCAGAUGAAAGGAAUUAAAAUCCUGCAAAGCAAUAACACCACCCAAUGCAUGUAGAUUUGAGUUGUAUUUUCUGGUUGAAAGGUAGCUCAUAUUCUUAACAUUAAAGUUAUUUUUUUUCCCCAAAAAAUGAUAUAGUUACACUGGCAAACUAUAAAGCUGCAAAUUGAAAGAAAAGCCGGAUAAUUCCCAGAAAAUACUAUUUUCUUCUACAGUGACGUUGAGACUUAAUGGGAAAUGUUUUUUUUUUUCCGCCUUUUAUUUUCAAAAAAGGGGAAAAAUAGAUAGUAUAAAAUUUUUUUUUUUUAACUUUUUUGCUGUUGAUGGUGCCAUAAUUGUUAUAAUAUUGAAUUUUUUUAAUAAAUAAUAACUAUAAAAAUAUUUUAAUUAAUUAUUAUAAAUUUUAAUUAGGUAAUAUUAAAUAAAUAAUAAUAAUAAAAGAUUAAUAAAUUAUAAUGAAUUAUAAUUAUAAUAAUAUUAUAAUAAAUAAUAAUGAAAUAAUUUCAUACUGAUAGUAAUACAACAAAAUUAUAAAUAUAAUAAUAUUUUUACUAAAUAACAAUAUAAUAAAAUAUUAAUAAUAAUAACUUAUUAUUAUAAUAAUUAUUAUAAAGUUUGAUUGCAAUAAUAUUUUCAUAAAUAAUAAUCAUAUAACAAAAUCAUGAAAUUAAUAAAUAAUAACAAUAAUGAAUUAGUAAUCAUAAUUAUAAUACUAUUUUAAUAAAUAUGAUGAUGAUGAUGAUGAUGAUGAUGAUGAUUAUUAUUAUUAUUAUUAUUAUUAUUAUUAUUACAAUAAUCAACAAAGGGCAUUAAAGUAAAUUAUGAUAAUUCAUUCUGAUUUCAAGACAAAUUAAACACAUCGAUGGAAAUGAAUCUCAUUCCGACUUCAAUUUCUACAACUCAAAUAAAUAACUUAUUCUUAUUCACAUUCUUGAUUCUAAUUGUAGCCCGUUCCGAUUACUGAUUAGUAAAUGCACCAUGAGCAGAUUAUUGUGGUUUAAUUGGGUCUGUUUCAUUUCAAGUUUCAUAUCAUUUUCAUUGUUCAAUUUAAAAUUUUGAUUUGACCUUCAACCUAAUCAACUUAACCAGAUGAUAUAAGGUUUGGGUAGAAUUGGGUUAAACAAGUUUAUUUAGUUAAGUUUGAUGGAUUUUAUCUCAGCUCAUUAAAAAGUAGACCAGGUUAGAAUUUCACUAACCCUAUCAAAUCCAACUCAUGCUCACCCUUAUAUCAUUCUAUCUAAAUCAUAAAAUGCCAAUAAUCCAACUCUUUAACCAUUUUCACAUUGGAUUUAAGUUGAGGCAAUUGACCUGAACUAAAUAACCUAAAUUUCAAAUAAAUGUGAAAUAACACAAAAAAUUUCUAAACCACACAUAUGACUCGUAAAUUGAAGGUAAAACAGGUAAAUUAGCGUUAGAGUGGUAAAUUGGUAUACAAAAUUUAUAAAAAAAAUAGAAAAAAAACUAGUAAAUUGAUAGAAAAUGUAGUAAAUAAAUGUUGGAGUUGUAAAUUACAAGAAGAAAUUGUAAACAAAACAAAAACUUAGAAAAAUGACAUAGAACUUGUAAAUUGAAAUUAAAUGUGAAAUGAAACAAAUAAUUUGUAAACCACACAUAAAACUAGUAAAUUAAUGGAAAAAGGGGUAAAUUAAUGUUGGAGUUGUAAUUGGCAAGAAGAACUUGUAAACAAAACAAAAACUUAGAAAACUUACAUACAACUAGUAAAUUGACAUUACGUGUGAAAUGAAACAAAAAAAAGUGUAAAUCACACAUAAAACUAGUAAAUUGAUGGAAAAAAUGGUAAAUUAAUGUUGGAGUUGUAAAUUGCAAGAAGAACUUGUAAACAAAACAAAAACUUAGAAAAAUGACGUAGAACUUGUAAAUUGACAUUAAGUGUGAAAUGAAACAAAAAAUGUGCAAAUCACACAUAAAACUAGUAAAUUGAUGGAAAAAUGAGUAAAUUAAUGUUGGAAUUGUAAUUUACACGAAGAACUUGUAAAUAAAACAAAAAAUUAUAAAAAUGACAUAGAACUAGUAAAUUCACAUUAAGUGUGAAAUAAAACAUAAAAUUUGUAAACCACACAUAACACUAGUAAAUUAAUGAAAAAAAUGGUAAAUUAAUGUUGGAAUUGUAAUUUGCACGAAUAACUUGUAAAUAAAACAAAAACUUAUAAAAAUGACAUAGAACUAGUAAAUUCACAUUAAGUGUGAAAUAAAACAUAAAAUAUGUAAACCACACAUAAAACUAGUAAAUUAAUGAAAAAAAAUGGUAAAUUAAUGUUGGAAUUGUAAUUUGCACGAAGAACUUGUAAACAAAACAAAAACUUAUAAAAAUGACAUAGAACUAGUAAAUUGACAUUAAUUGUGAAAUAAAACAAAAAAUGUGUAAAUCAUACAAAAAACUAGUAAAUUGAUGGAAAAAUGAGUAAAUUAAUGUUGGAGUUGUAAUUUGUACGAAUAACUUGUAAACAAAACAAAAACUUAGAAAAAUGACAUAGAACUAGUAAAUUCACAUUAAGUGUGAAAUAAAACAUAAAAUAUGUAAACCACACAUAAAACUAGUAAAUUAAUGAAACAAAUGGUAAAUUAAUGUUGGAAUUGUAAUUUGCACGAAGAACUUGUAAACAAAACAAAAACUUAGAAAAAUGACAUAGAACUAGUAAAUUGACAUUAAUUGUGAAAUAAAACAAAAAAUGUGUAAAUCACACAUAAAACUAGUAAAUUGAUGAAAAAAUGAGUAAAUUAAUGUUGUAGUUGUAAUUUGUACGAAAAACUUGUAAACAAAACAAAAACUUAGAAAAAUGACAUAGAACUAGUAAAUUCACAUUAAGUGUGAAAUAAAACAUAAAAUAUGUAAACCACACAUAAAACUAGUAAAUUAAUGAAACAAAUGGUAAAUUAAUGUUGGAAUUGUAAUUUGCACGAAUAACUUGUAAACAAAACAAAAACUUAGAAAAAUGACAUAGAACUAGUAAAUUCACAUUAAGUGUGAAAUAAAACAUAAAAUAUGUAAACCACACAUAAAACUAGUAAAUUAAUGAAACAAAUGGUAAAUUAAUGUUGGAAUUGUAAUUUGCACGAAGAACUUGUAAACAAAACAAAAACUUAGAAAAAUGACAUAGAACUAGUAAAUUGACAUUAAUUGUGAAAUAAAACAAAAAAUGUGUAAAUCACACAUAAAACUAGUAAAUUGAUGAAAAAAUGAGUAAAUUAAUGUUGUAGUUGUAAUUUGUACGAAAAACUUGUAAACAAAACAAAAACUUAGAAAAAUGACAUAGAACUAGUAAAUUCACAUUAAGUGUGAAAUAAAACAUAAAAUAUGUAAACAACACAUAAACAAGUAAAUUAAUGAAAAAAAUGGUAAAUUAAUGUUGGAAUUGUAAUUUGCACGAAGAACUUGUAAAUAAAACAAAAACUUAUAAAAAUGACAUAGAACUAGUAAAUUGACAUUAAUUGUGAAAUAAAACAAAAAAAAUGUGUAAAUCACACAUAAAACUAGUAAAUUGAUGGAAAAAUGAGUAAAUUAACGUUGGAGUUGUAAUUUGUACGAAUAACUUGUAAACAAAACAAAAACUUAGAAAAAUGACAUAGAACUAGUAAAUUCACAUUAAGUGUGAAAUAAAACAUAAAAUAUGUAAACAACACAUAAAACUAGUAAAUUAAUGAAACAAAUGGUAAAUUAAUGUUGGAAUUGUAAUUUGCACGAAGAACUUGUAAACAAAACAAAAACUUAGAAAAUGACAUAGAACUAGUAAAUUGACAUUAAUUGUGAAAUAAAACAAAAAAUGUGUAAAUCACACAUAAAACUAGUAAAUUGAUGAAAAAAUGAGUAAAUUAAUGCUGUAGUUGUAAUUUGUACGAAAAACUUGUAAACAAAACAAAAACUUAGAAAAAUGACAUAGAACUAGCAAAUUCACAUUAAGUGUGAAAUAAAACAUAAAAUAUGUAAACAACACAUAAAACAAGUAAAUUAAUGAAAAAAAAUGGUAAAUUAAUGUUGGGAAUGUAAUUUGCACGAAGAACUUGUAAACAAAACAAAAACUUAUAAAAAUGACAUAGAACUAGUAAAUUCACAUUAAGUGUGAAAUAAAACAUAAAAUAUGUAAACCACACAUAAAACUAGUAAAUUAAUGAAAAAAAUGGUAAAUUAAUGUUGGAAUUGUAAUUUGCACGAAGAACUUGUAAACAAAUCAAAAACUUAGAAAAAUGACAUAGAACUAGUAAAUUGACAUUAAUUGUGAAAUAAAACAAAAAAUGUGUAAAUCACACAUUAAAACUAGUAAAUUAAUGAAAAAAAUGAGUAAAUUAAUGUUGGAAUUGUAAUUUGCACGAAGAACUUGUAAACAAAACAAAAACUUAGAAAAAUGACAUAGAACUAGUAAAUUGACAUUAAGUGUGAAAUAAAACAUAAAAUAUGUAAAUCACACAUAAAACUAGUAAAUUGAUGAAAAAAUGAGUAAAUUAAUGUUGGAAUUGUAAUUUUCACGAAAAACUUGUAAACAAAACAAAAACUUAGAAAAAUGACAUAGAACUAGUAAAUUCACAUUAAGUGUGAAAUAAAACAUAAAAUAUGUAAACAACACAUAAAACAAGUAAAUUAAUGAAAAAAAUGGUAAAUUAAUGUUUGAAUUGUAAUUUGCACGAAGAACUUGUAAACAAAACAAAAACUUAGAAAAUGACAUAGAACUAGUAAAUUGACAUUAAUUGUGAAAUAAAACAAAAAAUGUGUAAAUCACACAUAAAACUAGUAAAUUGAUGAAAAAAUGAGUAAAUUAAUGCUGUAGUUGUAAUUUGUACGAAAAACUUGUAAACAAAACAAAAACUUAGAAAAAUGACAUAGAACUAGCAAAUUCACAUUAAGUGUGAAAUAAAACAUAAAAUAUGUAAACAACACAUAAAACAAGUAAAUUAAUGAAAAAAAUGGUAAAUUAAUGUUGGAAUUGUAAUUUGCACGAAGAACUUGUAAAUAAAACAAAAACUUAUAAAAAUGACGUAGAACUAGUAAAUUCACAUUAAUUGUGAAAUAAAACAAAAAAUGUGUAAACCACACAUAAAACUAGUAAAUUAAUGAAAAAAAUGGUAAAUUAAUGCUGUAGUUGUAAUUUGUACGAAGAACUUGUAAACAAAACAAAAACUUAGAAAAAUGACAUAGAACUAGUAAAUUCACAUUAAGUGUGAAAUAAAACACAAAAUUUGUAAACCACACAUAAAACUCGUAAAUUAAUGAAAAAAUGGUAAAUUAAUGUUGGAAUUGUAAUUUGCACGAAGAACUUGUAAACAAAACAAAAACUUAUAAAAAUGACAUAAAACUAGUAAAUUGAUAUUAAUUGUGAAAUAAAACAAAAAAUGUGUAAAUCACACAUAAAACUAGUAAAUUAAUGAAAAAAAUGGUAAAUUAAUAUUGGAAUUUUAAUUUGCACGAAGAACUUGUAAACAAAACAAAAACUUAGAAAAAUGACAUAGAACUAGUAAAUUGACAUUAAUUGUGAAAUAAAACAAAAAAAUGUGUAAAUCACACAUAAAACUAGUAAAUUGAUGGAAAAAUGAGUAAAUUAACGUUGGAGUUGUAAUUUGUACGAAUAACUUGUAAACAAAACAAAAACUUAGAAAAAUGACAUAGAACUAGUAAAUUCACAUUAAGUGUGAAAUAAAACAUAAAAUAUGUAAACCACACAUAAAACUAGUAAAUUAAUGAAACAAAUGGUAAAUUAAUGUUGGAAUUGUAAUUUGCACGAAGAACUUGUAAACAAAACAAAAACUUAGAAAAUGACAUAGAACUAGUAAAUUGACAUUAAUUGUGAAAUAAAACAAAAAAUGUGUAAAUCACACAUAAAACUAGUAAAUUGAUGAAAAAAUGAGUAAAUUAAUGCUGUAGUUGUAAUUUGUACGAAAAACUUGUAAACAAAACAAAAACUUAGAAAAAUGACAUAGAACUAGUAAAUUCACAUUAAGUGUGAAAUAAAACAUAAAAUAUGUAAACAACACAUAAAACAAGUAAAUUAAUGAAAAAAAUGGUAAACUAAUGUUGGAAUUGUAAUUUGCACGAAAAACUUAUAAAUAAAACAAAAACUUAUAAAAAUGACGUAGAACUAGUAAAUUCACAUUAAUUGUGAAAUAAAACAAAAAAUGUGUAAACCACACAUAAAACUAGUAAAUUAAUGAAAAAAAUGGUAAAUUAAUGAUGUAGUUGUAAUUUGUACGAAGAACUUGUAAACAAAACAAAAACUUAGAAAAAUGACAUAGAACUAGUAAAUUCACAUUAAGUGUGAAAUAAAACAUAAAAUUUGUAAACCACACAUAAAACUCGUAAAUUAAUGAAAAAAUGGUAAAUUAAUGUUGGAAUUGUAAUUUGCACGAAGAACUUGUAAACAAAACAAAAACUUAUAAAAAUGACAUAAAACUAGUAAAUUGAUAUUAAUUGUGAAAUAAAACAAUAAAUGUGUAAAUCACACAUAAAACUAGUAAAUUAAUGAAAAAAAAUGGUAAAUUAAUAUUGGAAUUUUAAUUUGCACGAAGAACUUGUAAACAAAACAAAAACUUAGAAAAAUGACAUAGAACUAGUAAAUUGACAUUAAUUGUGAAAUAAAACAAAAAAAUGUGUAAAUCACACAUAAAACUAGUAAAUUGAUGGAAAAAUGAGUAAAUUAACGUUGGAGUUGUAAUUUGUACGAAUAACUUGUAAACAAAACAAAAACUUAGAAAAAUGACAUAGAACUAGUAAAUUCACAUUAAGUGUGAAAUAAAACAUAAAAUAUGUAAACCACACAUAAAACUAGUAAAUUAAUGAAACAAAUGGUAAAUUAAUGUUGGAAUUGUAAUUUGCACGAAGAACUUGUAAACAAAACAAAAACUUAGAAAAUGACAUAGAACUAGUAAAUUGACAUUAAUUGUGAAAUAAAACAAAAAAUGUGUAAAUCACACAUAAAACUAGUAAAUUGAUGAAAAAAUGAGUAAAUUAAUUACCUGCUACUUAGGUAACAUGUUACCUAUUUAUUUAGAAUUAAUGGUAGAGAUUUUUUAUUCAAAUCUAACAGUCCACGUCCAUUACGGCAUCAAUGCCGUAAAUUUAGUUACGGCAUUAUAGAAUGACCCAUGAAAACGACAUUUGAAAAGAAAAAUACAAACGCACCUUUUCAUUUGAUGUGCAUUACUAGAACAAUUUUUGACAAAGAUCAUUUGAUGUGCAUUACUAGAACAAUUUUUGACAAAGAUGUUACAACCGAAAGAAUGAAAAGGUCUAAAGUUUUAGGGUGAACAUGGACGAAUUGAUGACACGACAUGUUUUACAGCUCAAUGUCGUUAAUUAAUAUAUAUAAUUGAGUAAUUUCAUCUCUAUAUUAAGCACGCGCCGCCUCAAAUUGCAUGCAAAUACAAAAACAAACUUUUGAAUUUGUUUUUUGAAUUUUUAGGUUAACAAUUGAUUUUUUAUUUUACAUUUUUUUGUUUUUAUUUAACAAUUAAUUUUAAUCAAAUCUUAAACUGUCGUAAUCAAUUAAGAUUUUUCAUUAUGACUCCUUAGCUAAAUUUUGCUCCUUAACUAGAUUUUGGAUCUGUAAUAAAUAAAAAAAUUGGUAACAUUUGUUCCUUUAAGAUAUAUGUUUGAGGGAAAAAUAGGAAAGGCAAUAAAGCGCUACGUGUUAACUAAUGGAAUGAUUCCGACACAAUUUGAGGUACCCCACACAAUUAAAGGUACCCUAUAUAAAUAGAGAUACCCCAUGUAAAUAGAGGUACCCACACAAUCAGAGGUACCCCGUACAAUUAGAGGUACCCCACGUAACUCGAGGUACCUUCGAAAAUAUCCGCCAUGAGAAACGUCUCCGCCUCCUAAAAGAUAUUAUUCGAUUUUAUCAGAAUUAAGAAUAAAAAACGACGCCCUAAAAGGAGGGACAGCCGCCUGCGACCUCUGCCAAAAGUGAAGGACACUGUCCCAAGGAUAGUGGUCCCCAACCGCCUACUCGACAGCUACUGCAAAGGUACCCUGGACCACUCUCCAGUGCGCGCCACGUUUCUAAAAGAUGAGAUAUGCCGCGAACAUACAGAUAACGGCCAAAAAAAUUAUAAAGAGGUAAAAGGACGUUAGCCAAAAAGGGUAUGCCACGUGGCAGCUGAGGUACUCCAUAUAUAAAGGCGCCUAGGUUUCAUUUUCCAUCAGGCUCUCAUUCGCCUAAAAAACACUCACACUCCAAAAAUAGGUUUUUUUAACCUUAAACCCUAAUUUAUAGAGGGCUAGCCAGCUCUCUUUACCAUAAAAGCUUGAGUUUGCUAACUUGAGCGUCGGAGUAUGAACGCCAGGUUACCCCGGCUUCACCUCUAACCUCUAUUUCACUGUUUUGUAGGCGUGAAGCUCAUUUUGAAGGACACCUCUCUUGUUUUUGACCUUCCACCAUUAUUACCACUCUCUCUCCCCUUCUCACCUCCCCCGAAUUUCAGAUACACUGCACCGCACCGCACACAAUAUACUAGUGAGGUACCCCAUCUCCCCCAAAAAUAUAAAUUCAUUGUUCUAGAUUGGUUUGACUUUUCCUACCCCAAAAUCAGUUGAAAACAAUUGGCGCCGUUUGUGGGAAGUCGCACAAAAAGCCUCAUCUGCGAUUACCAAACUAGUUGUUGUGUGUGCUCCAAUACAUAGCACCCGACGUACCUCCCGAAGGUUUAAUGGGGGAUCCUACAAGAAUAAGAGAUGACAGCAGCAGUGAAGGAAGUGAUCCCGCAAGAAGGGUAGCCCGCAUCAGCAAAGCAAGGGUAUCAAGUAAUCGACGGGUGUUCGCCAAGAUGAGGAACCUAUUUCUCACAAGCGUUUUGAAGAUCUUGCCCACGCAAUACUUAGGGCGUUUGGAUCUCGGGCACCCGAAAGUUCACUUCCACCAGUGACGCUAGAUGCUCCACCACCUCAAAUGGGCGACCAAGCUAUGGUCAGAAAAGAGGUACCCGAGGCCAGCAAACUAAAGCAUAGGCCAUUGGGUACCCGUUCUAAGUUUCAAACCAUGGGCUUCCGCGACAAGCGUUCCACCGCCUCUUGCAAUUCCCGUAGCAGCCAGGGUACGAGGCGUGCAAAGCAUACCCACGAGGAUCUUCGUGAGAAGUUAAACGCCAAAAAGGCUUCUCAAAUGACGGCGACAUUAUCGGGUACACCGAGGGUACCCCUCGAACUUGUGGAAAAGAUGGAGAACCUGGAAGCCCAAGUGAAGCUCCUCUCCAAGAAGCAAAACAUCACAGCUGCACCAACGCCAAUGACCUACCAAUCUCCAUUCACUAUGGAAAUUAGGACAGUAGCUCUCCCCGAGGCGUUCGUCAUGCCUCAGAUACUCCAAUACUCGGGUACCACUGAUCCCUCGGAGCAUGCUGAGCUAUACUGUGAUCAAACACUUAUCAAAGGUGUAGAUGAGAGCGCCAUGUGUAGGAUGUUUACACACACACUCACGGGCCCCGCGAAGUCGUGGUUUCGCUCUUUGAAAGCGGGUAACAUAUCUUCCCUACACCAAUUGCUAUUCGAAUUUACUAAACAGUUUUCCUACGCCUCCACUCAAGAUAGGGUAACCUCCAAACUUGGCUUUAUCAAGCAAGGGGAAGCCGAGCCUUUGGCGAAGUACGUGAGUCGUUUCCACUAAGAGGUGUUGCGAACCGGGGUAUUUGGAAACCAAUACACAUUGACCCAUUUUGAGAAAAAUUUAAAGCUGGGCAAGUUAUGGCGUUCUUUUCAAAAGAAGAGCCCACUCUCAUAUGGGGAUGCCCGUUCCCGAGCGUUCCAGCAGGUGGAAAUGGACGAAAAAUGCCAAUUGAAGCGCCAAGAAGAUAAGGCUGAUGUUACAAAGAACAAGGAGAAACCCAAGAGGGUGGAGGCCCCAAUACCACGGGUACUCUGAGCACGAAGCCCUCCACGGGCUGCCCUGCGGGGACGAGGGUAUAACCCUCAGGAUACCUCAAGGGUACCCCAACCUCCAAGAACGCCACCACCGGAUCAGCGAGAGCCACCACCGAGGCCUCGGUACGAAUCUUACCAGAAUCGAUCCCCAGAGCAUAUCUUCUACCAUAUUCGGGAUAGCGGCCUCCUCCGUCCUCCUAAGCCAAUGAAGAAGUACCCCAACAUGAAGCGUAGCCUGAAGUAUUGCGAGUUCCAUGAGGACUUUGGUCACAGCACAGCCGAGUGCUUCACCUUGCGAGAGGAAAUUAAAUCUUUGAUUCUCAGCGAGUACCUCAAAGAAUUUAUUGCUGGCAUGAGAAAAGCUCGGAAAUCUGCGGAACAAGAUAAAGGCAAGCGGGUAGCUGAUGGCAGUCCUGAACGAGAGGUACCCCCUGGACACAAAAAAUGCGUGUAUGUCUGAAUGAUCAUGGGCGGACCGACUUUAGCGGGCCAAUCUAGGAGGGCUAUUAAAAGUUAUGGUAGAUUGUUGUUAAUAACCACCAAUAUUGGCAGAGAAAUCAACCUUAAUGAAUGGGGUACACCGAAGGUACCCCACCGUGUUGUUCAUAUGAUUGAUUUUCUUAUUGUAGAUCACCCGGGUGCCUACAAUAUUAUAUUGGGUAGGCCUUUCUUAAAAGCAACUAAAGCGGUGGUAUCCAUGCACUACCUCGCCAUGAAAGUCCCGGUUGCCCAAGAAGUUAUCACCAUUAAAGGGGACAAGCAAUCGGCUCGUGGAUGUUAUUCCGUGGCCUCCAAAGUCACUUACCAAAUAGCUUCCGAUCCGCCAAUGAAAGGGUAUCCCAGUAGCAGCCAGCCCACACCUUCCCCCUCAAAGCGAGCACUUGCUAGACAGCGGAGAGCAGUACUAAAAAAAUCUCCUAAAGUAGCCCACCCACAAAAACAGUUGGAGUCUUCACCAAUGGGAGUAGAAGCAGUUACGGGGGAUAAGUUGAGGGUAUCCCACGGGGACCAGGAGGAGCCCAGAUGUGAAGUUGAGGUACUUUUGGAUCCCUGAAUAUUGAAAGAUGAAAAGCGGGGUACCCUAGUUGAAGACCUUAUUUCAGUCUCGAUUUGUGCCACAGACCCAACAAAGACUGUGAAAAUAGGCUUCAAUCUUUCGGAGGAACAAAGAGAGAGGUUCAUAACCUUCCUACGCGAGCACUACGACAUAUUCGCCUGGUCCCACUCGGAUAUGCCAGGUAUCCCACCUUCUCUCUCUUGUCAUAAACUCAAUGUCAGCUCGCAUUAUAAAUCGGUCAAACAAAAGCGUCGCACCUUCAACCACGAGAGGUACGAUGCAAUUAAACAAGAGGUAGACCGCCUAUUAGCAGCGAGGUUUAUUCGGGAAACAGUGUACCCCGAUUGGGUAUCUAACAUUGUUCUUGUCAAGAAAUCAAAUAGAAAGUAGCGUAUAUGUGUGGACUUCACCGAUUUGAACAAGUCCUGCUCCAAGGAUAGCUUCCCGCUUUCCCGGGUAGACCAGCUGGUUGAUGUAACAGCGGGGCAUGAGAUGCUUAGUUUUAUGGACGCCUUCUCCGGGUAUAACCAAAUUUCGAUGUAUGAACCCGAUCAAGAGAAAACGACCUUCAUCACCAACCAGGGGUCAUACUGUUAUAAGGUUAUGCCGUUUGGUUUGAAGAAUGCCGGGGCUACCUAUCAGCGGCUAAUGAACAAAAUUUUCAAGGAACAAAUCGGGCGCACCAUGGAGGUGUACAUAGACGACAUGAUCACAAAAUCAGUGCAUACGGGGGAACACCUGGGACACCUCAGAGAUACCUUUAUCGUUUUGAGAAGACACCAGAUGCGGUUUAACCCUGAAAAAUGUGCAUUCGGGGUCACCUCAGGAAAGUUUCUCUGGUUCAUGGUACAACAACGGGGGAUUGAAGCCAACCCCGAUAAAAUUCACACAGUUCUUGACAUGAAAUCGCCAAGCACCGUCAAAGAGGUUCAAAGCUUGGUAGGCCGGGUAGUUGCCCUGAGUUGCUUUAUCUCCAAGGCUACCGACCGGUGUAAGUCUUUUUUCAAAGCUUUGAAGACCGACAAGAAGCUCCAAUGGACACCCGAUUGCGAAGAAGCUUUCCAAGAACUGAAGGGGUACCUCGUGAAUGCUCCAGUACUUACCAAACCUGAGCUGGGAGAGGUGCUUCUGUUGUAUCUCGUCGUAUCCGAGCAUGCCACCAGCUCUGUGCUACUCCGAGAAGAUGAGAAUGGGGUACAACGACUUAUUUACUACACUAGUAAAGCUAUUGUUGAUGCCGAAAAGAGGUACCUCACCUCUGAGAAGAUCAUUUUGGCAUUGGUUGUCUCCGCACGGAAGCUCAAACCAUAUUUUCAGGCUCACACCAUUGUAGUCGUCACCAACCUUCCCCUCUGACAAAUCCUCCAAAAAUUAGACAUGUCUGGAAGGCUUCUCCGAUGGUCCCUCAAAUUAAGCAAGUUCGACAUCAUCUUCAAGCCUCGUUCCGCGAUUAAAGCCCAGGCCAUCGCGGAAUUCGCCAAUGACUCAAGUGGUGAAGGUGAUUUGAGAUACAUGUUAGAUACCCCACCCACCGAUGAAGAGGAGCAGGUCUGGGAAAUAUAUAUGCAUGGUUCCUCUAAUUCACGCGGAAGUGGUGCGGGCAUUAUUAUUAUCGACCCGAACAAGGUGAAAAUAUGCUACGCUUUGCAAUUUGGAUUCAAAGUUUCAAACAACGAAGUCGAAUAUGAGGCCAUCAUAGCGGGGUUGAAGAUGUCGAAGGCUUUGGGAGCGAAAAGAGUACACGUCAAGAGCGACUCCCAGUUGGUGAUAAGCCAAAUUACCGCACAAUAUCAAGCGAAAGAGGAAAACAUGAAAGGGUACCUCGGAAAAACCAGAGAGUUGAUGUCCCAAUUUUGUGAGGUUAAGGUGGAAAGGGUACCCCGACUGGAGAACAGCGAAGCCGACACCUUGGCGAAAAUGGCGUCCCUUGGGGUAGCCCAGUCAUCUGGCCCCAUCACAACAUAACACAUACCUGCAUCCAGUGUUGGUCUCCCAAAGCCAUUGGAAGUAAGAUCACUGUCCAAUGAGGUGUUUUGGAUGGAGCCUAUCAUAAGGUACCUCAAGAACGGAGACCUCCCCUUAGAUAAAAGUGAAGCAAGAAGACUAAAGUAUAAAAUCGCACAGUAUUGCCUGAUCCAGAAUACCCUAUACAGAAGAGAGUUCACUCUUCCUUACCUUAAAUGCUUGGAAAACGACGAGGCCGAGUAUGUCAUGAGGGAGAUACAUGAGGGGAUUUGUGGCAAUCACUAUGGACCACAAUCACCGGUGCAAAAAGCCCUCCGUCAGGGGUUGGCCAACCAUGCAGGAAGAUGCCAAGAAUAUGGUACGAAACUGUAACAAAUGUCAAAGGUUUGCCAGGGUACCCCACCUACCCUAGAGAAGCUAACAGUUAUAUCUUCCUUUUGGCCCUUCGCUAUAUGGGGAGUGGAUCUCAUUGGACCGUUACCUACCAGAAAGGGGCAAGCAAAACAUGCAAUUGUGGCGGUAGAUUUUUUUAUAAAAUGGGCGGAAGCGGAGCCACUAAUAAGCAUUACAGAAAGGAAAACUACCAAAUUCAUUUGGAAGAACCUCAUUUGCAGAUUUACGAUCCCCUAUGCAAUUGUUAGUGAUAACGACAAGCAAUUUGAUAAUGAAAAUUUUAAAAACUUUUAUUCGAAGUUGGGGAUAGCCAACCGAUUUGCUACACCUGCCCACCCCCAAUCUAAUGGGCAAGUCCAGGCCGUUAACAAGAUUAUCAAAGGUAUCCUGAAGAAGAAGCUAGAAGAAAGAAUAUGAGCAUGGGUAGACGAGCUACCUGGGGUUCUGUAGGCUUACCGGACUACUCAAAACACUUCCACCAGGGAGACCCCGUUUUUCCUCGCAUUCGGUGUUGAUACAGUGAUUCUAGCAGAAAUCGGGGUACCUUCUCACAGGGUUGAAUACUUUGAUGAGGCCGAGAACACCUCAUUGGUUGCUUCAAACCUUGAUUUGGUGGCUGAAAAAAGGGCUAAAGCAGAAUUGAGGACAGCCAUAUAUCAGCAUCGCAUUUCGGGUCUAUAUGAAAAAAGGGUACGCCCUCGAUCCUUCAAGAAAGGAGACUUCUUGAGAAGGAUAACUCAGAAUACUAGGGUACCCUGCGAAGGCACUUUUGGGGCAAAUUGGGAAGGACCCUACCGCAUCGACAAACCCAUUGAGACAGGUGCAUACAGGCUACUCCACAUGGAUGGCACAAUCGUGAGGCACCCUUGGAAUAUUGCAAUGCUACGGAAAUAUUACUAAAGGAAAAUGUCUUAACCUCUAGUCUUUUUCUGAUUAUUUACUUUCUUUAAUGUCUUUGUGUGGUAGGCCAAAUGGGGUACCCCAAAUGCCCUAUGUUGGUCAGUUGCAACUUUAGAGUUUCUUUAAUUUUCAAAUGAAAAGGAUAGGAGGCCUUGCGGUCUCUCAUUCUCCUUAGGGUAACAAAACUAAGUCAUGUAUUGAUCAACGCUUUCGUUAUCUAUAAAUGCAUUUUCUUUCUCAACAAAUAUGAUGUGGGUUCUUUCUCUAUUUUUCGCCACUUUGAUCUUAGAAUGCGGAUUAUAUUCAUUUAUCGCCAUUAAUAUACCCUCGCAUAUGGUUAUAUGCAAUUCUCGCCAUACGCUUGUCAAUUAUGACUAACCUAUCACAGGACCAGCCAGGGUACCUGAUAUGCCUAGAUCGUGACGAUCUAUGUAAAGCCAAUAUGGGCAACAAAGUGAACAGCCUUUCUGCGGAAACAUGACAAAGCCACCUAAACAAAGAGAUGGAGGGUCAAAGAGGACCCGAGGGUGGAGUAAAACCGGCAUACCCUAGCACCAUGAGGUUCAGCUUAGGUAUGAGUACACUCACACUUCCGUCCUCUUACUUGAGUAAAGUAGGGGGUAAGCUAUUCAAAAAUUCAGAGAGAACUUCUAAGGAAUAAGAAAGUGAUUGGUUGGACCAAUUGCGCACUUUCAAUUUUUGAUCGAGAUGUCGCGAUGAUGUUUUGAUUACCUAUUUGUGGGAAAUCUGCCAUGGUUGCCGAGAAGGGUAUGCACCAAAUUCGCCGAUUUGUGUAAACCAGCAGGCGCCUGAUGUUGAAUAUUUUUUAAGGUACCAGGGGUACCCCAUUUAAAAAAGAAAAAAGAGGUACCCUAGACAUUCACAAGAUAACAGUUUAGCCAAGCAUUCAUUUGCAGAAUAACAAGCAUACAAAGUACAAGAAGACUCGGUGGCAUGGUAUCAUAACAAAGGAGAAGUCCCAAUAAUACAAAAUAUCCCAAGAAACCAAAAAGAAAGAAACAAGGUCCAAAUAACAAAAUAUGGAUAGAUCCAAAAAAAUAAGAGCACAACAAAAAGGCUACACUGAGGGGGGAACGCCAUCCCCAACAUCUGUCUCCAGAGGGCGAUCAGCAGAGGACUCCGAAGUACCCGGAAUAUGAGCAGCUGAAGUAUGAGCAUCCGAGGCAGGCAACGGCUGAAGCGCACGGGGUACCCUAGGCGACCCGGAAGGGGUACCCUACCGUGCCUGGGAAGACUUCUUCCUUUCUGCAAUUGUCUUCAGAAUCGUAGCCUUGUUGACAAAUUUCUGCACACGGGGUACCUCCAGUUCUGGAUCCACACUCUACACCUCUGUCAUGAUAAGUGAGAAUGCAUCCUCCGCCAUUGUCUUUUGUCGAGAUAGCAGAUCUCCGUUGGUGGCCCUCAACUCCUCACAAUCCUUCUCCAUCCGAGCUUUCUCUCCCGACAGGCCAGCAAUGCGUUCUUGCAAAGUCUUAACUUCUCGAGCAAGAUGAUCCUCGCGAGAUUGAUGGCUUUGGAGCUCACUCCUUAACUUAUCGACCUCUGACUGGGCGACAACAAGGGAGUCGAGGUCGGAAAGGCAGUGGCUAAGGAGAAAUGAUGCUUGCGGGUCAUGAAAGACAUGUUAAAUAUAUAUGUAUGGUAAUAGGAUUAAAUAAGUAAAAAAAAUAAUGAAGGGUACACCCGGGGUACCCCAGAAAAGCCUACCUCUUGGGUAGUCCUAAGUGCUUGACCAUAGCGCUGACUCAAACUCAUCUUGUCAGCCUCUUCAGCAACCUCGGAGGUGACAUUUUCAGCAGAGUAGUAAAAACAGCGAGCCAUGUGUGAAACCUCCUUAUUGGCAGCUGGGUCUAGGUCACAUUCGCAUAACUCAUCGAGGAAAGUGGAAACUAGCCCGAAUUUUGUUUUCCUUGAGCGAGGGGUAUCCUUCGACCUGCUGUGGGAGGUACCCUGAGAUUUCCCCUUUGGAGCGGGAGCUGGAGGAGGUCAGGAGCCUUUCGGGGGUACCACCGAAUCCUGAGAUCUGGAAGCACCGCCCACUACUCCUUGGAAAAAGGAGUAAAAAGCGUCACCCGCUGAUUCCAUAAUUGCACCCAAUGCACAAACGUUGUGUUAGCCGGACAAGUACUAAGUACUACAAAAGCCAAAAUGGGAAAUGAAAAGUGGGGAAACAAAAUAAAGAUACGGUGAUAACGGGGUACUCUAGUACCGUAGAUAAUAAUAGAGUACCCCUCGACACCCGAAUCAUACAUGAGUCACCCCCGGGAGCAGAUGGAGGACUUCGGUUAAUCAGCCCCACUCUCCACAAUCUACUCUCCUCCAGCACAUCACUACCCCUUUGUGCACCUCGAAACCUGUCCACAAACUUCUUCAUCUCCCUCCCCACCUCUUGAACUGGGCAUGAUCCUUUAGCCCAUGUCACACCUGCAAAAGCAUAAAGAACCCAGGGUUAGCGAGACAUUGAGGCGAAAGACUCCGAUAAAGAACUAUAAGUAAGGGAGAUACUUACAGUCUACAUUGAAGAAAUGAGGAACCUCCACGGGGUUGCCCUUUUCACCCAAAGUCUCUGUCCCCCACCUACCCUCAGCAACGAACCAUCCCUUUCGGUAACCCUUCUUCAAGGCGGGGUUCCCCUCAACAAUAUGGCCAUGAUCCCCCCAAGGGGAGAAGUAAGCAAUACCGAGACCCUUAGGCUUUUUAAAUUGAUAAAGGCCCCUCAACUCCUGAACAGAAAUGUUGUGCUUCAAGACCUCCAACCAUAACACAUGUAAUCCUGUGAGUGUCCUCCACCCCAGAAGGGACAGCUGCCCGGGAGCUACCCGCAAGUAACUAAACAUUCUCAUAUAGAAAGGUUGGAGGGGCAGCGGAAUCCUAGAUCAAAAAGGUCAAUAUGGAGAGCAAUCCCAUCAGACUUCGGACACUCAGGUCGCUUAUCUACAUGGGGUACCCUAAGCUGAACAGAAGGAGAAAUAUUGUAUUUAGCUCUAAUUUUUUCUAAGUCCCCCAAGGUAGCCCUCCUAGAGCCUAGGAAAAAAAAAGUUGCCAGAUUUUGAAGGUGUGGCAGGGGGAGAUUUGGGAGGCUAGUCCGAGGAACGAACGGGAACCUUGGGUUUAGAUGACUUACUCUUCUUUCGAGGAUGGGGGAUUGGCUGUUUACUAGGAAAGCGUGGGCUGACACGAGGGGUACUCCUAGGGGGAGGGGGUUCAGAAUGAGAAUUACAACUCCUAGAGGAAUUAGGGGGGACCGAUCCCCCUCGUUAAUGGAGAUGUGGGAAGGGGAACCCGCAGGAGGGCUGUCAACCCUACUAGCCCCAACUGCAUGUCGCUUCCUCAGGGGUAUCGUGUGUUUCUUGCCCAUCUACUUUCCCCCAACGACAUAUCCACCAGGCCACAAGUCCCCAACAAUACACCCAACGAUACACCCAACAAUACACCCAACAAUAUAUCCAACAAGCCACAAGUUCCCCAAACAACACAUCCACAAGCCCCCAACAACACAUCCACAAGCCCCCAACAACACAUCCAACAAGCCACAUGUUUCCCAAACAGCAACAUAUUCAUACCAAGCACCAUCCACCACACAUCAACCACCAAAUGCAAACACCAACCAACAAAAAAAAAAACAAAAACAACAAAAACCAAAAAUAAAUUUUUCUCGGAGUAUGCAAAAUAGUGCCACUGUGAAUAUGCCAAAGGAGGAGAAGCAAAGAGGGAUACCUGUGAUUCACCAAUUCGGCAGAUCAAGAUUGAUAAUCGCAGCGAGACGAAGCUGCAGGCAACCAAAAAUAGUGGGUAAAAAUAUGCAAGUAUAAAAAUAAAAAUAAGCUUAAAUAUAUAUAGUUAUUUAUAAAUAAAUGAAUGAAUAAAAUGAAGAACGAAGAAGCUGCAGCAACCGGCGUCAGCUGUCAUGGCUGCAACCACCGAGAACCGACGCCGGAGAUCACGAGAAGGAUGCCGAAAACCACCAAAAGAGGACGCCGACCGAAACCAAAAAAAAAAAAAAAGGAGCUUGGAGAUAUAAAAAAAAGUCAGAAUAAAAAAAAAAAGAAAGGGAAGAGCUUGGAUGAUAAAAAAAAAAUGGGAGAAGCCUGAAGAUAAAAAAAAAAAAAAAAGAGGAAGUAAAAAAAAAAGAAGAGCUUGAAGAUAUAAAAAAAAGAAGUCAGAAUUAAAAAAAAAAAAAAAGGAAGCUUGAAGAUAUAAAAAAGGAAGCUUGGAGAUAUAUAUAAAAAAAAAAGAGGAAGUCAAAAAAAAAAAGGAAGCCUAGAGAUUAAAAAAAAAAAAAAAGAGAAAAGCCUCCAGGAUGAUUUAGAAGAAAAAGAGAGGAGCAUAGAUAAAAAAAAAAAAAAGAGGCCACAUGAAGAGACGAAGAAGCAAAAUGGGGGGUAGAAGAUGGCUUACCACAAAGAGAUCACUGCACCACCAGCCGAACGCCGUCGUCACGCCACCGGAACAUCUCGGUAGACGCCGCCGUCACAAGGCCAGCCAAAAAAAAAAGAAAAAAAAAGAGGAAGAUGAAGAAAAGAGAAAGAAAAUGACAGUGAUAAAAAAAAAAGGGGUGUGAAAGUUGCCUGGAAGGAAUUAAAGAAAAGACAAAGGAAGGAAUGCAAAAGAAAAAGAAAAUGUGACAGUAGGCUGGGAGCAAAGAAAAAAAAAAGGGAGAUGGAAGACGAAAGGACAAGAAGAAAAAAGUAGAAUAAAGAAGAAAAAGUGGAGAUGGGGAGGCGUUGGAAUGUGAAAAGUUUUUGGGGAUGGCAAAAUGAAAAAGAAUAAAGGGUGAAUGAAAACGUGCAGAAGGUGAUUUAUUUAAAAAAAUGUGAAGUUGGUGGUUGAAAUGAUUUGACUAGUUUUUGAAUUUUAAAAGCCAAAGCAAGCAAGAAGCCACUGGAAGUAAUGGGAGAUUAUGUUGGGAUUUUCAAAAUAAAUGAGAGAAAAUUGACACACGUCAGGAGUUUUUAAUUCAACUUGACAGAACACGCUGCCCAAGAAAGAAGUUAAGGGAUGUUUGCGUGAGAUUGAUAUUUUCAAAAUUUAAACUGCAUGUCAGACAGCUGCCACUUCCCAAGAAAAAGGAGAGAGACAUAUGAAGACAACUGUUUGUUCUCAUCGUAAAAAAAAAAGGGGUGGUAAAAGGAAAAGACAGAGAGAAGAUUUUUUAAUUCGAAGUACACAAAGUUUAGUCAAGGGAAGAAACUCAGUAAGGUACCCCCAGUCCAGCCACGUCGCCACGUGUCACUCAUACAAUGAGUUUCUUUUGCCUCCAAUAAUUCUCGCCAAAAAGAAACUAGGAGGAUGUUGUUUGAGGGAAAAAUAGGAAAGGCAAUAAAGCGCCACGUGUCAACCAAUUGAAUGAUUCCGGCACAAUUUGAGGUACCCCGCACAAAUAGAGGUACUCCACACAAUUAGAGGUACCCCAUAUAAAUAGAGGUACCCCGCAUAAUUAGAGAUACCCCAUGUAAAUAAAGGUACCCCACACAAUUAGAGGUACCCCGUACAAUUAGAGGUACCCCACGUAACUCGAGGUACCUCCGAAAAUAUCCGCCAUGAGAAACGUCUCCGCCUCCUAAAAGAUAUUAUUCGAUUUUGUCAGAAUUAAGAAUAAAAAACGACGCCCUAAAAGGAGGGAUAGCCGCUUGCGACCUCUGCCAAAAGUGAAGGACACUGUCCCAAGGACAGUGGUCCCCAACCGCCUACCCAACAGCUACUACAGAGGUAUCCUAGACCACUCUCCAGCGCGCGCCACGUUUCCAAAAGAUAAGAUACGCCACGAACAUGCAGAUAACGGCCCAAAAAAUUAUAAAGAGGUAAAAGGACUUUAGCCAAAAAGGGUACGCGGCGUGGCAGCUGAGGUACUCCAUAUAUAAAGGCGCCUAGGUUUCAUUCUCCAUCAGGCUCUCAUUCGCCCAAAAAACACUCACACUCCAAAAAAUAGGUUUUCUUCAACCUUAAACCCUAAUUUACAGAGGGCUAGCCAACUCUCUUUACCAUAAAAGCUUGAGUUUGCUAACUUGAGCGUCAGAGUGUGAACGCCGGAGUACUCCGGCUUCACUACUAACCUCUAUUUCACUGUUUUGCAAGCGUGAAGCUCAUUUUGAAGGACACCUCUCUUCUUUUUGACCUUCCACCAUUGUUACUACUCUCUCUACCCUUCUCACCUCCCCUGAAUUUCAGAUACACCGCACCGCACCGCAAACAAUAUACUAGUGAGGUACCCCAUCUCCCCCAAAAAUAUAAAUUCAUUGUUCUACAUUGGUUUGGCUUUUCCUACCCCAAAAUCAGUUGAAAACAAUAUAAAAUAACCGUAACAUUGGUUUUUACAUUUUGAAUUUUUCUUGAAUUACUAUUUAGAAAAAUGAUGUUAAAUAAAUCUCACAAAAUAUACAAAGCCACCUAACAUCCAAAUAUUGAUUACAUUUAUUUUGUAUUGUUGGAAUGACGCCAAAGCAAUUGAAAAGAUAUAAAAAAUAAAUAAUAAUGAUGAAGAUUGGCUACGCGAUUUCACUGAAGCUAAGUUGUGACUUGUGACCAUCCAAAUGUCCGUAACAAGUUAUGAUUAUUCUCGCAGCACAAAUCCAAUAGCAUGCAACAAAAUCCACUCUUAACACUUGCCUCUGAAGAAAAUAAAACAGAGUAAAAAGAGCAACCAUGCCAGUGAAUCUCUUUACUUUUCUCCUUAUAAUUUGGGUAAACUCUAUCAAAUGAAAAUGCACCAUGACCACUGACCACAUGGGUCACUGCCACUACCAUUUACUUCUUCAACUGUGCCUCCUGCUUUAAGAAAUCUUCAACUGAAAGAUGGACUAUAUAAUUCAAGAUAAAAAAUACACCUGAGCUGCAAAGGAUACUAUCCACUAGCCUAUCAACGACUAUACUUUAUAUUUUUCUAGUUUUUGAAUCAAAAUUCUGCAAGAUUUAGUUUGGAAAACUUCGACACAACAACCAAACACUCAGUCCUUUUGUGCAUUAUAUCCACCGUAUGAUUCCUUAACAAAACAUCGGUAGCCUGUAGCUUAUCUGACACUGUCCUGACCCAAAGCCCCGCUCUUUUCAACUCAUCUGUCAAACCAUUACCCACUUUUGGAGUCAAAACUGCCCUCGCAGCCCUUUAAUAUUUCUCCAUCUUCAUUGAAUACGUGCCACCCAAAUGCACUCUCUUCCCUCUGGCUGAUUCUGUUUGAUUCAACCUCUUUUCUUGUUUACACUCAUGAAUUUGCAGAAAAUAAUUAACAAGUUUGUCAUCAUCAUAAAAUCCUUCCACAAUCACCACAUACAUUCUGCUGAGCAGGACUCAUUACACCCUUGUUUUAAACAAUUUUUUCUCCAAUUGGUUAAACAAUUUUUUCUCUUCUCUUUGCUCUCUUACAACUUGAGGCAUAUAAUUAAAUGCGUGGCAAUUAGCAUAUGCCAUGAUGUAUUUAACAACCCCAAAUGAAGAUACUGAUUUUUUUUCGGCUUAAUGGUUGCUUCAAAUGGGGGAACUGAAUUUGGGGGUUUGUUGUCUAAAUCCCAAAAAAUUCCACAUUAUGUUGGACAGUUUUUGGUUCUACAGAUGAUGAUCGGUUUUCCAAAUAAUGGUUCAAAAGGAAACAUCUAAACAAUGAGACAAAUGGGUUCUGGAUUUCUAAUCCUGUAAAUGUUGUUCUGUCGCAUAAGUUAUGAAAUUUCUGAAGCAUCACUAUCCCCGUCGUUCCUGGGAGAAAAAAAAGUCGAAGAACUGCUCGUGGAACAAAAUUAGAAAAUUUAAACAAUGUUGAGAGACUUUCCCUUCAACUAACAGUUAAAAGAAAAAAAAGUAUUAGAUAAGCAUUUUCAAAGUAAAAUGAUCACCCAUUUGUUGUACUUAGGCAGGAAAAAUAAAUAUAUCAACCCCAUUAAACCCUCACAUCUGCUAACUAAUAAUGCAUAGACUAACUUUUACGUAAGGAUAUAAAACUUACAAGAGCAAGAAAACUACUGUUUAUUAAUUUCAAAUUUUACACAAAAUUACGAAUAAUUCUAUAAGCUGCACCAAAACAUGUUCUCUAAAAGAGAUUCAGUAUCCUACAUUUUUGGAAGCAAAAAAUUAUUUCUGGAUGGUAUAAACUAAUACUAGAAUAACCAUUCGUUAAUGAUGUGAGUUUGGGCAGCACCAUGAAGCGGUGAGCCCCGUUUGGUGAAAACGAAAAAUAAUUAAAAUAAAGCACUAUGAAUUCUAAUCAAAUUAUUAACAUUAGCUAAAUAGACAGCAAGAAACCAGAAUAAAUUCGUUAACUAAACCAAAUAUUUAAAAAAAAAAAAAAAGGCAGUUAAAUCCUUAUCAUUUUCAGUUAGAAACAAACUAAAGCACAAAUUAAGAACAAAGAUUGAAGCAAAGCAUGAUUGUACCUUGAGGCACUUGAGCUUAGUGUUCCCAUAAACAAGACCGAGCGAAAAAGCCGAAACCAGAGAAACCUAUUAUUAUCACUCAAAAACCCAGAUCACAAAAUGAAUGAUCUUUCAAUAACAAUUCAUAAAAAUUCCGUCCCAUCAUAUACAGAACAAAACAAAACAAUGAAAAUAUUGAUCAGAAAAGAAAUUACAAAAAUGGACAAAAAGAAGAUAAAAAUAUGAUGCUUUGCUAUGCUUUCCUUUCUUGUGGGUGGCAGAUAAAGAAACAAGAAAGAGCCAGCAAAUUGAAAAAUCGACUAAUAUAUUCAUUCGACUCCGACUCGUAUGGCUAUUUUUCUUUGAUGAAUGAAAUAUUAUUUCACUCUCUAAUUCGUAACAAAAUUACAAGUUUCGACUUCUGUUUGUAUGUAAUCGUAAUUUUAUUGCUUGACAGGCCUGGGCUUUUACGAGCCCAGGAAGUGUAAUCGUAAUUUUAUUGUGCUGAAAAUUAUAUAAACGUUAAAUACGAAUUUAAUCAAACUAACAUGUCUUUACAACUCAGGCAACCUUACUAUUUUCUAAAGAUAUAAUUAAUUUUACUAAUAAAAUCAAAAUUAUUUUUAAACAACAAAGAAAGAAAUUAUAAUAACAAUAAAUUAAUUAUGGAAAAGUAAGUUUACAAUAAUACGAGUCAUCAUUCUUCAUUUUCUUUCUGUUUCUCUCAUAUUUUCUCUGCAUCCAAACACAAUAUUCUCAGUUCUUGACUUGGUAUCAGAUUUGCAGUUUAAUUGUCAUGGCUUCCUUCCUUAAGCACAAAUUCAAACACAAAUCAGUCUCCUUCAUUCUUUACCCUAACAAAUGCGAUCAAACUGGACAGAUCUAACUAUACGAUCUGGAAAUCUCAGAGCCUCUCUUCAGUGCGUGCCAAUGGACUUGAAGGCUUUCUUAAUGGAACUAAAAUUUGUCCAGAUCAGUUACUUACUCAAGAGAUUGAAAGUUAUGGUGUUGAAAAUGUUAUUGGUGAAAGCUCAGCUGAUAGAUCUCAGGAGAAUCCAGCCUUUGUUGCUUGGAAAAGGUAGGAUCAAUUGUUAUUAAGUUGGCUCAUGUCCUCGAUCAGUGUUGAGAUACUUAGUCUUGUGGUAAAUUCUUAUUCUUCUCAUAAACUUUGGACUAAUCUUGAAGAAAAUUUUUGGAUUAGAAACUAUGGCUAAGAAAGCACACUUAAAAAUGAUGUUAAACAAUCUCAGAAAGGGAUCAAUGACAAUAACUGAUUAUUUUGCCAAACUUAGAGGUGUAACUAAUAAACUUGCUCUAACUGGUAGCCCUGUUUCUACUCUAGACUUUAUUACUCAUCUAAUCUCUAGAUUAGGCCAGCCAUACUACCCUGUUGUUGUGUAUAUUGAAGCUAAUAUGAUGAAAAUAUUUGUCAAUGAAGUCUAUUCUAUGCUUUCAACUCAUGAAGCAAGAAUGAAAUUUAAUCAUCCGAGUGCAAAUAAAGAAGCAAAGUUGAAUUAUGCUGCUAACAUAGCUUAGGCUGGACCUAGUGAUAACAAUAAGAAGUCUAGUAAUCAAGCUAAUUACUAUCAGGGCAACCAAGGUAACUGGAAUAGAAAUGCUAAUUGGUGUGGUAACAAUGGAGGAAGAGGUGGCUUUGGCAGAGGUUUUUCAGGGCAAGGAAGGAGUAAUUAGAAUAAUGGUGGUCAUUGGAACAACGGACCUUGGAGUAGUAGUCGAGCAGGUUAUAAUUGUUCUGAUAUAAACAUUAUGACAUGGUUGCUGGUGAACCUGUAAACAUAACCACAAAAGUAAGAAGGCAUAAUCUUUUUAUAAGAAACUCAAAAAUGUAUUAAUGAUGAAAAUUUUAAAACAAAUAGUGGACCAGCUGGUCACUAAGAAAACAAAAAACUGAAUAUUUGUGCUAUAAAAAGGCACACCCAAUCUCACCCCUAUAAAAGGCAAGAAUCAGCUACAAAUCCCUAUCUCAAAACCCCAUCCCAGUUUAGAUGAAUGAAGAAAAAAGAUGAAUCUUGAAACUCCUUAGAAACUGAAGCCCAAAGUGAAGCAAGAAGAUGAACUCUAUCCCAAGCAAGCAAUAUGGCAUAUUUCUCCAUUAAUGGUUCAAAUAAAGUGAAUGGCUUUCUCUGAUGAAUGGGAAAUUGUCAAGAUCAAUAGUCAAACUCACGCAAAGUAAACGGACUUAAUUCUCAGAGGCUACUCAUUCUAAGUCUUAAAGAAAAAUUUUCUAAUUUCUAAAGAUUAUAUGGGGAAAAAUCAUUAUUUUCUAACAUGGAAAAUUUGAUACGGUGUUUAAUGUUUGAUCACAAUCAUAAUAUGAGUACUAACAAAAACAUCUUUAAUCGGCAUGGUGCGAGUAAAACACUAUCACUUCAUCUUUGAUGGAAAGAUGAUAAUAUAAGGAGAUGGUGAAAUGGUUUUGAUCUCUGGUAGCUUGUAAUUAAAAGAAAACAAAAAACUACACUAUUAUUAAUGAUUACCGAAGCUACAGAAGUAUCAAAAUCGGAAAGCAAACAAUUGCAAAACACAUCAAUGACUGAAGGUUAGGUUCUAAAACUUCCGUAUUUAAUUUUCAGAGCAUGUUAUGUAUUAUUCAGAAAUAUGAUUUCACUUCAGGCACUAGACCAAGACGCAUUAAACAUAAAACGCGGCGUUUUCAUGGACUAGUACAUUCCAUGCUUCGAAAGUUUAUGUUUUAGACUGAUUGGUUUGAUACAUUAUUUGUUUAUUGCGUUUUUCUUGCUUUAAAUAUUAUGUUGGAUUGAUAAGUUUUGUACACAUUUAUAUUGCUCGCAGUAAAUAAUUUAUGACAUUUAAAAAACUAUCAACCGUCUAUCAAAAGAUUUCUACUAUAAAUAUAUAUACAAAAAAAAACUUUUAAUUUGGUCAAUUUGUUCUCUUAUUUAUUUUUGUUCUAUUUCUCUUUUCCUUCCCUUUCAUUUUAUUGUUUUAUGGUACAAAAUAAAAAAAUAACCUUAAAAUUUAAGGGUAAAAUACUCAUUUUACUAAAAUUCCGUUUAAUAUUAUAAAGUUGUCAAAUGUCAAUGGCAUAGUACACGAGUGAUACAAAUUAAAAACAAUAAAUUAAAAGUUUUUAUGCAUUUUCCUUUUUUUUUUUAUAGUCGAUUGAGAUUUCCCUUCAUAUUUUAAAAUUCAAUAGGUUUAGACCGUUUAACAAAUCUUAAAUUAAAAAAACCCGCGGUGUAAUAACAAACUCACACCAAACCCUGUCCACUGUCAUCCCUAAUUAUAUUUACCACUUCAUACUCACAGUGAUAAUAACUGUGUAUCACAAUUGAUUUUGCAUACGGGUAAAAGUUCCAAGUCCGGAUAUUUAGUUAAUGAAAUUUGAUGAAAAGGGCAUGAAAGAAAAUAAGAAAUUAAAUAAUACAGGAGGUAUUAAUCAUUACAUAUUUAGUUAAUGAAAAUUGAUGAAAAUAUUUCUGCAGACGUGAGCCAUAAUUAUAUUACCGUUAAGAAUGAACCAGAAGAGUUUCCCCAAACAAGCUAAAACACAGCACUUCAAUUUAAAGAAUUUUUAUAUCACAGUACCGGGGCAAAAAGUUUAAUGCAACAACAUACAUUAAGUUAAUUCCAUAAUCUAUCCCCAAAGAAAGACAAACACAAGCUUAUAAGAUUAAAACUUUGGAAAACAUUAGAGUCGGACAAAAUUGUGUAAUCUUCAGAGUUUGGAGCCUAGUUCAUCCAGGAAAGCAAAAGAAAUAAUAAUAAUAAUAAUAGUGGUGGUUUGAUCUCAAAAGGUGGCAUCAAAGUGGUAACUUUGAGGUAUUGGAAGCAAUAACGUCUUCAACUUUGUCCUGAUUUCGAAGUCCCUUAACCCAUCCGCCAUCAGUGGAUUGAAUGCUUCCAUUCAACCCAUCAUCCACAAAAUCACCAACCCGUUUCACCUUCAUCUCCUUGGGCUUAACAGGGUACUUUCCAGAGAAGCAAGCAAAACAAAAAUUCUGAGAAUCAUCGCCUAACAACUAGUUCAAGCUGUCAAUCGGCAGAAAACAAGCGAAUCACACCCAAUAAACUCCCUGAUUUCCUCAACGCUCAUCCUGUUGGAAAUCAACUCCUCAGUACUUGGAGUGUCUACUCCAUAGUAACAAGAAGCUAUGAUUGGUGGGCUUGCAAUUCUCAUGUGAACCUCUUUAGCUCCAGCCUCCUUAAGCAACCUAAAAAUUUUUGAUGAAGUUGUUUCUCACACUAUCAAAUCAUCCACAACCACAACUCUCUUUCCCUCCAACCACAACCUUACAGGAGACAGCUUAAGCUUGACACCAAAGUCCCCAAUUUUCUGGGAAGGCUCAAUGAAAGUUCUCCCAACAUAAUGUGACCUUAUCAACCCUUGUUGAAAUGGCACCCCGGCUUUCGCAGCGUACUCAAGUGCAGCCACCACUCCAGAAUCUGGUACUGCAAUCACGACAUCACACUCAACAGGAGCCUCGGUAGCAAGUACUUCCCCAAAAUGAUACCUCGACUCAUAAACAGACCUUCCACAAACAACAGAAUUAGGCAAAGCAAAAUAAAUAUGCUCAAAGAUGCACUGCUUACGUUCAGGGUGAGGCAUCAAACAAGGUGAUUGAACCCCAUCUUUAUCAACCAUCAAAACUUCACUGGGAUAUACCUCUCUCUCUCUCUCUCGCCCCCUCUCUCUCCCUCUCUCUCCCUCUCUCUCCCUCUCUCUCGUAUGUGGCCUCAAUCAAAUAGUGCACAAGUCUCUGACGCAAAAACCAGAGCACCAUUACUCCUCCUACCCAUCACCAAUGGCAUAAACCCAUACGGGUCACGAACCGCAACAAGCUUAUCCUCAGUAACAAACACCAUUGAAUAAGCACCCUCAAGCUUCUCACAAACAUCCACAAUCCUCAAAAAGAACGGCCUAGCUUUUCGAUAUCGGAAUCAAAUGGAGAACAACCACAGUAUCAGAACUAGUAUUGAAAAUGGAUCCAUUAUCUUCAAGCUUAGCCCUCAAAGUAUUAUAAUUAACUAAUGUGCAACACCAACAGAACCAAACCUGUACCCAACAACAAAAGGCUGCACAUUCUUAAGCAUAGAACUACCCGCAGUCGAAUAUCUAACAUGACCAAUGGCCAUAUCACCCGGCAAUUGAUCAAGUUUAGACUGAUUAAACACAUCAGAGACUAAACCAACACCAGUAAUAGACUGAAGAACUUUGUUAUUCACAGCAACUAUACCUGCACCUUCUUGGCCGCGAUGCUGCAUCGCGUGUAGCGCCAAAUAGCAGAAACGCGAGGCCUCUGGGUCACCAUAGAUGCCCACAACACCACACUCCUCACGGGGCUUAUCGUCGUCAUCAUCAUCAAAACUGCCAAAACCGUCAUCUGGGUAUUCUUUAUUUGUGGUGAAAAACUCAGAGAUGGGGUUUUUUUAUAGAACAGUGAAGUUAUUUUUGUGGAUUAAAGAUUGUUGUUUCUGAGGAAAAAAAGGGUUUUUUUGCAGGGUUUUGGAGAAAAGAGAAAGAUGGGUUUUUUGCGACGGCUUAGGGUUAGCAGAGGGAGAUGGGUUUGAGAGAGGGCAGAUGUUGGCGGUGCCUGUUGUGGUGGCUGCCAUUAAUGGCUGAAUUUAUUUUAUUUUAUUUUAUUUUUUGGGUUGCCUUGCUCAAAGAAAAAACAGAGGAGGUGUGUGGAGGGAGACAGUGGCGAAGGGUACUUUAAGUAGAGGGGAUCUUGUUCUAGGUUUUUUCCUGGAAUUGUGAGGGAAUCUGAUCCUGUGUUUGUGCAUAUGAUUCAAUUACUUAUAGGUGAUACUGUUGUGUCACCACAAAUUCUAACUGGGAAGCUUCAGCUGUCAAUUUUUUUCCAAGGGUUAAUUAGGUAGAACUUUCAUGUCCUCGAUUUUAUUUGGAGAUUCUAAAAGUAGCUUCCAAAAUCAACAAUGUGACACAGAUGCUUUAGAUUUUUUUCCUUGUGGGACAUGAAAAUUGAUGCAUGAUCCAAUGCAUUGCUCUAUCAGAAUUGGAAUUAAACUUAGUUUGUAUUCUCCUAUUCCGAAAGCAAAACUUAUAAGUGAUAUUCUAAGAAGAAGAAAUUAAGAACCAUAACAAAUUUGAUGAUUCUAAUUUGCUAGAAAUAUUGCAAUCCAAAACUAAGAAAGUUCAAACCAAUUAUUAGAAGAAAAAAGUAGGACGGAAGCUCCCAGAAUAUUGUUAUGUGUUGUAUGUUUUAGUUUGUAUUUCCCAAUCAAUAAGAAAAAGUAAGUACACAUGUAACAAAAAUUUAAUAAAAAAGAUUGGAGGUGACAAAACCGUCAAUCUUCUAAUUAACUUUCUCUCCUUUCGAAUUUCCUGAGUUUGGUAGAGACUGCUUAAGUGGUAUAUCUAUUAUAAACACCUGAAGUCAAAGUUAAUAUUUUAAUUGUUAAGAAAAAUUAGAAGAAGAAAUUUUUGUAUAAGAGAAUUGGGUUUAAAUUUAGAAUUCCUUGGGAGGAAAUGAGUCUAAAUUCCAAUAAUAUAAUUAAACACUAUUUAUAUAUAUAUCAUUAGUUGGGUGAAAAUUUAAUUUCCAUCCUUUGAUGUGAAAAACUCUCUUGAUCGUCUAUUUUCAUAUGAUGGUAACUUUUUGUUUAAAGUGAAGUUAUUGGCACUCUUUCAUUAUGCUUAUAAAAUCCUACUUCAAAUAAAAUUACACUUAAAGACAAUAGAAUUAAAUAAUAUAAUUUUUCUUUAAAACAAAUUACUCAUCUAAUUUUCUAUAGGUUGCUUUGUAUCGAAUUAAAAAAAAAAUUGUACAAAUUUAAAAUAAUCUAUUAUUUUUUUCAAAUUUCUUAUUGAUUAAAUAUUUGUGUGCUUAAGAUAGCUUUAAAAUUAUAAGAUAUAAUAUAUAUAAUUUAAGCCAAUGAUUAACAUUCAAAAAUUUAUCUCUCAUAAAAGUUUUUAAUUUGUGCGUAGGGUAAUAAUAAAAUUGCAAAAGAAAUGAAAAAUAGCAUAGCACUAUUUUGAGUUUAAACAAUAAAAAAAUUAAAUGAAAAAUUAGAAAUGUAUUUAAAAAAGGAUAUUUUUGAAAAUAAAAUAAAUAUAAUUUAAAAAAAAAAGAGUUUCACGAGGGGUGCAAUAGUUCAACUCUUUUGUUUAUAAGUUUUAAUGUGUUGGUAUCCUUAGCUUAGCUUUUCCCUAAUUAUUAUAUUAAAAUGUAACAACAAUGAUGAUCAAACCUAAUUUCAUGGAGGUCAAAGAUUUUGGUCAUGCCGCAUUAAUUAGCUCGAUCAUACUUUCUACAAAUUUAUUUACAUUUAAUAAUUUGCCCAAGACUAGGUAAGGCGCCGCCUGGAGUCAUAGAAUUUUAUAUGUCAACAGUGCGUUUCACUUCAAUUAAGCCAUAAAUGUCGUUUAAUAUGCUCAUUUUGUAUUUUUUAAAAAAAAGUUUUAUUAAUUUUUUUUUGUUUUUAAAAAUAUUAUUUAUUUUUUUAUUUUUUUAAAGGUAAAGAAGUGGGUAAAGUUCAAAUUUAAUUUUUAUCCCUUACGUCAUGACCCCUCAGAUUUGAACUUAGGUAGCCAAACGUAUAAUAAUGAUAUCUCAAAUUUCAUUUCAAAUGAUAUGCAAUAUAUUAAGUCAUUGUUAAUCUUUAUAAGAUCCGAGUGAAUGAAUUGUGUUAUCUCACUAAUUAAUUGAUGAGUGUCAUAUCAUUUAUGAUAACUUUUGUAUAAAAAAAAUUGCGAUGGAUGAAAUAUCCUUUUGAGAAUUUAAUGGUUUAUCUCAUUUAUGAUUUAUUGUUGCAUUUAAUGAUAUUGCAAAUAAUUUUUCUGAUAAUAUUAUUGUUUUGACGAGUAAGUUUGGAGUAAAUAAUACAUAUGGCAAGUGUGAGGUUUGUUAUUGCAUUUAUUUUGUGGAUCUCUUUAAAAGCCAAAAAAAGGCAUUUCGAUUCAUUAUGAUUCCAGAUAAUUUCAAGCCAUGUCAUUAUUGGGAUAAAAAUAAAGUAAAAUGGUUAAAACUAUUUUUAUGUAAUUUAUAAAAAUUAAUGAAGCAACUACAAAAUUUUUUAAACGAAAAACAAUUGAAAUGUGUGUGGAAAAAGAAGAAAAAAAUAAGGCAUUUAAAUAUCUUCUUAAAAAAUACGAUUGAUUAAAAUUAUUUUAACCGAAUGCUCUUCCAAAUACAAUUCCACAUUUUUUUUAUUGCAGUGGGAUAUUCCAAAAUUGGCACAACUCAUUAAGAAUUCGGCAACUCAAAUUUUAUUUAUCUCUCUAUGCAUUUGACAAAUUAAAAAGAAAAAAAAUUCAUAUAUCUUCUGUUCAAAAUAAACCUUGGUAAAUAUUGUAAAACAAAUUACCAAUUUUUUUAAAUUUAUGCCAUUAUAUUGUCGCUAUUUUCUCGCCCACUUUCUUAAAAUAGAAUCGAUAUUUAUUGAUGGGUUGGGUUCCAGAGUAAGCACCAAUUCAGCAAAAUGGUUUUAUAGCAGAAAAAGCACUUGUAAGACAUUCAGAACACAUUUUUCAAUUUUGUCUUUUGAAAAUGAGUCUUGAGUUUCCGCAAGCCAAGAAGAAUGGCUAAAAAAUGUAUGGUAUCAAAGAAAGAGAAACACACACACACACAUAGAUUAGUGGGGAGAUAUAUGAGUGUGUAAUUUGUAUAUAUAUCCCAAUUAAUUGUUCAUAUAGAUUAUAUGAACAAUUAAUGUGUAUAUGCAAAAGGAAAAAAAAUUGGCUGUCCAUUAAGACAAAAUUGACUAUCACAUGAAAAUGUUAGCACACUUGCCACGCAACGAAAAUAAAGAUUCCAAGAACAACUUUAUGGUCCCCUUUCUGUCCAAACAUAGGCGAUAGAAAUUAGUGUAAACGACACUUGAAAUAUUUAUGUAGAUCCUCACACAAUUGAUUAAAUAUUUAUAGUAGGGUGGAGUGAUAAAUAGUUUCACAAAAUUAUUGGAAUUAACUAUUUAAUACAUGAGAUCUAUCUCAUUAAGUAUAAAAGAUUGAGUCAUGCUUCAAAAGCAUAACGCUGCUGGCAACAAAUUUAACACAAAAAUUUAAUUAACUAUCCUAGUUGAGAUAAUAAAAUCUUGUAUUGAAAACAAAAGGUUUGAGGUUCGAACCUUCUCAUUCAAGAAAAUCAAGUCAAAAUAUUACAUCUUCCAGCACAUAUUAAAGAUUUUUUCAAAGGCAGACUGAUAAUUCAGGGUAAAAAAGAAGAAAAAAAAAGAAAAGGAAUAUAUGCUAUUCAAGACAGGUAUGCCUUGUACAUGAAGUCCGAGUCCAGAACAAGAAGCACCUGGUUGAUCUUUCAAUUUCCAAAACCCAACAAAAUCUUUGUCAAAAUAUCUGAUCUAGUCCCAUAUUAAGCACAUUCAUAGCCAUAUCAACAGGUUCAAAAUAUUUUCCCCAAAAAGAGAUAGAGAUUCCAUUGAAGUUGAGUUGUGACUGUCCCAACGUUUUGUAAUUAUAUGGUUCAGGAUAUCAUGCCUAUGAAUCUUUUUUUUUUCUUUUUUUCCAUGUUUCGAAGUCUAUCAAAUGAAAAUGUAAUUAUAUGGUUCAGGAUCUCAAUAUGCCGCAGCUGCAAAGGUUGACUUCUACUAUCCAAUCAAUGUCUAUACUUUCUAUUGAAUUUCCUUGUUUUUUUUUAAAUUACGAGAUUUAUUUUUUAGAAAUCUUUGACACAUUUUAUGUAAGAUACCAUAAAACCAAAUACAACCUUUUUGAUUCUCAGCAACAACGUUUUUUUUUCCUUUUAAAAAAAGGAAGCCAUAUAAAUAAUGCUUUAAACAUUAUUUGCAACAAGGAACAAUUAUUUCAUGCUUUCAUGUAUUACAAACUUUCCAAAAACGCUAGCAAGAAAAUGAAAUGGAACUUUACCUAGUCACAUAAUAUAUACUGCUGUUAGCACAAUUGUUAUGAAGUGGCUUCUGCAUCCGAUGAUUCCAGCUCCCACCAAGCAUUGUUAUCUCUAUUCUAAAUACAAUCUGCAUCGCUGGGCAUGAGUUAUAUCAUUAAUGUCUGCAUCCUCACUUACAUCAUCCCAAUCAAGUGCUUUUUCUCCACAUCUGGAUUAUAAGUCCACUCCAAUCUCUUCAAAACAUCCCAGUCCUUCCAUCACAGCUGAUACGACUUCCUUCCUUAUUACUUCCCCAUUAAUAAAUCGCUCCAAGAAAAAAAAAAAAAGCAUUAGCAAUUCUCUUCAAUGCCCCAUCAUUCAUAUCCCCUACAACAACCAUCUUCAGACACCUCAACGUUGCCUCUUGAAAGACCUCCACAAAAUCCGAAUCAUCCGACACAACCACUAAACACCCAAACCUUCUUUUGUCCACCAUAUCCACCUUAUAAUUCCUUAACUAAACAUCGACAUCUUGUGGCUUAUCUAACACCUUCCUGACCCAAAACCAUGCUGUUUUCAACUCAUCUGCAAAAACAUAACCCGCUUUUGGAGUCAAAAUUGCACUUGCAGCCAUUUUAUAUUUUGCCAUCUUUAUUGAAUAGUUGCCAACCAAAAGCACUCUCACCUUCCCUCUAGCUGAUUCUAUUUGAUUCGACCUAUUCUUUUGUUCACCCUCAUGAAUUUGCCUAAAAUGAUUAACAAGUUUGUCAUUAUUAUAAAAUCUCCUUCCACAAUCACCUAUAUGGCUUAGUAGGCCUAAUUACACCCUUGAUUUCUAUUUGGUUAAACAAUUCUCUUUCUUUCUUUGCUCUCUUACAACUUGAGGCACAUAACUAAACGCGUGGCUAUUAGCAUUUGCCACCAUGUAUUUAACAACCCCAAAUGAAGAUAUUAAUUUUUUUAGUUUAAUUGCUGCUUCAAAAUGGGGUACUGCAUUUGGAUUUUGUUAUUCAAAUACCAAAAUGUUCCCACAUUGUGUUGGACAGUUUUUGGUUCUAAAGUUGAUGAUUGGUUUUGCCAAUCAGGCUUCAAAUGAGAACUUCUAAACAAUAAGACAAAUGGGUUUUUGAGUUUCUAAUUUUGUAAACUUUGUUCUAUUGUGUAAGUUAUGAAAUCGCUGAAACAUCACUACAGCUACAGGUCUUUAUGUGUCAAAGAACUGCAGAAGCUGAUGAUCUACCAGUAGUAGACUUCUAUUGCCCCUGCCGUUCUAGGAAGACAAACAAGUUCAGGAACUACUUCUGGACCAAACUCAUAAUAUUGCCACCGCUUUGUGCCAAUCUGAGACGGAAAGAAGAUUGAAGUUCCUAAAUAAGGCACAUCAUGAUUUAAUAGAAGCACCACUAUAAGGAAAAAUGGAUUUCAGGAAAGCACUAAAAUAUGACAUAAUCUCCCCCUAAUAGUCUAAAGUAUCAACCAAGCAAAAACACAUAAACUAGUUGAGAUACAAAGUUAUCAUAAAAGUCAGUUUUGAUCACAAAUCCAUUAAAAUUAAAAGACAUUAGAAAGUUAGAGAACAUUAUAAUUUAGGACUCAGCUAAGUUGCAGAUUCUGUAACUAACAGCUGAGUCCACAUUGGCCUUACAUCAGCUGAGUUUGGGUUGCUUUUCCUCUCUCCUGCAACGCGUACGUGGAAGCGCCCCAUUUGCUGUGUUCUAUACCGAGUUGGUACCGUAACAAGCUCCUAUAAUUUAAGUUUGAUUACUGUAGACAAUAGUCUGCCUCUGCUCAAAAGCUAUGCUGCAAGAUAUAACAUCUUUACUUUCUAAAAGUAAUAAGAAAUGAAACCAAGGGGUAAAUCGAACACCAAAAGAAAUUUAGUCGGCCAACCACAUUAUGUUCCCACACAAUCCACUAAUUAAGUUAAUAAUUAAAGGGAAUCAAAAUCUAAGAAAUCUCAUCUUCAAGCAGAAUACAAACACGCCGCGAUUGAAAAUCACAAAAUCAUAAAAAGAAGCUGACUUGAAAAGGGGUGGGCCGCCUCAUUUGCCCACCAACCACACCACACACACAAACACUCCAACACACACACAAGCUCUCUAGCUUUUGUAAAAAACUCUCUUUAAUAUUCUCUCUUUGUGAGUAAUAAAAUCAUAUUCAGCCAUAUUGCUCUACUUCUCUCUAGCAUUUUCCUAGAGUGUUCUUACUUCGCUAGUUUGAGGAGUGGUCUAGGCUUACUUAGCAACUUGUUUGCUACAAGGACAUCUUGGUCACAAAACAUGGACAUGCAAGGAAAAAAAAAUAUUGAUACGUUCUAAAAAUAAUACGCAUUCUUCUAUCGUGAACCAAAAAAAUUUAGGCUAAUGGUAGCAAGUGAAGGAAUUGUGAUUUCACGUGCAUUUUGUUGACAUGAAGGUAAAGAGCUUUUUUAUAGUUUAUAUUGUUUAAUAUAACAUUUGAAUUGCAAAAUAGGGGUACAAAAUAGAUACACGAAGGGAUAAAACUAAGUUGAUUAUGAUAAAUAUUGAAUUAUAAGAUUUAGGUUUAAUCAUAAAGACAUAAGUGGCCCAAGUCACGAAUUGAUAUCAUCCAUGAUGCAAGUUCAAACAACUGCAUAAUAAGUUGCCCUAAGCUAAACUAUUAAUCUAGUAACUAUUCCAGUCGAUGUGGGAUAAUUUUCCUAUCACCAUUUAUCACGUGCAAGCCGAAUUUGUUGCUUGGUUCUUACAUGUGGUAAGAUAAUAUGAAUCCACUUGUGCAUAAAUUUUGCUCCGAUAUUAUAUAGAAGCUUAUGACCCAAAAUUAUACUUAAAGGUGAUUUCAAGAUUUCAAGGUUGCCUCAAGCUAAUAUUAUUAUUAGCCUGGUAACCCUUUUUUUUUUGUUGAUAUGUGAUAUUUUCCCUAUAACUUUUAUUAAUCUUUAUGCUUAUGUUUUGUCAUUUAUCCCAAAAAUAUAACAUUAACAAAAGUUCCAAAAUUUCCUUCAAGAGAUAUAUUUGAGACAAGUAAUUUGUGCAAUAACUUUGUGAAUUGAUGAGCAAAUUCAGAGAAAAGAAUAUAUGUGCCAAACGUAAAGUUUAUUAUUGUGUUUAUUUGUAGAGCUAUUUAAAGCCCAGAAAAAAAAAAGCACCAGUCCGCUAUGAUUUCAAAUAAGUUCAAGCCCUAUGUCAUUAUUGGUACAAAAAUGUAUCAGAAAGGUUAAAAACUAUUUUUAUUUAACUUAUAAACUUAGGAAAUUAUCAACUGCUCAGCCUUAAAUUGUGCUAUUAUAAAAAAUAUUACAAUAUUUUCAGGUUGUAUCAUUCAUCUACCAUAAAAUUAUAAUUGCAUCAUUUAUCCACCAAAUCAUUAACUUCGUUAAAAAGUGAUAGAUGUUACAAGGGUAAUUUAGACAUUUAACACACAAAAAAAAUAAAAGAGAAAUUAUCUAAGCUUACCAUGUUAUCAAAAUUGCUACAAAAUUUUAAAUUUGUUCAAUUUUUCAAUCUAAGUUUAUGACCUCCAAGAUUUUAAUUGCAAUUUGUAAUUAAUGAGUUCAUAAGGAUAAUUUAGACACUCAAUAUGCAAAAUAAAAAAAGAAAAGUAUCAUUUGUAUACCUUAAAAUUUGCUGUAUCAAUCGUCCACCUUAAAUUGAAAAAAGUUAUCUACCGACCACUAAACCAUUAGUUACCGUUUGAAAGUUAACGGAACUGUAGCGAAUUGACGAUUUUACCCUUGAAAUCUCAAAAAAAAAACUCUUAUUAUCAAUUAUAUACCCUUAAAUUAUUACUAGUAUCUAUGAAAAGACUAUAUUACCCCUUUGACGUCAUCAUGUUUAAACGGCAACUAACGCUUUGGUGGACGACAGAUACAUUUUGUCAAUUUAGGAUGGACGACUGAUAUACCCUGAAAGUGUUGUAGUAAAUUUGAUAACGGAGUAAACUAAGGGUAUACAAAUAAUAAUUUCCUAAUAAAAAAAUAAAAUAAUGGUUUAAAACAUUAAAACAAAAAACUUGAUAUUCAAUUAAAUACACAUAAACUCUAUUUUUUUCUUAAUUAAAAAUAUUCUAAUUUAUUUUCUCAAUUUAUCAUCAUAAAUUUACAUUAAUAAACUAAAUCCACAAAUUACCCUAAACCCUAAUUCAUAAAUGCCCAAUCAAUCUAAUAGUUUAAUUAGAUUUCAUAAUUAAAAAGCUAAAUUUAUUAUAUUGGUUAUGGUGCAAAGUCAAAAAUGCCCUUAAAUUCAAGGGUAAAAUAACAUUUUAUUUAAAGUCUAUAAAUGAUUCUAACAAUGUUAACAUUUUGGUGGGCGGUUAAUAUAAGUUACAAACUUAAAAUAGAAAAUCAAAUAAAUUCAAAAUUUCAAACUAUUUAGGGCAAAUUUAGGAUAUAUGGUUAAUAAUUUUCCCAUGUCUUUUUACAUUGGUUGAUAUAAGUUACAAACUUAAAAUAGAAAAUCAAAUAAAUUUAUAUUUUCAAACUAUUUAGGGAAAACUUAGGGUAUAUGGUUAAUAAUUUUCCGUUGUCUUUUUACGUUAAAUUGAGUUUCAAAGGUAAAAUGGUCAAUUUAUUAUAAUUCUGUUAAUUUUUUAGUGGAAGCAAACGAUAUAAUGGACGAAUGAUAUAAAUUGUAAAAUUAAGGUGUAUGAAUGAUACAACUUUAAAGUAUUAUAGUAAUUUUAAUAAUAGAACAAUUUAAGGGUGGAUUGGCAAUAAUUUAAACUUUAAUGAAGCAACCAAAAAAUUUUUUUAACAAAAGAAAAAUAAUUGAAAUGCUUUAAGAAAAAUAAAGGAAAUUAAAUAUCUUUAUAAAAAUAUAAUUGAGUAAAAUCAUUUUACAAAAUACUCUUUCAAAUGCACAUUCCACAAGCCAGGGAGAACGGGUGACUAACAAAAAUCUCACUUUUUAUGAGUUUAUAAAAUCUCACUUUCGCAGAAACAAAAAAUAAAAAUUAUUGCUGUCACGACAUUACGCACUUUCUUUGCCAUCUAGAAAGGUAGAACAUUUUGAAGUUCCUCAAUACAAAAUGCGUGCUACUACUAAAUUGGCACAAUUAAUGCCCAUCGAAAAGGCCAUCAAUUUAGCCAUCAAUUUUGUCAAAAUUUCAACAAUUGAAGAAACAAUGAUCACAAACGGAAUAGGUAAAUUUUGAAGUUGAAUAAAUCUUGAGAUGCAUACAACAAAGCCUUGAAACUUUAUUCUUCACAAUUUGAGCACGCACUGAAUAUUAAAGCAAAUAUAUAUGAAAAAAAAAUCAUAAAGCUACCAAAAGGAACCACAAAAUCAUCAAUAUUAUCGUUUAAUAUGGAGAACGGCCUGCGCAUCCAAAUUGUGCGAACUGAACACGCUGAAAUGUGUGUUUUGUUUUUUGGAUUUUUGGAAUUUUUUAAAAAUCAUUUAUGUUCGCCGCCAUCUUUUUCUUCACUGGCGUCUUCCUCUCUUGGCUGGCAUCUGCCUCGUCUGCAGUUUGCUGUGCCUAUUUAUCCAACCAAUAAAUUGGGCAUUAAAUACGAAUGAAUGAUGAAUAAAAUGAUAAAAAAAAAACAAACAGAGAAAAUUAUAAUAUAACACAUAUUUAUUGAAAGAGAAAUUUUGAUUUUAGGAUAGAUCAAUUAGCUAUCUCAAACGAAAACAUGAACCAACUAUGUAUAGAGUCAAUUAAUUUAAAGUUCUCAAGAAUUACCUCUGCUCCAGAAUUCUCGGAAUCAUCUUCUCCUUAUGAAUUUCCACGAAACUUGGGACAAUUAUUAACACCUCUUCUAAAGUAUGCAGAUGGAAAUGGGAUCUGAUAACCCGCAGGCCAAAAGUUGGUGAGGUUUGGUAAGUCUUCCAGUCUCAAGUCCCAAAGUUCAUUCAUAACAAUUUCAUUGUAAUCCGUGACGUCUGCUCCAUCUUUAUGCCAGAAUACUUCUUCUAAUUCAUCAUUACCUACUAUGGAUAGGCGCGACAGUUUUUGAAGACUUGGAGCUACGCUGAUAUGAAAUAGAUGCUUUAGUUUGGGGCAAUAAUAGACAGAGAUCCUUGUGAGUUUUGGGAAACAUACAGGUUGGAGAUGAUCCUCAUCCUCAUCCUCAUCAAUGAUUUGCUCUAAUUCCAAGCAAUUCGAAACAGAUAACUCCUCCAAUUGCAACAGAUUUCGAGCAAAUGUUGAUGAGAAGAGACGUCUCAGCAUAGUGCACCCGUCCACUGUUAAAUAGGUAAGACUUUGCAGGCUAAAAUUAUGAGUGGGACCUUCAUGAUAUAAUAAUAAUUGCAGGUCUCCCAGAUUGUGCAAGGUCAAUGUCUUCAAACGUGGGAAUAGUUUGUUUUCUUGUCCCUCAGCGAUAAUAGCUUCCACUUGAAAUACCACCUGUACUCCAAGUUCUCCAAUACCCAAUAUUUCCAAAUUUUUUAAUCCGUGCUUCAACAGUGCUGGAAUCGUGUGACGCAAAUGGGAGCAACUUUCCACACCUAGAGUAUUUAAGUUCUGAGACAAAUAAAUAAAUAACUUGAUGUAAUUAAAAUUUGUUAGCAGCUAGGAUUAUCACAUGAUAAGUGAUGAACACCGCAAAAAACAAAAACAGAAAACAAAAUCCAUACAAAAAUAUCAUAAUACAUAUGUAAACUAAUAAAAUAAUUAAAAAGUAAUGGAUUUAAAAAAAAUGAAAUUAGUUAAAAGAGAUCAUGUGAAGUGAUAUAAAUGUGACAUUAGAUUGUUUUAGAAAAAUUAUUAUUCUAUUAAUUUAUAUGGCUUGAUCAGCUAAUUAAUUGAAUUUGAAUAAUAUUAUACACACUUCAGAAGUAUUUGCAUCAAUUCUUUCUAAACCAAAAUGAAAUCUGAUAAAAUAAUUAUUAUCAUUACCACAUCCACCACCACCAUCAUCAUCUCCAUAGGAUCAAAUAAUUAAUGGCUGAUCAUAAAGUUUAUUGCUAAACUAUCAUUUUGAGUAAAAUUGAAUGAAAAGAAAAAACAUGAACCCAAACAAACAUACAUUUUCAAGAUACUGCAAAUUGGCUUCAAGUUCAUUAUUGUUGAUGAUCAAGUUGGGACAAUAAUCAAGGAUUAGCUCUUCCAAUGCUGUCCAAAUUGAACAAUAGUUUUCUGAACAGAAGCUGACGAGUUCUGGGAGUUCUUGAAGUGUUAAUCUUCUCAACAAGGGGAGGGCGAGCAUCGUAUUUCCACCUUCGACACUUAUUUCCCCUUCAUUGUGAUCAAACUUUGCUUCGACAAUACAUUCCAGUCUCUCGCAAUGGCUUACACAGAGACUUUUAAGCUGCUCCAAACUUCGGGCUUGUGACAACGUGAAGAUGUAUGUCAACUUGUUGCACGAAUGCACAUUCAAUUCUGCAAGAGUUUGGAGACUGAUCACAUGUUGGGCGAGUGCCUUCCAUAUCCACUUCAGUUCUGGUAAGCCCCACAUAGAUAACUUUGCUAAUCUUGAGAGACUCUUUCCAUGCGGCGACUUGGAGGCAUCCAUUAUGCAUUCUAAAUCUUCGCAACCGUGGACAUCAAGACAAGUCAACUCAUUUAAGCCCAUUUCAUCUAUGCUUGGCACAAUAUUGUAACAACCUAUAAUCCCACUUAAACAAAGAAUUUCCAGUUCUUGAUACAAAGCCGAAAAAAUACCGAGCGAGGUCGCUUCAGGAGGGUCGUUACUAAUCAUUAAGAUCCUUGCCUUAUCAAAAUGACGUACCUUUGCAAUUUCGGGAAUGUAAAGUCUUUUGGAAGACAUACAACAGAUCCGUCGACUUGGGAGUUCAACUCAGCAAGCCUAGCAUUACUUUCUUCUGAACUCAUCCCUUCAACCUCCCAAUUUUUUAUCCGACCAUAAAAUUCUUCUAAUUGAGGAAUUUUUUUUAUCGUAAUAGGAGAAACAGAACUGAUAUCAAUAUAUAGAAGUUUCAAUCUACUAAGUUCAUUCCUCAAUUCUUCUGGAAUUUUAAUGAGAGACUUCUUGAGAAAAAGAAUUUGAAGCCUCUUCAACUUUCCAAGGAAAGAUGCAUCACUCACCUUACAUCGAAUCAACUGCAGAACCUGGAGGUUGGUGAGGCUCUGAAGCGAUUUAAGUGAAAGAACUCCACCUAUUAUAGUGACAACUUUCAAUGCUGGCAUCCCUUUAAAAAAAUGUUCUGGAAUUUGCAAUUCGUAAUUAUAUACGGUGUUCUCCAAUCGCAGAAUAUGAAGGUUAGGGCAUACCAAACUACUAGGAAGCUCUUCUUCUUUAUUUCCCAUUACAGAGAUUCCUUUGCACUGUUCCAGGCCUUUUUCCACCGCCCGUUCCAGCAAUCUGAUGCCAUUUAUACUAAACAAUCUCUCCUCCUUCUCCUUCUUCUCUGUGCUUAUCCAUAUGGCUACAUCACGAACUAUGUCAUGCAUUUUCACAGAUAUGUCAUUACCAGUGUCUAACAGUAGUGAAGCAGCUUUGAGUCCGUCAAUUGUUCCAUGCAGUAGGCUUCUGGUGUUCUCUAUUGACUCAGCUUGAUACCAAGUCAACCCUACUGCAUAUCCAACCAAAUCCUCCAAAUUAAUCUCAUAAUAUUCUGGAAAUAGCGAACACAACAAGAAGCAUAACUUGGAAUUGUCAUCAUUCAAUUUGUCGUAACUAAAUUUGAGACAACCGUAAACGUCUAGGUUCUCCUCAUCAAUACCUUCUAUUGCAUAGAGUUUUGCAGCCUUUAGGUUAUAUAGAGCCAGGUUCCAUUCAUUAAGGUAGCGUUUACUUUUUGGAUUGGAUUGAGAAUCUUGGGGAGUGGGAAUCCUAAGAUUGGGAGUGUGGAGUGGGAGUGGGAGUAGGUUGUUUACUUACACUAGAAUGGAAGCAUGGAAUGGAGAUCAGAAUUCAAUUUAUGUGUUUACUUUGUCUUGGAUUGGGAGUAAAUAGUUUCAAAUUAUAAUUUUAUCCUUAUUUAAAGAAUUAUAAUUUUUAAUUACAAAACUAAUAAAAAAUAUAUUUAAUGAAUAAUAUUUAUUUUAUUAUAUUUGUAAAUUUAUUAUAAUUAUUAAUAUUCUUAAUUAUGAACAAUAAAUUAUUAAUUGUAAUUUUAAUAUAAAAUGAAAUGUUAUUUUAUUUUAUUUAAUAUAAUUAUAUUAAAUUUAUUAUUAUAUAAAAUAAUAAUAUUAUAUUAUUUAGUACAAAAUUAAUAUUUUCUUAGAAUAAAGUAUUUAUUAUUAUUAUUAAAUAAAUAUAGUACUAUUAUUUUUAAAAUAAAUAUAAUAAUAUUAUAUUUAUUAAUUCUCUAUUAAUAUAAUAAUAUUAUUUUAAAAUAAUUUUAACUUAGAAUCAAUGUAAAUUAUUAUUGAGUUAAAUAUAAUAUUAUUAUUUAAAUAAAUAUAAUAUUAUUUAUUUUAUUUUAUUAAUUAUAAAACAUAAAAUAAAAAAAAGAGUAGAAAUGGGAGAGGUGGGAGUGGAUUCCCACUCCCACCUCCCCCAAUGGGAGUCCCACUCCCACUCCCCACUCCAAAAAUGGAUGGGGCCCACGGAGUGGGACUUCCAAUCCCUCUCCAUUUUAAGUAAGCAAACGCUGGAGUGGGAGGAAUCCACACUCCUCACUCCCACUCCAACAAGUAAACACAACAUUAAAUCCUUUUCCUCUUAGUGCACUUCCAACAGCUUCAAUAGCUAAAGGUAGCCCGUUACAUUCUCCAGCAACUUCUUUGGAAACAUCAUUCAAGGUGGAGUCAUUUACAUCAAUGCCGGCAUUUUUUCGCAGUAAAGCCAAUCCUUCUUCUGGCGUUAGUGUACUAAGUGGAAUCUGUGUGUCACAACCCAAAGAAUCACAAACUGACUUUUUGCGAGUGGUUAGAAGGAUUUUGCAACAAUUAUCUCUACCACCAACGGGAAUACGUAAUUUUUUCUCCAAGUCGAGUUGUUUCCAAACAUCAUCAAGGAUUACGAGGAUUUUGUUGCUUUUACUCUCAGAAAAUAUCAAGCGCAAUCGGUCUGCUCUCUCUUUUUCAUCUUUCUCAUUUAGUGCCCAGCCUAACGACUUUGCCAGCUCACCUUGAACCUUUAUUAUAUCUGGAUCCUGAGACACAGUGGCUAUCCCCACCUUAUCAAAAAUCUUUUGUUGCCGAAGUUGAUUGCCCAGAGAUUUUGCCAAGGUCGUCUUUCCUACACCGCCGAGACCGUGCAAUCCCACCAUCUUUGUGCUCUCUUUUUUCAGUGCUUCAGUGAUCUGAUUACAAGCCGAUUCUGUAGUCUCGAAAGAAGAAAAAAAUCUCGGUAUAGGCAAUUCUUCGUCUGGUGGUAGAGGUUUAGGACGGGCAACUGUGCUGAAUUUGCUGCGGUCUUGUAGUUCGGACAACUUGCUACUCUUCUUUGAUGCUUUUCUACCCAGCCAGUAUCGCCAACCCCAAUUAGGAUACCAUCCAUUAAGACAACUCAUCUUUUCAUCUAUCUUUGCUUUCAAAUUUCGAACGUCGGCCAUUUCUUUGUCUACAUCCUCAAGCCAUGUCUUGACAUCUUCCUCGACUUCUAUAGCACGGUGUAUUUGUCGUUCUUGUUCUACUCUUUUAUUGAUGCCAUCUUUUUCCUUCUUCAAAUUGGUUUCUUUAACCUUAAGUUCUUUAUCUAUGCUGUUGAAACAGAGCAGAUAACGAGCUUGGUUUAUGGUUGCAUCCACCAACAAUUCUCCAAGCCUUGAUGCAACACCUGACAAAAGUUCCAUGCUAUUUAUCUGCAAUUAAUAAAGUUGAUCUCAGUAAGCUAUAAGCAAAACAUAUGAGGCUUGAUCACAAGAUCGAACGAGAAAGUUUAAUUACCUUUUUCUAUUAUGUGAAUGCACGUUUAUUGACACUAGCUUUGACCAGUAAGAGCAAAAUGCAAACGCCGAGCUUUAAGUGGCCUUCAGCUGCAAAACAAAAGAGAAGAAAUAAGGUAAUUUAUUAUUAUUAUUAUUAUUAUUAUUAUUAUUUUUAAGGACGGAUAAAGGUUAGCUAGCUUGCAGACAAAUUUACUAAAAUCAAGACAAACCUAAGAGUUUUCCUAAUUUGUUCAAACAUGGAAUAAGCGUUUCACAACAGUAUAUCCAUAAAGUAAUAAUAUUAUUUUAAAUUAUAUUAAUGCCUUUGGUAGUGAAUUCAAUUAGGGUUAUUUUAGUAAUAUAAAUUUUCAUUAAAAUUAAAGUGUCCAAAUUCUAAUUUAGAUUUUUCAAAUGUAAAAUAAUAUUUAUUUAUCUGAUAUAAAUUAAAAUUCAAACAAAUGUAUCAUGCAACAAAUGAAAAGUAAAGAAUAUUAAUUAGGUUUUAAUCGAAACAAAUAUAAAUAGAUGUUUUGAGUAGUUAAUUUUUGUUAUUUUAUGCUAUUGGUAGUUUGUGGAUUAAAUAAUUUGUAUAAGGAUAAAUGGGGGUUUGUAUAAUUUAUACGAAGAUAAUCUCCAAAAUAAGCAUAUAUGUCGAAUUUAAAAGUGUUAUAUAAGUAGUAAUCGUAUAUGCAUCAAAAUUUUUAAUAAAAUUUAUUUAGAAAUUGGCCAAAUGGGUUUUAUGAAGAAAAUAGACGGGCAAGUAAUUAUGUAACAAGUAAUUUGUAGGUUGUGGUACUUCUCCAUACUUCAAAUCACUUUUAUCUAAUCAAUUGAUAAAUUUUUUUGGGCUCCAACAAAAUGAAAAGAAAAAGUUAAAAAUAAUUCUGAAAUAAAAAACGUUAGGUACUGCCUAUAAGCUAUACAAUUUUACCUUUUCUUCUAUCACAAUUAGUAUUAGAAAUGAAAAUAGUUUCGAAAUAAAUGUAAUUAGGAGGUAAUAUUAUCUCAACAAUACCUUAUAGGGAAAAAGACAUCUACAUCCUAAAGUUCGGAGAAAUAGUCGUAAAGACCCCAGGUUUUCAGAAAGGGAUAUCAAGACCCUUUUUUGACCGUAAUACCCUUUAAAUCUAGUAAUUAGAAAAUUGACUUUAAGAUUUUUUAAUUGACAAAUUUAAUAUAAAUAAUAUAAUCUAUCUAGUAGAUUAAUAAUAUUAACAAUAAAAAUAAUAUUAAAAUUUAAGUUCUUAUAUUUAUUUUAAUAAUAUAUUUUUAUUUAUUAUAAAGAUUUUAAAUAAAUCCUUGGGUUAAAUAGGUUUUCCAGUUAACAAAAUAUACCCCUAUUAAUAAUAUUGAAAUUACUUUCUACAUAAUAUUUAAAAUAAUUAUAAUUUAUUUAUUUUAAUAUUAUGUUUCUAUUUAUUAUUAAAAAUUACUUUAUUAGAGUAAAUUUUUAUUAAUUAAAGCUUUAAAAUCAAUUUUCUAAUUACUAAAUUAAAGGGGUAUUAUAGUCAAAAGGAGUCUUUCCUUUUUGAAAACUUAGGGUUUUUGCGACCAUCUCCCCAAACUUUGGAGUAUAGGUGUCCUUUUCCCGACUUCAUAUAAAGAUAUUCCAUAAGGUCUUAUAAUAACUUAUAUUAUAUGAAUUUAAUUAAAAGAUCAUUAAUACUUAAAUAAUAAUAAUUAUAGAAGACAUUGUAAUAAAUUAUUUGAUAUAUAUUAUUAAUGAUACUAUAUAUAUGUGUAUAUAACUACAUGAUGGCUUGGAUAUAUAUUGUUAGUGGUAAUAAAUGUUUUAAAAAAAAUUUAAACUAAUGAUUUCAAGUGAUUCAAUGGUGGAUAAUUUAAAAUCAUAAAAUAUUGUUUUGACUUUCAAUAUCAACCGUUAGACUGUGAGAAAUUAAUUGCUCAAUAUUUUGUGUAAAAGUUUUAAAUUAAAAUAUCCCAAACCAUUUGUUUUACUUAAAAUACAAAAAAUAUAUAAAGAAAUUUUCUCAUUAAUUUUCAUAUUUUAUUAGAGGUAAUAUUUUAUGUAUCGUCACCAUUAAUUGCCAUCAUUAAAGUAGUGACUCUUAGUAAUAUAAAAUUUUAUAAUUAGUUAAUUGGAAUCAAAUGAUAUCAAAUAAAAUAAUAUUUCAUGAUUCAUAAAUUAAAGCUAAUUAAGAAUAUAUGUUAGUUUUAACUUUUAUGAAAUCAACUAAGUGAUAUUAGAAAAUAAAAUGAAAUAAACUAGUGAAACUUAAAUUUUAUAAGGUUUGAAUAAUUUUCUACCAUGUAAGAAUAUUAAUUGUGACAUAAACCAUAGUUUCAUGGUAUAUGUAUGCCAAAUGGGGUAACAAAUAAUAUAUACUUCAGGAUCAUGAUAGUAUAUAAAGUAGUGGAUAUUUUAAUAUCUAACAUAAAAUUCUUUAAGACAUAGGUGGUCAAUUAUAUAUAUUUUAGGAUAUAGACAAUCUCAAUCAAGAGUUUAUUGAUGUGAAUAGAUGGCAUUCACUUAAAUGUAUAUACUUAAUUGUGUUGUUUAUUGGUAUUACAUGUAACAAAAUUUUAUAUUAAAUUUUGAAGUUUUAUAUUGUUGUUUCUAUUGAAUUUAUAAAUACAAUAAAAUUAUACCAACAAUUAGAUUCUCAUAUCCGUUGACGACAAUUUUUUAUACUAUUGGAACUCCAAUCUUUGAAGCUACACAAUAGUUAAAGUACCGACAUCAAUAGAACUUCCGUUCAUUGUAGAUCUAUAGUCAAAGUUUCGAAUCUUAAAAAUUUGACAGCAGAUUUAUGUCAAAUGAAAGCUUGUUACCAGUGAUUCUUAUACAAUUAUGUUGUUAUAGUAAUAAGGAUUCUAAUGGUACUAAAAUGCACUCCAUUAGACAUAAAGAUCCGACGACUAGUGGCGACAAUAACUAUCAUUAGUGACUUGGAGGUAAUUGCCGUUAAUAAAUUAUUUUUAACUUAAUAAUUAAUACAAACAAAUAAAAAAGUAAUUUAAGGAAAAUUAAUGUAAUAAAUAAUUGAAUUAAAAAAAAUAAAACCUAAAUUCUCGACCAUUUAUCCGUAUGUUUCGAAUCCAACGUUCAAAAUUGGAAUAAAACAUAGUAUAGCCAUUGGAAGUAAAACAAACAUUAAAGAGACUAGGAAAAAAUAUCUCAUACCUUCUAUAAUGAUACAUCCUCAAUCACUGCAGAAAGCUCCAAUUAAAAAGUCGCACAAGUUCGGAGAAAAUUACCUAACAACACAAAUAAACAUCAAAUCAAAGCAACAUAGGAUCCAGCUAAUUAACAUCAUAAGUAAGUCCUUGUUCUCAGUCAAAUCUUGCAUUCUUAGGAUAAAAAAAAAAUUGAAAGAAUAACGGUAACUGGAAAGUUUGACGACAUAAAGAUCUAGCUAAAUUUUAAGAAGCAAAAGUAAAUAAUGAAAGCUCAAUAAAAGAUCAUCAGCAUUAACAUACCGAAAUGAGAGCAGCUCACAGAACUGGUAAUUUCCAAGAACAGGAAAAAUAAGUGAGCUGAUAUUGAGGACAACUAAAAUAGUCAUGGAGUAAUUUGCUAUUGAGGACACCUAAAAUAAGAAAAUUAAUUAACAUUGCUCUAUACAGCAUUUCAAUAAUUUGACUAUUAAAAAAAAAAAUUUAUCUAGAUCACGAUUUCUCAAAAUGAUGCUUUUUCUAAUUAAAUAAAUCAAAAUGCCUGCUUCUUUCUUUUUCAGAAAAGAAAAAGUGGCAAUGGCAUCAAUUUUUUGCUAGAUUUUUAUCACCAAAAGCACAAGCAAGGAAUAAGAAUACUCUCUGAAACCAACCAUGUAAAGAGUAGAAGUAAGUGGUCAAUUGUAAAUUAGUCUUUCUUUUUUCUUUGUUAUUUUUUCAUUUUUUGAAUGUGAACUAAAUAAAUUUAAGGGUGAAGCUAUUACACCUUGAAAACUAUAACUGAACACCCAUUUUUUUUUAAUUAAAUUUUUAUUACUAAAAUAACCAUGGAGUAAUUUGCUACUAAGGAAAACUAGAAUAAUAAAAUGAAUAAUGAUUGCUCUAUACACCCUUUUCUAAGUCUAUCGUCUUCUUAAUUUCAUAAUUUGGCUGUCAAAAAAUAAUCUAUCUAGAUCACGAUUUCUCAAAAUGAUGCUUUUUCUAUCUAAAUAAAUGAAAAUGCUUGUUUCUUUCUUUCUCGAAAAGAAAAAGUGGCAAUGGCAUCAAUUUUUGCUUGCAAGCACAGCGAGGAAUCAGUAUACUCUCGGAAACUAACCAUAUUAAGAGUAGAAAUAUUUAUUUGGUUAUCACGAAGUAAGUUAGAAAUCAAUUAUAAAUGGUCUUUUUUUUUUAUUUUUUAAUGUGAACUAUAUAAAUUUAAGGUGAGGUUAUUUACACUUUGAAAAACAUUCUGAAAACCAUUAUUUCAUUAAAUUUUUUAUUAUUAAAGGUCCGUUUGGGGCAGCUACGCUGAAGCAGCGCAGCUGCCCCAAACGCUCUCUAAAAUAGCCAUGGAGUAAUUUCUUACUGAGGAAAACUAGAAUAAUAAAAUCAAUUAUCAUUCUUCCAUGAACCCGUUUCUAGAUGUAUCUUCUUCUUGAUUUGGUAACUUGGCUGUCAAAAAGAAAUCUAUCUAGAUCACGAUUCCUCAAAAUGAUGCUUUUUCGGAUGAAAUAAAUGAAAUUGAACCUACAAUCUGCCACAAACACGUUAUAAUGAGCCUAAUGAAAAGCAGUAUGAGAAAUUUUGCUUCCAUGUUGUUUCUUCCAUAUGUAAAGGUAGUAAAAAGAAAUUUAAGUCCUAGAAUGGAUGAAGAAUUAUCAAUAAUUAAAAUAAAAAUGGAUGAAGAAUUAUCAAUAAUUAAAAAAAAAAAAAAAAACAGAGUUAUAAAAGAAUCACAGUUCCACCAAAAAUUAAGAGUUAUUUUAUUUGGUGGUUUCCUAUCCCGAAAGCAUUACUUGUAAAUAUGUGCUAACAAGUAAUAAUUAAGAAAGUUAAGGCCAAUCAUUUAGCAGGGAGAAAAAUGGAAACAUCCGGAAUAUUGUUAUGUGUUUUCAGUUAUCUACCAAUCAAUAAUGAAAAAUUAAAUACGCAUGUGACGAAAAUUUAAUAAAGAGAACUGGAGGUGACAAAAUUUUUAUUAUUCUAUCUUUCUCUCUGAAACUUCCUUAAUUUGGUUGGGAAGUGCUUUGUCUUAGGCAGUGGAUCUGUUAUAAAUACCCUUUGCUAAAGUUAAUAUUUUGAUUGAAGAAAAAAAUAGAGGAGAAAAAUUUUAUUAAAGUAUAACAUAAUUUGAUAAAUUUAGAAUUGAGGAGAGAAAAUGAGUAUAAAUUCGAAAAUUUUGGCACUAUUUACAUAUCAUUAUUUGGGCAAAAAUUCAUUUCUCUGCUUUCAUAUGAUUUGGUCUUUCAUUGUUACGGUGCCAAUUUUUUAUUUAAAGAUGUAAGAUAGUGGUACUAUAGCUUAGAUUUUCCGUAAGUACAAAAUAAAAUACUAGUUUAAAAUAUAAAAAUGAAAAACUAUUUUUAUAACCAAUAUUCAAUUAAAUACACUUGAAACUCUAUUUUUUCUUAAUAAAAAAAUUCUAAUUUAUUUUCUCAAUUUAUCUAAACAACUUUACCUAAUCAAGCUAAAUCUACAUAUUACCCUAAACCUUAAUUCAUAAACACCCAAUCAAUCCAAUUGUUAAAUCCGAUUUCAUAAUUAAAAAAGCUAAAUUCUAUUUUAUUAUUUAUGGUGCAAAGUAAAAAAUGCCCUUGAAGUUAAGGGUAAAAUUGAUAUUUUAUUUAAAUUUUGUUAAUAUUCUAAUAAUGUUAAUGUCUUAGUGGUUAAUAAAAUCACAAAGUCAAACUUUUGUAGUAUUUUUUAUAAUAAGGUAAAGAUAUAUGUUUGAUAAUUUUCCUACGUCUUUUUACGUUAAAUUGAGUCUCAAGAGAAAAAUGAUUAAUUUGCUACAAUUCUGUCAGUUUUCUGAUGGAAGAUAAUGAUACAAUGAAUAAAUAAUACAUAUUAUUAAAUUAGUGUAGAUGAAUGAUACAACUUGAAAAUAUUGUAGUAUUCUUAAUAGUAGAGAAAUGUAAAGGUGGAUGGUUGAUAAUUUAAUGAAGUAACUACAGAAUUUUCCUUUCAAAUAUUUUUUUAAAAUAUAUGAUGAGUAAAAAUCAUUUUACAGAAUGAUCAUACGCAUUUUGUAUCACAAACGAAAACAUGAACCAACUAUGUAUAGAGUCAAUUAACUAAAGUUCUCAAGAGUUGACCUGUGCUCCUGAAUUCUUGGAAUCAUCAAUCUCCUUCUGAACUUGGACGAAGCUUGGGACAUCAACGAUUACAUUGUUUGCAGAUGGAAAUGGGAUCUGAUAACCCGCAGGCCAAAAGUUGAUGAGGUUUGGUAAAUCUGACAGUAUCAAGUCCCCAAGUUCAUUCAUAACAAUUUCAUUGUACUCCGUGACGUCUGCUCCAUCUUUAUGCCAGAAUACUUCUUCUAAUUCAUCAUUACCUAUUAUCCAUAUGUACUUCAGUUUUUGAAGACUUGGAGCUACGCUGAUAUGAAAUAGAUGCUUUAGUUUGGGGCAAUAACCGACAGAGAUCCUUUUGAGUUUUGGGAAACAUACAGGUUGGAGAUGAUCCUCAUCCUCAUCCUCAUCAAUGAUUUGCUCUAAUUCGAAGCAAUUCCAAACAUAUAACGCCUCCAAUUGCAACAGAUUUCGAGCAAAUGUUGAUGAGAAGAGACGUCUCAGCAUAGUGCACCCGUCCACUGUUAAAUAGGUAAGACUUUGCAGGCUAAAAUUAUGCGUGGGACCUACGUGAUAUAAUACUUGCAGUUCUCGAAGGUUUUCCAACUGCACCUCCUUCAAACAUGGGAAUAGUUUGUUUUCUUGUCCCUCAGCGAUAAUAGCUUCCAAUUGAAAUACCACCUGUACUCCCAGUUGUCUAAUACCCAAUUCUUCCAAAUUUUUUAAGCCGUGCUUCAACACUGCUGGAAUCGUGUCACUCAAAUGGGAACAAUUGUCCACAUAUAGAAUUUUUAAGUUCUGAGACAAAUAAAUAAAUAACUUGAUGCAAUUAAAAUUUAUUAGCAGCUAGGAUUAUCACAUGAUAAGUGAUGAAUACCGCAAAAAACAAAAACAGAAAACAAAAUCCAUACAAAAAUAUCAUAAUACAUAUGUAAACUAAUAAAAUAAUUAAAAAGUAAUGGAUUUAAAAAAAAAUGAAAUUAGUUAAAAGAGAUCAUGUGAAGUGAUAUAAAUGUGACAUUAGAUUGUUUUAGAAAAAUUAUUAUUCUAUUAAUUUAUAUGGCUUGAUCAACUAUUUAAUUGAAUUUGAAUAAUAUUAUAUACACUUCAGAAGUAUUUGCAUCAAUUCUUUCUAAACCAAAAUGAGAUAUGACUUUCAUUUGAAGAAUGAUUUUAGGCCCUAUAAUAAAGAAAUUUCUCCAAAAUAUCUGAGCAUUAUUAUUAUCACCACCACAUCCACCACCAUCAUCAUCUCCAUAGGAUCAAAAAAUUAAUGGCUGAUCAUAAAAUUUAUUGCGAAACUAUCAUUUUGAGUAAAAUUGAAUGAAAAGAAAAAACAUGAACCCAAACAAACAUACCUCUUUGAGAUACUGCAAAUUGGCUUCAAGUUCAUUACUGUUGAUGGUCAAGUUGGGACAGUUAUGAAGGUCUAAAUUUUCCAAUGCUGUCCAAAUUGAACAAUAAUUCUCUGAACAUAACUUGGUGAGUUCUGGGAGAUCUUUAAGUUUUAAUUUUCUCAACAAAGGGAGGGCGAGCAUCGUAUUUCCAUCUCCAACACUUAUUCCCCCUUCAUUGUGAUCAAACUUUGCUUCGACAAUAUAUUCCAGUCUCUCGCAAUAAGUCACAAUGAGACUUUUAAGCUGCUCCAAACUUCUAGCUUGUGACAACGUGAAGAUGUAUGUCAACUUGUUGCACAUAUGCACAUUCAAUUCUGUAAGAGUUUGGAGACUGAUCACAUGUUGGGCGGGCGCCUUCCAUAUCCACUUCAGUUCUGGUAAUUGCAACAUAAAUAACUCUGCUAAUCUUGAGAGACUCUUUCUAUGCGGCGACUUAGAGGCAUCCAUUAUGCAUUCUAAAUCUUCGCAAUCGCGGACAUCAAGACAAGUCAACUCAUUUAAGCCCCUUUCAUCUAUGCUUGGCACAAUAUUGUAACAACCUAUAAUCCCACUUAAAUAAAGAAUUUCCAGUUCUUGAUACAAUGCCGAAAAAAUACCGAGCGAGGUCGCUUCAGGAGGGUAAUUAUUAAUUAUUAAGCUCUUUCUCUGACUAACAUAUUUCAUUUUAUCAACAACUCCUUCAACUUUAUAGAUGAUGUACCUUUGCAAUUUCGGGAAUGUAAAGUCUUUUGGAAGACAUACAACAGAUCCGUCGGCUUGGGAGUUCAACUCAGCAAGCCUAGCAUUACUUUCUUCUGAACUCAUCCCUUCAACCUCCCAAUUUUUUAUCCAACCAUAAAAUUCUUCCAAUUGAGGAAAUUUUUUUAUCGUAAUGGGAGAAACAGAACCGGUAUCAAUAAAUAGAAGUUUCAAUCUACGAAGUUCAUCCGACAAUUCUUCAGGAAUUUCAAUGGGAGAAUCCUCGAGAUAAAGAAGUUCAAGUCUCUUCAACUUUCCAAGAAAAGAUGCGUCACUCACAUCACAUCCAAUCAGCUGCAGAACUCGGAGGCUACUGGCGAGGAAUCGAAGCGAUUUUAGUGAAAGGACUCCAUCUUUUAUAAUAACAACUUUCAAUGCUGGCAUCCCUUCAAAAAAAUGUUCUGGAACUUGCAAUUUGUAGUCACAUAGAGUAUUGUCCAAUCGCAAAAUAUGAAGGUUAGGGCAUACCAAACCACUAGGAAGCUCUUCUUCUUUAUUUCCCAUUACAAAGAUUCCUCUGUAUUGUUCCAAGCCUUCUUCCAUUGCCCAUUCUGCCAAUCCAAUGCCAACUUUACCAAAAAAUUUCUUCUCCACUAGUACUUCUGACCCUAUCCAUAUGGCUACAUCACGAACUAUGUCAUGCAUUUUCACAGAUCUGUCAUUACCAGUGUCUAACAGCAGUGAAGCAGCUUUGAGUCCUUCAAUUGUUCCACGCAGUAGGCUUCUGGCGUGCUCUAUUGAUUCAGCUUGAUACCAGGUCAACCCCACUACAUAUCGAACCAAAACCUCCAAAUUAAUCUCAUAAUCUUCUGGAAACAGCGAACACAACAAGAAGCAUAACUUGGAAUUGUCAUCAUUCAAAUUGUCGUAACUAAAUUUGAGACAACCGUAAACGUCUAGGUUCUCCUCAUCAAUACCUUCUAUUGCAUAGAGUUUUGCAGCCUUUAGGUUAUGUAGAGCCAGGUUCCAUUCAUUAAAUCCUUUUCCUCUUAGUGCACUUCCAACAGCUUCAAUAGCUAAAGGCAGCCCGUUACAUUCUCCAGCAACUUCUUUGGAAACAUCAUUCAAGGUGGAGUCAUUUACAUCAAUGCCGGCAUUUUUUCGCAGUAAAGCCAAUCCUUCUUCUGGCGUUAGUGUACUAAGUGGAAUCUGUGUGUCACAACCCAAAGAAUCACAAACUGACUUUUUGCGAGUGGUUAGAAGGAUUUUGCAACAAUUAUCUCUACCACCGACGGGAAUACCUAAUUUUUUCUCCGAGUCGAGUUGUUUCCAAAUAUCAUCAAGGAUUACGAGGAUUUUGCUGCUUUUACUCUCAGAAAACAUCAAGCGCAAUCGGUCUGCUCUCUCUUUUUCAUCUUUCUCAUUUAGUGCCCAGCCUAACGACUUUGCCAGCUCACCUUGAACCUUUAUUAUAUCUGGAUCCUGAGACACAGUGGCUAUCCCCACCUUAUCGAAAAUCUUUUGUUGCCGAAGUUGAUUGCCCACAGAUUUUGCCAAGGUCGUCUUUCCUACACCGCCGAGACCAUGCAAUCCCACCAUCUUUGUGCUGUCUUUUUUCAGUGCUUCAGUGAUCUGAUUACAAGCCGAUUCUGUAGUCUCGAAAGAAGAAAAAAAUCUUGGAAUAGGCAUUUCUGUGUCUGAUGGUAGAGGUUUAGGAAGGGCAACUGUGCUGAAUUUGCCGCGGUCUUGUAGAUCGAACAACUUGAGAGUCUCCUUUGAUGCUUUUCUACCCAUCCAAUAUCGGAAACCCCAAUUAGGACACCAUCCAUUAAAACAACUCUUCUUUUCAUCUAUCUUUGCUUUCAAAUUUCGGACAUCGGCCAUUUCUUCGACUACAUCCGCCAGCCACUUCUCUACAUCUUUCUCAACUACUACAGCGCAGUGUUUUUGUCGUUCUUCUUCUACUUUUUUGUUGAUGCCAUCUUGUGCCUCCUUCAAAUUAGUUUCUUUAUCCUCAAGUUCUUUAACAAUGCUGUUGAAACAGAACAGAUAGCGAGCUUGUUUUACGGUAGCAUCCACCAAUAAUUCUCCAAGCUUUGAUGCAAUACCUGCUAAAAUUUCCAUGCUAUUUAUCUGCAAUUAACAAAGUUGAUCUCAGUACACUAUAAGCAAAACAACAAGGCUUGAUCACAAGAUCGAACGAUAAUGUUUAAUUACUUUUUUAUUGAAUGUUUAAUUGCUUUCUUUUAUUCUAUGAAUGCACGUUUAUUAACGCCAGCUUUGAUCAAUAAGAGCAAAAUGCAAACGCCAGGCUUUAAGUAGCCUUUAGCUGCAAACAAAAGAGAAGAAAUAAGGCAAACGUGAUAGAUGGUGGAUUAUAUUGAAAUUAGAUUACUUUAGAAAUUUUUAAAUAAAAAUAUCAAACAACAAAUUUAAUAGAAUCUAGAUAAAUCGAAGAGUUUGUUGUGCAUUGCGAGUGAAGACAGGCAGUUACAUGGGGGAAUCUGGUAAGAGUGAUGAAAAUUAAAAAGCCAUCCAUAAUUAAAGUUAAAAAGAGUAUUAGAGAUUAGAGGGGUUCAACAUCUUAUGCAAGCCCACUCAUGAUAAAAUUUGAAGAUAAUUAUCCCAUUUUUACUUCAAUCAAUAUUCUAAUACAAUAAUUCCAUAAAUCUCAAAUAAUAUCUUAAGAUUUUUUUUUCCCCAAACACUCAUCUAUUUGAUGAUUAAUUUAAUUAUUUAUUACUCUAUUUUACUACAUAAUUGAUACAAAUGACACUUUGUUUGGGAUGGUAAAGAUUGGGGUAAAUUUCCUUUUAGUCUCUAAAAUUUGGACCUAUUAUAGCUAUUGAACAUACUUUUCAAACGUAAAAUAGUAUUUUCUGUCUAAUAUAAAUUAAAAAUCAAACAAAUUUAUCAUGCAACAAAUGAAAAGUAAAGAAUAUUAAUUAAGUUUUAAUGGAAACAAAUAUAAAAUAUAGAGGUUUUGAUUAAUUUUUGUGAUUUUUUUAAUGUUUGAGUUAGAAUUGAAUAAUUUGCAUAAUGAAAAUUUGAGGUUGUAUAAUUUAUAUGAAGAUAAACUGCAAAAUAAGUUUACAUGCAGAAUUUAAGAUAGUUAUAUAUUAGUAAUCAUGCAAUUAUCAAAUUUUUUAAUAAAAUUUAUUUAAAAAUUGGCCAAUUGUGUUUCAUGAAGUAAACAGAGAGCAUAAUGGACUUAUGUGGGUACUUGGGAUUGAAAGACUAAGGGUCCGUUUGAGAUUUUUUUAGAAGGUUUAAAAGUGAUUUUGAAAAUUUAAAAGCUAAUUUUAGUGUUUGGUACAAAAAAAAUCAAAAUUACUUUUGUCAAAAUCAGCCCCUCCUAUAGCUGAUUUUGAAAAGUAGGGAAUAAGUAACUUUUAGAUUCUGAUUUCGAGAAUCUAUUUUAUCUUUUAAUACAAUUUCAUAAAUAUCGUUAAAAUUAUUAGAUAAACCCAAAAUUAUCCUUAUUCAAAUUGGAAACAAAAUAAAUAUUUUAAUAAAUUAUUAUUAUUAGUCAUUUAUUUUCUCUCAGCAGUUUAACAGUAAAAUUUACCAAAUGUCUAUAACUGCUUUCAAAACUCACAGUACUUCUCAAAACAAAAUUUACCAAAUACUUAACUUAUUUUCUUUACAGCUGAUUAUUUCUACGGCACAACUAACAACAAUUAUUUUAAAAGUUACAACAUUCCCAAACUGACCCUAAGAGGCCCGAAGAUAGGACGGUAUGAAAGUUAUGAAAGUUAAUUUUACUUGUAAGGUAUGUUCAACAGAAGUGACUUGGAGGUGAUUGCCGUUAAUCAAAUAAAUGAAUGAAAAUUAAUGUAAUAAAAAAAUCGCACUAAAAACUUGGAACUUAAAUUCUCAAUCAUCUUUUCCGUACGUUUUAAUCCAACGGUCAGAAUUGGCAUAAAACAAGCUAGUAUAGCCAUUGGAAUUAAGUAAAACAAACAUCAAACUAAGAGGCAAGAGCCUAUGAAGCAAUAAUAUCUCAUACCUUCUUCCGUUUAUAUCUUCAAUUACUGCUGAAAGCUCUAGCUAGAGAGUCGCACAAGCUCGGAGAAAAUUAAAAGCUGCAUCUAGCAAUAUAAAUAAACAUGAGAUCAAAACAACAUAGGAUAUAUCUAGCUAAUUAACAUCAUAUAUAACUCUUUGUUCUCAGUCAAAUCUUUCAUUCUUAGGAGGAUAAAAUAAAAAAAUUUAAAUUUAAAUAUUUUAUUAAUUUUUAUAAAAUAUUUAAAAAAUAUUUUAUAAAAUCAAUUAAUUCAUGGUAUUAUUAAUUUUCAUGAUUAUUUUUAAUAUUAUAUUUGUGAUUAUCAAAUCUAAUACAAUCAAAUAAUGCAAUAAAUUAUUAAAUGGUUAAUUUUAUUGAUAAAUUAUUAAAUUACAAGUAUUGAAAAUUUAAUCUCAAGAGUUAGUAGAAGUAAAAGUACAAAUUUAAUUAGAUCAUAGAUAAUACAUAAAAAAUAAAUUUUAAGUAAAUCAUAAUAAAAAAAUAAUUAUUCAAUCCAUUAAUAUUAGGUGUAAAUAAAAAAAAUGACAUAAACAAAAGUGUCAUAAAUCGACAACUUUUUUCUUUAAUCUUAUCCCAACUAAACCCAUGUGUAAAUUAGGAUUAUUGAUCUCAUGAUUUUAAGAUUAAACUCAAAUUUAGUCCCCCUUAAUCCAAUUAAACUAAACUUGCCAAACAUGGGAUAAAUAUUUAAUUCCAAAAUUAGUCCAAUCCCAUGCUUAGGGCCAGUCUAGGAAUGUUGUACUUUUUAAAAUAAUUGUUAUUAGUUGUGUUGUAGAAAUAAUCAACUGUGAAGAGAAUCAGAUAAGUGUUUGGUAAAUUUUAGUUUUAGAAGUACGAUGAGUUUUGAAAUCAGUUAUGAGCAUUUGGUAAAUUUUAUUUUUAAACUACUGAGAGAAAUCAAAUGACUAAAAUGUACAUUAUAUAGGAUAAAAUUUACUUAUACAUAUAAAACUAUGUAUAUAUAAUAUUUUUAAUUGUGUACUUUAAUAAUUUUUACUAAAAAUAAAAUUUAUAAUAUAUUUAUUUUAUUUCUUUAUUUCUUUAUCUUAAAACAAUUGAUAAUUAAAUUUAUAAUAUGGUGAAACAAAUUUAAUAAUAAUUCGACCAACAAAUUGAUAUUAAUAAAUUUAUAUUGAUAAAUUAUAAUAAAAUAUUAUUAAAAUAUUGAUUUUGUUUACAAUUUGAAUAAGGAUAAUUUUGGGUUUAGAUAAUAAUUUUAAGGAUAUUUAUAGAAUUGUAUUAAAGGAUAAAAUUGAUUUUCAAAAUCAAAAUUUAAAAAUUACUCGUUUUCUAUUUUUCAAAAUCAGUUGUGUGAUGAAUUAAUUUUGACAAAAGUAAUUUCAAUUUUUUCCACCAAACAAUAAAAUUAACUUUUAAAUUUUCAAAACCACUUUUAAACCUCUCAAAAAGCAAUUCCAAAUGGGCGCUUAAUCCAAUCAUCCAAAAUCGGGCUAAAAAGUUGCACUAAAAACAAGCUCGUAUAGCCAUUGGGAGUAAAACAAACAUCAAAUUAAGAGCCUAUGAAACAAUAAUAUCUCAUACCUUCUUUCUCAUAGAUCCUCAAUUACCCCUGAAAGCUCCGGUUAGAGAGUCGCACAAGCUCGGAGAAAAUUAAAAGCUGCAUCCAGCAAUAUAAAUAAACAUCAGAUCAAAACAACAAAGCAUAUAUCUAGCUAACUAAACAUCAUCUAUAACUCCUCGUUCUCAGUCAAAUCUUUCAUUCUUAGGAGAUAAAAAAAAGAUUGAAAUAAUAACUGUAACUGAUAUAGGAAGCAAAAGUAACAUACCAAAACGAGAGCGGCUAGCUCACAGAUCUGGUGACUUCCAAGAGCAUGAAAAAUGAUUGAGGUUUAAUAGCAAGUUCACAGAUGACAGAUGUGGUGACUUCAAGAGCAUGAAAAAUGAUAAAACUUUGGUAGAAAGGUCAGAGCCGCGUUUCACAAGUUGCUAUUGACUUCGUGGCUUCGCUUUUAUUUAUUAUUAUUAUUUUUUUAAAUUCUAUAUCAGUGAGAAUUGAAAUGUGGAAAGUGUAAUGAUACACAUGCCUUAUCAUCUAUCGUGAGGGGUGAUUUGGUAAAACCGAUUUAAAAUAAAAAAGUUUUAAAAAAUUUAAAAAGAUGCUUUGUGUCUGACUGCUUGUAUUUGGGGUAUUUUUCGGGUUGUUGAGAGUGAGUUUAAUUAAAUAUAAGAUUUUCAUUUUUCUUAUUCUAUUUUUCUCUUUAGAAUGAAUUUAAAUCUCAUUCUUAUUAAAUUCAUUUUUUUAAAUGAAAGUAGAUUUCUCUCCACACAUUUGAGAUAUAUUUUAAAAUUAAUGUUCAGUAUAUCUCUAAAUUAUAUUAUAAAUAUUUUUAUUUAAAAUCUCAACAAAUUUCAUAACACACAAAGAGAAAUACAUAUAUAUGUUGUAAUGUUUUAAUGAUGGAUCUCCAAAGUUAUCAAGUUAAAAAAUAAAUUAAAAAAAUAAAAAAUACACACUUCAACUUAUUAUAUGAUAAAAUAUAAUAAAUUAAAGUGAGUAUUAUAUUUAUUUUUUAUUUUAUCUCUUAACUUAAUAACCUAAAAUAUAUUUAUUUAAUAAUGAUUAUAUAUAUAUAUAUAUAUAUAAUUUUUUAAAAAAUAAACAAUUUAAGUGAAGCAAAGGACAUUUUAGAGGCAUUGCGAGACUACCAAUUUACCAUUUUGGGUUGCAAUAAAGUGAAAACUGUAGACUACCAAUCAACCAUUUUAUUGAAUCGGGUCCCGCUGACUUACAGCUUAUGUAAAGUUACAUUCAUAACAAAUUGAUACUUGUCUUUAUUAUAAAUUAUUCUUUUAUUCAAAUAUACGUUCAUUUCUUCAAUCAAGUCCUCAUAUUCGUUCAAUUUAUGAUAAGAUCCUUGUAUGGGAGCAUAUCUGCAUAUGUAAUAAUUAUUCUUCUAUUUCAGAUAGUUUUUGUGAAAAAAUACUUUUAUCAAUUAUUUAUGUUUACUAAUUCUUAUGUCUUUUUUUUAUUACUUUUCAUAGCUCUAUAUAAAUGUUUGCUAUAGAAUUUGUGUUAUUUCGCUAUAAUAUAAUUUAUAUUGUAAACCUCUGUUCAUCUGUAAAUAAAAUGACAAUUUUUUUGUUUACUCCUAAAAAAUAUGAAAAUAUUAAUUUACUCUCAUAUUUAUUUAGAAGACAAUGGCAAAUAAGGUCGCAUUGAUAAUUUUUUUUAUUUACUUAUUAAUUAAUUAGAGUAAAUUAAUAUUUUCAUAAUGAGAGAUACAUUGAAGAUUGUCAUUCUUAGUAGAGGGUAAAUUAAAGUUUAUCUAAUUAAUUUAAAAUAUCAUUAAAAUUUAACAUUCUAAUCUGGAUUAAAUUUCUGGGGGGGGGGGGGGGAGAACGUCCUUAUUCGGAUUAGACUCAGCUGGAAGAGGCACAUCCUUAGCUGGAUCAAUUUGUUCAAGAUUGGAUGCAUCCAUCGGUUUCAAAUUUGUCUCUUGUAAGUAUCAUCGGAUUUCUUUACUAAAAUUUAGAUUAUCAAUCACAUCUAAAACUUAUUGAAUGAUACAUUUCAUUUCUAUAAAAUUGAGUUACUAUUACCACCUCACAUCUUAUAAAUUCUAGAAAAUAAUCAAGGCUUGACAUACUUUUAUUUAUGCAAAAGCAUAAGAAAAUAAUUCAAAGUACUAAUUAGUGCACUAUUACUCAAAAUUCUAGAAUAGAUUUGCUAGUUCUCUUUAGCCAUAGAUUGGUCCAUGAUUGGCACCGCAAUAGCUCAGAAUCACCUCAACGAUUGUUCCACACAGCCCAACAUGACACACUGUAAACUAGUCUAACAUGAACUUUCUGAGUGGCUUUCUAACAAUAGUCUUAGAGAAAGUGUUUAGUAGUAUGAAGUCUUCUUUUUUUAACAUAAAUGUUGGCAUGAUAUUCUUAAUAUAUUUCUAAAAUCAAAAUAAGAUGCAUAGAGGACUAUGAUAAUUUUAUUUCAUAAUUGAAUUUUUUGCAAAGAAAGUUUGAACAUGAGAGUGAUGAGAGAUGAUAAUAUUGAUGAUGGUGUGUACUUUAGAUGGAAAAAUAGAUUGGAAAUAUAUAUAGACAUAUUAAAAGAAAAAAAAUUGGUCUAUUUCAUAAGAGAAACAAAAAAUUAUAAACGCGGGUGUUAAAAUAUAUUCAGAAUUUAUAAAUUUUUAUAAAUAUGAUAAUCAUUAGACCCUUAUAAAAGUAUAGCAAAAAGUUUAAUUUUUUUUAAUAAAUGUCGAAGAGAUGGACGAAGAAACCAUCCACCAGUUCAGAAUUAAUAAUCAAAGAUAUGAGGGCUUGAUUGAAGAAAUGGUGAAAAAUAAAAGGACAGUAGGACACUGGGUUGGUUAGCGGGACCCUAAUAUUAAUGGUUAAAAAUAAAAGAACACUGGGUUGGUUAGCGGGACCCUAAUAUUAAUGGUUAAAAAUAAAAGGACACUAGGUUGCUAUCAAUUUCUACCGUGUAGGUUCAUAGCCGGGGAAGUAAUUGGGCACAAAUAUCUCGGAUGAGAAAUAACCAUUUUAUCCCGCAACCAUAUGUUUAUGGCCUCUAAAAAUUUUCACCUCUUUCACUUCUGGAACCCGUGCUUUCUGGCACAUGCACAAUACUUGGUUGCUACUUAUAGAGCGUUUUUAGAAUUGCAACGACAUGGUGCUCUUUGAUAAUUAAAAAAUCCAAUAUAAUUUAUAGAGAAUUACAGAAUUGUUUGGUACGUGAUAAUUUGCUGAUGCAAUGAGGCGCCGAAAUUCUUAUACAUGUGAUUUAAGUUAUAUAUGUAUAGUUAAGUACUUAGCAAGCACUAGUUGGGGGUAUUUGUGUCCAUGGAAAUCUACAGCUGGUUGUUGACAUUACACUGCGGGUGUGUAAUUAUUACAUAUGCAGAUAUUCUCCCAUGCGAGGAUCUUAUCAUAAAUUUAAAGGAUACGAGGACUUGAUUGAAGAAAUGAACGAAUAUUUGAAUAUAAAAAAAAGGGUAAUUUUUAAAAACCUCUCCUGAGGUUUGGGCUUGUUGCAAGUAGAUGGCGAGAAUUUACUUAUUUGUAAAAAAUUCCCUACCAUCAGUUAACUUUAAUAUUGACCGUUAGUUGACUGUACAAAGACAAUAUUACCCUUAACAACAGUUUGUAGAUUGAAAUAACAAAAAAAAAAAUUAAAAUUGUUGGCUAUUUUACCCUCUUUAAAUUAUUGAUAUUUUCUUAAAGUUCCUACAAGAAAGAUAAAAUUAAAAAAUUAAAAAAUCUUCUUUAAAUUAUUGAUAUUUUCUUAAAGUUCCUGCAAAAAAGAUAAAAUUAAAAAUUUGAAAAUGAAAUAGUUAUAAUAUUUACCUAUGAUAUUGUAAAUCUUUGGAAUUGACAAGGAUAAAAUUGUCAAAAAAUAGGGUUUGUGCUUUUCGCGCCAACAAUUUUAAUUUUUUUUUUAGUUAUUUCCGUGUAUAAACUGUUGUUAAGGGUAAUAUUGUCUUUGCACAGUCAACUAACGGUCAAUGUUAAAGUUAACUGACGGUAGGGGGUUUUUUACAAAUAAAUAAAUUCUCGCCAUCUACUUGUAACAAGCCCAAAUCUCAGGGAGGUUUUUAAAAAUUACCCAAAAAAAAAUUUAGAAUAAAGACAAGUAUUAAUAUACUAUGAAUGCAACUUACAUAAGCUGUAAGUUAGCGGGACACUAUUGAAUCACAAGCAAAAAGCAAUCUGACUUCUUCUUGAUUCCGUAAUUUGGCUGUCAAAAUGUAAUCUAUAAAAAUUACGAUACCUCGAUUCAAAAAAAUGUUGUUUCUGAUGAAAUAAAUGAAAAUUGAACGUACAAUCUGCCACGAACACUGUUUAAUUAACCGUUUAUUUCCCCUUAAAUUUUUAAUCUCAAUGAAACAUAGAUCUAAUGGGAACUACAUAUAUAUAAAAAUACUAUAGAUUGAAGAAGUUGAAUUUUUCUUGUGUGUUAAGUAUUUUUAGUUAAUACGAAAGGAUUCUAGCAAGUUAAUACAAAAGUAUCAUAAAUUCAUAGUAGUAAAAGAGAUUUUUUUUUUCUUUUGAUAUUAAGAGUUUUCGAGAUAAAAAAAAAAAAAAUAGGUGAAAGAAGAAGAUGAGAGAAGAAAAAAUAUUAAGAAUAGUUUUGACAUUUUGAUGCGUUUUAUAGAAUAAAAUCUAUAUUUUAUAGUAUAAAAUGGUACACCCAAAAUUUAAUGAUAAAAUUUUAGGAAAAAAUUGCACUCGUCAAAAAAAAAAAAAGCUCAGCUUAGCCCAAAAUUUUUUUAUUAAUCUUCUAGUCGCUAAUGUAAUCUCUUUUUUAUGAGAUUCUUUGGCGUUUUAAUUUAGUCCAUUGUUAGCAAUCCUAAUAGCUUUUAUGUGCAUCUAUUUUUAUUUGAAAUAUGUUUCAAGCUUUAUAUAAAAAAAAAUAUAUAUAUGUUUCAAGCUUGAAUAAAAUCUGCGAGACAACUGGUAAGUAAUAAAGCUCAUCAUUUUUUAUUUUGAAAAUAAAGGGAAUCACUUACACUUAGCAUGAUAUUAUUUUUGAUAAGUCAUUUUUUUGGUAGAUUAUUUUUUCUGACACGCUCUUAGAUUUAGUGAAAAUAAAUUGUAUACUUUUAAUGAAGAAAAGUAAAGAUCAACAAAAUAUUUUGUUGUUUUCGACAAUUUUUGCGUUGUCAAGUGUGCCUAGUACCCUUUUUUUUUUGAACUUUUGAGUUGUUGUUUAAUUUGUAUUAUAAUUAAUUAUCAUGGACCCACGCGCCAUUGUUUCCAUUUCAAGUUUCAUAAUUUAACCGUAGAAAUGGGUUCCACAGAUAAUUUAUUUUAUAAUUUUUUUAAAAAUUACUAAAAUAUAAUAAAUAAGGUAAUAAUAAUUAAUAAAAAAGUAGAUUUUAAGAUGGAAAAAUCUUUUCGUGUACUUAAUAAAAAGAUGAUAAGAAUGGGAUGCUUUUGGUUUACAUUCUCAUAGCUAUUUAUACUGAAAAAUUACAUCAAAAUUUAAUUAAUAAAUCAGUGAACUGCAGACUUAUUAAAUUUAAGCUAUUUUAAUAAGUCAUAAAUAUACUAAGUUAAAAUAGUAGUAAACCCAUUGUUACAGAAUACUCUCCAUUGAGUGUUCACCAUUUUAAGAUAAUCAUAAAAUGACACCGGAAGUGCUAUUAUAGCUGUCUCAUGGAAAGCCUUCACCAAUAAAAAGGAGGAUAGAGCACAUACAUCCAGUUUUUAUACCCUUUGAUGCUCAGUCGACACGUGCCAAUGCUAUAGACUAGCUGAUAAUCUACUAAGGUGACGCAUGCCAAUGCUAUAGACUAGCUUUUCAAAGGUUGAAGUGGGUGUACAUUUAGUAAAAAGACCUGCACAAUUAUAGUGUACCUAUUUGACAUCAACUUUUUUUAUCUGCUGGAGCUUAUGAUUAUAGAAGAUCUUCGGUAAGAUGUGUUUGAUUUUAUCUUCUUUUAUAUAUCCUCCUCUAACUUGUGUAACAGUAGUAAACCCCUGCCCGUUUUUAUUUCGUUUAGUAUUUUCCAAAUGGCCGAAGGAAAAUUGGUAAAAACUCAUUUAAAAAUUAAAAAAAAAAUCAAAGAAAUUCAAGAAGAAGCUUUUGUAUCUGCCAUUUGUAUUUGGGGUAUUUUUUUGGUUGUUAAGUGAAUGAGCUUAAAUCUAAAACAUUUAUUUAUAUAUUUCUUGUUGGAAAGAAUUAUAAAUCUUAUUCUUAUUAGACUUAUUCUCUUUAAAUAAAGGUAGAUUUUUCUCUAUGUGUUUAACGUGUAUUUUAAAAUUAAUGUUCAACAUAUCUUUAGAUUCUAUUAUAAAUAUUCAUAUCUAAAAUCUCAACAUAUUUCAUAAUAUAUAAAUAUAUAUAAAGAGAGAAUAACGUUUCUAAUAAGAAAUUUAUUAAGUAAAAGAAUAAUUCAAAAGAUAAAAUAACACACUCUAAUAUAUUAUAUAAUAAAAUAUAUUGUAUUAAAAUACAUAUUUUGUUUACUUUUUUUAAUAUAUCUCUUAAUAACUUAAGAAAUCCUUUAUUUAACUAUAUAUAUAUAUAGAGAGAGAGAGAGAGAAAUGUUUGCGGGAAAUAGUUUUAAAGGUUUAAACUGUAAGCUUUGAAAGCUGUGAAGUUUUAAAAAUUUUUCGAAUUUUCCCGCACUUUAAAAUUACUGACCGGAAAACUAUUAUAUAUAUAUAUAGUUUUUUUAAAAAUAGACAAUUUAUGAGUUAAACAACGGACAUUUUUGUCGGCCAAUACAUCAACUUUUUAGCUGGAUUAUUACCACCAUCAAAACUAAAUUAUUGCAAGCACUAGCAAAAAGCAAUCAAUGAUUUCGCAAUUUGGCUGUCAAAAAGCAAACUAGAUCACGAUUCCUCAACUAAAAAUGGUGCUUUUUUUUAUUAAAUAAGUGAAAAUUAAACCAACAAUUCAAAAUAUAGGAUUGUAGAUGCGUAUAAACUGAAGAAUAAACUGAAGAAGGUAAAAUUUUUCGCGUGUGUAAAUAUUUUAGUUAACAUGAAAGAAUUCUAACAAAGUUAAUAUAAGAGUAUCAUAGCAGUACAAGAGUAAAUAUAUAUAUGUGUGUGUGAGUGAAGGAAGAAAAAAAAAUUAAGAAUAAUUUUGGCAUUUUGAUGGGUUUUAUAGAGUAAAAUCUAUAUGUUCAAAUAUGAUAAUUCUUUAAUUUAAUUUGGUGUUAUGAAAUAAAGGGCAUUUUAAAUAUGUUUUAAGUUAUAAAUAACUCCAUCCAAAAUUUAAAAAUGAAAUCUUAGGGGGUAAACAAUUUCACCCGAACUAACAAAAGCCCUAGCCCGGAGGCCCAGAGUAGCCGCGGCUUUUUUCACCAAUCUAAUUAUUUACGAGGAAUAUGAGACUGAGAUUCUCUACCACUCCAAUUUAUCGCAUUGUUAGCAAUCCUAAUAGCUGUUAUAUAUCCUAUUUUUAUUAAAAAAUGUGGAUCCGGAUAUAGAAAUUUGGGAUCCGCACAAAUCUAGAUGCAAGUGCAUUCGGAAAACCAGAUAUCGAGAUCCGGAUAAAUUUUAUUUUAAAUUAAAAAUUAAAUGAAAAAUUAAGAAAGUAAAUUUUAUUUAUGGAUUAAUGAUGUCGUUGUAUAUUAUUCAUGUUGAAUUAUCAAUUGUUGGAUUAUGAUUGAAUUUUAUUUGAUAUUAUUGGGCAAAUUAUUGAAUUUUAUUUUAAAUUAAAUAAAAAUAAAAAAUUAAAUUUUAUUUGUAGAUUUAUGAGAUUAUUGUAUGUUAUUCAUUUUGGAUUGUUAAUUGUUGAAUUAUGAUUAAAUUUUAUUUGAUAUUAUUAGGUAAAUUAUUAAACUUUUAAAUUAUAUAUUAAAUUAUUUAAUUUUAAUUUUUGCGGAUCUGAAUAUUCAGAAUAUCCGCCUGCAUCGGUUACGGAUAAUACCCGCUUCUGGAUCCACAUCUUUUUCUACGAAUCCAAAUAUAGAAAUAUGAAUGCGGAUCUAAAUUCGGAUUUUGCUGACCCUAAACUUAAGAAUGAAUGUGCCUAAAGUUUUUACAACGAACAUGGAUCAUUCAAUGACAUGACAUGUUUUGCAGCUUUCAUUAGUAUAAUUGAAUAAUUAAUUCAUCUCUAUAUUCAGCUUACACCGUCUCAAAUUACAUGCAAAUACGAAAGUACACUUCUGAAUCGUUCACUUGAGGAAAAUUAAUUUUAACUCAAUAAGUCGUAAUUCUCCACGUAGAAUUUUAAUUCAAACCAUAGCAAAUUAGACAUAAUUCUAAUUUAUAUGGGAAAUAUAAUUAGCGAAGACACUCUUUAUAUAAACAUUAUUGUCAUAGGAUGCCAAACCUAAUAAGAUUCAAGGUCUUAACAUACUUCAUAUGAAAUUUGAUCUUGGCGCGUACCGACACGCAUAACAUCAAGACUCUACUUCAUAUAUUAUAAUGUAACUUCAUGGAUUUUUCGCUCUCUUGUGAAAUUGACAAUUAUAGGCGCUGUGUGGCAGUGGUACAUAAUAAAAUAAACGUUUAUUUUUAGAAUAUUAUUAUUUAUCUCAAUUUUUUAUUUAAUAGUUAAUUUUAAUCAAUUCUUAAACUGUCAUAAUCAAUUAAUUUUUUACAUUAUGGCAUCUUAAAUAAAUUUUGGAUCUGUAAUAAAUAAAAACUGGUAACGUUUGUUCUUUUAAAGCAUAAAACAACCGUAACAUUGGUUUUUACAUUUUGAAUUUUUCUUGCAUCACUAUUUAGAAAAAUGAUGUUAAAUCAACUCACAAAAUAUAUCAAGCCAUCUAAAAUCCAAAUAUUAUUACAUUUGUAUUUGCAUUGUUAAAUUGUUGGAACGACGGCAAAGCAAUUGAAAAGAUAUUAACAAAAAAUAAAGAUUGGCCAAGGAUUAUUUAUGUUUAGGAAAUGCCUUAACUUUUGAUAUAAUCAUUGUGAUAAUUAUAUUGUAGAAAUAAUCAAUUACCUAAUGUUUGUGGUGGUAAAAAUUAUUAACUUGUUUUAGUAUACCCGUGUUUAUGGUGGUCUCCUUUUUGUCCAAUUCUGUACAACAAAAUAUUUGCAUGUUUUGAUAGAAAUUGGUUUAAAUGACAUUUGAAAUAGUAUAUCCCCAAACAAUUAACGAAAUAUUUGGAUGGUAGGAUGAAGUAAUAUAGUUUUACAAAUUACCAUAUUAGAGGUUAAAAAAAAUCAAGAGGUUACUAACUACAAAUUUUAACACAAAAAGUUUAAUUAACUUUUCUUUUUGAGAUAACAAAAUCUCUGGUGUUGAAAACAAUGAGGUUUGAGGUUCAAGCUUGAAUAUCAAGUUACAAUUAGUAGAUGGUCUUAGGACAAAUCAAAGAUUUCUUUAAAGACAAAAUAAUAAUUACAAGCAAUAGGAAUUUAUGGUAUUCAGAACAUGUAACCUUCGCACAUGAAGCUUGAAUCCAGAACAAGAUGCAGCUAGCCAAUCCUUCCAACUUCCAAAACCCCACAAAAUCUCUGUCAACAUGUCUGCUCUACUUCAAUAUUAAGCACAUUCAUAGCGGUAUCAACAGCUUACAGCUCCAAAAUAUUUUCCCCAAAAAGAGUGAGAGAUUUCACUGAAGCUAAGUUGUGACUUGUGACUUGUGAGGCCAUCUUUUUUUAUAGUAAGCGUACGCCUCUAAUGCUUUGCCAAGUGUCCAUUGAUAAUAUCACAAGGGCAAUUAAAUUGGUGUAUGUGUAUUACACCUCCUAAAGUCAUGUUAAGAUAGUUAGUGAGCCGAUAAAGUUUGUUGCACGUGUGAGUUGGUUAAGUCUGCUAGAAUUGCAAACAUGUAAAGCUGAGUCAGCAAGUUAGUUAAGGUUAUUAUGAAUGCUUAGAUUCAGCAAGUUAGUUAAGGUUAUUAUGAAUGCUUAGAUUCAGCAAGUUAGUUAAGGUUAUUAUGAAUGCUUAGAUUCAGCAAGUUAUGGUGUUGAAAAUGCUGUUGGUGAAAGCUCAGCUGAUAGAUCUCAGGAGAAUCCAGCCUUUGUUGCUUGGAAAAGGUAGGAUCAAUUGUUAUUAAGUUGGCUCAUGUCCUCCAUCAGUGUUGAGAUACUUAGUCUUGUGGUAAAUUCUGAUUCUUCUCAUAAACUUUGGACUAAUCUUGAAGAAAAUUUUUGGAUUAGAAACUAUGGCUAAGAAAGCACACGUAAAAAUGAUGUUAAGCAAUCUCAGAAAGGGAUCAAUGACAAUAACUGAGUAUUUUGCCAAACUUAGAGCUGUAACUAAUAAACUUGCUCUAACUGGUAGCCCUGUUUCUACUCUAGACUUUAUUACUCAUCUAAUCUCUAGAUUAGGCCAGCCAUACUACCCUGUUGUUUUGUAUAUUGAAGCUAAUAUGAUGAAAAUAUUUGUCAAUGAAGCCUACUCUAUGCUUUUAACUCAUGAAGCAAGAAUUAAAUUUAAUCAUCCGAGUGCAAAUAAAGAAGCAAAGUUGAAUUAUGCUGCUAACAUAGCUUAGGCUGGACCUAGUAAUAACAAUAAGAAGUCUAGUAAUCAAGCUAAUUACUAUCAGGGCAACCAAGGUAACGGGAAUAGAAAUGCUCAUUGGUGUGGUAACAAUGGAGGAAGAGGUGGCUUUGGCAGAGGUUUUUCAGGGCAAGGAAGGAGUAAUUAGAAUAAUGGUGGUCAUUGGAACAAUGGACCUUGGAGUAGUAGUCGAGCAUGUUAUAAUUGUUCUGAUAUAAACAUUAUGACAUGGUUGCUGGUGAACCUGUAAACAUAACCACAAAAGUAAGAAGGCAUAAUCUUUUUAUAAGAAACUCAAAAAUGUAUUAAUGAUGAAAAUUUUAAAACAGAUAAUGGACCAGCUGUUCAUUAAGAAAACAAAAAACUGAAUAUUUGUGCUAUAAAAAGGCACACCUAAUCUCACCCCUAUAAAAGGCUAGAAUCAGCUACAAAUCCCUAUCUCAAAACCCCAUCCUAGUUUAGAUGAAUGAAGAAAAAAGAUGAAUCUUGAAACUCCUUAGAAACUGAAGCCCAAAGUGAAGCAAGAAGAUGAACUCUAUCCCAAGCAAGCAAUAUGGCAUAUUUCUCCAUUAAUGGUUCAAAUAAAGUGAAUGGCUUUCUCUGAUGAAUGGGAAAUUGUCAAGAUCAAUAGUCAAACUCACGCAAAGUAAACGGACUUAAUUCUCAGUGGCUACUCAUUCUAAGUCUUAAAGAAAAAUUUUCUAAUUUCUAAAGAUUAUAUGGGGAAAAAUCAUUAUUUUCUAACAUGUAAAAUUUGAUACGGUGUUUAAUGUCUUAUCACAAUCAUAAUAUGAGUACUAACAAAAACAUCUUUAAUCGGCAUGGUGCGAGUAAAACACCAUCACUUCAUCUUUGAUGGAAAGAUGAUAAUAUAAGGAAAUGGUGAAAUGGUUUUGGUCCCUGGCAGCUUGUAAUCAAAAGAAAACAAAAAACUACACUAUUAUUAAUGAUUACCGAAGCUACAGAAGUAUCAAAAUCGGAAAGCAAACAAUUGCAAAACACAUCAAUGACUGAAGGUUAGGUUCUAAAACUUCCGUAUUUAAUUUUCAGAGCAUGUUAUGUAUUAUUCAGAAAUAUGCUUUCACUUCAGGCACUUGACCAACACGCAUUAAACAUAAAACGCGGCGUUUUCAUGGACUAGUACAUUCCAUGCUUCGAAAGUUUAUAUUUUAGACUAAUUGGUUUGAUACAUUAUUUGUUUAUUGCGUUUUUCUUGCUUUAAAUAUUAUGUUGGAUUGAUAAGUUUUGUACACAUUUAUAUUGCUCGCAGUAAAUAAUUUAUGACAUUUAAAAAACUAUCAACCGUCUAUCAAAAGAUUUCUACUAUAAAUAUAUAUACACAAAAAACUUUUAAUUUGGUCAAUUUUUUCUCUUAUUUAUUUUUGUUCUAUUUCUCUUUUCCUUCCCUUUCAUUUUAUUGUUUUAUGGUACAAAAUAAAAAAAAUAACCUUAAAAUUUAAGGGUAAACUACUCAUUUUACUAAAAUUCCGUUUAAUAUUAUAAAACUGUCAAAUGUCAAUGGCAUAGUACACGAGUGAUACAAAUUAAAAACAAUAAAUUGAAAGUUUUUAUGCAUUUUCGUUUUAUUUUUUUUAUAGCCGAUACAAAUUAAAAACAAUAGGUUUAGACCGUUUAACAAAUCUUAAAUUAAAAAAACCCGUGGUGUAAUAACAAACUCACAUCAAACCCUGUCCACCGUCAUCCCUAAUUAUAUUUACCACUUCAUACUCACAGUGAUAAUUAUAUUACCGUUAAGAAUGAAGCAGAAGAGUUUCCCCAAACAAGCUAAAACACCGCACUUCAAUUUAAAGAAUUUUUAUAUCACAGUACCGGGACAAAAAGUUUAAUGCAACAACAUACAUUAAGUUAAUUCCAUAAUCUAUCCCCAAAGAAAGACAAACACAAGCUUAUAAGAUUAAAACUUUGGAAAACAUUAAAGAGUCAGACAAAAUUGUGUAAUCUUCAGAGUUUGGAGCCUAGUUCAUCCAGGAAAGCAAAAGAAAUAAUAAUAAUAAUAAUAAUAGUGGUGGUUUGAUCUCAAAAGGUGGCAUCAAAGCAAUAACGUCUUCAACUUCCAUUCAACCCAUCAUCCACAAAAUCACCAACCCGUUUCACCUUCAUCUCCUUGGGCUUAACAGGGUACUUUCCAGAGAAGCAAGCAAAACAAAAAUUCUGAGAAUCAUUGCCUAACAACUUGUUCAAGCUGUCAAUCGGCAGAAAAGCAAGCGAAUCACACCCAAUAAACUCCCUGAUUUCCUCAACGCUCAUCCUGUUGGAAAUCAACUCCUCAGUACUUGGAGUGUCUACUCCGUAGUAACAAGAAGCUAUGAUUGGUGGGCUUGCAAUUCUCAUGUGAACCUCUUUAACUCCAGCCUCCUUAAGCAACCUAACAAUUUUUGAUGAAGUUGUUUCUCACACUAUCGAAUCAUCCACAACCACAACUCUCUUUCCCACCAACCACAACCUUACAGGAGAGAGCUUAAGCUUGACACCAAAGUCCCUAAUUUUCUGGGAAGGCUCAAUGAAAGUUCUCCCAACAUAAUGUGGCCUUAUCAACCCUUGUUGAAAUGGCACCCCGGCUUUUGCAGCGUACUCAAGUGCAGCCACCACUCCAGAAUCUGGUACUGCAAUCACGACAUCACACUCAACAGGAGCCUCGGUAGCAAGUACUUCCCCAAAAUGAUACCUCGACUCAUAAACAGACCUUCCAAAAACAACAGAAUUAGGCAAAGCAAAAUAAAUAUGCUCAAAGAUGCACUGCUUAGGUUCAGGGUGAGGCAUCAAACAAGGUGAUUGAACCCCAUCUUUAUCCACCAUCAAAACUUCACCGGGAUAUACCUCUCUCUCUCUCUCUCUCUCUCGCGUAUGUGGCCUCAAUCAAAUAGUGCAGUGCACAAGUCUCUGACGCAAAAACCAGAGCACCAUUACUCCUCCUACCCAUCACCAACGGCAUAAACCCAUACGGGCCACGAACCGCAACAAGCUUAUCCUCAGUAACAAACACCAUUGAAUAAGCACCCUCAAGCUUCUCACAAACAUCCACAAUCCUCAAAAAGAACGGCCUAGCUUUCGAUAUCGGAAUCAAAUGGAGAACAACCACAGUAUCAGAACUAGUAUUACAAAAUGGAUCCAUUAUCUUCAAGCUUAGCCCUCAAAGUAUUAUAAUUAACUAAUGUGCAACACCAACAGAACCAAACCUGUACCCAGCAACAAAAGGCUGCACAUUCUUAAGCAUAGAACUACCCGCAGUCGAAUAUCUAACAUGACCAAUGGCCAUAUCACCCGGCAAUUGAUCAAGUUUAGACUGAUUAAACACAUCAGAGACUAAACCAACACCAGUAAUAGACUGAAGAACUUUGUUAUUCACAGCAACUAUACCUACAUCUUCUUGGCCGCGAUGCUGCAUCGCGUGUAGCGCCAAAUAGCACAAACGCGAGGCCUCUGGGUCACCAUAGAUGCCCACAACACCACACUCCUCACGGGCUUAUCGUCGUCAUCAUCAUCAAAACUGCCAAAACCGUCAUCUGGGUAUUCUUUAUUUGUGGUGAAAAACUCAGAGAUGGGGUUUUUUGAUAGAACAGUGAAGUUUUUUUUGUGGGUUAAAGAUUGUUGUUUCCGAGGAAAAAAAGGGUUUUUUUGCAGGGUUUUGGAGAAAAGAAAAAGAUGGGUUUUUUUGCGACGGCUUAGGGUUAGCAGAGGGAGAUGGGUUUGAGAGAGGGCAGAUAUUGGCGGUGCCUGUUGUGGUGGCUGCCAUUAAUGGCUGAAUUUAUUUUGUUUUAUUUUAUUUUUUUGGGUUGACUUGCUCAAAGAAAAAAGAGAGGAGGUGUGGAGGGAGACGGUGGCGAAGGGUACUUUAAGUAGAGGGUUACUUGUUCUAGGUUUUUUUCUGGAAUUGUGAGGGAAUCUGAUCCUGUGUUUGUGCAUAUGAUUCAAUUACUUAUAGGUUUAUUGUUGUGUCACCACAAAUUCUAAUUGGGAAGCUUCAGCUGUCAAAUUUUUUCCAAGGGUUUAUUAGGUAGAACUUUCAUGUCGUCGAAUUUAUUUAGAGAUUCUAAAAGUAGUUUCCAAAUAAAGAGAUGGACCAAAAUCAACAAUGUGAAACAGAUACUUUAGAAAUUUUUUCCUAUUCCGAAAGCAAUAGGAAUGUUCCAAUGCAUUGCUCCUACCAGAUUUGGAAUUAAACUUAGUUUGUGUUUUCCUAUUCCGAAAGCAAAACUUAUACUUACUGUAUAAGUGAUAUUCUAAUAAGUAGAAAUUAAGAACCAUAACAAAUUUGAUGAUUCUAAUUUGCUAGAAAUAUUGUAAUCCAAAACUAAGAAAGUUAAAACCAAUUAUUAGAAGAAAAAAGCAAGACGGAAGCUCCCAGAAUAUUGUUAUGUGUUGUGUGUUUUCAGUGUGUAUUUCUCAAUCAAUAAUGAAAAGUAAGUACACAUGUUACAAAAAUUUAAUAAAAAAGAUUGGAGGUGACAAAACCUUCAAUCUUCUAAUUAACUUUCUCUGCAUUGGAAUUUCCUUAGUUUGGUAGAGAUUGCUUAAUUGGUGUAUCUAUUAUAAACACCGUAAGUCAAAGUUAAUGUUUUAAUUGUUAAGAAAAGUUAGAAGAAGAAAUUUUUGCAUAAGAGAAUUGGGUUUAAAUUGAGAAUUCUUUAGGAGGAAAUGAGUCUAAAUUCUAACACUAUAAUUUAGCACUAUUUAUAUAUAUAUAUAUAUAUAUCAUUAAUUGGGUGAAAAAUUAGGGUACGCCUAUGUUGUAACAGUUGCAAAGUACCACUAAUUUUUAUCUUUUGUGAUGUCAAAUUUCAUUUAAUCUCUUAUUUUUUUUUUAUAAUUUAUUUAUAACGUUAUGUGUUUUGGCAGGUGAAUUUUUAAAAUAUAAUUUUAUUUUAUUUAAUAUAAUUUAUUUUUUUUCUUUAUAAUUUAUUUAUAAGUUUAUGUGGUUUGGCUGACGAUCUAUUAAAAUGUAAUUUUAUUUCAUUUAAUAUCAUUUAACUUCUAAAAGAACAAAUAUAACAAUAAGCCUUUAACUAGAUAAUAUUAACUAAUAUUUUUAAUAAAAUAAAAUAUUAAAAAUAUAUUCUUUUAAAUAAAAUAAAUAAUAUUAAAAAAUAUUUAUUUUUUAGGACUCACAAUUGCUUAUUCUAUUUUAUUUAAUAUUAUUUAAUUUUGAAAAAUAAAUAUAAUAAUCUAUGAGUAAAUAAUAUUAAAUAAAAUCAAAUAAAAAUUAUUAAAAAUAAUAUUAAUUUUUUUUAGACUCAUUAUUGAUUAUUUCAUUUUAUUUAACAUUACUUACUUUCAUGAAGGAAUAAAUAUAACAAUAAGCCUAUGACUAUAUAAUGUAAAAUAAAAUAAAUAAAUAAUAUUAAAAAUAUUUAUAUUUAAUAAAAUAAAUAAUAUUAAAAAUUUAUCUUUUUGAAUAAAAUAAAUAAUAUUAAUUACAAAUUAUAUUUUUUUAAGACUCACAACUGAUUAUUUAUUUUAUUUAAUAUUAUUUAGUUUUUUUAAAAGAAUAAAUAUAAUAAUAACUCUAUAACUAAAUAACAUUAAAUAAAACAAAAAUAAAUACUAUACAUAAUAUUAAAUAAAAUAAAAUAAAUUAAUAUUAAAAAUUAUAUUUAUUUUUUAAUGCUUACUACUGAUUAUUUUACUUUAUUUAAAAAAAUUUAAUUUUUUGAAAGAUUAAAUACAACAAUAAACUUGUAACUAAAUAAUAUUAAAUAAAUGAGAUUAAUAAUAUUAAAUAAUAUUUUUAAUAAAUAAAUGAUAUUAAAAAUUAAUUUUUUAAAUAAAAUAUAUAAUAUUAAAAUAAAAUUUAUUUUUUAAGACUCACUACUAAUUAAACAACAUAAAAUUUUAAACAAUUUGGACUUAUGUGAUAAAAGUUUUAAUUCUUUAGCUCUUUUGCGUUUUUGAUAAAUAGCAGGGAGCAUAAUGUUAAUAUUCAAAUAAACAAAUCUCUACCCUUCAAUCUAUCUUUUCAUUAAAUCCAAUGAUGAAGAAUUGAAACCAUAAAAAAUAAAAUUAGGUGGUACCUUGCAACUGUUGCAAGGUAGUUAAGUCCAAAAAAUUACAUUUGAUGUGAUUUUGAUCGUUUAUUUUUAUAUGAUGGUAAUUUCUUGUUCAGAGUGAAACUAGGGGUGGGUACGGUUCGGUUCGGAUCGAAAUUAAGAAGAAUCGACUUAAAUCGGUUAUUUUAUAAAAAGAACCGAAUAAGAACUGAAUUCAAUAAGAACUGAUUUAACAAGAUUCGUUUGAGUUCGGUUCGGUUUGGUUUGGUUUUUUUCGGUUCUGGGCCUAUUGACCCUAUUUUGAAUUUCUAAAUUUUUAGCUCAUUGGGCCUCAUGAAUGUCAUAAUUUUUUUCAACAAUUAAUUCAUCCUAAUUUCAUUACAAAUAUUAACAAUAAAUACAAAGUAUUCAAAACACAUUUGAUCACUAAUAUCUUACUAACUACUAAUAAGGUACUCACUACUCACAAAAUAUGAAAUAUUAAGAUUUCAAAAUACAUAACCAAACUCUAAUACUCCAUCUACAUAAACAUAAUGUUGUAAAGACAAAUAAAAAUAACAACAGUGAUUCGGUUCUUCGGUUCGGUUUUUUCGGUUCAGUUGAGUGAACCGAAUAUCGAACCGGUAUUUCGGUUUUUUUAUAAAUAAUAUAUUUAAGUUUUUUUUAACAAUUAAAACCAAACCAAAUUAGAACCAAACUGUCGGUUUGGUUCUUUUUUUAAGAAUACAGUUUUUUUGUCCAGUCCUAAGUGAAGCUAUUGGCACCCUUUCGCUAUAUUUAUAAAAUCCUACUUCAAAUAAAAAUUACACUUAAAGACAAUAGAAUUAAACAAACAUGUUUUUUUUUUCCCAAACAAAUUACUUACAUUCAUAAUUAUUUUUCUUCUAAUUUUCUACAUGUUGCUUCAUAUCUAAGUAAAAUAAAUUGUAUAAAUUUAGAAUAAUCUAUUAUUCUUUUUAAAUUUCAUAUUGAUUAAAUACUUUUGUGCUUAAGAUUGCUUUAAAAUUAUAAGAUAAAAUAUGUGUAAUUUAAGCCAAUGAUUAACAUUCAAAAUUUUAUCUCUCAGAAACAUUUUUAAUUUGUGUGCAGGGUAAUAAUAAAAUCGUAAAAGAAAUAAAAAAUAGCAUAACACUACUUUGAGUUUAGAAAAUAAAAAAAUUAAACAGAAAAUUAGAAGUGUAAUCUAAAAAAAGGAUAUUUUGUAAAAUAAAAUAAAUAUAAUUAAAACAAGGUUUCAUGAGGGGUGCAAUAGUUCAACUCUUUUGUGUAAAGUUUUAAGAUGUUAGUAUCCGUAGCUUAGUUUUUCCCUAAUUAUUAUAUGAAAAUGUAAUAACAAUGCUGAUCACCCCAAUCUCAUGGAGGUCAAAGAUUUUGGUCAUACCGCAUGAAUUAGUGCUUUUGGUUGGCAAAUACUUGUAUAAAUUUAUUAACAUUAAAUAAUUUGACCAAGACUACGUAAUGCGCCGCCUGAAGACUGGAGUCAUCGUAUUUUAUACGUCAAAAGCGCGUUUCAGUUCAAUAAGCCAUACAUGUCGUUUAAUAUGACCAUUUUGUACUUUUUUUAUAAAAAAAAAAUUAUUUAUUUUAUUAAAAUAUUGUUUAUUUAUUUAUUUUUUUUAAAGGUAAAGAGGUGUGUAAAAUCUAAAUUCAAUUUUUAUCCCUUAUGUCCUGGCCCUAAGAUUUGAACUCAGGUGAACAGCCAAAUGUAUAAUAACAUGUAUUUCGAAUUUCAUUUUAAAUGAUAUGCAAUUCGUUAAGUGAUUGUUAAUUUUUUAUAAGAUACGAGUGAAAGAAUUAUAUUAUCUCACUAAUUAAUUGAUGAGUGUCAUAUCAUUAUGAUUCCAAAUAAUUUCAAGCCAUGUCAUUAUUAGGAUAAAAAUAAAGUAAAAUGGUUAAAACUAUUUUUAUGUAAUUUAUAAAAAUUAAUGAAGCAACUACAUAAUUUUUUAAACGAAAAACAAUUGAAAUGUGUGAGGAAAAAGAAGAAAAAAAUUAGGCAUUUAAAUAUCUUCUUAAAAAAUAAGAUUGAGUAAAAUCAUUUUAACAGAAUGCCUUCCAAAUACAAUUCCACAUUUUUUUUUAUUGCAGUGGGAUAUUCCAAAAUUGGCACAACUCAUUAAGAAUUCGGCAACUCAAACUUUAUUUAUCUCUCUACGCAUUUGACAAAUUAAAAAGAAAAAAAAAAUUCAUAUAUCUUCUGUUCAAAAGAGACCUUGGUAAAUAUUGUAAAACAAAUUACCAAUUUUUUUAAUUUAUGCCAUUAUAUCGUCGCUAUUUUCUCGCCCACUUUCUUAAAAUAGAAUCAAUAUUUAUUGAUGGGUUGGGUUCCAGAGUAAGCACCAAUUCAGCAAAAUGGUUUUAUAGCAGAAAAAGCACUUGUAAGACAUUCAGAACACAUUUUUCAAUUUUGUCUUUUGAAAAUGAGUCUUGAGUUUCCACAAGCCAAGUAGAAUGGCUAAAAAAUGUAUGGUAUCAAAGAAAGAGAAACACACACACACACAUAGAUUAGUGGGGAGAUAUAUGAGUGUGUAAUUUGUAUAUAUAUCCCUAUUAAUUGUUGAUAGUCCAAUGGGUAUAUGCAAAAUGAAAAAAAUUGGCUGUCCUUUAAGACAAAAUUGACUGUCACAUGAAAAUGUUAGCACACUUGCCACGCAACAAAAAUAAAGAUUCCAAGAACAACUUUAUGGUCCCCUUUCUGUCCAAACAUAUGCGAUAGAAAUUAGUGUAAACGACACUUGAAAUAUAUAUGUAGAUCCUCACACAAUUGAUUAAAUAUUUAUAGUAGGGUGGAGUGAUAAAUAGUUUCACAAAAUUAUUGGAAUUAACUGCUUAAUACAUGAGAUCUAUCUCAUUAAGUAUAAAAGAUUGAGUGCUGCUUCAAAAGCAUGACGUUGCUGGCAACAAAUUUAACACAAAAGUUUAAUUAAUUAAAAUCUCGUAUUAAGAACAAAAGGUUUGAGGUUCGAACAUUCUCAUUCAAGAAAAUCAAGUCAAAAUAUUACAUCUUCCAGCACAUAUCAAAGAUUUUUUCAAUUUCCAAAACCCAACAAAAUCUUUGUCAAAAUAUAUGAUCUAGUCCCAUAUUAAGCACAUUCAUAGCUGUAUCAACAGGUUCAAAAUAUUUUCCCCAAAAAGAGAUAGAGAUUCCAUUGAAGUUGAGUUGUGACUGUCCCAACGUUUUGUAAUUAUAUGGUUCAGGAUACCAAUAUGCCGGAGCUGCAAAGGUUGACUUCUACUAUCCUAUCAAUGUCUAUACUUUCUAUUGAAUUUCCUUGUUUUUUUUUUAAUUUGCGAGAUUUAUUUUUUGGAAAUCUUUGACACAUUUUAUGUAAGAUACCAUAAAGCCAAAUACAACCUUUUUUUAUUCUCAGCAGCAACUUUUUUUUUUCCAUUUAAAAAAAAGGAAGCCAUAUAAAUAAUGCUUAAAACAUUAUUUGCAACAAGGAACAAUUAUUUCAUGCUUUCAUGUAUUAGAAACUUUCCAAAAACGCUAGCAAGAAAAUGAAAUGGAACUUUACCUAGUCACAGAAUAUGUACUGUUGUUAGCACAAUUGUUAUGAAGUGGCUUCUGCAUCAGAAGAUUCCAGCUCCCACCAAGCAUUGUUAUCUCUCUUCUGAAUACAAUCUACAUCGUUGGGCAUGAGUUAUAUCAUUAAUGUCUGGAUCCUCACUUACAUCAUCCCAAUCAAGUGCAAAACAUCCUAGUCCUUCCAUCACAACUGAUACGACUUCCUUCCUAAUUACUUUCCCAUUAAUAAAUCGCUCCAAGAAAAAAAAGCAUUAGCAAUUCUCUUCAACGCCCCAUCACUCAUAUCCCCACAACAACCGUCUUCAGCCACCUCAACGUUGCCUCUUGAAAGACCUCCACAAAAUCCGAAUCAUCCGACACAACCACCAAACACCCAAACCUUCUUUUGUCCACCAUAGCCACCAUAUAAUUUCUCCCCAAAACAUCGGCAUCUUGUGGCUUAACUAACACCAUCCUGACCCAAAACCGUGCUCUUUUUAACUCAUCUGCAAAACCAUAACCCACUUUUGGAGUCAAAAUUGCGCUUGCAGCCAUUUUAUUUUUUUCCAUCUUUAUUGAAUAGUUGCCGACCAAAAGCACUCUCACCUUCCCUCUAGCUGAUUCUAUUUGAUUGGACCUUUUCUUUUGUUCACCCUCAUGAAUUUGCCUAAAAUGAUUAACAAGUUUGUCAUUAUUAUAAAAUCUCCUUCCAUAAUCACCAAUACAUACGGCUUAGCAGACCUAAUUACACCCUUGAUUUCUAAUUGGUAAACAAUUCUCUUUCUUUCUUUGCUCUCUUACAACUUGAGGCACAUAACCAAACGCGUGGCUAUUUGGAUUUUGUUAUCCAAAUACCAAAAAUUUCUCACAUUGUGUUGGACAGUUUUUGGUUCUAAAGUUGAUGACUGGUUUUGCGAAUCAGGCUUCAAAUGAGAACUUCUAAACAAUAAGACAAAUGGGUUUUUAGUUUAUAAUCUUGUAAACUUUGUUCUAUUGUAUAAGUUAUGAAAUCGCUGAAACAUCACUACAGCUACAGGUCUUUAUGUGUCAAUGAAUUGCAGAAGCUAAUGAUCUACUUGUAGUAGACUUCUAUUGCCCCUGCCGUUCUAGGAAGACAAACAAGUUCAGGAACUACUUCUGGACCAAACUCAUAAUAUUGCCACUGCUUUGUGCCAAAAUCUCAGAGGAAAAGAAGAUUGAAGUUCCUAAAUAAGGCACAUCAUGAUUUGAUAGAAGUACCACUAUAAGGAAAAAUUGAUUUCAGGAAAGCACUAAAUUAUGACAUAAUCUCCCCCUAAUGGUCUAAAGUAGUCAAGAAAUGAUAUUAACCAAGUAAAAACACAUAAACUAGUUGAGAUACAAAGUUAUCAUAAAAGUCAAUUUUGACCACAAAUCCAUUAAAAUUAAAAGUCAUCAGAAACUUAGAGAACAUUAUAAUUUAGGACUCAGCUAAGUUGCAGAUUCUGUAACUAACAGCUGAGUCCACAUUGGUCUUGCAUCAGCUGAGUUUAGGUUGCUUUUCCUCUCUCCUGCAACGCGUACGUGGAAGCGCCCCAUUUGCUGUGUUAUAGAACGAGUCGGUACCGUAACAAGCUCCUAUAAUUUAAGUUUGAUUACUGUAGACAAUAGUCUGCCUCUGCUCAAAAGCUAUGCUGCAAGAUAUAACAUCUUUGCAAUGUUAUACUUUCUAAAAGUAAUAAGAAAUGAAACCAAGGGGUAAAAUCGAACACCAAAAGAAAUUUAGUCGGCCAACCACAUUAUGUUCCCACACAGUCCACUAAUUAAGUUAAUAAUUAAAGGGAAUCAAAAUCUAAGAAAUCUCAUCUUCAAGCAUAAUACAAACACACCGGGAUUGAAAAUCACAAAAUCAUAAAAAGAAGCUGACUUGAAAAGCUCAAAUAUACGUUCAUCAGCCUCUCAACUUAUAUCUAAGAACAAAUGCCUGCAGCCUGUGAAGACAUAGAUAAUUGAAGCUGAGGAGGCAUAUUUAAACAGAUGAUUAAACUCAUGCGAUUAAAAUUAUAAUUCAAUAAUCGAGCACAUAAAAUAACAAGCAACUAGUUGUAUAUAUACCAAGCAACUUUAUGAAGUUAAAUAUACCAACGCCAAUACUCUUAUUUUUAUCCAAAUAUAGAAGACCAAUGCAUCAAACAAGGAAAAUGAAAUAUUGUUAAUAACUCAAAAACCACUAGUGUCAAGAACUAAAACUAAUAAGUAAAACCCAUUAAUCAGACACAACCACAUCAAAAUCUCUAAAAAUUGAGGUCUAAACAUUGAAAACAAUUAGACAUAUAUAACAGUCAAUCGAAACAAAGCCUCAAAAUAAUAAUGAACUACAAUAAGACAGAAACUAAAUUGUAAACAAGCGCAUACUCAGUAACAGUAAUCAAGUAACAAGUCAAAACCAGAAUCAAACGUAGAAUUUUGAAAUCCAUACGAACUCUAACGUAUUAGAAUGAAAGAAUAAAGGACGAUCGAUAAACUAGAAUCAAACAAAACAUGCCCAGUUAAAAAACGAAGGUAAAUAAAUAAAAAUGAUAUAAAAUUGCGAAAAAAAUUAAUGAAAUGACGAGAAAAUCAUAGGAAUCCUAUGAAGAGGAAGGUAAACAAAACCUUCGAGAGCUGAGAAGAUGCCUUUUUUGUUCACUUUUGUGCCUAUACAUACAUUUUUUUUUUUUUGUAAUUUUGAAGAAAGUAUUGGUUAAAUAUUGUCAGAACGAAAUAUUAAUAAUAGAUCCUGGCAAUUUCAACAAGGACAAUCUUCGAUUCAAAUGUACCCCUAUGAUAAAGAAAAAGCCAGCUUGGCUAAAUUUUGAGCACCACAUUACAAAAUCUAGGUGCAUGUUUAACUAUGCAUAAAAUGAAACCUCUAUUAAUUGUAAGUCCCUUGACCUCUGGAACCAGCCAACCAGUAUCUUUCCUGUUAGAACAAACUUCCAUCGAUCAGACUAAUAAUAUUUACUGAAUCAUGUUCUACAGUUAAUGGAGUUGGACCCAAGGCAAUUGUUAGAAGUCCGCCUAGACAUAGAGUGCGCUUAGAAGUGGGAUGCUUAGAAAUGGGCCGCCAACACAACCAGCCAACCGUAGUGUGCUUAGCAAAUCACUGAAACCCGGCCAAGAUCUAGAACUAUCUACAAAUUGUAAAUAAGCUAAAAGUUUCUAAGUUUCUCUACAUAGGUCCCUAGGAUAUUUAUGGAAGUUGCUAGGAAGUUUUCCUCCCCUAGAACUCUAAUACCUAUACCCCUCUCAUUUGCCACCAACCACACAGACAAACACUCCAGCACACACACAAGCUCUCUAGCUUUUGUAAAAAACUCUCUUGUAUAUUCUCUCUUUGUGAGUAAUAAAAUCAUAUUCAGCCAUAUUGCUACACUUCUCUCUAGCAUUUUCUACAAGUGUUCUUGCUUCGCUAGUUUGAGGAGUGUUCUAGGCUUGCUUAACAACUUGUUCGCUAUAACGACAUCUUGGUCACAAAACAUGGACAUGCAAGAAAAAAAAAUUGAUACGUUCUAAAAAUAAUACGCGUUCUUCUACAGUGAACCAAAAAAUUUAGGAUAAUGGUAGCAAGUGAAAGAAUUGUGAUUUCACGUGCAUUUUGUUGACAUGAACGUAAAGGACUUUUUUUUAUAGUUUAUAUUGUUUAAUAUAACAUUUGAAUUGCAAAAUAGGGGUACAAAAUAGAUACACGAAGUGAUAAAACUAAGCUGAUUAUAAUAAAUAUUGAAUUAUAAGAUUUAGGUUUAAUCAUAAAGACAUAAGUGGCGCACAAAGUCACGAAUUGAUAUCAUCCACGAUGCAAGUUCAAACAACUGCAUAAUAAGUUGCCCCAAGCUAAACUAUUAAUCUAGUAACUAUUCCAGUCGAUGUGGGAUAAUUUUCCUAUCACCAUCUAUCACGUGCAAGCCGAAUUUUUUGCUUGGUCCUUACAUGUGGUAAGGUCAUAUGAAUCCACUUGUGCAUAAAUUUGGCUCCGAUACUAUAUAGAAGCCUAUGACCCAAAAUUAUACUUAAAGGUUAUCUCAAGAUUUGAGGAUUGACUCAAGCUAAUAUUAUUAUUAGUCUGGUAACCUUUUUUUUUGUUGAUAUGUGAUAUUUUACCUAUAACUUUUAUUAAUCUUUAUGCUUAUGUUUUGUCAUUUAUCCCAAAAUAUAACAUUAACAAAGUUCCAAAAUUUCCUUCAAGAGAUAUAUUUGAGACAAGUAAUUUGUGCAAUAACUUUGUAAAUUGAUGAGCAAAUUCAGUGGUGAAAGCUUGCAUAGUAAUAUAAGGGUUGAGGUUAUCUUUUAACUAAUAAAAGUUAAAUAUGAAAUUUGCAUCUUCUUUUUGUUGUUUUUUAUUAACCGGAUGUAAUUUUUGUUUGAUAAUUUUCUAAUUAUUUUGAGGAAAAUAUGUUGCAGGAGCAUGUUGUGAUGCAUAAGUGUUCAGAACCGAAUAAAAGGAAAGAGUAGUCCAUCCAAAGUCACCACUUAUUCAAAUAUGUGCAGGCAGAACACGUUAUCGGGGGGUCUCGAUACGAAGACCUUUAAGUACUAAUGACGAGAUAUUGAUUAACUUCUGCAUGGAUGAAAAUUUGAAUAAAGGGUAACGUAUUAGUUAUGUUGUUGAACUAAUACUGGCAUGCAUAUAAAAAGUUAUUUGAUUGUGUUCGAGCUUCGAAUAAACGAAUUUAAUUGUAGGAAAUCAAUAAUUGUGGCUAAAUUGUCUCGAUGAUAGAAUUUGCAUUCCAGGAAAAUAGUUUUUAAGACGAGCUUCAAUUGCAUCACCAGACAUGAUAUUAUGUCUCUAUCUCCUAAAAGUACAAUCAAUGUGAAGGUACAACCACCUUCUGUCAAGUGUUGUACUUGUAUGAAUAGUAUAUAUUUAUAAUGAUUGCUCUUAGAAUUUACUUUGUUUUAAAGUUUUUGUUAAUUUUUUAUAUGUUGAAUGAAGUCGAUACCUCUUACAUGAAAGUGUUAAUAUUUGCACUUUUCAGAUUGUUUCUGCUGUCUCGGAAUUGUUAUUUACGAAAGCGAUUGAAACGUUGGAAACAGUCAUUUUAGCCUUUUUCUGCCAGCGUAUUCUGCUGUAAGGCGUUUCUGUUAUAUUAUAAUCUUGGAAUUUUAUCCCCUAAGGGACAACUUAACAUAUAAUUUCGUGUGUUCACUGAGUGUGGUGCAUCUGUUUACAUAUGCAUGUCAGUUGAGAAAUUGUGCUUGCAAUUACAUUUACAAGUUUAAACGAAAUUUGGUUUUCAAGUUUGGCAACCCACUAUUUCCAUUGCCUAGAAUUUUUUGUUGGGCUGUGAUAGCGUUGAUGUCCUAGAAAUUGUACAGUUGCAGGAUAACAUCGGUGGAGACCCCGCAGACCUCACUUUUGGUAUUAAACAAUUUAUCAAUGGUGAUUUAUACCUGGCGAAUAUUGGUUCGUGUAAGCAGGUAAGCAUUAUUUACUUAAGCAUUUAGUAAACCUCGUUUUUAGUUAAUUUUGAUGUUAUGUGUCAGUUUAUUUCACCCUGAUUUUGCAAUCAUCAAUAUAUUUUUGUCCCUGUGAACCAUGGUUUUACACACUUGUACUUAUUGGUUAUAUUAAUAUACGAAAUGUGGGUGGAGAUAUGGGAUUCAAUGCCCAGUGCAAUGAAGUCACAAAUGUUUGUUGUUGAAUGCAAACGAGCAGUGAGUUAACAAUCUAGAUGCCAAUGGAUGUGUACUUUCUCCAAAAAAUAAAUAAAUAAAUAAAUGAACCACUGUUGUUGUAAAUAAUCCUCCUCUGUUUUAAAAGGAAAUGUCAUGUGUUUCUAGGAUUAUAAACUGCAAUCUACCUAUUGACUGGUGUUCCUACAACUAAGAUUCAUUGAGAUGGCGUUGCAGUAUUGUGGCUCAAAUUGUUUAUUGGGAAGGUUAAACAUGAGUGAGUUCGUAAUCCAACUUUGUACCAGAAAGGACAGUAUACAUAACGAAUUAGAUUGUGCAAUAUAUGUUAUGUUGAUGAUAGAGAGGUAUAAAAUCUAGUCGUGCUUUCUGUGGAAGAGGUGCGUCAAUGUUUUAAACUAUUCAAUGCUAUAACCCAGGCCGUUCAUAAUAUUUAUAUAUUGGAGCAAUUUUUACCGCCUCCUAAUUAUUGUGUUUGUGCAUUUCAUUCAGAUAAAGUUUGAUUCAGGUAGUGAGAGGGCACGCAUUGUGAUAGAUCUCAUGAGAUACCAGUUUCAACUAUUUAAAGGACAAGGUUCGUUUUAAGGCUGAAAAGCAUCGAUGACAUCUUGACCAUGAAGCCCAUUCAAUUUAUGAAGCAAUUGAAAAAAAGCGCUUACUACAGCUUCGGACUGCGAGCCAAAUGGGCCAUGGUCGCCGCCAUUAAGCCGGAUUUGCUUUUACGUUCAAUUGUAUAAGUUAACAUCCAUGCUUUGAAGAAAGAAAAAAAAGUUAGGUUUGACAAUUGUAGUUCUUCAUUUGAAAAGCACAAUCAACCACUCAUAAUCGUGACUGCUAAACAACUCAUGUUUUGUUGCUGGCAUAGAACAAUCAAGUUUCCAUUGUGGAUGCCGCAGUGUCUCACUACUGAAUUUUAUCAUUUAUGAGUUUACAUUGUCGUCAAUUUUUAAUAUGUCUGUCAGCAGCUGUACCUGGAGUAUUAUAUCAGCGAAUGGUGUUAGCUGAAACAACGUCUCCUCUGAACUCUGCAUAUUUUAUGAUACUGAUACUUUGGCCUGGACAAGUUACUAAAAUUUUCAAUUGCCAUGGCCCUGACCCAAAGCUUUUUGUAUUAAUUGAACUCAAGGAUGGAUUGAAGUUACACAAGUUUUGCUUAUUUAUGCUUGGCAUAAGUAUAAACAAUGUUUAUCAACUGCCAUAUUAGUUAACCCCUAACAUAAUCAUGCAACCUCGUCCAAUUUUUUACUUGUCAGUACCUCUUAAAUAUUCUGUUAAUAACAAAAUAAAUGGAUACAGUGGUUGAGAACAUGUUUCCAUUACGUCCCUAACCUCUAGAUAUUUUUGGAGUAGUGCCAAUGUUAUUUUACAGAUUCCAAAUAUGGGUGUAGUUAGUUGGUGUAGAUGAUGAGGUUGCAAUGCAGUUCGAUAGACUUGCAAAGGCACUUGUGUUUAGACUGGCUGAAAAUUCACUUGUUGUACUAGCUGAAAAUUCAUGGAACCAUGACUCUGAUGUUCCCCUUAAUGGCCCACCAUUUUCUCUUAUUUGCCUCUGUAAAGGUUGCCUCCCUGGUUCAUUGAUCUGAGACAUUACCUCCAACUUUAAAGUCAAUUGGUGAAUAUCUAUAAUAGCCACAUUGUAUGCGGCCAAAACUUGAUCCAGCAAAUCUAAGUAAACUUCAGCAUGCUGCAUAUAUUUGGCCAAUACGAGCCUGCUCUGUCAUGUAAUGUGAUUUAUUAGAACUUAUAUCCAACGAAGUGUGAGCUUUUAUCUUUGCGCCUUUACUCCAUCGAGACAGAAUUAUCGAACUUGGAAUUUCUGUCAUAUUCUGAGCCUUCAACAAAAUAAAUGAAUGCGAGCAUGGAAUUCCAAUUGUCUCUAACAACUUGCAGCUGCACGAUAAGGUUUUGGUGGCCUCAUUUAUCACUACUUUCACCUCUUUUCCAACUAAGCCAAACCGCUCAACUCUGUACGUUGUUGAAAUUAUAUCCCGGUCAACAUUUCUGCAGUUAACAACGCUUCCUUGUCGAUUUCUUCUCGUACGAGGUGAAACAUUGCCCUUGUGAACUUUUCAGCUGCUUACUGCUCAUACAUCUUCAAAUGUGUAACCAAUACAGGACGUCCAUCAAAACUAUGAAAGUCAUCAUUCCCCUCUCCUUCCCUUUGCCGAUCCAUUAGUCGGUCCAUCUGUUUAACAAAUUCUGUCAAUCGGAGCCUUCUAUUCACGUAAUGGUUUAGAUACGCAUUCAUUCCUUCCAACCUCUGAGUGCUUCUCAUUCCCCCAAAAAACUUUCCAUGCAAAUAAGUCUCAGCCCACAUAUGUCUAUCCUUAAACAUAUUUACAACCCAUUCAUUUGUGGCAACAUUAUGCUUAUCCACCAUUAAUUUCCAUUUUUGGUCAAAUUCUUCUUUUGUGUAAGCGUUCAUCAUGCAGCAGCAAAAUUCGGUUGUAAAUUCAAGGUUUUUAACAUUUGUUUGAGCAUUUCAGACCAAAUGCCAAUAACACAACCUGUGAAAAGCUUCUGGAAAUGUCUUCCUUAUUGUAUUUCGCAUUACUUUAUCCCCAUCGGUUACAACUGUCCUCGGAUGCUUGUUGUUCAUUGCUAUCAUUAAUAUCUCUAACAACAACCAUGUGUACGUGUGUUCUGUCUCAUCUGAAAAUAGAGCAAACCCGAAUACAAUUAUUCGCCGAUGGUGAUUUAUCCCCAAAAUAACCACGAGAGGCUUACGAUAUGCAUUGGUCUUGUAAGUUGCAUAGAAUGCAAUAACAUCACCAAAUAAUGCAUAAUCUGUGCAUGAUCCGUCGUCACACCAAAACAAGUCCCCAAGUCGAUUGGAACUAGUGAUUGUGAAGUCAUAAAAGAAUGAUGGAUUCGAGCUUUUUCUUCCAUCGAAAUAUAAUAGGCACGUCUCAGCAUCUGAUUCUUUCAACGAUGCAUGCCUCUUCGUAACCAGCCUAUUUUCAACAUCCCUCAUGCUAUACCCAACCUUGUCGUAACCCCUGAUCUGUCAACCAUAAACUCGUGUAUUUGAGAUGGCUUCACUCCCACUUUGUGUAAUGAUAAAACAGCCGACAAGUCGGGACCAGUCACUCCUCUGUGGGACCUAAUGUGGUGCACUAGCUCAGGCGGUGUUAAAUUGUGAUUGUGCACUCUAUGAAAAAAACUACAUGCCCAUCGGCGAGUAUAUUCAUUGUAAAUAAGUCGAAAUUGUGCUCUACAUCCUGUCCUUGUCACAGCUUUGGCCUCUCGCCCUCUGCAUCUAUUUUCCAUGUGCUUUGCAGCCCUGAAUCCCUGUCGGCUGCAAAUCCACAUUCUGCCGAUGAUAUUCCCCUUCACAUUUCUCCGUUUAUUGUGUUUCCGAAUGCCGAAGCCAACUGUCCUUGCAUAUUCUUGGUAGCAUAUGCCAACCUAUUCUUCACUUGUGAAUUCUUUUGCUAACAUUUCCAGAAGCGCAUUCUCUACCUCACUACGAUCAUCGGCACACUGCUGUUAGUGAGUAUCAGUCUCCAAGUGACCACUUCCUCCACGGUUGUCACCUUGGAUGUUCAACUGGUGUUCAGUCACGAUUUCUGCCCCUUCACUAUCUGUCUCCGCUCCAUUGUGAGUCAAUGCAUCUGAGCUUCGUUCAUCGUCAGAAGUUAUAUUAAUCUGGUAGUGGAAAUCAUCUCCGUCAUAUAAUCUUUUGUCUGAAUCAAUCAUUGUGCUCAUAGGUUCACCAUUAGAUAACGUCAAAUUUCAAGUGGUUAAGACUUCUUUUUCCUCUGUUAAUAUUUUUUUUGUUGCAAGUUUUUUCUUUUCCUUUCAGUACCUUUUACGAAACUUCUUUCACUAGCGUAGGCGGCACAAAGAAGCUUCAAGUUGGUGUCUCUUCCCGCGUCCAAGAUUUUUUAAAAGUUUUAUGCUUAUUCACUUAGCGCACACCAGCACUUGAGCCCCGUCCCCCGGCCACCAAGACACUUUAUAGAAUUCCCUAACAAAUUAAUAAACUAUACCAGUUUAUUUAGUUGUUAUGUGGCCUAAUAUGACAUAUGCUUGCAUUACUAAUCCAAGGCGUUGUAUAAAGACUUGCUUGCCACUUAUUAAUUGAUGGCAAUUGAUUUAGUAAUUGUUUACGGAUCUUUAAAGCUUCAUCAAGAUAUUGCACAUUGUCACGGCACCAUGUUCAUUUCCCAUGUUGUAACACCAUCCAUUUUUUGUUUCAUCUACUAGAUUUCCAACUCCUUAUAUUCGCUAUAAAACCACAAGUAUGGACACAUUAUAUUUUUGCGUGAGUUACAAAUAUAUUUUACACUCCGUUACUCUUACAAUUCAAGUUGUCAAUAAGUAAAAUUACAUUUUCGCUAUGUUUGACUAUGCAAAACCCGUUUGAGAUCGGUGUAGCAAAUAUCAAUAUUUGCUCGGAAGUUAGAAAGCAACUACCUUUCUGUUUCAGCUAUUAUCAAUCAUAUUACUCCCUAAAAAAGAUAUGGGUCAUAACAUAUAAUUCUGUUUUACCUUAUUGACGACAUGUAUGCGACCAAACGAUCGGUCACCAAAGUUAUAAUAUACAUUAAUUGAUGGUCUCAAAUCAAAACCAGUAUAGAAUAGAACUAUAAGAUAGUGGUCAAUUACCAUCGCAAGCAAUCGACAUUUCAGAGGGGAACGUAAGUAAAACAAACUUUAUGUGCAAUCAUCUAUGGCAUCUGUGUGUUUGUAAUUCUUAUAUACUAAAUAUUCGUAGUUAAGGAAAUGCAAUGCUUAAAUCACUCGUAACACAAUUAAUUGAACUUAUUCAUAUAAUGCAUGGUUGAGCAUGAUAAACAUAUUCAUUGAUGUUUUUUUCCCAAAUAUGGGCAUCUGUGAUGAAAAUCCUAAUGCUAAAACUGUGAACUGCAAAAGAAUAUCAAUUAACCAUAACAAUUCAAUAGCAAAUGGAAGUUAUAAUCACACCAACAAUCUUCGCUCAAAGCAAAGGCUGACUUCAGCCACAAUUUCCCACUAUUCACCCACCAUCCUUUGUUACACCAAAGCAUAACAUAACACACAGAAACAUACCCUCAUAUAUGGAAGAAAAUUUCACUUACGUUCGAACCUCUUCGUAAUCGUUGCAGUUUCCGUUUGAGGGACCUGACUCUUGUUUUCGAGAUGGAUUCCUUACACCUAACGAUCAUCGUUUCCAACACUUUACUAUGCUCCAACAAGUAUUCCAACAACUAUACUUCCUCUUCAUCUCCUGUUAGCCCCCUAACGUCAAUUCUCUUUACCUGUUUUACCAAACAGUCGGGCACAUUUUCUAUUUGAAGCCAUCCAAAAUCUUCUUCGGUCACUUCAAACCAGCAUUCCUACGAAGGAUAAAAGUAAAAUAUGAUAUCAUAAACCCAUGGCGAAAAUUAAGAAGAAUAGUUGAACGCCAUCAACGAUCACGACACCCUCACCUUGUGUAAGACAAGAGUUUUUUAAGAUCGGUGAACUCCUUAGGAUGAUGGGCAUAAUUCGCCAUCCAAAUAGUCCAACCGUCACUUCAAAACUCUGUCAAAUUAGGCAAGGAGGGCUUGAAACUCUCGUAACACAAAUCCAGGGCUUGUCAACAUAGAAUAGAACUUUUGGUGUUAGAUUUAUUAAUGAACCGUUAUAUAUUACUAGCGUUUAUCAGCAGUGGCCCUUAUUGUGCCAACUAGAAAUUGUUAACUUUUUUCCCACUUGGAUAAUAACAGAUACAAACUGCUUUACCCAGCUACAACGAGCAUAUUAUCCUGUCUUAAUGCUUGGUAUCAGAAAGACAGAGAUUGCGAUAUCAAUCAUAUGGUUAUAUCAAUACACAUCAUAGGUCUUGUAGUGCACUAUAUUGGGCAUACUUACAGACACGAUGCCAGCAGAUACAGUCAGAGACUUAGUUGCAGUCACACCCUCUAGAAGCCAUACCACAUGGUUCGGAUCGCCUUGUGCCCAUUCCCUAUACAAAAUUUCCAAUUUAACUUCGUUCACGGAAUGUACACCGUGCAACUUAAACUCUCCCAACACGUCAGCAGUAAUACGGAGACAUUGCAGAUUUGGCGUUGUAAUGAUCACUGUGUAGUCAAUGUAAGUAAAAACAAAAUCCUCUAGUGCUACAGUAAAGGCAAACUUCUUCAGUGUGGACGAUGAAAUGAUGAAGUUUGGUAUGUCCCCGUCAUGUUUCAAAAUAGCCUUAAUACACAGAUCUUCUAUUUACUAAUUUUAUUUCAACCUUAGCAAACCUAGCCAUUCACCUCUUCCCAACCAAGGCAUUUCGAACACCCCAUCUUCGAAAUCCACUACAAAAUCGCAUUCACAGACGUGAAGCCUACAUAUGCAUACCAAACGAAUCUAAGAUUUUAUUUAAAUCAACAUGCAUGCAAUAAUAUCUCGAUAAUCUUCCAGUGCCUGCAAAAAUGCCAGAUUUAUAAUACCAACAAGGCCAACUUCAAUAAUCUAGACAUCAAUAGAAUAUAAUAGCAGAAAUCGACAGUAAUAUUUUUCUUAAAUGCGUCACGGCAAAAUCAAAAUCACGAGCACCAAAAUACACAAAUUCAUUUACAAUUCAAGAAAGAAUCUUUACCCUUCCUUACCUAAUGAAAUUUCGGAUAAUUUCCCUCUCUCGCAAAAGUCAGAUUUGAGAUUCAAAUCUGUAUCACAUCUUAUUCUCGUAUUUAUGUUUCCAUGGACUUCAAGAGCUUCAUUAGACAACCGGUUUAAACGAUUGUUGUUAGUAACUACGUCCGCUCUCCAAAUUUUUAUUUAAACUGUUGGAUUGAACAAACUUAUAUCCAAUGGCUUGACUAAAUAAAGACAAAAAUUAUGGCAUGGUACCACAGUGGCAUCGCAGGCAAGUCCAAAUAACAAAUAUUAAAAUGAUUAUAUUAUUAAACUUUUGGGCUUAAUUGACUAUAUUCAUAUUUGGACGAGAAAGUUAUGCCACGAAUGGAAGAAUUUAAUAUUUUGAGUUGGUACAAAACAAAUGCGCAUAAGUCUCCUAUAUUGGCACGAAUUGUUAGAGAUAUUUUAGCAAUUCCAAUUACAAAUGUUGCUUUUGAAUCAACUUUUAGCAUUAGUGGCUCGAGUACCGUAAUAGGCUUUCAUUUAAGCACAUUGGAGGCUUUAAUGUGUUGUCAAGGUUGGCUGAGAGCUUACAAUGGUAGUAAAAAUUUAUUUUAUAUUGUAAUUAUGUUAUAUAAUUAUUAAUAUUUUCACUUAUAAGUUACAUUACUUAUAAUUUCCUUUUUUAUUGUAGGAUUAUGAAGAUAAUUAUUAUGGUAAUUUUUAUUUUGUAAUGGAUUAAUGUUAAUAUAAGAUAUAUCAUCAAACUUUAUUUUUAUUUAAUUUUUUUAUUUAAUAUGGUUAAAUUAAAAUCGAAAACUAAAAAAUGUAUUAGUUAUUCGGAUAUCGGGGACUCUCGGGGAUCCUCUAUUAUUAUUCAAGGAGGGGAUGGGGAGGGAACGGGGACAUAUGCAGAAUAUCGGGGAUGGGUAUGAGGAGGUCGGUCUCCUCCCCUUCCCUCCCCAUUGCCAUCCCUACUAGAAAUAUUGCAAUCCAAAACUAAGAAAGUUAAAACCAAUUAUUGGAAGGAAAAAGUAAGAUGGAAGCUCCCAGAAUAUUGUUAUGUGUUGUUUGUUUUUUAGUGUGUAUUUCUCAAUCAAUAAUGAAAAAGUAAGUACACAUGUUACAAAAAAUUAAUAAAGAAGAUUGGAGGUGACUAAAUCUUCUAAUUAACUUUCUCUCCUUUGGAAUUCCUUAAUUUGGUAGAGAUCGCUUAAGUGGUGUAUCUAUUAUAAAUACUCCGAUGUGGAAGUUAAUGUUUUUAAUUGUUAAGAAAAGUUAGAAGAAGAAAUUUUUGUACAAAAGAAUCUGGUUUAAAUUUGGAAUUCUUUAGCUGGAAAUGAGUCUAAAUUCUAACGAUACAAUUUAGCACUAAAUAUUAGUUGGGUGAAAAAUUAAUUUCGCUCCUUUGAUGUGAUUUUGGUCGUUUAUUUUCAAAUUAGGGUAAUUUUUUGUUUAGAGUGUAGCUAUUGGCUCCCCGUCAUUAUGCUUAUAUAAUCCUACUUCAAAUAAAAUUACACUUAAGAACAAUAGAAUUAAAUAAAUAUAGUUUUUUUUUCAAAACAAAUUACUUACAUUCGUAAUCAUUUUCUUUUUAAUUUUUUACAUGUUGCUUCAUAUCUAACUAAAAUAAUUGUACAAAUUUAAAAAAAUCUUUAUUCAUUCCAAAUUUCUUAUUGAUUAAAUAUUUUUGUACUUAGGAUUGCUUUAAAAUUAUAAUGUAAAAAAAUUUAAUUUAAUCUAGUGAUUAAAAUUUAUCACCUAAAAACAUUUUUAAUUUAUGUGUAGGAAAAUAAUAAGAUUGCAAAAGACAAGAAAAAUAGUACAACACUACUCUGAGUUUUAAAAAAUAAAAAAAAUCAAAUGAAAAAUUAGAAGUGUAUUAAACAAAAAGAAUAUUUUUAGAAAUAAAAUAAAUGUACUUAAAAAAAAAAAGAGAUUUCAUGAUGAUAUUAGAUGGGUACAAUAGUCAAAUUCUUUUGUUUUAAAGUUUUAAGAUGUUGGUAUUUGUAACUUAGCCUAUCCCUAAUUAUUCUAUUAAAAUGUAUAAACAACGAUGAUCAACCCUAAUUUCAUGGAGGUCAAAGAUUUUGGUCACGCUCGCGUGAAUUACUUGGGACGUACUUUAUGUAAAUUUAUUUACAUUAAAUAAUUGGGCCAACGCUAUAUGAGGCGCCGCCUGGAGGCAUAGAAUUUUAUAUGUCAAAAGUGCGUUUCGCUUCAAUUAAGCCAUGAAUGUCGCUUAGUAUACUCAUUUUGUAUUUAAAAAAGUUUUAUUAAUUUUUUAUUUAUAAAAAUGUGGUUUAUUUAUUUAUUUUUAAAUUUUUUAAAGAUAAAGGGAUGGGUUAAAAUACAAAUUUCAAUUUUUAUCCCUUACAUUCUGUCUCCUAAGAUUUAAACUUAGUUACCAACCAAAUGCGUAAUAAUAGGUAUGUCAAAUUUCAUUUCAAAUGAUAUGUAAUUAAUUAAGUGACUGUUAAUUCUUUACAAGAUCUAAACAAAUUACUUAUAUUAUCUUAUCAACCAAUUGAUAAAAUGUCACGUUAUGAAAGGUCUUUGGAAGAAAAUUCUACUCAGCAAAUAUUGCCUUCAAUGUGUUAUAUGUAUUAUUUACUCCAAACUUACUCGUCAAAACAAUAAAUAAUAUUAUUGCCAAAAUUACUUGUAAUAUCACUUAAAUGCAACAAUAAAUCAUAAAUGAGAUAAAUCACUAAACCCUUCAAUAGAAUAUUUUAAAGCCAAAAAAAGGCAUCGAUUCAUUAUGGUUCAGAUGAUUUCAAGCCAUAUGUCCUUGUUGGGAUAAAAAUAAAGUAAAAUGGUUAAAACUAUUUUUACGUAAUUUAUAAAAAUUAAUGAAGCAAUUAAAAUUUUUUUAACUCGAAAAAAAAUUAAAAUGUGUAUGGAAAAAAGAAAAAAGAAGACACUUAAAUAUCUUUUUAAAGAACAUGAUUAAGUAAAAUCAUUUUAAAGAAUGGUCUUCCAAAUGCAAUUCCACAUUUUUUUAAUUGCAUUGGGAUAUUGCAAAAUUGGCACAACUCAUUAAGAAUUCGCAGUUCAAUUUUUAUUUAUCUCUCUAUGCAUUUGACAAAUUAAAAAAAAAUCCAUAUAUCUUCUAUUCAAAAGAAACCUUGUUAAAUACUGUAAAACACAUUACUAAUUUUUUUUUUCAUUUAUGUCAUUAUAUCGUCACUAUUUUCUCGCCCACUUUCUGAAAAUAGAAUCAAUAUUUGUUGAUGGGUUAGGUUCCAAAGUAAGCACCAAUUCAAGAAAAUGGUUUUAUAGCAGAAAAAGCACUUGUAAGACAUUCAAAGCACUUUUUUCCAUUUUGUCUUUUGAAAAUGAGUCUGGAGUCUCCGCAAGCCAAGAAGAAUGGCUAACAAAUGUAUGGUACCAAAGAAAGAGAAACACACACACACACACAGAUUAUUGUUGAGAUGUAUAUGUGUGUAUAAUAUAUUAAUAUGUAUAUAUAUCCCCAUUAAUUGUUGAUAGUCCAAUGGGUAAAAGGAAAAAAUUGGCCGUCCUUUAAGACAAAAUUCAUUGUCAUAUGAAAAUGUUAACCACAAAACAAAAAUAAAGAUUCCAAGAACAAAUUUGUGGUCCCCUUUUUGUCCAAACUUACAUGAUAGAAAUUAAUGUUUAAAUGACAGUUGAAAAAUGUAGAUCCUCACGCAAUUGAUUAAAUAUUUAUAGUAGGAUGGAGUGAUAAAUAGUUUCUCAAAAUUAUUGGAAUUAACUAUUUAAUACAUGAGAUUUAUCUCAUUAAGGAUAAAAGAUUAAGAUGCUACUUCAAAAGCAUAACGUUGCCAACAAUAAAUUUAACACAAAAGUUUAAUUAACUUUCUUAGUUGAGAUAAUAAAAUUUCGUGUUGAAAAUAAAAGGUUUGAGGUUCGAACCUUGUCAUUCAAGAAAAUCAAGUCAAAAUUAUUACAUCUUCCAGCACAUACCAAAGAUUUUUUUCAAAGGCAGACUGAUAAUUCAGGAUUAAAAAAAAACAAAAGGAAUAUAUGCUAUUCAAGACAGGUAUACCUUGAUUCUCAAAAAAAAAAAAGACAGGUAUACCUUGGACAUGAAGUCUGAGUCCAGAACAAGAAGCACCUAGCUGAUCUUUCAAUUUCCAAAACCGAACGAAAUCUUUGUCAAAAUAUCUGAUCUAGUCUCAUAUUAAGCACAUUCACAGCCGUAUCAACAGGGUCAAAAUAUUUUCCCCAAAAAGAGACACAGAUUCCCCUGAAGUUGAGUUGUGACUGUCCAAACUGCUAUAAUUAUAUGGUUCAGGAUACCAUGCCUGUGAAUCCUUUUUUUUUUUUUCAUGUUUCUAAGUCUAUCAAAUGAAAAUGUAAUUAUAUGGUUCAGGUUACCAGUAUGCCAGAGAUGCAAAGGUUGACUUCCACUAUCCUAUCAGGGCCUAUACUUUCUAUUGAAUUUCCUUUUUUUUUUUUAAAUUGCAAGAUUUAUUUUUGGAAAUCUUUGACAUUGAUUCUCAGUAGCAACUUUUUUUUUCUUUUUUCUUCUUUUAAAAAAAGGAAGCCAUAUAGAUAAUGCUUUAAACAUUAUUUGCAACAAGGAACGAUUAUUUCAUGCUUUCAGGUAUUACAAGCUUUCCAGAAAUGCUAGCAAGAAAAUAUGAAGGAACUUUACCUAGUCACAGAAUAUGUACUGCCUUUAGCACAAUUGUUAUGAAGUGGCUUCUGCAUCAGAAGAUUCUAGCUCCCACCAAGCAUCCUUAUCUUCCUUCUGGAUACAGUCUGCAUCGCUGGGCAUGAAUUAUAUGAUUGAUGUCUGCAUCCUCACUUACAUCAUCCCAAUCAAGCGCUUUUUCUCUACCUCUGAAUUAUAAGCCCACUUCAAUCUCUUCAAAACAUCCUGGUCAUUCCAUCACAGCUGAUACGUCUUCCUUCCUUGCUUCCCCAUUAAUGAAUCCCUCUAAGAAAAAAAAACAUCAGCAAUUCUCUUCAACGUCCCAUCAUUCAUAUACCCUGCAACACCCGUCUUUAGACACCUCAACGUCGCCUCCUGCAAAACCUCCACAAAAUCUGAAUCAUCCGACACAAACACCAAACACCCAAACCUUCUUUUGUCCAUCAUAUCCACCAUAUAAUUCCUCAACAAAACAUCGGCAGCUUGUAGCUUAUCUGACAUUGUCCUGACCCAAAACCACACUCUUUUCAACUUUACUACCAAACUAUAACCCACUUUUGGAGUCAAAGUUGCCUUUGAAGCCAUUUUAUAUGUUUCCAUCCUCAUUGAAUAGUUGCCAACCAAAUGCUCUCUCAUCUUCCCUUUGGCUGAUUCUAUUUGAUUUAACCUCUUCUUUUGUUCACGCUUAUGAAUUUGCUUAAAAUGAUUAACAAGCUUGUCAUUAUUAUAAAGUCUCAAGUCUCCUUCCACAAUCACCAAUACAUAUGGCUCAGCAGGCCUAAUUACACCCUUGAUUUCCAAUUGGUUAAACAAUUCUUUAAUUUUCUUCUCUUUGCUCUCUUGCAACUCGAGGCACAUAACUAAACGCUAGGCUAUUAGCAUGUGCCACCAUGUACUUAACAACCCUAAAUGACGAUAUUGAUUUUUUUCAAUUUAAUGGUCGCUUCACAAUGGGGUAUUAAUUUAGAUUUUGUUAUCCAAAUAUCAAAGAAUUCCUACAUUGUGUUGGACAGUUUCUGGUUCUAAAGUUGAUGACCGGUCUUGCCAAUUAGGCUCCGAAUGAGAACUUCUAAACAAUAAGACAAAUGGGUUCUGGGUUUCUAAUCUUGUAAACUUUGUUCUACUGUAUAACUUAUGAAAUUGCUGAAACAUCACUAUAGCUACAGGCCUUUAUGUGUCAAUGAACUACAGAAGCUAAUGAUCUACCUGUAGUAGACUUCUAUUAUCCCUGCCGUUCCAGGAAGACAAAUAAGUUGAGGAACUACUUCUGGACCAAUAUUGCCACUGCUUUGGGCCAAUCUGAGAGGGAAAGAAGGUUGAAGUUCCUAAAUUAGGUACAUCAUGAUUUGAUAGAAGUACCACUUCGAGGAACAAUUGAUUUCAGGGCAGUGCUAAAAUAUGACAUAAUCUCCCCCCAAAGGCCUAAAGCAACUUCUCUUAGCGUAUCAAGAAAUGACAUCAACCAAGCAAAAAUAUAUAAACCAGUUGAGAUACAAAGUUAUCAUAAAAUUCAAUUUUGAUCACAAAUCCAUUAAAAUUGUUGAGAUACAAAGUAAUAAGAAAUGGAACAAAGGUGUAAAUCGAACACCAAAAGAAAUUUAUUUGGCCAGCCACAUUAUGUUCCCACACAGUCAACUAAUUAAGUUAAUAAUUAAAGGGAAUCAAAAUCUAAGAAAUCCCAUCUUCAAGCAGGAUGAAGACACACUAGGACCGAGAAUCACAAAAUCAUAACAAGCUGACUUGAAAAGCUCAAAGGUACCUUCAUCAGCCCCUUAACUAAUAUCUGAGAACAAAUGCCUGCAGCUUGUGAAGGCAUAGAUCAUUCAAGCAGAUAAAACAACAAGCAACUAGUCGCAUAUGUACUCAGCAACUUUCUAAAGUUAAGGCAUAAAACAACAACAUAGAAUAAAUUAAUUAAAUGUACCAACACUACUACUCUCAUUAUUAUCCAAAUGUAGAAGCCCAAUGCAUCAAACAAGGAAAAUGAGAUACUGUUAAUAACUCAAAAACCAUGAUGGUCAAGAACUAAACAAUAGUAAACUAACAAGUAAAACCCGUAAUCAAACACAACCACAUCAAAAUUUUUGAAAAUUGAGGUCUAAACAUUGAAAACAAUUAGGCAUAUACAAUAGUUAAUCAAAACAAACCCUCAAAACAAUAAUGAACUGUCAUAAGACAGAAACUAAAGUUUAAACUAACGCAUACCCUGUAACAGUGGUCAACUAACAAGUCAAAACCACAAUCAAACAUAGAAUUUUGAAAUCCAUACGAACCCUAACAUAUUACAAUGAAAGGAUAAGGAUAACUACUUGAUAAACUAGACUCCAACAAAAACAUACCUAGUUAAAAAAUGAAGGUAAAUAAAUAAAAAUUGUAUAAAAUUGCGAAAAAAUAGACAAAAUGAUGAGAAAACAGGGAUCUUAUGAAGAGAAAUGUAGACAAAAUCUUCAGGUGUCGAGAAGAUGCCUUUCUUUGUUGACUUUUGUGCCUGUACAUACUUUUUUUUUUUCUUUGAAGAAAAUACUAGUUAUAUAUUAUCAGGACGAAAUAUUACAAGAUGCUAGCAAUUUCAACAGGGACAAUCUUCAAUCCAAAUGUACCCCUAUGAAAAAGAAAAAGCCAACUUGGCUAAUUUGUGAGCCACCACAUCACAAUAUCUAGGUACAUGUUUAACUAUAUAAAUCAGAAGCUCUAUUAAUCAUAAGUCCCUUGACCUCCAAUACUAGCCAACUAAUCUCUUUCCUGCUAGACAAGCUUCCAUCAAUCAGACUAACAAUAUUUACUGAAUCAUAUUCUAAAAUUAAUGGAGUUAGACCCACUUCAAUUGUAAGCUUAAUCUCCUUUAAAAGCGCUUCCGCUUCUGCAAAUUCCACAUCAUUAGAAAAAGACCUUCCAUUGAUUGACGCCACCGUGAAUAUGCACGUAUCAAGGAAUUUUUAAAAGCCCAAUGAUGAUUUUUUAAAAAUAUGUCAUCACAUGUGCAUUCUUUUAAUGUAUUGUUAAGAUUAAUCUUUGCUUAAAAAAUCAUAAAUAAUCAUGAAUUUUUAUUAAUGGUCUUUACCAAAUGCAUGCACAGAAGCAAAUUAUGUUCUCGUUGCAAAGUAGUCAUUUAUUCACCAUAAAUAUUAACGUCACACUUUUAGGAUGCUCAAUAUAUGCAUAAUAUUGGGUAAUUUUUAAAGACCUCCCUGAGGUUUGGGGUAUUGACACUUAAAUAGAAAGUAUGUUUGUAAUUACAUAAACCUCCCUUGCCGUUUCUAUUUCCAUCCAAUGACGGUAAGUAGAUCAAUGAAAUGACCAAAAUAUCCCUAAGGCCAAAAAGAAAUUCUUAUAGCAACUAGUAGGUCACUGUUUGUUAAUUGGAUGAAAUAUGUAUUGCUCGCAGCACACUGAUGAAAUGAUGAAAAUAACUAUGAUAACCAAAUAUUUGACAUUGCAUACUCAUUAACUAAAAAAAAAUAAUAAAAUAUUGCUGAAAAAAUUUAACAAUUUCUAAACUUCAAUUAAGAAAUCAUAUUUGCUUCAAGCAAUUCAAAAAUAAAAAUGCCAUUUUUAUCACACAACCCUCGAUUAGUAAAUUUUUAUAGUCCCAUUGAGAUUAUAAAAUCAACAGAACAUUCCAGAAGAAAAUAUACAUAUUUAUGGUUGAAACUACAAACACAAAAAUAUACCAGGUGAAAAAAAAUUUGAUUUCAAAACCAAUCAAAGAGCUUCUUUGGUCUUAGUAGUGCUCCUAGUUGCACAAUAUUUUGCAGCCAGUUCCUUUGCCUUAAGAAAUUCUUGUCCAUCUAGUUUCAAUCAUUGCCCUUUUCUCUUCUACUUCAUUGUUAAGUAAGAAUGUAAGAUCUAUCUUAUUUUUUCGUUUUUCAAGUAUAAUUCUACCUUCUUCCUCUCUAAUCAUUCCUGUCAAUUAUUGAAUAUGCUGAAGAUGAAUCGAAUUAUUUAUUAAAUAUGUGACAUUAGCAGAGAGCACACUAAAAUGCCAAAACCUAAAGGACUUGUGGUUGUGCGGGAUUUUUUUUCAAAGAAAAUAAGCAACUGAAAUUGAACUUAUAUUAUGGGAAAAACAAGAGAGUUGAAUAUGCAUUAACACAUAAAUAAGUAUUGCAUUUGAGGAUGAUGAAGAGCUUCAUAAUGUUGUUUCUAUGCAAAAUUUAUUUUGAUUAAACAUAUCAUAGCUAAGCCUGUAUUUCAUUUUUAAUCAUUUCAUAACAAGAUGAAAUCCUAAGCAAUUACUUGGAAAGAACAAUAAUCAAUAGUUUUUUAAAUGAGAAAGAAGACUCAAAAUUUAUGAAAUUUAGAGUAAACACGAGCUACAUACAAAAAAAUCACAAUAUGUAGGUAUUCACAACCAGUGAACACUAAUCAAGUUAUAGUUAGAUACACAAGGUGAAACGUUAUAUGAAAAAGUAACAUUUGAAACCCAUUUAAAUUGUAUUUGCGAUUAAACCCAUCUAAAUCUUAAAUUGUAAUCACAAAUAUAAUCCUAAAAAUUAUUUUAAUUUUAAAAAAAUCUCAAUUUUUUUUCAUUUCAAUUUUAUUAUAAAUGGAAUUGAAUUUGCGAUUACAAAGCUAAAACCCAUUUUUGUUUAACAUAAAAAUCACAGAAAACAACUAAUUUCUAAUAUGCAAUGGUUUGUUUGGCUAGUACGAGUCAAAGUUGAAUACAUGUAGUAGCUUUUUCAACAAAUCAAAGACAACAUUAAAUCUAUUUUUAAAACACAGCAUCAAAUCAACCAAACGGCUCUAACUUUAACAUGGAUUGAGUUAUUUGAAAUUUUCACCUACUACGAGGUUUAAUCAUUGUCACGUUCCUCAUCGAUCACAGGCAAUGGUCACUCAAUGGCACCAUUGUUCAUCACUUUAUUGUUCAUCACUCUUCUUCAAAACCGAGGCUUCUUCAGACUUGAGCUUCAUUUGGCGAGGUCAGAGCAUAAAGAGAAGAAUUUAUGUUUGAGAUUGUUAAUUAACGAUCAACCCCCGCUGUUGUCACUUUAUUGUUCAUCACUCUUCUUCAAAACCGACGCUUCUUCAGAUUUGAGCUUCAUUUAUUGAGGUCAGAAGCAUAAAAGAAGAAUUGAUGUUUGAGAUUGUUAAUUAACGGUCAACUCGGUCACUUUAUUGUUCAUCACUCUUCUUCAAAACCGACAUUUCUUCAUAUUUGAGCUUCAUUUGGUGAGGUCAGAAGCAUAAAGAGAAGAAUUUAUGUUUGAGAUUAUUAAUUAACGGUCAACUCGGUCAUGAGGUUGCUUUUGAUUUUUUUAUUUAAAUAACUUUUUUAUGAAAUUACCCUCGUACAUUGACAAGAUACCAAAUGAAAUACAAACGGCAUGGGAGGUCUAUAUAAUUAUGGUCACACUCUAUCUAAGUGUCAAUACGCCAAACCUCAGGGGAGGUCCCUAAAAAUUACCCAUUUAAUAUUACAUCUACACCACUAUCUCUCUUUCCACCAAUACUAUCUUUGUUUCCAAGUUGUUAAUUAUUGCUUUAUUAGGUAUGCCUCUAGUUAAACAUUAUUAAUAUCGAUUUUCAUUUGGUUUUUGAUGAAUUCAACCAUAUAUAAGAGUAAGGUCGUUGUUCAAGUACACAUUCACCAAACUUUUCCCUUGGAAUCAGGGGCGGAGACAACAUAUUAAUUGACUGGGGGCUUACUCAACGGCGAUAAAAAAAAUUUAAAAAGUAAUAAAUAAUAAAUUUAAAAGAUUUUUAUCAUACUUCAAUAUAUGUUUAUAAUUGUCCUUUACGAGUUUUCAUACAUUGAUAAUGUUGUAUUACAACUUCAUUAUCAAUAUUAUUGCGGGCUGUUUAAAAAUUUGAUUAAUAUUAAUAUUUAUGGGCUUGAUUUUAGUUUGCAAAGCCCAUCUCUUUUUAUUUGUUUUAAAAACUUAGAGUGUGAGAAUUUAAGUAUAAUUAAGUAUUAGGGACUUGAAUAUAAAUUAGUGGGGCUUAGGAAAAUUUAAUUAGAAAUUUUUGGCAAAUCAAAUUAGUUAGUAAAAGAUUUUUUUUUUUUUUUCAGUGGGGACUUAAGUCCCCACUGGUCCCAAGCUAGAUCCGCCACUGCUUGGAAUUAAGCCAUAUAAAUAAUGCUUUAAACUUUGUUUGCUACAAGGAUGUUUUGCUCACAUAAUAUGGUCAUGCAAGAAAGAAAUAAUAUUGAUACAUCCUAAAAAUAACACGCAUUCUCCUAUUGUAAACCAAACAAUUUAAGCUAAUGGUGCCAAGUGAAGGAAUUGUAAUUUCAUGUACAUUUUGUUAACACGAAAAUAGAGAACUUUAUUAUAGUUUUAUUGUUUGACACACAUUUGGGUAGCAAAAUAAGGGUACAAAAUAGACACAUGAAGUGACAAACUAAGCUUAUUAUAAUAAAUAUUUAAUGAUAAGGUAUAAAUUUAAUCGCAAAUACAUAAGUAACGCACAAAGUCACUAAUUGAUAUCAUCCACGAUGCAAGUUCAAACAACUGCAUAAUAAGUUGCCUCAUGCUAAAUUAUUAAUUUGGUAAUUAUUCCAGUCGAUAUGGGAUAAUUUUCCUAUCNNNNNUUAAUUAAUUAANNNNNAGAAGCUACGUACGGUAUAGUUAUGGCUAACCGUACACUGUACGUAGCUUGUUAUUGUUCUAAACACAAGACGACUGAAACGAGACACAUCACACGAACGACAGCAAAUAAUUAAGGUAGCCACAGCUAGCUUUCGCUGCUAACGAUGGAUAUAAUUUCUUUCAUUGAUAAGCAACUAGCACUCGAAGUAACAGAAGCACGCAUAACCAGUUCCUUGUCUGUAGCAAGCCCCGUACCUUGCAUCCUCCUGCUGCUUGCAGUGCCUGCUACAUUUCCCCGUGUUGAGACACGGCCCCGACCAUGUCUUGCUACGCCGCUGGCACACUUUUGCUUCCGCCAUUGGCACUUCUGUAACAAGCAUACAAAAUCAUUAACGUGCACUUAGAUAUAUAAGUUAUUAUCAAAGCUCAUGGGUGUCAACAAAUUCAGGUGGUAAAAUGAUCUCUUAGGUUGAAACAAGAAGUCUGAGGUUUAAACUCUGCUUACAUGAAUGGAAGAGUGCUUUAUAUUACAAUAUACCAGUAUACAAACACACACACACACACACUAAAAUCUGAAAUAAAAAAAAAAUUGUUAUGAAAGUUUAAUAUGCAUGCAUAUGAAACAUAUAUAUGAUUUUGCUUCCCCUCUGGCAUUUCUGUAACACAUACACAGCAUAUUUAAUGCACUCAGUUAGCUAAUAUUAGUUAGGCACGUGGGCUUAUGAAUGGUAUUUAGUGUCAGACUCAUGCGCAAGUAUGCCCUCAUCGCUUAAGAGCAGUUAUUCAAGAAAACUUCAACUAUAAACUAACUUUUGAGUAUGAGUUAGGCUCAAGUCUUUUUGAAACUGCACAACUUAAUAUCAUAGGCAAAACUUAAAAUUAAAUUUUGAUUGCUGAAAAACUAUUAAGUACUGGUUAACAUCAAGUCACUCACCGAAGGAAGCAAAGAGUAUGAAGAACGCAAAAAUAAGAGCAAAAGCUGUGGUAAUGCUAGCAACUGACUUAGCCAUUUUUGCACUUGCUUUGGUUUUAAUUUGAUGAAAUUGCUGAAGGCCCCAACCCCUAUUUAUACUUGGAUAUAAGCUGUCUCUUCGUCUCUAGCCAAGAUCCGCGAGAGACAAAGAAACAAUAAAUUAAUUAACCGGGGAAAUUUGAAUUAGACACUAAAAAAUGAAUUCACGCUCGGAUUAUUGACAAAAAAUUUUACAGUUUAUGCAAAUAAUUGUGAAUUAGAAUGACGUCCUGCCAAUUGCUAUAUUAUAUGCACUCUGAAGUAGUCUUAGGUAGUUGAAAUCUUCAAAUUUAAAUAUAAUACGCAAUGCGAACUUCAAUGACCCAUUCUUCCCCAUAACCUUGUCAUUGACAAAGAUUUUACAGUUUAUUCAGAUAAUUGUGAAUUGAAAUAGUGUCCUGCCAAGUGCUCUAUUCAUUAUUUCAUAUGCACUCUGAAGUAGUCUUAGUUAAAUCUUAAAAUUUAAAUAUCAUAUUCAAUGCCCGACUUCAAUGACCCAUUCUUCCCUAUAACCUUGUUAAACCACCCUAUCGGAUUCUGUAUAUUCUAUUUAUUGUGUGGUUAAUUGUUCUUAUCAAUCGGAUCUAUGACAUACAGCGCUUCAUCUACGUAGCAAAAUGAUGGUGCAAGUAUAAUUUUCUAUUGCUAUAACAGAAAAUUAAACGUUUUAUUCAUACUAUUACUUUUAUAAGUUUUAUGUAAACUUUUAAAGACCACAUUGAAAAGAUAAAUUCACUCUUGUUAUCAUUCAAUUUAGCUUAAGGUCAAUUUAUACCAGAAUAUUGAGAAGAUAGAAAGAACUUAAACAUCAUACUAAAUAGAGGAUUUCUUCCAUAUUUUUAAUACUAUAAUGUCGAUGAUACGUACUAUUUUUACAUUCAAUGAUGAAAAUGAUUUUGGCUCAUAUUAGUCUUAAUAAAGAAGAAUUAAUAUUUAGGAUCAUAAAGUGAUCCCUUUUUUAUGAAAUUCUUAUUUAUUUCUGACAAAAAAUCUUAAAGAUAACAAGACAACUGAAGAGAAAAUUCUCCAAACAUACAUAAAAACCAUGACAACAAAAAUGAAAAUGAGCCAAAGCAUUUCUUGAUUACAAAUUCUUGGGACAUAACAGAUUCGAAAAUCUUACUUUGAUACAGGUAAGUGUUAGAGAUUAGAAAUAAUAUGAAACAACUAUGUAUGAGUAUGAUGGAUACCCUAAAUCAGCUAAACAACGCACAACAUAGUCAUCCUAAUCUUAUUAAAGGGAUGUAUCUUCGACAACUUAUUUGAUCUCUUAUGCUGUGGGGCCAAAUUCAUUUAUGUGGGGGAAAUUUGUGAACUAUGACCUUCAAAUUCUUGUACGUGUAAGGUAAGAACUCUCGUCUAAAAGCCUUGUUUUAUUAGGUGAUUAUUGACAUAGACAAAUAACAUAUAGCAAUUGAUUAGUGAUUACGACAAUGUUGAUGCGUAAUCAAAUAGAAUAUUUAUGAUUUUUUUAUGCUCAUCGGAUGUUAAUAAGAUAAGAAUCGCGAUGAAAAGUUCAUCAAUGUAUAUGGUACGCAUGUUGAUAGAGGACAAAAACAUUGUUUGAAAUUAAUAUUUUUUUGGGUUUAAAGGUAUUGGACUUUUCUUCUUUGACUAUGGAUAGUAGUUUUUUUUGGAAUCAAAUACAGUAUGAUUAUUUGAACAUAUUAAAAUACUCAAUAAACAUGUUUACUAAAAUACUCUUAUUAAAGAUUUCUCUCAUUGUUUCUUUUUCAACCCUCCAUCCACUCUUAAUUCUCUCCCAUCUUUUAUCUGCCAGUAUUGUCUUAUCUAGAAUAGAAAUUUAGGCUAUGGACAUCUAGUAAUAAAAAUUUAAAAACUUAAAUAAAAAAUGAAAAAAUGAGUCUAAUGAGCAAUUUUAUGGGUUCAAAUAAUUAAUUCCGCCUACUCAAGUGCCAGUAUUGUCCUAUCUAUAAUAUAAAUUUAGGCUAUGGACAUUCUAGUAAUAAAAAUUUAAAAACUUAAAUAAAAAAUGAGUCUAAUGAGUAAUUUUAUGGGUUCAAAUAAUUAAUUCCUUCUACUCAAGUAUUAUUCUUUUAUUUCUGGAUAAUAGUAACAAAGUACGAUUUCAAAGAUAACAAUUCAGAUGGGUAGGAAAGUCUUCCAAUAAAUAUUAGAUAUUUAAAUUAGUAGUUUGAAGAUAAAAUACUAGUAGGAUCAUGGAGCGGGGACAUGACUGGAUUAGCAACAAUGUUUUUAAAAGGUAGAGAUGUGGGUAAAAAUUAAAAUGCUUUUUUAAUAUUUAACAUCAAUUAAAUAAGACUUCUUAAAAAGUAGUUGGCUAGAUCCUGGAGGUGAUUACCUGCAAAAUUCAUUACAUUGAUGAAGGAGUAUCUAAUUAGCAGAUUUGAUAUUACUCCUAUAGUUAUAGGAUGGAUAAAAGUAUUAAUUGGAAAAAAGUGUUAAUGGAGAAUAAAUGGUGGAUAUCAUUAUGUGGCUCGAACUCAUAUGCAGAUACGCUAUUACUGCACUCGCAUGAAGUGAAAAUAGAUUUGUUGGACAUCCCUUAUUCAUAUUUUUUCUCAUUAGUCAUAAUUGUCCCAUAGACAAUAACAAAUGUAGGAUUUUAAAAUGAAUAAAAAAGGUUCUUUUCAAUAAUCUCAUAUUUACAAAUUUUAUUUUCUUUUAGUGUUUCCAAAAAAGAGAAACAUGUAAAAAAUAUAUAUUAGCUUGUUAUACGAUUCUUUUUGGUCAAGUAGUGACAGUGCUUCAUAUGUGGCUCGAACUCAUACGCAGAUACGCUAUUAUAAAUUGCAAUCCUACCUAUAAUUAGGUUGAAUGACCAAAUGAAGAUACAAUAAUCUUGAACUCACAUAUAAAAUUGUAACAGUAGGAACAAAUAAUGUGAAACAUUAAACCAAACAAUAUUCAGUCAUAGUUCAAGGUAUACAUUUAUAAAAAAAAAAAAAAGCACAAUAAACAUCGAUUAUUUUCAUGAAAAUAGCCACAUAUAACCAACAGUAAGGUUACUUAUUAUUUUAAAUAUUAUUUCGUGAAACAGCUGCAGCUACAUAGCUGACCAACACAACAGUAGCUUGUUAUUUCCAAACACAAGAGGAAUAAACACCCAAAAGCAGCAAAAGGCAUGAAUGCAGCUUCUUCAAGUUGAGUAACUAUAGCUAGCAAUUGAAGAAGCAGAAGCAGGCAAAACCAAGGCCAUCUCUGUGGCAAGCACCGCUACUUGCACCCUCGCGUUCUCGGCACUGUUUAUCACAGUCUUCUGUUACGAAGCACGGGCCAGUCCAAGUCUUACUACGCCGCUCGCAUAGUGCAGCCUCUGCCGGCUUUGCCAUUUCUGUAAUACACAACACUUACACAAAAUGAUUAAUUUCUAGUUAAUUAAAUUUUAUAAUGCAUGCGUGCUUGCAGAAACUUAUCAUCAUGAAGUACACAUCAAUGUCACUCACCGAACGAAGCGAAGAUGAUGAAGAAUGCAAAAAGAAGAGCAAAAGUCAUUGUAAAGCCAGAAACAGAUUUAGCCAUUUUAAUUUUUAUUUGUUGCACUUGCUGAACUGGUUUAUUAUUUCAUGAAAAUGGUAAGUGACCGUAGCCCCAAUUUAUACACUUGCAAUGUAAGCUAUCCCUUCCCUUUUUGAGAAAGUUUCGAUGAAAUUUUUAGACCUUACUAGUUUUUUAAUAUAUCGAUAAAGUGCAAGGUUUAAUUGUUGUUUUGUAACCAUCUCCCACGUUGGGAAUAUGUAAAACAACAAAUAUAUCAGUACCAACAAAGACAGAUAAAUAUUUUCAGCCGAUGUGGCAAACAAGGUUGUGAGGCCAAAAUAAAAUAUUUACAAAGUAAUGAGGUAAAAAUGUAAAAUUUAAAAAUAGUUAAAUUUUAUAAUUUUAUAAUUAUUUUCAAAUCUUUUUCUUUUACGUUGCUUUCUAAAAAAUUUCAAAAAGUAAGCCGGGGUUUACCCUGAUUUUUUUUUUUUUUUUUGGUUUUUUUAACUUUAAAAUUUCAAAGAUAAGUUAGGGUUGCCUUGAAAGCCUUUGCUAUAGGUUGCAUUACUUUUUGAAAAAUUUUCAAAAAGUCAGGGGUCACCUUGCGCAAACGCUCUUCCGCUUCUAUAUUUAUAUUAAUCUCGAACUUACUUCAAUAUAUAUCUAGUUUCCCUAUCAAGUGAUAACAUAACAUCACUGCUACAAUAAUCCUAAACUUUCAUAUUGUUGGGUGUGGGUACAUAGAGAUACAUCAACAAUGGUACAAUGAAACUUCAUCGGGGCCAGACCAAUAACUUAAUUAUAUCUAGGAUGUAAUGGGAGGGGAAAAAAAUUCGAUCCUACACAAAUAAUUUUGGGAAAAGGACACAAGGACCCCCAACGUUUGAGUAAGGGACACAAAACUCCCUAAGGUUUUAAAAAAGAUACGCAGACCCCAAUUAAUUAACGGAAAUCGUUUCGUUAAAUCACUACAAGGUUAAUACCGUAAUUACAAAUUAAAAACAAGUGAAUUGACUAAAACCCACACACACAUCACACGGACAAACAAACCCCACACACACUGAUUCCAGACAAAUCUUUUAACACACACUCACGGUUUGCCUUGCCGAAAGCUGCUGGGGUUGCCGGAAGUUGCUGGAACUGGUCACGCUACUGGAAGCUGCUGGAACUGCUCGUGCGUCGAUCGAGACUGUGUCUGGUUGCCGGAUCUGCUCGCGAUCAACGUUUGGCUGCUGGUUGUGCUGUUGGAACUGCUGGAAUCUCGCGUUUGGCUGUUGGAACUGCUCGUGUUUGGUUGCUGCUCUUGCUUGUGGAAUCUCGCGUUUGGCUGCUGCUUGUGCUCGCGUUUGGUUGCUGAUCCUGCCUGUUGAAUCUCACGUUUGGCUGCUGCUCUUGCUUGUGGAAUCUCGCGUUUGGCUACUGCUUGUGCUCGCUUUUGGUUGCUGCUCUUGCUUGUGGAAUCCAGGGUUCAAUUCUCUUAAGUCCUAUUUUUUCUCUUUAAUUUUCAUUUUUUUUACUAAAUUAACUUCUCUAGCAUGUUUGAUGCAUAUGUGAUGUAUGUGCAAGAAUAUAAAUAAAUGAUUACGAGAAUUUUUUUUUUUUUUUUUUAUGGUUGUUUGAUGAACAGAGUUCUUAAUUUGUCUGAUUUAUUGGAGAUUUCUUGCUAAUUACUUUUGUUAUUUCUUUUCUUUAUCAAUUUUUAGAUGUGCAUGGAAUUUUCUUUAUCAAAUUUAUUUUGUUAUAUCUAACCAGUUGGGCUAGAAUUCUACCUAGGUGAGAUAUUAUGCAUUUUUUUAAUGGUCCUGGAGCAUGUGAAUUUUGUGCUUAAUUUAUUAAUGAAAAGAAUGUAUUGGUUUGCAGAUGGUUGAUCAGCCAUCCCAAAACCUGAAUACUCACUCACUUUAUUCUUUUGAACAAGAAGAUGAUGAAGCAUAUUGGUCAAAUGAUGACAAUGAAGACAUAACACCUGCUGAUGAUGAAAUAGGAUUAAAUUGGGAUGAUGAGGGAGUGGAUGUUGGGCAUAGUGAAGGUUGUGAAGAAGUGGAUUAUAAAGAUAGUGAAGAAGAAGAUAGAAUUCUUUCUAAUUGUGAGUCAGAUGAUAGAGAGCAUGGCCUGCUUUCUGAUUCUGAAGAUGAGCAAUCAUUUCAUUGUUCAAAAUCUAACCCCAAUGAAAUGAUUGAAAUCAGUGUUGGGCAGGAGUUCGACAAUGUCCAACAUUUCAGAAGAGUACUUGAAAACUACGUUAUUAAGAAUGGGUUUGAUCUUAAUAGAAUUAAGAAUGAGAAGAGAAGGUUCAGGGCAAAGUGUUCCAAUGAGGGCUGUCCGUGGUUUAUUUAUGCAGCACUAGUAGAAUCUGGGACAAAAUUCAGAAUUCAGAAGCUGAAUAAUGUACAUGAAUGUAAUGGAGUGUUAGAGAGCAAAGAGGCAUCAUAUAAAUGGAUUGCCUCUCAGUUUGAGGGAACUUUGAAGAACAACCCAAAAAUGCCAGUAAAGGGAAUGAAAGAUGAAUUGGUUUCUAAUUUAGGGAUUAAGGCAAGCAUGAAGAAAAUGUAUAGGGCCAAGAAAAGAGCAAUGGAUAAAUUAAAUGGGAACUAUGCAAAUUCUUAUCAGAGGCUAAGGGAUUAUGCCCAAAUACUCAAACAAAGCAAUCCCAAUACGUUAGUAAAGAUGAAAUUUGUGCCUAGUUUUGAUCAAGAUAGAAGACCAGCUUUGAAGUUUCAGAGAUUUAUGCUUAGCUUUGUUGCUUUGAAGAAUGGAUUCAUUAAUGGAUGUCGAUGGUUUAUUGGAUUGGAUGGUUGUCAUUUAAAGGGGCAUUUCAGAGGUGUACUAUUAUCAGCAGUGGCAUUAGAUGCAAACAAUGGAAUUUUUUCGAUUGCCGUUUGUAUUUGUGAAUCAGAAUGUGCUGAUAGUUGGAAAUGGUUUUUGGCAAUAUUGAGUGAGUGGUUGAACAUAGAGAAUCAAAGUCGAGUAACGUUUAGGACAGAUAGGCAAAAAGGAAUAUUACUAGGUUUGGAAGCAUAUUGGCAUGGUGCAACAGUGAGGCAUUGUGCCAGACAUAUAUUUGCUAACUUAAGAAGUAAUCAUCCUGAUAUCAUCUACAGAAACCUAUUUUGGACAGCAGCAAGAGCCACUAGUGAAAAAGAAUGGGAAGACAACAUGAACAAAAUAAAAACAGCUAAAAAAGACACGCAAGCUGCUUAUGAUUAUUUGAUUAAGAUUGACAAGAAACAGUGGGCUAGACAUGCAUUUCCUGAUGAUGUAAAAGUUGAUCAUGUAACUAACAACUUAAAUGAGUCAUGGAACAGCUGGUUAAAUGAAUACAAAGACAACCCUGUGUUGACACUUAUGGAAUUCAUUCGGAAGAAAGUUAUGAAAAGACUGUAUAAAAGGCAUUCUGAUGCAAGAAAAUGGAUUGGGAAGCUACCUCCAACUGUGAGGAGAAAGUUGAAUGUUUCCAGACAAGAAGGAAGAUAUGUAAGGGUGCUUAUGGCUAGUGAGUAUGAAUUUGAGGUAAUAGAUGAGAAUAAUAAAACAUUUAUAGUUAAUAUGCAGAAUAAAACUUGUGAUUGUGGUGUUUAUCAAAUUUGUGGGAUACCAUGUAAACAUAUCAUCCCAUGUAUUGCUUUAAGACAUGAAGAUGCUGCUGAUUAUGUGGAUAAAAAACUGACAGUGGAAGCAUAUUUGGCCACAUAUGCAAAUAUCAUACAUCCACUUCCAUAUCAAAGUACAUGGGCUGUUGUUGAAGGUCUAAAAGUCUUAUCUCCAUAUGUCAAAACAAGAGUUGGUAGGCCUAAAAUAGUGAGGAAAAGAGAGCCAGGGGAAGAACAAGGGAAAAGAAAGACCAAGCAAAAAUGUAGCUGUUGUGCAAUUUUCGGCCAUAAUAAAAGAUUAUAUAAAAGACCAAUUGAUUCCACUCAACACCCCUCAGGUAAGCCUAAAUUUCUUUUUUUUUUUAUUUUACUUUUUUAUAUAAAAAUAAAAUUUAUAUAUUAAUAUUUAUACAUUUAUCGUGCAGGAACAACCACACAAGAUAUGAGAUGAAGCUCACAAGCUAGUAAUCAGAGUUGUUAUACCAAUUUGUGAACAGAUUAUGUUUUUUUUUCAAAAAAUAUUAUGGUUAUUGUUGUAAUGUUUACCAGUACUAAUUUGAUACAAUAUUAUAAUACAAUUAUUUUUUGUUAUGUUUACUGGAUUGAUGGUUUUAAUGUCUAUUGGAUAUGUUAUUUAGUACAAUUAAGAUUUUGUAAUUAUUGUUGUAAAUAAUUUUUUUUUAUUUUUGAUUAUAUAAGUUUAAAUGAUUGACAUAUGGAGAAUUGUUAUUUUUAUUAUAUUAAUAAUCAAUUUAAUUUAUUUUUAUUCUUGAGCAAUGAAUUAAAUUUAUUUAGUUUGAAGAGAAAAAUUAACAAAAAUUAAAUGGAAAAAUUGGGUAAUGAAGUUAUAUUCGUAAUUAUAUUAAUAAUAUAGGGAUAAAUUGGACAAUGAACAAUUAGUUUUUAAUAUGCUAUAAGGGUAUAAUGGUAAUUGUACUUUAAAAUUAUAAUUUCACUCAAAAGAAACGGUUUCCGUUAACUAAUGGGGGUCUGAGUGUCUUUUUUGAAACAUGAGGGGUUUUAUGUCCCUUAUUCAAACGUUGGGGGUCUCUGUGUCCUUUUCCCAAUAAUUUAUCAUCAUGUGUUAAGUGACGAUUGACUUUAUUAAUUAUUGGUACAAAAUUAAUAUGCCAAGCACAAAUGAUCAACUGAGAUACAAAAUCUUGGUUCUCCACUGCGUGUGUAUAUUAUACCAUGUAAUGUUGUUAUCACCACCCAAAACUCUCUCCGAAUUAAGUAGGUAUAGGCGCUAAUUCAUCACAAGAUUAUUACUGCACUCGCAUGAAGUGAAAAUAGAUUUGUUGGAUAUCCCUUAUUCAUAUUUUUUCUCAUUAGUCAUAAUUGUCCCAUAGACAAUAACAAAUGUAGGAUUUUAAAAUGAAUAAAAAAGUUCUUUUCAAUAAUCUCAUAUUUACAAAUUAUAUUUUCUUUUAGUGUUUCCAAAAAAGAGGAACAUGUAAAAAAUAUAUAUUAGCUUGUUAUACGACUCUUUUUGGUCAAGUGAUAGUGCUUCAGGUAAUUUUUAUAAAUAAAAUUAAGUUUUGUUUCAAAUAAGCACUCCCCCCCUAAAAAAAAAGAAGGGGAGAAGGCAAAACCCAGAUUGAUUUCUUAGCGUUACUUUUCUCAAAAUCCAGACUCAAGUGGUCGGGCAAAGAAAUUUGCGUAAAAACCACUCGGUCAAGACCUUUGGCCUCAUUGAGUACUCAUUGAUGGCGAUAUAAUUAAUUAAUUCUAAUGUGACCAACUCAUUUGCACGUGAGAGAAAAUGAAUGUUAAUUAUACUUCACCAGCAACUAUAUCCAAUUUUGUUAUUUUAUAUUAUUAAGUCUCAAGAUGGUUAUGUUUCAUACACAUUUAACUAAUUAAGAACAUAAUAAAUACUUAUAUGGAAUAAAUAAUUUUCAUAAUAGUACAUGAAUGUUCAUUCCUGGUGCUUGCGUAUCAUAGUAAUAUAAAUAGCGUGAAGAGAUGGAGUAAUAACUUAUAAUUAGAUUUGUAGAGUGUGGCUCAUUAUAUUAGAAUAACACAAACAAGCAAUACAACAAAGACGCAACAAACAUUGACUCGUUCCUUAUUCAGAAGCUACGUACGGUAUAGUUAUGGCUAACCGUACACUGUACGUAGCUUGUUAUUGUUCUAAACACAAGACGACUGAAACGAGACACAUCACACGAACGACAGCAAAUAAUUAAGGUAGCCACAGCUAGCUUUCGCUGCUAACGAUGGAUAUAAUUUCUUUCAUUGAUAAGCAACUAGCACUCGAAGUAACAGAAGCACGCAUAACCAGUUCCUUGUCUGUAGCAAGCCCCGUACCUUGCAUCCUCCUGCUGCUUGCAGUGCCUGCUACAUUUCCCCGUGUUGAGACACGGCCCCGACCAUGUCUUGCUACGCCGCUGGCACACUUUUGCUUCCGCCAUUGGCACUUCUGUAACAAGCAUACAAAAUCAUUAACGUGCACUUAGAUAUAUAAGUUAUUAUCAAAGCUCAUGGGUGUCAACAAAUUCAGGUGGUAAAAUGAUCUCUUAGGUUGAAACAAGAAGUCUGAGGUUUAAACUCUGCUUACAUGAAUGGAAGAGUGCUUUAUAUUACAAUAUACCAGUAUACAAACACACACACACACACACUAAAAUCUGAAAUAAAAAAAAAAUUGUUAUGAAAGUUUAAUAUGCAUGCAUAUGAAACAUAUAUAUGAUUUUGCUUCCCCUCUGGCAUUUCUGUAACACAUACACAGCAUAUUUAAUGCACUCAGUUAGCUAAUAUUAGUUAGGCACGUGGGCUUAUGAAUGGUAUUUAGUGUCAGACUCAUGCGCAAGUAUGCCCUCAUCGCUUAAGAGCAGUUAUUCAAGAAAACUUCAACUAUAAACUAACUUUUUGAGUAUGAGUUAGGCUCAAGUCUUUUUGAAACUGCACAACUUAAUAUCAUAGGCAAAACUUAAAAUUAAAUUUUGAUUGCUGAAAAACUAUUAAGUACUGGUUAACAUCAAGUCACUCACCGAAGGAAGCAAAGAGUAUGAAGAACGCAAAAAUAAGAGCAAAAGCUGUGGUAAUGCUAGCAACUGACUUAGCCAUUUUUGCACUUGCUUUGGUUUUAAUUUGAUGAAAUUGCUGAAGGCCCCAACCCCUAUUUAUACUUGGAUAUAAGCUGUCUCUUCGUCUCUAGCCAAGAUCCGCGAGAGACAAAGAAACAAUAAAUUAAUUAACCGGGGAAAUUUGAAUUAGACACUAAAAAAUGAAUUCACGCUCGGAUUAUUGACAAAAAAUUUUACAGUUUAUGCAAAUAAUUGUGAAUUAGAAUGACGUCCUGCCAAUUGCUAUAUUAUAUGCACUCUGAAGUAGUCUUAGGUAGUUGAAAUCUUCAAAUUUAAAUAUAAUACGCAAUGCGAACUUCAAUGACCCAUUCUUCCCCAUAACCUUGUCAUUGACAAAAGAUUUUACAGUUUAUUCAGAUAAUUGUGAAUUGAAAUAGUGUCCUGCCAAGUGCUCUAUUUCAUUAUUUCAUAUGCACUCUGAAGUAGUCUUAGUUAAAAUCUUAAAAUUUAAAUAUCAUAUUCAAUGCCCGACUUCAAUGACCCAUUCUUCCCUAUAACCUUGUUAAACCACCCUAUCGGAUUCUGUAUAUUCUAUUUAUUGUGUGGUUAAUUGUUCUUAUCAAUCGGAUCUAUGACAUACAGCGCUUCAUCUACGUAGCAAAAUGAUGGUGCAAGUAUAAUUUUCUAUUGCUAUAAACAGAAAAUUAAACGUUUUAUUCAUACUAUUACUUUUAUAAGUUUUAUGUAAACUUUUAAAGACCACAUUGAAAAGAUAAAUUCACUCUUGUUAUCAUUCAAUUUAGCUUAAGGUCAAUUUAUACCAGAAUAUUGAGAAGAUAGAAAGAACUUAAACAAUCAUACUAAAUAGAGGAUUUCUUCCAUAUUUUUAAUACUAUAAUGUCGAUGAUACGUACUAUUUUUACAUUCAAUGAUGAAAAUGAUUUUGGCUCAUAUUAGUCUUAAUAAAGAAGAAUUAAUAUUUAGGAUCAUAAAGUGAUCCCUUUUUUAUGAAAUUCUUAUUUAUUUCUGACAAAAAAUCUUAAAGAUAACAAGACAACUGAAGAGAAAAUUCCUCCAAACAUACAUAAAAACCAUGACAACAAAAAUGAAAAUGAGCCAAAGCAUUUCUUGAUUACAAAUUCUUGGGACAUUAACAGAUUCGAAAAUCUUACUUUGAUACAGGUAAGUGUUAGAGAUUAGAAAUAAUAUGAAACAACUAUGUAUGAGUAUGAUGGAUAACCCUAAAUCAGCUAAACAACGCACAACAUAGUCAUCCUAAUCUUAUUAAAGGGAUGUAUCUUCGACAACUUAUUUGAUCUCUUAUGCUGUGGGGGCCAAAUUCAUUUAUGUGGGGGAAAUUUUGUGAACUAUGACUUCAAAUUCUUGUACGUGUAAGGUAAGAACUCUCGUCUAAAAGCCUUGUUUUAUUAGGUGAUUAUUGACAUAGACAAAUAAAAUAUAGGCAAUUGAUUAGUGAUUACGACAAUGUUGAUGCGUAAUCAAAUAGAAUAUUUAUGAUUUUUUUAUGCUCAUCGGAUGUUAAUAAGAUAAGAAUCGCGAUGAAAAGUUCAUCAAUGUAUAUGGUACGCAUGUUGAUAGAGGACAAAAACAUUGUUUGAAAUUAAUAUUUUUUUGGGUUUAAAGGUAUUGGACUUUUCUUCUUUGACUAUGGAUAGUAGUUUUUUUUGGAAUCAAAUACAGUAUGAUUAUUUGAACAUAUUAAAAUACUCAAUAAACAUGUUUACUAAAAUACUCUUAUUAAAGAUUUCUCUCAUUGUUUCUUUUUCAACCCUCCAUCCACUCUUAAUUCUCUCCCAUCUUUUAUCUGCCAGUAUUGUCUUAUCUAGAAUAGAAAUUUAGGCUAUGGACAUCUAGUAAUAAAAAUUUAAAAACUUAAAUAAAAAAUGAAAAAAUGAGUCUAAUGAGCAAUUUUAUGGGUUCAAAUAAUUAAUUCCGCCUACUCAAGUGCCAGUAUUGUCCUAUCUAUAAUAUAAAUUUAGGCUAUGGACAUUCUAGUAAUAAAAAUUUAAAAACUUAAAUAAAAAUGAGUCUAAUGAGUAAUUUUAUGGGUUCAAAUAAUUAAUUCCUUCUACUCAAGUAUUAUUCUUUUAUUUCUGGAUAAUAGUAACAAAGUACGAUUUCAAAGAUAACAAUUCAGAUGGGUAGGAAAGUCUUCCAAUAAAUAUUAGAUAUUUAAAUUAGUAGUUUGAAGAUAAAAUACUAGUAGGAUCAUGGAGCGGGGACAUGACUGGAUUAGCAACAAUGUUUUUUAAAAGGUAGAGAUGUGGGUAAAAAUUAAAAUGCUUUUUUAAUAUUUAACAUCAAUUAAAUAAGACUUCUUAAAAGUAGUUGGCUAGAUCCUGGAGGUGAUUACCUGCAAAAUUCAUUACAUUGAUGAAGGAGUAUCUAAUUAGCAGAUUUGAUAUUACUCCUAUAGUUAUAGGAUGGAUAAAAGUAUUAAUUGGAAAAAAGUGUUAAUGGAGAAUAAAUGGUGGAUAUCAUUAUGUGGCUCGAACUCAUAUGCAGAUACGCUAUUACUGCACUCGCAUGAAGUGAAAAUAGAUUUGUUGGACAUCCCUUAUUCAUAUUUUUUCUCAUUAGUCAUAAUUGUCCCAUAGACAAUAACAAAUGUAGGAUUUUAAAAUGAAUAAAAAAGGUUCUUUUCAAUAAUCUCAUAUUUACAAAUUUUAUUUUCUUUUAGUGUUUCCAAAAAAGAGAAACAUGUAAAAAAUAUAUAUUAGCUUGUUAUACGAUUCUUUUUGGUCAAAGUAGUGACAGUGCUUCAUAUGUGGCUCGAACUCAUACGCAGAUACGCUAUUAUAAAUUGCAAUCCUACCUAUAAUUAGGUUGAAUGACCAAAUGAAGAUACAAUAAUCUUGAACUCACAUAUAAAAUUGUAACAGUAGGAACAAAUAAUGUGAAACAUUAAACCAAACAAUAUUCAGUCAUAGUUCAAGGUAUACAUUUAUAAAAAAAAAAAAAAGCACAAUAAACAUCGAUUAUUUUCAUGAAAAUAGCCACAUAUAACCAACAGUAAGGUUACUUAUUAUUUUAAAUAUUAUUUCGUGAAACAGCUGCAGCUACAUAGCUGACCAACACAACAGUAGCUUGUUAUUUCCAAACACAAGAGGAAUAAACACCCAAAAGCAGCAAAAGGCAUGAAUGCAGCUUCUUCAAGUUGAGUAACUAUAGCUAGCAAUUGAAGAAGCAGAAGCAGGCAAAACCAAGGCCAUCUCUGUGGCAAGCACCGCUACUUGCACCCUCGCGUUCUCGGCACUGUUUAUCACAGUCUUCUGUUACGAAGCACGGGCCAGUCCAAGUCUUACUACGCCGCUCGCAUAGUGCAGCCUCUGCCGGCUUUGCCAUUUCUGUAAUACACAACACUUACACAAAAUGAUUAAUUUCUAGUUAAUUAAAUUUUAUAAUGCAUGCGUGCUUGCAGAAACUUAUCAUCAUGAAGUACACAUCAAUGUCACUCACCGAACGAAGCGAAGAUGAUGAAGAAUGCAAAAAGAAGAGCAAAAGUCAUUGUAAAGCCAGAAACAGAUUUAGCCAUUUUAAUUUUUAUUUGUUGCACUUGCUGAACUGGUUUAUUAUUUCAUGAAAAUGGUAAGUGACGCGUAGCCCCAAUUUAUACACUUGCAAUGUAAGCUAUCCCUUCCCUUUUUGAGAAAGUUUCGAUGAAAUUUUAGACCUUACUAGUUUUUUAAUAUAUCGAUAAAGUGCAAGGUUUAAUUGUUGUUUUGUAACCAUCUCCCACGUUGGGAAUAUGUAAACAACAAAUAUAUCAGUACCAACAAAGACAGAUAAAUAUUUUCAGCCGAUGUGGCAAACAAGGUUGUGAGGCCAAAAUAAAAUAUUUACAAAGUAAUGAGGUAAAAAUGUAAAAUUUAAAAAUAGUUAAAUUUUAUAAUUUUAUAAUUAUUUUCAAAUCUUUUUCUUUUACGUUGCUUUCUAAAAAAUUUCAAAAAGUAAGCCGGGGUUUACCCUGAUUUUUUUUUUUUUUUGGUUUUUUUAAACUUUAAAAUUUCAAAGAUAAGUUAGGGUUGCCUUGAAAGCCUUUGCUAUAGGUUGCAUUACUUUUGAAAAAUUUUCAAAAAGUCAGGGGUCACCUUGGCGCAAACGCUCUUCCGCUUCUAUAUUUAUAUUAAUCUCGAACUUACUUCAAUAUAUAUCUAGUUUCCCUAUCAAGUGAUAACAUAACAUCACUGCUACAAUAAUCCUAAACUUUCAUAUUGUUGGGUGUGGGUACAUAGAGAUACAUCAACAAAUGGUACAAUGAAACUUCAUCGGGCCAGACCAAUAACUUAAUUAUAUCUAGGAUGUAAUGGGAGGGAAAAAAAAUUCGAUCCUACACAAAUAAUUUUGGGAAAAGGACACAAGGACCCCCAACGUUUGAGUAAGGGACACAAAACUCCCUAAGGUUUUAAAAAAGAUACGCAGACCCCAAUUAAUUAACGGAAAUCGUUUCGUUAAAUCACUACAAGGUUAAUACCGUAAUUACAAAUUAAAAACAAGUGAAUUGACUAAAACCCACACACACAUCACACGGACAAACAAACCCCACACACACUGAUUCCAGACAAAUCUUUUAACACACACUCACGGUUUGCCUUGCCGAAAGCUGCUGGGGUUGCCGGAAGUUGCUGGAACUGGUCACGCUACUGGAAGCUGCUGGAAACUGCUCGUGCGUCGAUCGAGACUGUGUCUGGUUGCCGGAUCUGCUCGCGAUCAAACGUUUGGCUGCUGGUUGUGCUGUUGGAACUGCUGGAAUCUCGCGUUUGGCUGUUGGAACUGCUCGUGUUUGGGUUGCUGCUCUUGCUGUGGAAUCUCGCGUUUGGCUGCUGCUUGUGCUCGCGUUUGGUUGCUGAUCCUGCCUGUUGAAUCUCACGUUUGGCUGCUGCUCUUGCUUGUGGAAUCUCGCGUUUGGCUACUGCUUGUGCUCGCUUUUGGUUUGCUGCUCUUGCUUGUGGAAUCCAGGGUUCAAUUCUCUUAAGUCCUAUUUUUCUCUUUAAUUUUCAUUUUUUUUACUAAAUUAACUUCUCUAGCAUGUUUGAUGCAUAUGUGAUGUAUGUGCAAGAAUAUAAAUAAAAUGAUUACGAGAAUUUUUUUUUUUUUUGUUUAUGGUUGUUUGAUGAACAGAGUUCUUAAUUUGUCUGAUUUAUUGGAAGAUUUCUUGCUAAUUACUUUUGUUAUUUCUUUUCUUUAUCAAUUUUUAGAUGUGCAUGGAAUUUUCUUUAUCAAAUUUAUUUUGUUAUAUCUAACCCAGUUGGGCUAGAAUUCUACCUAGGUGAGAUAUUAUGCAUUUUUUUAAUGGUCCUGGAGCAUGUGAAUUUUGUGCUUAAUUUAUUAAUGAAAGAAUGUAUUGGUUUGCAGAUGGUUGAUCAGCCAUCCCAAAACCUGAAUACUCACUCACUUUAUUCUUUUGAACAAGAAGAUGAUGAAGCAUAUUGGUCAAAUGAUGACAAUGAAGACAUAACACCUGCUGAUGAUGAAAUAGGAUUAAAUUGGGAUGAUGAGGGAGUGGAUGUUGGGCAUAGUGAAGGUUGUGAAGAAGUGGAUUAUAAAGAUAGUGAAGAAGAAGAUAGAAUUCUUUCUAAUUGUGAGUCAGAUGAUAGAGAGCAUGGCCUGCUUUCUGAUUCUGAAGAUGAGCAAUCAUUUCAUUGUUCAAAAUCUAACCCCAAUGAAAUGAUUGAAAUCAGUGUUGGGCAGGAGUUCGACAAUGUCCAACAUUUCAGAAGAGUACUUGAAAACUACGUUAUUAAGAAUGGGUUUGAUCUUAAUAGAAUUAAGAAUGAGAAGAGAAGGUUCAGGGCAAAGUGUUCCAAUGAGGGCUGUCCGUGGUUUAUUUAUGCAGCACUAGUAGAAUCUGGGACAAAAUUCAGAAUUCAGAAGCUGAAUAAUGUACAUGAAUGUAAUGGAGUGUUAGAGAGCAAAGAGGCAUCAUAUAAAUGGAUUGCCUCUCAGUUUGAGGGAACUUUGAAGAACAACCCAAAAAUGCCAGUAAAGGGAAUGAAAGAUGAAUUGGUUUCUAAUUUAGGGAUUAAGGCAAGCAUGAAGAAAAUGUAUAGGGCCAAGAAAAGAGCAAUGGAUAAAUUAAAUGGGAACUAUGCAAAUUCUUAUCAGAGGCUAAGGGAUUAUGCCCAAAUACUCAAACAAAGCAAUCCCAAUACGUUAGUAAAGAUGAAAUUUGUGCCUAGUUUUGAUCAAGAUAGAAGACCAGCUUUGAAGUUUCAGAGAUUUAUGCUUAGCUUUGUUGCUUUGAAGAAUGGAUUCAUUAAUGGAUGUCGAUGGUUUAUUGGAUUGGAUGGUUGUCAUUUAAAGGGGCAUUUCAGAGGUGUACUAUUAUCAGCAGUGGCAUUAGAUGCAAACAAUGGAAUUUUUUCGAUUGCCGUUUGUAUUUGUGAAUCAGAAUGUGCUGAUAGUUGGAAAUGGUUUUUGGCAAUAUUGAGUGAGUGGUUGAACAUAGAGAAUCAAAGUCGAGUAACGUUUAGGACAGAUAGGCAAAAAGGAAUAUUACUAGGUUUGGAAGCAUAUUGGCAUGGUGCAACAGUGAGGCAUUGUGCCAGACAUAUAUUUGCUAACUUAAGAAGUAAUCAUCCUGAUAUCAUCUACAGAAACCUAUUUUGGACAGCAGCAAGAGCCACUAGUGAAAAAGAAUGGGAAGACAACAUGAACAAAAUAAAAACAGCUAAAAAGACACGCAAGCUGCUUAUGAUUAUUUGAUUAAGAUUGACAAGAAACAGUGGGCUAGACAUGCAUUUCCUGAUGAUGUAAAAGUUGAUCAUGUAACUAACAACUUAAAUGAGUCAUGGAACAGCUGGUUAAAUGAAUACAAAGACAACCCUGUGUUGACACUUAUGGAAUUCAUUCGGAAGAAAGUUAUGAAAAGACUGUAUAAAAGGCAUUCUGAUGCAAGAAAAUGGAUUGGGAAGCUACCUCCAACUGUGAGGAGAAAGUUGAAUGUUUCCAGACAAGAAGGAAGAUAUGUAAGGGUGCUUAUGGCUAGUGAGUAUGAAUUUGAGGUAAUAGAUGAGAAUAAUAAAACAUUUAUAGUUAAUAUGCAGAAUAAAACUUGUGAUUGUGGUGUUUAUCAAAUUUGUGGGAUACCAUGUAAACAUAUCAUCCCAUGUAUUGCUUUAAGACAUGAAGAUGCUGCUGAUUAUGUGGAUAAAAAACUGACAGUGGAAGCAUAUUUGGCCACAUAUGCAAAUAUCAUACAUCCACUUCCAUAUCAAAGUACAUGGGCUGUUGUUGAAGGUCUAAAAGUCUUAUCUCCAUAUGUCAAAACAAGAGUUGGUAGGCCUAAAAUAGUGAGGAAAAGAGAGCCAGGGGAAGAACAAGGGAAAAGAAAGACCAAGCAAAAAUGUAGCUGUUGUGCAAUUUUCGGCCAUAAUAAAAGAUUAUAUAAAAGACCAAUUGAUUCCACUCAACACCCCUCAGGUAAGCCUAAAUUUCUUUUUUUUUUUAUUUUACUUUUUAUAUAAAAAUAAAAUUUAUAUAUUAAUAUUUAUACAUUUAUCGUGCAGGAACAACCACACAAGAUGAGAUGAAGCUCACAAGCUAGUAAUCAGAGUUGUUAUACCAAUUUGUGAACAGAUUAUGUUUUUUUUUCAAAAAAUAUUAUGGUUAUUGUUGUAAUGUUUACCAGUACUAAUUUGAUACAAUAUUAUAAAUACAAUUAUUUUUUGUUAUGUUUACUGGAUUGAUGGUUUUAAUGUCUAUUGGAUAUGUUAUUUAGUACAAUUAAGAUUUUGUAAUUAUUGUUGUAAAUAAUUUUUUUUAUUUUGUUGAUUAUAUAAGUUUAAAUGAUUGACAUAUGGAGAAUUGUUAUUUUUAUUAUAUUAAUAAUCAAUUUAAUUUAUUUUUAUUCUUGAGCAAUGAAUUAAAUUUAUUUAGUUUGAGAGAAAAAUUAACAAAAAUUAAAUGGAAAAAUUGGGUAAUGAAGUUAUAUUCGUAAUUAUAUUAAUAAUAUAGGGAUAAAUUGGACAAUGAACAAUUAGUUUUUAAUAUGCUAUAAGGGUAUAAUGGUAAUUGUACUUUAAAAUUAUAAUUUCACUCAAAAGAAACGGUUUCCGUUAACUAAUGGGGGUCUGAGUGUCUUUUUUGAAACAUGAGGGGGUUUUAUGUCCCUUAUUCAAACGUUGGGGUCUCUGUGUCCUUUUCCCAAUAAUUUAUCAUCAUGUGUUAAGUGACGAUUGACUUUAUUAAUUAUUGGUACAAAAUUAAUAUGCCAAGCACAAAUGAUCAACUGAGAUACAAAAUCUUGGUUCUCCACUGCGUGUGUAUAUUAUACCAUGUAAUGUUGUUAUCACCACCCAAAACUCUCUCCGAAUUAAGUAGGUAUAGGCGCUAAUUCAUCACAAGAUUAUUACUGCACUCGCAUGAAGUGAAAAUAGAUUUGUUGGAUAUCCCUUAUUCAUAUUUUUUCUCAUUAGUCAUAAUUGUCCCAUAGACAAUAACAAAUGUAGGAUUUUAAAAUGAAUAAAAAAGUUCUUUUCAAUAAUCUCAUAUUUACAAAUUAUAUUUUCUUUUAGUGUUUCCAAAAAAAGGAACAUGUAAAAAUAUAUAUUAGCUUGUUUAUACGACUCUUUUUGGUCAAGUGAUAGUGCUUCAGGUAAUUUUUAUAAAUAAAUUAAGUUUUGUUUCAAAUAAGCACUCCCCCCUAAAAAAAAAAGAAGGGGAGAAGGCAAAACCCAGAUUGAUUUCUUAGCGUUACUUUUCUCAAAAUCCAGACUCAAGUGGUCGGGCAAAGAAAUUUGCGUAAAAACCACUCGGUCAAGACCUUUGGCCUCAUUGAGUACUCAUUGAUGGCGAUAUAAUUAAUUAAUUCUAAUGUGACCAACUCAUUUGCACGUGAGAGAAAAUGAAUGUUAAUUAUACUUCACCAGCAACUAUAUCCAAUUUUGUUAUUUUAUAUUAUUAAGUCUCAAGAUGGUUAUGUUUCAUACACAUUUAACUAAUUAAGAACAUAAUAAAUACUUAUAUGAAUAAAUAAUUUUCAUAAUAGUACAUGAAUGUUCAUUCCUGGUGCUUGCGUAUCAUAGUAAUAUAAAUAGCGUGAAGAGAUGGAGUAAUAACUUAUAAUUAGAUUUGUAGAGUGUGGCUCAUUAUAUUAGAAUAACACAAACAAGCAAUACAACAAAGACGCAACAAACAUUGACUCGUUCCUUAUUCAGAAGCUACGUACGGUAUAGUUAUGGCUAACCGUACACUGUACGUAGCUUGUUAUUGUUCUAAACACAAGACGACUGAAACGAGACACAUCACACGAACGACAGCAAAUAAUUAAGGUAGCCACAGCUAGCUUUCGCUGCUAACGAUGGAUAUAAUUUCUUUCAUUGAUAAGCAACUAGCACUCGAAGUAACAGAAGCACGCAUAACCAGUUCCUUGUCUGUAGCAAGCCCCGUACCUUGCAUCCUCCUGCUGCUUGCAGUGCCUGCUACAUUUCCCCGUGUUGAGACACGGCCCCGACCAUGUCUUGCUACGCCGCUGGCACACUUUUGCUUCCGCCAUUGGCACUUCUGUAACAAGCAUACAAAUCAUUAACGUGCACUUAGAUAUAUAAGUUAUUAUCAAAGCUCAUGGGUGUCAACAAAUUCAGGUGGUAAAAUGAUCUCUUAGGUUGAAACAAGAAGUCUGAGGUUUAAACUCUGCUUACAUGAAUGGAAGAGUGCUUUAUAUUACAAUAUACCAGUAUACAAACACACACACACACACACUAAAAUCUGAAAUAAAAAAAAAAAUUGUUAUGAAAGUUUAAUAUGCAUGCAUAUGAAACAUAUAUAUGAUUUUGCUUCCCCCUCUGGCAUUUCUGUAACACAUACACAGCAUAUUUAAUGCACUCAGUUAGCUAAUAUUAGUUAGGCACGUGGGCUUAUGAAUGGUAUUUUAGUGUCAGACUCAUGCGCAAGUAUGCCCUCAUCGCUUAAGAGCAGUUAUUCAAGAAAACUUCAACUAUAAACUAACUUUUUGAGUAUGAGUUAGGCUCAAGUCUUUUUGAAACUGCACAACUUAAUAUCAUAGGCAAAACUUAAAAUUAAAUUUUGAUUGCUGAAAAACUAUUAAGUACUGGUUAACAUCAAGUCACUCACCGAAGGAAGCAAAGAGUAUGAAGAACGCAAAAAUAAGAGCAAAAGCUGUGGUAAUGCUAGCAACUGACUUAGCCAUUUUUGCACUUGCUUUGGUUUUAAUUUGAUGAAAUUGCUGAAGGCCCCAACCCCUAUUUAUACUUGGAUAUAAGCUGUCUCUUCGUCUCUAGCCAAGAUCCGCGAGAGACAAAGAAACAAUAAAUUAAUUAACCGGGGAAAUUUGAAUUAGACACUAAAAAAUGAAUUCACGCUCGGAUUAUUGACAAAAAAUUUUACAGUUUAUGCAAAUAAUUGUGAAUUAGAAUGACGUCCUGCCAAUUGCUAUAUUAUAUGCACUCUGAAGUAGUCUUAGGUAGUUGAAAUCUUCAAAUUUAAAUAUAAUACGCAAUGCGAACUUCAAUGACCCAUUCUUCCCCAUAACCUUGUCAUUGACAAAAGAUUUUACAGUUUAUUCAGAUAAUUGUGAAUUGAAAUAGUNNNNNUUAAUUAAUUAANNNNNUUUUUUUUUUUUUAGAAACACUCGUGUUUAUUCAAUCAGAUUAAUGAUAGCAAUCAAAUAAAAGUAUAAGCAUUAUCUCCAGUCUAAAGCAACAUCACACCCACAUCAACCAUCCACAUGAAUAGCCCAGUAGACUUUGUUAUAGCUACUUUCAAGAAUGACAUGUCAAACCCCAAAAUCUCACUGGAAGUAGUGACACACUCUCACAAAGAAAUUAAACCCAAUAAACAUAGUCACUCCAAUGAAUGGUAAUUGAGAGAGAAAAUAAAAAGAAAUGAUAUCACAUGCUCUCACCAAGAUGAAAUAAAUAUGCCCUCAGCUUAGAAAUAAUACGAUCUCAAGUCAAAUAAAAUGUUAGUCAACCCACUUUAUUUAUCUUUUUUUUUUUUUAUUAUGCAUCACUACAUCUUUUUAGCCCAUAUAACUAGCUUCUACUUCAAACUAUAGUUCCCUAAAAUCAAGAAGGACUUUUAUUAGGACGUAACGUAGGCUAGGGAUAUGGCUAACAAAGAAGGGAAAUAAGGAAAACAAAGUGUAUGUUUGAGAAAAAUGCAGAGAAAUUUUUUUUUUUUUUGGAAGUUGCAAGGUGGAUUUCACCUAUUAUUGUUAUUUUUAUUCUUUUGAAACAACAAUUUUUUUCUUUUUUUUUUUUUUUUUUUCUUUUUUUUUUUUUUUGGGCAUAACUUCACUACAAAAUGUUUAUUUACAUUUUUCUCAAACAUAAAUAGGUGAUGGAAUUGUAAGAUAUUGGGUAAUACUCCAAAUCGGAGUGGGUCAAGAUGAUAAGUUAAACAAAGAAAAGUUUUUUUUUUUUAUUUAAAGGCUCAAAUGGUUAACUAUGGAUACUUGAUAAAGGGAUGGCUAGAAAGGCUCAAACGGAUCAAAGAUGGCCUUUCCAUCGUCUUUUAGGGCUCUAAAUAAUCAUCCAUAUCUACUAGUUAGAUGGGCCUCCCAAUGUAGCAAACACACACUUUUUUUUUUUUUUUUUUAAGGUUAACUCAAAAGAAAUCUAGAGAUCGUGUAUAAUAAUAAACUGUUAAGCUUAUAAAAGAAUGGGCAAAAGGGUUACUCUCCAAGAAAAAUGAUAGGCUCAAAAACUCACUUGGUACUUAUUAUGACAUGUUCAUUCCUUCAAGCAACUCAUAUUUGUCUCCGACAUCAACAUGUAGAGUAGCAAACAUAAUGUAACAUCACUUAAGACCAAAGAUAAUACAAAUACUAAAAUUUGAAAUUAAUCAUGUCAUCAAAGUUAAAACAAAUCACACAAUUUUUUUUUUAAACAACAUUCUACCCCCCAACCUAUUCUAAACAUGAAAGGAAAAUAUGCAUGCAGAAAUGUGAAAAUGAUGCAUAAAAACUAAUUAGAAAAGUUAUAAAAUGAUAGAAAAAAUGAAAUUUUUUUUUUUUAAUUUUUUUUUAAAGAGAAGAUGCGUUUCUAGAGGCACUACACUCCAUAUUCAGCAUCUUCGACUCAAAAGUUGAAAAUAUAUAUUUAAAGGAGAAAUUAAAAAGAAGAAGAAAAAUGAACAUCAAAACAUAAUAAAGAAAAAGAAAAUGUUUGAAUUUUUUUGUUUUUUUUUUUUUUUUUUUAAUUUUUUUUUUUUUUAAACGAUGAAGAUGCGUUUCUAGAGUCACUACACUCCAUAUUCAGCCAUCUUCAACACAAAAAGUUAGCAACAGUUAGUUUCUACAACAAAAAAUCAGUAAAACUUAACCAAGAUUCCACAAUUGUCGACUAUUCCCUCCCCCAACCAGAACGAAACAUUGUCCUCAAUGUUUUAAAGGAAAGAAGUAGAGUUUAGAAGACAUCACCUGGGUGGUGCAACACAGAAGAAAUAUUUACAGGCGGAGAGUUAAAUCUAAUUUGUACUUCUUACUGCGGCUACUGUUACCAUCAUUAUUUGGUCGCUCCAACACAAAGGUCCAGGGGUCUGGCUCCGGUUUAUAAGCUUGUAACAUAUCAAGUAGCUCAUUAGCAGUGUGCACAAAUAAAAAGUUUUUUUACAUUAGAAGGAAUGAAAUAGUUUUUUAUUGCAUGGUUAAGAAAUGCGAUAAAGCCAUCAUAAAAGUUAUUGACAUUUAACAAACCGAUGGGUUUCUGGUGGAUGUGCAGAUGGGCCCAAGAUGCUAGUGUCAUAAGUGCCUCUAGUGUUGCAAGAUCUCCUGGAAGGAAAAUAAAAGCAUCAGCAUGAUUAAGCAUUUCAGUUAUUCUUUCUUGCAUACCUGAGACGACUAACUCUUCUCCAGUUGAUGAGUCAGACGAACUGCCCAAUGGUUUUAGGACUCUUGGGAUGAUGCCUAACACUUGACUUCCUCUGAUAAAAGCUGCUUCUGAGACCAUUUUUUGAUAACCCUCGGUUACCUCCUCCAUACACCAAAUGUAAUUUUCUCGCUGCUAUGCUUCGACCAAGAUCUAUGGCUGCCUCCACGAACUCUUUAUGUUUGCCAUAGGUAAAUCCAGAAAGCACACAAAUGUUCUUGAAUUGUCUAUUGGGAGUAGCUGCCAUUGUGAUACUUCUCAAAAAUAAUUUGUGAGUGCUUGACAAAAGAUAAAUCACAUUUAAGAAUCUUGGUGACAAUGGAUCACAGCUGUGAAUGAGGUAACAUGUCAGUGUCAAAUAACGCGUAAAGCACGUGGCUCGCGAGUCAAAAAGGAAACAGUAAAAAGAAAAAGCAAACAGUAAUAAAAUUAUUAAAGACAAUAAUGCAAACAAUAAAACAACAGUGAAAUGAAAUAAAAUAACAGUAAAGUAAAAGGAUAUUUACACGUAGUUGCGACUGUGGCUCACAUCUUCCUCUGGUUUUACGUCCAGAAACGGCUUGAACGCCCUCUAUGGGUCGAGGAUAGGCUUCCCAUCCAGUUUUCUUAUAAACUGGCAAACAGGGUCGUUUAUAGUCAGAUUCCCGAGACUAUAUCGUGCAUGCUCUUUCUGGAAUAAUGGCCAUAACUGGAGAAUCGCUCCUUGCACAUAUCCACUGGGAUGCGUUUCAAGAGACAAAAGGAUAUCAUCCAAUGACUCCUUAUUCAAGCCAUCCCUAAUGAAUUGAAUCUUAUCUUCUCUGUUAUCAGACACCAUUCCUAAAUAACAUGGGUGUCUAUCGCAACUCAUUCUGGCACACUUGUGACAAGCAACAGAAAUUCUUCGAGCUCGUCGUUUUCUUGCGUAAUUUCCUUUACCACAACCAGGCAUGUAUGCAAUAAAUUUAGGAGGUAACUCACCUGCCAAUCGUACUUUAGCCUCAAUUAACCAACGAAUGUCAGCAGGUAAUGUUAUUCUUUAUGAGUAAUCGCAUGCGUUCGGUCCGAGCUUUAUAGAUCGUAAGGAGGGCAUUCUGAGGAAGUGAAUGGAAUCGCUUGUGAAGCUUCGCUAGAAUCUCGUUUUUGUCCAUACUUUCGCCUCAGAAUGUCAGUUAUUGUGGGAAACUGAAGUAACCGACUUGAUUAUCACGGAGUACCGUUAUUCGCCACUUCACCGGGGUAACAAACUAAAGCACACAAACAGAAAAACAAAUCAAAACACACAAAGAAAAUUAAAAUCGUCCUCUUAUUGAAUUUACCUCAAGCUCCAACUGGAUGUCGUAAAAACUUCUCUCAAUGUCUCUGAGUUGGCGUUCUAAACCCUCAACAUAGGCUACUAACUCUGGUGGUUGUAGAGCCCAAAUGCGUUGUGUUUUACAAAAUUGAAUCUGCUUUUGAGAUGAGUUUUGACACGUUGGAAGUGGUUUAAGAAUGUUCAGGAGGAACGGUCUAAGUAUGGUACUCAUGAUUAACAAUGAUAAGAAAAAAAAAAACUUAAUGGUAAAACAAACACACUUAUGCAAAAAUAAUUUCAAUUAGCAAAAGAAUAAUAAAAAGAAAGAAAGAAAAAUCAAAUCAACAAAAAGAAAAAAUCAAUUCAAAUCUGGUGGGUUACUCAAAUUUAUUUCGGUGUCUUCUCCAUGUGGUUGGUACUCAAGAUAUGGCUUUAAUCUUUGACCAUUAACUUUAAACGUGACACCGUUCUUUGGGUCCUUAAUUUCAAUUGCCCCAUGUGGAAAAACAGUAUGUACAAUAAAUGGGCCAGACCAACGAGAGCGUAACUUACCUGGGAAUAGGUGCAAGCGAGAAUUGAAUAAAAGCACUUUCUGACCUGGAGUGAAACGAUUUUCUCAUAAUUUGCUUAUCAUAGAAGACUUUCAUUCGUUGCUUGUAAAUCUUGGCAUUUUCGUAUGCAUCAUUGCGAAUUUCUUCAAGUUCUGCCAGCUGUAAUCUUCUUUCUGAGCUGGCUUGCUGCAUGUCAAAGUUGAAUUUCUUGAUGGCCCAAUAUGCACGAUGCUCGAGUUCCACAGGUAGGUGGCAAGCUUUUCCAUACACUAGCCUGUAGGGUGACAUCCCAAUCGGGGUCUUGAAAGCCGUUCUAUAUGCCCAUAAUGCAUCAUCAAGUCGUAAUGACCAAUCUUUCCUAUCUGGCCUCAACCGUCUUUUCUAAUAUGUGCUUUAUUUCUCGAUUGGAGAUCUCAACUUGACCACUGGUUUGCGGAUGAUACGGAGUUGCCACUUUGUGUGUGAUUGAAUACUUUGUCAAAAGAGCUUUGAAUGCUUUGUUACAAAAGUGGGCACCACCAUCACUGAUUAUUGCUCGAGGGAAUCCAAAGCGCGAAACAAUGUUACUUUUCAAAAAAUCCUAUCACCACCUUGUGAUCAUUGGUUCUACAUGGAAUUGCUUCUACCCAUUUCGAGACGUAGUCAACACCAACCAAUAUGUAUUGAUGGCCAAAAGAAUGGGGAAAGGGUCCCAUGAAGUCGAUACCCCAUACGUCAAAAAUCUCAACCACUAAAAUUGGAUUUAGUGGCAUCAUGUUCCUUCGCGUAAUGCUCCCCAUUCGUUGACACCUAUCACAUGAAGAACAGAAAGUGAAAUUCAAAAAUAUCCUUUCAUUCUGCCAAUGAACAAGCGUGUGGAGGCCAUUUUAGUGCUAAGAAAACAGCUACAAAAGUUUUACAAUGUGGUUUUUAUUGGCCAACUAUAUUUCGAGACGCUUACACUUUCUGUUCUUCAUGUGAUAGGUGUCAACGAAUGGGGAGCAUUACGCGAAGGAACAUGAUGCCACUAAAUCCAAUUUUAGUGGUUGAGAUUUUGACGUAUGGGGUAUCGACUUCAUGGGACCCUUUCCCCAUUCUUUUGGCCAUCAAUACAUAUUGGUUGGUGUUGACUACGUCUCGAAAUGGGUAGAAGCAAUUCCAUGUAGAACCAAUGAUCACAAGGUGGUGAUAGGAUUUUGAAAAGUAACAUUGUUUCGCGCUUUGGAUUCCCUCGAGCAAUAAUCAGUGAUGGUGGUGCCCACUUUUGUAACAAAGCAUUCAAAGCUCUUUUGACAAAGUAUUCAAUCACACACAAAGUGGCAACUCCGUAUCAUCCGCAAACCAGUGGUCAAGUUGAGAUCUCCAAUCGAGAAAUAAAGCACAUAUUAGAAAAGACGGUGAGGCCAGAUAGGAAAGAUUGGUCAUUACGACUUGAUGAUGCAUUAUGGGCAUAUAGAACGGCUUUCAAGACCCCGAUUGGGAUGUCACCCUACAGGCUAGUGUAUGGAAAAGCUUGCCACCUACCUGUGGAACUCGAGCAUCGUGCAUAUUGGGCCAUCAAGAAAUUCAACUUUGACAUGCAGCAAGCCAGCUCAGAAAGAAGAUUACAGCUGGCAGAACUUGAAGAAAUUCGCAAUGAUGCAUACGAAAAUGCCAAGAUUUACAAGCAACGAAUGAAAGUCUUCUAUGAUAAGCAAAUUAUGAGAAAAUCGUUCACUCCAGGUCAGAAAGUGCUUUUAUUCAAUUCUCGCUUGCACCUAUUCCCAGGUAAGUUACGCUCUCGUUGGUCUGGCCCAUUUAUUGUACAUACUGUUUUUCCACAUGGGGCAAUUGAAAUUAAGGACCCAAAGAACGGUGUCACGUUUAAAGUUAAUGGUCAAAGAUUAAAGCCAUAUCUUGAGUACCAACCACAUGGAGAAGACACCGAAAUAAAUUUGAGUAACCCACCAGAUUUGAAUUGAUUUUUUCUUUUUGUUGAUUUGAUUUUUCUUUCUUUCUUUUUAUUAUUCUUUUGCUAAUUGAAAUUAUUUUUGCAUAAGUGUGUUUGUUUUACCAUUAAGUUUUUUUUUUCUUAUCAUUGUUAAUCAUGAGUACCAUACUUAGACCGUUCCUCCUGAACAUUCUUAAACCACUUCAACGUGUCAAAACUCAUCUCAAAAAGCAGAUUCAAUUUUGUAAAACACAACGCAUUUGGGCUCUACAACCACCAGAGUUAGUAGCCUAUGUUGAGGGUUUAGAACGCCAACUCAGAGACAUUGAGAGAAGUUUUUACGACAUCCAGUUGGAGCUUGAGGUAAAUUCAAUAAGAGGACGAUUUUAAUUUUCUUUGUGUGUUUUGAUUUGUUUUUCUGUUUGUGUGCUUUAGUUUGUUACCCCGGUGAAGUGGCGAAUAACGGUACUCCGUGAUAAUCAAGUCGGUUACUUCAGUUUCCCACAAUAACUGACAUUCUGAGGCGAAAGUAUGGACAAAAACGAGAUUCUAGCGAAGCUUCACAAGCGAUUCCAUUCACUUCCUCAGAAUGCCCUCCUUACGAUCUAUAAAGCUCGGACCGAACGCAUGCGAUUACUCAUAAAGAAUAACAUACCUGCUGACAUUCGUUGGUUAAUUGAGGCUAAAGUACGAUUGGCAGGUGAGUUACCUCCUAAAUUUAUUGCAUACAUGCCUGGUUGUGGUAAAGGAAAUUACGCAAGAAAAACGACGAGCUCGAAGAAUUUCUGUUGCUUGUCACAAGUGUGCCAGAAUGAGUUGCGAUAGACACCCAUGUUAUUUAGGAAUGGUGUCUGAUAACAGAGAAGAUAAGAUUCAAUUCAUUAGGGAUGGCUUGAAUAAGGAGUCAUUGGAUGAUAUCCUUUUGUCUCUUGAAACGCAUCCCAGUGGAUAUGUGCAAGGAGCGAUUCUCCAGUUAGGCCAUUAUUCCAAAAAGAGCAUGCACGAUAUCGUCUCGGGAAUCUGACUAUAAACGACCCUGUUUGCCAGUUUAUAAGAAAACUGGAUGGGAAGCCCAUCCUCGACCCAUAGAGGGCGUUCAAGCCGUUUCUGGACGUAAAACCAGAGGAAGAUGUGAGCCACAGUCGCAACUACGUGUAAAUAUCCUUUUACUUUACUGUUAUUUUAUUUCAUUUCACUGUUGUUUUAUUGUUUGCAUUAUUGUCUUUAAUAAUUUUAUUACUGUUUGCUUUUUCCUUUUUACUGUUUCCUUUUUGACUCGCGAGCCACGUGCUUUACGCGUUAUUUGACACUGACAUGUUACCUCAUUCACAGCUGUGAUCCAUUGUCACCAAGAUUCUUAAAUGUGAUUUAUCUUUUGUCAAGCACUCACAAAUUAUUUUUGAGAAGUAUCACAAUGGCAGCUACUCCCAAUAGACAAUUCAAGAACAUUUGUGUGCUUUCUGGAUUUACCUAUGGCAAACAUAAAGAGUUCGUGGAGGCAGCCAUAGAUCUUGGUCGAAGCAUAGCAGCGAGAAAAUUACAUUUGGUGUAUGGAGGAGGUAACCGAGGGUUAUCAAAAAUGGUCUCAGAAGCAGCUUUUAUCAGAGGAAGUCAAGUGUUAGGCAUCAUCCCAAGAGUCCUAAAACCAUUGGGCAGUUCGUCUGACUCAUCAACUGGAGAAGAGUUAGUCGUCUCAGGUAUGCAAAAAGAAUAACUGAAAUGCUUAAUCAUGCUGAUGCUUUUAUUUUCCUUCCAGGAGAUCUUGCAACACUAGAGGCACUUAUGACACUAGCAUCUUGGGCCCAUCUGCACAUCCACCAGAAACCCAUCGGUUUGUUAAAUGUCAAUAACUUUUAUGAUGGCUUUAUCGCAUUUCUUAACCAUGCAAUAAAAAACUAUUUCAUUCCUUCUAAUGUAAAAAAACUUUUUAUUUGUGCUCACACUGCUAAUGAACUACUUGAUCUGUUACAAGCUUAUAAACCGGAGCCAGACCCCUGGACCUUUGUGUUGGAGCGCCCAAAUAAUGAUGGUAACAGUAGCCGCAGUAAGAAGUACAAAUUAGAUUUAACUCUCCGCCUGUAAAUAUAUUCUUUUGUGUUGCACCACCAGGUGAUGUCUUCUAAACUCUACUUCUUUCCUUUAAAACAUUGAGGACAAUGUUUCGUUCUGGUUGAGGGGAGGGAAUAGUCGACAAUUGUGGAAUCUUGGUUAAGUUUUUACUGAUUUUUUGUUUAGAAACUAACUGUUGCUAACUUUUUGUGUUGAAGAUGGCUGAAUAUGGAGUUAGUGACUCUAGAAACGCAUCUUCAUCGUUUAAAAAAAAAAAAAUUUAAAAAACUAAAAAACUAAAAAAAACAAAAAAAUUCAAACAUUUUCUUUUUCUUUAUUAUGUUUUGAUGUUCAUUUUUCUUCUUCUUUUUAAUUUCUCCUUAUAAAUAUAUAUUUUCCAACUUUUGAGUCGAAGAUAGCUGAAUAUGGAGUGUAGUGCCUCUAGAAACGCAUCUUCAUCGUUUAAAAAAAAAUUAAAAAAAAAAAAACAAAAUUUCAUUUUCGUUUUCUAUCAUUUUACGUGUAACUUUUCUAAUUAGUUUUUAUGCAUCAUUUUCACAUUUCUGCAUGCAUAUUUUCCUUUCAUGUUUAGAAUAGGUUGGGGGUAGAAUGUUGUUUAAAAAAAAAAAAGAAAAAAUUGUGUGAUUUGUUUUAACUUUAGAUGACAUGAUUAAUUUCAAAUUUUAGUAUUUGUAUUAUCUUUGGUCUUAAGUGAUGUUACAUUAUGUUUGCUACUCUACAUGUUGAUGUCGGAGACAAAUAUGAGUUGCUUGAAGGAAUGAACAUGUCAUAAUAAGUACCAAGUGAGUUUUUGAGCCUAUCAUUUUUCUUGGAGAGUAACCCUUUUGCCCAUUCUUUAUAAUGCUUAACAGUUUAUUAUUGUAUACACGAUCUCUAGAUUUCUUUUGAGUUAAGCCUUAAAAAAAAAAAAAAAAAAAAUGUGUGUGUUGCUACAUUGGGAGGCCCAUCUAACUAGUAGAUAUGGAUGAUUAUUUAGAGCCCUAAAAGACGAUGGAAAGGCCAUCUUUGAUCCGUUUGAGCCUUUCUAGCCAUCCCUCUUAUCAAGUAUCCAUAGUUAACCCAUUUGAGCCUUUUAAAUAAAAAAAAAAAAAAAAACUUUUCUUUGUUUAACUUAUCAUCUUGACCCACUCCGAUUUGGAGUAUUACCCAAUAUCUUACAAAUUCCAUCACCUAUUUAUGUUUGAGAAAAAUGUAAAUAAACAUUUUGCAUAGUGAAGUAGUUAAAAAAAAAAAAGAAAAAAUUGUUGUUGCUGAAAAAAAAAAAAAAAAAAAAAAUUGUUGUUUCAAAAGAAUAAAAAUAACAAUAAUAGGUGAAAUCCACCUUGCAACUUCCAAAAAAAAAAAAAAAAAAAUAUUCUCUGCAUUUUUCUCAAACAUACACUUUGUUUUCCUUAUUUCCCUUCUUUGUUAGCCAUAUCCCUAGCCUACGUUACGUCCUAAUAAAAGUCCUUCUUGAUUUUAGGGAACUAUAGUUUGAAGUAGAAGCUAGUUAUAUGGGCUAAAAAGAUGUAGUGAUGCAUAAUUAAAAAAAAAAAAGAUAAAUAAAGUGGGUUGACUAACAUUUUAUUUGACUUGAGAUCGUAUUAUUUCUAAGCUGAGGGCAUAUUUAUUUAAUCUUGGUGAGAGCAUGUGAUAUCAUUUCUUUAUUAUUUUCUCUCUCAAUUACCAUUCAUUGGAGUGACUAUGUUUAUUGGGUUUUAAUUUCUUUGUGAGAGUGUCACUACUUCCAGUGAGAUUUUGGGGUUUGACAUGUCAUUCUUGAAAGUAGCUAUAACAAAGUCUACUGGGCUAAUUCAUGUGGAUGGUUGAUGUGGGUGUGAUGUUGCUUUAGACUGGAGAUAAUGCUUAUACUUUUAUUUGAUUGCUAUCAUUAAUCUGAUUGAAUAAACACGAGUGUUUCUAAAAAAAAAAAAAAAAAAAAUCAUUUUGAAUUUGAAUUUUGUUUUCGCUUUAUUUGCUAGGGACUAGCAAUAAGCUGGUUGGGGGGUGUGUUGAGUGUUAGAAAAUACAUAUUUAUAAAGGAGAAAACCGUCAUUUUACAUUUCAAGUCUUACUAACAACCCUUACUUUUAUGUAUUUAACCUUCUUGUGAUGUAAUUACGUGUGUGUUAUUUUAAUUAAGUAUUUUAUGUAUUUUAGGGGCAGUAUAGUCAUUUCACAAUAAAGGAGAGAUCAGACGGCAAAACGGACAUCACUUUUGAACUCAGGACGGUCGAAAACCUUAGGAGGAGCAUAAAAGGAAAAAUGGCACUAUUCACAUGUACGGUACUAUUCACGUAUACGGUACUGUCUACGUUACUGUUCACGACACUGUUCACAUAGACGGAUCGAUGACGUGGCAUUGACCGAUGACGUGGCAUUGACCGAUGAUGUGGCAUUGACUGAUGAGUGUCACGAUCCUGUUGGGCUAAAAAUUCUUAUGUACUGUUAAUGGUGACGUGGCAGCAUAUCAGUGGACGAAAAAUCUCGUGUACGGUGCAUGCAUCACACAGGAUUAUUUUCAACCAAACCGCGUUACUGUUCAUCCGGGUCAAACCGUGUUACUGUUCAUCCGCGUGGUCAAACCGUGGACUGUUGACUGAUGACGUGGCGCAAUCCUGAGCGUCCAAACUGUUUUUAAUCCGAUGGCCAUGAUUUACUCCAUGUAUCUAUAAAAAGGGGGCCUCUCCCCCCUAAUUUGAUAUCUCUGAAUCCAUUUUUGGGAUCCAUUUUCUGUAAUUCCUUCUCCAUCUGUAUUUUCUUUGUAUUUUAAUAAAUUCCCUUUUUGCCCCUAGUUCAAUUAUGAGUAGCUAAUUUCUUUUCAAGCUUGGGUUGAAGGUGAAGUCUCAACAUGUGUCAUGGCUUUAUUUGGUAAAUUUAUUUUCUUUUCCCUCUAGUUUUUGUGGAUGAUUUGACUUAUCGUCGACAAAUAAUACUGAUCUUGUCUAGAUACCGCCUUGGUUACACCGGCUCUCUGGUAUAAGGUUAUUAUUAUUUGGCACGAUAAGCCCUUAGCACCAUAUUGAUUAGAGCGUGGUUCAUGAGGUGUGGAUUCCCCCCUCAUGAUUUAAUUGGUAUUAAUAAGGAAUAUUUAGCCCAUGAUGCAUGUUGAUACGGAUCCAGAUACCCAAGUACGUCAUUUCAAUAGAAUUCUCUUCAAUUUAUUCUCGCCAUUUUAAUUUAAGUUUUAGCAUAUUCCAAAUCAUUUCCACCACAAAUCCAAUCACCCAUUUACAAAAUUAAUUUUAUACACAAUUAAAAUCCACCUCCUCGUGGGAUCGACACUCGUCACCAUUAGUCUAUAUUACAAUAGAUUCGUGCGCUUGCGAGUACAUUAAAAUUUGCACAACAAGUUUUUGGCGCCGUUGCCGGGGAGGUAAGUAAUUUUAAUUCAUAAAAUUAAUUUUUGUGAAUAAUUUCUUUUAUUUGUUUUCUUGUAUUUUUUUUUUCUUAUUAAAAAAAAAAAGAAAAAAAAAAGAGUAAAUCUACAUUUAAAGGUUAGUAUUUCUUUUCUUUUUCUCUUCUUUAAAAUUCUGUAAUUUAAUUUUCAAUUUAUUUUUUUUUCUUUGUAAUUUUUGUUUAUUUUAUUAAUUUAAUUUUUAGUUAAUUUAUUUCACGUAUUUGUUUUUGUGUAUUUUUAUAGAAAGGUUGUAAUAGCGCAAUAAGGUUAGUAUCGUAAUUUCUCCCUCUUAUUUAUUUUAUUUGUUUUGUUCCCAUCUUUAUUUUUUGUUUUGUUUGCAUCUUUAUUUUUAUUUUCAUUUUAUUUUGCAUGCAUGGUCGUAGGUCAUUAUUACCUAAUCUUGAACCUAUAGACCUUGAAUUAGAAAAAACACUUCGCACACAAAAACACAUUAAAAAUAAAAUUGGAAUGGAUUUACAAGCACCACAGGAGAGGCCAUUUAAGGACUAUUUUAGUCCCUUAGCUAAUUUAAGCACAUCAUGUAUUAGAUACCCAAAUGUAGCUGCUAGGAACUUUGAACUAAAACCUAGUGUGCUAAAUUGUCUCCCCACAUUCUAUGGCUUAGAAAAUGAGGACCCAUAUAAUCAUCUGAAUGAUUUUCAUACCAUUUGUCAAACUUUUAAAUAUGAAAAUUUUUCAGACGAUGAUGUUAAACUCAGACUAUUCCCAUUUUCUUUAAAGGAUAGAGCUCGUUCAUGGUUAAAUACGUUGCCUGCUAAUAGCAUUUCAUCAUGGGAACAAAUGGUAACUAAAUUUUUGAAUAAAUAUUUCCCAGUGCAUAAAACCAAUUCUAUUCGCAGGGAAAUUUCAGAGUUUACACAAAGAGGACGAGCAGUUUUUUCGAAACUUGGGAGCGAUUCAAUGGCUACUCUUGAAGUGUCCACAUCAUGGGUACGAAAAAUGGCACCAAUGCCAAUACUUUUUGGAGGGAUUACUACCGAAUGUGCAAGAAUGGCUAAUGGCAACAAGUGGAGGAGAGCUAAUGUCAAAAAGUGCAUCAGAAAUUUGGGAAUUCUUCCAACGACAAGCGGAUAAUUCCCAACAACGGAGUCGAUCACUAAGGAAUACUAGAAGAAUUAAGGGAGUAAAUGAGGUUCAAAUUGGCGAGUCAACUUCGGGAAUCAAAGAAGUCAAGGAGAUGGUUGAAGGUCUCGCUCGACAAAUAGCAUCGUUAUCGACUGCUAAAUCAACAGAACCACAUGACCAUGACUCAUACUCCGAUCAAGCCAAUGCCAUAGGUGUAAUGAGAAAACCAUCGAAUUACAACCCAUACUCCAACACAUAUAACCCUGGAUGGAGAGACCACCCCAAUUUUUCAUGGUCUCAAGGAUUCCAACAGAAUGGACCAGCAGCUCCAGCUCCACCAAUGCAACAAAUUCCUCAAAAUCCUCAAGCCUCUCAGCCACCAUUCAGACCAUACAAUCAGAACCAGAACUACUCUCAACCCAGACCAUGGGAGGAUGCAUUCCAGAAUUUCAAGAAUGUUACUCACUCCACGAUUGAGCAACAGAACCGCACCAUUGAUGGACUACGAAAUGAGUUGAGAGCAGGCUUCAACUCACAAGCUCAAUCAGUUUCAAGCCUCGAGAAGAUGGUGGGACAACUUGCUUCUUCAGUUCAGACCUUGGCAAUGACUGUUGAGAAAGGAAAAUUUCCAAGUCAACCAGUGCCUAAUCCUAAAGGAGUACAUGAAGCAAGUACCAGUUCACCACAACAGCAUGGAGAGGUCAAAGCAGUCAUGACCUUGCGAAAAGGAAAGGAAGUCGACAACAAAGUGGAGAUGCCGGUGACAAAAGAAAAUCAAAUUGUACCUGUGAAUGUUGAAGACUCACCACCGGAGGAGAAGAAGAAACCAACCCACGAGAAUACGUUCCGAAAGCUCCAUUUCCUCAGAGGUUAGCUAAAGGGAAAAAGGGAAAAUCCACAGGUGAGAUUCUCGAAAUCUUCAAACAGGUAAGUGUUAACAUCCCUUUACUUGAUGCUAUUAAACAAGUUCCAUCUUAUGCCAAGUUUCUUAAAGACCUUUGUACUAAAAAGAGAAAUAUGCAUGUUCAAAAGAAGGCAUUUUUAACAGAAAAUGUUAGUUCUAUACUCCAACAUAAAAUUCCUCUAAAAUGCAAAGACCCAGGCUCCCCCACUAUCUCAUGUAGUAUAGGGAACCACACAAUUGAGAAUGCGUUGUUGGAUUUAGGAGCUAGUGUAAAUCUGUUGCCUUAUUCAGUAUUCGUGAAACUUGGACUGGGAGAAUUACACCCAACUCCAGUGGUGUUACAGCUUGCAGAUCGGUCCACGAAAAUACCUCGUGGUAUUAUGGAGGACGUGCUUAUCCAGGUAGACAAGUUUUAUUUUCCUGUUGAUUUCAUUGUAAUUGACACUCAACCAAUACAGGAUUCAAGGAAGCACAUCCCCAUUAUUCUAGGCCGACCUUUCUUGGCGACUGCGAUGCUCACAUUCAAUGCAGGACUGGAAAUAUGCAGUUGUCCUUCGGCAACAUGACUAUGGAGCUAAAUAUUUUCAACAUUGCCAAACAACCUCACAGUGCAGAUGAUGGAAUUGUUGAUGUGGAUUUAAUAGAAACAAUAGUUGAUAAUACUUUUCUUUCAAACCUUAGUGAUGAUCCUUUACAGACAUGCUUAACUCACUUUGGUUUGGAUUUUGAUAUUGAUAGAUCGGUCGAUGAGGUCAACGCCCUGCUUGACUCAGCACCAUCCAUGGACACUAAUAAAUGGAAGUCAAGAGUUGAACAACUAGCACCAUCAGAGAAGAAACUCAUUCCAUCAUCAGAAUCACCACCGAAACUCGAGCUCAAACCAUUACCCAACACUCUGGAAUAUGCAUUUUUGGGAGAAGAAAGUACUCUGCCGGUAAUCAUCUCAUCAUCCCUAAAUGACGAACAAAAAGGUAAGUUGUUGGAUGUUUUUAAAAGAGCACAAAGGAGCAUUAGGAUGGACCAUAGCAGACAUUAAAGGUAUAAACCCAGUAGACUGUAUGCAUUACAUUCACCUUGAUGAAAAUGCUAAAACUACUAGGAGAUGCAACGUCGGUUAAAUCCUAACAUGAAAGAAGUUGUUAGAACUGAAGUCCUUAAGCUAUUAGAUGCAGGUAUCAUUUACCCAAUUUCUGAUAGUUCAUGGGUCAGUCCUGUACAAGUUGUCCCCAAAAAGUCAGGAGUCACAGUAGUUACCAAUGCUGAUAAUGAAUUGAUACCAACUAGAGUAACUACAGGAUGGCGUGUAUGCAUUGAUUAUAGAAAGUUGAAUUCUGUCACACGUAAAGACCAUUUUCCUUUACCAUUUAUUGAUCAAAUGCUUGAUAGAUUAGCAGGCCAUGAAUUUUAUUGCUUUCUAGAUGGCUACUCAGGAUAUAAUCAGAUUCCCAUAGCACCAAAAGAUCAAGAGAAAACUACUUUCACUUGCCCUUUGGGCACAUAUAGGAGAAUGCCAUUUGGAAUGUAAUGCACCUGCUACAUUUCAACGAUGCAUGUUGAGCAUUUUUUCUGAUAUGGUUGAACGAUUCCUUGAAGUCUUUAUGGAUGAUUUUUCUGUCUUUGGUGACUCGUUUGAUCAAUGUUUUACAUCAUCUCGCGUUCUGCAGAGAUGUAAGAGAGCUUAGUUAAAUUGGGAGAAGUGUUAUGGUAAAAAGGUAUUGUUCUCGGUCACAUCAUUUCGGUAUGAGGUUGACAAAGCCAAGGUGGAUCUCAUUUCUAAUCUUCCUCACCUAAAACAGUCAGAGUCUUUUCCGCAUGCUGGUCUAUAGACGUUUCAUUAAAGAUUUUAGCAAAGUUUCUAGACCCUUAUGCAAUUUACUUGCUAAGGAUGUACCUUUUAUCUUUAAUGAUUCAUGUCUUAUGGCUUUUGAAAAAUUAAAGCAAUUGUUGACAUCAUCACCCAUCAUUCAGGCCCCAAACUGGAGCUUACCAUUUGAGCUCAUGUGUGAUGCAUCUGAUUAUGCAGUAGGAGCAGUAUUAGGACAAAGAGUUGAUCGAAUUCCCAACGUUAUUUACUAUGCUAGUAUGACCUUGAAUGAUGCACAGUUGAAUUAUUCAACUACUGAAAAAGAAAUGCUAGCAGUAGUUUGCAUUGGAAAAAUUUCGAUCUUAUCUCAUUGGUUGUAAAAUAAUUAUAUUCACAGAUCAUGCUGCUCUUAAAUAUCUUCUCACAAAGAAAGAUGCAAAAGCUAGACUAAUUCGUUGGGUGUUACUUUUGCAGGAAUUUGACUUGGAAUUCAAAGAUAAGAAAGGGACAGAAAAUGUUGUGGCGGACCACCUCUCUCGUCUCCAUUUUGACACAAUUACAGAGCCAUUAAUAUUAAAUGAGUCAUUUCCAGAUGAACAAUUAAUGAUGUGGAAGUAUUACCUUGGUAUGCUGAUAUAGUUAAUUAUCUUGUUACAGGUAAGCUUCCAGAGCAUUGGACCAAGCAAGACAAGGCUAAAUUCUUUGCGGAAAUAAAGAAUUUCUUUUGGGAUGACCCAUAUUUGUUCAAGUAUUGUGCAGACCAAAUUGUUAGACGAUGUGUCCCUGAAAGUGAAAUUCAGAAUAUCCUUUCAUUCUGCCAUGAACAAGCUUGUGGAGGCCAUUUCAGUGCUAAGAAAACAGCGACUAAAGUUUUACAAUGGUUUCUAUUGGCCAACUAUAUUUCGAGAUGCUUACACUUUCUGUUCUUCAUGUGAUAGGUGUCAACGAAUGGGGAGCAUUACACGAAGGAACAUGAUGCCACUAAAUCCAAUUUUAGUGGUUGAGAUUUUUGACGUAUGGGGUAUCGACUUCAUGGGACCCUUUCCCCUUCUUUUGGCCAUCAAUACAUAUUGGUUGGUGUUGACUACGUAUCGAAAUGGGUGGAAGCAAUUCCAUGCAGAACCAAUGAUCACAAGUGGUGAUAGGAUUUUUGAAAAAGCAAUAUUGUUUCGCGCUUUGGAUUCCCUCGAGCGAUAAUCAGUGAUGGUGGUGCCCACUUUUGUAACAAAGCAUUCAAGGCUCUUUUGACAAAGUAUUCAAUCACACAAAGUGGCGACCCCGUAUCAUCCGCAAACCAGUGGCCAAGUUGAGAUCUCCAAUCGAGAAAUAAAGCACAUAUUAGAAAAGACGGUGAGGCCAGACAGGAAAGAUUGGUCAUUACGACUUGAUGAUGCAUUAUGGGCAUAUAGAACGGCUUUCAAGACCCCGAUUGGGAUGUCACCCUACAGGCUAGUGUAUGGAAAAGCUUGCCACCUACCUGUGGAACUCGAGCAUCGUGCAUAUUGGGCCAUCAAGAAAUUCAACUUUGACAUGCAGCAAGCCAGCUCAGAAAGAAGAUUACAGCUGGCAGAACUUGAAGAAAUUCGCAAUGAUGCAUACGAAAAUGCCAAGAUUUACAAGCAACGAAUGAAAGUCUUCCAUGAUAAGCAAAUUAUGAGAAAAUCGUUCACUCCAGGUCAGAAAGUGCUUUUAUUCAAUUCUCGCUUGCACCUAUUCCCAGGUAAGUUACGCUCUCGUUGGUCUGGCCCAUUUAUUGUACAUACUGUUUUUCCACAUGGGGCAAUUGAAAUUAAGGACCCAAAGAACGGUGUCACGUAUAAAGUUAAUGGUCAAAGAUUAAAGCCAUAUCUAGAGUACCAACCACAUGGAGAAAACAUCGAAAUAAAUUUGAGUGACCCACUAAAUUUGAAUUGAUUUUUUUUUUCUUUUCGUUAAUUUGAUUUUUCUUUAUUUCUUUUUAUUAUUAUUCUUUUGCUAAUUGAAAUUGUUUUUGCAUAAGUGUGUUUAUUUUACCAUUAAGUUUUCUCUUAUCAUUUUUAAUCAUGAGUCUCAUACUUAGACCGUUCCUCCUGAACAUUCUUAAACCACUUCAACGUGUCAAAACUCAUCUCAAAAGGCAGAUCUAUUUUGUAAAACACAACGCAUUUGGGCUCUACAACCACCAGAGUUAGUAGCCUAUGUUGAGGGUUUAGAACGCCAACUCAGAGACAUUGAGAGAAGUGUUUACGACAUCCAGUUGGAGCUUGAGGUAAAUUCAAUAAGAGGACGAUUUUAAUUUUCUUUGUGUGUUUUUUGUUUUUCUGUUUGUGUGCUUUAGUUUGUUACCCCGGUGAAGUGGCGGAUAACGGUACUCCGUGACAAUCAAGUCGGUUAACUUCAGUUUCCCAUAAUAACUGAUAUUCUGAGGCGAAGGUAUGGACAGAAACGAGAUUCUAGCGAAGCUUCACAAGCGAUUCCCUUCACUUCCUCAGAAUGCCCUCCUUACAAUCUAUAAAGCCCGGUCUGAACGCAUGCGAUUGCUCAUGAGGAAUAACAUACCUGCAGACAUCCGUUGGUUAAUCGAGGCUAAAGUACGAUUGGCAGGUGAGUUACCUCCUAAAUUUAUUGCAUACAUGCCUGGUUGUGGUAAAGGAAAUUACGCAAGAAAACGACGAGCUCGAAGAAUUUCUGUUGCUUGUCACAAGUGUGCCAGAAUGAGUUGCGAUAGAAACCCAUGUUCUUUAGGAAUGUGUCUGAUAACAGGGAAGAUAAGAUUCAAUUCAUUAGGGAUGGCUUGAAUAAGGAGUCAUUGGAUGAUAUCCUUUUGUCUCUUGAAACGCAUCCCAGUGGAUAUGUGCAAGGAGCGAUUCUCCAGUUAAGGCCAUUAUUCCAAAAAGAGCAUGCACGAUAUCGUCUCGGGAAUCUGACUAUAAACGACCCUGUUUGCCAGUUUAUAAGAAAACUGGAUGGGAAGCCCAUCCUCGACCCAUAGAGGGUUCAAGCCGUUUCUGGACGUAAAACCAGAGGAAGAUGUGAGCCACAGUCGCAACUACGUGUAAAUAUCCUUUUACUUUACUGUUAUUUUAUUUCAUUUCACUGUUGUUUUAUUGUUUGCAUUAUUGUCUUUAAUAAUUUUAUUACUGUUUGCUUUUUCCUUUUUACUGUUUCCUUUUUGACUCGCGAGCCACGUGCUUUACGCGUUAUUUGACACUGACAUGUUACCUCAUUCACAGCUGUGAUCCAUUGUCACCAAGAUUCUUAAAUGUGAUUUAUCUUUUGUCAAGCACUCACAAAUUAUUUUUGAGAAGUAUCACAAUGGCAGCUACUCCCAAUAGACAAUUCAAGAACAUUUGUGUGCUUUCUGGAUUUACCUAUGGCAAACAUAAAGAGUUCGUGGAGGCAGCCAUAGAUCUUGGUCGAAGCAUAGCAGCGAGAAAAUUACAUUUGGUGUAUGGAGGAGGUAACCGAGGGUUAUCAAAAAUGGUCUCAGAAGCAGCUUUUAUCAGAGGAAGUCAAGUGUUAGGCAUCAUCCCAAGAGUCCUAAAACCAUUGGGCAGUUCGUCUGACUCAUCAACUGGAGAAGAGUUAGUCGUCUCAGGUAUGCAAGAAAGAAUAACUGAAAUGCUUAAUCAUGCUGAUGCUUUUAUUUUCCUUCCAGGAGAUCUUGCAACACUAGAGGCACUUAUGACACUAGCAUCUUGGGCCCAUCUGCACAUCCACCAGAAACCCAUCGGUUUGUUAAAUGUCAAUAACUUUUAUGAUGGCUUUAUCGCAUUUCUUAACCAUGCAAUAAAAAAACUAUUUCAUUCCUUCUAAUGUAAAAAAACUUUUUAUUUGUGCUCACACUGCUAAUGAACUACUUGAUCUGUUACAAGCUUAUAAACCGGAGCCAGACCCCUGGACCUUUGUGUUGGAGCGCCCAAAUAAUGAUGGUAACAGUAGCCGCAGUAAGAAGUACAAAUUAGAUUUAACUCUCCGCCUGUAAAUAUAUUCUUUUGUGUUGCACCACCCAGGUGAUGUCUUCUAAACUCUACUUCUUCCUUUAAAACAUUGAGGACAAUGUUUCGUUCUGAACUAAAGUUUUACAAUGUGGUUUCUAUUGGCCAACUAUAUUUCGAGAUGCUUACACUUUCUGUUCUUCAUGUGAUAGGUGUCAACGAAUGGGGAGCAUUACACGAAGGAACAUGAUGCCACUAAAUCCAAUUUUAGUGGUUGAGAUUUUUGACGUAUGGGGUAUCGACUUCAUGGGACCCUUUCCCCUUCUUUUGGCCAUCAAUACAUAUUGGUUGGUGUUGACUACGUAUCGAAAUGGGUGGAAGCAAUUCCAUGUAGAACCAAUGAUCACAAGUGGUGAUAGGAUUUUUGAAAAGCAACAUUGUUUCGCGCUUUGGAUUCCCUCGAGCGAUAAUCAGUGAUGGUGGUGCCCACUUUUGUAACAAAGCAUUCAAGGCUCUUUUGACAAAGUAUUCAAUCACACACAAAGUGGCGACCCGUAUCAUCCGCAAACCAGUGGCCAAGUUGAGAUCUCCAAUCGAGAAAUAAAGCACAUAUUAGAAAAGACGGUGAGGCCAGACAGGAAAAGAUUGGUCAUUAAGACUUGAUGAUGCAUUAUGGGCAUAUAGAACGGCUUUCAAGACCCCGAUUGGGAUGUCACCCUACAGGCUAGUGUAUGGAAAAGCUUGCCACCUACCUGUGGAACUCGAGCAUCGUGCAUAUUGGGCCAUCAAGAAAUUCAACUUUGACAUGCAGCAAGCCAGCUCAGAAAGAAGAUUACAGCUGGCAGAACUUGAAGAAAUUCGCAAUGAUGCAUACGAAAAUGCCAAGAUUUACAAGCAACGAAUGAAAGUCUUCCAUGACAAGCAAAUUAUGAGAAAUCGUUCACUCCAGGUCAGAAAGUGCUUUUAUUCAAUUCUCGCUUGCACCUAUUCCCAGGUAAGUUACGCUCUCGUUGGUCUGGCCCUUUAUUGUUCAUACUGUUUUUCCACAUGGGGCAAUUGAAAUUAAGGACCCAAAGAACGGUGUCACGUAUAAAGUUAAUGGUCAAAGAUUAAAGCCAUAUCUAGAGUACCAACCACAUGGAGAAACAUCGAAAUAAAUUUGAGUGACCCACUAAAUUUGAAUUGAUUUUUUUUUUUCUUUUCGUUAAUUUGAUUUUUCUUUAUUUCUUUUUAUUAUUAUUCUUUUGCUAAUUGAAAUUGUUUUUGCAUAAGUGUGUUUAUUUUACCAUUAAGUUUUCUCUUAUCAUUUUUAAUCAUGAGUCUCAUACUUAGACCGUUCCUCCUGAACAUUCUUAAACCACUUCAACGUGUCAAAACUCAUCUCAAAAGGCAGAUUCUAUUUUGUAAAACACAACGCAUUUGGGCUCUACAACCACCAGAGUUAGUAGCCUAUGUUGAGGGUUUAGAACGCCAACUCAGAGACAUUGAGAGAAGUGUUUACGACAUCCAGUUGGAGCUUGAGGUAAAUUCAAUAAGAGGACGAUUUUAAUUUUCUUUGUGUGUUUUUUGUUUUUCUGUUUGUGUGCUUUAGUUUGUUACCCCGGUGAAGUGGCGGAUAACGGUACUCCGUGACAAUCAAGUCGGUUAACUUCAGUUUCCCAUAAUAACUGAUAUUCUGAGGCGAAGGUAUGGACAGAAACGAGAUUCUAGCGAAGCUUCACAAGCGAUUCCCUUCACUUCCUCAGAAUGCCCUCCUUACAAUCUAUAAAGCCCGGUCUGAACGCAUGCGAUUGCUCAUGAGGAAUAACAUACCUGCAGACAUCCGUUGGUUAAUCGAGGCUAAAGUACGAUUGGCAGGUGAGUUACCUCCUAAAUUUAUUGCAUACAUGCCUGGUUGUGGUAAAGGAAAUUACGCAAGAAAACGACGAGCUCGAAGAAUUUCUGUUGCUUGUCACAAGUGUGCCAGAAUGAGUUGCGAUAGAAACCCAUGUUCUUUAGGAAUGGUGUCUGAUAACAGGGAAGAUAAGAUUCAAUUCAUUAGGGAUGGCUUGAAUAAGGAGUCAUUGGAUGAUAUCCUUUUGUCUCUUGAAACGCAUCCCAGUGGAUAUGUGCAAGGAGCGAUUCUCCAGUUAAGGCCAUUAUUCCAAAAGAGCAUGCACGAUAUCGUCUCGGGAAUCUGACUAUAAACGACCCUGUUUGCCAGUUUAUAAGAAAACUGGAUGGGAAGCCCAUCCUCGACCCAUAGAGGGCGUUCAAGCCGUUUCUGGACGUAAAACCAGAGGAAGAUGUGAGCCACAGUCGCAACUACGUGUAAAUAUCCUUUUACUUUACUGUUAUUUUAUUUCAUUUCACUGUUGUUUUAUUGUUUGCAUUAUUGUCUUUAAUAAUUUUAUUACUGUUUGCUUUUUCCUUUUUACUGUUUCCUUUUUGACUCGCGAGCCACGUGCUUUACGCGUUAUUUGACACUGACAUGUUACCUCAUUCACAGCUGUGAUCCAUUGUCACCAAGAUUCUUAAAUGUGAUUUAUCUUUUGUCAAGCACUCACAAAUUAUUUUUGAGAAGUAUCACAAUGGCAGCUACUCCCAAUAGACAAUUCAAGAACAUUUGUGUGCUUUCUGGAUUUACCUAUGGCAAACAUAAAGAGUUCGUGGAGGCAGCCAUAGAUCUUGGUCGAAGCAUAGCAGCGAGAAAAUUACAUUUGGUGUAUGGAGGAGGUAACCGAGGGUUAUCAAAAAUGGUCUCAGAAGCAGCUUUUAUCAGAGGAAGUCAAGUGUUAGGCAUCAUCCCAAGAGUCCUAAAACCAUUGGGCAGUUCGUCUGACUCAUCAACUGGAGAAGAGUUAGUCGUCUCAGGUAUGCAAGAAAGAAUAACUGAAAUGCUUAAUCAUGCUGAUGCUUUUAUUUUCCUUCCAGGAGAUCUUGCAACACUAGAGGCACUUAUGACACUAGCAUCUUGGGCCCAUCUGCACAUCCACCAGAAACCCAUCGGUUUGUUAAAUGUCAAUAACUUUUAUGAUGGCUUUAUCGCAUUUCUUAACCAUGCAAUAAAAAACUAUUUCAUUCCUUCUAAUGUAAAAAAACUUUUUAUUUGUGCUCACACUGCUAAUGAACUACUUGAUCUGUUACAAGCUUAUAAACCGGAGCCAGACCCCUGGACCUUUGUGUUGGAGCGCCCAAAUAAUGAUGGUAACAGUAGCCGCAGUAAGAAGUACAAAUUAGAUUUUAACUCUCGCUGUAAUAUAUUCUUUUGUGUUGCACCACCCAGGUGAUGUCUUCUAAACUCUACUUCUUUCCUUUAAAACAUUGAGGACAAUGUUUCGUUUCUGGUUGAGGGGGGAAUAGUCGACAAUUGUGGAAUCUUGGUUAAGUUUUUACUGAUUUUUUGUUGUAGAAACUAACUGUUGCUAACUUUUUGUGUUGAAGAUGGCUGAAUAUGGAGUGUAGUGACUCUAGAAACGCCAUCUUCAUCGUUUAAAAAAAAAAAAAAAUUUAAAAACUAAAAAAACUAAAAAAAACAAAAAAUUCAAACAUUUUCUUUUUCUUUAUUAUGUUUUGAUGUUCAUUUUUCUUCUUCUUUUUAAUUUCUCCUAUAAAUAUAUAUUUCCAACUUUUGAGUCGAAGAUAGCUGAAUAUGGAGAUUUGCCUCUAGAAACGCAUCUUCAUCGUUUUAAAAAAAAAAUUAAAAAAAAAAAAAACAAAAUUUCAUUUUUCGUUUUCUAUCAUUUUACGUGUAACUUUUCUAAUUAGUUUUUAUGCAUCAUUUUCACAUUUCUGCAUGCAUAUUUUCCUUUCAUGUUUAGAAUAGGUUGGGGGUAGAAUGUUGUUUAAAAAAAAAAAAAAGAAAAAAUUGUGUGAUUUGUUUUAACUUUAGAUGACAUGAUUAAUUCAAAUUUUAGUAUUUGUAUUAUCUUUGGUCUUAAGUGAUGUUACAUUAUGUUUGCUACUCUACAUGUUGAUGUCGGAGACAAAUAUGAGUUGCUUGAAGGAAUGACAUGUCAUAAUAAAGUACCAAGUGAGUUUUUGAGCCUAUCAUUUUUCUUUGGAGAGUAACCCUUUUGCCCAUUCUUUAUAAUGCUUAACAGUUUAUUAUUGUAUACACGAUCUCUAGAUUUCUUUUGAGUUAAGCCUUAAAAAAAAAAAAAAAAAAAAAAUGUGUGUGUUGCUUACAUUGGGAGGCCCAUCUAACUAGUAGAUAUGGAUGAUUAUUUAGAGCCCUAAAAGACGAUGGAAAGGCCAUCUUUGAUCCGUUUGAGCCUUUCUAGCCAUCCCUCUUAUCAAGUAUCCAUAGUUUAACCCAUUUGAGCCUUUUAAAUAAAAAAAAAAAAAAACUUUCUUUGUUUAACUUAUCAUCUUGACCCACUCCGAUUUGGAGUAUUACCCAAUAUCUUACAAAUUCCAUCACCUAUUUAUGUUUGAGAAAAAUGUAAAUAAACAUUUUGCAUAGUGAAGUUAUGCCUAGUUUCAAAAAAAAAAAGAAAAAAUUGUUGUUGCUGAAAAAAAAAAAAAAAAGAAAAAAAAUUGUUGUUUCAAAAGAAUAAAAAUAACAAUAAUAGGUGAAAUCCACCUUGCAACUUCCAAAAAAAAAAAAAAAAAAUAUUCUCUGCAUUUUUUCUCAAACAUACACUUUGUUUUCCUUAUUUCCCUUCUUUGUUAGCCAUAUCCCUAAGCCUACGUUACGUCCUAAUAAAAGUCCUUCUUGAUUUUAGGGGAACUAUAGUUUGAAGUAGAAGCUAGUUAUAUGGGCUAAAAAGAUGUAGUGAUGCAUAAUUAAAAAAAAAAAAAGAUAAAUAAAGUGGGUUGACUAACAUUUUAUUUGACUUGAGAUCGUAUUAUUUCUAAGCUGAGGGCAUAUUUAUUUAAUCUUGGUGAGAGCAUGUGAUAUCAUUUCUUUAUUAUUUUCUCUCUCAAUUACCAUUCAUUGGAGUGACUAUGUUUAUUGGGUUUUAAUUUCUUUGUGAGAGUGUCACUACUUCCAGUGAGAUUUUGGGGUUUUGACAUGUCAUUCUUGAAAGUAGCUAUAACAAAGUCUACUGGGCUAAUUCAUGUGGAUGGUUGAUGUGGGUGUGAUGUUGCUUUAGACUGGAGAUAAUGCUUAUACUUUUAUUUGAUUGCUAUCAUUAAUCUGAUUGAAUAAACACGAGUGUUUCUAAAAAAAAAAAAAAAAAAAAUCAUUUUGAAUUUGAAUUUUGUUUUCGCUUUAUUUGCUAGGGACUAGCAAUAAGCUGGUUGGGGGGUGUUGUUGAGUGUUAGAAAAUACAUAUUUUAUAAAGGAGAAAACCGUCAUUUUACAUUUCAAGUCUUUACUAACAACCCUUACUUUUAUGUAUUUAACCUUCUUGUGAUUGUAAUUACGUGUGUGUUUUUUUAAUUAAGUAUUUUAUGUAUUUUAGGGGCAGUAUAGUCAUUUCACAAUAAAGGAGAGAUCAGACGGCAAAACGGACAUCACUUUUGAACUCAGGACGGUCGAAAACCUUAGGAGGAGCAUAAAAGGAAAAAAUGGCACUAUUCACAUGUACGGUACUAUUCACGUAUACGGUACUGUCUACGUUACUGUUCACGACACUGUUCACAUAGACGGAUCGAUGACGUGGCAUUGACCGAUGACGUGGCAUUGACCGAUGAUGUGGCAUUGACUGAUGAGGUGUCACGAUCCUGUUGGGCUAAAAUUCUUAUGUACUGUUAAUGGUGACGUGGCAGCAUAUCAGUGACGAAAAAUCUCGUGUACGGUGCAUGCAUCACACAGGAUUAUUUUCAACCAAACCGCGUUACUGUUCAUCCGGGUCAAACCGUGUUACUGUUCAUCCGCUCGGUGGUCAAACCGUGGACUGUUGACUGAUGACGUGGCGCAAUCCUGAGCGUCCAAACUGUUUUUAAUCCGAUGGCCAUGAUUUACUCCAUGUAUCUAUAAAAAGGGGGCCUCUCCCCCCGAAUUUGAUAUCUCUGAAUCCAUUUUUGGGAUCCAUUUUUCUGUAAUUCCUUCUCCAUCUUGUAUUUUCUUUGUAUUUUAAUAAAUUCCCUUUUUGCCCCUAGUUCAAUUAUGAGUAGCUAAUUUCUUUUCAAGCUUGGGUUGAAGGUGAAGUCUCAACAUGUGUCAUGGGCUUUAUUUGGUAAAUUUAUUUUCUUUUCCCCUCUAGUUUUUGUGGAUGAUUUGACUUAUCGUCGACAAAUAAUACUGAUCUUGUCUAGAUACCGCCUUGGUUACACCGGCUCUCUGGUAUAAGGUUAUUAUUAUUUGGCACGAUAAGCCCUUAGCACCAUAUUGAUUAGAGCGUGGUUCAUGAGGUGUGGAUUCCCCCCUCAUGAUUUAAUUGGUAUUAAUAAGGAAUAUUUAGCCCAUGAUGCAUGUUGAUACGGAUCCAGAUACCCAAGUACGUCAUUUCAAUAGAAUUCUCUUCAAUUUAUUCUCGCCAUUUUAAUUUAAGUUUUAGCAUAUUCCAAAUCAUUUCCACCACAAAUCCAAUCACCCAUUUACAAAAUUAAUUUUAUACACAAUUAAAAUCCACCUCCUCGUGGGAUCGACACUCGUCACCAUUAGUCUAUAUUACAAUAGAUUCGUGCGCUUGCGAGUACAUUAAAAUUUGCACAACAAGUUUUUGGCGCCGUUGCCGGGGAGGUAAGUAAUUUUAAUUCAUAAAAUUAAUUUUGUGAAUAAUUUCUUUUAUUUGUUUUCUUGUAUUUUUUUUUUCUUAUAAAAAAAAAAAGAAAAAAAAAAGAGUAAAUCUACAUUUAAAGGUUAGUAUUUCUUUUCUUUUUCUCUUCUUUAAAAUUCUGUAAUUUAAUUUUCAAUUUAUUUUUUUUUCUUUGUAAUUUUUGUUUAUUUUAUUAAUUUAAUUUUUAGUUAAUUUAUUUCACGUAUUUGUUUUUGUGUAUUUUUAUAGAAAGGUUGUAAUAGCGCAAUAAGGUUAGUAUCGUAAUUUCUCCCUCUUAUUUAUUUUUAUUUGUUUUGUUCCCAUCUUUAUUUUUUGUUUUGUUUGCAUCUUUAUUUUUAUUUUCAUUUUAUUUUGCAUGCAUGGUCGUAGGUCAUUAUUACCUAAUCUUGAACCUAUAGACCUUGAAUUAGAAAAAACACUUCGCACACAAAAACACAUUAAAAAUAAAAUUGGAAUGGAUUUACAAGCACCACAGGAGAGGCCAUUUAAGGACUAUUUUAGUCCCUUAGCUAAUUUAAGCACAUCAUGUAUUAGAUACCCAAAUGUAGCUGCUAGGAAGCUUUGAACUAAAACCUAGUGUGCUAAAUUGUCUCCCCACAUUCUAUGGCUUAGAAAAUGAGGACCCAUAUAAUCAUCUGAAUGAUUUUCAUACCAUUUGUCAAACUUUUAAAUAUGAAAAUUUUUCAGACGAUGAUGUUAAACUCAGACUAUUCCCAUUUUCUUUAAAGGAUAGAGCUCGUUCAUGGUUAAAUACGUUGCCUGCUAAUAGCAUUUCAUCAUGGGAACAAAUGGUAACUAAAUUUUUGAAUAAAUAUUUCCCAGUGCAUAAAACCAAUUCUAUUCGCAGGGAAAUUUCAGAGUUUACACAAAGAGAGGACGAGCAGUUUUUCGAAACUUGGGAGCGAUUCAAUGGGCUACUCUUGAAGUGUCCACAUCAUGGGUACGAAAAAUGGCACCAAUGCCAAUACUUUUUGGAGGGAUUACUACCGAAUGUGCAAGAAUGGCUAAUGGCAACAAGUGGAGGAGAGCUAAUGUCAAAAAGUGCAUCAGAAAUUUGGGAAUUCUUCCAACGACAAGCGGAUAAUUCCCAACAACGGAGUCGAUCACUAAGGAAUACUAGAAGAAUUAAGGGAGUAAAUGAGGUUCAAAUUGGCGAGUCAACUUCGGGAAUCAAAGAAGUCAAGGAGAUGGUUGAAGGUCUCGCUCGACAAAUAGCAUCGUUAUCGACUGCUAAAUCAACAGAACCACAUGACCAUGACUCAUACUCCGAUCAAGCCAAUGCCAUAGGUGUAAUGAGAAAACCAUCGAAUUACAACCCAUACUCCAACACAUAUAACCCUGGAUGGAGAGACCACCCCAAUAUUUCAUGGUCUCAAGGAUUCCAACAGAAUGGACCAGCAGCUCCAGCUCCACCAAUGCAACAAAUUCCUCAAAAUCCUCAAGCCUCUCAGCCACCAUUCAGACCAUACAAUCAGAACCAGAACUACUCUCAACCCAGACCAUGGGAGGAUGCAUUCCAGAAUUUCAAGAAUGUUACUCACUCCACGAUUGAGCAACAGAACCGCACCAUUGAUGGACUACGAAAUGAGUUGAGAGCAGGCUUCAACUCACAAGCUCAAUCAGUUUCAAGCCUCGAGAAGAUGGUGGACAACUUGCUUCUUCAGUUCAGACCUUGGCAAUGACUGUUGAGAAAGGAAAAUUUCCAAGUCAACCAGUGCCUAAUCCUAAAGGAGUACAUGAAGCAAGUACCAGUUCACCACAACAGCAUGGAGAGGUCAAAGCAGUCAUGACCUUGCGAAAAGGAAAGGAAGUCGACAACAAAGUGGAGAUGCCGGUGACAAAAGAAAAUCAAAUUGUACCUGUGAAUGUUGAAGACUCACCACCGGAGGAGAAAGAAGAAACCAACCCACGAGAAUACGUUCCGAAAGCUCCAUUUCCUCAGAGGUUAGCUAAAGGGAAAAAGGGAAAAUCCACAGGUGAGAUUCUCGAAAUCUUCAAACAGGUAAGUGUUAACAUCCCUUUACUUGAUGCUAUUAAACAAGUUCCAUCUUAUUGCCAAGUUUCUUAAAGACCUUUGUACUAAAAAGAGAAAUAUGCAUGUUCAAAAGAAGGCAUUUUUAACAGAAAAUGUUAGUUCUAUACUCCAACAUAAAAUUCCUCUAAAAUGCAAAGACCCAGGCUCCCCCACUAUCUCAUGUAGUAUAGGGAACCACACAAUUGAGAAUGCGUUGUUGGAUUUAGGAGCUAGUGUAAAUCUGUUGCCUUAUUCAGUAUUCGUGAAACUUGGACUGGGAGAAUUACACCCAACUCCAGUGGUGUUACAGCUUGCAGAUCGGUCCACGAAAAUACCUCGUGGUAUUAUGGAGGACGUGCUUAUCCAGGUAGACAAGUUUUAUUUUCCUGUUGAUUUCAUUGUAAUUGACACUCAACCAAUACAGGAUUCAAGGAAGCACAUCCCCAUUAUUCUAGGCCGACCUUUCUUGGCGACUGCGGAUGCUCACAUUCAAUGCAGGACUGGAAAUAUGCAGUUGUCCUUCGGCAACAUGACUAUGGAGCUAAAUAUUUUCAACAUUGCCAAACAACCUCACAGUGCAGAUGAUGGAAUUGUUGAUGUGGAUUUAAUAGAAACAAUAGUUGAUAAUACUUUUCUUUCAAACCUUAGUGAUGAUCCUUUACAGACAUGCUUAACUCACUUUGGUUUGGAUUUUGAUAUUGAUAGAUCGGUCGAUGAGGUCAACGCCCUGCUUGACUCAGCACCAUCCAUGGACACUAAUAAAUGGAAGUCAAGAGUUGAACAACUAGCACCAUCAGAGAAGAAACUCAUUCCAUCAUCAGAAUCACCACCGAAACUCGAGCUCAAACCAUUACCCAACACUCUGGAAUAUGCAUUUUUGGGAGAAGAAAGUACUCUGCCGGUAAUCAUCUCAUCAUCCCUAAAUGACGAACAAAAAGGUAAGUUGUUGGAUGUUUUAAAAGAGCACAAAGGAGCAUUAGGAUGGACCAUAGCAGACAUUAAAGGUAUAAACCCAGUAGACUGUAUGCAUUACAUUCACCUUGAUGAAAAUGCUAAAACUACUAGGGAGAUGCAACGUCGGUUAAAUCCUAACAUGAAAGAAGUUGUUAGAACUGAAGUCCUUAAGCUAUUAGAUGCAGGUAUCAUUUACCCAAUUUCUGAUAGUUCAUGGGUCAGUCCUGUACAAGUUGUCCCCAAAAAGUCAGGAGUCACAGUAGUUACCAAUGCUGAUAAUGAAUUGAUACCAACUAGAGUAACUACAGGAUGGCGUGUAUGCAUUGAUUAUAGAAAGUUGAAUUCUGUCACACGUAAAGACCAUUUUCCUUUACCAUUUAUUGAUCAAAUGCUUGAUAGAUUAGCAGGCCAUGAAUUUUAUUGCUUUCUAGAUGGCUACUCAGGAUAUAAUCAGAUUCCCAUAGCACCAAAAGAUCAAGAGAAAACUACUUUCACUUGCCCUUUUGGCACAUUUGCAUAUAGGAGAAUGCCAUUUGGAUUAUGUAAUGCACCUGCUACAUUUCAACGAUGCAUGUUGAGCAUUUUUUCUGAUAUGGUUGAACGAUUCCUUGAAGUCUUUAUGGAUGAUUUUUCUGUCUUUGGUGACUCGUUUGAUCAAUGUUUACAUCAUCUAACGCUAGUUCUGCAGAGAUGUACCGAGAAGAGCUUAGUCUUAAAUUGGGAGAAGUGCCAUUUUAUGGUAAAACAAGGUAUUGUUCUCGGUCACAUCAUUUCGAGCAAAGGUAUUGAGGUUGACAAAGCCAAGGUGGAUCUCAUUUCUAAUCUUCCUCCACCUAAAACAGUCAGAGAAGUAAGAUCUUUCCUUGGGCAUGCUGGUUUCUAUAGACGUUUCAUUAAAGAUUUUAGCAAAGUUUCUAGACCCUUAUGCAAUUUACUUGCUAAGGAUGUACCUUUUAUCUUUAAUGAUUCAUGUCUUAUGGCUUUUGAAAAAUUAAAGCAAUUGUUGACAUCAUCACCCAUCAUUCAGGCCCCAAACUGGAGCUUACCAUUUGAGCUCAUGUGUGAUGCAUCUGAUUAUGCAGUAGGAGCAGUAUUAGGACAAAGAGUUGAUCGAAUUCCCAACGUUAUUUACUAUGCUAGUAUGACCUUGAAUGAUGCACAGUUGAAUUAUUCAACUACUGAAAAAGAAAUGCUAGCAGUAGUGUUUGCAUUGGAAAAAUUUCGAUCUUAUCUCAUUGGUUGUAAAAUAAUUAUAUUCACAGAUCAUGCUGCUCUUAAAUAUCUUCUCACAAAGAAAGAUGCAAAAGCUAGACUAAUUCGUUGGGUGUUACUUUUGCAGGAAUUUGACUUGGAAUUCAAAGAUAAGAAAGGGACAGAAAAUGUUGUGGCGGACCACCUCUCUCGUCUCCAUUUUGACACAAUUACAGAGCCAUUAAUAUUAAAUGAGUCAUUUCCAGAUGAACAAUUAAUGAGUGUGGAAGUAUUACCUUGGUAUGCUGAUAUAGUUAAUUAUCUUGUUACAGGUAAGCUUCCAGAGCAUUGGACCAAGCAAGACAAGGCUAAAUUCUUUGCGGAAAUAAAGAAUUUCUUUUGGGAUGACCCAUAUUUGUUCAAGUAUUGUGCAGACCAAAUUGUUAGACGAUGUGUCCCUGAAAGUGAAAUUCAGAAUAUCCUUUCAUUCUGCCAUGAACAAGCUUGUGGAGGCCAUUUCAGUGCUAAGAAAACAGCGACUAAAGUUUUACAAUGUGGUUUCUAUUGGCCAACUAUAUUUCGAGAUGCUUACACUUUCUGUUCUUCAUGUGAUAGGUGUCAACGAAUGGGGAGCAUUACACGAAGGAACAUGAUGCCACUAAAUCCAAUUUUAGUGGUUGAGAUUUUUGACGUAUGGGGUAUCGACUUCAUGGGACCCUUUCCCCUUCUUUUGGCCAUCAAUACAUAUUGGUUGGUGUUGACUACGUAUCGAAAUGGGUGGAAGCAAUUCCAUGCAGAACCAAUGAUCACAAAGUGGUGAUAGGAUUUUUGAAAAGCAAUAUUGUUUCGCGCUUUGGAUUCCCUCGAGCGAUAAUCAGUGAUGGUGGUGCCCACUUUUGUAACAAAGCAUUCAAGGCUCUUUUGACAAAGUAUUCAAUCACACACAAAGUGGCGACCCCGUAUCAUCCGCAAACCAGUGGCCAAGUUGAGAUCUCCAAUCGAGAAAUAAAGCACAUAUUAGAAAAGACGGUGAGGCCAGACAGGAAAGAUUUGGUCAUUACGACUUGAUGAUGCAUUAUGGGCAUAUAGAACGGCUUUCAAGACCCCGAUUGGGAUGUCACCCUACAGGCUAGUGUAUGGAAAAGCUUGCCACCUACCUGUGGAACUCGAGCAUCGUGCAUAUUGGGCCAUCAAGAAAUUCAACUUUGACAUGCAGCAAGCCAGCUCAGAAAGAAGAUUACAGCUGGCAGAACUUGAAGAAAUUCGCAAUGAUGCAUACGAAAAUGCCAAGAUUUACAAGCAACGAAUGAAAGUCUUCCAUGAUAAGCAAAUUAUGAGAAAAUCGUUCACUCCAGGUCAGAAAGUGCUUUUAUUCAAUUCUCGCUUGCACCUAUUCCCAGGUAAGUUACGCUCUCGUUGGUCUGGCCCAUUUAUUGUACAUACUGUUUUUCCACAUGGGGCAAUUGAAAUUAAGGACCCAAAGAACGGUGUCACGUAUAAAGUUAAUGGUCAAGAUUAAAGCCAUAUCUAGAGUACCAACCACAUGGAGAAAACAUCGAAAUAAAUUUGAGUGACCCACUAAAUUUGAAUUGAUUUUUUUUUUUUCUCUUUUCGUUAAUUUGAUUUUUCUUUAUUUCUUUUAUUAUUAUUCUUUUGCUAAUUGAAAUUGUUUUUGCAUAAGUGUGUUUAUUUUACCAUUAAGUUUUCUCUUAUCAUUUUUAAUCAUGAGUCUCAUACUUAGACCGUUCCUCCUGAACAUUCUUAAACCACUUCAACGUGUCAAAACUCAUCUCAAAAGGCAGAUUCUAUUUUGUAAAACACAACGCAUUUGGGCUCUACAACCACCAGAGUUAGUAGCCUAUGUUGAGGGUUUAGAACGCCAACUCAGAGACAUUGAGAGAAGUGUUUACGACAUCCAGUUGGAGCUUGAGGUAAAUUCAAUAAGAGGACGAUUUUAAUUUUCUUUGUGUGUUUUUUGUUUUUCUGUUUGUGUGCUUUAGUUUGUUACCCCGGUGAAGUGGCAGAUAACGGUUACUCCGUGACAAUCAAGUCGGUUAACUUCAGUUUCCCAUAAUAACUGAUAUUCUGAGGCGAAGGUAUGGACAGAAACGAGAUUCUAGCGAAGCUUCACAAGCGAUUCCCUUCACUUCCUCAGAAUGCCCUCCUUACAAUCUAUAAAGCCCGGUCUGAACGCAUGCGAUUGCUCAUGAGGAAUAACAUACCUGCAGACAUCCGUUGGUUAAUCGAGGCUAAAGUACGAUUGGCAGGUGAGUUACCUCCUAAAUUUAUUGCAUACAUGCCUGGUUGUGGUAAAGGAAAUUACGCAAGAAAACGACGAGCUCGAAGAAUUUCUGUUGCUUGUCACAAGUGUGCCAGAAUGAGUUGCGAUAGAAACCCAUGUUCUUUAGGAAUGGUGUCUGAUAACAGGGAAGAUAAGAUUCAAUUCAUUAGGGAUGGCUUGAAUAAGGAGUCAUUGGAUGAUAUCCUUUUGUCUCUUGAAACGCAUCCAGUGGAUAUGUGCAAGGAGCGAUUCUCCAGUUAAGGCCAUUAUUCCAAAAAGAGCAUGCACGAUAUCGUCUCGGGAAUCUGACUAUAAACGACCCUGUUUGCCAGUUUAUAAGAAAACUGGAUGGGAAGCCCAUCCUCGACCCAUAGAGGGCGUUCAAGCCGUUUCUGGACGUAAAACCAGAGGAAGAUGUGAGCCACAGUCGCAACUACGUGUAAAUAUCCUUUUACUUUACUGUUAUUUUAUUUCAUUUCACUGUUGUUUUAUUGUUUGCAUUAUUGUCUUUAAUAAUUUUAUUACUGUUUGCUUUUUCCUUUUUACUGUUUCCUUUUUGACUCGCGAGCCACGUGCUUUACGCGUUAUUUGACACUGACAUGUUACCUCAUUCACAGCUGUGAUCCAUUGUCACCAAGAUUCUUAAAUGUGAUUUAUCUUUUGUCAAGCACUCACAAAUUAUUUUUGAGAAGUAUCACAAUGGCAGCUACUCCCAAUAGACAAUUCAAGAACAUUUGUGUGCUUUCUGGAUUUACCUAUGGCAAACAUAAAGAGUUCGUGGAGGCAGCCAUAGAUCUUGGUCGAAGCAUAGCAGCGAGAAAAUUACAUUUGGUGUAUGGAGGAGGUAACGAGGGUUAUCAAAAAUGGUCUCAGAAGCAGCUUUUAUCAGAGGAAGUCAAGUGUUAGGCAUCAUCCCAAGAGUCCUAAAACCAUUGGGCAGUUCGUCUGACUCAUCAACUGGAGAAGAGUUAGUCGUCUCAGGUAUGCAAGAAAGAAUAACUGAAAUGCUUAAUCAUGCUGAUGCUUUUAUUUUCCUUCCAGGAGAUCUUGCAACACUAGAGGCACUUAUGACACUAGCAUCUUGGGCCCAUCUGCACAUCCACCAGAAACCCAUCGGUUGUUAAAUGUCAAUAACUUUUAUGAUGGCUUUAUCGCAUUUCUUAACCAUGCAAUAAAAAACUAUUUCAUUCCUUCUAAUGUAAAAAAACUUUUUAUUUGUGCUCACACUGCUAAUGAACUACUUGAUCUGUUACAAGCUUAUAAACCGGAGCCAGACCCCUGGACCUUUGUGUUGGAGCGCCCAAAUAAUGAUGGUAACAGUAGCCGCAGUAAGAAGUACAAAUUAGAUUUAACUCUCCGCCUGUAAAUAUAUUCUUUUGUGUUGCACCACCCAGGUGAUGUCUUCUAAACUCUACUUCUUUCCUUUAAAACAUUGAGGACAAUGUUUCGUUCUGGUUGAGGGGAGGGAAUAGUCGACAAUUGUGGAAUCUUGGUUAAGUUUUUACUGAUUUUUUGUUGUAGAAACUAACUGUUGCUAACUUUUUGUGUUGAAGAUGGCUGAAUAUGGAGUGUAGUGACUCUAGAAACGCAUCUUCAUCGUUUAAAAAAAAAAAAAAAUUUAAAAAACUAAAAAACUAAAAAAAACAAAAAAAUUCAACAUUUUCUUUUUCUUUAUUAUGUUUUGAUGUUCAUUUUUCUUCUUCUUUUAAUUUCUCCUUAUAAAUAUAUAUUUUCCAACUUUUGAGUCGAAGAUAGCUGAAUAUGGAGUGUAGUGCCUCUAGAAACGCAUCUUCAUCGUUUAAAAAAAAAUUAAAAAAAAAAAAAAACAAAAUUUCAUUUUCGUUUUCUAUCAUUUUACGUGUAACUUUUCUAAUUAGUUUUUAUGCAUCAUUUUCACAUUUCUGCAUGCAUAUUUUCCUUUCAUGUUUAGAAUAGGUUGGGGGGUUAGAAUGUUGUUUAAAAAAAAAAAAAGAAAAAAUUGUGUGAUUUGUUUUAACUUUAGAUGACAUGAUUAAUUUCAAAUUUUAGUAUUUGUAUUAUCUUUGGUCUUAAGUGAUGUUACAUUAUGUUUUGCUACUCUACAUGUUGAUGUCGGAGACAAAUAUGAGUUGCUUGAAGGAAUGAACAUGUCAUAAUAAGUACCAAGUGAGUUUUUGAGCCUAUCAUUUUUCUUGGAGAGUAACCCUUUUGCCCAUUCUUUAUAAUGCUUAACAGUUUAUUAUUGUAUACACGAUCUCUAGAUUUCUUUUGAGUUAAGCCUUAAAAAAAAAAAAAAAAAAAUGUGUGUGUUGCUACAUUGGGAGGCCCAUCUAACUAGUAGAUAUGGAUGAUUAUUUAGAGCCCUAAAAGACGAUGGAAAGGCCAUCUUUGAUCCGUUUGAGCCUUUCUAGCCAUCCCUCUUAUCAAGUAUCCAUAGUUAACCCAUUUGAGCCUUUUAAAUAAAAAAAAAAAAAAACUUUUCUUUGUUUAACUUAUCAUCUUGACCCACUCCGAUUUGGAGUAUUACCCAAUAUCUUACAAAUUCCAUCACCUAUUUAUGUUUGAGAAAAAUGUAAAUAAACAUUUUGCAUAGUGAAGUUAUGCCUAGUUCAAAAAAAAAAAGAAAAAAUUGUUGUUGCUGAAAAAAAAAAAAAAAAAGAAAAAAUUGUUGUUUCAAAAGAAUAAAAAUAACAAUAAUAGGUGAAAUCCACCUUGCAACUUCCAAAAAAAAAAAAAAAAAUAUUCUCUGCAUUUUUCUCAAACAUACACUUUGUUUUCCUUAUUUCCCUUCUUUGUUAGCCAUAUCCCUAGCCUACGUUACGUCCUAAUAAAAGUCCUUCUUGAUUUUAGGAACUAUAGUUUGAAGUAGAAGCUAGUUAUAUGGGCUAAAAAGAUGUAGUGAUGCAUAAUUAAAAAAAAAAAAGAUAAAUAAAGUGGGUUGACUAACAUUUUAUUUGACUUGAGAUCGUAUUAUUUCUAAGCUGAGGGCAUAUUUAUUUAAUCUUGGUGAGAGCAUGUGAUAUCAUUUCUUUAUUAUUUUCUCUCUCAAUUACCAUUCAUUGGAGUGACUAUGUUUAUUGGGUUUUAAUUUCUUUGUGAGAGUGUCACUACUUCCAGUGAGAUUUUGGGGUUUGACAUGUCAUUCUUGAAAGUAGCUAUAACAAAGUCUACUGGGCUAAUUCAUGUGGAUGGUUGAUGUGGGUGUGAUGUUGCUUUAGACUGGAGAUAAUGCUUAUACUUUUAUUUGAUUGCUAUCAUUAAUCUGAUUGAAUAAACACGAGUGUUUCUAAAAAAAAAAAAAAAAAAAUCAUUUUGAAUUUGAAUUUUGUUUUCGCUUUAUUUGCUAGGGACUAGCAAUAAGCUGGUUGGGGGGUGUGUUGAGUGUUAGAAAAUACAUAUUUAUAAAGGAGAAAACCGUCAUUUUACAUUUCAAGUCUUACUAACAACCCUUACUUUUAUGUAUUUAACCUUCUUGUGAUGUAAUUACGUGUGUGUUAUUUUAAUUAAGUAUUUUAUGUAUUUUAGGGGCAGUAUAGUCAUUUCACAAUAAAGGAGAGAUCAGACGGCAAAACGGACAUCACUUUUUGAACUCAGGACGGUCGAAAACCUUAGGAGGAGCAUAAAAGGAAAAAUGGCACUAUUCACAUGUACGGUACUAUUCACGUAUACGGUACUGUCUACGUUACUGUUCAUGACACUGUUCACAUAGACGGAUCGAUGACGUGGCAUUGACCGAUGACGUGGCAUUGACCGAUGAUGUGGCAUUGACUGAUGAGGUGUCACGAUCCUGUUGGGCUAAAAUUCUUAUGUACUGUUAAUGGUGACGUGGCAGCAUAUCAGUGGACGAAAAAUCUCGUGUACGGUGCAUGCAUCACACAGGAUUAUUUUCAACCAAACCGCGUUACUGUUCAUCCGGGUCAACCGUGUUACUGUUCAUCCGCGUGGUCAAACCGUGGACUGUUGACUGAUGACGUGGCGCAAUCCUGAGCGUCCAAACUGUUUUUAAUCGAUGGCCAUGAUUUACUCCAUGUAUCUAUAAAAAGGGGCCUCUCCCCCGAAUUUGAUAUCUCUGAAUCCAUUUUUGGGAUCCAUUUUCUGUAAUUCCUUCUCCAUCUUGUAUUUUCUUUGUAUUUUAAUAAAUUCCCUUUUUGCCCCUAGUUCAAUUAUGAGUAGCUAAUUUCUUUUCAAGCUUGGGUUGAAGGUGAAGUCUCAACAUGUGUCAUGGGCUUUAUUUGGUAAAUUUAUUUUCUUUUCCCCUCUAGUUUUUGUGGAUGAUUUGACUUAUCGUCGACAAAUAAUACUGAUCUUGUCUAGAUACCGCCUUGGUUACACCGGCUCUCUGGUAUAAGGUUAUUAUUAUUUGGCACGAUAAGCCCUUAGCACCAUAUGAUUAGAGCGUGGUUCAUGAGGUGUGGAUUCCCCCUCAUGAUUUAAUUGGUAUUAAUAAGGAAUAUUUAGCCCAUGAUGCAUGUUUGAUACGGAUCCAGAUACCCAAGUACGUCAUUUCAAUAGAAUUCUCUUCAAUUUAUUCUCGCCAUUUUAAUUUAAGUUUUAGCAUAUUCCAAAUCAUUUCCACCACAAAUCCAAUCACCCAUUUACAAAAUUAAUUUUAUACACAAUUAAAAUCCACCUCCUCGUGGGAUCGACACUCGUCACCAUUAGUCUAUAUUACAAUAGAUUCGUGCGCUUGCGAGUACAUUAAAAUUUGCACAACAAGUUUUUGGCGCCGUUGCCGGGGAGGUAAGUAAUUUUAAUUCAUAAAAUUAAUUUUUGUGAAUAAUUUCUUUUAUUUGUUUUCUUGUAUUUUUUUUUCUUAUUAAAAAAAAAAGAAAAAAAAAGAGUAAAUCUACAUUUAAAGGUUAGUAUUUCUUUUCUUUUUCUCUUCUUUAAAAUUCUGUAAUUUAAUUUUCAAUUUAUUUUUUUUUCUUUGUAAUUUUUGUUUAUUUUAUUAAUUUAAUUUUUAGUUAAUUUAUUUCACGUAUUUGUUUUUGUGUAUUUUUAUAGAAAGGUUGUAAUAGCGCAAUAAGGUUAGUAUCGUAAUUUCUCCCUCUUAUUUAUUUUUAUUUGUUUUGUUCCAUCUUUAUUUUUUGUUUUGUUUGCAUCUUUAUUUUUAUUUUCAUUUUAUUUUGCAUGCAUGGUCGUAGGUCAUUAUUACCUAAUCUUGAACCUAUAGACCUUGAAUUAGAAAAAACACUUCGCACACAAAAAACAAUUAAAAAUAAAAUUGGAAUGGAUUUACAAGCACCACAGGAGAGGCCAUUUAAGGACUAUUUUAGUCCCUUAGCUAAUUUAAGCACAUCAUGUAUUAGAUACCAAAUGUAGCUGCUAGGACUUUGAACUAAAACCUAGUGUGCUAAAUUGUCUCCCCACAUUCUAUGGCUUAGAAAAUGAGGACCCAUAUAAUCAUCUGAAUGAUUUUCAUACCAUUUGUCAAACUUUUAAAUAUGAAAAUUUUUCAGACGAUGAUGUUAAACUCAGACUAUUCCCAUUUUCUUUAAAGGAUAGAGCUCGUUUCAUGGUUAAAUACGUUGCCUGCUAAUAGCAUUUCAUCAUGGGAACAAAUGGUAACUAAAUUUUUGAAUAAAUAUUUCCCAGUGCAUAAACCAAUUCUAUUCGCAGGGAAAUUUCAGAGUUUACACAAAGAGAGGACGAGCAGUUUUUCGAAACUUGGGAGCGAUUUCAAUGGGCUACUCUUGAAGUGUCCACAUCAUGGGUACGAAAAAUGGCACCAAUGCCAAUACUUUUUGGAGGGAUUACUACCGAAUGUGCAAGAAUGGCUAAUGGCAACAAGUGGAGGAGAGCUAAUGUCAAAAAGUGCAUCAGGAAAUUUGGGAAUUCUUCCAACGACAAGCGGAUAAUUCCCAACAACGGAGUCGAUCACUAAGGAAUACUAGAAGAAUUAAGGGAGUAAAUGAGGUUCAAAUUGGCGAGUCAACUUCGGGAAUCAAAGAAGUCAAGGAGAUGGUUGAAGGUCUCGCUCGACAAAUAGCAUCGUUAUCGACUGCUAAAUCAACAGAACCACAUGACCAUGACUCAUACUCCGAUCAAGCCAAUGCCAUAGGUGUAAUGAGAAAACCAUCGAAUUACAACCCAUACUCCAACACAUAUAACCCUGGAUGGAGAGACCACCCCAAUUUUUCAUGGUCUCAAGGAUUCCAACAGAAUGGACCAGCAGCUCCAGCUCCACCAAUGCAACAAAUUCCUCAAAAUCCUCAAGCCUCUCAGCCACCAUUCAGACCAUACAAUCAGAACCAGAACUACUCUCAACCCAGACCAUGGAGGAUGCAUUCCAGAAUUUCAAGAAUGUUACUCACUCCACGAUUGAGCAACAGAAACCGCACCAUUGAUGGACUACGAAAUGAGUUGAGAGCAGGCUUCAACUCACAAGCUCAAUCAGUUUCAAGCCUCGAGAAGAUGGUGGGACAACUUGCUUUCUUCAGUUCAGACCUUGGCAAUGACUGUUGAGAAAGGAAAAUUUCCAAGUCAACCAGUGCCUAAUCCUAAAGGAGUACAUGAAGCAAGUACCAGUUCACCACAACAGCAUGGAGAGGUCAAAGCAGUCAUGACCUUGCGAAAAGGAAAGGAAGUCGACAACAAAGUGGAGAUGCCCGGUGACAAAAGAAAAUCAAAUUGUACCUGUGAAUGUUGAAGACUCACCACCGGAGGAGAAAGAAGAACCAACCCACGAGAAUACGUUCCGAAAGCUCCAUUUCCUCAGAGGUUAGCUAAAGGGAAAAAAGGGAAAAUCCACAGGUGAGAUUCUCGAAAUCUUCAAACAGGUAAGUGUUAACAUCCCUUUACUUGAUGCUAUUAAACAAGUUCCAUCUUAUGCCAAGUUUCUUAAAGACCUUUGUACUAAAAAGAGAAUAUGCAUGUUCAAAAGAAGGCAUUUUUAACAGAAAAUGUUAGUUCUAUACUCCAACAUAAAAUUCCUCUAAAAUGCAAAGACCCAGGCUCCCCAUAUCUCAUGUAGUAUAGGGAACCACACAAUUGAGAAUGCGUUGUUGGAUUUAGGAGCUAGUGUAAAUCUGUUGCCUUAUUCAGUAUUCGUGAAACUUGGACUGGGAGAUUACACCCAACUCCAGUGGUGUUACAGCUUGCAGAUCGGUCCACGAAAAUACCUCGUGGUAUUAUGGAGGACGUGCUUAUCCAGGUAGACAAGUUUUAUUUUCCUGUUGAUUUCAUUGUAAUUGACACUCAACAAUACAGGAUUCAAGGAAGCACAUCCCAUUAUUCUAGGCCGACCUUUCUUGGCGACUGCGGAUGCUCACAUUCAAUGCAGGACUGGAAAUAUGCAGUUGUCCUUCGGCAACAUGACUAUGGAGCUAAAUAUUUUCAACAUUGCCAAACAACCUCACAGUGCAGAUGAUGGAAUUGUUGAUGUGGAUUUAAUAGAAACAAUAGUUGAUAAUACUUUUCUUUCAAACCUUAGUGAUGAUCCUUUACAGACAUGCUUAACUCACUUUGGUUUGGAUUUUGAUAUUGACAGAUCGGUCGAUGAGGUCAACGCCCCUUGACUCAGCACCAUCCAUGGACACUAAUAAAUGGAAGUCAAGAGUUGAACAACUAGCACCAUCAGAGAAGAAACUCAUCCCAUCAUCAGAAUCACCACCGAAACUCGAGCUCAAACCAUUACCCAACACUCUGGAAUAUGCAUUUUUGGGAGAAGAAAGUACUCUGCCGGUAAUCAUCUCAUCAUCCCUAAAUGACGAACAAAAAGGUAAGUUGUUGGAUGUUUUAAAAGAGCACAAAGGAGCAUUAGGAUGGACCAUAGCAGACAUAAAAGGUAUAAACCCAGUAGACUGCAUGCAUUACAUUCACCUUGAUGAAAAUGCUAAAUACUAGGGAAAUGCAACGUCGGUUAAAUCCUAAUAUGAAAGAAGUUGUUAGAACUGAAGUCCUUAAGCUAUUAGAUGCAGGUAUCAUUUACCCAAUUUCUGAUAGUUCAUGGGUCAGUCCUGUACAAGUUGUCCCAAAAAGUCAGGAGUCACAGUAGUUACCAAUGCUGAUAAUGAAUUGAUACCAACUAGAGUAACUACAGGAUGGCGUGUAUGCAUUGAUUAUAGAAAGUUGAAUUCUGUCACACGUAAAGACCAUUUUCCUUUACCAUUUAUUGAUCAAAUGCUUGAUAGAUUAGCAGGCCAUGAAUUUUAUUGCUUUCUAGAUGGCUACUCAGGAUAUAAUCAGAUUCCCAUAGCACCAAAAGAUCAAGAGAAAACUACUUUCACUUGCCCUUUUGGCACAUUUGCAUAUAGGAGAAUGCCAUUUGGAUUAUGUAAUGCACCUGCUACAUUUCAACGAUGCAUGUUGAGCAUUUUUUCUGAUAUGGUUGAACGAUUCCUUGAAGUCUUUAUGGAUGAUUUUUCUGUCUUUGGUGACUCGUUUGAUCAAUGUUUACAUCAUCUAACGCUAGUUCUGCAGAGAUGUACCGAGAAGCUUAGUCUUAAAUUGGGAGAAGUGCCAUUUUAUGGUAAAACAAGGUAUUGUUCUCGGUCACAUCAUUUCGAGCAAAGGUAUUGAGGUUGACAAAGCCAAGGUGGAUCUCAUUUCUAAUCUUCCUCCACCUAAAACAGUCAGAGAAGUAAGAUCUUUCCUUGGGCAUGCUGGUUUCUAUAGACGUUUCAUUAAAGAUUUUAGCAAAGUUUCUAGACCCUUAUGCAAUUUACUUGCUAAGGAUGUACCUUUUAUCUUUAAUGAUUCAUGUCUUAUGGCUUUUGAAAAAUUAAAGCAAUUGUUGACAUCAUCACCCAUCAUUCAGGCCCCAAACUGGAGCUUANNNNNNNNNNNNNNNNNNNNNNNNNNNNNNNNNNNNNNNNNNNNNNNNNNNNNNNNNNNNNNNNNNNNNNNNNNNNNNNNNNNNNNNNNNNNNNNNNNNNNNNNNNNNNNNNNNNNNNNNNNNNNNNNNNNNNNNNNNNNNNNNNNNNNNNNNNNNNNNNNNNNNNNNNNNNNNNNNNNNNNNNNNNNNNNNNNNNNNNNNNNNNNNNNNNNNNNNNNNNNNNNNNNNNNNNNNNNNNNNNNNNNNNNNNNNNNNNNNNNNNNNNNNNNNNNNNNNNNNNNNNNNNNNNNNNNNNNNNNNNNNNNNNNNNNNNNNNNNNNNNNNNNNNNNNNNNNNNNNNNNNNNNNNNNNNNNNNNNNNNNNNNNNNNNNNNNNNNNNNNNNNNNNNNNNNNNNNNNNNNNNNNNNNNNNNNNNNNNNNNNNNNNNNNNNNNNNNNNNNNNNNNNNNNNNNNNNNNNNNNNNNNNNNNNNNNNNNNNNNNNNNNNNNNNNNNNNNNNNNNNNNNNNNNNNNNNNNNNNNNNNNNNNNNNNNNNNNNNNNNNNNNNNNNNNNNNNNNNNNNNNNNNNNNNNNNNNNNNNNNNNNNNNNNNNNNNNNNNNNNNNNNNNNNNNNNNNNNNNNNNNNNNNNNNNNNNNNNNNNNNNNNNNNNNNNNNNNNNNNNNNNNNNNNNNNNNNNNNNNNNNNNNNNNNNNNNNNNNNNNNNNNNNNNNNNNNNNNNNNNNNNNNNNNNNNNNNNNNUAGAAAAUGAGGACCCAUAUAAUCAUCUGAAUGAUUUUCAUACCAUUUGUCAAACUUUUAAAUAUGAAAAUUUUUCAGACGAUGAUGUUAAACUCAGACUAUUCCCAUUUUCUUUAAAGGAUAGAGCUCGUUCAUGGUUAAAUACGUUGCCUGCUAAUAGCAUUUCAUCAUGGGAACAAAUGGUAACUAAAUUUUUGAAUAAAUAUUUCCCAGUGCAUAAAACCAAUUCUAUUCGCAGGGAAAUUUCAGAGUUUACACAAAGAGAGGACGAGCAGUUUUUCGAAACUUGGGAGCGAUUCAAUGGGCUACUCUUGAAGUGUCCACAUCAUGGGUACGAAAAAUGGCACCAAUGCCAAUACUUUUUGGAGGAUUACUACCGAAUGUGCAAGAAUGGCUAAUGGCAACAAGUGGAGGAGAGCUAAUGUCAAAAAGUGCAUCAGAAAUUUGGGAAUUCUUCCAACGACAAGCGGAUAAUUCCCAACAACGGAGUCGAUCACUAAGGAAUACUAGAAGAAUUAAGGGAGUAAAUGAGGUUCAAAUUGGCGAGUCAACUUCGGGAAUCAAAGAAGUCAAGGAGAUGGUUGAAGGUCUCGCUCGACAAAUAGCAUCGUUAUCGACUGCUAAAUCAACAGAACCACAUGACCAUGACUCAUACUCCGAUCAAGCCAAUGCCAUAGGUGUAUGUAAUGAGAAAACCAUCGAAUUACAACCCAUACUCCAACACAUAUAACCCUGGAUGGAGAGACCACCCCAAUUUUUCAUGGUCUCAAGGAUUCCAACAGAAUGGACCAGCAGCUCCAGCUCCACCAAUGCAACAAAUUCCUCAAAAUCCUCAAGCCUCUCAGCCACCAUUCAGACCAUACAAUCAGAACCAGAACUACUCUCAACCCAGACCAUGGGAGGAUGCAUUCCAGAAUUUCAAGAAUGUUACUCACUCCACGAUUGAGCAACAGAACCGCACCAUUGAUGGACUACGAAAUGAGUUGAGAGCAGGCUUCAACUCACAAGCUCAAUCAGUUUCAAGCCUCGAGAAGAUGGUGGGACAACUUGCUUCUUCAGUUCAGACCUUGGCAAUGACUGUUGAGAAAGGAAAAUUUCCAAGUCAACCAGUGCCUAAUCCUAAAGGAGUACAUGAAGCAAGUACCAGUUCACCACAACAGCAUGGAGAGGUCAAAGCAGUCAUGACCUUGCGAAAAGGAAAGGAAGUCGACAAAAGUGGAGAUGCCGGUGACAAAAGAAAAUCAAAUUGUACCUGUGAAUGUUGAAGACUCACCACCGGAGGAGAAAGAAGAAACCAACCCACGAGAAUACGUUCCGAAAGCUCCAUUUCCUCAGAGGUUAGCUAAAGGGAAAAAGGGAAAAUCCACAGGUGAGAUUCUCGAAAUCUUCAAACAGGUAAGUGUUAACAUCCCUUUACUUGAUGCUAUUAAACAAGUUCCAUCUUAUGCCAAGUUUCUUAAAGACCUUUGUACUAAAAAGAGAAAUAUGCAUGUUCAAAAGAAGGCAUUUUUAACAGAAAAUGUUAGUUCUAUACUCCAACAUAAAAUUCCUCUAAAAUGCAAAGACCCAGGCUCCCCCACUAUCUCAUGUAGUAUAGGGAACCACACAAUUGAGAAUGCGUUGUUGGAUUUAGGAGCUAGUGUAAAUCUGUUGCCUUAUUCAGUAUUCGUGAAACUUGGACUGGGAGAAUUACACCCAACUCCAGUGGUGUUACAGCUUGCAGAUCGGUCCACGAAAAUACCUCGUGGUAUUAUGGAGGACGUGCUUAUCCAGGUAGACAAGUUUUAUUUUCCUGUUGAUUUCAUUGUAAUUGACACUCAACCAAUACAGGAUUCAAGGAAGCACAUCCCCAUUAUUCUAGGCCGACCUUUCUUGGCGACUGCGGAUGCUCACAUUCAAUGCAGGACUGGAAAUAUGCAGUUGUCCUUCGGCAACAUGACUAUGGAGCUAAAUAUUUUCAACAUUGCCAAACAACCUCACAGUGCAGAUGAUGGAAUUGUUGAUGUGGAUUUAAUAGAAACAAUAGUUGAUAAUACUUUUCUUUCAAACCUUAGUGAUGAUCCUUUACAGACAUGCUUAACUCACUUUGGUUUGGAUUUUGAUAUUGAUAGAUCGGUCGAUGAGGUCAACGCCCUGCUUGACUCAGCACCAUCCAUGGACACUAAUAAAUGGAAGUCAAGAGUUGAACAACUAGCACCAUCAGAGAAGAAACUCAUUCCAUCAUCAGAAUCACCACCAAAACUCGAGCUCAAACCAUUACCCAACACUCUGGAAUAUGCAUUUUUGGGAGAAGAAAGUACUCUGCCGGUAAUCAUCUCAUCAUCCCUAAAUGACGAACAAAAAGGUAAGUUGUUGGAUGUUUUAAAAGAGCACAAAGGAGCAUUAGGAUGGACCAUAGCAGACAUUAAAGGUAUAAACCCAGUAGACUGUAUGCAUUACAUUCACCUUGAUGAAAAUGCUAAAACUACUAGGGAGAUGCAACGUCGGUUAAAUCCUAACAUGAAAGAAGUUGUUAGAACUGAAGUCCUUAAGCUAUUAGAUGCAGGUAUCAUUUACCCAAUUUCUGAUAGUUCAUGGGUCAGUCCUGUACAAGUUGUCCCCAAAAAGUCAGGAGUCACAGUAGUUACCAAUGCUGAUAAUGAAUUGAUACCAACUAGAGUAACUACAGGAUGGCGUGUAUGCAUUGAUUAUAGAAAGUUGAAUUCUGUCACACGUAAAGACCAUUUUCCUUUACCAUUUAUUGAUCAAAUGCUUGAUAGAUUAGCAGGCCAUGAAUUUUAUUGCUUUCUAGAUGGCUACUCAGGAUAUAAUCAGAUUCCCAUAGCACCAAAAGAUCAAGAGAAAACUACUUUCACUUGCCCUUUUGGCACAUUUGCAUAUAGGAGAAUGCCAUUUGGAUUAUGUAAUGCACCUGCUACAUUUCAACGAUGCAUGUUGAGCAUUUUUUCUGAUAUGGUUGAACGAUUCCUUGAAGUCUUUAUGGAUGAUUUUUCUGUCUUUGGUGACUCGUUUGAUCAAUGUUUACAUCAUCUAACGCUAGUUCUGCAGAGAUGUACCGAGAAGAGCUUAGUCUUAAAUUGGGAGAAGUGCCAUUUUAUGGUAAAACAAGGUAUUGUUCUCGGUCACAUCAUUUCGAGCAAAGGUAUUGAGGUUGACAAAGCCAAGGUGGAUCUCAUUUCUAAUCUUCCUCCACCUAAAACAGUCAGAGAAGUAAGAUCUUUCCUUGGGCAUGCUGGUUUCUAUAGACGUUUCAUUAAAGAUUUUAGCAAAGUUUCUAGACCCUUAUGCAAUUUACUUGCUAAGGAUGUACCUUUUAUCUUUAAUGAUUCAUGUCUUAUGGCUUUUGAAAAAUUAAAGCAAUUGUUGACAUCAUCACCCAUCAUUCAGGCCCCAAACUGGAGCUUACCAUUUGAGCUCAUGUGUGAUGCAUCUGAUUAUGCAGUAGGAGCAGUAUUAGGACAAAGAGUUGAUCGAAUUCCCAACGUUAUUUACUAUGCUAGUAUGACCUUGAAUGAUGCACAGUUGAAUUAUUCAACUACUGAAAAAGAAAUGCUAGCAGUAGUGUUUGCAUUGGAAAAAUUUCGAUCUUAUCUCAUUGGUUGUAAAAUAAUUAUAUUCACAUCAUGCUGCUCUUAAAUAUCUUCUCACAAAGAAAGAUGCAAAAGCUAGACUAAUUCGUUGGGUGUUACUUUUGCAGGAAUUUGACUUGGAAUUCAAAGAUAAGAAAGGGACAGAAAAUGUUGUGGCGGACCACCUCUCUCGUCUCCAUUUUGACACAAUUACAGAGCCAUUAAUAUUAAAUGAGUCAUUUCCAGAUGAACAAUUAAUGAGUGUGGAAGUAUUACCUUGGUAUGCUGAUAUAGUUAAUUAUCUUGUUACAGGUAAGCUUCCAGAGCAUUGGACCAAGCAAGACAAGGCUAAAUUCUUUGCGGAAAUAAAGAAUUUCUUUUGGGAUGACCCAUAUUUGUUCAAGUAUUGUGCAGACCAAAUUGUUAGACGAUGUGUCCCUGAAAGUGAAAUUCAGAAUAUCCUUUCAUUCUGCCAUGAACAAGCUUGUGGAGGCCAUUUCAGUGCUAAGAAAACAGCGACUAAAGUUUUACAAUGUGGUUUCUAUUGGCCAACUAUAUUUCGAGAUGCUUACACUUUCUGUUCUUCAUGUGAUAGGUGUCAACGAAUGGGGAGCAUUACACGAAGGAACAUGAUGCCACUAAAUCCAAUUUUAGUGGUUGAGAUUUUUGACGUAUGGGGUAUCGACUUCAUGGGACCCUUUCCCCCUUCUUUUGGCCAUCAAUACAUAUUGGUUGGUGUUGACUACGUAUCGAAAAUGGGUGGAAGCAAUUCCAUGCAGGAACCAAUGAUCACAAAGUGGUGAUAGGAUUUUUGAAAGCAAUAUUGUUUUCGCGCUUUGGAUUCCCUCGAGCGAUAAUCAGUGAUGGUGGUGCCACUUUUGUAACAAAGCAUUCAAGGCUCUUUUGACAAAGUAUUCAAUCACACACAAAGUGGCGACCCCGUAUCAUCCGCAAACCAGUGGCCAAGUUGAGAUCUCCAAUCGAGAAAUAAAGCACAUAUUAGAAAAGACGGUGAGGCCAGACAGGAAAGAUUGGUCAUUACGACUUGAUGAUGCAUUAUGGGCAUAUAGAACGGCUUUCCAAGACCCCGAUUGGGAUGUCACCCUACAGGCUAGUGUAUGGAAAAGCUUGCCACCUACCUGUGGAACUCGAGCAUCGUGCAUAUUGGGCCAUCAAGAAAUUCAACUUUGACAUGGCAGCAAGCCAGCUCAGAAAGAAGAUUACAGCUGGCAGAACUUGAAGAAAUUCGGCAAUGAUGCAUACGAAAAUGCCAAGAUUUACAAGCAACGAAUGAAAGUCUUCCAUGAUAAGCAAUUAUGAGAAAAUCGUUCACUCCAGGUCAGAAAGUGCUUUUAUUCAAUUCUCGCUUGCACCUAUUCCCAGGUAAGUUACGCUCUCGUUGGUCUGGCCCAUUUAUUGUACAUACUGUUUUUCCACAUGGGGCAAUUGAAAUUAAGGACCCAAAGAACGGUGUCACGUAUAAAGUUAAUGGUCAAAGAUUAAAGCCAUAUCUAGAGUACCAACCACAUGGAGAAAACAUCGAAAUAAAAUUUGAGUGACCCACUAAAUUUGAAUUGAUUUUUUUUUUUUCUCUUUUCGUUAAUUUGAUUUUUCUUUAUUUCUUUUUAUUAUUAUUCUUUUGCUAAUUGAAAUUGUUUUUGCAUAAGUGUGUUUUAUUUUAACCAUUAAGUUUUCUCUUAUCAUUUUUAAUCAUGAGUCUCAUACUUAGACCGUUCCUCCUGAACAUUCUUAAACCACUUCAACGUGUCAAAACUCAUCUCAAAAGGCAGAUUCUAUUUUGUAAAAACACAACGCAUUUGGGCUCUACAACCACCAGAGUUAGUAGCCUAAUGUUGAGGGUUUAGAACGCCAACUCAGAGACAUUGAGAGAAGUGUUUUACGACAUCCAGUUGGAGCUUGAGGUAAAAUUCAAUAAGAGGACGAUUUUAAUUUUCUUUGUGUGUUUUUUGUUUUUUCUGUUUGUGUGCUUUAGUUUGUUACCUCCGGUGAAGUGGCGAGAUAACGUACUCCGUGACAAUCAAGUCGGUUAACUUCAGUUUCCCAUAAUAACUGAUAUUCUGAGGCGAAGGUAUGGACAGAAACGAGAUUCUAGCGAAGCUUCACAAGCGAUUCCCUUCACUUCCUCAGAAUGCCCCUCCUUACAAUCUAUAAAGCCGGUCUGAACGCAUGCGAUUGCUCAUGAGGAAUAACAUACCUGCAGACAUCCGUUGGUUAAUCGAGGCUAAAGUACGAUUGGCAGGUGAGUUACCUCCUAAAUUUAUUGGCAUACAUGCCUGGUUGUGGUAAAGGAAAUUACGCAAGAAAACGACGAGCUCGAAGAAUUUCUGUUGCUUGUCACAAGUGUGCCAGAAUGAGUUGCGAUAGAAACCCAUGUUCUUUAGGAAUGGUGUCUGAUAACAGGGAAGAUAAGAUUCAAUUCAUUAGGAUGGCUUGAAUAAGGAGUCAUUGGAUGAUAUCCUUUUGUCUCUGAAACGCAUCCCAGUGGAUAUGUGCAAGGAGCGAUUCUCCAGUUAAGGCCAUUAUUCCAAAAAGAGCAUGCACGAUAUCGUCUCGGGAAUCUGACUAUAAACGACCCUGUUUGCCAGUUUAUAAGAAAACUGGAUGGGAAGCCCAUCCUCGACCCAUAGAGGGCGUUCAAGCCGUUUCUGGACGUAAAACCAGAGGAAGAUGUGAGCCACAGUCGCAACUACGUGUAAAUAUCCUUUUACUUUACUGUUAUUUUAUUUCAUUUCACUGUUGUUUUAUUGUUUGCAUUAUUGUCUUUAAUAAUUUUAUUACUGUUUGCUUUUUCCUUUUUACUGUUUCCUUUUUUGACUCGCGAGCCACGUGCUUUACGCGUUAUUUGACACUGACAUGUUACCUCAUUCACAGCUGUGAUCCAUUGUCACCAAGAUUCUUAAAUGUGAUUUAUCUUUUGUCAAGCACUCACAAAUUAUUUUUGAGAAGUAUCACAAUGGCAGCUACUCCCAAUAGACAAUUCAAGAACAUUUGUGUGCUUUCUGGAUUUACCUAUGGCAAACAUAAAGAGUUCGUGGAGGCAGCCAUAGAUCUUGGUCGAAGCAUAGCAGCGAGAAAAUUACAUUUGGUGUAUGGAGGAGGUAACCGAGGGUUAUCAAAAAAUGGUCUCAGAAGCAGCUUUUAUCAAGGAAGUCAAGUGUUUAGGCAUCAUCCAAGAGUCCUAAAACCAUUGGGCAGUUCGUCUGACUCAUCAACUGGAGAAGAGUUAGUCGUCUCAGGUAUGCAAGAAAGAAUAACUGAAAUGCUUAAUCAUGCUGAUGCUUUAUUUUCCUUCCAGGAGAUCUUGCAACACUAGAGGCACUUAUGACACUAGCAUCUUGGGCCCCAUCUGCACAUCCACCAGAAACCCAUCGGUUGUUAAAUGUCAAUAACUUUUAUGAUGGCUUUAUCGCAUUUCUUAACCAUGCAAUAAAAAACUAUUUCAUUCCUUUCUAAUGUAAAAAAAACUUUUUAUUUGUGCUCACACUGCUAAUGAACUACUUGAUCUGUUACAAGCUUAUAAACCGGAGCCAGACCCCUGGACCUUUGUGUGGAGCGCCCAAAUAAUGAUGGUAACAGUAGCCGCAGUAAGAAGUACAAAUUAGAUUUAACUCUCCGCCUGUAAAUAUAUUCUUUUGUGUUGCACCACCCAGGUGAUGUCUUCUAAACUCUACUUCUUUCCUUUAAAACAUUGAGGACAAUGUUUCGUUCUGGUUGAGGGGAGGGAAUAGUCGACAAUUGUGGAAUCUUGGUUAAGUUUUUACUGAUUUUUUGUUGUAGAAACUAACUGUUGCUAACUUUUUGUGUUGAAGAUGGCUGAAUAUGGAGUGUAGUGACUCUAGAAAACGCAUCUUCAUCGUUUAAAAAAAAAAAAAAAAUUUAAAAAAACUAAAAAACAAAAAAACAAAAAAAUUCAAACAUUUUCUUUUUCUUUAUUAUGUUUGAUGUUCAUUUUUCUUCUUCUUUUUAAUUUCUCCUUAUAAAUAUAUAUUUUCCAACUUUUGAGUCGAAGAUAGCUGAAUAUGGAGUGUAGUGCCUCUAGAACGCAUCUUCAUACGUUUAAAAAAAAAUUAAAAAAAAAAAACAAAAUUUCAUUUCGUUUUCUAUCAUUUACGUGUACUUUUCUAUUAGUUUUAGCAUCAUUUUCACAUUUCUGGCAUGCAUAUUUUCCUUUCAUGUUUAGAAUAGGUUGGGGGUAGAAUUUGUUUAAAAAAAAAAAAAGAAAAAAUUGUUGUGAUUUGUUUUAACUUUAGAUGACAUGAUUAAUUUUCAAAUUUUAGUAAUUUGUAUUAUCUUUGGUCUUAAGUGAUGUUACAUUAUGUUUGCUACUCUACAUGUUGAUGUCGGAGACAAAUAUGAGUUGCUUGAAGGAAUGAACAUGUCAUAAAUAAGUACCAAGUGAGUUUUUGAGCCUAUUCAUUUUUUCUUGGAGAGUAACCCUUUUGCCCAUUCUUUAUAAUGCUUAACAGUUUAUUAUUGUAUACACGAUCUCUAGAUUUCUUUUGAGUUAAGCCUUAAAAAAAAAAAAAAAAAAAAAAAUGUGUGUGUUGCUACAAUUGGGAGGCCCAUCUAACUAGUAGAUAUGGAUGAUUAUUUAGAGCCUAAAAAGACGAUGGAAAGGCCAUCUUUGAUCCGUUUGAGCCUUUCUAGCCAUCCCUCUUAUCAAGUAUCCAUAGUUAACCCAUUUGAGCCUUUUAAAUAAAAAAAAAAAAAAACUUUCUUUGUUUAACUUAUCAUCUUGACCCACUCCGAUUUGGAGUAUUACCCAAUAUCUUACAAAUUUCCAUCACCUAUUUAUGUUUGAGAAAAAUGUAAAUAAACAUUUUGCAUAGUGAAGUUAUGCCUAGUUCAAAAAAAAAAAAGAAAAAAUUGUUGUUGCUGAAAAAAAAAAAAAAAAAAAAAAAAGAAAAAAAAUUGUUGUUUCAAAAGAAUAAAAAUAACAAUAAUAGGUGAAAUCACCUUGCAACUUCCAAAAAAAAAAAAAAAAAAAUAUUCUCUGCAUUUUUCUCAAACAUACACUUUGUUUUCCUUAUUCCUUCUUUGUUAGCCAUAUCCCUAGCCUAUACGUUACGUCCUAAUAAAAGUCCUUCUUGAUUUUAGGGAACUAUAGUUUGAAGUAGAAGCUAGUUAUAUGGGCUAAAAAGAUGUAGUGAUGCAUAAUUAAAAAAAAAAAAGAUAAAUAAAGUGGGUUGACUAACAUUUUAUUUGACUUGAGAUCGUAUUAUUUCUAAGCUGAGGGCAUAUUUAUUUAAUCUUGGUGAGAGCAUGUGAUAUCAUUUCUUUAUUAUUUUCUCUCUCAAUUACCAUUCAUUGGAGUGACUAUGUUUAUUGGGUUUUAAUUUCUUUGUGAGAGUGUCACUACUUCCAGUGAGAUUUUGGGGUUUGACAUGUCAUUCUUGAAAGUAGCUAUAACAAAGUCUACUGGGCUAAUUCAUGUGGAUGGUUGAUGUGGGUGUGAUGUUGCUUUAGACUGGAGAUAAUGCUUAUACUUUUAUUUGAUUGCUAUCAUUAAUCUGAUUGAAUAAACACGAGUGUUUCUAAAAAAAAAAAAAAAAAUCAUUUUGAAUUUGAAAUUUUGUUUUCGCUUUAUUUGCUAGGGACUAGCAAUAAGCUGGUUGGGGGUGUGUUGAGUGUUAGAAAAUACAUAUUUAUAAAGGAGAAAACCGUCAUUUUACAUUUCAAGUCUUACUAACAACCCUUACUUUUAUGUAUUUAACCUUCUUGUGAUGUAAUUACGUGUGUGUUAUUUUAAUUAAGUAUUUUAUGUAUUUUAGGGGCAUUAUAGUCAUUUCACAAUAAAGGAGAGAUCAGACGGCAAAAACGGACAUCACUUUUGAACUCAGGACGGUCGAAAACCUUAGGAGGAGCAUAAAAGGAAAAAUGGCACUAUUCACAUGUACGGUACUAUUCACGUAUACGGUACUGUCUACGUUACUGUUCACGACACUGUUCACAUAGACGGAUCGAUGACGUGGCAUUGACCGAUGAUGUGGCAUUGACUGAUGAGGUGUCACGAUCCUGUUGGACUAAAAUUCUUAUGUACUGUUGAUGGUGACGUGGCAGCAUAUCAGUGGACGAAAAAUCUCGCGUACGGUGCAUGCAUCACACAGGAUUAUUUUCAACCAAACCGCGUUACUGUUCAUCCGGGUCAAACCGUGUUACUGUUCAGCGGUCAAACCGUUACUGUUCAUCCGCGUGGUCAAACCGUGGACUGUUGACUGAUGACGUGGCGCAAUCCUGAGCGUCCAAACUGUUUUUAAUCCGAUGGCCAUGAUUUACUCCAUGUAUCUAUAAAAAGGGGGCCUCCCCCCCUAAUUUGAUAUCUCUGAAUCCAUUUUUGGGAUCCAUUUUCUGUAAUUCCUUCUCCAUCUUGUAUUUUCUUGUAUUUUAAUAAAUUCCUAUUUUGCCCCUAGUUCAAUUAUGAGUAGCUAAUUUCUUUUCAAGCUUGGGUUGAAGGUGAAGUCUCAACAUGUGUCAUGGGCUUUAUUUGGUAAAUUUAUUUUCUUUUCCCCUCUAGUUUUUGUGGAUGAUUUGACUUAUCGUCGACAAAUAAUACUGAUCUUGUCUAGAUACCGCCUUGGUUACACCGGCUCUCUAGUAUAAGGUUAUUAUUAUUUGGCACGAUAAGCCCUUAGCACCAUAUUGAUUAGAGCGUGGUUCAUGAGGUGUGGAUUCCCCCUCAUGAUUUAAUUGGCAUUAAUACGGAUUAUUUAGCCCAUGAUGCAUGUUGAUACGGAUCCAGAUACCCAAGUACGUCAUUUCAAUAGAUUCUCUUCAAUUUAUUCUCGCCAUUGCAAUUCCAAUUUAGAAUUUAUUUGCAUUUAUUAAGUUUUAGCAUAUUCAAAUCAUUUCCACCACAAUCCAACCACCCAUUUACAAAAUUAAUUCUAUAUACAAUUAAAAUCCACCUCCUCGUGGGAUCGACACUCGUCACCAUUAGUCUAUACUACAAUAGAUUCGUGCGCUUGCGAGUACAUUAAAAUUUGCACAACAAGUUUUUGGCGCCGUUGCCGGGAGGUAAGUAAUUUUAAUUCAUAGAAUUAAUUUUUGUGAAUAAUUUCUUUUAUUUGUUUUCUUGUAUUUUUUUUUAUUAAAAAAAAAAAGAAAAAAAAAGUAAAUCUACAUUUAAAGGUUAGUAUUUCUUUUCUUUUUCUCUUCUUUAAAAAUUCUGUAAUUUAAUUUUCAAUUUAUUUUUUUUCUUUGUAAUUUUUGUUUAUUUUAUUAAUUUAAUUUUUAGUUAAUUUAUUUCACGUAUUUGUUUUUGUGUAUUUUUAUAGAAAGGUUGUAAUAGCGCAAUAAGGUUAGUAUCGUAAUUUCUCCCUCUUCUUUAUUUUUAUUUGUUUUGUUCCCAUCUUUAUUUUUUUUAUUUUUAUUUUAUUUUGCAUGCAUGGUCGUAGGUCAUUAUUACCUAAUCUUGAACCUAUAGACCUUGAAUUAGAAAAAACACUUCGCACACACAAACACAUUAAAAAUAAAAUUGGAAUGGAUUUACAAGCACCACAGGAGAGGCCAUUUAAGGACUAUUUUAGUCCCUUAGCUAAUUUGAGCACAUCAUGCAUAAGAUACCCAAAUGUAGCUGCUAGGAGUUUUGAACUAAAACCUAGUGUGCUAAAUUGUCUCCCCACAUUCUAUGGCUUAGAAAAUGAGGACCCAUAUAAUCAUCUGAAUGAUUUUCAUGCCAUUUGUCAAACUUUUAAAUAUGAAAAUUUUUCAGACGAUGAUGUUAAACUCAGAUUAUUCCCAUUUUCUUUAAAGGAUAGAGCUCGUUCAUGGUUAAAUACUUUGCCUGCUAAUAGCAUUUCAUCAUGGGAACAAAUGGUAACGAAAUUUUUGAAUAAAUAUUUCCCAGUGCAUAAAACCAAUUCUAUUCGCAGGGAAAUUUCAGAGUUUACACAAAGAGAGGACGAGCAGUUUUUCGAAACUUGGGAGCGAUUCAAUGGGCUACUCUUGAAGUGUCCACAUCAUGGGUACGAGAAAUGGCACCAAUGCCAAUACUUUUUGGAGGGAUUAUUGCCGAAUGUGCAAGAAUGGCUAAUGGCAACAAGUGGAGGAGAGCUAAUGUCAAAAAGUGCAUCAGAGAUUUGGGAAUUCUUCCAGCGACAAGCGGAUAAUUCCCAACAACGGAGUCGAUCACUCAGGAAUACUAGAAGAAUUAAGGGAGUAAAUGAGGUUCAAAUUGGCGAGUCAACUUCGGAAAUCAAAGAAGUCAAGGAGAUGGUUGAAGGUCUCUGCUCGACAAAUAGCAUCGUUAUCGACUGCUAAAUCAACAGAACCACAUGACCAUGACUCAUACUCAGAUCAAGCCAAUGCCAUAGGUGUAAUGAGAAAACCAUCGAAUUACAACCCAUACUCCAACACAUAUAACCCUGGAUGGAGAGACCACCCCAAUUUUUCAUGGUCUCAAGGAUUCCAACAGAAUGGACCAGCAGCUCCAGCUCCACCAAUGCAACAAAUUCCUCAAAAUCCUCAAGCCUCUCAGCCACCAUUUAGACCAUACAAUCAGAACCAGAACUACUCUCAACCCAGACCAUGGGAGGAUUCAUUCCAGAAUUUCAAGAAUGUUACUCACUCACGAUUGAGCAACAGAACCGCACCAUUGAUGGACUACGAAAUGAGUUGAGAGCAGGCUUCAACUCACAAGCCCAAUCAGUUUCAAGCCUCGAGAAGAUGGUGGGACAACUUGCUUCUUCAGUUCAGACCUUGGCAAUGACUGUUGAGAAAGGUAAAUUUCCAAGUCAACCAGUGCCUAAUCCUAAAGGAGUACAUGAAGCAAGUACCAGUUCACCACAGCAGCAUGGAGAGGUCAAAGCAGUCAUGACCUUGCGAAAAGGAAAGGAAGUCGACAACAAAGUGGAGAUGCCGGUGACAAAAGAAAAUCAAAUUGUACCUGUGAAUGUUGAAGACUCACCACCGGAGGAAAAGAAGAAACCAACCCACGAGAAUACGUUCCAAAGCUCCAUUUCCUCAGAGGUUAGCUGAAAGGAAAGAAGGGAAAAUCCACAGGUGAGAUUCUCGAAAUCUUCAAACAGGUAAGUGUUAACAUCCCUUUACUUGAUGCUAUUAAACAAGUUCCAUCUUAUGCCAAGUUUCUUAAAGACCUUUGUACUAAAAAGAGAAAUAUGCAUGUUCAAAAGAAGGCAUUUUUAACAGAAAACGUUAGUUCUAUACUCCAACAUAAAAUUCCUUUAAAAUGCAAAGACCCAGGCUCCCCCACUAUCUCAUGUAGUAUAGGGAACCACACAAUUGAGAAUGCUUUGUUGGAUUUAGGAGCUAGUGUAAAUUUGUUGCCUUACUCUGUAUUCGUGAAACUUGGACUGGGAGAAUUACACCCAACUCCAGUGGUGUUACAGCUUGCAGAUCGGUCCACGAAAAUACCUCGUGGUAUUGUGGAGGACGUGCUUAUCCAGGUAGACAAGUUUUAUUUUCCUGUUGAUUUCAUUGUAAUUGACACUCAACCAAUACAGGAUUCAAGGAAGCACAUCCCCAUUAUUCUAGGCCGACCUUUCUUGGCAACUGCGGAUGCUCACAUUCAAUGCAGGACUGGAAAUAUGCAAUUGUCCUUCGGCAACAUGACUAUGGAGCUAAACAUUUUCAACAUUGCCAAACAACCUCACAGUGCAGAUGAUGGAAUUGUUGAUGUGGAUUUAAUAGAAACAAUAGUUGAUAAUACUUUUCUUUCAAACCUUAGUGAUGAUCCUUUACAAACAUGUUUAACUCACUUUGGUUUGGAUUUUGAUAUUGACAGAUCGGUCGAUGAGGUCAACGCCCUACUUGACUCAGCACCAUCCAUGGACACUAAUAAAUGGAAGUCAAGAGUUGAACAACUAGCACCAUCAGAGAAGAAACUCAUCCCAUCAUCAGAAUCACCACCGAAACUCGAGCUCAAACCAUUACCCAACACUUGGAAUAUGCAUUUUUGGGAGAAGAAAGUACUCUGCCGGUAAUCAUCUCAUCAUCCCUAAAUGACGAACAAAAAGGUAAGUUGUUGGAUGUUUUAAAAGAGCACAAAGGAGCAUUAGGAUGGACCAUAGCAGACAUAAAAGGUAUAAACCCAGUAGACUGCAUGCAUUACAUUCACCUUGAUGAAAAUGCUAAAUCUACUAGGGAAAUGCAACGUCGGUUAAAUCCUAAUAUGAAAGAAGUUGUUAGAACUGAAGUCCUUAAGCUAUUAGACGCAGGUAUCAUUUACCCAAUUUCUGAUAGUUCAUGGGUCAGUCCUGUACAAGUUGUCCCCAAAAAGUCAGGAGUCACAGUAGUUACCAAUGCUGAUAAUGAAUUGAUACCAACUAGAGUAACUACAGGAUGGCGUGUAUGCAUUGAUUAUAGAAAGUUGAAUUCUGUCACACGUAAAGACCAUUUUCCUUUACCAUUUAUUGAUCAAAUGCUUGAUAGAUUAGCAGGCCAUGAAUUUUAUUGCUUUCUAGAUGGCUACUCAGGAUAUAAUCAGAUUCCCAUAGCACCAAAAGAUCAAGAGAAAACUACUUUCACUUGCCCUUUUGGCACAUUUGCAUAUAGGAGAAUGCCAUUUGGAUUAUGUAAUGCACCUGCUACAUUUCAACGAUGCAUGUUGAGCAUUUUUUCUGAUAUGGUUGAACGAUUCCUUGAAGUCUUUAUGGAUGAUUUUUCUGUCUUUGGUGACUCGUUUGAUCAAUGUUUACAUCAUCUAACGCUAGUUCUGCAGAGAUGUAUCGAGAAGAACUUAGUCUUAAAUUGGGAGAAGUGCCAUUUUAUGGUAAAACAAGGUAUUGUUCUCGGUCACAUCAUUUCGAGCAAAGGUAUUGAGGUUGACAAAGCCAAGGUGGAUCUCAUUUCUAAUCUUCCUCCACCCAAAACAGUCAGAGAAGUAAGAUCUUUCCUUGGGCAUGCUGGUUUCUAUAGACGUUUCAUUAAAGAUUUUAGCAAAGUUUCUAGACCCUUAUGCAAUUUACUUGCUAAGGAUGUACCUUUUAUCUUUAAUGAUUCAUGUCUUAUGGCUUUUGAAAAAUUAAAGCAGUUGUUGACAUCAUCACCCAUCAUUCAGGCCCCAAACUGGAGCUUACCAUUUGAGCUCAUGUGUGAUGCAUCUGAUUAUGCAGUAGGAGCAGUAUUAGGACAAAGAGUUGAUCGAAUUCCCCAUGUUAUUUACUAUGCUAGUAUGACAUUGAAUGAUGCACAGUUGAACUAUUCAACUACUGAAAAAGAAAUGCUAGCAGUAGUGUUUGCAUUGGAAAAAUUUCGAUCUUAUCUCAUUGGUUGUAAAAUAAUUAUAUUCACAGAUCAUGCUGCUCUUAAAUAUCUUCUCACAAAGAAAGAUGCAAAAGCUAGACUAAUUCGUUGGGUGUUACUUUUGCAGGAAUUUGACUUGGAAUUCAAAGAUAAGAAAGGCACAGAAAAUGUUGUGGCGGACCACCUCUCUCGUCUCCAUUUUGACACAAUUACAGAGCCAUUAAUAUUAAAUGAGUCAUUUCCAGAUGAACAAUUAAUGAGUGUGGAAGUAUUACCUUGGUAUGCUGAUAUAGUUAAUUAUCUUGUUACAGGUAAACUUCCAGAGCAUUGGACCAAGCAAGACAAGGCUAAAUUCUUUGCGGAAAUAAAGAAUUUCUUUUGGGAUGACCCAUAUUUGUUCAAGUAUUGUGCAGACCAAAUUGUUAGACGAUGUGUCCCUGAAAGUGAAAUUCAGAAUAUCCUUUCAUUCUGCCAUGAACAAGCUUGUGGAGGCCAUUUCAGUGCUAAGAAAACAGCGACUAAAGUUUUACAAUGUGGUUUCUAUUGGCCAACUAUAUUUCGAGAUGCUUACACUUUCUGUUCUUCAUGUGAUAGGUGUCAACGAAUGGGGAGCAUUACACGAAGGAACAUGAUGCCACUAAAUCCAAUUUUAGUGGUUGAGAUUUUUGACGUAUGGGGUAUCGACUUCAUGGGACCCUUUCCCCCUUCUUUUGGCCAUCAAUACAUAUUGGUUGGUGUUGACUACGUAUCGAAAUGGGUAGAAGCAAUUCCAUGCAGAACCAAUGAUCACAAAGUGGUGAUAGGAUUUUUGAAAAGCAACAUUGUUUCACGCUUUGGAUUCCCUCGAGCGAUAAUCAGUGAUGGUGGUGCCCACUUUUGUAACAAAGCAUUCAAAGCUCUUUUGACAAAGUAUUCAAUCACACACAAAGUGGCGACCCCGUAUCAUCCGCAAACCAGUGGCCAAGUUGAGAUCUCCAAUCGAGAAAUAAAGCACAUAUUAGAAAAAACGGUGAGGCCAGACAGAAAAGAUUGGUCAUUAAGACUUGAUGAUGCAUUAUGGGCAUAUAGAACGGCUUUCAAGACCCCGAUUGGGAUGUCACCCUACAGGCUAGUGUAUGGAAAAGCUUGCCACCUACCUGUGGAACUCGAGCAUCGUGCAUAUUGGGCCAUCAAGAAAUUCAACUUUGACAUGCAGCAAGCCAGCUCAGAAAGAAGAUUACAACUGGCAGAACUUGAAGAAAUUCGCAAUGAUGCAUACGAAAAUGCCAAGAUUUACAAGCAACGAAUGAAAGUCUUUCAUGACAAGCACAUUAUGAGAAAAUCGUUCACUCCAGGUCAGAAAGUGCUUUUAUUCAAUUCUCGCUUGCACCUAUUCCCAGGUAAGUUACGCUCUCGAUGGUCUGGUCCCUUUAUUGUUCAUACUGUUUUUCCACAUGGGGCAAUUGAAAUUAAGGACCCAAAGAACGGUGUCACGUUUAAAGUUAAUGGUCAAAGAUUAAAGCCAUAUCUAGAGUACCAACCACAUGGAGAAGACACCGAAAUAAAUUUGAGUGACCCACCAGAUUUGAAUUGAUUUUUUUUUCUUUUCGUUGAUUUGAUUUUUCUUUCUUUCUUUUUAUUAUUCUUUUGCUAAUUGAAAUUAUUUUUGCAUAAGUGUGUUUGUUUAACUAUUAAGUUUUCUCUUAUCAUUUUUAAUCAUGAGUACCUUACUUAGACCGUUCCUCCUGAACAUUCUUAAACCACUUCAACGUGUCAAAACUCAUCUCAAAAAGCAGAUUCAAUUUUGUAAAACACAACGCAUUUGGGCUCUACAACCACCAGAGUUAGUAGCCUAUGUUGAGGGUUUAGAACGCCAACUCAGAGACAUUGAGAGAAGUGUUUACGACAUCCAGUUGGAGCUUGAGGUAAAUUCAAUAAGAGGACGAUUUUAAUUUUCUUUGUGUGUUUUAAUUUGUUUUUCUGUUUGUGUGCUUUAGUUUGUUACCCCGGUGAAGUGGCGGAUAACGGUACUCCGUGACAAUCAAGUCGGUUACUUCAGUUUCCCAUAAUAACUGAUAUUCUGAGGCGAAGGUAUGGACAGAAACGAGAUUCUAGCGAAGCUUCACAAGCGAUUCCCUUCACUUCCUCAGAAUGCCCUCCUUACAAUCUAUAAAGCCGGUCGAACGCAUGCGAUUCUCAUGAGAAUAACAUACCUGCGACAUCCGUUGGUUAAUCGAGGAAAGUACGAUGGCAGGUAGUUACUAAUUUGCAUAUCUGUUAUGCGAAACAGUCGAAUUCUGUCAAGAAAUAAGGAUAAUAAUAUCUUUGUUCAGAUCAAAAAAAUUUCCAUAAAAAAAAGCAUGUAUGCAAUCAUUCUGCACACUUUGACAAGCAACAGAAAUUCUUCGAGCUGUCGUUUUCUUGCAUAAUUUCUUUACCACAACCAGCAUGAUGCAAUAAAUUUGGAGGUAACUCACCUGCCAUCGUACUUUAGCCUCGAUUAACCAACGGAUGUCGCAGGUAUGUUAUUCCUCAUGAGCAAUCGCAUGCGUUCGACCGGCUUUAUAGAUGUAAGGAGGGCAUUCUGAGGAAGUGAAGGGAAUCGCUUGUGAAGCUUCGCUAGAAUCUCGUUUCUGUCCAUACCUUCGCCUCAGAAUAUCAGUUAUUAUGGGAAACUGAAGUAACCGACUUGAUUGUCACGGAGUACCGUUAUCCGCCACUUCACCGGGGUAACAAACUAAAGCACACAAACAGAAAAACAAAUUAAAACACACAAAGAAAAUUAAAAUCGUCCUCUUAUUGAAUUUACCUCAAGCUCCAACUGGAUGUCGUAAACACUUCUCUCAAUGUCUCUGAGUUGGCGUUCUAAACCCUCAACAUAGGCUACUAACUCUGGUGGUUGUAGAGCCCAAAUGCGAUGUGUUUUACAAAAUUGAAUCUGCCUUUUGAGAUGAGUUUUGACACGUUGAAGUGGUUUAAGAAUGUUCAGGAGGAACGGUCUAAGUAAGGUACUCAUGAUUAAAAAUGAUAAGAGAAAACUUAAUAGUUAAACAAACACACUUAUGCAAAAAUAAUUUCAAUUAGCAAAAGAAUAAUAAAAAGAAAGAAAGAAAAAUCAAAUCAACGAAAAGAAAAAAAAAUCAAUUCAAAUCUGGUGGGUCACUCAAAUUUAUUUCGGUGUCUUCUCCAUGUGGUUGGUACUCUAGAUAUGGCUUUAAUCUUUGACCAUUAACUUUAAACGUGACACCGUUCUUUGGGUCCUUAAUUUCAAUUGCCCCAUGUGGAAAAACAGUAUGAACAAUAAAGGGACCAGACCAUCGAGAGCGUAACUUACCUGGGAAUAGGUGCAAGCGAGAAUUGAAUAAAAGCACUUUCUGACCUGGAGUGAACGAUUUUCUCAUAAUGUGCUUGUCAUGAAAGACUUUCAUUCGUUGCUUGUAAAUCUUGGCAUUUUCGUAUGCAUCAUUGCGAAUUUCUUCAAGUUCUGCCAGUUGUAAUCUUCUUUCUGAGCUGGCUUGCUGCAUGUCAAAGUUGAAUUUCUUGAUGGCCCAAUAUGCACGAUGCUCGAGUUCCACAGGUAGGUGGCAAGCUUUUCCAUACACUAGCCUGUAGGGUGACAUCCCAAUCGGGGUCUUGAAAGCCGUUCUAUAUGCCCAUAAUGCAUCAUCAAGUCUUAAUGACCAAUCUUUUCUGUCUGGCCUCACCGUCUUUUCUAAUAUGUGCUUUAUUUCUCGAUUGGAGAUCUCAACUUGGCCACUGGUUUGCGGAUGAUACGGGGUCGCCACUUUGUGUGUGAUUGAAUACUUUGUCAAAAGAGCUUUGAAUGCUUUGUUACAAAAGUGGGCACCACCAUCACUGAUUAUCGCUCGAGGGAAUCCAAAGCGUGAAACAAUGUUGCUUUUCAAAAAUCCUAUCACCACUUUGUGAUCAUUGGUUCUGCAUGGAAUUGCUUCUACCCAUUUCGAUACGUAGUCAACACCAACCAAUAUGUAUUGAUGGCCAAAAGAAGGGGGAAAGGGUCCCAUGAAGUCGAUACCCCAUACGUCAAAAAUCUCAACCACUAAAAUUGGAUUUAGUGGCAUCAUGUUCCUUCGUGUAAUGCUCCCCAUUCGUUGACACCUAUCACAUGAAGAACAGAAAGUGUAAGCAUCUCGAAAUAUAGUUGGCCAAUAGAAACCACAUUGUAAAACUUUAGUCGCUGUUUUCUUAGCACUGAAAUGGCCUCCACAAGCUUGUUCAUGGCAGAAUGAAAGGAUAUUCUGAAUUUCACUUUCAGGGACACAUCGUCUAACAAUUUGGUCUGCACAAUACUUGAACAAAUAUGGGUCAUCCCAAAAGAAAUUCUUUAUUUCUGCAAAGAAUUUAGCCUUGUCUUGCUUGGUCCAAUGCUCUGGAAGUUUACCUGUAACAAGAUAAUUAACUAUAUCAGCAUACCAAGGUAAUACUUCCACAUUCAUUAAUUGUUCAUCUGGAAAUGACUCAUUUAAUGUUAAUGGCUCUGUAAUUGUGUCAAAAUGGAGACGAGAGAGGUGGUCCGCCACAACAUUUUCUGUGCCUUUCUUAUCUUUGAAUUCCAAGUCAAAUUCCUGCAAAAGUAACACCCAACGAAUUAGUCUAGCUUUUGCAUCUUUCUUUGUGAGAAGAUAUUUAAGAGCAGCAUGAUCUGUGAAUAUAAUUAUUUUACAACCAAUGAGAUAAGAUCGAAAUUUUUCAAUGCAAACACUACUGCUAGCAUUUCUUUUUCAGUAGUUGAAUAGUUCAACUGUGCAUCAUUCAAUGUCAUACUAGCAUAGUAAAUAACAUGGGGAAUUCGAUCAACUCUUUGUCCUAAUACUGCUCCUACUGCAUAAUCAGAUGCAUCACACAUGAGCUCAAAUGGUAAGCUCCAGUUUGGGGCCUGAAUGAUGGGUGAUGAUGUCAACAACUGCUUUAAUUUUUCAAAAGCCAUAAGACAUGAAUCAUUAAAGAUAAAAGGUACAUCCUUAGCAAGUAAAUUGCAUAAGGGUCUAGAAACUUUGCUAAAAUCUUUAAUGAAACGUCUAUAGAAACCAGCAUGCCCAAGGAAAGAUCUUACUUCUCUGACUGUUUUGGGUGGAGGAAGAUUAGAAAUGAGAUCCACCUUGGCUUUGUCAACCUCAAUACCUUUGCUCGAAAUGAUGUGACCGAGAACAAUACCUUGUUUUACCAUAAAAUGGCACUUCUCCCAAUUUAAGACUAAGUUCUUCUCGAUACAUCUCUGCAGAACUAGCGUUAGAUGAUGUAAACAUUGAUCAAACGAGUCACCAAAGACAGAAAAAUCAUCCAUAAAGACUUCAAGGAAUCGUUCAACCAUAUCAGAAAAAAUGCUCAACAUGCAUCGUUGAAAUGUAGCAGGUGCAUUACAUAAUCCAAAUGGCAUUCUCCUAUAUGCAAAAGUGCCAAAAGGGCAAGUGAAAGUAGUUUUCUCUUGAUCUUUUGGUGCUAUGGGAAUCUGAUUAUAUCCUGAGUAGCCAUCUAGAAAGCAAUAAAAUUCAUGGCCUGCUAAUCUAUCAAGCAUUUGAUCAAUAAAUGGUAAAGGAAAAUGGUCUUUACGUGUGACAGAAUUCAACUUUCUAUAAUCAAUGCAUACACGCCAUCCUGUAGUUACUCUAGUUGGUAUCAAUUCAUUAUCAGCAUUGGUAACUACUGUGACUCCUGACUUUUUGGGGACAACUUGUACAGGACUGACCCAUGAACUAUCAGAAAUUGGGUAAAUGAUACCUGCGUCUAAUAGCUUAAGGACUUCAGUUCUAACAACUUCUUUCAUAUUAGGAUUUAACCGACGUUGCAUUUCCCUAGUAGAUUUAGCAUUUUCAUCAAGGUGAAUGUAAUGCAUGCAGUCUACUGGGUUUAUACCUUUUAUGUCUGCUAUGGUCCAUCCUAAUGCUCCUUUGUGCUCUUUUAAAACAUCCAACAACUUACCUUUUUGUUCGUCAUUUAGGGAUGAUGAGAUGAUUACCGGCAGAGUACUUUCUUCUCCCAAAAAUGCAUAUUCCAAUGUGUUGGGCAAUGGUUUGAGCUCGAGUUUCGGUGGUGAUUCUGAUGAUGGGAUGAGUUUCUUCUCUGAUGGUGCUAGUUGUUCAACUCUUGACUUCCAUUUAUUAGUGUCCAUGGAUGGUGCUGAGUCAAGUAGGGCGUUGACCUCAUCGACCGAUCUGUCAAUAUCAAAAUCCAAACCAAAGUGAGUUAAACAUGUUUGUAAAGGAUCAUCACUAAGGUUUGAAAGAAAAGUAUUAUCAACUAUUGUUUCUAUUAAAUCCACAUCAACAAUUCCAUCAUCUGCACUGUGAGGUUGUUUGGCAAUGUUGAAAAUGUUUAGCUCCAUAGUCAUGUUGCCGAAGGACAACUGCAUAUUUCCAGUCCUGCAUUGAAUGUGAGCAUCCGCAGUUGCCAAGAAAGGUCGGCCUAGAAUAAUGGGGAUGUGCUUCCUUGAAUCCUGUAUUGGUUGAGUGUCAAUUACAAUGAAAUCAACAGGAAAAUAAAACUUGUCUACCUGGAUAAGCACGUCCUCCACAAUACCACGAGGUAUUUUCGUGGACCGAUCUGCAAGCUGUAACACCACUGGAGUUGGGUGUAAUUCUCCCAGUCCAAGUUUCACGAAAUACAGAGUAAGGCAACAAAUUUACACUAGCUCCUAAAUCCAACAAAGCAUUCUCAAUUGUGUGGUUCCCUAUACUACAUGAGAUAGUGGGGGAGCCUGGGUCUUUGCAUUUUAAAGGAAUUUUAUGUUGGAGUAUAGAACUAACGUUUUCUGUUAAAAAUGCCUUCUUUUGAACAUGCAUAUUUCUCUUUUUAGUACAAAGGUCUUUAAGAAACUUGGCAUAAGAUGGAACUUGUUUAAUAGCAUCAAGUAAAGGGAUGUUAACACUUACCUGUUUGAAGAUUUCGAGAAUCUCACCUGUGGAUUUUCCCUUCUUUCCUUUCAGCUAACCUCUGAGGAAAUGGAGCUUUGGAACGUAUUCUCGUGGGUUGGUUUCUUCUUUUUCCUCCGGUGGUGAGUCCUCAACAUUCACAGGUACAAUUUGAUUUUCUUUUGUCACCGGCAUCUCCACUUUGUUGUCGACUUCCUUUCCUUUUCGCAAGGUCAUGACUGCUUUGACCUCUCCAUGCUGCUGUGGUGAACUGGUACUUGCUUCAUGUACUCCUUUAGGAUUAGGCACUGGUUGACUUGGAAAUUUACCUUUCUCAACAGUCAUUGCCAAGGUCUGAACUGAAGAAGCAAGUUGUCCCACCAUCUUCUCGAGGCUUGAAACUGAUUGGGCUUGUGAGUUGAAGCCUGCUCUCAACUCAUUUCGUAGUCCAUCAAUGGUGCGGUUCUGUUGCUCAAUCGUGGAGUGAGUAACAUUCUUGAAAUUCUGGAAUGAAUCCUCCCAUGGUCUGGGUUGAGAGUAGUUCUGGUUCUGAUUGUAUGGUCUAAAUGGGGGCUGAGAGGCUUGAGGAUUUUGAGGAAUUGUUGCAUUGGUGGAGCUGGAGCUGCUGGUCCAUUCUGUUGGAAUCCUUGAGACCAUGAAAAAUUGGGGUGGUCUCUCCAUCCAGGGUUAUAUGUGUUGGAGUAUGGGUUGUAAUUCGAUGGUUUUCUCAUUACACCUAUGGCAUUGGCUUGAUCUGAGUAUGAGUCAUGGUCAUGUGGUUCUGUUGAUUUAGCAGUCGAUAACGAUGCUAUUUGUCGAGCAGAGACCUUCAACCAUCUCCUUGACUUCUUUGAUUCCGAAGUUGACUCGCCAAUGUGAACCUCAUUUACUCCUUAAUUCUUCUAGUAUUCCUGAGUGAUCGACUCCGUUGUUGGGAAUUAUCCGCUUGUCGCUGGAAGAAUUCCCAAAUCUCUGAUGCACUUUUUGACAUUAGCUCUCCUCCACUUGUUGCCAUUAGCCAUUCUUGCACAUUCGGCAAUAAUCCCUCCAAAAAGUAUUGGCAUUGGUGCCAUUUUCUCGUACCCAUGAUGUGGACACUUCAAGAGUAGCCCAUUGAAUCGCUCCCAGUUUCGAAAAACUGCUCGUCCUCUCUUUGUGUAAACUCUGAAAUUUCCCUGCGAAUAGCAUUGGUUUUAUGCACUGGGAAAUAUUUAUUCAAAAAUUUCGUUACCAUUUGUUCCCAUGAUGCAAUGCUAUUAGCAGGCAAAGUAUUUAACCAUGAACGAGCUCUAUCCUUUAAAGAAAAUGGGAAUAAUCUAAGUUUAACAUCAUCGUCUGAAAAAUUCUCAUAUUUAAAAGUUUGACAAAUGGCAUGAAAAUCAUUCAGAUGAUUAUAUGGGUCCUCAUUUUCUAAGCCAUAGAAUGUGGGGAGACAAUUUAGCACACUAGGUUUUAAUUCAAAACUCCUAGCAGCUACAUUUGGGUAUCUUAUGCAUGAUGUGCUCAAAUUAGCUAAGGGACUAAAAUAGUCCUUAAAUGGCCUCUCCUGUGGUGCUUGUAAAUCCAUUCCAAUUAUUUUUAAUGUGUUUGUGUGUGCGAAGUGUUUUUUCUAAUUCAAGGUCUAUAGGUUCAAGAUUAGGUAAUAAUGACCUACGACCAUGCAUGCAAAAUAAAUAAAAUAAAAAUAAAGAUGGGAACAAAACAAAUAAAAAUAAAGAAGAGGGAGAAAUUACGAUACUAACCUUAUUGCGCUAUUACAACCUUUCUAUAAAAAUACACAAAAACAAAUACGUGAAAUAAAUUAACUAAAAAUUAAAUUAAUAAAAUAAACAAAAAUUACAAAGAAAAAAAAUAAAUUGAAAAUUAAAUUACAGAAUUUUAAAGAAGAGAAAAAAGAAAAGAAAUACUAACCUUUAAAUGUAGAUUCACUUUUUUUUUUUUUUUUUUUUAAUAAAAAAAAUACAAGAAAACAAAUAAAAGAAAUUAUUCACAAAAAAUUAAUUCUAUGAAUUAAAAUUACUUACCUCCCCGGCAACGGCGCCAAAAACUUGUUGUGCAAAUUUUAAUGUACUCGCAAGCGCACGAAUCUAUUGUAGUAUAGACUAAUGGUGACGAGUGUCGAUCCCACGAGGAGGUGGAUUUUAAUUGUGUAUAGAAUUAAUUUUGUAAAUGGGUGGUUGGAUUUGUGGUGGAAGUGAUUUGAAUAUGCUAAAAUUAAAUUAAAAUGGCGAAAUAAAUCUAAAAUUGGAAUUGAAAUGGCGAGAAUAAAUUGAAGAGAAAUCUAUUGAAAUGACGUACUUGGGUAUCUGGAUCCGUAUCAACAUGCAUCAUGGGCUAAAUAAUCCGUAUUAAUGCCAAUUAAAUCAUGAGGGGGGAAUCCACACCUCAUGAACCACGCUCUAAUCAAUAUGGUGCUAAGGGCUUAUCGUGCCAAAUAAUAAUAACCUUAUACUAGAGAGCCGGUGUAACCAAGGCGGUAUCUAGACAAGAUCAGUAUUAUUUGUCGACGAUAAGUCAAAUCAUCCACAAAAACUAGAGGGGAAAAGAAAAUAAAUUUACCAAAUAAAGCCCAUGACACAUGUUGAGACUUCACCUUCAACCCAAGCUUGAAAGAAAAUUAGCCACUCAUAAUUGAACUAGGGGCAAAAUGGGAAUUUAUUAAAAUACGAAGAAAAUACAAGAUGGAGAAGGAAUUACAGAAAAUGGAUCCCAAAAAUGGAUUCAGAGAUAUCAAAUUAGGGGGGGAGGCCCCCUUUUUAUAGAUACAUGGAGUAAAUCAUGGCCAUCGGAUUAAAAACAGUUUGGACGCUCAGGAUUGCGCCACGUCAUCAGUCAACAGUCCACGGUUUGACCACGCGGAUGAACAGUAACACGGUUUGACCCGGAUGAACAGUAACGCGGUUUGGUUGAAAAUAAUCCUGUGUGAUGCAUGCACCGUACGCGAGAUUUUUCGUCCACUGAUAUGCUGCCACGUCACCAUCAACAGUACAUAAGAAUUUUAGUCCAACAGGAUCGUGACACCUCAUCAGUCAAUGCCACAUCAUCGGUCAAUGCCACGUCAUCGAUCCGUCUAUGUGAACAGUGUCGUGAACAGUAACGUAGACAGUACCGUACACGUGAAUAGUACCGUACAUGUGAAUAGUGCCAUUUUUCCUUUUAUGCUCCUCCUAAGGUUUUCGACCGUCCUGAGUUCAAAAGUGAUGUCCGUUUUGCCGUCUGAUCUCUCCUUUAUUGUGAAAUGACUAUAAUGCCCCUAAAAUACAUAAAAUACUUAAUUAAAAUAAACACACGUAAUUAAUCACAAGAAGGUUAAAUACAUAAAAGUAAGGGUUGUUAGUAAGACUUGAAAUGUAAAAUGACGGUUUUCUCCUUUAUAAAUAUAGCAUUUUCUAACACUCAACACACCCCCCAACCAGCUUAUUGCUAGUCCCUAGCAAAUAAAGCGAAAACAAAAUUCAAAUUCAAAAUGAUUUUUUUUUUUUUUUUUUAGAAACACUCGUGUUUAUUCAAUCAGAUUAAUGAUAGCAAUCAAUAAAAGUAUAAGCAUUAUCUCCAGUCUAAAGCAACAUCACACCCACAUCAACCAUCCACAUGAAUUAGCCCAGUAGACUUUGUUAUAGCUACUUUUCAAGAAUGACAUGUCAAACCCCAAAAUCUCACUGGAAGUAGUGACACUCUCACAAAGAAAUUAAAACCCAAUAAACAUAGUCACUCCAAUGAAUGGUAAUUGAGAGAGAAAAUAAUAAAGAAAUGAUAUCACAUGCUCUCACCAAGAUGAAAUAAAUAUGCCCUCAGCUUAGAAAUAAUACGAUCUCAAGUCAAAUAAAAUGUUAGUCAACCCACUUUAUUUAUCUUUUUUUUUUUUAUUAUGCAUCACUACAUCUUUUUAGCCCAUAUAACUAGCUUCUACUUCAAACUAUAGUUCCCUAAAAUCAAGAAGGACUUUUAUUAGGACGUAACGUAGGCUAGGGAUAUGGCUAACAAAGAAGGGAAAUAAGGAAAACAAAGUGUAUGUUUGAGAAAAAUGCAGAGAAAUUUUUUUUUUUUUUUUGGAAGUUGCAAGGUGGAUUUCACCUAUUAUUGUUAUUUUUAUUCUUUUGAAACACACUUUUUUUUUUUUUUUUUUUUUUUUUUUUUUUUUUUUUUGCUAGGCAUAACUUCACUGCAAAAUAAUUAUUUACAUUUUCUCAAACAUAAAUAGGUGAUGGAAUUUGUAAGAUAUUGGGUAAUACUCCAAAUCGGAGUGGGUCAAGAUGAUAAGUUAAACAAAAAAAAGUUUUUUUUUUUUUUUAAAAGGCUCAAAGGGGUAACUAUGGAUAUUUAUAAAGGGAUGGCUAGAAAGGCUCAAACGGAUCAAAGAUGGCCUUUCCAUCGUCUUUUAGGGCUCUAAAUAAUUCCAUAUCUACUAGUUAGAUGGGCCUCCCAAUGUAGCAACACACACUUUUUUUUUUUUUUUUUUUAAGGCUUAACUCAAAGAAAUCUAGAGAUCGUGUAUACAAUAAUAAACUGUAAGCAUUAUAAAGAAUGGGCAAAAGGGUUACUCUCCAAAAAAAUGAUAGGCUCAAAACUCACUUGGUACUUAUUAUAUGACAUGUUCAUUCCUUCAAGCAACUCAUAUUUGUCUCCGACAUCAACAUGUAGAGUAGCAAACAUAAUGUAACAUCACUUAAGACCAAAGAUAAUACAAAUACUAAAAUUUUGAAAUUAAUCAUGUCAUCUAAAGUUAAAACAAAUCACACAAUUUUUUUUUUUUUUUUUUAAACAACAUUCUACCCCCAACCUAUUCUAAACAUGAAAGGAAAAUAUGCAUGCAGAAAUGUGAAAAUGAUGCAUAAAAACUUAAUUAGAAAAGUUACAGUAAAUAAUAGAAAAAGAAAAUGAAAUUUUGUUUUUUUUUUUUUAUUUUUUUUUUAAACGAUGAAGAUGCGUUUCUAGAGGCACUACACUCCAUAUUCAGCCAUCUUCGACUCAAAAGUUGGAAAAUAUAUAUUUAUAAGGAGAAAUUAAAAAGAAGAAGAAAAAUGAACAUCAAAACAUAAUAAAGAAAAAGAAAAUGUUUGAAUUUUUUUGUUUUUUUUUAGUUUUUUUAGUUUUUUAAUUUUUUUUUUUUUUUAAACGAUGAAGAUGCGUUUCUAGAGUCACUACACUCCAUAUUCAGCCAUCUUCAACACAAAAAGUUAGCAACAGUUAGUUUCUACAACAAAAAAUCAGUAAAAAACUUAACCAAGAUUCCACAAUUGUCGACUAUUCCCUCCCCCAACCAGAACGAAACAUUGUCCUCAAUGUUUAAAAAUAAAAAAGACAAACACGAAUAUUUACAGCGGAGAGUUAAAUCUAAUUUGUACUUCUUACUGCGGCUACUGUUACCAUCAUUAUUUGGUCGCUCCAACACAAAGGUCCAGGGGUCUGGCUCCGGUUUAUAAGCUUGUAACAUAUCAAGUAGCUCAUUAGCAGUGUGAGCACAAAUAAAAAAGUUUUUUACAUUAGAAGGAAUGAAAUAGUUUUUUAUUGCAUGGUUAAGAAAUGCGAUAAAGCCAUCAUAAAAGUUAUUGACAUUUAACAAACCGAUGGGUUUCUGGUGGAUGUGCAGAUGGGCCAAGAUGCUAGUGUCAUAAGUGCCUCUAGUGUUGCAAGAUCUCCUGAAGGAAAAUAAAAGCAUCAGCAUGAUUAAGCAUUUCAGUUAUUCUUUCUUGCAUACCUGAGACGACUUAACUCUUCUCCAGUUGAUGAGUCAGACGAACUGCCCAAUGGUUUUAGGACUCUUGGGAUGAUGCCUAACACUUGACUUCCUCUGAUAAAAGCGCUUCUGAGACCAUUUUUGAUAACCUCGGUUACCUCUCCAUACACCAAAUGUAAUUUUCUCGCUGCUAUGCUUCGACCAAGAUCUAUGCUGCCUCCACGAACUCUUUAUGUUUGCCAUAGGUAAAUCCAGAAAGCACACAAAUGUUCUUGAAUUGUCUAUUGGGAGUAGCUGCCAUUGUGAUACUUCUCAAAAAUAAUUUGUGAGUGCUUGACAAAAGAUAAAUCACAUUUAAAAUCUUGGUGACAAUGGAUCACAGCUGUGAAUGAGGUAACAUGUCAGUGUCAAAUAACGCGUAAAGCACGUGGCUCGCGAGUCAAAAAGGAAACAGUAAAAAGGAAAAAGCAAACAGUAAUAAAAUUAUUAAAGACAAUAAUGCAAACAAUAAAACAACAGUGAAAUGAAAAAAUAACAGUAAAGUAAAGGAUAUUUACACGUAGUUGCGACUGUGGCUCACAUCUUCCUCUGGUUUUACGUCCAGAAACGGCUUGAACGCCCUCUUGGGUCGAGGAUGGGCUUCCCAUCCAGUUUUCUUAUAAACUGGCAAACAGGGUCGUUUAUAGUCAGAUUCCCGAGACUAUAUCGUGCAUGCUCUUUCUGGAAUAAUGGCCAUAACUGGAGAAUCGCUCCUUGCACAUAUCCACUGGGAUGCGUUUCAAGAGACAAAAGGAUAUCAUCCAAUGACUCCUUAUUCAAGCCAUCCCUAAUGAAUUGAAUCUUAUCUUCCCUGUUAUCAGACACCAUUCCUAAAGAACAUGGGUUUCUAUCGCAACUCAUUCUGGCACACAACAGAAAUUCUUCGAGCUCGUCGUUUUCUUGCAUAAUUUCCUUUACCACAACCAGGCAUGUAUGCAAUAAAUUUAGGAGGUAACUCACCUGCCAAUCGUACUUUAGCCUCGAUUAACCAACGGAUGUCUGCAGGUAUGUUAUUCUCAUGAGCAAUCGCAUGCGUUCAGACCGGGCUUUAUAGAUCGUAAGGAGGGCAUUCUGAGGAAGUGAAGGGAAUCGCUUGUGAAGCUUCGCUAGAAUCUCGUUUCUGUCCAUACUUCGCCUCAGAAUAUCAGUUAUUAUGGGAAACUGAAGUAACCGACUUGAUUGUCACGGAGUACCGUUAUCCGCCACUUCACCGGGGUAACAAACUAAAGCACACAAACAGAAAAACAAAAAACACAAAAGAAAAUUAAAAUCGUCCUCUUAUUGAAUUUACCUCAAGCUCCAACUGGAUGUCGUAAACACUUCUCUCAAUGUCUCUGAGUUGGCGUUCUAAACCCUCAACAUAGGCUACUAACUCUGGUGGUUGUAGAGCCCAAAUGCGAUGUGUUUUACAAAAUUGAAUCUGCCUUUUGAGAUGAGUUUUGACACGUUGAAGUGGUUUAAGAAUGUUCAGGAGGAACGGUCUAAGUAAGGUACUCAUGAUUAAAAAUGAUAAGAGAAAACUUAAUAGUAAAAAAACACACUUAUGCAAAAAUAAACACACUUAUGCAAAAACAAUUUCAAUUAGCAAAGAAUAAUAAUAAAAAGAAAUAAAGAAAAUCAAAUUAACGAAAAGAGAAAAAAAAAUCAAUUCAAAUUUAGUGGGUCACUCAAAUUUAUUUCGAUGUUUUCUCCAUGUGGUUGGUACUCUAGAUAUGGCUUUAAUCUUUGACCAUUAACUUUAUACGUGACACCGUUCUUUGGGUCCUUAAUUUCAAUUGCCCCAUGUGGAAAAACAGUAUGUACAAUAAAUGGGCCAGACCAACGAGAGCGUAACUUACCUGGGAAUAGGUGCAAGCGAGAAUUGAAUAAAAGCACUUUCUGACCUGGAGUGAACGAUUUUCUCAUAAUUUGCUUAUCAUGGAAGACUUUCAUUCGUUGCUUGUAAAUCUUGGCAUUUUCGUAUGCAUCAUUGCGAAUUUCUUCAAGUUCUGCCAGCUGUAAUCUUCUUUCUGAGCUGGCUUGCUGCAUGUCAAAGUUGAAUUUCUUGAUGGCCCAAUAUGCACGAUGCUCGAGUUCCACAGGUAGGUGGCAAGCUUUUCCAUACACUAGCCUGUAGGGUGACAUCCCAAUCGGGGUCUUGAAAGCCGUUCUAUAUGCCCAUAAUGCAUCAUCAAGUCGUAAUGACCAAUCUUUCCUGUCUGGCCUCACCGUCUUUUCUAAUAUGUGCUUUAUUUCUCGAUUGGAGAUCUCAACUUGGCCACUGGUUUGCGGAUGAUACGGGGUCGCCACUUUGUGUGUGAUUGAAUACUUUGUCAAAAGAGCCUUGAAUGCUUUGUUACAAAAGUGGGCACCACCAUCACUGAUUAUCGCUCGAGGGAAUCCAAAGCGCGAAACAAUAUUGCUUUUCAAAAAUCCUAUCACCACUUUGUGAUCAUUGGUUCUGCAUGGAAUUGCUUCCACCCAUUUCGAUACGUAGUCAACACCAACCAAUAUGUAUUGAUGGCCAAAAGAAGGGGGAAAGGGUCCCAUGAAGUCGAUACCCCAUACGUCAAAAAUCUCAACCACUAAAAUUGGAUUUAGUGGCAUCAUGUUCCUUCGUGUAAUGCUCCCCAUUCGUUGACACCUAUCACAUGAAGAACAGAAAGUGUAAGCAUCUCGAAAUAUAGUUGGCCAAUAGAAACCACAUUGUAAAACUUUAGUCGCUGUUUUCUUAGCACUGAAAUGGCCUCCACAAGCUUGUUCAUGGCAGAAUGAAAGGAUAUUCUGAAUUUCACUUUCAGGGACACAUCGUCUAACAAUUUGGUCUGCACAAUACUUGAACAAAUAUGGGUCAUCCCAAAAGAAAUUCUUUAUUUCCGCAAAGAAUUUAGCCUUGUCUUGCUUGGUCCAAUGCUCUGGAAGCUUACCUGUAACAAGAUAAUUAACUAUAUCAGCAUACCAAGGUAAUACUUCCACACUCAUUAAUUGUUCAUCUGGAAAUGACUCAUUUAAUAUUAAUGGCUCUGUAAUUGUGUCAAAAUGGAGACGAGAGAGGUGGUCCGCCACAACAUUUUCUGUCCCUUUCUUAUCUUUGAAUUCCAAGUCAAAUUCUGCAAAAGUAACACCCAACGAAUUAGUCUAGCUUUUGCAUCUUUCUUUGUGAGAAGAUAUUUAAGAGCAGCAUGAUCUGUGAAUAUAAUUAUUUUACAACCAAUGAGAUAAGAUCGAAAUUUUUUCCAAUGCAAACACUACUGCUAGCAUUUCUUUUUCAGUAGUUGAAUAAUUCAACUGUGCAUCAUUCAAGGUCAUACUAGCAUAGUAAAUAACGUUGGGAAUUCGAUCAACUCUUUGUCCUAAUACUGCUCCUACUGCAUAAUCAGAUGCAUCACACAUGAGCUCAAAUGGUAAGCUCCAGUUUGGGGCCUGAAUGAUGGGUGAUGAUGUCAACAAUUGCUUUAAUUUUUCAAAAGCCAUAAGACAUGAAUCAUUAAAGAUAAAAGGUACAUCCUUAGCAAGUAAAUUGCAUAAGGGUCUAGAAACUUUGCUAAAAUCUUUAAUGAAACGUCUAUAGAAACCAGCAUGCCCAAGGAAAGAUCUUACUUCUCUGACUGUUUUAGGUGGAGGAAGAUUAGAAAUGAGAUCCACCUUGGCUUUGUCAACCUCAAUACCUUUGCUCGAAAUGAUGUGACCGAGAACAAUACCUUGUUUUACCAUAAAAUGGCACUUCUCCCAAUUUAAGACUAAGCUCUUCUCGGUACAUCUCUGCAGAACUAGCGUUAGAUGAUGUAAACAUUGAUCAAACGAGUCACCAAAGACAGAAAAAUCAUCCAUAAAGACUUCAAGGAAUCGUUCAACCAUAUCAGAAAAAAUGCUCAACAUGCAUCGUUGAAAUGUAGCAGGUGCAUUACAUAAUCCAAAUGGCAUUCUCCUAUAUGCAAAUGUGCCAAAGGGCAAGUGAAAGUAGUUUUCUCUUGAUCUUUUGGUGCUAUGGGAAUCUGAUUAUAUCCUGAGUAGCCAUCUAGAAAGCAAUAAAAUUCAUGGCCUGCUAAUCUAUCAAGCAUUUGAUCAAUAAAUGGUAAAGGAAAAUGGUCUUUACGUGUGACAGAAUUCAACUUUCUAUAAUCAAUGCAUACACGCCAUCCUGUAGUUACUCUAGUUGGUAUCAAUUCAUUAUCAGCAUUGGUAACUACUGUGACUCCUGACUUUUUGGGGACAACUUGUACAGGACUGACCCAUGAACUAUCAGAAAUUGGGUAAAUGAUACCUGCAUCUAAUAGCUUAAGGACUUCAGUUCUAACAACUUCUUUCAUGUUAGGAUUUAACCGACGUUGCAUCUCCCUAGUAGUUUUAGCAUUUUCAUCAAGGUGAAUGUAAUGCAUACAGUCUACUGGGUUUAUACCUUUAAUGUCUGCUAUGGUCCAUCCUAAUGCUCCUUUGUGCUCUUUUAAAACAUCCAACAACUUACCUUUUUGUUCGUCAUUUAGGGAUGAUGAGAUGAUUACCGGCAGAGUACUUUCUUCUCCCAAAAAUGCAUAUUCCAGAGUGUUGGGUAAUGGUUUGAGCUCGAGUUUCGGGUGGUGAUUCUGAUGAUGGAAUGAGUUUCUUCUCUGAUGGUGCUAGUUGUUCAACUCUUGACUUCCAUUUAUUAGUGUCCAUGGAUGGUGCUGAGUCAAGCAGGGCGUUGACCUCAUCGACCGAUCUAUCAAUAUCAAAAUCCAAACCAAAGUGAGUUAAGCAUGUCUGUAAAGGAUCAUCACUAAGGUUUGAAAGAAAAGUAUUAUCAACUAUUGUUUCUAUUAAAUCCACAUCAACAAUUCCAUCAUCUGCACUGUGAGGUUGUUUGGCAAUGUUGAAAAUAUUUAGCUCCAUAGUCAUGUUGCCGAAGGACAACUGCAUAUUUCCAGUCCUGCAUUGAAUGUGAGCAUCCGCAGUCGCCAAGAAAGGUCGGCCUAGAAUAAUGGGGAUGUGCUUCCUUGAAUCCUGUAUUGGUUGAGUGUCAAUUACAAUGAAAUCAACAGGAAAAUAAAACUUGUCUACCUGGAUAAGCACGUCCUCCAUAAUACCACGAGGUAUUUUCGUGGACCGAUCUGCAAGCUGUAACACCACUGGAGUUGGGUGUAAUUCUCCAGUCCAAGUUUCACGAAUACUGAAUAAGGCAACAGAUUUACACUAGCUCCUAAAUCCAACAACGCAUUCUCAAUUGUGUGGUUUCCCUAUACUACAUGAGAUAGUGGGGGAGCCUGGGUCUUUGCAUUUUAGAGGAAUUUUAUGUUGGAGUAUAGAACUAACAUUUUCUGUUAAAAAUGCCUUCUUUUGAACAUGCAUAUUUCUCUUUUUAGUACAAAGGUCUUUAAGAAACUUGGCAUAAGAUGGAACUUGUUUAAUAGCAUCAAGUAAAGGGAUGUUAACACUUACCUGUUUGAAGAUUUCGAGAAUCUCACCUGUGGAUUUUCCCUUUUUCCCUUUAGCUAACCUCUGAGGAAAUGGAGCUUUCGGAACGUAUUCUCGUGGGUUGGUUUCUUCUUUCUCCUCCGGUGGUGAGUCUUCAACAUUCACAGGUACAAUUUGAUUUUCUUUUGUCACCGGCAUCUCCACUUUGUUGUCGACUUCCUUUCCUUUUCGCAAGGUCAUGACUGCUUUGACCUCUCCAUGCUGUUGUGGUGAACUGGUACUUGCUUCAUGUACUCCUUUAGGAUUAGGCACUGGUUGACUUGGAAAUUUUCCUUUCUCAACAGUCAUUGCCAAGGUCUGAACUGAAGAAGCAAGUUGUCCCACCAUCUUCUCGAGGCUUGAAACUGAUUGAGCUUGUGAGUUGAAGCCUGCUCUCAACUCAUUUCGUAGUCCAUCAAUGGUGCGGUUCUGUUGCUCAAUCGUGGAGUGAGUAACAUUCUUGAAAUUCUGGAAUGCAUCCUCCCAUGGUCUGGGUUGAGAGUAGUUCUGGUUCUGAUUGUAUGGUCUGAAUGGUGGCUGAGAGGCUUGAGGAUUUUGAGGAAUUUGUUGCAUUGGUGGAGCUGGAGCUGCUGGUCCAUUCUGUUGGAAUCCUUGAGACCAUGAAAUAUUGGGGUGGUCUCUCCAUCCAGGGUUAUAUGUGUUGGAGUAUGGGUUGUAAUUCGAUGGUUUUCUCAUUACACCUAUGGCAUUGGCUUGAUCGGAGUAUGAGUCAUGGUCAUGUGGUUCUGUUGAUUUAGCAGUCGAUAACGAUGCUAUUUGUCGAGCGAGACCUUCAACCAUCUCCUUGACUUCUUUGAUUCCCGAAGUUGACUCGCCAAUUUGAACCUCAUUUACUCCCUUAAUUCUUCUAGUAUUCCUUAGUGAUCGACUCCGUUGUUGGGAAUUAUCCGCUUGUCGUUGGAAGAAUUCCCAAAUUUCUGAUGCACUUUUUGACAUUAGCUCUCCUCCACUUGUUGCCAUUAGCCAUUCUUGCACAUUCGGUAGUAAUCCCUCCAAAAAGUAUUGGCAUUGGUGCCAUUUUUCGUACCAUGAUGUGGACACUUCAAGAGUAGCCCAUUGAAUCGCUCCCAAGUUUCGAAAAACUGCUCGUCCUCUCUUUGUGUAAACUCUGAAAUUUCCCUGCGAAUAGAAUUGGUUUUAUGCUGGGAAAUUUUAUUCAAAAAUUUAGUUACCAUUUGUUCCCAUGAUGAAAUGCUAUUAGCAGGCAACGUAUUUAACCAUGAACGAGCUCUAUCCUUUAAAGAAAAUGGGAAUAGUCUGAGUUUAACAUCAUCGUCUGAAAAAUUUUCAUAUUUAAAAGUUUGACAAAUGGUAUGAAAAUCAUUCAGAUGAUUAUAUGGGUCCUCAUUUUCUAAGCCAUAGAAUGUGGGGAGACAUUUAGCACACUAGGUUUUAGUUCAAAGUUCCUAGCAGCUACAUUUGGGUAUCUAAUACAUGAUGUGCUUAAAUUAGCUAAGGGACUAAAAUAGUCCUUAAAUGGCCUCUCCUGUGGUGCUUGUAAAUCCAUUCCAAUUUUUUUUUAAUGUGUUUUUGUGUGCGAAGUGUUUUUUCUAAUUCAAGGUCUAUAGGUUCAAGAUUAGGUAAUAAUGACCUACGACCAUGCAUGCAAAAUAAAAUGAAAUAAAAAAAAGAUGCAAACAAAACAAAAAUAAAGAUGGGAACAAAACAAAUUAAAAUAAAUAAGAGGGAGAAAUUACGAUACUAACCUUAUUGCGCUAUUACAACCUUUCUAUAAAAAUACACAAAAACAAAUACGUGAAAUAAAUUAACUAAAAAUUAAAUUAAUAAAAUAACAAAAAUUACAAAGAAAAAAAAUAAAUUGAAAAUUAAAUUACAGAAUUUUAAAGAAGAAAAAAGAAAGAAAUACUAACCUUUAAAUGUAGAUUUACUCUUUUUUUUUCUUUUUUUUUUUAAUAAGAAAAAAAAAUACAAGAAAACAAAUAAAAGAAAUUAUUCACAAAAAUUAAUUUUAUGAAUUAAAAUUACUUACCUCCCCGGCAACGGCGCCAAAAACUUGUUGUGCAAAUUUUAAUGUACUCGCAAGCGCACGAAUCUAUUGUAAUAUAGACUAAUGGUGACGAGUGUCGAUCCCACGAGGAGGUGGAUUUUAAUUGUGUAUAAAAUUAAUUUUGUAAAUGGGUGAUUGGAUUUGUGGUGGAAAUGAUUUGGAAUAUGCUAAAACUUAAAUUAAAAUGGCGAGAAUAAAUUGAAGAGAAUUCUAUUGAAAUGACGUACUUGGGUAUCUGGAUCCGUAUCAACAUGCAUCAUGGGCUAAAUAUUCCUUAUUAAUACCAAUUAAAUCAUGAGGGGGGAAUCCACACUCAUGAACCACGCUCUAAUCAAUAUGGUGCUAAGGGCUUUAUCGUGCCAAAUAAUAUAACCUUAUACCAGAGAGCCGGUGUAACCAAGGCGGUAUCUAGACAAGAUCAGUAUUAUUUGUCGACGAUAAGUCAAAUCAUCCACAAAAACUAGAGGGGAAAAGAAAAUAAAUUUACCAAAUAAAGCCCAUGACACAUGUUGAGACUUCACCUUCAACCCAAGCUUGAAAAGAAAUUAGCUACUCAUAAUUGAACUAGGGGCAAAAAGGGAAUUUAUUAAAAUACAAAGAAAAUACAAGAUGGAGAAGGAAUUACAGAAAAUGGAUCCCAAAAAUGGAUUCAGAGAUAUCAAAUUCGGGGGGAGAGGCCCCCUUUUUAUAGAUACAUGGAGUAAAUCAUGGCCAUCGGAUUAAAAACAGUUUGGACGCUCAGGAUUGCGCCACGUCAUCAGUCAACAGUCCACGGUUUGACCACGCGGAUGAACAGUAACACGGUUUGACCCGGAUGAACAGUAACGCGGUUUGGUUGAAAAUAAUCCUGUGUGAUGCAUGCACCGUACACGAGAUUUUUCGUCCACUGAUAUGCUGCCACGUCACCAUUAACAGUACAUAAGAAUUUUAGCCCAACAGGAUCGUGACACCUCAUCAGUCAAUGCCACAUCAUCGGUCAAUGCCACGUCAUCGGUCAAUGCCACGUCAUCGAUCCGUCUAUGUGAACAGUGUCGUGAACAGUAACGUAGACAGUACCGUACGUGAAUAGUACCGUACAUGUGAAUAGUGCCAUUUUUCCUUUUAUGCUCCUCCUAAGGUUUUCGACCGUCCUGAGUUCAAAAGUGAUGUCCGUUUUGCCGUCUGAUCUCUCCUUUAUUGUGAAAUGACUAUACUGCCCCUAAAAUACAUAAAAUACUUAAUUAAAAUAACACACACGUAAUUACAUCACAAGAAGGUUAAAUACAUAAAAGUAAGGGUUGUUAGUAAGACUUGAAAUGUAAAAUGACGGUUUUCUCCUUUAUAAAUAUGUAUUUUCUAACACUCAACACACCCCCCAACCAGCUUAUUGCUAGUCCCUAGCAAAUAAAGCGAAAACAAAAUUCAAAUUCAAAAUGAUUUUUUUUUUUUUUUUUUUUAGAAACACUCGUGUUUAUUCAAUCAGAUUAAUGAUAGCAAUCAAAUAAAAGUAUAAGCAUUAUCUCCAGUCUAAAGCAACAUCACACCCACAUCAACCAUCCACAUGAAUUAGCCCAGUAGACUUUGUUAUAGCUACUUUCAAGAAUGACAUGUCAAACCCCAAAAUCUCACUGGAAGUAGUGACACUCUCACAAAGAAAUUAAAACCCAAUAAACAUAGUCACUCCAAUGAAUGGUAAUUGAGAGAGAAAAUAAUAAAGAAAUGAUAUCACAUGCUCUCACCAAGAUUAAAUAAAUAUGCCCUCAGCUUAGAAAUAAUACGAUCUCAAGUCAAAUAAAAUGUUAGUCAACCCACUUUAUUUAUCUUUUUUUUUUUUAAUUAUGCAUCACUACAUCUUUUUAGCCCAUAUAACUAGCUUCUACUUCAAACUAUAGUUCCCUAAAAUCAAGAAGGACUUUUAUUAGGACGUAACGUAGGCUAGGGAUAUGGCUAACAAAGAAGGGAAAUAAGGAAAACAAAGUGUAUGUUUGAGAAAAAUGCAGAGAAUAUUUUUUUUUUUUUUUUUGGAAGUUGCAAGGUGGAUUUCACCUAUUAUUGUUAUUUUUAUUCUUUUGAAACAACAAUUUUUUUUUUUUUUUUUUUUUUUCAGCAACAACAAUUUUUUCUUUUUUUUUUUUUGAACUAGGCAUAACUUCACUAUGCAAAAUGUUUAUUUACAUUUUUCUCAAACAUAAAUAGGUGAUGGAAUUUGUAAGAUAUUGGGUAAUACUCCAAAUCGGAGUGGGUCAAGAUGAUAAGUUAAACAAAGAAAAGUUUUUUUUUUUUUUUAUUUAAAAGGCUCAAAUGGGUUAACUAUGGAUACUUGAUAAGAGGGAUGGCUAGAAAGGCUCAAACGGAUCAAAGAUGGCCUUUCCAUCGUCUUUUAGGGCUCUAAAUAAUCAUCCAUAUCUACUAGUUAGAUGGGCCUCCCAAUGUAGCAACACACACAUUUUUUUUUUUUUUUUUUUUUAAGGCUUAACUCAAAAGAAAUCUAGAGAUCGUGUAUACAAUAAUAAACUGUUAAGCAUUAUAAAGAAUGGGCAAAAGGGUUACUCUCCAAGAAAAAUGAUAGGCUCAAAAACUCACUUGGUACUUAUUAUGACAUGUUCAUUCCUUCAAGCAACUCAUAUUUGUCUCCGACAUCAACAUGUAGAGUAGCAAACAUAAUGUAACAUCACUUAAGACCAAAGAUAAUACAAAUACUAAAAUUUGAAAUUAAUCAUGUCAUCUAAAGUUAAAACAAAUCACACAAUUUUUUCUUUUUUUUUUUUAAACAACAUUCUACCCCCCAACCUAUUCUAAACAUGAAAGGAAAAUAUGCAUGCAGAAAUGUGAAAAUGAUGCAUAAAAACUAAUUAGAAAAGUUACACGUAAAAUGAUAGAAAACGAAAAUGAAAUUUUGUUUUUUUUUUUUUUAAUUUUUUUUUAAACGAUGAAGAUGUUUCUAGAGGCACUACACUCCAUAUUCAGCUAUCUUCGACUCAAAAGUUGGAAAAUAUAUAUUUAUAAGGAGAAAUUAAAAAGAAGAAGAAAAAUGAACAUCAAAACAUAAUAAAGAAAAAGAAAAUGUUUGAAUUUUUGUUUUUUUUAGUUUUUUAGUUUUUUAAAUUUUUUUUUUUUUUAAACGAUGAAGAUGCGUUUCUAGAGUCACUACACUCCAUAUUCAGCCAUCUUCAACACAAAAAGUUAGCAACAGUUAGUUUCUACAACAAAAAAUCAGUAAAAACUUAACCAAGAUUCCACAAUUGUCGACUAUUCCCCUCAACCAGAACGAAACAUUGUCCUCAAUGUUUUAAAGGAAAGAAGUAGAGUUUAGAAGACAUCACCUGGGUGGUGCAACACAAAAGAUAUAUUUACAGGCGGAGAGUUAAAUCUAAUUUGUACUUCUUACUGCGGCUACUGUUACCAUCAUUAUUUGGGCGCUCCAACACAAAGGUCCAGGGGUCUGGCUCCGGUUUAUAAGCUUGUAACAGAUCAAGUAGUUCAUUAGCAGUGUGAGCACAAAUAAAAAGUUUUUUUACAUUAGAAGGAAUGAAAUAGUUUUUUAUUGCAUGGUUAAGAAAUGCGAUAAAGCCAUCAUAAAAGUUAUUGACAUUUAACAAACCGAUGGGUUUCUGGUGGAUGUGCAGAUGGGCCCAAGAUGCUAGUGUCAUAAGUGCCUCUAGUGUUGCAAGAUCCUGGAAGGAAAAUAAAAGCAUCAGCAUGAUUAAGCAUUUCAGUUAUUCUUUCUUGCAUACCUGAGACGACUAACUCUUCUCCAGUUGAUGAGUCAGACGAACUGCCCAAUGGUUUUAGGACUCUUGGGAUGAUGCCUAACACUUGACUUCCUCUGAUAAAAGCUGCUUCUGAGACCAUUUUUGAUAACCCUCGGUUACCUCCUCCAUACACCAAAUGUAAUUUUCUCGCUGCUAUGCUUCGACCAAGAUCUAUGGCUGCCUCCACGAACUCUUUAUGUUUGCCAUAGGUAAAUCCAGAAAGCACACAAAUGUUCUUGAAUUGUCUAUUGGGAGUAGCUGCCAUUGUGAUACUUCUCAAAAAUAAUUUGUGAGUGCUUGACAAAAGAUAAAUCACAUUUAAGAAUCUUGGUGACAAUGGAUCACAGCUGUGAAUGAGGUAACAUGUCAGUGUCAAAUAACGCGUAAAGCACGUGGCUCGCGAGUCAAAAAGGAAACAGUAAAAAGGAAAAAGCAAACAGUAAUAAAAUUAUUAAAGACAAUAAUGCAAACAAUAAAACAACAGUGAAAUGAAAUAAAAUAACAGUAAAGUAAAAGGAUAUUUACACGUAGUUGCGACUGUGGCUCACAUCUUCCUCUGGUUUUACGUCCAGAACGGCUUGAACGCCCUCUAUGGGUCGAGGAUGGGCUUCCCAUCCAGUUUUCUUAUAAACUGGCAAACAGGGUCGUUUAUAGUCAGAUUCCCGAGACGAUAUCGUGCAUGCUCUUUUUGGAAUAAUGGCCUUAACUGGAGAAUCGCUCCUUGCACAUAUCCACUGGGAUGCGUUUCAAGAGACAAAAGGAUAUCAUCCAAUGACUCCUUAUUCAAGCCAUCCCUAAUGAAUUGAAUCUUAUCUUCCCUGUUAUCAGACACCAUUCCUAAAGAACAUGGGUUUCUAUCGCAACUCAUUCUGGCACACUUGUGACAAGCAACAGAAAUUCUUCGAGCUCGUCGUUUUCUUGCGUAAUUUCCUUUACCACAACCAGGCAUGUAUGCAAUAAAUUUAGGAGGUAACUCACCUGCCAAUCGUACUUUAGCCUCGAUUAACCAACGGAUGUCUGCAGGUAUGUUAUUCCUCAUGAGCAAUCGCAUGCGUUCAGACCGGGCUUUAUAGAUUGUAAGGAGGGCAUUCUGAGGAAGUGAAGGGAAUCGCUUGUGAAGCUUCGCUAGAAUCUCGUUUCUGUCCAUACCUUCGCCUCAGAAUAUCAGUUAUUAUGGGAACUGAAGUUAACCGACUUGAUUGUCACGGAGUACCGCCACUUCACCGGGGUAACAAACUAAAGCACACAAACAGAAAACAAAAAACACACAAAGAAAAUUAAAAUCGUCCUCUUAUUGAAUUUACCUCAAGCUCCAACUGGAUGUCGUAAACACUUCUCUCAAUGUCUCUGAGUUGGCGUUCUAAACCCCUCAACAUAGGCUACUAACUCUGGUGGUUGUAGAGCCCAAAUGCGUUGUGUUUUACAAAAUAGAAUCUGCCUUUUGAGAUGAGUUUUGACACGUUGAAGUGGUUUAAGAAUGUUCAGGAGGAACGGUCUAAGUAUGAGACUCAUGAUUAAAAAUGAUAAGAGAAAACUUAAUGGUAAAAUAAACACACUUAUGCAAAAACAAUUUCAAUUAGCAAAAGAAUAAUAAUAAAAAGAAAUAAAGAAAAAUCAAAUUAACGAAAAGAGAAAAAAAAAAUCAAUUCAAAUUUAGUGGGUCACUCAAAUUUAUUUCGAUGUUUUCUCCAUGUGGUUGGUACUCUAGAUAUGGCUUUAAUCUUUGACCAUUAACUUUAUACGUGACACCGUUCUUUGGUCCUUAAUUUCAAUUGCCCCAUGUGGAAAAACAGUAUGUACAAUAAAUGGGCCAGACCAACGAGAGCGUAACUUACCUGGGAAUAGGUGCAAGCGAGAAUUGAAUAAAAGCACUUUCUGACCUGGAGUGAACGAUUUUCUCAUAAUUUGCUUAUCAUGGAAGACUUUCAUUCGUUGCUUGUAAAUCUUGGCAUUUUCGUAUGCAUCAUUGCGAAUUUCUUCAAGUUCUGCCAGCUGUAAUCUUCUUUCUGAGCUGGCUUGCUGCAUGUCAAAGUUGAAUUUCUUGAUGGCCCAAUAUGCACGAUGCUCGAGUUCCACAGGUAGGUGGCAAGCUUUUCCAUACACUAGCCUGUAGGGUGACAUCCAAUCGGGGUCUUGAAAGCCGUUCUAUAUGCCCAUAAUGCAUCAUCAAGUCGUAAUGACCAAUCUUUCCUGUCUGGCCUCACCGUCUUUUCUAAUAUGUGCUUUAUUUCUCGAUUGGAGAUCUCAACUUGGCCACUGGUUUGCGGAUGAUACGGGGUCGCACUUUGUGUGUGAUUGAAUACUUUGUCAAAAGAGCCUUGAAUGCUUUGUUACAAAAGUGGGCACCACCAUCACUGAUUAUCGCUCGAGGGAAUCCAAAGCGCGAAACAAUAUUGCUUUUCAAAAAUCCUAUCACCACUUUGUGAUCAUUGGUUCUGCAUGGAAUUGCUUCCACCCAUUUCGAUACGUAGUCAACACCAACCAAUAUGUAUUGAUGGCCAAAAGAAGGGGGAAAGGGUCCCAUGAAGUCGAUACCCCAUACGUCAAAAAUCUCAACCACUAAAAUUGGAUUUAGUGGCAUCAUGUUCCUUCGUGUAAUGCUCCCCAUUCGUUGACACCUAUCACAUGAAGAACAGAAAGUGUAAGCAUCUCGAAAUAUAGUUGGCCAAUAGAAACCACAUUGUAAAACUUUAGUCGCUGUUUUCUUAGCACUGAAAUGGCCUCCACAAGCUUGUUCAUGGCAGAAUGAAAGGAUAUUCUGAAUUUCACUUUCAGGGACACAUCGUCUAACAAUUUGGUCUGCACAAUACUUGAACAAAUAUGGGUCAUCCCAAAAGAAAUUCUUUAUUUCCGCAAGAAUUUAGCCUUGUCUUGCUUGGUCCAAUGCUCUGGAAGCUUACCUGUAACAAGAUAAUUAACUAUAUCAGCAUACCAAGGUAAUACUUCCACACUCAUUAAUUGUUCAUCUGGAAAUGACUCAUUUAAUAUUAAUGGCUCUGUAAUUGUGUCAAAAUGGAGACGAGAGAGGUGGUCCGCCACAACAUUUUCUGUCCCUUUCUUAUCUUUGAAUUCCAAGUCAAAUUCCUGCAAAAGUAACACCCAACGAAUUAGUCUAGCUUUUGCAUCUUUCUUUGUGAGAAGAUAUUUAAGAGCAGCAUGAUCUGUGAAUAUAAUUAUUUUACAACCAAUGAGAUAAGAUCGAAAUUUUUCCAAUGCAAACACUACUGCUAGCAUUUCUUUUUCAGUAGUUGAAUAAUUAACUGUGCAUCAUUCAAGGUCAUACUAGCAUAGUAAAUAACGUUGGGAAUUCGAUCAACUCUUUGUCCUAAUACUGCUCCUACUGCAUAAUCAGAUGCAUCACACAUGAGCUCAAAUGGUAAGCUCCAGUUUUGGGGCCUGAAUGAUGGGUGAUGAUGUCAACAAUUGCUUUAAUUUUUCAAAAGCCAUAAGACAUGAAUCAUUAAAGAUAAAAGGUACAUCCUUAGCAAGUAAAUUGCAUAAGGGUCUAGAAACUUUGCUAAAAUCUUUAAUGAAACGUCUAUAGAAACCAGCAUGCCCAAGGAAAGAUCUUACUUCUCUGACUGUUUUAGGUGGAGGAAAGAUUAGAAAUGAGAUCCACCUUGGCUUUGUCAACCUCAAUACCUUUGCUCGAAAUGAUGUGACCGAGAACAAUACCUUGUUUUACCAUAAAAUGACACUUUCCCAUUUAAGACUAAGCUCUUCUCGGUACAUCUCUGCAGAACUAGCGUUAGAUGAUGUAAACAUUGAUCAAACGAGUCACCAAAGACAGAAAAAUCAUCCAUAAAGACUUCAAGGAAUUCAACCAUAUCAGAANGAUAAUUAACUAUAUCAGCAUACCAAGGUAAUACUUCCACACUCAUUAAUUGUUCAUCUGGAAAUGACUCAUUUAAUAUUAAUGGCUCUGUAAUUGUGUCAAAAUGGAGACGAGAGAGGUGGUCCGCCACAACAUUUUCUGUCCCUUUCUUAUCUUUGAAUUCCAAGUCAAAUUCCUGCAAAAGUAACACCCAACGAAUUAGUCUAGCUUUUGCAUCUUUCUUUGUGAGAAGAUUUUAAGAGCAGCAUGAUCUGUGAAUAUAAUUAUUUUACAACCAAUGAGAUAAGAUCGAAAUUUUUCCAAUGCAAACACUACUGCUAGCAUUUCUUUUCAGUAGUUGAAUAGUUCAACUGUGCAUCAUUCAAGGUCAUACUAGCAUAGUAAAUAACAUGGGAAUUCGAUCAACUCUUUGUCCUAAUACUGCUCCUACUGCAUAAUCAGAUGCAUCACACAUGAGCUCAAAUGGUAAGCUCCAGUUUGGGGCCUGAAUGAUGGGUGAUGAUCAACAAUUGCUUUAAUUUUUCAAAAGCCAUAAGACAUGAAUCAUUAAAGAUAAAAGGUACAUCCUUAGCAAGUAAAUUGCAUAAGGGUCUAGAAACUUUGCUAAAAUCUUUAAUGAAACGUCUAUAGAAACCAGCAUGCCAAGGAAAGAUCUUACUUCUCUGACUGUUUUAGGUGGAGGAAGAUUAGAAAUGAGAUCCACCUUGGCUUUGUCAACCUCAAUACCUUUGCUCGAAAUGAUGUGACCGAGAACAAUACCUUGUUUUACCAUAAAAUGACACUUCUCCCAAUUUAAGACUAAGUUCUUCUCGUACAUCUCUGCAGAACUAGCGUUAGAUGAUGUAAACAUUGAUCAAACGAGUCACCAAAGACAGAAAAUCAUCCAUAAAGACUUCAAGGAAUCGUUCAACCAUAUCAGAAAAAAUGCUCAACAUGCAUCGUUGAAAUGUAGCAGGUGCAUUACAUAAUCCAAAUGGCAUUCUCCUAUAUGCAAAUGUGCCAAAAGGGCAAGUGAAAGUAGUUUUCUCUUGAUCUUUUGGUGCUAUGGGAAUCUGAUUAUAUCCUGAGUAGCCAUCUAGAAAGCAAUAAAAUUCAUGGCCUGCUAAUCUAUCAAGCAUUUGAUCAAUAAAUGGUAAAGGAAAAUGGUCUUUACGUGUGACAGAAUUCAACUUUCUAUAAUCAAUGCAUACACGCCAUCCUGUAGUUACUCUAGUUGGUAUCAAUUCAUUAUCAGCAUUGGUAACUACUGUGACUCCUGACUUUUUGGGGACAACUUGUACAGGACUGACCCAUGAACUAUCAGAAAUUGGGUAAAUGAUACCUGCAUCUAAUAGCUUAAGGACUUCAGUUCUAACAACUUCUUUCAUAUUAGGAUUUAACCGACGUUGCAUUCCCUAGUAGUUUUAGCAUUUUCAUCAAGGUGAAUGUAAUGCAUGCAGUCUACUGGGUUUAUACCUUUAAUGUCUGCUAUGGUCCAUCCUAAUGCUCCUUUGUGCUCUUUUAAAACAUCCAACAACUUACCUUUUUGUUCGUCAUUUAGGGAUGAUGAGAUGAUUACCGGCAGAGUACUUUCUUCUCCCAAAAAUGCAUAUUCCAGAGUGUUGGGUAAUGGUUUGAGCUCGAGUUUCGGUGGUGAUUCUGAUGAUGGAAUGAGUUUCUUCUCUGAUGGUGCUAGUUGUUCAACUCUUGACUUCCAUUUAUUAGUGUCCAUGGAUGGUGCUGAGUCAAGCAGGGCGUUGACCUCAUCGACCGAUCUAUCAAUAUCAAAAUCCAAACCAAAGUGAGUUAAGCAUGUCUGUAAAGGAUCAUCACUAAGGUUUGAAAGAAAAGUAUUAUCAACUAUUGUUUCUAUUAAAUCCACAUCAACAAUUCCAUCAUCUGCACUGUGAGGUUGUUUGGCAAUGUUGAAAAUAUUUAGCUCCAUAGUCAUGUUGCCGAAGGACAACUGCAUAUUUCCAGUCCUGCAUUGAAUGUGAGCAUCCGCAGUCGCCAAGAAAGGUCGGCCUAGAAUAAUGGGGAUGUGCUUCCUUGAAUCCUGUAUUGGUUGAGUGUCAAUUACAAUGAAAUCAACAGGAAAAUAAAACUUGUCUACCUGGAUAAGCACGUCCUCCAUAAUACACGAGGUAUUUUCGUGGACCGAUCUGCAAGCUGUAACACCACUGGAGUUGGGUGUAAUUCUCCCAGUCCAAGUUUCACGAAUACUGAAUAAGGCAACAGAUUUACACUAGCUCCUAAAUCCAACAAACGCAUUCUCAAUUGUGUGGUUCCCUAUACUACAUGAGAUAGUGGGGGAGCCUGGGUCUUUGCAUUUUAGAGGAAUUUUAUGUUGGAGUAUAGAACUAACAUUUUCUGUUAAAAAUGCCUUCUUUUGAACAUGCAUAUUUCUCUUUUUAGUACAAAGGUCUUUAAGAAACUUGGCAUAAGAUGGAACUUGUUUAAUAGCAUCAAGUAAAGGGAUGUUAACACUUACCUGUUUGAAGAUUUCGAGAAUCUCACCUGUGGAUUUUCCCUUUUUCCCUUUAGCUAACCUCUGAGGAAAUGGAGCUUUCGGAACGUAUUCUCGUGGGUGGUUUCUUCUUUCUCCUCCGGUGGUGAGUCUUCAACAUUCACAGGUACAUUUGAUUUUCUUUUGUCACCGGCAUCUCCACUUUGUUGUCGACUUCCUUUCCUUUUCGCAAGGUCAUGACUGCUUUGACCUCUCCAUGCUGUUGUGGUGAACUGGUACUUGCUUCAUGUACUCCUUUAGGAUUAGGCACUGGUUGACUUGGAAAUUUUCCUUUCUCAACAGUCAUUGCCAAGGUCUGAACUGAAGAAGCAAGUUGUCCCACCAUCCUUCUCGAGGCUUGAAACUGAAUUGAGCUUGUGAGUUGAAGCCUGCUCUCAACUCAUUUCGUAGUCCAUCAAUGGUGCGGUUCUGUUGCUCAAUCGUGGAGUGAGUAACAUUCUUGAAAUUCUGGAAUGCAUCCUCCAUGGUCUGGGUUGAGAGUAGUUCUGGUUCUGAUUGUAUGGUCUGAAUGGUGGCUGAGAGGCUUGAGGAUUUUGAGGAAUUUGUUGCAUUGGUGGAGCUGGAGCUGCUGGUCCAUUCUGUUGGAAUCCUUGAGACCAUGAAAUAUUGGGGUGGUCUCUCCAUCCAGGGUUAUAUGUGUUGGAGUAUGGGUUGUAAUUCGAUGGUUUUCUCAUUACACCUAUGGCAUUGGCUUGAUCGGAGUAUGAGUCAUGGUCAUGUGGUUCUGUUGAUUUAGCAGUCGAUAACGAUGCUAUUUGUCGAGCGAGACCUUCAACCAUCUCCUUGACUUCUUUGAUUCCCGAAGUUGACUCGCCAAUUUGAACCUCAUUUACUCCCUUAAUUCUUCUAGUAUUCCUUAGUGAUCGACUCCGUUGUUGGGAAUUAUCCGCUUGUCGUUGGAAGAAUUCCCAAAUUUCUGAUGCACUUUUUGACAUUAGCUCUCCUCCACUUGUUGCCAUUAGCCAUUCUUGCACAUUCGGGUAGUAAUCCCUCCAAAAAGUAUUGGCAUUGGUGCCAUUUUUUCGUACCCAUGAUGUGGACACUUCAAGAGUAGCCCAUUGAAUCGCUCCCAAGUUUCGAAAAACUGCUCGUCCUCUCUUUGUGUAAACUCUGAAAUUUCCCUGCGAAUAGAAUUGGUUUUAUGCACUGGGAAAUAUUUAUUCAAAAAUUUAGUUACCAUUUGUUCCCAUGAUGAAAUGCUAUUAGCAGGCAACGUAUUUAACCAUGAACGAGCUCUAUCCUUUAAAGAAAAUGGGAAUAGUCUGAGUUUAACAUCAUCGUCUGAAAAAUUUUCAUAUUUAAAAGUUUGACAAAUGGUAUGAAAAUCAUUCAGAUGAUUAUAUGGGUCCUCAUUUUCUAAGCCAUAGAAUGUGGGGAGACAAUUUAGCACACUAGGUUUUAGUUCAAAGUUCCUAGCAGCUACAUUUGGGUAUCUAAUACAUGAUGUGCUUAAAUUAGCUAAGGGACUAAAAUAGUCCUUAAAUGGCCUCUCCUGUGGUGCUUGUAAAUCCAUUCCAAUUUUAUUUUUAAUGUGUUUUUGUGUGCGAAGUGUUUUUUCUAAUUCAAGGUCUAUAGGUUCAAGAUUAGGUAAUAAUGACCUACGACCAUGCAUGCAAAAUAAAAUGAAAAUAAAAAUAAAGAUGCAAACAAAACAAAAAAUAAAGAUGGGAACAAAACAAAUUAAAAUAAAUAAGAGGGAGAAAUUACGAUACUAACCUUAUUGCGCUAUUACAACCUUUCUAUAAAAAUACACAAAAAACAAAUACGUGAAAUAAAUUAACUAAAAAUUAAAUUAAUAAAAUAAACAAAAAUUACAAAGAAAAAAAAAUAAAUUGAAAAUUAAAUUACAGAAUUUUAAAGAAGAGAAAAAGAAAAGAAAUACUAACCUUUAAAUGUAGAUUUACUCUUUUUUUUUUCUUUUUUUUUUUAAUAAGAAAAAAAAAAUACAAGAAAACAAAUAAAAGAAAUUAUUCACAAAAAUUAAUUUUAUGAAUUAAAAUUACUUACCUCCCCGGCAACGGCGCCAAAAACUUGUUGUGCAAAUUUUAAUGUACUCGCAAGCGCACGAAUCUAUUGUAAUAUAGACUAAUGGUGACGAGUGUCGAUCCCACGAGGAGGUGGAUUUUAAUUGUGUAUAAAAUUAAUUUUGUAAAUGGGUGAUUGGAUUUGUGGUGGAAAUGAUUUGGAAUAUGCUAAAACUUAAAUUAAAAUGGCGAGAAUAAAUUGAAGAGAAUUCUAUUGAAAUGACGUACUUGGGUAUCUGGAUCCGUAUCAACAUGCAUCAUGGGCUAAAUAUUCCUUAUUAAUACCAAUUAAAUCAUGAGGGGGGAAUCCACACCUCAUGAACCACGCUCUAAUCAAUAUGGUGCUAAGGGCUUAUCGUGCCAAAUAAUAAUAACCUUAUACCAGAGAGCCGGUGUAACCAAGGCGGUAUCUAGACAAGAUCAGUAUUAUUUGUCGACGAUAAGUCAAAUCAUCCACAAAAAACUAGAGGGGAAAAGAAAAUAAAUUUACCAAAUAAAGCCCAUGACACAUGUUGAGACUUCACCUUCAACCCAAGCUUGAAAAGAAAUUAGCUACUCAUAAUUGAACUAGGGGCAAAAAGGGAAUUUAUUAAAAUACAAAGAAAAUACAAGAUGGAGAAGGAAUUACAGAAAAUGGAUCCCAAAAAUGGAUUCAGAGAUAUCAAAUUAGGGGGAGAGGCCCCCUUUUUAUAGAUACAUGGAGUAAAUCAUGGCCAUCGGAUUAAAAACAGUUUGGACGCUCAGGAUUGCGCCACGUCAUCAGUCAACAGUCCACGGUUUGACCACGCGGAUGAACAGUAACACGGUUUGACCCGGAUGAACAGUAACGUGGUUUGGUUGAAAAUAAUCCUGUGUGAUGCAUGCACUGUACACGAGAUUUUUCGUCCACUGAUAUGCUGCCACGUCACCAUUAACAGUACAUAAGAAUUUUAGCCCAACAGGAUCGUGACACCUCAUCAGUCAAUGCCACAUCAUCGGUCAAUGCCACGUCAUCGGUCAAUGCCACGUCAUCGAUCCGUCUAUGUGAACAGUGUCGUGAACAGUAACGUAGACAGUACCGUAUACGUGAAUAGUACCGUACAUGUGAAUAGUGCCAUUUUUCCUUUUAUGCUCCUCCUAAGGUUUUCGACCGUCCUGAGUUCAAAAGUGAUGUCCGUUUUGCCGUCUGAUCUCUCCUUUAUUGUGAAAUGACUAUACUGCCCCUAAAAUACAUAAAAUACUUAAUUAAAAUAACACACACGUAAUUACAUCACAAGAAGGUUAAAUACAUAAAAGUAAGGGUUGUUAGUAAGACUUGAAAUGUAAAAUGACGGUUUUCUCCUUUAUAAAUAUGUAUUUUCUAACACUCAACACACCCCCCAACCAGCUUAUUGCUAGUCCCUAGCAAAUAAAGCGAAAACAAAAUUCAAAUUCAAAAUGAUUUUUUUUUUUUUUUUUUUUUAGAAACACUCGUGUUUAUUCAAUCAGAUUAAUGAUAGCAAUCAAAUAAAAGUAUAAGCAUUAUCUCCAGUCUAAAGCAACAUCACACCCACAUCAACCAUCCACAUGAAUUAGCCCAGUAGACUUUGUUAUAGCUACUUUCAAGAAUGACAUGUCAAACCCCAAAAUCUCACUGGAAGUAGUGACACUCUCACAAAGAAAUUAAAACCCAAUAAACAUAGUCACUCCAAUGAAUGGUAAUUGAGAGAGAAAAUAAUAAAGAAAUGAUAUCACAUGCUCUCACCAAGAUUAAAUAAAUAUGCCCUCAGCUUAGAAAUAAUACGAUCUCAAGUCAAAUAAAAUGUUAGUCAACCCACUUUAUUUAUCUUUUUUUUUUUUUUAAUUAUGCAUCACUACAUCUUUUUAGCCCAUAUAACUAGCUUCUACUUCAAACUAUAGUUCCCUAAAAUCAAGAAGGACUUUUAUUAGGACGUAACGUAGGCUAGGGAUAUGGCUAACAAAGAAGGGAAAUAAGGAAAACAAAGUGUAUGUUUGAGAAAAAUGCAGAGAAUAUUUUUUUUUUUUUUUUUGGAAGUUGCAAGGUGGAUUUCACCUAUUAUUGUUAUUUUUAUUCUUUUGAAACAACAAUUUUUUUCUUUUUUUUUUUUUUUUUCAGCAACAACAAUUUUUUCUUUUUUUUUUUUGAACUAGGCAUAACUUCACUAUGCAAAAUGUUUAUUUACAUUUUUCUCAAACAUAAAUAGGUGAUGGAAUUUGUAAGAUAUUGGGUAAUACUCCAAAUCGGAGUGGGUCAAGAUGAUAAGUUAAACAAAGAAAAGUUUUUUUUUUUUUUUUAUUUAAAAGGCUCAAAUGGGUUAACUAUGGAUACUUGAUAAGAGGGAUGGCUAGAAAGGCUCAAACGGAUCAAAGAUGGCCUUUCCAUCGUCUUUUAGGGCUCUAAAUAAUCAUCCAUAUCUACUAGUUAGAUGGGCCUCCCAAUGUAGCAACACACACAUUUUUUUUUUUUUUUUUUUUUAAGGCUUAACUCAAAAGAAAUCUAGAGAUCGUGUAUACAAUAAUAAACUGUUAAGCAUUAUAAAGAAUGGGCAAAAGGGUUACUCUCCAAGAAAAAUGAUAGGCUCAAAAACUCACUUGGUACUUAUUAUGACAUGUUCAUUCCUUCAAGCAACUCAUAUUUGUCUCCGACAUCAACAUGUAGAGUAGCAAACAUAAUGUAACAUCACUUAAGACCAAAGAUAAUACAAAUACUAAAAUUUGAAAUUAAUCAUGUCAUCUAAAGUUAAAACAAAUCACACAAUUUUUUCUUUUUUUUUUUUUAAACAACAUUCUACCCCCCAACCUAUUCUAAACAUGAAAGGAAAAUAUGCAUGCAGAAAUGUGAAAAUGAUGCAUAAAAACUAAUUAGAAAAGUUACACGUAAAAUGAUAGAAAACGAAAAUGAAAUUUUGUUUUUUUUUUUUUUAAUUUUUUUUUUAAACGAUGAAGAUGCGUUUCUAGAGGCACUACACUCCAUAUUCAGCUAUCUUCGACUCAAAAGUUGGAAAAUAUAUAUUUAUAAGGAGAAAUUAAAAAGAAGAAGAAAAAUGAACAUCAAAACAUAAUAAAGAAAAAGAAAAUGUUUGAAUUUUUUAGUUUUUUUUAGUUUUUUAGUUUUUUUAAAUUUUUUUUUUUUUUUUAAACGAUGAAGAUGCGUUUCUAGAGUCACUACACUCCAUAUUCAGCCAUCUUCAACACAAAAAGUUAGCAACAGUUAGUUUCUACAACAAAAAAUCAGUAAAAACUUAACCAAGAUUCCACAAUUGUCGACUAUUCCCUCCCCUCAACCAGAACGAAACAUUGUCCUCAAUGUUUUAAAGGAAAGAAGUAGAGUUUAGAAGACAUCACCUGGGUGGUGCAACACAAAAGAAUAUAUUUACAGGCGGAGAGUUAAAUCUAAUUUGUACUUCUUACUGCGGCUACUGUUACCAUCAUUAUUUGGGCGCUCCAACACAAAGGUCCAGGGGUCUGGCUCCGGUUUAUAAGCUUGUAACAGAUCAAGUAGUUCAUUAGCAGUGUGAGCACAAAUAAAAAGUUUUUUUACAUUAGAAGGAAUGAAAUAGUUUUUUAUUGCAUGGUUAAGAAAUGCGAUAAAGCCAUCAUAAAAGUUAUUGACAUUUAACAAACCGAUGGGUUUCUGGUGGAUGUGCAGAUGGGCCCAAGAUGCUAGUGUCAUAAGUGCCUCUAGUGUUGCAAGAUCUCCUGGAAGGAAAAUAAAAGCAUCAGCAUGAUUAAGCAUUUCAGUUAUUCUUUCUUGCAUACCUGAGACGACUAACUCUUCUCCAGUUGAUGAGUCAGACGAACUGCCCAAUGGUUUUAGGACUCUUGGGAUGAUGCCUAACACUUGACUUCCUCUGAUAAAAGCUGCUUCUGAGACCAUUUUUGAUAACCCUCGGUUACCUCCUCCAUACACCAAAUGUAAUUUUCUCGCUGCUAUGCUUCGACCAAGAUCUAUGGCUGCCUCCACGAACUCUUUAUGUUUGCCAUAGGUAAAUCCAGAAAGCACACAAAUGUUCUUGAAUUGUCUAUUGGGAGUAGCUGCCAUUGUGAUACUUCUCAAAAAUAAUUUGUGAGUGCUUGACAAAAGAUAAAUCACAUUUAAGAAUCUUGGUGACAAUGGAUCACAGCUGUGAAUGAGGUAACAUGUCAGUGUCAAAUAACGCGUAAAGCACGUGGCUCGCGAGUCAAAAAGGAAACAGUAAAAAGGAAAAAGCAAACAGUAAUAAAAUUAUUAAAGACAAUAAUGCAAACAAUAAAACAACAGUGAAAUGAAAUAAAAUAACAGUAAAGUAAAAGGAUAUUUACACGUAGUUGCGACUGUGGCUCACAUCUUCCUCUGGUUUUACGUCCAGAAACGGCUUGAACGCCCUCUAUGGGUCGAGGAUGGGCUUCCCAUCCAGUUUUCUUAUAAACUGGCAAACAGGGUCGUUUAUAGUCAGAUUCCCGAGACGAUAUCGUGCAUGCUCUUUUUGGAAUAAUGGCCUUAACUGGAGAAUCGCUCCUUGCACAUAUCCACUGGGAUGCGUUUCAAGAGACAAAAGGAUAUCAUCCAAUGACUCCUUAUUCAAGCUAUCCCUAAUGAAUUGAAUCUUAUCUUCCCUGUUAUCAGACACCAUUCCUAAAGAACAUGGGUUUCUAUCGCAACUCAUUCUGGCACACUUGUGACAAGCAACAGAAAUUCUUCGAGCUCGUCGUUUUCUUGCGUAAUUUCCUUUACCACAACCAGGCAUGUAUGCAAUAAAUUUAGGAGGUAACUCACCUGCCAAUCGUACUUUAGCCUCGAUUAACCAACGGAUGUCUGCAGGUAUGUUAUUCCUCAUGAGCAAUCGCAUGCGUUCAGACCGGGCUUUAUAGAUUGUAAGGAGGGCAUUCUGAGGAAGUGAAGGGAAUCGCUUGUGAAGCUUCGCUAGAAUCUCGUUUCUGUCCAUACCUUCGCCUCAGAAUAUCAGUUAUUAUGGGAAACUGAAGUUAACCGACUUGAUUGUCACGGAGUACCGUUAUCUGCCACUUCACCGGGGUAACAAACUAAAGCACACAAACAGAAAAACAAAAAACACACAAAGAAAAUUAAAAUCGUCCUCUUAUUGAAUUUACCUCAAGCUCCAACUGGAUGUCGUAAACACUUCUCUCAAUGUCUCUGAGUUGGCGUUCUAAACCCUCAACAUAGGCUACUAACUCUGGUGGUUGUAGAGCCCAAAUGCGUUGUGUUUUACAAAAUAGAAUCUGCCUUUUGAGAUGAGUUUUGACACGUUGAAGUGGUUUAAGAAUGUUCAGGAGGAACGGUCUAAGUAUGAGACUCAUGAUUAAAAAUGAUAAGAGAAAACUUAAUGGUAAAAUAAACACACUUAUGCAAAAACAAUUUCAAUUAGCAAAAGAAUAAUAAUAAAAAGAAAUAAAGAAAAAUCAAAUUAACGAAAAGAGAAAAAAAAAAUCAAUUCAAAUUUAGUGGGUCACUCAAAUUUAUUUCGAUGUUUUCUCCAUGUGGUUGGUACUCUAGAUAUGGCUUUAAUCUUUGACCAUUAACUUUAUACGUGACACCGUUCUUUGGGUCCUUAAUUUCAAUUGCCCCAUGUGGAAAAACAGUAUGUACAAUAAAUGGGCCAGACCAACGAGAGCGUAACUUACCUGGGAAUAGGUGCAAGCGAGAAUUGAAUAAAAGCACUUUCUGACCUGGAGUGAACGAUUUUCUCAUAAUUUGCUUAUCAUGGAAGACUUUCAUUCGUUGCUUGUAAAUCUUGGCAUUUUCGUAUGCAUCAUUGCGAAUUUCUUCAAGUUCUGCCAGCUGUAAUCUUCUUUCUGAGCUGGCUUGCUGCAUGUCAAAGUUGAAUUUCUUGAUGGCCCAAUAUGCACGAUGCUCGAGUUCCACAGGUAGGUGGCAAGCUUUUCCAUACACUAGCCUGUAGGGUGACAUCCCAAUCGGGGUCUUGAAAGCCGUUCUAUAUGCCCAUAAUGCAUCAUCAAGUCGUAAUGACCAAUCUUUCCUGUCUGGCCUCACCGUCUUUUCUAAUAUGUGCUUUAUUUCUCGAUUGGAGAUCUCAACUUGGCCACUGGUUUGCGGAUGAUACGGGGUCGCCACUUUGUGUGUGAUUGAAUACUUUGUCAAAAGAGCCUUGAAUGCUUUGUUACAAAAGUGGGCACCACCAUCACUGAUUAUCGCUCGAGGGAAUCCAAAGCGCGAAACAAUAUUGCUUUUCAAAAAUCCUAUCACCACUUUGUGAUCAUUGGUUCUGCAUGGAAUUGCUUCCACCCAUUUCGAUACGUAGUCAACACCAACCAAUAUGUAUUGAUGGCCAAAAGAAGGGGGAAAGGGUCCCAUGAAGUCGAUACCCCAUACGUCAAAAAUCUCAACCACUAAAAUUGGAUUUAGUGGCAUCAUGUUCCUUCGUGUAAUGCUCCCCAUUCGUUGACACCUAUCACAUGAAGAACAGAAAGUGUAAGCAUCUCGAAAUAUAGUUGGCCAAUAGAAACCACAUUGUAAAACUUUAGUCGCUGUUUUCUUAGCACUGAAAUGGCCUCCACAAGCUUGUUCAUGGCAGAAUGAAAGGAUAUUCUGAAUUUCACUUUCAGGGACACAUCGUCUAACAAUUUGGUCUGCACAAUACUUGAACAAAUAUGGGUCAUCCCAAAAGAAAUUCUUUAUUUCCGCAAAGAAUUUAGCCUUGUCUUGCUUGGUCCAAUGCUCUGGAAGCUUACCUGUAACAAGAUAAUUAACUAUAUCAGCAUACCAAGGUAAUACUUCCACACUCAUUAAUUGUUCAUCUGGAAAUGACUCAUUUAAUAUUAAUGGCUCUGUAAUUGUGUCAAAAUGGAGACGAGAGAGGUGGUCCGCCACAACAUUUUCUGUCCCUUUCUUAUCUUUGAAUUCCAAGUCAAAUUCCUGCAAAAGUAACACCCAACGAAUUAGUCUAGCUUUUGCAUCUUUCUUUGUGAGAAGAUAUUUAAGAGCAGCAUGAUCUGUGAAUAUAAUUAUUUUACAACCAAUGAGAUAAGAUCGAAAUUUUUCCAAUGCAAACACUACUGCUAGCAUUUCUUUUUCAGUAGUUGAAUAAUUCAACUGUGCAUCAUUCAAGGUCAUACUAGCAUAGUAAAUAACGUUGGGAAUUCGAUCAACUCUUUGUCCUAAUACUGCUCCUACUGCAUAAUCAGAUGCAUCACACAUGAGCUCAAAUGGUAAGCUCCAGUUUGGGGCCUGAAUGAUGGGUGAUGAUGUCAACAAUUGCUUUAAUUUUUCAAAAGCCAUAAGACAUGAAUCAUUAAAGAUAAAAGGUACAUCCUUAGCAAGUAAAUUGCAUAAGGGUCUAGAAACUUUGCUAAAAUCUUUAAUGAAACGUCUAUAGAAACCAGCAUGCCCAAGGAAAGAUCUUACUUCUCUGACUGUUUUAGGUGGAGGAAGAUUAGAAAUGAGAUCCACCUUGGCUUUGUCAACCUCAAUACCUUUGCUCGAAAUGAUGUGACCGAGAACAAUACCUUGUUUUACCAUAAAAUGACACUUCUCCCAAUUUAAGACUAAGCUCUUCUCGGUACAUCUCUGCAGAACUAGCGUUAGAUGAUGUAAACAUUGAUCAAACGAGUCACCAAAGACAGAAAAAUCAUCCAUAAAGACUUCAAGGAAUCGUUCAACCAUAUCAGAAAAAAUGCUCAACAUGCAUCGUUGAAAUGUAGCAGGUGCAUUACAUAAUCCAAAUGGCAUUCUCCUAUAUGCAAAUGUGCCAAAAGGGCAAGUGAAAGUAGUUUUCUCUUGAUCUUUUGGUGCUAUGGGAAUCUGAUUAUAUCCUGAGUAGCCAUCUAGAAAGCAAUAAAAUUCAUGGCCUGCUAAUCUAUCAAGCAUUUGAUCAAUAAAUGGUAAAGGAAAAUGGUCUUUACGUGUGACAGAAUUCAACUUUCUAUAAUCAAUGCAUACACGCCAUCCUGUAGUUACUCUAGUUGGUAUCAAUUCAUUAUCAGCAUUGGUAACUACUGUGACUCCUGACUUUUUGGGGACAACUUGUACAGGACUGACCCAUGAACUAUCAGAAAUUGGGUAAAUGAUACCUGCAUCUAAUAGCUUAAGGACUUCAGUUCUAACAACUUCUUUCAUGUUAGGAUUUAACCGACGUUGCAUCUCCCUAGUAGUUUUAGCAUUUUCAUCAAGGUGAAUGUAAUGCAUACAGUCUACUGGGUUUAUACCUUUAAUGUCUGCUAUGGUCCAUCCUAAUGCUCCUUUGUGCUCUUUUAAAACAUCCAACAACUUACCUUUUUGUUCGUCAUUUAGGGAUGAUGAGAUGAUUACCGGCAGAGUACUUUCUUCUCCCAAAAAUGCAUAUUCCAGAGUGUUGGGUAAUGGUUUGAGCUCGAGUUUUGGUGGUGAUUCUGAUGAUGGAAUGAGUUUCUUCUCUGAUGGUGCUAGUUGUUCAACUCUUGACUUCCAUUUAUUAGUGUCCAUGGAUGGUGCUGAGUCAAGCAGGGCGUUGACCUCAUCGACCGAUCUAUCAAUAUCAAAAUCCAAACCAAAGUGAGUUAAGCAUGUCUGUAAAGGAUCAUCACUAAGGUUUGAAAGAAAAGUAUUAUCAACUAUUGUUUCUAUUAAAUCCACAUCAACAAUUCCAUCAUCUGCACUGUGAGGUUGUUUGGCAAUGUUGAAAAUAUUUAGCUCCAUAGUCAUGUUGCCGAAGGACAACUGCAUAUUUCCAGUCCUGCAUUGAAUGUGAGCAUCCGCAGUCGCCAAGAAAGGUCGGCCUAGAAUAAUGGGGAUGUGCUUCCUUGAAUCCUGUAUUGGUUGAGUGUCAAUUACAAUGAAAUCAACAGGAAAAUAAAACUUGUCUACCUGGAUAAGCACGUCCUCCAUAAUACCACGAGGUAUUUUCGUGGACCGAUCUGCAAGCUGUAACACCACUGGAGUUGGGUGUAAUUCUCCCAGUCCAAGUUUCACGAAUACUGAAUAAGGCAACAGAUUUACACUAGCUCCUAAAUCCAACAACGCAUUCUCAAUUGUGUGGUUCCCUAUACUACAUGAGAUAGUGGGGGAGCCUGGGUCUUUGCAUUUUAGAGGAAUUUUAUGUUGGAGUAUAGAACUAACAUUUUCUGUUAAAAAUGCCUUCUUUUGAACAUGCAUAUUUCUCUUUUUAGUACAAAGGUCUUUAAGAAACUUGGCAUAAGAUGGAACUUGUUUAAUAGCAUCAAGUAAAGGGAUGUUAACACUUACCUGUUUGAAGAUUUCGAGAAUCUCACCUGUGGAUUUUCCCUUUUUCCCUUUAGCUAACCUCUGAGGAAAUGGAGCUUUCGGAACGUAUUCUCGUGGGUUGGUUUCUUCUUUCUCCUCCGGUGGUGAGUCUUCAACAUUCACAGGUACAAUUUGAUUUUCUUUUGUCACCGGCAUCUCCACUUUGUUGUCGACUUCCUUUCCUUUUCGCAAGGUCAUGACUGCUUUGACCUCUCCAUGCUGUUGUGGUGAACUGGUACUUGCUUCAUGUACUCCUUUAGGAUUAGGCACUGGUUGACUUGGAAAUUUUCCUUUCUCAACAGUCAUUGCCAAGGUCUGAACUGAAGAAGCAAGUUGUCCCACCAUCUUCUCGAGGCUUGAAACUGAUUGAGCUUGUGAGUUGAAGCCUGCUCUCAACUCAUUUCGUAGUCCAUCAAUGGUGCGGUUCUGUUGCUCAAUCGUGGAGUGAGUAACAUUCUUGAAAUUCUGGAAUGCAUCCUCCCAUGGUCUGGGUUGAGAGUAGUUCUGGUUCUGAUUGUAUGGUCUGAAUGGUGGCUGAGAGGCUUGAGGAUUUUGAGGAAUUUGUUGCAUUGGUGGAGCUGGAGCUGCUGGUCCAUUCUGUUGGAAUCCUUGAGACCAUGAAAUAUUGGGGUGGUCUCUCCAUCCAGGGUUAUAUGUGUUGGAGUAUGGGUUGUAAUUCGAUGGUUUUCUCAUUACACCUAUGGCAUUGGCUUGAUCGGAGUAUGAGUCAUGGUCAUGUGGUUCUGUUGAUUUAGCAGUCGAUAACGAUGCUAUUUGUCGAGCGAGACCUUCAACCAUCUCCUUGACUUCUUUGAUUCCCGAAGUUGACUCGCCAAUUUGAACCUCAUUUACUCCCUUAAUUCUUCUAGUAUUCCUUAGUGAUCGACUCCGUUGUUGGGAAUUAUCCGCUUGUCGUUGGAAGAAUUCCCAAAUUUCUGAUGCACUUUUUGACAUUAGCUCUCCUCCACUUGUUGCCAUUAGCCAUUCUUGCACAUUCGGUAGUAAUCCCUCCAAAAAGUAUUGGCAUUGGUGCCAUUUUUCGUACCCAUGAUGUGGACACUUCAAGAGUAGCCCAUUGAAUCGCUCCCAAGUUUCGAAAAACUGCUCGUCCUCUCUUUGUGUAAACUCUGAAAUUUCCUUGCGAAUAGAAUUGGUUUUAUGCACUGGGAAAUAUUUAUUCAAAAAUUUAGUUACCAUUUGUUCCCAUGAUGAAAUGCUAUUAGCAGGCAAUGUAUUUAACCAUGAACGAGCUCUAUCCUUUAAAGAAAAUGGGAAUAGUCUGAGUUUAACAUCAUCGUCUGAAAAAUUUUCAUAUUUAAAAGUUUGACAAAUGGUAUGAAAAUCAUUCAGAUGAUUAUAUGGGUCCUCAUUUUCUAAGCCAUAGAAUGUGGGGAGACAAUUUAGCACACUAGGUUUUAGUUCAAAGUUCCUAGCAGCUACAAUUGGGUAUCUAAUACAUGAUGUGCUUAAAUUAGCUAAGGGACUAAAAUAGUCCUUAAAUGGCCUCUCCUGUGGUGCUUGUAAAUCCAUUCCAAUUUUAUUUUUAAUGUGUUUUUGUGUGCGAAGUGUUUUUUCUAAUUAAAGGUCUAUAGGUUCAAGAUUAGGUAAUAAUGACCUACGACCAUGCAUGCAAAAUAAAAUGAAAAUAAAAAUAAAGAUGCAAACAAAACAAAAAAUAAAGAUGGGAACAAAACAAAUUAAAAUAAAUAAGAGGGAGAAAUUACGAUACUAACCUUAUUGCGCUAUUACAACCUUUCUAUAAAAAUACACAAAAACAAAUACGUGAAAUAAAUUAACUAAAAAUUAAAUUAAUAAAAUAAACAAAAAUUACAAAGAAAAAAAAAUAAAUUGAAAAUUAAAUUACAGAAUUUUAAAGAAGAGAAAAAGAAAAGAAAUACUAACCUUUAAAUGUAGAUUUACUCUUUUUUUUUUCUUUUUUUUUUUAAUAAGAAAAAAAAAAUACAAGAAAACAAAUAAAAGAAAUUAUUCACAAAAAUUAAUUUUAUGAAUUAAAAUUACUUACCUCCCCGGCAACGGCGCCAAAAACUUGUUGUGCAAAUUUUAAUGUACUCGCAAGCGCACGAAUCUAUUGUAAUAUAGACUAAUGGUGACGAGUGUCGAUCCCACGAGGAGGUGGAUUUUAAUUGUGUAUAAAAUUAAUUUUGUAAAUGGGUGAUUGGAUUUGUGGUGGAAAUGAUUUGGAAUAUGCUAAAACUUAAAUUAAAAUGGCGAGAAUAAAUUGAAGAGAAUUCUAUUGAAAUGACGUACUUGGGUAUCUGGAUCCGUAUCAACAUGCAUCAUGGGCUAAAUAUUCCUUAUUAAUACCAAUUAAAUCAUGAGGGGGGAAUCCACACCUCAUGAACCACGCUCUAAUCAAUAUGGUGCUAAGGGCUUAUCGUGCCAAAUAAUAAUAACCUUAUACCAGAGAGCCGGUGUAACCAAGGCGGUAUCUAGACAAGAUCAGUAUUAUUUGUCGACGAUAAGUCAAAUCAUCCACAAAAACUAGAGGGGAAAAGAAAAUAAAUUUACCAAAUAAAGCCCAUGACACAUGUUGAGACUUCACCUUCAACCCAAGCUUGAAAAGAAAUUAGCUACUCAUAAUUGAACUAGGGGCAAAAAGGGAAUUUAUUAAAAUACAAAGAAAAUACAAGAUGGAGAAGGAAUUACAGAAAAUGGAUCCCAAAAAUGGAUUCAGAGAUAUCAAAUUAGGGGGGAGAGGCCCCCUUUUUAUAGAUACAUGGAGUAAAUCAUGGCCAUCGGAUUAAAAACAGUUUGGACGCUCAGGAUUGCGCCACGUCAUCAGUCAACAGUCCACGGUUUGACCACGCGGAUGAACAGUAACACGGUUUGACCCGGAUGAACAGUAACGCGGUUUGGUUGAAAAUAAUCCUGUGUGAUGCAUGCACCGUACACGAGAUUUUUCGUCCACUGAUAUGCUGCCACGUCACCAUUAACAGUACAUAAGAAUUUUAGCCCAACAGGAUCGUGACACCUCAUCAGUCAAUGCCACAUCAUCGGUCAAUGCCACGUCAUCGGUCAAUGCCACGUCAUCGAUCCGUCUAUGUGAACAGUGUCGUGAACAGUAACGUAGACAGUACCGUAUACGUGAAUAGUACCGUACAUGUGAAUAGUGCCAUUUUUCCUUUUAUGCUCCUCCUAAGGUUUUCGACCGUCCUGAGUUCAAAAGUGAUGUCCGUUUUGCCGUCUGAUCUCUCCUUUAUUGUGAAAUGACUAUACUGCCCCUAAAAUACAUAAAAUACUUAAUUAAAAUAACACACACGUAAUUACAUCACAAGAAGGUUAAAUACAUAAAAGUAAGGGUUGUUAGUAAGACUUGAAAUGUAAAAUGACGGUUUUCUCCUUUAUAAAUAUGUAUUUUCUAACACUCAACAAUUAUCACAUGAUAAGUGAUGAACACCGCAAAAAACAAAAACAGAAAACAAAAUCCAUACAAAAAUAUCAUAAUACAUAUGUAAACUAAUAAAAUAAUUAAAAAGUAAUGGAUUUAAAAAAAAUGAAAUUAGUUAAAAGCGAUCAUGUGAAGUGAUAUAAAUGUGACACUAGAUUGUUUUAGAAAAAUUAUUAUUCUAUUAAUUUAUAUGGCUUGAUCAACUAUUUAAUUGAAUUUGAAUAAUAUUAUAUACACUUCAGAAGUAUUUGCAUCAAUUCUUUCUAAACCAAAAUGAGAUAUGACUUUCAUUUGAAGAAUGGUUUUAGGCCCUAUAAUAAAGAAAAUUCCCUAAGAUAUCUGAGCAUUAUUAUUAUCAUUACCACAUCCACCACCACCACCAUCAUCUCCAUAGGAUCAAAUAAUUAAUGGCUGAUCAUAAAAUUUAUUGUUAAACUAUCAUUUUGAGUAAAAUUGAAUGAAAAGAAAAAACAUGAACCCAAACAAACAUACCUCUUCAAGAUACUGCAAAUUGGUUUCAAGUUCAGUACUGUUGACAGUCAAGUUGGGACAGUGCUUAAGGCGUAACUUUUCCAAUGCUGACCAAAUUGAACAAUAAUUUUUUGAACAGAAGCUGAUGAGUUCUGGGAGAUUAUGAAGUGUUAAUUUUCUCAACAAAGGGAGGGCGAGCAUCGUACUUCCAUCUCGGACACUUAUUUCCCCUUCAUUGUGAUCAAACUUUGCUUUGACAAUACAUUCCAGUCUCUUGCAUUCCCUUACAUAGAGACUUUUAAGCUGCUCCAAACUUCGAGCUUGUGACAACGUGAACAUAUAUGUCAACUUGUUGCACCUAUGCACAUUCAAUUUUGUAAGAGUUUGGAGACUGAUCACAUGUUGGGCGGGCGCCUUCCAUAUCCACUUCAGUUCUGGUAAUUGCCACAUAUUUAACUCUGCUAAUCCUGAGAGACUCUUUCCAUGCAGUGACUUAGAGGCAUCCAUUAUGCAUUCUAAAUCUUCGCAAUCGCCGACAUCAAGACAAGUCAACUCAUUUAAGCCCCUUUCAUCUAUGCUUGGCGCAAUAUUGUAACAACCUAUAAUCCCACUUAAAUAAAGAAUUUCCAGUUCUUGAUACAAAGCCGAAAAAAUACCGAGCGAGGUCACUUCAGGAGGGUCAUUCUUAAUUAUUAAGCUCUUUCUCUGACUACCAUAUUUCAUUUUAUCAACAACUUGUUUACCUUUACCCAUGAUGUACAUUUGCAAUUUCGGGAAUGUAAAGUCUUUUGGAAGACAUACAACAGAUCCGUCGGCUUGGGAGUUCAACUCAGCAAGCCUAGCAUUACUUUGUUCUGAACUCAUCCCCUCAACCUCCCAAUUUUUUAUCCGACCAUAAAAUUCUUCUAAUUUUUUUAUCGUAAUGGGAGAAACAGAACCAGUAUCAAUAUAUAGAAGUUUCAAUCUACCAAGUUCAUCCGACAAUUCUUCAGCAAUUUCAAUGGGAGACGACUGGAGAUAAAGAAGUUCAAGUCUCUUCAACUUUCCAAGAAAAAACGCGUCACUCACAUCACACCGAAUCAACUGCAGAACUCGGAGGUUAUUGGCUAGGAAUCGAAGUGAUUUUAGUGAAAGGACUCCAUUUAUUAUAGUAACAACUUUCAAUGCUGGCAUCCCUUCAAAAAAAUUUUCUGGAACUUGCAAUUUGUAGUCACAUAGAGUGUUGUCCAGUCGCAAAAUAUGAAGGUUAGGGCAUACCAAACUACUAGGAAGCUCUUCUUCUUUAUUUCCCAUUACAGAGAUUCCUCUGUAUUGUUCCAGGCCUUCUUCCAUUGCCCGUUCUGCCAAUCCAAUGCCAACUUUACUAAAAAAUUUCUUCUCCACUAGUACUUCUGAGCCUAUCCAUAUGACUACAUCACGAACUAUGUCAUGCAUUUUCACAGAUCUGUCAUUACCAGUGUCUAACAGCAGUGAAGCAGCUUUGAGUCCUUCAAUUGUUCCACGCAGUAGGCUUCUGGCGUGCUCUAUUGAUUCAGCUUGAUACCAAGUCAACCCCACUACAUAUCGAACCAAAUCCUCCAAAUUAAUCUCAUAAUCUUCUGGAAACAGCGAACACAACAAGAAGCAUAACCUGGAAUUGUCAUCAUUCAAAUUGUCGUAACUAAAUUUGAGACAACCGUAAACGUCUCGGUUCUCCAUAUCAAUACCUUCUAUUGCAUAGAGUUUUGCAGCCUUUAGGUUAUGUAGAGUUAGAUCCCAUUCAUGAAAUCCUUUUCCUCUUAGUGCACUUCCAACAGCUUCAAUAGCUAAAGGCAGCCCGUUACAUUGCCCAGCAACUUCUUUGGAAACAUCAUUCAAGGUGGAGUCAUUUGCAUCAAUGCCGGCAUUUUUUUGCAGUAAAGCCAACCCUUCUUCUGCCGUUAGUGUACCCAGUUGAAUCUGCGGGUCACAACACAUGCUUUUACAAACUGACUGCAGGCGAGUGGUUAGAAGGAUUUUACAAAGAUUUUCUCUAUCACCAACAGGAAUACCUAAAUUUUCCUUCAAGUUCAGAUCAUUCCAGACAUCAUCGAUGAUUAUGAGGAUCUUGGUGCUUUUACUGUCAGAAAACAUCGAGCGCAAUCGGUCUGCUCCAUGUUUUUCAUCUUUCUGUUUUAAUUCCCAACCUAAUGAAUUUGCCAGCUCGUUUUGAACAUUUAUUAUGUUUGGAUGCCGAGAUAUAGUGGCUAUCCCCACCUUAUCGAAAUCCUUUUGUUGCCAAAGUUGUUGGCCCACAGAUUUUGCCAAGGUCGUCUUUCCUACACCACCGAGACCAUGCAAUCCCACCAUCUUUGUGCUCUCUUUUUUCAGUGCGUCAAUGAUCUGAUUGCAAGCUGAUUCUGUGGUCUCGUAAGUAGAAGUAAAAUGACUUGGCAAACUUAAUUCUCUCUCUAAUGGUAGAGGUUUAGGAAAGGCAACUGUGUUGAAUUGGCUGCAGUCUUGUAGCAGAUCAGACAACUUGCUAGUCUUCUGUGAUGCUUUUCUACCCAGCCAAUAUCGGCAACACCAAUUAGGACACAAUCCAUGAAGACUACUAUCCUUUUCAUCUAUCUCUGCUUUCAACUUCCAAACAUCGUCCAAUUCUUCGACUCCAUUAUUCAGCCACUCCAUUACAUUUUCAUCGACUACUAUGUCGGGGCAUUUUCGUCGUUCAUCGUCUAUUCUUGUUUUGAUGCCAUCUCGUGCCUUCUUCAACUUAGUUUCUUUAUCCUCAAGUUCUUUAACAAUGCUGUUGAAACAGAACAUAUAGCGAGCUUGGUCAAUGGCUGCAUUCACCAAUAAUUCUUCAACCUUUGAUUUUAAAGCUUCCAUGCUAUUUAUCUGCAAAUAACGAAGUUGAUCUCAGCACGCUAUUAGCAAAACAACGAGGCUUGAUCACCAGACAAAAUGAGAACGUUUAAUUACCUUUUUCUGUACUGUGAAUGGACGUCUAUUAACACCAGCUUUGACCAAUAAGAGCAAAAUGCAAAGGCGGGGCUUUAAGAGUUUCGGUGGCCUUUAGCUGCAAAACAGCAGAUGACAAAUAAGGUAAACGUUCCCAACAAACGUGAUUUACGGUGGAUUAUAUUCAAAUUAGAUUAUUUUAAAAAUUUUUAAAUAAAAGUAUCAAACAACAAAUUAAGCAAAUCUAGAUAAACCUAAAAUUGCAUUGUGCGUUGGUAAAUUAUUUAUUACUCUAUCUUAAUGAUACCUUAUUUGGGAUGGUAAAGAUUGGGGUAAAUUCCCUUUUAUUCUCACGUGUUUAUAGUUAUUGAACAUCCAUGUCACUACUUUUUAAAGAUUGGGGUAAAUUUCCUUUUAUUCGGGUGAAGAAAUUCCCUUUUAAAAAUUACCUAAAACAUUAAUGUCACUACUUUUAUAGCUAUUGAACAUAUCAUUUUAAAUAUAAAAUACUAUUUCUUUCUAAUAUAAAUUAAAAAUCAAACAAAGCUAUCAUGCAACAAAUGAAAAGUAAAGAAUAUUAAUUAGGUUUCAAUGGCACCAAAUAUAAAAUAUAGCGGUUUUAAGUAAUUUUUGUUAUUUUUUAAUGUUCAAUUUAGAAUUGAAUAAUUUGCAUAAUGAAAAUUUGAGGUUUGUAUAAUUUAUAUGAAGAUAAACUGCAAAAUAAGUUUAUAUGCCGAAAUUAAAAUAGUUAUAUAUUAGCAAUCAUAUAAUAAUCAAAAUUUUUAAUAAAAUUUAUUUAAAAAUUGGCCAAUUGUGUUUCAUGAGGAAAACAGAGAGCAUAAUGGACUUAUGUUGGGUCUUGGGAUUGAAAUACUAAGUGGCCGGGAGGUAGGACGGUAGGAAAAUUAAUUUUAUUUUUAAAGUAUGGUCAACAUUAGUGACUUGGAGGUGAUUGCCGUUAAUAAAUUAUCUUUAACUUAAGAAUUAAUACAAACAAAUGGCAAGAAUAAUAUAAUGAAAAUUAAUGUAAUAAAAAUUUGCAUUAAAAGACUUAGAACUUAAAAUUCUCGACCAUUUUUAUCUGUAUGUUUUUAAUCCAACGUGCAAAAUUGGCAUAAAACAAACUAGUACAGCCAUUAAAAGUAAAACAAACGUCAAAUUAAGAGCCUAUGAAACAAUAAGAUCUCGUACCUUCUUCGUUAUAGAUCCUCAAUUACUGCUGAAAGCUUCAGUUAAGAGAGUGGCACAAGGUCGGAGAAAAUUAAAAAGCUGCAUCCAGCAAUAUAAAUAAACAUCAGAUCUAAACAACAUAGCAUAUAUCUAGCUAACUAAACAUCAUCUAUAAGUCAUUGUUCUCUGUCAAAUCUUUCAUUCUUAGAUUAAAAAAAAUUUGAAAUAAUAACUGUUAAGUGAUAUAGGAAGCAGAAGUAACGUACCCAAAAUGAGAGCAGCUAGUUCACAGAUGACAUAUCUGGUGACUGCAAGAGCAUGAAAAAUGAUUGAACUUUGGUAUAAAGGUCUGAGUCAUGUUUCACAAGUUGCUAUUGACUUCGUAGCUUCGCUUUUAUUUAUUAUUAUUAUUAUUUUUUUAAAUUCUAUAUCAGUGAGAAUUGAAAUGAGGAAAGUGAGAUGACACGCAUGCCUUAUCAUCUAUGAUGAGGGGUAAUUUGGUAAAGCUAUUUUAAAAUAAAAAAGUUUAAAAAAAUUUCAAAAAGAAGCUUUGUGUCUAACUGCUCGUAUUUGGGGUAUCUUUCCGGCUGUUGAGAGAAUGAGUUUAAUUAAUUAAAUAUAAGAUUUUCAUUUUUCUUAUUAUAUAUUUCUCUUUAGAAUGAAUUUAAAUCUCAUUCUUAUUAAAUUCAUUCUUUUUAAAUGAAAGUAGAUUUAUCGCCAUAAAUUUUGAGUAUAUUUUACAAUUAAUGUUCAACAUAUCUCUAAACUAUAUUACAAAUAUUUUUAUUUAAAAUCUCAACAGAUUUCAUAACAUAUAGAGAAAAAUAUUUAUAUAUAUUGUAAUGUUCUAAUGAGGGAUCUCUAAAAUUAUUAAGUUAAAAAUAAAUAAAAAAUAAAAAAUACACGUUUUAACAUAUAAUAUAAUAAAAUACAGUGUAUUAAAGUGAAUAGUUUACUUAUUUUUUUAAUUUAUUUCUUAUUUUAAUAAUUUAAAAUAUUUAUUAUUUAAUAAUGAUUAUAUAUAUAUAUAUAUAUAUAUAUAUAUAUAUAUAUAUAAAAUUUUAAAAAAUAAACAAUUUAAGCGAAGCAAAGGACGUUUUGAAGGCUUCUACCAAUUUACCAUUUUGGACUGCAAUGAAGUGAAAACAGUAGACUACCAAUAUACCAUUUUGGAUUGCAAUAAAGUGAAAAUGGGUUACUUUCAAAAAAGAAAAGGUGACAGUGAGUUUUCCAUUUCAUCUUGUCGGUAGGGGUGUCAAAAAAACCCGCCCGAACCGGAUCCGGCCCGGACCCGGCCAAUCCGAUCUGGGCAAAACCCGGACUGCAUAUACUGAAAAAGCGGAUCUGGGUUUCAGAAUUUAAAACCUGGACAUUUCCGGGCACGGUUUCGGGUUCAGCAUAAAAAACCCGGAACCCGAACCCGGUUUUUUAAUAAACUUAAAAAAAAUAUAUAAAAAAAACCAAAAAAAUUAAAACGAGUUACCCAAAUCGCAAAACACAAAUGCCCAAAUCCAAAAAUCCCUAAUUCCCCAGUUACCCAAACCCAAAGGCAUAAGCAGCAACCCUGCCACCGGCUACCCACCGUCACCGUCGGCCAGCACCCACCGUCAGUCCGUCACCGUCGCCCCUCGGCAUCAUCUCUUCUUGUUUGGCAUUUGCUGACUCGGUUUUGCUCGGUUGCGGCUGUGACGUGAGUCGUUCGUGCAGUGCAGUGCAGCCCCCUCCGGCGCCGUCAACGUCAGUGCCACCGUCUCCAACUCUCCAUUGCCACUUUCUCAUCCACCAUCAGUCCAUCACUCUACCAUCACAGCCACCACUACCAGCCUCAGGUAUUGAUUUUUUCCCUCAAAAUUUUGCCUUCCCAGUUGCAUUUUUGCCGAUUCAUAAUCUUUAUAGAAUUACAAUUUACAUCAUUUUGCUUCUCUGUUGCUACUCGUGUUUAUCUUCAACCAAUUUUGUGCAUGGUUGCUGUGAGCCUGUGAUUACUGUUGCUCUUUAUUUUUUUCAGCCAAAUCCUUUUGCCUUUUUUUAAUUUUAUGUUGCAAUGUUAGUUAUGUAAUAAUAAGUUUCAGAGUCCGUUGAAUGACUUUUUAUAAAGAAGCUAAUUAAUGAAACUGGAAAAGGAGAGAAUGGAGGAGAUUGACAUUUACAGGAUGCGAUUAAACAAUUGAAAAGCUAAAAUAUGGCUUAUGGUGACAUUUACACACACACACACACACACACACAAAAUCAAUACUCUCUGUCUCUCUUUUCUGUUCACUUUUCCGUUUCCACACUAAAAUUUGAAAUUUAGUAUAUCUUUGCUAUUGUAACAGCAGAGUAGUGCAAUGUCGGACAACGUGGAAAUCAAUUCUUCGAGUGCUCCAGAUUUAUCUCGUAAUGUCGAAGAUAAAAUUGAUAAUGAGGUUGAGGAAAUUUUAGUGUCAACCGUGAAUGAUAAGAAGAGUAAGGAAGAAACCAGAAAAAAGAAGAAAGUCUCCGAAGCUUAGGAGCACUUUACAAAAAUAAUGGUAAAAGGAGAACAAAAGGCAAAGUGCAUGCAUUGUAGUGCAAUUUUAAAAGCAAAAUACCAAUCUAGGACUUCAACUUUGAAUAGACACGUGGCAUUUUGUUUUAAGAAAAAUCAACCGAAAAUAGAAGAAGCACUUCAGGGAAGCCUUAAAGUGAUUAAAAAAGAGGAUGGAACUUGUGGCAUUAGUUAUGGCAGUUUUGAUCAAAAUGUUUUACGGAGUUUGAUAGCAAGAAUGGUUAUAAUGGAUGAGCUUCCACUUAGAUUUGUGGAAUAUAUAGGCUUCUGAGAAAUGAUGGCACAUGCUAACAGGCUUGGCAAAACCCUAGGUCCGGUCCUGGUUUGGUGCAACCCGGGACCGAAUUGGAUGCCAAAAAUUGAUGCCCGGACCCAGACAAAACCCGGCUUUUGCAUGUCCGGUCCCGGCUUGAGCCCGGCGUGUCCCGGGUCCGGGUUUUUUCUUCCGGGCAUCUAAGCCUGUAAACACUUAUUUCAAAAGUUUUUUCUUUCAUUUUUAUGUCUUUGUAUGUUCGGACGAGAGGAGUAUUCCAAAAAUGAAUUUUGAUUUAUAAGAGAACACGGCGUAAAAGAAUCUUGGACAAUAACUCCAUAGCCAAUUCAUUUAAAGAAUUAUGGCCAUAUGUCACUUCAAGGACACUGAUUCGGUUUUGCUGGUUUUAAAUUCUAAAGGAACAUGGCACUUUUUGAUCAAAGAUAUGGUAAUGACACCUAAAUAUCACCAAACAAGUGAAACAACAAUACAACAUGCAUGCACAUUUCUUGUGUAUCAUAAUACAAGAUAAAUCUCAAGUUUAAGUCAAAGAGAAAUUAGAGAAAUAGUUAAAUACAAACUUAUAACAUACUAACAAUACAAAUUUUGCACAAAUAAUAAAUAAAAAUUCACCUAAUUUCUAACCUAAACUCAUUCAAUCUAUAUAAAAAAAAAAUUAAAUUCAAUAACACAAUAAAUCUAAAUAACAUCCAACAUAUCAUAAGUUCAUAAUUAUGACACCAAUUAUCAAUACAACACAUGAAAAUCUUAAAAUAUUCAACAACUCAAAAAAUAGUUCAUAAAAGAGUCAAAAUACUCCCAUGUAAAAUAAAUAAAUAACAAGCUCAUGUCUAAUUCCAAAUAAAUAAAUAAAAGUUCAUGUCAUGCUACUCGUCGACGCUUGUGGCUCAUCAUCAUCAUCCGAAAUUACCUCUUCCCCAGUAAAAAUCUCAUCCUUCGGAACUCCACCUUACAACAAAAAUAACACAUUAAGAUUCAAAAUAUUUUAAGCAAAUAAAUACUACUAAAAUAUAAUUCAAAUAACUUUAUACCUCGAGAAGUAGAAGCCCAAAUCCAAUUUUGAGCACACAUUAAGGCUUCCAAAGUGUCAGGAAGAAGUUUACUACGAUGCGGACUAAAAAAUCUGCCCCCGGCACUAAAAGCUGACUCAGAGGCAACGGUGGAUACAGGAAUGGCUAAGAUAUCCUUAGCUAACUCAGCCAAAAUGGGAUAUUGGAUUGUGUGCAUCUUCCAAAAAGCUAAAAUAUCAAAGUCCGGAAUGGAAUCCAACAAUUCCUCAUCUAAAUACCUAUCCAACUCCGACUUAGUUACUUUAGCACGUUUAUUUUGGCUUCGAAAUGUUUCAAACUCAUCUACAUCCCAAUACUUAUUCGAAUUUGAACAAUGUUCAGAAUGAGAAAUUUCCAAUCCAACAUUCUGCCCACCACUCACAUGCGCUGCCUUCGAUUCAUAUUCUUUCACUAAAUCAUAACAAAGCUUAUGUGCACACUCAAUAUGCUCAUAUGUUGUAUCACCGUAUAUCUUUGGGAAAUAAAAAUGAAUUAACAUCAUCUUAUAUCUUGGGUCAAGCACAACAACCACAACUAACAUCGGAUGAAUUUCAUUCCAAUAUUUGUCAAAUUUAUCAGCCAUUUUAUCAGCCAUAAUCCUAAUAGCAAGGUUAUCAGCAGUGCACCACCUAUUAAUUGACAAUUUCAUUUUACAUAUCAAUGGAAAAAACAAAUUAGCAAUUGGGUAUUUUGCACCCGAAAACAUCUCCGUUAACAUGUAAAAUGAUUUCAAAUGCUCCACCAUUAUGACUGCCAAAUCCCACUCCUCAUCACUUGGCAAGUUCUUAUACUGAGGCUCACAUUGUUGCAACCAAGAAAAAACACUUCUAUACAUCAAUGCUACUUCAAGCAUGGCAUAAGUAGAGUUCCAACGAGUAGGACAAUCCAAUUUCAAUUUUUUUUACAAUUAAUUUUUAAUUGUCUAGCAGUUAACUCAAAAGUUUCAUAUCUUUUUGGUGUUUGUGUCCAAUAACUCACUCUCUCUCUAAUGUUUCCAAUCCCACUUUCUAUAACUUUCAACCCAUCCCACACAAUCAAGUUCAAUAUAUGAGCAGUACAUCUCAUAUGAGAAAAUUUACCACUAGAAAUUAAGGUAUCGGUAUCAAACCUUAAGAGCAAUUUCUCCACCAUUGCGUCAUUAGUGGUACAAUUAUCCAAUGUCACUGAGGAUAACUUUCUAUCCACGUUCAAAUCCAAUAGGCAUUGUACUAAUUCAUUACAAAGGGCAUCAGCAGUAUGGGGGCUUGGAACAUAGAUGAACCUAUCAAAUAUUCAAAAGUCGGUAUUAAAUACACAAACUUAAAAUAUAUUACAAUUUAAACUUGAAAAAAAAUCUAAUAUAAGUAAUAAAAAACUUAAAAGAAAAAUUAAGCAAAUAAAAAAUUAAGACAAAUUACCUUAAGAUUCGACUAUGCAAUUUCCAGGAAUUGUCAAUGAAAUGGGCCGUCACGACCAUAUAGACAAAAAAAUAUAUAUACAAAGCCAAAAAAUUAAAACUAGUUACUCAAAUCGCAAAACACAAAUGCCCAAAUAUGAAAAUCCUUAAUUCCCAAGUUACCCAAACCCAAAGGCAUAAGCAGCAACGCUGCCAUCGGCUACCCACCGUCACCGUCGGCCAGCACCCACCGUCACUCCGUCACCGUCCCCCCACGGCAUCAUCUCUUCUCGUUUGGCAUUUGCUGACUCGAUUUUGCUCGGUUGCGGCUGUGACGUGAGUCGUUCGUGCAGUGCAAUGCAGCCCCCUCCGGCGUCGUCAGCGUCAGCACCACCGUCUCCAACUCUCCAUUGCCACUUUCUCAUCCACCAUCAGUCCAUCACUUUGCCAUCACAACCACCACUACCAGCCCCAGGUAUUGAUUUUUUUCCUUCAAAAUUUUGCCUUCCCAGUUGCAUUUUUGCCGAUUCAUAAUCUUUAUAGAAUUGCAGUUUACAUCAUUUUGCUUCUCUGUUGCUAUUUGUGUUUAUCUUCGACCAAUUUUGUGCAUGGUUGCUGUGAGCCUGUGAUUACUGUUGCUCUUUUUUUUAUUGGCCAAAUCCUUUUGCCUUUUUUAAUUUUAUGUUGCAAUGUUAGUUAUGUAAUGAUAAGUUUCAGAGUCCAUUGAAUGACUUUUAUAAAGAAGCUAAUUAAUGAAAUUGGAAAAAGGAGAUAAUAGAGGAGAUUAACAUUUACAGGAUGCGAUUAAACCAUUGAAAAGCUAAAAGACGGCUUAUGGUGACAUUUACACACACACACACACACACACACACAAUCAAUACUCUCUGUCUCUCUUUUCUGUUCACUUUUCCGUUUCCACACUAAAAUUUGAAAUUUAGUAUAUCUUUGUUAUUGUAACAACAGAGCAGUGCAAUGUCAGACAACGUGGAAAUCAAUUCUUCGAGUGCUCCAGAUUUAUCUCGUAAUGUCGAAGAGAAUCAGUGUCCUUGAAGUGACAUAAUGGCCGUAAUUCUUUAAAUGAAUUGGCUAUGGAGUCAUUGUCUAAGAUUCUUUUACGCCAUGUUCUUUUAUAAACCAACAUUCAUAUUUGGAAUACUCCUCUCGUCCGAACAUACAAAGACAUAAAAAUGAAAGAAAAUUUUUUUGAAAUAAGUGUUUGCGGGCUUAGAAGCCCGGAAGAAAAAACCCGGACCCGGGACUAAAAUUAAUCAUCUUCAUAUUAUAAAAUAAAUAUAAAAACAACAUUUGAAAAAUAAUGCCAACUACACCCUUAAAUUUUAUGUACGGCACUAGAAUUGAUGAACAAUUUUUGACAAAGAUGUUGCGACCUAAGUAGGGAUGGCAAUUAAAUUCAGAUCCGGCUCAGAUCUGUAAGGAUCCGAAAGAUUCGAAUCUUGAAAAAUUCGUAUCUGCAUAUUAAAAAAUGUGGAUCCGGAUAUAGAAAUUUGGGAUCCGCACGAAUCUAGAUGCAAGUGCAUUCGGAAAACCGGAUAUCGAGAUCCGGAUAAAUUUUAUUUCAAAUUAAAAAUUAAAUUAAAAUAUAUAUUAAAAAUUAAAUGAAAAAUUAAGAAAGUAAAUUUUAUUUAUGGAUUUAUGAUGUCGUUGUAUAUUAUUCAUGUUGAAUUAUUAGUUGUUGGAUUAUGAUUGAAUUUUAUUUGAUAUUAUUGGGCAAAUUAUUGAAUUUUAUUUUAAAAUAAAAGUAUUUAUUAAAAAUUAAAUAAAAAUAAAAAAAAAAUUAAAUUUUAUUUGUAGAUUUAUGAGAUUAUUGUAUGUUAUUCAUUUUGGAUUGUUAAUUGUUGAAUUAUGAUUAAAUGUUAUUUGACAUUAUUAGGUAAAUUAUUAAACUUUUAAAGUAUAUAUUAAAUUAUUUAAUUUUAAUUUUUGCGGAUUUGGAUAUUCAGAAUAUCCGCCCGCAUCGGUUACGGAUAAUACCCGCAUCCGGAUCCACAUCUUUUUCUACGAAUCCAAAUAUAGAAAUAUGAAUGCGGAUCUGAAUUCGGAUUUUGCUGACCCUAAACCUAAGAAUGAAUGUGCCUAAAGUUUUUACGACGAACAUGGAUCAUUCGAUGACACGGCAUGUUUUGCAGCUCACAUUAGUAUAAUUGAAUAAUUAAUUCAUCUCUAUAUUCAGCUUACACUGUCUCAAAUUACAUGCAAAUACAAAAGUACACUUCUGAAUCGUUCACUUGAGGAAAAUUAAUUUUAACUCAAUAAGUCCUAAUUCUCCACGUAGAAUUUUAAUUCAAACCAUAGCAAAUUAGACAUAAUUCUAAUUUAUAUGGGAAAUAUAAUUAGCGAAGACACUCUUUAUAUAAGCAUUAUUGUCAUAGGAUGCCAAACUUAAUAAGAUUCAAGGUCUUAACAGACUUCAUACGAAUUUGAUCUUGGCGCGUACGGACACGCAUAACAUCAAGACUCUACUUCAUAUAACGUAACUUAAUGGAUUUUUCGCUCUCUUGUGAGUCUGUCGUUUGUUUGCAAACUUUUCCAUUUUAAAUUGACAAUUAUAGGCGCUGUGACUGUGAGGCAGUGGUACAUAAAAUAAACGUUUAUUUUUAGAAUAUUAUUAUUUAUCUCAAUUUUUUUAUUUAAUAGUUAAUUUUAAUGAAUUCUUAAACUGUCAUAAUCAAUUAAUUUUUUACAUUAUGGCAUCUUAAAUAAAUUUUGGAUCUGUAAUAAAUAAAAACUGGUAACGUUUGUUCUUUUAAAACAUAAACAACCGUAACAUUGGUUUUUACAUUUUGAAUUUUUCUUGCAUCACUAUUUAAAAAAGGCUCUGGCUAAGUUACGUUAAACGUAACUUACGCCAGACACAUCAACAGUGCACAGUAAUAGAACCUGCUACUGUUGCUGUGCCUGGCGUAAGUUACGUUUAACGUAACUUAGCCGGUUCCUUUAGAAAAAUGAUGUUAAAUCAACUCACAAAAUAUAUCAAGCCAUCUAAAAUCCAAAUAUUAUUACAUUUGUAUUUGCAUUGUUAAAUUGUUGGAACGACGGCAAAGCAAUUGAAGAGAUAUUAACAAAAAAGUAAAGAUUGGCCAAGGAUUAUUCAUGUUUAGGAAAUGCCUUAACUUUUGAUAUAAUCAUUGUUAUAAUUAUAUUGUAGAAAUAAUCAAUUACGUAAUGUUUGUGGUGGUAAAUAUUAUUAACUUGUUUUACUAUACCCGUGUUUAUGGUGGUCUCCUUUUCGUCCAAUUCUGUACAACAAAAUAUUUGCAUGUUUUGAUGGUAGGAUGAAGUAAUAUAGUUUUACAAAUUACCAUAUUAGAGGUUAAAAAAAAUCAAGAGGUUACCUGACAAUUAUGACGUUACUAACUACAAAUUUUAACACAAAAAGUUUAAUUAACUUUUCUUUUUGAGAUAACAAAAUCUCUGGUGUUGAAAACAAUGAGGUUUGAGGUUCAAGCUUGAAUAUCAAGUUACAAUUAAUAGAUGGUCUUAGGACAUAUCAAAGAUUUCUUUAAAGACAAAAUAAUAAUUACAAGCAAUAGGAAUUUAUGGUAUUCAGAACAUGUAACCUUCGCACAUGAAGCUUGAGUCCAGCAAAAGAUGCAGCUAGCCAAAACCCCACAAAAUCUCUGUCAACAUGUCUGUUCUACUUCAAUAUUAAGCACAUUCAUAGCGGUAUCAACAGCUUACAGCUCCAAAAUAUUUUCCCCAAAAAGAGUUGAGAGAUUUCACUGAAGCUAAUUUGUGACUUGUCACUGCUCAAAUGUUCUAUAACACGAUAUGAUUAUUCUAGUAACACAAAUCCAAUAGCAUGCAACAUAAUCUACUCUCUAACAUUGUGCAUUAGUAAAAUAAAACAGAGUAAAAAGAGACACCAUGCCUGUGAAUCUCUUCUUUUCCCCCUACCACCCCUUUUUUUGGUGAAGUCCAUCAAAUGAAAAUGCAGCAUGACCACGUUGGCCACUGCCACUGCCAUUACUUCUUCAACUGUGCCUUUUGUUGCAGGAAAUAUUCAAGUGAAAGAUUGGAUUAUAUAAUUCAAGAUUCCAAUAAACCUGAGCUGCAAAGGUUGCCUUCCACUAGCCUAUCAGAGACUAUGCUUUCUAUUUUCCUAGUUUUUUAAUCAAAAUUUUGCAAGAUUUAUUUAUGGAAAUCUUGGACAAAAUUUUAUGUAAGAUACCAUAAAGCCAAACACAAUCUUUUUAAUUCUCAGCAGCAACAUUUAAAGUAAAAAAAUGGAAGCCAUAUGAAUAUAACUAUGUUUGGUACAAGGAACAAUUAUUUCAAGCUUUCAGAAAUGCUACCAAGAAAUUGUAAGAGAACUUUACCUGGUCACAGAAUAUGUCUAACAUACUACCACCAACUGUCUUCAGCACGAUUGUUAUGAAGUAGCUUUUGAAUCGGAAGAUUCCAGCUUCCACCAGGCACCAUUAUUUUCAUUCUUGAUACACUCUCAUCAUCCCAAUCAAGGCUUCUUCUCCAGCUCUGGAUUAUAAGUCCACUCCGACAUCUUCAAACAUCUCGGUCCUUCCAUUUGCCAACAACCGAUAUGGCUUCCUUCCUUGCCUUCCUCAUUAAUAUAUCACUCGAAGGAAAAAAAGCAUCAGCAAUUCUCUUCAACGCCUCAUCGUUUAUAACCCCCCAAAAAAAGGGUCUUCAGACACCUCAACUUUGCCUUGUGCAAAACCUCCCCAAAAUCUGAAUUAUCCAACACAACAGCCAGAUACUCAAUCCUUCUUUUGUCCAUCAUAUCCACCGUAUGAUUCCUCAACAAAAUAUCUACAGCUUGUGGCUUAUCUAACACUGUCUUGAUCCAAAACCCCGCUCUUUUCAACUCAUCUGCCAAACCAUAACCCACUUUUGGAGUCAAAAUUGUCCUUGCAGCCCUUUUAUAUUUUUCCAUCUCCAUCGAAUACUUGCCACUCAAAUGGAAUUACCAGACAGGAAUCCCAGUAACAAGUCCACUCAACUUCUUCUCAUCCGAUCCCUCUUUCACUCUAGCGGAAACAUUAAUAACCAUUCACCAGCCACAAAUUACCCAAGUAAGUACUCGUGUCGUCAACACUUACCCUUCACUUCAUCUACGCAAACAUGAAUUCAAAUUGAUUAUUAGCUAGUGCUCAAGCGAAAGCCAAAAUAAAUUAAAUAUGUGUGUGCGUGUGUGUUAAAAGAGAAACGGUAGCGAAGUUAUUAUACAAUAAAGCAAACCAAAAUAAAUUCUACACUCAUGUGGGUGUUUCGCUCGCAAAAUCUGGACAAGAAAAAAUAAUAUUGAUACAAUCUCCAAAUAAAGAGCAUUCCUCUUGGUAAAAUAGACAAAUCCUAUAAAUUUUGAUUAAUGGUGCCAAAUGAAAGAGUUGUAAUUUCAUGUACAUUUUGUUAACAUGCAUAAGGGUACAAAAUAGAUAUUAAUGUGACAAAAACAAAGCUAAUCACAAUGAAUGAUAAGGUUUAGAAAUCCCAGUUUGUGUAAAAGAAAGAUAACAAAAUUAAGGAAAACAUAAGCACAACAAAAUUUGACUGAUUAUUAAAAAUGAGAAAUGAGUUAUAAUGAAAAUUUUGGCUUUGUGGUGAAAUAAAUUGGGAAGUAUCCAAAGUUCGCAUGUAAAUAAUAUAAAUGAUAAGAAGACGAAGGGAACAAAAUGAUAAUAAGCAAGCCAAAUAUUAAAAGCCAAAUAUUCAAGUUAGUGUCUCGCUAAUCAUUUUAGACGUAUCAAUUACAAAGGGAGGCCAUCUAUUUAUAGUAAGCGUACUGUUGCGGACCGCCCAAUUCGCUAGCCCAAUUGCCCACAAUUUCAGGCUAGAGAGCCAACACAAGGCCAAGAGUGCUAGCUUGGCCCAAUUCCGGAAAGUUCUAUGCAACUCUAGCACAUGUGAGCUUGUAAAUACUCUAGAAUUCUCUAUACAAUUCCAGCACAUGUAAAUAGCUAGGAAGUGGUAGAAUUCUCUAGAAUCUCUAGAGCUUGGCAAGCCUCCCCUAUAAAUAUGGGAUGGCAUUAGGCAUUUGUAUCCAACAAACACUACAACAAGCAACUCAAGCAUUAUAAUCUCUUUUGUGCAAUACAAGUUUCUUCUUUGGCUCAAUUGCUCUCUCUUCUCUAAUCCGAGAAGUUCUAGGCUUACUUAGCAACAUUCGGCAAAGUUGUCUAAGUGCCGCACGGGUUAGCUGCGCAAAACACUCAUCCCGUGACAGUACGCCUCUAAUGCUUUGCCAGGUGUCCAUUGAUAAUAUCACAAGGAAAAUUAAAUUGGUGUAUGUGUAUUACACCUCCUAAAGUCAUGUUAAGAUAGUUAGCACUCUUGGUUAAGUCUGCUAGAAUUGCAAACGUGUAAAGCUGAGUCAGCAAGUUAGUUAAGGUUAUUAUGAAUGCUUAGAUUCAGCUCAUGUAGAUUGUGUAUACAACUUUCUAAUAUCCUUUAGAUCUCAAUAUGAAUACUUGUAAUCAACAAAUACAAUAAUAAGAGUCAUCAUUCUUCAUUUUCUCUCAGUUUCUCUCAUAUUUUCUCUGCAUCCAAACACAAUAUUCUCAGUUCUUGACUUAGUAUCAGAGUCGCAGUUUAAUUGACGUGGCUUCGUUAAGCACAAAUUCAAAACAAAUCAGUCUCCUUCAUCCUUUACCUUCACAAAUUCGAUCAAACUGGACAGAUCUAACUAUACAAUCUGGAAAUCUCAGAUCCUCUCUUCAGUGCGUGCCAAUGGACUUGAAGGCUUUCUUAAUGGAACUAAAAUUUGUCCAGAUCAGUUACUUACUCAAGAGAUUGAAAGUUAUGGUGCUGAAAAUGCAGUUGGUGAAAGCUCAGCUGAUAGAUCUCAGGAGAAUCCAGCCUUUGUUGCUUGGAAAAUGUAGGAUCAAUUGUUAUUAAGUUGGCUCAUGUCCUCCAUCAGUGUUGAGAUACUUAGUCUUGUGGUAAAUUCUGAUUCUUCUCAUAAACUUUGGACUAAUCUUGAAGAAAAUUUUUGGAUUAGAAACUAUGGCUAAGAAAGCACACUUAAAAAUGAUGUUAAGCAAUCUCAGAAAGGGAUCAAUGACAAUAACUGAGUAUUUUGCCAAACUUAGAGCUGUAACUAAUAAACUUGCUCUAACUGGUAGCCCUGUUUCUACUCUAAGACUUUAUUACUCAUCUAAUCUCUAGAUAAGGCCAGCCAUACUACCCUGUUGUUUUGUAUAUUGAAGCUAAUAUGAUGAAAAUAUUUGUCAAUGAAGCCUAUUCUAUGCUUUUAACUCAUGAAGCAAGAAUUAAAUUUAAUCAUCCGAGUGCAAAUAAAGAAGCAAAGUUGAAUUAUGCUGCUAACAUAGCUUAGGCUGGACCUAGUAAUAACAAUAAGAAUUCUAGUAAUCAAGCUAAUUACUAUCAGGGAAACCAAGGUAACGGGAAUAGAAAUGCUCAUUGGUGUGGUAACAAUGGAGGAAGAGGUGGCUUUGGCAGAGGUUUUUCAGGGCAAGGAAGGGGUAAUUAGAAUAAUGGUGGUCAUUGGAACAAUGGACCUUGGAGUAGUAGUCGAGCAGGUUAUAACCUUUUUAUAAGAAACUCAAAAAUGUAUUAAUGAUGAAAAUUUUAAAACAGAUAGUGGACCAGCUGUUCACUAAGAAAACAAAAAACUGAAUAUUCGUGCUAUAAAAAGGCACAUCCAAUCUCACCCCUACAAAAGGCUAGAAUCAGCGACAAAUCCCUAUCUCAAAACCCCAUCCCAGUUUAGAUGAAUGAAGAAAAAAGAUGAAUCUUGAAACUCCUUAGAAACUGAAGCCCAAAGUGAAGCAAGAAGAUGAACUCUAUCCCAAGCAAGCAAUAUGGCAUAUUUCUCCAUUAAUGGUUCAAAUAAAGUGAAUGGCUUUCUCUGAUGAAUGGGAAAUUUUCAAGAUCAAUAGUCAAACUCACGUAAAGUAAACGGACUUAAUUCUCAAAGGCUACUCAUUCUAAGUCUUAAAGAAAAUUUUUCUAAUUUCUAAAGAUUAUAUGGGGAAAAAUCAUUAUUUUCUAAAAUGGAAAAUUUGAUACGGUGUUUAAUGUUUGAUCACAAUCAUAAUAUGAGUACUAACAAAAACAUCUUUAAUCGGCAUGGUGCGAGUAAAACACUAUCACUUUAUCUUUGAUAGAAAGAUGAUAAUAUAAGGAGAUGGUGAAAUGGUUUUGGUCUCUGGCAGCUUGUAAUCAAAAGAAAACAAAAAACUACACUAUUAUUAAUGAUUAUCGAAGCUACAGAAGUAUCAAAAUCGGAAAGCAAACAAUUGCAAAACACAUCAAUGACUGAAGGUUAGGUUCUAAAACUUCCGUAUUUAAUUUUCAGAGCAUGUUAUGUAUUAUUCAGAAAUAUGAUUUCACUUCAGGCACUAGACCAAGACGCAUUAAACAUAAAACGCGGCGUUUUCAUGGACUAGUACAUUCCAUGCUUCGAAAGUUUAUGUUUUAGACUGAUUGGUUUGAUACAUUAUUUGUUUAUUGUGUUUUUCUUGCUUUAAAUAUUAUGUUGGAUUGAUAAGUUUUGUACACAUUUAUAUUGCUCGCAGUAAAUAAUUUAUGACAUUUAAAAAACUAUCAACCGUCUAUCAAAAGAUUUCUACUAUAAAUAUAUAUACAAAAAAACUUUUAAUUUGGUCAAUUUGUUCUCUUAUUUAUUUUUGUUCUAUUUCUCUUUUCCUUCCCUUUCAUUUUAUUGUUUUAUGGUACAAAAUAAAAAAAUAACCUUAAAAUUUAAGGGUAAAAUACUCAUUUUACUAAAAUUCCGUUUAAUAUUAUAAAGCUGUCAAAUGUCAAUGGCAUAGUACACGAGUGAUACAAAUUAAUAACAAUAAAUUGAAAGUUUUUAUGCAUUUUCCUUUUUUUUUUUUUAUAGUCGAUUGAGAUUUCCCUUCAUAUGUUUAAACCUGUUGAUUUCCUCAACGCUCAUCCUGUUGGAAAACAACUCCUCAGUACUUGGAGUGUCUACUCCGUAGUAACAAGAAGCUAUGAUUGGUGGGCUUGCAGCGUACCCAAGUGCAGCCACCACUCCAGAAUCUGGUACUGCAAUCACGACAUCACACUCAACAGGAGCCUCGGUAGCAAGUACUUCCCCAAAAUGAUACCUCGACUCAUAAACAGACCUUUCAAAAACAACAGAAUUAGGCAAAGCAAAAUAAAUAUGCUUAAAGAUGCACUGCUUAGGUUCAGGGUGAGGCAUCAAACAAGGUGAUUGAACCCCAUCUUUAUCCACCAUCAAAACUUCACCGGGAUAUACCUCUCUCUCUCUCUCUCUCGAGUGUGGCCUCAAUCAAAUAGUGCACAAGUCUCUGACGCAAAAACCAGAGCACCAUUACUCCUCCUACCCAUCACCAACGGCAUAAACCCAUACGGGUCACGAACUGCAACAAGCUUAUCCUCAGUAACAAACACCAUUGAAUAAGCACCCUCAAGCUUCUCACAAACAUCCACAAUCCUCAAAAAGAACGGCCUAGCUUUCGAUAUCGGAAUCAAAUGGAGAACAACCACAGUAUCAGAACUAGUAUUAAAAAUGGAUCCAUUAUCUUCAAGCUUAGCCCUCAAAGUAUUACAAUUAACUAAUGUGCAACACCAACAGAACCAAACCUGUACCCAGCAACAAAAGGCUGCACAUUCUUAAGCAUAGAACUACCCGCAGUCGAAUAUCUAACAUGACCAAUGGCCAUAUCACCCGGCAAUUGAUCAAGUUUGGACUGAUUAAACACAUCAGAGACUAAACCAACACCAGUAAUAGACUGAAGAGCUUUGUUAUUCACAGCAACUAUACCUACACCUUCUUGGCCACGAUGCUGCAGCGCGUGUAGCGCCAAAUAGCACAAACGCGAGGCCUCUGGGUCACCAUAGAUGCCCACAACACCACACUCCUCGCGGGGUUUACCGUCGUCGUCAUCAUCAAAACUGCCAAAACCGUCAUCUGGGUAUUCUUUAUUUGUGGUGAAAAACUCAGAGAUGGGUUUUUUGAUAGAACAGUGAAGUUUUUUUUGUGGGUUAAAGAUUGUUGUUUCUGAGGAAAAAAAGGGUUUUUUUUGCAGGGUUUUGGAGAAAAGAGAAAGAUGGGUUUUUUGCGACGGCUUAGGGUUAACAGAUGGAGAUGGGUUUGAGAGAGGGCAGAUGUUGGCGGUGCCUGUUGUGGUGGCUGCCAUUAAUGGCUGAAUUUAUUAUAAACAGGCAAAAUUAUGGUACCAUUGUUGCAAUCAGCCAUUAGAUUUAUAGUUGUAUAGUUACAUUAACAAGAUUCAAUGGCUGAAAGCAACAGUGGUACCGUACUACUGUUGCAACAUAGCUGGACCCAUUAUAAACACUUGAAGUCAAAGUUAAUGUUUUAAUUGUUAAGAAAAGUUAGAAGAAGAAAUUUUUGUAUAAGAGAAUUGGGUUUAAAUUUAGAAUUCUUUGGGAGGAAAUGAGUCUAAAUUCCAAUAAUAUAAUUCAGCACUAUUUAUAUAUAUCAUUAGUUGGGUGAAAAAUUAAUUUCCCUCCUUUGAUGUGAUUUUCAUCAUUUAUUUUCAUAUAACGGUAAUUUUUUGUUUAGAGUGAAGUUAUUGGCACCAUUUCAUUAUCCUUAUAAAAUCCUACUUCAAAUAAAAUUACACUUAAAGACAAUAGAAUUAAAUAACAUAGUUUUUUUUUCAAACAAAUUACUCACGUUCAUAAUUUUUUUUCUUCUAAUUUUCUACAGAUUGCUUUGUAUCUAACUAAAAUAAAUUGUACAAAUUUAGAAUAAUCUAUUAUUCUUUUUAAAUUUCUUAUUGAUUAAAUAUUUGUAUGCUUAAGAUAGUUUUAAAAUUAUAAGAUAAAAUAUAUAUAAUUUAAGCCAAUGAUUAAUAUUAAAAAAUUUAUCUCUCAUAAAAGUUUUUAAUUUGUGCGUAGGGUAAUAAUAAAAUUGCAAAAGAAAUGAAAAAUAGCAUAGCACUAUUUUGAGUUUAAACAAUAAAAAAUUAAAUGAAAAAUUAGAAGUGUAUUUAAAAAAAGGAUAUUUUUGAAAAUAAAUAUAAUUUAAAAAAAAAAGAGUUUCAUGAGGGGUGCAAUAGUUCAACUCUUUUGUUUAUAAGUUUUAAGAUGUUGGUAUCCGUAGCUUAGCUUUUCCCUAAUUAUUAUAUUAAAAUGUAACAACAAUUAUGAUCAACCCUAAUUUCAUGGAGGUCAAAGAUUUUGGUCAUGCCACAUUAUUUUUUUUUUGUUUUUAAAAAUAUCAUUUAUUUAUUUUUUUUAAAGGUAAAGAAGUGGGUAAAGUUCAAAUUCAACUUUUAUCCCUUACGUCAUGGCCCCUAAGAUUUGAACUUAGGUGACCAAAUUUAUAAUAAUAGGCAUCUCAAAUUUCAUUUCUAAUGAUAUGCAAUUUAUUAAGUGAUUGUUAAUCUUUAUAAGAUCCGAGUGAAUUAAUUGUAUUAUUUCACUACUAAUUGAUGAGUAUCAUAUUAUUUGGAAUAACUUGUGAAUAAAAAAAUUGUGAUGGAUGAAAUAUUCUUUUGAGAAUUUAUUGACUUAUCUCAUUUAUGAUUUAUUGUUGCAUUUAGGUGAUAUUGCAAAUAAUUUUUCCGAUAAUAUUAUUGUUUUGACGAGUAAGUUUGGAGUAAAUAAUACAUAUGACAAGUGUGAGGUUUGUUAUUGCAUAUAUUUUGUGGAUCCAUUUUAAAGCAAAAAAAAAAAAGGCAUUUCGAUUCAUUAUGAUUCCAGAUAAUAUAUAUGUAGAUCCUCACACAAUUGAUUAAAUAUUUAUAGUAGGAUAGAGUGAUAAAUAGUUUUACAAAAUUAUUGGAAUUAACUAUUUAAUACAUGAGAUCUAUCUCACUAAGGAUAAAAGAUUGCUGCUUCAAAAGCUUGACGUUGCUGGCAACAAAUUUAACACAAAAGUUUAAUUAACUAUCCUAGUUGAGAUAAUAAAAUUUCAUGUUGAAAACAAGAGGUUCAAACCUUCUCAUUCAAAAAAAUAAAGCCAAAAUAUUACAUCUUCCAGCACAUAUAAAAGAUUUUUUCUUCAAAGGCAGACUGAUAAUUCAGGGUAAAAAAACAAAAACAAAAAAAACAAAAAAAAAAAACAAAAGGAAUAUAUGCUAUUCAAGACAGGUAUACCUUGGACAUGAAGUCUGAGUCCAGAGCAAGAAGCAUUUAGCUGAUUUUUCAAUUUCCAAAACCCAACAAAAUCUUUGUCAAAAUAUAUGAUCUAGUCCCAUAUUAAGCACAUUCAUAGUCGUAUCACCAGGUUCAAAAUAUUUUCCCCAGAUAGAGAUAGAGAUUCCAUUGAAGUUGAGUUGUGACUGUCCCAACAUUUUGUAAUUAUAUGGUUCAGUAUACCAUGCCUAUGAAUCUUUUUUUUUUCUUUUUUUCCAUGUUUCGAAGUCUAUCAAAUGAAAAUGUAAUUAUAUGGUUCAGGACACCAAUAUGCCGGAGCUGCAAAGGUUGACUUCCACUAUCCUAUCAGUGUCUAUACUUUCUAUUGAGUUUCCUUGUUUUUUUUUAAAUUGCGAGAUUUAUUUUUGGAAAUCCUUGACACAUUUUAUGUAAGAUACCAUAAAGCCAAAUACAACCUUUUUUAUUCUCAGCAGCAACUUUUUUUUUCCUUUUAAAAAAAGGAAGCCAUAUAAAUAAUGCUUUAAACAUUAUUUGCAACAAGAAACAAUUAUUUCAUGCUUUCAGGUAUUAGAAACUUCCCAAAAAUGCUAGCAAGAAAAUGAAAUGGAACUUUACCUAGUCACGGAAUAUGUACUGCUGUUAGCACAAUUGUUAUGAAGUGGCUUCUGCAUCAGAAGAUUCCAGCUCCCACCAAGCAUUGUUAUCUCUCUUCUGAAUACAAUCUACAUCGCUGGGCAUGAGUUAUAUCAUUAAUGUCUGGAUCCUCACUUACAUCAUCCCAAUCAAGUGCUUUUUCUCCACAUUUGGAUUAUAAGUCCAAUCUCUUCAAAACAUCCUAGUCCUUCCAUCACAACUGAUACGACUUCCUUCCUAAUUACUUUCCCAUUAAUAAAUCGCUCCAAGAAAAAAAAGCAUUAGCAAUUCUCUUCAACGCCCCAUCACUCAUAUCCCCACAACAACCAUCUUCAGCCACCUCAACGUUGCCUCUUGAAAGACCUCCACAAAAUCCGAAUCAUCCGACACAACCACCAAACACCCAAACCUUCUUUUGUCCACCAUAGCCACCAUAUAAUUUCUCAACAAAACAUCGGCAUCUUGUGGCUUAACUAACACCAUCCUGACCCAAAACCAUGCUCUUUUUAACUCAUCUGCAAAACCAUAACCCACUUUUGGAGUCAAAAUUGCGCUUGCAGCCAUUUUAUUUUUUUCCAUCUUUAUUGAAUAGUUGCCAACCAAAAGCACUCUCACCUUCCCUCUAGCUGAUUCUAUUUGAUUCGACCUUUUCUUUUGUUCACCCUCAUGAAUUUGCCUAAAAUGAUUAACAAGUUUGUCAUUAUUAUAAAACCUCCUUCCACAAUCACCAAUACAUACGGCUUAGCAUGCCUAAUUACACCCUUGAUUUCUAAUUGGUUAAACAAUUCUCUUUCUUUCUUUGCUCUCUUACAACUUGAGGCAUAUAACUAAACGCGUGGCUAUUAGCAUUUGCCACCAUGCAUUUAACAACCCCAAAUGAAGAUAUUAAUUUUUUUUAGUUUAAUUGCUGCUUCAAAAUGGGGUACUGAAUUUGGAUUUUGUUAUCCAAAUACCAAAAAUUUCCCAUAUUGUGCUGGACAGUUUUUGGUUCUAAAGUUGAUGACUGGUUUUGCGAAUCAGGCUUUAAAUGAGAACUUCUAAACAAUAAGACAAAUGAGUUUUGAGUUUCUAAUCUUGUAAACUUUGUUCUAUUGUAUAAGUUAUGAAAUCACUGAAACAUCACUACAUCUGCAGGUCUUUAUGUGUCAAUGAACUGCAGAAGCUGAUGAUCUACCUGUAGCAGACUUCUAUUGCCCCUGCCGUUCUAGGAAGACAAACAAGUUCAGGAGCUACUUAUGGACCAAACUCAUAAUAUUGCCACUGCAUACCCAGUAACAGUAAUCAAGUAACAAGUCAAAACGAGAAUCAAACGUAGAAUUUUGAAAUCCAUACGAACUCUAACGUAUUAGAAUGAAAGAAUAAGGACGAUCGAUAAACUAGAAUCAAACAAAAACAUGCCCAGUUAAAAAACGAAGGUAAAUAAAUAAAAAUGGUAUAAAACUGCGAAAGAAAUUAAUAAAAUGAAGAGAAAAUCACAGGAAUCCUAUGAAGAGGAAGGUCAACAAAACCUUCGGGAGCCGAGAAGAUGCCUUUUUUUGUUCACUUUGUGCCUAUACAUACAAUUUUUUUUUUUGUAAUUUUGAAGAAAGUAUUGGUUAAAUAUUGUCAUAACGAAAUAUUAAUAAUAGAUGCUAGCAAUUUCAACAAGGACAAUCUUCGAUUCAAAUGUACCUCUAUGAUAAAGAAAAAGCCAGCUUGGCUAAAUUUUGAGCACCACAUUACAGGAUCUAGGUGCAUGUUUAACUAUGCAAAAUGAAACCUCUAUUAAUUGUAAGUCCCUUGACCUCUGGAACCAGCCAACCAGUCUCUUUCCUGUUAGACAAACUUCCAUCGAUCAGACUAAUAAUAUUUACUAAAUCAUGUUCUACAGUUAAUGGAGUUGGACCCAAGGCAAUUGUUAGAAGUCCGCCUAGACAUAGAGUGCGCUUAGAAGUGGGAUGCUUAGAAAUGGGCCGCCAACACAACCAGCCAACCGUAGUGUGCUUAGCAAAUCACUGAAGCCCGACCCAAGAUCUAGAACUAUCUACAAAUUAUAAAUCAGCUAAAAGUUUCUAAGUUUCUCUACAUAGGUCCCUAGGAUAUUUAUGGAAGUUGCUAGGAAGUUUCCUCCCCUAGAACUCUAAUACCUAUACCCUCUCAUUUGCCCACCAACCACACCACACAGACAAACACUCUAGCAUACACACAAGCUCUCUAGCUUUUGUAAAAAGCUCUCUUGUAUAUUUUCUCUUUGUGAGUAAUAAAAUCAUAUUUAGCCAUAUUGCUACACUUCUCUCUAGUAUUUUCUACAAGUGUUCUUGCUUUGCUAGUUUGAGGAGUGUUCUAGGCUUGCUUAACAACUUGUUCGCUAUAACGACAUCUUGGUCACAAAACAUGGACAUGCAAGAAAAAAAUAAUAUUGAUACGUUCUAAAAAUAAUACGCGUUCUUCUACAGUGAACCAAAAAAUUUAGGCUAAUGGUAGCAAGUGAAUGAUUUCACGUGCAUUUUGUUGACAUGAACGCAAAGGACUUUUUUUAUAGUUUAUAUUGUUUAAUAUAACAUUUGAAUUGUAAAAUAGGGGUACAAAAUAGAUACACGAAGUGAUAAAACUAAGCUGAUUAUAAUAAAUAUUGAAUUAUAAGAUUUAGGUUUAAUCAGAAAGACAUAAGUGGCGCACAAAGUCACGAAUUGAUAUCAUCCACGAUGCAAGUUCAAACAACUGCAUAAUAAGUUACCCCAAGCUAAACUAUUAAUCUAGUAACUAUUCCAGUCGAUGUGGGAUAAUUUUCCUAUCACCAUCUAUCAUGUGCAAGCUGAAUUUUUUGCUUGGUCGUUACAUGUGGUAAAGUAAUAUGAAUCCACUUGUGCAUAAAUUUGGCUCCGAUACUACAUAGACGCCUAUGACCCAAAAUUAUACUUAAAGGUUAUCUCAAGAUUUGAGGAUUGACUCAAGCUAAUAUUACUAUUAGCCUGGUAACCUUUUUUGUUUGUUGAUAUGUGAUAUUUUACCUAUAACUUUUAUUAAUCUUUAUGCUUAUGUUUUGUCAUUUAUCCUAAAAUAUAACAUUAACAAAAGUUCCAAAAUUUCCUUCAAGUGAUAUAUUUGAGACAAGUAAUUUGUGCAAUAACUUUGUAAAUUGAUGAGCAAAUUCGGAGAAAAGAAUAUAUGUGCCAAACAUAACGUUUAUUAUUGUGUUUAUUUGUAGAGCUAUUUAAAGCCCAAAAAAAAGCACCGGUCCGUUAUGAUUUCAAAUAAGUUCAAGCCCUAUGUCAUUAUUGGUACAAAAAUGAAUCAGAAAGGUUAAAACCUAUUUUUAUUUAACUUAUAAACUUAGGAAAUUAUCAAAUGUCCACCCUUAAAUUGCGCUAUUAUAAAAAAAUAUUACAACAUUUUCAAGUUGGAUCAUUCAUCCACCAUAAAUUUACAAUCUGCAUCAUUUAUCCACCAAAUCAUUAACUUCGUCAAAAAGUGAUAGACGUGACAAGGGUAAUUUAGACAUUUAACACAAAAAAUAAAAGAAAAAUAAUCUAAGCUUACCAUGUUAUCAAAAUUGCUACAAAAUUUUAAAUUUGUUCAAUUUUCCAAUCUAAGUUUAUGACCUCCAAGAUGUUAAUUGCAGUUUGUAAUUAAUGACUUCAUAAGGAUAAUUUAGACACUCAAUAUGCAAAAUAAAAAAUAAAAUAAUGGCUUAAAACAUUAAAACAAAAAACUACUUUUUAUAAUUGAUAUUCAAUUAAAUAAACAUAAACUCUAUUUUUUCUUAAUUAAAAAUAUUCUAAUUUAUUUUCUCAAUUUAUCUUCAUAAAUUUAUAUUAGUUAUGGUGCAAAGUAAAAAAAUGUCCUUAAAUCCAAGGGUAAAAUAGCAUUUUAUUUAAAUUCUAUAAAUUAUUCUAACAAUGUUAACAUUUUGGUGGAAGGUUAAUAUAAGUUACAAACUUAAAAUAGAAAAUCAAAUAAAUUCAAAAUUUCAAACUAUUUAGGACAAAUUUAGGAUAUAUGGUUAAUAAUUUUCCUCUGUCUUUUUACAUCAGUUGACAGAAGUUACAAACUUAAAAUAGAAAUCAAAUAAAUUUAAAUUUUCAAAUCAUUUAGGGCAAACUUAGGGUAUAUGGUUAAUAAUUUUCCUAUUUUUUUAACAUUAAAUUGAGUUUCAAAGACAUAAUGGUCAAUUUAUUAUAAUUCUAUUAAUUUUUUAAGGGAAGCAAGCGAUAUAAUGGAUGAAUGAUAUAAAUUGUAAAAUUAAGGUGCAUGAACGAUAUAAUUUUAAAGUAUUGUAGUACUUUUAAUAAUAGAACAAUUUAAAGGUGGAUUGGCGAUAAUUUAAACUUUAAUGAAGCAACUAAAAAAUUUUUUUAACAAAGAAAAAUAAUUGAAUGCUUUGUGAAACCAAAAAUAUUUGAAAUGCUUUAAGAAAAAUAAAGGAAAUUAAAUAUCUUUUUAAAAAACAUAAUUGAGUAAAAUCAUUUUACAAAAUGCUCUUUCAAAUGCACAUUCCACAAGCCAAGAAGGAUGGGUGGCUAACAAAAAUCUCACUUUUUAUGAGUUUAUAAAAUCUCACUUUCGCAAAAUCCAAAAAUAACCAAUACUAUCACACAAAAAAUAAAAAGUAUUGCUGUCACGACAUUACACACUUUCUUCGCCGUCUAGAAAGGUAGAACAUUUUGAAGUUCCUCAAUACAAAAUGCGUGCUAUUACUAAAUUGGCCAAAGUUUUAACAAUUGAAGAAAUAGUGAACUCAAAAGGAACAGGUAAAUUUUGAAGUUGAACAAACCUUAAAGUGCAUACAACAAAGCCUUGAAACUUUAGUCUUCACAAUUUAAUCACGCAAUAAUAUUAAGUAUCCACCUAAAAAACAAGUAUAGAGCAAAGCUUGUUAGCUUCUUGGGCAUUAACUAUGAAUGAUGAGUAAAAUUAAAAAAGCAAACAGAGAAAAUUAUAAGAAGAAGAAAAGCAAACAUUUAAAAAAAAAUUAUGAGAAGGAAAAUUUUGGUAGAACUUCGUGGCUCAUCUGUGAAAUUAAUGUCAAUAUGUAUUUUUAUGUAAAUAUGGUCUCUGGCUUUUAGGAUGAAUCAAUCAGCUACCACAAACGAAAACAUGAACCAACUAUAUAUAGAGUCAAUUAAUUAAAGUUCUCAAGAGCUUACCUCUGCUCCAGAAUUCUCGGAAUCAUCAAUCUCCUUCUGAAUUUGCGCGAAGCUUGGGACAACCAAGAAAGCGUCCAGGUGGAACUGGGUUUGGAUAACCCGCAGGCCAAAAGUUGGUGAGGUUUGGUAAAUUUAUCAGUUCUAUGCCCUGAAGUUCAUUCGUAACAAUUUCAUAGUAAUCCGUGACGUCUGCUCCACCUUUAUGCCAGAAUACUUCUUCUAAUUCAUCAUUACCUACUACGAAUAGGUACUUCAGUUUUGGAAGACUUGGAGCUACGCUGAUAUGAAAUAGAUGCUUUAGCUUGGGGCAAAAACAGACAGUGAUCCUUGUGAGUUUUGGGAAACAUACAGGUUGGAGAUGAUCCUCAUCCUCAUCCUCAUCAAUGAUUUGCUCUAAUUCCAAGCAAUUCGAAACAGAUAACUCCUCCAAUUGCAACAGAUUUCGAGCAAGUGUUGAUGAGAGGAGCCGUCUCAGCAUAGUGCACCGCUCUACUGUUAAUCGGGUAAGAUUUUGCAGGCUAAAAUUAUGCGCGGGACCUUCAUGAUAUAAUACUCUCAGUUCUCGAAGAUCUUCCAAUCCCAACCCUUUCAAACAUGGGAAUGGUUUGUUUGCUUGUCCCUCAGCGAUAAUAGAUUCCGACUGAAACACCACCAGUACUCCAAUUUUGCUAAUAUUCAAUUCUUCCAAAUUUUUUAAGCCGUGCUUCAACAGUACUGGAAUCGUGUCGCUCAAAUGGGAACAAUUGUCCACAUUUAGAAUUUUUAAGUUCUGAGACAAAUAAAUAAAUAACUUGAUGUAAUUAAAAUCUAUUAGCAGCUAGGAUUAUCACAUGAUAAGUGACGAACAUCGCAAAAAACAAAGAAACAAAAUCCAUUCAAAAAUAUAAUUGUUGAAUCCAAAUUAAUCUCCAAGACCAAUUUAGAACCCCCAAGACCCACUCUAAGAAGCUUGAUCUUUGUUCUGAAUUUAAUCACUAAAUAAGUUUUGACAAGAAACAAGAGUACCUACAUGAAAUCAAUCACACAGCUAAAGAAAAUCAGAUCACACACUUAAAACCAGGAUUAUAGUGGUUCGGCCAAGUUUCUUGCCCACAUCCACUGUGGAAAACGAAGCAACCCUUUUACUGAUUUCAGAGAACAAGUUACAAAUCUGGAGAAAAUAUGUAAAUGAAUAGAUAGCCUUUGACAACAGAUCCUAUGUCCUUUUAUACUCCAUUCUGACCAAUCCGAAAGAACCCCAAGAAACCAGUUCACGCUCCUGGGUUUCCAGCCAAGAAGAUCUCCAGCUGCUUCCCGCGUGAGCUAACGGUAAAAACCACUUCUUGAAUUUAGCUUUGGGACACUUGUCAAACAUUCACGCAAACUCUUGAUUAAAACACAGAGAAAGCUGCCGUUUUGAGUUAGUGAAACACGUGACACAUCACGUGCAAUACUAACGGAUCCAGCCGACAUAUCGUUUGUGUCAAACAUCUGUUCUGAACUCCAAUGCCUGACAUGUCGUUUAUCCUUGUUGACAAACAGACGACGUGUCAUACAUAUACCUGAGAUCAGAUUUGACUUCAUAAUUCCAACACUAAUAAUACAUAUGUAAACUAAUAAAAUAAUUAAAAAAUAAUAUGGAUUGAUAAUGUGAAGUGAUAUAAAGGUGACAUUAGAUUGUUUGAGAAAAAUUAGUAUUUUAUUAAUUUUUAUGGAUUGAUCAACUAAUUAAUUGAAUUUGAGUAAUAUUAUAUACACUUUAGUAAGUGUUUGCAUCAAUUCUUUCUAAACCAAAAUGAGAUAAGACUUCCAUUUGAACAAUGAUUUUAGGCCCUAAAAUAAAGAAAUUUCCCCAAGAUAUUUGAGCAUUAUUAUUAUCAUCACCACAUCCACGAUCAUCAUCAUCUCCAUAGGACCAAAUAAUUAAUGGUUGAUCAUAAAAUUAAUUGCUAAAUUAUCAUUUUGAGUAAAAUUGAAGGAAAAGAAAAAACAUAAACACAAACAAACAUACCUCUUCAAGAUACUGCAAAUUGGCUUCAAGUUCAGUACUGCUGACGGUCAAGUUAGAACAGCGAAUAAGGUCUAACUCUUCCAAUGCUGUCCAAAUUGAACGAUAAUUUUCUGAACAGAAGCUCUUGAGUUUUGGGAGAUUGCAAAGUGUUAAUUUUCUCAACAAAGGGAGGGCAAGCAUCGUAUUUCCAUCUCCGACACUUAUUUCCCCUUCAUUGUGAUCAAACUUUGCUUCGACAAUACAUUCCAUUCUCUGGCAUCCACUGACAAAGAGACUUUUAAGCUGCUUCAAACUUCUAGCUUGUGACAACGUGAAGAUAUAUGUCAAAUUGUUGCACCCAUACACACUCAAUUUUGUAAGAGCUUGGAGGCUGAUCACAUGUUGGGCGGGCGCCUUCCAUAUCCACUUCAGUUCUGGUAAUUGCCACAUAGAUAACUCUGCUAAUCUUGAGAGCAUCACAGGAUUCCCACUCUUUCCGUACGGCGACUUAGAGGCAUCCAUUAUGCAUUCUAAUUCUUUGCACUCAUUGGCAGAAAGACAAGGCAACUCAUUUAAGCCCUUUGGAUCUAUGCUUGGCACAAUAUUGUGACAACCUAUAAUCGUUCUUAAAUUAAGAAUUUCCAGUUCUUGAUACAAUGUCGAAAAAAUACCGAGCGAGGUCGCUUCACAAUUAUUAAUCUUUAAGCACCUUCUCUGUCCAAAAAUUUCAUCUUCUUCGUCCAUUAGAAAUUCAAGUUUGUUACCGUUACUGACGUAGUGCCUUUGCAAUUUCGGGAAUGUAAAGUCUUUUGGAAGACGUGCAAUUUUUUUGUCAGUAUGUAAAGUCUUUCCAUCGUCAUUUUCUUCUGAACUCAUCCCUUCAGCCUCCCAAUCUUUUAUCCGACCAUAAAAUUCUUCUAAUUGAGGAAAUUUUUUUAUCGUAAUGGGAGAAAUACGACCAGAAUUAAUUAAUAUAAGAAGUUUCAAUGUACUAAGUUGAUCCCCAAAUUCUUCAGGAAUUUCAAUGGGAGACCCCUUGACACAAAGGAUUUGAAGUCUCUUCAACUUUCCAAGGAAAGACGCGUCACUCAUGUUACAUCGAAUCAACUGCAGAACUUGGAGGUUGGUGAGGAAUUGAAGCGAUUUAAGUGAAAUGACUCCUCCUAUUAUAGUAACAACUUUCAAUGCUGGCAUCCCUUCGAAAAAAUGUUCUGGAAUAUGCAAUUGAUAGUCAUAUUCAGUAUUCUCCAGUCGCAAAAUAUGAAGAUUAGGGCAUACCAAACCACUUGGAAGCUCUUCUUUUUCAUUUCCCAUCAAAGAGAUUCCUCUGUAUUGUUCCACUGCCCGUUCUGCCAAUCCAAUGCCAACUUUACUAGUAAAAUAUUUUUUCUCCAUUGAGCCUAUCCAUAAGGCUACGUCACGUACAAUGUCAUGCAUUUUUACAAAUCUGUCAUUACCAGCGUCUAAUAGCAGUGAAGAAGCUUUGAGCUCUUUAAUCGUUCCACUCACUAGGCUCCUGGAAUCUUCGAUUGACUCAGCUUGAUACCAAUCCAACGCCACUGCAUAUCCAACCAAAUCCUCCAAAUCUAUCUCAUAAUCUUCUGGAAACAGCGAACACAACAAGAAGCAUGACCUGGAAUCGUCACCAUUCAAAUAAUCGUAACUAAACUUGAGACAAUGGUAAACGUCUUGGUCUUCCUUGCCAAUACCUUCUAUUGUAUUAAGUUUUGCAUUUUUUAGUUUAUGCAGAGCUACUUUCCAUUCACCAUAUCCUUUACCGCUUAGUGCACUUCCAACAGCUUUAAUAGCCAAAGGCAGCCCCUUACAUUCAUCAGCAACUCGUUCUGAAACACCAAUCAAUGAAUCAGCAUCAAUGCCGGCAUGCUUUCUUAGUAAAGCCAAUCCUUCUUCUCGCUUUAGAACACCUAGUUGAAUCCGCGUGUCACAACCCAUGCGAUCACAAACUGGCUGAAGGCGAGUGGUUAGAAGGAUUUUGCAACAAUUGUCUCUAUCACCAACAGGAAUACCUACUGUCUCCAAGUCGAGUUCAUUCCAGACAUCGUCAAGGAUUAUGAGGAUCUUGCGGCUUUUACUCUUAGAGAACAUCAAGCGCAAUCGGUCUGCUCUAUCAUUUUCAUCUUUCUCCGUUAAUGCCCAACCUAACGACUUUACCAGCUCACUUUGAACAUUUAUUAUAUUUGGAUCCCGAGAUAUAGUGGCUAUCCCUACGUCAUCGAAAAUCUUUUGCUGCCGAAGUUGAUUGCCCGCAAAUUUUGCCAAGGUCGUCUUUCCUACACCACCGAGGCCAUGCAGUCCCACCAUUUUUGUGCUUUCUCUUUUCAGUGAUUCAAUGAUCUGAUUGCAAGCCAGUUCUGUAGUCUCGAAAGACGUAAAAUGUCUUGGUGCGGGUAAUUCUUUGUUUGAUGGUAGAGGUUUAGGACGGGCAACUGUGCUGAAUUUGUCGCAUUUCUUUUAUAGAUCGGACAACUUGCGAGUCUCCUUUGAUGCUUUUCUACCCAGCCAAUAUAGGCAACGCCAAUUAGGACACCAUCCAUUAAGACAACUUUUGUUUUCAUCUAUCUUUGCUUUCAAAUUUUGAACAUUGGCCAUUUCUUUGACUACAUCCGCCAGCCACUUCUCUACAUCUUUCUCGACUACUAUGGCGCGGUGUUUUUGUCGAUAUUGUUCUACUUUUUCAUUGACGCCAUCUUGUGCCUCCUUCAAAUUAGUUUCUUUAUCCCCAAGUUCUUUAAUAAUGCUGUUGAAGCAGAACAGAUAGCGAGCUUGGUUUAUGGUUGCGUCCGCCAAUAAUUCUCCAAGCUUUGAUGAAACACCUGAUAAAAUUUCCAUGCUAUUUAUCUGCAAUUAAUGAAAUUGAUCUCAGUAUGCUAUAAGCAAUUAAAACAACAAGGCUUGAUUGCAAGAUCGAACGUGAACGUUUAAUUACUUUAAUUUUUUUUUGGCUUAUUAACGCCAGCAUUGAAAUUAGAUUACUUUAUCAAAACAAAUUUCAUAUUCACUAAAAUUAAUCAUAUUCAUAUUAUAAAAUAAAUAUAAAAACAAUAUCUGAAAAGUAAUGCUAAAUCCACUCUUAAAUUUUAUGUACCGCAUUAGAAUUGAUGAACAAUCUGACAAAGAUGCUCGACUUAAGUAGGGAUGACAAUUAAAGCCGGAUUUGAAAAAAUUCGUGUCUCCAAAUUAAAAAAUGUGGAUUCGGAUAUGGAAAUUUGGAAUUCACACGCAUCCAUAUAAAUUUUAUUUUAAAUUAAAAAUAUAUAUUAAAAAUUAAAUAAAAAACUAAAAAAUAAAUUUUAUUUGUGAUUUUAUGAUGUUGUUGUAUAUUAUUCAGGUUGAAUUAUUAAUGGUUGGAUUAUGAUUGAAUUUUAUUUGAUAUUAUUAGGUAAAUUAUUAAAUUUUAUUUAAAAUUAAAAAAAUAUAUUAAAAAUUAAAUAAAAAAUAUAUUUUAUUUAUAGAUUUAUGAGAUUAUUUUAUGUUAUUCAUGCUGAAUUAUUAAUUGUUGAAUUAUGAUUGAAUUUUAUUUGAUAUUAUUAGGUAAAUUAUUGAACUUUUAAAUUAUAUAUUAAAUUAAUAUCCAGAAUAUCCUCCAAUAUCCGUUGCGGAUAUUACCCGCUUCUGGAUCCACAUCUUUUUAUACGAAUUCAGAUAUAGAAAUAUGAAUGCGAAUCCGAAUCUAGAUUUUACCAACCUUGAACCUAAGCAUGAAUGGGCCUAAAGUUUUUACAACAAACAUGGAUCAUUCAAUGACACGAGAUGUUUUACAGCUCUCAUUAGUAUAAUUAAAUAAUUAAUUCAUCUCUAUAUUCAACUUACUCCGUCUCAAAUUGCAUGCAAAUACGAAAAUACACUUCUGAAUCGUUCACUUGAGGAAAAUUCCAAAUUCUCCACGUAGAAUUUAGAUUCAAACCAAAGCAAAUUAGACAUAAUUCUAAUUUAUAUGGGAAAUAUAAUUAGCGAAGACACUCUUUAUAUAAACAUUAUUGUCAUAGGAUGCCAAACGUAAUAAGAUUCAAGGUCUUAACAUACUUCAUAUGAAAUUUGAUCUUGGCGCGUACCGACACGCAUAACAUCGAGACUCUACUUCAUAUAAUGUAACUUCAUGGAUUUUUCGCUCUCUUGUGAAAUUGACAAUUAUAGGCGCUGUGUGGCAGUGGUACAUAAUAAAAUAAACGUUUAUUUUUAGAAUAUUAUUAUUUAUCUCAAUUUUUGAUUUAAUAGUUAAUCUUAAUCAAUUCUUAAACUGCCAUAAUCAAUAAAUUUUUUACAUUAUGGCAUCUUAAAUAAAUUUAGGAUAUGUAAUAAAUAAAAACUGGUAACGUUUGUUCUUUUAAAGCAUAAAACAACCGUAACAUUGGUUUUUACAUUUUGAAUUUUUCUUGCAUCACUGUUUAGAAAAAUGAUGUUAAAUCAAUUCACAAAAUAUAUCAAGCCAUCUAAAAUCCAAAUAUUAUUACAUUUGUAUUUGCAUUGUUAAAUUGUUGGAACGACGGCAAAGCAAUUGAAAAGAUAUUAACAAAAAAGUUACCUAUUGUUUGUGGUAGUAAAUAAUAUUAACUUGUUUUACUAUACCCGUGUUUAUGUUGGUCUCCUUUUUGUCCAUUUCUGUGCAACGAAAUAUUUGCAUGUUUUGAUAGAAAUUGGUUUAAAUGACAUUUAAAAUAGUAUAUCCCCAGACAAUUGACGAAAUAUUUGUAUGGUAAGAUGAAGUAAUAAAUAGUUUUACAAAUUACCAUAUUAGAGGUAAAAAAAAAUCGAGAGGUUACUUGACAAUUAUGACAUUACUAACUACAAAUUUAACACAAAAAGUUUAAUUAACUUUUCUUUUUGAGAUGGCAAAAUCUCUGGUGUUGAAAACAAUGAGGUUUGAGGUUCAAGCUUGAAUAUCAAGUUACAAUUAGUAGAUGGCCUUAGGACAUAUCAAAGAUUUCUUUAAAGACAAAAUAAUUAUUAUAAGCAAUAGGAAAUUAUGGUAUUCAGAACAUGUAACCUUCGCACAUGAAGCUUGAGUCCAGCAAAAGAUGCAGCUAGCCAAUCCUUCAACUUCCAAAACCCCACAAAAUCUCUGUCAAUAUGUCUGUUCUACUUCAAUAUUAAGCACAUUCAUAGCGGUAUCAACAGCUUACAGCUCCAAAAUAUUUUCCCCAAAAAGAGUGAGAGAUUUCACUGCCUAAAUGUUCUAUAACACGAUAUGAUUAUUCUAGUAACACAAAUCCAACAGCAUGCAACAUAAUCUACUCUCUAACAUUGUGCAUUAGUAAAAUAAAACAGAGUAAAAGGAGAAACCAUGCCUGUGAAUCUCUUCUCUUACCCCCCCACCACCCCUUUUUUUGGUAAAGUCCAUCAAAUGAAAAUGCAGCAUGACCACAUUGGCCACUGCCACUGCCAUUACUUCUUCAACUGUGCCUUUUGUUGCAGGAAAUAUUCAAGUGAAAGAUUGGAUUAUAUAAUUCAAGAUUCCAAUAAACCUGAGCUGCAAAGGUUGCCUUCCACUAGCCUAUCAGAGACUAUGCUUUCUAUUUUCCUAGUUUUUUAAUCAAAAUUUUGCAAGAUUUAUUUAUGGAAAUCUUGGACAAAAUUUUAUGUAAGAUACCAUAAAGCCAAACACAAUCUUUUUAAUUCUCAGCAGCAACAUUUAAAGUGAAAAACGGGAAGCCAUAUAAAUAUAACUAUGUUUGGUCAAGGAACAAUUAUUUCAAGCUUUCAGAAAUGCUAGCAAGAGAUUGUAAGAGAACUUUACCUAGUCACAGAAUAUGUCAAACAUACUACCACCAACUGUCUUCACCACGAUUGUUAUGAAGUAGCUUUUGAAUCGGAAGAUUCCAGCUUCCACCAGGCACCAUUAUUUUCAUUCUUGAUACAAUCUGCAUCACUGGCAUUAGUUAUAUCAUCAACAUUUGCAUCCUCACUCUCAUCAUCCCAAUCAAGGCUUCUUCUCCAGCUCUGGACUAUAAGUCCACUCCGACAUCUUCAAACAUCUCGGUCCUUCCAUUUGCCAACAACCGAUAUGGCUUCCUUCCUUGCCUUCCCCAUUAAUAUAUCACUCGAAGGAAAAAACGCAUCAGCAAUUCUCUUCAACGCCUCAUCGUUUAUAACCACCCAAAAAAAGGGUCUUCAGACACCUCAACUUUGCUUUCGGCAAAACCUCCACAAAAUCUGAAUUAUCCAACACAACAGCCAGACACUCAAUCCUUCUUUUGUCCAUCAUAUCCACCGUAUGAUUCCUCAACAAAAUAUCUACAGCUUGUGGCUUUUCUAACACUGUCUUGAUCCAAAACCCCGCUCUUUUCAACUCAUCUGCCAAUCCAUAACCCACUUUUGGAGUCAAAAUUGUCCUUGCAGCCCUUUUAUAUUUUUCCAUCUCCAUCGAAUACUUGCCACUCAAAUGGAAUUACCAGACAGGAAUCCCAGUAACAAGUCCACUCAACUUCUUCUCAUCCGAUCCCUCUUUCACUCUGGCGGAAACAUUAAUAACCAUUCACCAGCCACAAAUUACCCAAGUAAGUACUCGUGUCGUCAACACUUACCCUUCACUUCAUCUACGCAAACAAGAAUUCAAAUUGCUUAUUAGCUAGUGCUCGAGCGAAAGCCAAAAUAAAUUAAAUAUGUGUGUGUGUGUGUGUUAAAAGAGAAACGGUAGCGAAGUUAUUAUACAAUAAAGCAAACCAAAAUAAAUUCUACACUCAUGUGGGUGUUUCGGUCGCAAAAUCUGGACAAGAAAAAAUAAUAAUGAUACAAUCUCCAAAUAAAGAGCAUUCCUCUUGGUAAAAUAGACAAAUCCUAUAAAUUUUGAUUAAUGGUGCCAAAUGAAAGAGUUGUAAUUUCAUGUACAUUUUGUUAACAUGAAUAAGGGUACAAAAUAGAUAACAAAGUGAUAAAAACAAAGCUAAUCACAAUGAAUGAUAAGGUUUAGAGUAAACAUAAAGUUAUAAUCUUGAACAUAAGUGGCGCUCAAAGCCAUGAAUUUGAUAUCAUCCAUGAGGGGAGUUCAAACAACACCAUGUAAGAAGCAACAAGUGUUGAGAAAAAAAAAAAGUCAUUCUAACACAACAGAAUAAAUUGUAAAGAAAUCCCAGUUUGUAUAAAAGAAAGAAAACAAAAUUAAGGAAAGCAUAAGCACAACAAAAUUUGACUGAUUAUUAAAAAUGAGAAAUGAGUUAUAAUGAGAAUUUUGGCUUUGUGGUGAAAUAAAUUGGGAAGUAUCCAAAGUUCGCAUGUAAAUAAUGAAAAUGAUAAGAAGACGAAGGGAACAAAAUGAUAAUAAGCAAGCCAAAUAUUAAAAUGCAGAUUCUACGCUUCCGCCCCCCCCCCCCCCCAUACUUCAAGUUAGUGUCUUGCUAAUCAUUUUAGAUGUAUCAAUUACAAAGGGAGGCCAUCUAUUUAUAGUAAGCGUACGCCUCUAAUGCUUUGCCAAGUGUCCGUUGAUAAUGUGCUGAUAAAGUUUGUUGCACGUAUGAGUUGGUUAAGUCUGCUAGAAAUGCAAACGUGUAAAGCUUAGUUAGCAAGUUAGUUAAGGUUGUUACGAAUGCUUAGAUUCAGUUCACGUGUAUUGUAUGUAAUGCUUAGAUUCAGCUCAUGUAGAUUGUGUAUACAACUUUCUAAUAUUCUUUAGAUCUCAAUAUAAAUGCUUGUAAUCAACAAAUACAAUAAUAAGAGUCAUCAUUCUUCAUUUUCUCUCUGUUUCUCUCAUAUUUUCUCUGCAUCCAAACACAAUAAUCUCAGUUCUUGACUUGGUAUCAGAGUUGCAGUUUAAUUGUCAUGGCUUCCUUAAGCAUUCAAACACAAAUCAGUCUCCUUCAUUCUUUACCCUCACAAAUGCGAUCAAACUGGACAGAUCUAACUAUACGAUAUGCAAAUCUCAGAUCCUCUCUUCAGUGCGUGCCAAUGGACUUGAAGGCUUUCUUAAUGGAACUAAAAUUUGUCCAGAUCAGUUACUUACUCAAGAGAUUGAAAGUUAUGGUGUUGAAAAUGCUGUUGGUGAAAGCUCAGCUGCAAGCUCAGCUUAUUAAGUUGGCUCAUGUCCUCCAUCAGUGUUGAGAUACUUAGUCUUGUGGUAAAUUCUGAUUCUUCUCAUAAACUAUGGACUAAUCUUGAAGAAAAUUUUUGGAUUAGAAACAAUGGCUAAGAAAGCACACUUAAAAAUGAUGUUAAGCAAUCUCAAAAAGGGAUCAAUGACAAUAACUGAGUAUUUUGCCAAACUUAGAGCUGUAACUAAUAAACUUGCUCUAACUGGUAGCCCUGUUUCUAGUCUAGACUUUAUUACUCAUCUAAUCUCUAGAUUAGGCCAGCCAUACUACCCUGUUGUUUUGUAUAUUGAAGCUAAUAUGAUGAAAGUAUUUGUCAAUGAAGCAUAUUCUAUGCUUUUAACUCAUGAAGCAAGAAUUAAAGCUAAUCAUCCAAGUGCAAAUAAAGAAGCAAAGUUGAAUUAUGCUGCUAACAUAGCUUAGGCUGGACCUAGUACUAAAUAACAAUAAGAAGUCUAGUAAUCAAGCUAAUUACUAUCAGGGCAACCAAGGUAACUGGAAAACAAAUGCUCAUUGUUGUGGUAACAAUGGAGGAAGAGGUGGCUUUGGCAGAGGUUUUUCAGGGCAAGGAAGGGGUAAUUAGAAUAAUGGUGGUCAUUCGAACAAUGGACCUUGGAGUAGUAGUUGAGGAGGCUAUAAUGGUUCUGAUAUAAACAAUAUGACAUGGUUGCUGGUGAACUUGUAAACAUAACCGAAAAAGUAAGAAGGCAUAAUUUUUUAAUAAGAAACUCAAAAAUGUAUUAAUGAUGAAAAUUUUCAAACAGAUAGUGGACCAGCUGUCCAGUAAGAAAACAAAAAAUUGAAUAUUUGUGCUAUAAAAAGGCACACCCAAUCUCACCCCUUUAAAAGGCUAGAAUCAGCUACAAAUCCCUAUCUCAAAACCCCAUCCCAGUUUAGAUGAAUGAAGAAAAAAGAUGAAUCUUGAAACUCCUUAGAAACUGAAGCCCAAAGUGAAGCAAGAAGAUGAACUCUAUCCCAAGCAAGCAAUAUGGCAUAUUUCUCCAUUAAUGGUUCAAAUAAAGUGAAUGGCUUUCUCUGAUGAAUGGGAGAUUGUCAAGAUCAAUAGUCAAACUCACGCAAAGUAAACGGACUUAGUUCUCAGAGGCUACUCGUUCUAAGUCUGAAAGAAAAAUUUUCUAAUUUCUAAAAAUUAUAUGGGGAAAAAUCAUUAUUUUCUAACAUGGAAAAUUUGAUACGGUGUUUAAUGUCAGAUCACAAUAAUAAUAUGAGUACUAACAAAAACAUCUUUAAUCGGCAUGGUGCAAGUAAAACCCCAUCACUUCAUCUUUGAUGGAAAGAUGAUAAUCUAAGGAGAUGGUGAAAUGGUUUUGGUCCCUGGCAACUUGCAAUCAAAAGAAAACAAAAAACUACACUAUCAUUAAUGAUUACCGAAGCUACUGAAGUAUCAAAAUCGGAAAGUAAACAAUUGCAAAACACAUCAAUGACUGGAGGUUAGAUUCUAAAACUUCCGCAUUUAAUUUUCAGAGCAUGUUAUGUAUUAUUCAAAAAUAUGCUUUCACUUCAGGCAAUUGACCAAGACGCAUUAAACAUAAAACGUGGCGUUUUCAUGGACUAGUACAUUCCAUGCUUCGAAAGUUUAGGGCCCGUUUGGUAGCGUUUUUUACCCAUUGUUUUCAUUUUUGUUUUUAUAAUACAAACAUAAUAUAUGUUUGGUGAGAUGGAUUCAAAAAACAAAUCACAAAAUAACAAAUUCAGAUCCAGUGUUAUAACUACAAACAUGAAAACGUGUUUAACAUGUUUCCUAAAUAUUACAAACUAAACUCAAAAAUAGAUUAAGAAACAAAACUCAUUCUCUUCGGCAGCAACCCUCUCCCCCCUCUCAUCGUUGUCAAUCUGGUCACCCCACCCCCCCCCCCCCCCCCCCGCAAUCGUUAUCGAUCUAGUCACGGCAGCAGUGCUUUCUCCUUUUCUUACUCCAACAACACUUUCUCUCUCCUUAUCUCCUCAUCCUUUUCUUCGGUAGCAGUCUUCUCUCUACCCCUCAUCUUUCUCGAUGUGGUCACGGCAGCAGUUCUCUCUCUCCUUUUCUCCCUCCAACAACACUUUCUCUGCCGCUGCUGCAACUUCGUCUGUACCGCGGCUGUCCUUUGGUGUGCCGUACUCUCUCCGUCGUGGCCGUUGCUGCUCCGUUUGAGCAUAGCCACUGCUGUCCAUCUCCGUGUAGCCACCGUCGCUCCUACUUGAUAGACUGAACUGCUGCAUCUCUCUCGGCUUGCUGGUAAUUUUUUUUAUUUCAAAAAUUUUUUUUUUAUUUCAGUAAUUGUUUGAAUAAUUUUGAGAGAUUUUUUAAAGCAUGUUAAUUGUGUAUUCCCUCUAUUCAUGCCAAAAUAAUUUUGAGUAAUUGUUUUAGAUUAUGAGUAAUUGUGUUGAUUUGAAAACAAAACCGUGUGAAUAUAGUUUUGCUACACUUUGAUUUUGUUUGCGGAAUGGAAAAAAAAGGAAGCGAUGAACUGGAAUUGGGGGAUUUAAUUGUUGUUAUGUUGUUGCUUCGUGUGCUUUGUUAUUAUGAGUUUUAAUAAUUUUGAGUAAUUAUUUUAGAUUAUGAGUAAUUGUGUUGAUUUGAAAGCAAAACCGUGUAAAUAUAUUUUUGGUACACUUUGAUUUUGUUUGCGGAAUGAAAAAAAAAGGUAGCGAUGAACUGGAAUUGGGGGAUUUGUAUUAUGCUGCUGCUUUAAUUGUUGCUAUGUUGUUGCUUUGUGUGCUUGGUCAUUAUGAGUUUUAAUAUUUUCUCUAUGUCAUUGAAUCGAAAUGCAAGCUGGAAAUUGUAAUUUCAGAUAAAUAUAUUUGGGGAAAAGGAUGAUUGCCGAAUAGCAUUGUAUUUGUGUUUUAAGGAUGAAGAAUACAAAUAUCUGUUUUUGUUUAUGCCAUGAAAUUCUUUAUGCCAUUAAUUUGAAUUGGUGAAGUUGUAUUGGAAUAUUUUUUAUUUUGGACUGUUGAAUUUUUAAUUUAUGACAUAUUGGUAAAAUGGCUUUCAUGCUAUGUUGAAUUUGAUUAAUUUCAAAAGUUUGAGCUAUGUAUGUUUAGAAGUAGUUUAUUUAAUUUCAUUAAUAUUUGAUACAUGUUAUUUUUUCUAAUUUUCUAGUAACAAGAUAUGGAUCCACAUGAUGUUGAUGGUGAGGAUAGCAAGAUUUGGUUACCAGCGAAUGUCGCAGAGAUGAAUGCUAUAAGAGAUGGGAUUGCAGCUUCUAUGAGGCACGAUUACACAUAAUGCAUAAUGUGUACCAUAUAAUUUUUUAUAAUUAUUUUGUUGAAAUCAUGUGUUGUAAUAUAUAUCUUAAUUAUAGUGUAAAAACAAUGACAAUGUAAAACUUUUUUUAAUUAAUGGUAAUUAUAAAACUUUAUCAUCAUUUAAUUUUUUAUAAUAAUUUUGCUUAAAUUAUUAUGGUAUAUUUGUGUAUGUAAUAUUGUCACAAUUAUUUUCUAACUAUAAUUAUAACUUAAAAUACUUAGUAAAAACUAUUUUUGAAAAAGGUAUUACCGAACACAUAUUAUCUGUUUUUAUUAUUUUCAACUAUAUCUAUCAAACGCAUAUCACUGUUUUCAGUUUGGAAAUAUAGGAUACAGAAAAUGAUACCAAACGUAUACUUAAAUUCAAAAUACAGCAACUGUAAAACACCAUUUUCAUUUUCAUUUUUAUUCUUAGAAAAUACAAAUUCAGAAACAAUACUAAACGAACCCUUAUGUUUUAGACUGAUUGGUUUGAUACAUUAUUUGUUUAUUGCGUUUUUCUUGCUUUAAAUAUUAUGUUGGAUUGAUAAGCUUUGUACACAUUUAUAUUGCUCGCAGUAAAUAAUUUAUGACAUUUAAAAAACUAUCAACCGUCUGUCAAAAGAUUUCUACUAUAAAUAUAUAUACACAAAAAACUUUUAAUUUGGUCAAUUUGUUCUCUUAUUUAUUUUUGUUCUAUUUCUCUUUUCCUUUCAUUUCAUUUUAUUGUUUUAUGGUACAAAAUAAAAAAAAAAAUAACAUUAAAAUUUAAGGGUAAAAUACUCAUUUUACUAAAAUUCCGUUUAAUAUUAUAAAGCUGUCAAAUGUCAAUGGCAUAGGACACGAGUGAUACAAAUUAAAAACAAUAAAUUGAAAGUUUUUAUGCAUUUUCCUUUUAUUUUUUUUAUAGUCGAUUGAGAUUUCCCUUCAUAUUUUUAAAUUCAAUAGGUUUAGACUGUUUAACAAAUCUUAAAUUAAAAAAACCCGCGGUGUAAUAAUAAACUCACAUCAAACCCUGUACACUGUCAUCCCUAAUUAUAUUUACCACUAAUUAUAUUUACCACUUCAUACUCACAGUGAUAAUAACUGUGUAUCAUAAUUGAUUUUGCAUACGGGUAAAAGUUCCAAGUCCGGAUAUUUAGUUAAUGAAAUUUGAUGAAAAGGGCAUGAAAGAAAAUAAGAAAUUAAAUAAUACAGGUGGUAUUAAUCAUUACAUAUUUAGUUAAUGAAAAUUGAUGAAAAUAUUUCUGCUGACGUGAGCCAUAAUUAUAUUACCGUUAAGAAUGAAGCAGAAGAGUUUCCCCAAACAAGCUAAAACACAGCACUUCAAUUUAAAGAAUUUUUAUAUCACAGUACAGUAAGUUAAUUCCAUAAUCUAUCUCCAAAGAAAGGCAAACACAAGCUUAUAAGAUUAAAACUUUGGAAAACAUUAAAGAGUCAGACAAAAUUGUGUAAUCUUCAGAGUUUGGAGCCUAGUUCAUCCAGGAAAGCAAAAGAAAAUAAUAAUAAUAAUAAUAGUGGUGGUUUGAUCUCAAAAGGUGGCAUCAAAGCGGUAACUUUGGGGUAUUGGAAGCUAUAACAUCUUCAACUUUGUCCUGAUUUCGAAGUCCCUUAACCCAUCCGCCAUCAAUGGAUUGAAAGCUUCCAUUCAACCCAUCAUCCACAAAAUCACCAACCCGUUUCACCUUCAUCUCCUUGGGCUUAACAGGGUACUUUCCAGUGAAGCAAGCAAAACACAAAUUCUGAGAAUCAUCGCCUAACAACUUGUUCAGGCUGUUAAUUGGCAGAAAAGCAAGCGAGUCACACCCAAUAAACUCCCUGAUUUCCUCGACGCUCAUCCUGUUGGAAAUCAACUCCUCACUACUUGGGGUGUCCACUCCAUAGUAACAAGAAGCUAUGAUUGGUGGGCUUGCAAUUCUCCUGUGAACCUCUUUAGCUCCAGCCUCCUUAAGCAACCGAACAAUUUUCGAUGAAGUUGUUCCUCUCACUAUUGAAUCAUCCACAACCACAACUCUCUUUCCCUCCAACACUCCCCUUACAGGAGAGAGCUUAAGCUUGACACCAAAGUCCCUAAUUUUCUGGGAAGGCUCAAUGAAAGUUCUCCCAACAUAAUGUGACCUUAUCAACCCUUGUUGAAAUGGCACCCCGGCUUUCGCAGCGUACUCAAGUGCAGCCACCACUCCAGAAUCUGGUACUGCAAUCACGACAUCACACUCAACAGGAGCCUCGGUAGCAAGUACUUCCCCAAAAUGAUACCUCGACUCAUAAACAGACCUUCCAAAAACAACAGAAUUAGGCAAAGCAAAAUAAAUAUGCUCAAAGAUGCACUGCUUAGGUUCAGGGUGAGGCAUCAAACAAGGUGAUUGAACCCCAUCUUUAUCCACCAUCAAAACUUCACCGGGAUAUACCUCUCUCUCUCUCUCUCUCUCUCGUAUGUGGCCUCAAUCAAAUAGUGCACAAGUUUCUGAUGCAAAAACCACAGCACCGUUACUCCUCCUACCCAUCACCAAUGGCCUAAACCCAUAUGGGUCACGAACCGCAACAAGCUUAUCCUCAGUAACAAACACCAUUGAAUACACACCCUCAAGCUUCUCACAAGCAUCCACAAUCCUCAAAAAGAACGGCCUAGCUUUCGAUAUCGCAAUCAAAUGGAGAACAACCUCAGUAUCAGAACUAUUAUUAAAAAUGGAACCAUUAUCUUCAAGCUUAGCCCUCAAAGUAUUAUAAUUAACUAAAUUCCUAUUAUGUGCAACACCAACAGAACCAAACCUGUACCCAGCAACAAAAGGCUGCACAAUCUUAAGCAUAGAACUACCGCAGUCGAAUAUCUAACAUGACCAAUGGCCAUAUCACUAGGCAAUUGAUCAAGUUUAGACUGAUUAAACACAUCAGAGACUAAACCAACACCAGUAAUAGACUGAAGAACUUUGUUAUUCACAGCAACUAUACAGUGGCGAAGGGUACUUUAAGUAGAGGGGAACUUGUUCUAGGUUUUUUCCUGGAAUUGUGAGGGAAUCUGAUCCUGUGUUUGUGCAUAUGAUUCAAUUACUUAUAGGUGAUACUGUUGUGUCACCACAAAAUCUAAUUGGGAAGCUUCAGCUGUCAAUUUUUUUUCCUUGUGGAACAUGAAAAUUGAUGCAUGUUCCAAUGCAUUGCUCUGUCAGAAUUGGAAUUAAACUUAGUUUGUACUCUCCUAUUCCGAAAGCAAAACUUGUAAGUGAUAUUAUAAGAAGAAGAAAUUAAGAACCAUAACAAAUUUGAUGAUUCUAAUUUGCUAGAAAUAUUGCAAUCCAAAACUAAGAAAGUUAAAACCAAUUAUUAGAAGAAAAAAGUAGGACGGAAGCUCCCAGAAUAUUGUUAUGUGUUGUAUGUUUUCAGUUUGUAUUUCUCAAUCAAUAAGGAAAAGUAAGUACACAUGUUACAAAAAUUUAAUAAAAAAGAUUGGAGGUGACAAAACCGUCAAUCUUCUAAUUAACUUUCUCUCCUUUCGAAUUUCCUGAGUUUGGUAGAGACUGCUUAAGUGGUGUAUCUAUUAUAAACAGGCAAAACUAUGUUGCAACAGUGGUAUGGUACCACUGUUGCAACCAGCCAUUGAAUCGAUAGUUGUAUAGUUAUAUUAGAAAGAUCCAAUGACCGAAAGCAACAGUGAUAUCGUAUCACUGUUGCAACAUAGCUGGACCCAUUAUAAACACAUGAAGUCAAAGUUAAUGUUUUAAUUGUUAAGAAAAGUUAGAAGAAGAAAUUUUUGUAUAAGAGAAUUGUGUUUAAAUUUAGAAUUCUUUGGGAGGAAAUGAGUCUAAAUUCCAAUAAUAUAAUUCAGCACUAUUUAUAUAUAUCAUUAGUUGGGUGAAAAAUUAAUUUCCCUCCUUUGAUGUGAUUUUCAUCAUUAAUUGUUCAUAUGAUGGUAAUUUUUUGUUUAGAGUGAAGUUAUUGGCACCCUUUCAUUAUCCUUAUAAAAUCCUACUUCAAAUAAAAUUACACUUAAAAGACAAUAGAAUUAAAUAACAUAGUUUUUUUUUCAAACAAAUUAUUCACAUUCAUAAUUUUUUUUCUUCUAAUUUUCUACAGGUUGCUUUGUAUCUAACUAAAAUAAAUUGUACAAAUUUAGAAUAAUUUAUUUUUCUUUUUAAAUUUCUUAUUGAUUAAAUAUUUGUGUACUUAAGAUAGCUUUAAAAUUAUAAGAUAAAAUAUAUAUAAUUUAAGCCAAUGAUUAACAUUCAAAAAUUUAUCUCUCAUAAAAGUUUUUAAUUUGUGCGUAGGGUAAUAAUAAAAUUGCAAAAGAAAUGAAAAAUAGCAUAGCACUAUUUUGAGUUUAAACAAUAAAAAAUUAAAUGAAAAAUUAGAAGUGUAUUUAAAAAAAGGAUAUUUUUGAAAAAUAAAAUAAAUAUAAUUUUAAAAAAAGAGUUUCAUGUGGGGUGCAACAGUUCAACUCUUUUGUUUGUAAGUUUUAAGAUGUUGGUAUCCUUAGCUUAGCUUUUCCCUAAUUAUUAUAUUAAAAUGUAACAACAAUGAUGAUCAACCCUAAUUUCAUGGAGGUCAAAGAUUUUGGUCAUGCCGCAUUAAUUAGUUCGGUCAUACUUUCUACAAAUUUAUUUACAUUUAAUAAUUUGACCAAGACUAGGUAAGGUGCCGCCUGGAGUCAUAGAAUUUUAUAUGUCAAAAGUGCGUUUCACUUCAAUUAAGCCAUAAAUGUCGUUUAAUAUGCUCAUUUUGUAUAUUUUUUUAAAAAAGUUUUAUUAAUUUUUUUGUUUUUAAAAAUAUCAAUUAUUUUUUUAUUUUUUAAAAUUUUUUUAAAGGUAAAGAAGUGGGUAAAAUCUAAAUUCAAAUUUUAUCCCUUAUGUCCUGGUCCUAAGAUUUGAACUCAUGUGAAUAGCCAAAUGUAUAAUAACAGGUAUUUCAAUUUUCAUUUUAAAUGAUAUGCUAUUCAUUAAGUGAUUGUUAAUUUUUUAUAAGAUUAAAAUGAAUUAAUUGUAUUAUCUCACUAAUUAAUUGAUGAAUGUCAUAUUAUUUGGGAUAACUUUUGAAUAAAAAAAUUGUGAUGGAUGAAAUAUUCUUUUGAGAAUUUAUUGACUUAUAUCAUUUAUGACUUAUGGUUGCAUUUAAGUGAUAUUGCAAAUAAUUUUUCCGAUAAUAUUAUUGUUUUGAUGAGUAAGUUUGGAGUAAGGAAAAUUCUAUGAUGCCGUAAUUAAAAAUAAGGCAUUAAUGCCGUAAUUAUUAUGAACCAUUAGAUUAAAUCAACGGUUUACAAUAAUUAUAAAAUAAUAAAAUUUUUUAAUUUAAUUACAUCUAACCGGUUAUAAUCCGGUUAAGUACUUUUUAAAAAUAAAAAUUUACCGGUAUAACUUUAAAGGAAAAAAAGAAGAUUUACGUUUUAAAGAAAUAAAAAAAAUAUAAAGGGAAAAUUCGUUCAUAUUGAAAUCCCUAAUUAACGAAUUCCAAAAGAAACCCACUGCCGCGUUAACUUCCGUUCAAGUGCACCGGCGAUACGUCUGCAGAUUGCAGCCAUUGAGCUGAUUUUUUGUCUUGUUCGAAUUGCUGAGUCUUUGCCGUCGCUGCCUCUAUCUUGGUUUGGCCGUCAUCCCUGUGCAAGGUAAGUUUAAUCCUCUGUCUCGCUCGAAUUGCUAAGCAAUUUCGUUUUCUUUCAUGGUCAUAAUUUGUUCACGGAAUUGACUCUAAGAAUUAAGAAGUCGCUGCAAAGUGUUUGGGUUUGCAUAGUUUUCUUUCAUGGUCAUAAUUUUUGCAUUUGUUCACAGAAUUAAGUUCCUGUGCAAAGUGUUUGGGUUUGCUGGCUAACGCGAUUUUGUUUUCCUCCAAUACUCUUUUCCUGCCAAUCAUUGCUUUGGAAGUUGCUUGAAGCAAAAACAGAGGUGAAAAAGAAGCAAAAAAGAAAUAUGGAUAAAUUAAAUUAAGAAAUAUAGAGCAUGCACUAGACUUUGAUAUGAUUUUUUCUUGUUAUUACAAGUAAUAUGGAUAAAUUAGAUUAAUUGAUUUAUUUUGCUGGUAAUAUGGUUGUUUGAAUACACAUUAAUUGUGAAAUAAAACAAAAAAUAUGUAAACCACACAUAAAACUAGUAAAUUAAUGAAAAAAUGAUCAAUUAAUGUUGAAAUUGUAAUUUGUACGAAGAACUUGUAAACAAAACAAAAACUUAUAAAAAUGACAUAGAACUAGUAAAUUGACAUUAAUUGUGAAAUAAAACAAAAAAUGUGUAAAUCACACAUAAAACUAGUAAAUUGAUGGGAAAAUGAGUAAAUUAAUGUUGGAGUUGUAAUUUGUACGAAGAACUUGUAAACAAAACAAAAACUUAGAAAAAUGACAUAGAACUAGUAAAUUCACAUUAAUUGUGAAAUGAAACACAAAAUGUGUAAAUCACACAUAAAACUAGUAAAUUGAUGAAAAAAUGAGUAAAUUAAUGUUGGAGUUGUAAAUUGCAAGAAGAACUUGUAAAUUGACAUUAAGUGUGAAAUAAAACAAAAAAUUUGUAAACCACACAUAAAACUAGUAAAUUAAUCGAAAAAUAGGUAAAUUAAUGUUAGAGUUGUAAAUUGUAAGAAGAACUUGUAAACAAAACAAAAACUUGUAAAUGUUGCAUAAAACUUGUAAAUCAACAUUAACUUGUAAAAGUUUCAUAAAACUUGUAAAUCACACAUAAAAUUGGUAAAUAUAACCUGGAACUUGAACAAAAAAGAGUAAUUACCUGCUACUUAGGUAACAAGUUACCUAUUUAUUUAGAAUUAAUGGUAGAGAUUUUUUAUUCAAAUCUAACGAUUCACGUCCAUUACAGCAUCAAUGUCGUAAAUUUAGUUAUAGAAUGACCCUUGGAGUAAAUAAUACAUAUGGCAAGUGUGAGGUUUGUUAUUGCAUUUAUUUUGUGGAUCUCUUUUAAAGCCAAAAAAAGACAUUUCAAUUCAUUAUGAUUCCAAAUAAUUUCAAGGCAUAUGUCAUUAUUGGGAUAAAAAUAAAGUAAAAUGGUUAAAACUAUUUUUAUUAAUUUAUAAAAAUUAAUGAAGCAACUACAAAAAUUUUUAAACGAAAAACAAUUGAAAUGUGUGUGGAAAAAGAAGAAAAAAAAUAAGGCAUUUAAAUAUCUUCUUAAAAAAUACGAUUGAGUAAAAUCAUUUUAACAGAAUGCUCUUCCAAAUACAAUUCCACAAUAAUCAUUUUAACAAAAUGCUUUUCCAAAGAGAAACACACACACACACAAAGAGAUUAGUGGGGAGAUAUAUGAGUGUGUAAUUUGUAUAUAUAUCCCCAUUAAUUGUUGAUAGUCCAAUGGGUAUAUGCAAAAGGAAAAACUUGGCUGUCCUUUAAGACAAAAUUGACUGUCACGUGAAAAUGUUAGCACACUUGCCACGCAACGAAAAUAAAGAUUCCAAGAACAACUUUAUGGUCCCCUUUCUGUCCAAACAUAUGCGAUGGAAAUUAGUGUAAACGACACUUGAAAUAUAUAUGUAGAUCCUCACACAAUUGAUUAAAUAUUUAUAGUAGGGUGGAGUGAUAAAUAGUUUCACAAAAUUAUUGGAAUUAACUAUUUAAUACAUGAGAUCUAUCCCAUUAAGUAUAAAAGAUUGAGUGCUGCUUCAAAGGCAUGACGUUGAUGGCAACAAAUUUAACACAAAAAUUUAAUUAACUAUCCUAGUUGAGAUAUUAAAAUCUCGUGUUGAAAACAAAAGGUUUGAGGUUCGAACCUUCUGAUUCAAGAAAAUCAAGUCAAAAUAUUACAUCUUCCAGCACAUAUCAAAGAUUUUUGCAAAGGCAGACUGAUAAUUCAGGGUAAAACAAAAAAAAAAAAAAAACAAAAGGACUAUAUGCUAUUCAAGACAGGUAUACCUUGGAUAUGAAGUCUGAAUCCAAAACAAGAAGCACCUAGCUGAUCUUUCACUUUCAAUUUCCAAAACCCAACAAAAUCUUUGUCAAAAUAUAUGAUCUAGUCCCAUAUUAAGCACAUUCAUAGCCGUAUCAACAUGUUCAAAAUAUUUUCCCCAAAAUGAGAUAAAGAUUCCACUGAAGUUGAGUUGUGAAUGUCCCAACAUUCUGUAAUUAUAUGGUUCAGGAUACCAUGCCUAUGAAUCUUUUUUUUUUUUUUCAUGUUUCGAAGUCUAUCAAAUGAAAAUGUAAUUAUAUGGUUCAGGAUAUCAAUAUGCCGGAGCUGCAAAGGUUGACUUCUACUAUCCUAUCAAUGUCUAUACUUUCUAUUGAAUUUCCUUGUUUUUUUUUAAAUUGCGAGAUUUAUUUUUGGAAAUCUUUGACAAAUUUUAUGUAAGAUACCAUAAAGCCAAAUACAACCUUUUUUAUUCUCAGCAGCAACUUUUUUUUUUCCUUUUAAAAAAAGGAAGCCAUAUAAAUAAUGCUUAAAACAUUAUUUGCAACAAGGAACAAUUAUUUCAUGCUUUCAUGUAUUAGAAACUUUCCAAAAAUGCUAGCAAGAAAAUGAAAUGGAACUUUACCUAUUGAUGCGAGAUUCUGAUUUGCUGAUCGUCCACGACAAGGAUCUCUCCUCAACUAACUCGUCCACGAUCAGGAUAUCUCCUUGUAAUCCUUCUUCUCCGCAAGCUCCUGCGUACACAGAUACAGGUCAGAGCACGCCGGGUAUUUUCCCGGCGUAAAUCCUCCGACGCUCAAGUCAGAAAUGUAGGCUUUGCCUUUCUGGGAAAAACAGCCACAAAUCCUAUGGCUCUUUUACGAUUUCUUAAUAGGAGCUCUCUUUUUCUCAGUUAUAAUCUCAAAAAGUCUAACCCUUUUACCUUCGUUGGCUACCUUUUUAUAGGUUCUCUCUGGAUCCCGGCCUUCCACAACCCACGUCCAUUACCUCCCCCCAACUCUCGGAAGUGGACGCUCCGUUAUCGUAGUCGUGGUUGGAUAAACUUUGUGCCUUGAUUCUCGGAUAGGCGUGCACGCACGUCUUGCCAACCGUCGUUGACCGGGUCUCCUCACCUCAACCUCUAGCAGGAAUAGUUUUAUGCUCCUGGUAGGAGGUCAGCUCCCGUUGUGGCCCCGUGGAUGGUACACUCGUGAAUGAGCAGGAACAAUCCUGCUCGUAUUCACCUGCUACCAGACUUCUGCGGAAUAUAUCUAUUCGCGAGAUCCUGCUACCAGGUAUUUGCUCAUCAUGGCCGGUCUUGUCGAGGUAUAUCCCCUAAACAUUACCUAGUCACAGAAUAUGUACUGCUGUUAGCCCAAUUGUUAUGAAGUGGCUUCUGCAUCAGAAGAUUCCCGCUCCUACAAAGCAUUGUUAUCUCUCUUCUGAAUACAAUCUACAUCGCUGGGCAUGAGUUAUAUCAUUAAUGUCUACAUCCUCACUUACAUCAUCCCAAUCAAGUGCUUUUUCUCUACAUCUGGAUUAUAAGCCCACUCCAAUCUCUUCAAAACAUCCCAGUCCUUCCAUCACAACUGAUACGACUUCCUUCCUUACUUCCCCAUUAAUAAAUCGCUCUGAGAAAAAAAAAGCAUUAGCAAUUCUCUUCAACGCCCCAUCAUUCAUAUCCCCUACAACAACCAUCUUCAGACACCUCAACGUUGCCUCUUGAAAGACCUCCACAAAAUCCGAAUCAUCCGACACAAUCAUCAAACACCGUAACCAUCUUUUGUCCACCAUAUCCACCAUAUAAUUCCUCAACAAAACAUUGGCAUCUUGUGGCUUAUCUAACACCAUCCUGACCCAAAACCAUGCUCUUUUUAACUCAUCUGCAAAACCAUAACCCACUUUUGGAGUCAAAAUUGCACUUGCAGCCAUUUUAUAUUUUGCCAUCUUUAUUGAAUAGUUGCCAACCAAAAGCACUCUCACCUUCCCUCUAGCUGAUUCUAUUUGAUUCGACGUUUUCUUUUAUUCGCCCUCAUGAAUUUGCUUAGAAUGAUUAACAAGCUUGUCAUUAUUAUAAAAUCUCCUUCCAUAAUCACCAAUACAUACGGCUUAGCAGGCCUAAUUACACCAUUGAUUUCUAAUUGGUUAAACAAUUCUCUUUCUUUCUUUGCUCUCUUACAACUUGAGGCAUAUAACUAAACCCGUGGCUAUUAGCAUUUGCCACCAUGUAUUUAACAAUCCCGAAUGAAGAUAUUGAUUUUUUUCAGUUUAAUUGCUGCUUCAAAACGGGGUACUGAAUUUGGAUUUUGUUAUCCAAAUACCAAAAAUUUCCCACAUUGUGUUGGACAAUUUUUGGUUCUAAAGUUGAUGACUGGUUUUGCGAAUCAAGCUUCAAAUGAGAACUUCUAAACAAUAAGACAAAUGGGUUUUUGAGUUUCUAAUCUUGUAAACUUUGUUCUAUUGUAUAAGUUGUGAAAUCGCUUAAACAUCACUACAGCUAGAGGUCUUUAUGUCACUACUAGAAAAAUGGGCUUUAUUGACACCAAUUUAGUGUCAGUAAUUACUUUUGCUGACACUUGUUAAUUGUGUCAGUAAUGCUCAAGCCAGAACACACUGACACUAAUCUUUGGUGUCAGUGAUUUUUGCGUCAGUAUUUUGUGUCACUAUAGUAUCACCACCAUAGUGAUACUAUGAUGUUAGUAUCAGUUGAUACUAUUUUUAUGUCAGUAUUUUGUGUCACUAGAGAGUCACAAGGAUAGUGACUCAAUCGCGUUAGCAUUUAAUGAUACUAUUUACAUGUCACUGAUUUAUGUGACUACAGUAUUAGGAAUCCACUGACUCAGUAACAUCAAAAAUUCUUAUCGUCAUUUAAAUAAUUAGUGUCAGUAUUAACGGUGCUAUACCGGUUGUGUUUUAUUUUUUUUAAUGACAUUAUUCAUGUUUAUUUUACAAUUAAAAUAAACCCAAAAUAUAUUAAACAUACCAAAUCUUGUAAUGCAAUUCACAUAAUACACAUUUCAAAUACAUCAGUUAAAUUAAAAUAGUUCAAAUACAUCAUUGUUUGGGGGUAAAAACAUGUUCAAGUACAAAAUUAAGCUUUGAACAAGUAGUAUACACGAUAAAGUACUAAAUUAAUUUCGGAAAAUUUAGCCAAGAAGAAAAAACAAAUAACAAUGUCACUGAUUUUGGAGUCACUGAUUUUGGAGUCCGCAUAUGCCUUCAUUUUUUUUCCACCUACAAGUAUAUAAAAUCAAUUAGCACACCACAAAAAAUAAAUCACAGAUUUGUUUUAAGGAAAAAUAAUCAUAAAUUACUUGUAUGUUACCUCGCGAUUGUAGGCUGUAAUUAACUUGGCAACGUAUGUAGCCCACUGAUCACGAAGUCGCGAGAGGUCCUUGACAGUGUAUUCCUCAACUCCCUUGAACUUUAAUUUUAAAACAACAAGUUAUUCACCGAAAAUCCUUGACUAAACUACUUAAUUAUCAUUCAUUUAAAUACAUUUGUGUGUUAACAAUUAAAGCCAACAAAUAAACUCCAACAAUGUUACUGUUUUAUCCAAAAUUAUAUAGGUAAAUACUGAACAUCCUGAUCAUGGUAAUUCCAAAAAAAAAAAACUUGUGAACCCCAACAACAACAAUAUUUGAUAGCCGAAGCAACUUGUGAACCCCAACAGUACGCGAUUUAAUACAAAUAUGGAUGUACAUACAAAACCUUAAUUAGGAUGACAACUUAUCCUCAUCAAAGUAAAGUACAAGCAAUGACACCAUAGCACAUCCCCACUAACAACUACUUUGCAACCCAAACAAUUGUUUUGUGUUGGGAUAUGCAGUACAUUGUGUAUAUCCCAAAUCCUAAUUCAUGUCUAUAUGGAUAUUCAUAUAAUCUAUUCAACAGUAUGCAACAUAGUCACCAUUAUAAGUACCCUCACAGUUUAUAAAAUGCAUACAAUACGCAAUAAAAAGAUAACUGUAAAGAAGCACACAAGUGUUUGAGCUGAUUCAUUUCACAAUAAAUUAAAACAAUAUGAUACAGUAUUGUAAAAAUCAUUUUCAAUACUUACAUUAUUUUUCAGAACGUUCACAUUUGUGAUGAUAUCUUGCAUGUAUUUCAUCACAUAGUAACCACAUUCAAAGCUGCUCGGCUGCCUCGGACACUACAAGAUCAAAAUUACAUUAAUUUUUUACUGUACGUUAACAAUAAUUAGUUAGGUUUGUCUGAUUUUUACCUUGACAGGUAUCCAUUGAACAUUGGCCUUUGUAUCAGAAUUUAAACUCUGAUGUAUUCGAAUCCCCCUACAAUUAAGAGACAUAGCUAACGUUAGCAAAUAAUUAGCAUAAGACAUAAAAAUAAAAUAGCAUGAUCAAAGAUACAAAUAACAAACUUAACUGAUUGACAAUCUGCAUUAGCUCUUCAUCAGGACUACCUUCCAAAGGAUCAAGGUAAUAGGUUGUACGUCUCACCAUAUCAAUUGCCAAUAACACCCAGUGGGCACUAAACAAAGUAAAAAUUGUUCUCACACAUGAAUUACAAGUAAAAGUGAUUAAUCUACAAAUUAAAGAAUAUUACUAGCAAAUGAAAAAGGUUAUACCCAGGGUUAUACGGGAAUACGAUGACUUGUCCCAAUUCUGCCAAGCCUAACAGUUUUGAAAUGUAUUGAGUCCUGUCUUUGAAACUGACCCUUGGAUAUAGCUUCUCAAAAAGCCCAAACUGAACUGGUUUAGUACUUCCAUUGCUCUCCAUCUCCUCAUACAGGUGUCUAAGAGGAAACAAAUAUAUAUAACGAAGUAAGUUUGAAUAUAGGAAACAAAAUAAUAGGGCCAAGUUUACUAAAACAUAAGUUAUGAUUUACCGUACUUGAUCCAUAUGUUAAUGAUGCAGUUUGAGACCUCUUUAAACUCGAUGAUUUCAGCACAAAUCAUUUUGUCCAAGUGUGUUUCCCAAAUUUCACCAAAGGUUGCUGUGUCAUGCCGAAUCCUGAUCAACCGAGGUAAAGAAUUCUCGAUGAACAUGGUAAACAUGUUCAUAUAUUCACUCCUGUCAUUCUUUCUUGAUCGUGCUGCUGCCCGUGUAUUCUUCACACGUACAUUGAGGUCUUUUGCUGCUGGUCUGAUGACUCGGGGUUCUUUUUUGGCUAUUUCUGCUGGUCUGAUGACUCUGGGUUCUUUUUUGGCUACUUCUGCUGGUAUGAUGACUCUGGGUUCUUUUUUGGCUACUUCUGCUGGUCUGAUGACUGGUGGUUCUUUGUUGGGUACUUUGUCAUGACAGGAGAACUGCCUAUCUAGUACUUUAGGAGUUAGUCGAGGAGAUCUUCUCGGUGUGGGCUUUGAAGUAAUUUCACAAUCUACUUUUUCGGGGGUUUGUUGAGGAGUUGCUUGGGAAAUUGUGGUGGGACUGUCCUUGAUUUUACUCUUCACAGAUUUUGGAGUCGACUUACCCAAUGGGAAAUCAGCCUUUGCAAUAAUCAAAAUACAUACCAUUAGUAGUAAUACAUGCAUAUACAAAUGGAAAUAAAAUAAUGACAUGUAACAGGCCAUAUACCUUUCUUUUUCCAAGAGUUUCAGGGGAUUGUUGAUCAUUGUCAAUCUGAACACCAGUGGAAGUUUUGGGCUUAGGAAAGUUAGAACUUCCAACUUCAGUAUUGCUGUACGCAUUUAACCUUGCAUUCAUGCGUUCUAAUUGAGCAGACAUGAAUUGGAAACUCUCUUGAUACAUCUUUCUUUCUCUUGCUAACUCAGUGGCAUCAGGGACAUGAAAGUACAUAGAUGGGGUGACGAAUUGCCCCACUCCUUGCACCCUACUUCCAUUUGGCUGCUUCUGAAGAGCUUCACCUAGAAUGUCAUGUGACCCUUGUGAUUGGAAUGUUCCUUGUUCAACAUGACUCUUCAGUUCAUUCUACAAAAAAAAAUAUUGUAAAUCCGCAAUUACGAGUACAAGACAUCAGCUAAACUAAACUAAUAUCCUUCUUGAAUCUUUAACAAAGAGCAAAUCCAUAUACAGUUCAAAUUGAAACUACAGAAAAUAUUACAAGACAACACCUCAAACAAGUUUUAACCUUUUAAUAUGCGAAGAAAUAAGUUCUGAUGAAAUCUUACUGAGUUUCUGUCAAUUGUAAAUGUUGCCAUACAAUUAUUACAAAAAGCAGUAUAUAUGUACGUUAAUAUCUACCCCCACACACACAUAUUAUAAAGAAAAUUCAUAAGAAUUAAGUAUACAAGUGGCUUACUAUUUUCUCAGCAAUUGGCGUCACAUCAGAAGCAUAUUUGCCAUCUCGGUCUGCUCGUGCCAUUAACCAAGCUUCACUGCGAUCAAUCUCCCGCUCAGAAACUCCACUCUCCUUUUUCUGUUACAAGGUGACAUAAAACAUAAAUAAUUGAUUCUAUGAUAUUAUACGCAUUAGAUUACUUAUGUUACUGUAAUUACUCCAUAUUACCACACUUACUUUUCUAUACAACAUGCCACCAUAUCCUGUGCUACCCAAGCGAUGGUUGUAGACAUUCUUUGCUCUUUUGUCUUUUGCCUUCUUACUUUUUUCCUGCACAAACAGUUUAUAUGAAGAAUAAAAAGUUACCACUGAUUAUUAGUAACUACCAACAAUUACAUCAGGUAAUAUUAACAAACAACACACCUGAAAUUGUUCAGACAAAACUUUGUCAACAAAAAGUUUCCAAUCUUCUUUUUUAAUGCUUGGAUAUUCAAUAGGAGGCAACCUUAGUGACUUUCGAUCGUCCUUGUUAGGUAGAACGAAUUCAGUUGCCAGUUCACAACGAAAGUUUCUUGAUGCAACCCCCAUCCACUUUAAUACUUGGCUUUUGCAUUUCAAGCUCAAUUUGAAUUUUUUCUGUCAACCAAUAACAUGGAUUAGCAACAACUUUAAAAAAAUCUGGAAGUUAUAUAAAAUCUUUAAACAUACUAUGAAACAAGAAAACAAAACCUGAAAAUGAACCCACAAAGUUUCCUUCAUCUCCAGUGGCACACGCCUCCAAUCAUCAAGUAAAAUUGAAAUUGUUUCACGUACAAUGACUCCAAUGUAACUCCUAAGAUCAUUUCUUCCCUUUCCAACCGGAACACCAUAAGAAUUGUACUCAAUUGCAGCUUCAUGACUAACUUCUUGUUUUUGCAAACCUUUUUUUUUUGUUUGUUUUCUUCUCCUUGGUCUUCCGUCGAGCUCCGGAAGAGUGAACUCAACAUCGUCAGCCAUCUCCUACAAUCCUGAAAAUGAUUAAAAUAAAUAAGUAUAUCAUUUAGAUUAAUAAGUUAAUACAAGAGCAAUAGCAUAUAAUGAAAUAAAUAAAUCACUUACUGGAAAACUUUGAAAAUUGGUGCUGGAAACUAACUACAAUAAUGCAUUCACUGAUUUUCUAAAUCAAUAUCUAUUGGAAUAGCAUCACAAUCUUUUCUGUCAUAAAUUCCUUCAUCAUCUUUCUCAUCCAACUCACAUACUGGAAGUUUGUUAGAUAAUGGAGAAAAUACAUCCACGUCUUCACAUCUUUCCCCAUUUAACUUAUAAGCUUUGUCGGUCACUGAACAAACUAUUGAUUUAUUAUUCUCUAGCUGGUCCUUUACAUAAAAUACUUGCUUUGCAUGACAAGCCAGAAUAAAGCAAUCAGAUUUAUAGCCAAUCCGAUUUAAAUCAACUACAGUGAAACCUAAAUUGUCAGUGCAAACCCCUCUAUCAUCUACCCAAUCACACUUGAAAAGUGUUUUUUUAACCAUUAGAUAAUCAAGCUGCCAAAUCUCAUCAAUGACUCCAUAAAACGUCAUGUCUCCAAAAUGAGGACUUUUAUCUUUUGAGCUUGAAAUCUGUAGAGUGUUAGCAACAACCCUAACACCACUAUUUUGGGUCACACGAUUACAGUCUCGGUCCCUCGUUGUAAAAUUGAAGCCAUUUAUCUCGUAGCCAGAGAAGGUUACCACGCUUGAGCGUGGUUUGUUUGCUAACCAGCACACUAUUUCGUCAAUCGGCACAUUAUUUGCUUUAUCAUGUGCCACCUAUAAAUUAAUUUAACAAGUACAGUAAUUAGUAACAUGUAGAAAAAUCUUGUUAAGUUUAUAUCCUAUAUUGUAUUUAGUUACGUAAUUCUAACCUUUGCUUGUAACCAACCAGAAAAUGUUCGUAUGUGUUCAUUUUGCAACCACAGAUUUGUUUUUGCCUUAUAAGGGUUUCUUGAUGCCAAAUAAUGCAUAUGCUCCCUACAGUGAAACAUAUUAAGAUUUAAAAACUAGUAUAUUAAUCUAAUAAUACAAUAGUAAUAUUUUUUUGAAAAAUUAACAACUUACUCGAUAUAUAUUUGGAUUUCAGGGGUGUUCAUUAGAACACACCGGUGUGCUUGUGCCAACAAAGGAUCAUCAACCACCUUUAUGUUUGCACCUCCCAAAGGCUUUUCGAUAGAUAAAUCAGUUGGACAACCAGUAGGCAGCCCAAUAACAUCACAAUUUGAGAGGUACUCAGCACAAAAUGCAAGUGCUUCUUCUGCAAUAUAACUUUCUACAAUACAACCCUCAGGGCGGUAGCGAUUACGAACAUAAUCCUUGAGAGUUUUCAUUUGUCUCUCAAAAGGAUACAUCCAUCGAAGAUAAACAGGCCCACAUAACCUAACUUGUUCAACUAAGUGGACUGUUAAAUGGAUCAUUAUGUCAAAAAAGCUAGGUGGGAAGUACUGCUGCAGUAAGCAUAAAGUGAUUACAAGUUCCUCUUGCAAUUGGUCAAGAGUAUUAGGAUCUACCACUUUACAGCACAAUGUAUUAAAAAAGAAGCACAUCCUGAUUAUGGCCGUUCUCACAUUUAUAGGCAAACAGUUUCGAAUGGCUAGUGGUAGAAAUUGUUGCAUCAAAGUAUGACAGUCAUGGGACUUAAGGCCUUGAAGCCGACAAUCAUCUAUUGAAACAAGGUUUUGGACAUUGGAAGAAUACCCAUCAGGGACUUUCACACUCAGCAAGGUUUCACAAAACUGUUUUUUUUCUUUUUUACUCGAAGUAUAAGGAGCUGGAGGUAGGACUUUGUUUUUUUUGUUUGUUUCAUCAGGAACUAGUUUUCCCCUGAUCUUCAAAGACUCAAGAUCUUUUCUAGCAUUAAUCCCAUCUUUUGUUUUGCCUGGUUGAUGAAGUAAUGUGCCAUAUAUGUUUUCGCACACAUUUUUUUCAAUGUGCAUGACAUCUAAUUGAUGGCGAACUAAUAAAUGCUUCCAAUAAUCUAACUAAAAAAAGAUUGACUUUUUUUUGUACAAUUUUUCAGUUAUGUUCUCAUCACCACCACCACCACCACCGCCAUCAUGUUUCCGCUUUUUGGCCUUCUUUUUCCCGAACUUAAUAUCUAUAUCUUCCACCAUAUUAAAGAUUUCCUCACCAGACAAAGUUUUAGGAGGCUCAUUCCACUCUUGCUUCCCAUUAAAAACCUUUUUCAGUUUCCGAAAUAAGUGACCGAGUGGUAGAAAGCGGCGAUGGCCCAUAUAUGACAUUUUCCUACUAUGUGGCAGCCAACAUGCACAAGUGUCUAUCCCACAAAUUGGGCAAGCAUAAUAGCCCUUAACAGUACAACCAGAGAGGUUUCCGUAUGCUGGAAAGUCACUAAUUGUCCACAUCAAGACAGCCCGUAAAUUAAAGGUUUCUUUUCUAUAAGAAUCAUAAACAUCAAUACCUACAUCCCAUAGAGUUUUUAAGUCCUCAAUCAAAGGUGCUAGGUAUACAUCUAGAUCAUUUCCAGGUUGUUUAGGGCCAGAUAUCAAAAGUGACAACAUCAAAAACUUUCUCUUCAUACACAACCAUGGAGGAAGAUUAUAUGUUAUUAAUAUAACAGGCCAACAACUAUAAGUAGUGCUAAGUGUACUAUGUGGGUUAACCCCAUCAGUUGAGAGAGCUAAACGGAGAUUUCUAGGUUCUUGUGCAAAUUUUGGCCACUUAUUGUCAAUUAGUUGCCAGGCUGGUGAGUCUGCUGGGUGGCGAAGUUUGCCAUCUCUAAUUCUUUUAUUAGCAUGCCAUGUUAAAUUUUGAGCUGUUUGUGGUGAUUGAAACAAUCUUUUCAACCUAGGAAUAGGUGGAAAAUACCAUAAUACCUUUUUUGGAACCCCUUUCCUAAAUUUUGUUGAGCUAUCUUUUUUUUUUUAUACCUAGAUGCUCCACAAUUUGGGCAUUCAGCAAGAUCAGCAAAUUCAUUCCUAUACAAAAUGCAGUCAUUUGGACAUGCAUGUAUUUUUUCAUACUCUAAGCCUAACACUUUCAUUGUUUUCUUAACCUCGUACAUUGACAUAGGUAGAGUAUUAUUAUUUGGCAAAAUAUCAGCAAGGACUUCUAACAAAGCAGAAAACCCUGUAUCGGACCACCCAUAGUUCCCUUUCACAUUGUAAAGUCUCAUUAAACUAGAUAACUUUGAAUGUUUUGCACCCGGGUACAAAGGCUUUUCAGCAUCUUCAAGCAUAUCCUUAAAAGAACUAGGAUCUCUAUCACAAUGCUCGUAAGCAUCUUCGACCAUGUCAAUUAUAUUACUGUAAUCAUGACAUCUAAAUCUUUGACUAUGUGAAUGGUCUUCACAGUUUGUAAAUGUAGAUUUAGAGUCAGUCUCACCAUGCCAAGUCCAAACAAUAUAUCUUGGGAGAAAACCUUUUUCAAAUAAAUGAUCCUUCACUUGUUGAGGAGUAUGAAACUCCAUGUUACAACAAAAGGUGCAAGGACAUCUAAUUGACAUUCGAUUUUCAGCAUUCAAAAUGGCAAAAUCUAAGAAAUCAGCAACUCCAGAACGAUACUCUACAGACAAUCUAUCACAAGUUAUCCAACUUCUGUCCAUUUCAAAUAUUUUACCUGUUCACAUAUGUAAUGUUAGUUUAAGUUUAAUUAAAUUGCAUGAUUAAUUUAAAGUUCAAUGUUAUUAUGAUUAUAGUUGUAAUAAUAAACUUAUAAUUCUGAAAAAUCAUUAAUAGCCCUAUAAAUCAUUAAUUAUAAUAAUAAUUUAGACAAAAUCCUGAAAUUGAAACAAAAUAAGUUUUGAAACUUAAAUAGGAGAUUAAUAGGUAAGAUGGGUGCUAAUGGCUUUUUAAGUAGUCGAACUAAUUCAUAAGUCAAGUAACUAACAAAAGUUAAGAGUUCAAAUAAAUAAUGUCUUCAUACCACUUUGCAAGCCAUUUUUUAAGAUUCUAUAAAUCAUUUUUUAACUUCAAAUACAACAUGCAGAACUACUUUAAAACAAGCAUUUCUUUAUUGAAUCAAACACAAAUCAUCAACUUUAUACAAUCUCACAAUACUCACAACCACGAACUUAAUUAAUUCAUAUCAUAGUCAUUGUCUCUAUUACAAAUCGUCCAACCAAAACAGAAUAAAUAAACAAGUAGGAUUAUAUAACAAAAUUUGCCUCUCUUUACAUGAAACAGAGAUGUAAAUAGUUUGUAACCACUAAAUACACAGUCAUUCAGCCAAUAUAACACCCAAACAAUCAUCUCCUAAUCACAAAGGCAAAAGCUAAAAUCAAAUUUCAUAUUUUAGUACAUUCAAAAUCAACUAACUUAUUGCUCAAAGUUAAGAAACGGAGCUAACAGUUUAUUUCAGAAACUAAAAAAAAUGCACAUUCUUAGUUUUAAAUAACAAUGACAGUAAAUCACAUGCACAAAAGUUUGAAACUGACCUCAAAUGUGGCAGAAAAAACAGAGUCGCAGCAGCAAGUGUUUUGAGUUUAAGUAAUGCACCACUUAAAAUGCCUGUAUUUUUGGACUGCAUGUGAGUGAAGAUAUAGAAAAAUAAGAACAAAAAUUUCAAGUUACGAAUAAAUAAAUAAAAAAAAAUAUUUGGAAAACAAAACCCACCAGGGUUGCACGACUGUUCAAUUUCUGAAUAUCUGAAACAACCCAAAAAUAAAAAUUCAAAAAUAUUAUUCAUAAGCCAAAUUAAAACAAACCCAAUAAUUAAAUUGCACAAACAAAUAAAACAUUCUGCCAUUACCAGCUGAUAACCUCCUCUACAGUUCUUUCUCUGGACUUAACUUGUCAGGGAGAAUGAGAUUACCUGAAUACCGAACCGAUGGUGCCACUUCACCCCUUGUCGAUGGCUUUUACUUGCUUGCCUAGUAUAGGCACUGGAUGGUUAAGUUGGAGAAAAACCCCUUCGAUAACAAGCGAUUAGGGUUUUGGUUUGUGUUUCAAUUUGGGGAAAAUGGAAAAACGAAUCAGAGUUUUAGGUUUUCAUUAUCUAUCUAAAUUAAUUGAAUUUAAUUUGUAAAUGGAUAGUGCAAAACAGAAGAGAUCGAGAAGAGAAAAACGAAAGCGAAAGUGAACGAUGAAAGCAAGAUAGAGACAGUCGAUAUAGUCUAGAUGGGGAGAACAAGUGUGUUUUAUGUUAUUGUUAUUUAUAUUUUCAUUUUUUAAUAAUUUAAAUAUUAUUAUGACUUUGACUCAUCGAGAUUUGAUGGUCUGUGCUCCAAACAUUAAAGCUUUAAAUCUUAGAGCUCCCAGGUUCGAGUUGGAGCUAAAACAAAAUUUUUAUGAAUUUUUUUUAUCAUUGAUACUUUAGUGUUAGUGAUUUUUGAUGUUUAGUUUACUGACACCCUAGUAUCAUUAAUCUCUGAUUCCUAUUUGUCAAAAGCGGAAAAUGGUGCAUAUGUACAUAAGUACUGAUACUUUUUGCAAAGUGUCAGUAACGAAGUGUCAGUAAAGCCCAUUUUUCUAGUAGUGUCUGUCAAUGAACUGCAGAAGCUGAUGAUCUACCUGUAGUAGACUUCUAUUGCCCCUGUCGUUCUAGGAAGACAAAUAAGUUCAGGAACUACUUCUGGACCAAACUCAUAAUAUUGCCACUGCUUUGUGCCAAUCUACGAGGGAAAGCAUAUUGAAGUUCCUAAAUAAGGCACAUCACGAUUUGACUGAAGUACCAUUAUGAGGAACAAUUGAUUUUAGGAAAGCACUAAAAUAUGACAUAAUCUGCCCCUAAUGGUCUAAAGUAGUCAAGAAAUUAUAUCAACCAAGCAGAAACACAUAAACUAGUUGAGAUACAAAGUUAUUGUAAAAGUCAAUUUUGAUCACAAAUCCAUUAAAAUUAAAAGACAUCAGAAACUUAGAGAACAUUAUAAUUUAGGACUCAGCUAAGUUGCAGAUUCUGUAACUAACAGCUGAGUCCACAUUGGUCUUGCAUCAGCUAAGUUUGGGUUGCUUUCCCUCUCUCCUGCAACGCGUGGAAGCGCCCCAUUUGCUGUGUUAUAUACCGAGUCAGUACCGUAACAAGCUCCUAUAAUUUAAGUUUGAUUAAUGUAGACAAUAGUCUGCCUCUGCUCAAAAGCUAUGCUGCAAGAUAUAACAUCUUUGCAAUGUUAUACUUUCUAAAAGUAAUAAGAAAUGAAACCAAGGGGUAAAUCGAACACCAAAAGAAAUUUAGUCGGCCAACCACAUUAUGUUCCCACACAGUCCACUAAUUAAGUUAAUAAUUAAAGGAAUCAAAAUCUAAGAAAUCUAAGAAAUCGGCCAACCACAUUUUCCUUUUUCUCUCUCCGCUACAGUAGUCGCUAAUUGACCCAAUUGAUGUUCAAGCUUUAGAAUAGCUUGAGUGUUUGACUGAAAAGCUUGUUGGGUUGACUGAAUGAAACUUUGAAGUGUAUCCUCUAAAGAAGGCUUUCUUUGUUGGGGUGCAACAAAUUGAGACAUAGGUUGUUGGGCAGGAGGAUAUACUUGGUUAGGAGGGAUAAAUUGUUGAUUGGGCAUGUUAAAUUGUUGCCCUCCUUGAUUUGACAAAUGUUGAUUUUGUUUCCAAGAAAAAUUAGGGUGAUUCCUCCAAUUAGGAUUAUAUGUGGAUGAAUAUGGACUAUUGGAGGUUUUCUCAUAUGAUUGUAAGGCAUGUACCUGCUUAGAAUAAGCAUCUGGAUAGACUGGUAAUGAUGGACAAUUCUGUGCUGUAUGAGACAAGUUAGAACAAAUAGCACAAACUUCAUUAGCUACACUAGGAUGAUGAUUCAUUGAUUGGUUCAGAGCUAAGGCAUCUACUUUCCUAGAAAGUGUAGCUAGAGUGGAUUUCACAUCAAAAUCAUCCUUAACUUCAUAUAACCCCUUUCUAGAAACUUGAGAUGAUUUUUCCCUUUGAUUUGAAAAAUCCCAUUGUUGAGAGUUUUCAGAAAGUGAAUUAAAGAAAUCCCAUGCGGCCCAUUCAUGUAAGUUCAAAAAUCUCCCACCAUUCAUAGACUCUACCAUAUGACGAUUUGACAUGGUUAAACCGUUAUAAAAGCAUUGUAUAAGUCUCCAUUUUUCAAAACCAUGGUGGGGACACUUGAGGAGUAAAUCAUUGAAUCUUUCCCAACACUCGUAAAAUUGCUCACCCUCUCUUUGAUAAAAAUCACUUAUCUCUGUCCUAAGGGCAUUUGUUUUCGACAUAGGAAAAAACUUGGUGAGAAACUUAUUACUCAAUUCAUCCCAUGUACUAAUAGACCCAGCAGGAAGUGAAUUCAACCAAGCUUUUGCUUUGUCUUUUAAUGAGAAAGGGAACAUACGAAGCCUAAUUGACUCAUCAUUAAAAUUUUGAAAACGAAAUGUAGAGCAUAUGUCAAGAAAUUCCUUAAUGUGCAAAUAUGGAUCCUCUCUCUCUAACCCAUGGAAAGAUGGUAAAAGUUGAAUGACUGAGGGCUUAAGUUCAAAGUGUGUUGCUGUAGUUUGUGGCAACACAAUACAAGAUGGUUGGUUGGCUGCAAGUGGUGAAAAGUAUUCUCUGAGGGUUUUCUCUGCUUGCACUGGUGGAAGUAUUGGCAAUAGUCUAUUUGGGUCAUCCAUCACUUCUAAAGAACUAGUUUGACUACUAUCAAUUUUCGACUCUCUUUUAACCAAACGAUUUGUUGAAUCACGUUCCCAAACACUCAUAAACUAACUAGACAAGAAAAGAAAGAAAAAUAAAAUCAAAUAAACCAACAAUAAUGAGAAUAAAUGAAAUUUAAAAAUAAAAGAAAUCAAACAACCAAACAAUGAAUUUAAAGACAAAUAAAAGUUUUUUUGUGUUUUUUUUUAAUAAAAAAAAUAAAAGACAACCUAAGUUAAAACUAGUGGAAGAAUCAAAUCAACCUAGAUUAAACUGACUUUCUAGCACAAUCCCCGGCAACGGCGCCAAAAACUUGUGUUGAAAAUUUUAAUAUACUCGCAAGCGCACGAAUCUAGAAAUAGAAUAGUGGUAACGAGGUCGAUCCCACAGGGAUUGUUAUAAAUUGAAAAGUCUAAUUUAAAUAUAAAAUUAAUAUUAAUUCUAACCUAGUUGACCAAAUUGAGUUUUAAGAGAAAUUAAACUAAUUAAACUAAGGAAGCAAAAAAUAAAGGAGAAUUCAAUAAGAUAAGAAUUACCAAGGUUUUAGAAUCCACCACUAUUCAACUAGUAAUUAUCUAAUUAUUAAUUAAUCCCCAAUUUAGAGUGACAACUUGAAAUCAAUCUAUGUCAUCUCAUGGAUAUAACAAUUAAGCCCAAAUAAAAUUAAUCUUAUGUAGGUUCUUUUUCUGCUUGAUAAUAUGACAUCUAAGCAUCCCAUGUAAACAUAUUGAAUAACAAAGAAUCAAAGUUUUCCUAAGCACUCUAUGUAAACAAUUUAAUGAAAGACAUAAAAUCAAAGAUAGUCAUGUAUAAACUUUAUAAAUCCAAGCAUAGAUUUAAUCGAAUAUUAAUCCUAACAAUCAAUAAUGCAUGACAGAAUUGAUGAAAAGAUUUUAUUAACAUCCAAUUAAUCAUGUGAGAUAAAAACCAUAAUCAUCAAAGAACAUAUAUAGGGAAUUAAUUAAAUAAAAAGAGAUAAUUAUUUCAUUGAAUAGGGUUUCAUCUUUAACCUCAGUAUAAGAAAAUUAGCUAGACAUACUUGAAUUGAGAGCAACAAGAUAAAUAAAUUCAGCCAUGGGGAAGCCGAAUUGCUGCAGAUUUUCUUCUCUGUCUUGAAUCCUUGCGUCUCCAGUUCUCCCCUUCCUCUGGCGGCUCUCCCCCCUUUAUAUAAUGUUACUGGCUUGCUUAAUCCUUAUCGGAUUCUAAUUGCAUUAACUUAUCAUAAGUCACAAUCAUCCACCGACUUACAAAGCCCACUCACCAAGGCCUUUUUAAAUUAUUUCCUUAUUAAACUUUGAAAACUAGCCACACGUUUGACCACAAAAGCAAAAGACCAAUUAAUGACUUCUUCUUUUAAUGCCCAGCACAUGCACUCCAAAUUGCCAAAUCUUUGCUUUCCAAAUGCAUGCCCACCGUUCAUCUUUUGAAGGGAUUGACUUCCAAUUUUAAUCUUAUUGACUUCCAAAUUUGAACUUCCUCAUGCCCUUUUUAUCCUUAAUCUUCAAUUAAUUCCCUAUUCAACAAAAUAAUUCAAUUAAUUAAAAAUAACAAAUAAAAAUAACUAACAAUUAAAUAAUAAGAGUCAAAUAUGUAUAUAAAUUAUGCUCAUCAAAUACCCCCAAACUUAGAUUUUGCUAGUCCUCGAGCAAAACUAAAACUUAAAACAAAAGUAAAAACAAUGAAAAAAAAAAUAAAUCUUAACUAAACCACUUUCGCAGGUAAUCGCGAUUGCAUUUAGCGUAUGCAACAAGUCUUUAAACCCAUAGGCGGCCCUAGUGGACGAGUUAUAGUCUCGUGAGGGCUUCAGUGAUGUUACCCACAAACAUCAUUUUUCAAAGAAUUAAAAUAAAAAUAAAAUGAAAAGAACAACAAACUUUUAAACAAAACAUGAAGAUAGCCUCAAAGAUUGCAUAAAUUAUAUAGCUCAAAGAAAAUUUCAAAUAUUGGCAAAGUUCUAACUUUAAUUCAAUAGUCAAUCUCAUCUCUCUUUCGAUUCUUGUAGUGUGUGUGUGAAAUCAAUUCAAUCAAAUCCAUUCCCAAAACCCUCAAUAUCAACAGCCUUCGCCUCAAACAAAGAACAGAGUAGGUCAAACUAAUCUUAUCAUCUUGAUCUCCAAUUUUUUUUUUUUCACAGGCUUUUAUGUGCAUUUUCUUUUGAAUUUUUUUUUUCAGCACAUGCACUUGAUUUGAUUUUUUUUUCUUUUUUUUUUUAACCAUAGUCAGGAGCUUUCACUCUACCCCUUAAGGUAGCCUUCUUCUCAUGGUAGAUUAUCCUCUACAUACUUGUGGUACAUAGGCCCAAAUUACUCAAGGAUAGCUUCACUCUUAAGGGUUAUAGGUAGCUAUUUCUGACUCUGGCGCCUGUGUAUGCUAUUUUGUAUUGUGGAGAUAAGAAUCAAGAUAAAUAGUCAUUUACUCUAUCUAAAAUUCUCAAUUCAGGCUGUGUCAAUCUCAAAUUUCAAGUCAAAAUCAUGAAAGAACUGAUAUUAGUGCUCAUGGUUUAAAGAAUCUCAAUCAAGAGGAACUAACACAAGAAUCAAGUAUAAACUAAGACAAUAUUCAAUCCUUUCUAAAAACCAUAUUUAUUGUCAAUCAAAUUCUUAUCAUUGGCUUUUCACAUAAAAACAAAAACAACACAAAUUUUUUUUUUGAAUUUUUGAAUUUUUUUAUUUUUUUAUUAUUUUUUUAAACAAACAAAGCACACACUAUUCCCACCCCCAAACUUAUUUGGAACAUUGUCCUCAAUGUUUCACAAACAAAAGAUAUGCAUGCAAACAAAUGAAAGAGAAAUAAUAAUAAUAAUAAAAACAUAAAUAAUAAAAAGAAAGUUGAAGAUAACACACCUGGAUGGGCUGUGAAAGCUUAAAAGAAAAUGCCAAAUGAAAAGAAAACAUUAGAAAAGAAAAACAAACAAAGAAAAGAAAACCUACUGUUAAAAUAAAACAAGAGUGCAAAGAUGAACUUAAUUAAUCCUGAUAAACAGGAUCAUCUAACAGUAUCUCCUCAACUUCUGGUGUUCUUAACUCUAAAAAUGGUUUUAAUCUUUGACCAUUGACCUUAAAUAAAUCACCAUUUUUAGGAUUUUCAAUCUCAAUUGCCCCAUAAGGGAAGACAGUACGAACUAUAAAAGGACCAGACCAUCGAGAACGUAACUUACCUGGAAAGAGAUGCAAUCGGGAAUUAUAUAAAAGUACUUUCUGACCUGGUGUAAAGACUUUUCUCAAAAUGUAUUUGUCAUGAAAGACUUUCAUUCGCUGUUUAUAAAUCUUGGCAUUCUCAUAUGCAUCAUUCCUGAUCUCUUCAAGUUCUGCUAGUUGUAAUCUUCUCUUAGACCCAGCCUGCUGCAUGUCAAAAUUGAAUUUCUUGAUAGCCCAAUACGCACGAUGCUCCAACUCUACUAGCAGAUGACAUGCUUUUCCAUACACAAGUCGAUAAGGUGACAUCCCAAUUGGUGUUUUAAAAGCAGUCCUAUAUGCCCACAAUGCAUCAUCAAGUCUCAAAGACCAAUCCUUUCUAUCUGGCCUAACUGUUUUCUCUAGAAUCCGCUUGAUGUCUCUAUUAGAAAUCUCUACUUGGCCACUGGUCUGAGGAUGGUAUGGGGUGGUAACCUUAUGUGUAAUGGAAUAUUUGUCCAAAAGAGUUUUGAAAGGUUUAUUGCAAAAAUGGGUGCCACCAUCACUAAUGAUUGUUCUAGGGAAACCAAAAUGAGACAGAAUAUUACUCUUUAAGAAUUUCACUACAACCCUAUGAUCAUUGGUUUUGCAUGGAGUUGCUUCAACCCACUUCGACACAUAGUCCACUGCAACUAAUAUAUACUGAUAACCAAAAGAUGGAGGAAACGGUCCCAUGAAAUCAAUACCCCAUACAUCGAAGAUCUCAACCACAAGAAUAGGAUUGAGUGGCAUCAUGUUCCUCUUUGAAAUGUUACCCAUACGUUGGCACCUAUCACACAAAGAACAGAAAAUAUAAGCGUCAUGAAAAAGAGUAGGUCAAUAAAAACCACACUGUAAAAUUUUUGUUGCUGCCUUUUUAGCACUAAAGUGGCCUCUACAAGCUUGUUCAUGGCAAAAUGAGAUAACACUUUGAAUUUCAUUAUCGGGAACACAUCGCCUAAUAAUCUGAUCAGCACAAUAUUUAAAUAAAUAGGGAUCAUCCCAAAAGAAGUCCUUCACUUUAGUUAAGAACUUUGUUCUAUCUUGCUUAGUCCAGUGCUCUGGGAUUUGACCUGUAGCAAGGUAAUUAACUAUGUCAGCAAACCAUGGUACAACAUUUACACUCAUAAGUUGCUCAUCUGGGAAAGACUCAUUCAAAGGUAAAGAUUCUGGAAUAAAUUUAAGAUCAAGGCGAGAUAAAUGAUCUGCCAUAACAUUUUCAGAACCUUUUUUAUCUAUAAAUUCAAUGUAAAAUUCUUGUAAAAGCAACACCCAACGAAUCAAUCUUGCCUUAGCAUCUUUCUUAGUAAGCAAAUAUUUUAAAGCAGCAUGAUCAGUAAAAAUAAUCACUUUACAACCUAUAAGAUAAGAUCUGAAUUUAUCAAGUGCAAACACCACAGCUAGCAUUUCUUUUUCUGUAGUUGAAUAGUUCAAUUGUGCAUCAUUGAGUGUCAUACUAGCAUAAUAAAUCACAUAAGGCAUACGAUCUAAUCUUUGUCCUAAAACUGCUCCUACAGCAUAAUCAGAUGCAUCACACAUAAUUUCAAAAGGCAAAUCCCAAUUAGGUGGCUGAAUGAUAGGUGAAGAAGUCAACAAUUUCUUAAGCUUUGCAAAAGCAUCAAGACAAGAUUCAUCAAAGAUAAAAGGUGCAUCCUUAACAAGUAAAUUGCAUAAAGGUCUAGAAAUUUUACUAAAAUCUUUAAUGAAUCUUUUAUAAAAACCAGCACGUCCAAGGAAAGAUCUUACUUCUUUUACGGAUUUGGGAUAUGGAAGAUUAGAAAUUAAAUCCACCUUAGCUUUGUCGACUUCUAUACCUUUGCUGGAAAUUAUAUGACCAAGAACAAUACCUUGUUUUACCAUGAAGUGACACUUUUCCCAAUUUAGAACCAAGAUCUUUUCUUUACAUCUCUGCAAAACUAAUGUUAGGUGCUGCAAACAUUCAUCAAAAGAAUCUCCAUAAACAGAAAAAUCAUCCAUGAAUACUUCAAGAAAUCUCUCAACCAUAUCAGAAAAAAUACUAAGCAUGCAUCUUUGAAAGGUAGCAGGUGCAUUGCAUAAACCAAAUGGCAUUCUCCUAUAUGCAAAAGUUCCAAAUGGACAAGUAAAAGUAGUUUUCUCCUGGUCCUCUGGAGAUAUAGGGAUCUGAUUAUAACCUGAAUAUCCAUCUAGAAAACAAUAAAAAUCAUGACCUGCAAGUCUAUCAAGCAUUUGAUCAAUAAAUGGAAGAGGAAAAUGAUCUUUUCUUGUGAAUGAAUUCAAUUUUCUAUAAUCAAUGCAAACACGCCACCCUGUAGUUACUCUAGUGGGAAUUAAUUCAUUAUUAGCAUUAGUAACUACUGUAACACCAGAUUUCUUAGGAACAACUUGCACAGGGCUAACCCAAGAGCUAUCUGAAAUAGGAUAAAUAAUUCCUGCAUCUAAUAAUUUGAUUACUUCAGCUCUUACCACUUCUUUCAUGUUAGGAUUUAACCUACGUUGCAUCUCCCUAAUAGGUUUAGUAUUUUCUUCAAGAUGAAUACGAUGCAUGCAAUCUACUGGAUUAAUACCUUUAAUAUCAGCGAUGGUCCAUUCUAUUGCCUCCUUAUGCUCUUUUAGAAUGCCUAACAACUUACCUUUUUGCUCAAGAUCGAGGGAAGAAGAAAUAAUAACAGGUAGUUGUCAGAUUCUCCCAAGAAUGCAUAUUCCAGAGUGUCAGGCAGUGCUUUGAGUUCCAAUUUUGGUGGUGCCUCUGCAGAUGGGCCAAUUUUCUUCUCAGAAUGAGGCAGUAGUUCUGACUUUGUCUUCCAUUUAAUUGUGUCCGUAAUUAGAGGUGCAUCAAGUAAAGCGCUGACUUCUGCAAUUGCACUGUCAUUAUUAAAAGAUAAAUCAGAAUGAGUUAGACAUGCCUCUAAUGGAUCGUCAGUAUAGUUAGAAAUAAAUGAAUCUUCUACUAAUUCCUCUAUCAUAUUUGCUUCAACAAAUUCAUCUUCUUCUUGUGGCUGCUUGGUAACAUUAAAAAUAUUCAAUUCCAUGGUCAUAUUACCAAAAGAUAGCUGCAUGUUUCCAUUCCUGCAAUUAAUAAGAGCAUCAGCUGUAGCUAAGAAAGGACGACCUAGAAUAACUGGAGUGUGUUUCUUAGGAUCCUGUACAUGCUGAGUAUCAAUAACGAUAAAAUCAACAGGAUAAUAAAAUUUAUCAAUCUGUAUCAACACAUCCUCUAUAAUACCACGAGGUAUUUUCAUAGACCUAUCAGCGAGUUGCAAAAUAAUAUAAGUUGAUUUUAACUCACCUAGUCCAAGCUGCAUGUAAACAGAAUAAGGCAAGAGAUUAACACUAGCGCCUAAAUCCAAUAAUGCUUUAUCAAAACAUUGGUUCCCUAUAACACAUGAGAUAGUAGGAGAACCUGAAUCCUUAAAUUUUGGUGGCAUUUUACAUUGGAGUAAAUUGCUAGUUUGUUCAGUUAAAAAUGCCUUUUUGGUGACAUGCAAAUUUCUCUUUUUAGUGCAUAAAUCUUUCAAAAACUUGGCAUAGGAAGGAACUUGCUUAAUAGCAUCGAGUAAAGGGAUGUUUAUACUUACCUGUUUGAAGAUUUCCAUAAUCUCACCUGUUGAAGUCCCUUUCUUUACCUUUGUUAACCUUUGAGGAAAAGGAGCCUUGGGAAUGUAAGCUGGCAGACCACUCUCUUCUGGAUCAUUUGGUGAUGAGUCUUGUGAUGGAAUUGGAUCUGAAGAAGUAGGCUCAGAUGUCUUCCUUGUUUGAACCUCUACUUUGUUGUCAAAUAAUUUUCCUCUUCUCAAGGUCAUAACAGAUUUUGCUUGUUCAUGCUGAUGACUUGAACUCAAUCCAGCUUCGUGCACUCCUUUGGGAUUAGGAACUGGUUGACUUGGAAAUUUUCCUUUUUCUCUCUCCGCUACAGUAGUCGCUAAUUGACCCAAUUGAUGUUCAAGCUUUAGAAUAGCUUGAGUGUUUGACUGAAAAGCUUGUUGGGUUGACUGAAUGAAACUUUGAAGUGUAUCCUCUAAAGAAGGCUUUCUUUGUUGGGGUGCAACAAAUUGAGACAUAGGUUGUUGGGCAGGAGGAUAUACUUGGUUAGGAGGGAUAAAUUGUUGAUUGGGCAUGUUAAAUUGUUGCCCUCCUUGAUUUGACAAAUGUUGAUUUUGUUUCCAAGAAAAAUUAGGGUGAUUCCUCCAAUUAGGAUUAUAUGUGGAUGAAUAUGGACUAUUGGAGGUUUUCUCAUAUGAUUGUAAGGCAUGUACCUGCUUAGAAUAAGCAUCUGGAUAGACUGGUAAUGAUGGACAAUUCUGUGCUGUAUGAGACAAGUUAGAACAAAUAGCACAAACUUCAUUAGCUACACUAGGAUGAUGAUUCAUUGAUUGGUUCAGAGCUAAGGCAUCUACUUUCCUAGAAAGUGUAGCUAGAGUGGAUUUCACAUCAAAAUCAUCCUUAACUUCAUAUAACCCCUUUCUAGAAACUUGAGAUGAUUUUUCCCUUUGAUUUGAAAAAUCCCAUUGUUGAGAGUUUUCAGAAAGUGAAUUAAAGAAAUCCCAUGCGGUCCAUUCAUGUAAGUUCAAAAAUCUCCCACCAUUCAUAGACUCUACCAUAUGACGAUUUGACAUGGUUAAACCGUUAUAAAAGCAUUGUAUAAGUCUCCAUUUUUCAAAACCAUGGUGGGGACACUUGAGGAGUAAAUCAUUGAAUCUUUCCCAACACUCGUAAAAUUACUCACCCUCUCUUUGAUAAAAAUCACUUAUCUCUGUCCUAAGGGCAUUUGUUUUCGACAUAGGAAAAAACUUGGUGAGAAACUUAUUACUCAAUUCAUCCCAUGUACUAAUAGACCCAGCAGGAAGUGAAUUCAACCAAGCUUUUGCUUUGUCUUUUAAUGAGAAAGGGAACAUACGAAGCCUAAUUGACUCAUCAUUAAAAUUUUGAAAACGAAAUGUAGAGCAUAUGUCAAGAAAUUCCUUAAUGUGCAAAUAUGGAUCCUCUCUCUCUAACCCAUGGAAAGAUGGUAAAAGUUGAAUGACUGAGGGCUUAAGUUCAAAGUGUGUUGCUGUAGUUUGUGGCAACACAAUACAAGAUGGUUGGUUGGCUGCAAGUGGUGAAAAGUAUUCUCUGAGGGUUUUCUCUGCUUGCACUGGUGGAAGUAUUGGCAAUAGUCUAUUUGGGUCAUCCAUCACUUCUAAAGAACUAGUUUGACUACUAUCAAUUUUCGACUCUCUUUUAACCAAACGAUUUGUUGAAUCACGUUCCCAAACACUCAUAAACUAACUAGACAAGAAAAGAAAGAAAAAUAAAAUCAAAUAAACCAACAAUAAUGAGAAUAAAUGAAAUUUAAAAAUAAAAGAAAUCAAACAACCAAACAAUGAAUUUAAAGACAAAUAAAAGUUUUUUUGUGUUUUUUUUUAAUAAAAAAAAUAAAAGACAACCUAAGUUAAAACUAGUGGAAGAAUCAAAUCAACCUAGAUUAAACUGACUUUCUAGCACAAUCCCCGGCAACGGCGCCAAAAACUUGUGUUGAAAAUUUUAAUAUACUCGCAAGCGCACGAAUCUAGAAAUAGAAUAGUGGUAACGAGGUCGAUCCCACAGGGAUUGUUAUAAAUUGAAAAGUCUAAUUUAAAUAUAAAAUUAAUAUUAAUUCUAACCUAGUUGACCAAAUUGAGUUUUAAGAGAAAUUAAACUAAUUAAACUAAGGAAGCAAAAAAUAAAGGAGAAUUCAAUAAGAUAAGAAUUACCAAGGUUUUAGAAUCCACCACUAUUCAACUAGUAAUUAUCUAAUUAUUAAUUAAUCCCCAAUUUAGAGUGACAACUUGAAAUCAAUCUAUGUCAUCUCAUGGAUAUAACAAUUAAGCCCAAAUAAAAUUAAUCUUAUGUAGGUUCUUUUUCUGCUUGAUAAUAUGACAUCUAAGCAUCCCAUGUAAACAUAUUGAAUAACAAAGAAUCAAAGUUUUCCUAAGCACUCUAUGUAAACAAUUUAAUGAAAGACAUAAAAUCAAAGAUAGUCAUGUAUAAACUUUAUAAAUCCAAGCAUAGAUUUAAUCGAAUAUUAAUCCUAACAAUCAAUAAUGCAUGACAGAAUUGAUGAAAAGAUUUUAUUAACAUCCAAUUAAUCAUGUGAGAUAAAAACCAUAAUCAUCAAAGAACAUAUAUAGGGAAUUAAUUAAAUAAAAAGAGAUAAUUAUUUCAUUGAAUAGGGUUUCAUCUUUAACCUCAGUAUAAGAAAAUUAGCUAGACAUACUUGAAUUGAGAGCAACAAGAUAAAUAAAUUCAGCCAUGGGGAAGCCGAAUUGCUGCAGAUUUUCUUCUCUGUCUUGAAUCCUUGCGUCUCCAGUUCUCCCCUUCCUCUGGCGGCUCUCCCCCCUUUAUAUAAUGUUACUGGCUUGCUUAAUCCUUAUCGGAUUCUAAUUGCAUUAACUUAUCAUAAGUCACAAUCAUCCACCGACUUACAAAGCCCACUCACCAAGGCCUUUUUAAAUUAUUUCCUUAUUAAACUUUGAAAACUAGCCACACGUUUGACCACAAAAGCAAAAGACCAAUUAAUGACUUCUUCUUUUAAUGCCCAGCACAUGCACUCCAAAUUGCCAAAUCUUUGCUUUCCAAAUGCAUGCCCACCGUUCAUCUUUUGAAGGGAUUGACUUCCAAUUUUAAUCUUAUUGACUUCCAAAUUUGAACUUCCUCAUGCCCUUUUUAUCCUUAAUCUUCAAUUAAUUCCCUAUUCAACAAAAUAAUUCAAUUAAUUAAAAAUAACAAAUAAAAAUAACUAACAAUUAAAUAAUAAGAGUCAAAUAUGUAUAUAAAUUAUGCUCAUCAAAUACCCCCAAACUUAGAUUUUGCUAGUCCUCGAGCAAAACUAAAACUUAAAACAAAAGUAAAAACAAUGAAAAAAAAAAUAAAUCUUAACUAAACCACUUUCGCAGGUAAUCGCGAUUGCAUUUAGCGUAUGCAACAAGUCUUUAAACCCAUAGGCGGCCCUAGUGGACGAGUUAUAGUCUCGUGAGGGCUUCAGUGAUGUUACCCACAAACAUCAUUUUUCAAAGAAUUAAAAUAAAAAUAAAAUGAAAAGAACAACAAACUUUUAAACAAAACAUGAAGAUAGCCUCAAAGAUUGCAUAAAUUAUAUAGCUCAAAGAAAAUUUCAAAUAUUGGCAAAGUUCUAACUUUAAUUCAAUAGUCAAUCUCAUCUCUCUUUCGAUUCUUGUAGUGUGUGUGUGAAAUCAAUUCAAUCAAAUCCAUUCCCAAAACCCUCAAUAUCAACAGCCUUCGCCUCAAACAAAGAACAGAGUAGGUCAAACUAAUCUUAUCAUCUUGAUCUCCAAUUUUUUUUUUUUCACAGGCUUUUAUGUGCAUUUUCUUUUGAAUUUUUUUUUUCAGCACAUGCACUUGAUUUGAUUUUUUUUUCUUUUUUUUUUUAACCAUAGUCAGGAGCUUUCACUCUACCCCUUAAGGUAGCCUUCUUCUCAUGGUAGAUUAUCCUCUACAUACUUGUGGUACAUAGGCCCAAAUUACUCAAGGAUAGCUUCACUCUUAAGGGUUAUAGGUAGCUAUUUCUGACUCUGGCGCCUGUGUAUGCUAUUUUGUAUUGUGGAGAUAAGAAUCAAGAUAAAUAGUCAUUUACUCUAUCUAAAAUUCUCAAUUCAGGCUGUGUCAAUCUCAAAUUUCAAGUCAAAAUCAUGAAAGAACUGAUAUUAGUGCUCAUGGUUUAAAGAAUCUCAAUCAAGAGGAACUAACACAAGAAUCAAGUAUAAACUAAGACAAUAUUCAAUCCUUUCUAAAAACCAUAUUUAUUGUCAAUCAAAUUCUUAUCAUUGGCUUUUCACAUAAAAACAAAAACAACACAAAUUUUUUUUUUGAAUUUUUGAAUUUUUUUAUUUUUUUAUUAUUUUUUUAAACAAACAAAGCACACACUAUUCCCACCCCCAAACUUAUUUGGAACAUUGUCCUCAAUGUUUCACAAACAAAAGAUAUGCAUGCAAACAAAUGAAAGAGAAAUAAUAAUAAUAAUAAAAACAUAAAUAAUAAAAAGAAAGUUGAAGAUAACACACCUGGAUGGGCUGUGAAAGCUUAAAAGAAAAUGCCAAAUGAAAAGAAAACAUUAGAAAAGAAAAACAAACAAAGAAAAGAAAACCUACUGUUAAAAUAAAACAAGAGUGCAAAGAUGAACUUAAUUAAUCCUGAUAAACAGGAUCAUCUAACAGUAUCUCCUCAACUUCUGGUGUUCUUAACUCUAAAAAUGGUUUUAAUCUUUGACCAUUGACCUUAAAUAAAUCACCAUUUUUAGGAUUUUCAAUCUCAAUUGCCCCAUAAGGGAAGACAAUACGAACUAUAAAAGGACCAGACCAUCGAGAACGUAACUUACCUGGAAAGAGAUGCAAUCGGGAAUUAUAUAAAAGUACUUUCUGACCUGGUGUAAAGACUUUUCUCAAAAUGUAUUUGUCAUGAAAGACUUUCAUUCGCUGUUUAUAAAUCUUGGCAUUCUCAUAUGCAUCAUUCCUGAUCUCUUCAAGUUCUGCUAGUUGUAAUCUUCUCUUAGACCCAGCCUGCUGCAUGUCAAAAUUGAAUUUCUUGAUAGCCCAAUACGCACGAUGCUCCAACUCUACUAGCAGAUGACAUGCUUUUCCAUACACAAGUCGAUAAGGUGACAUCCCAAUUGGUGUUUUAAAAGCAGUCCUAUAUGCCCACAAUGCAUCAUCAAGUCUCAAAGACCAAUCCUUUCUAUCUGGCCUAACUGUUUUCUCUAGAAUCCGCUUGAUGUCUCUAUUAGAAAUCUCUACUUGGCCACUGGUCUGAGGAUGGUAUGGGGUGGUAACCUUAUGUGUAAUGGAAUAUUUGUCCAAAAGAGUUUUGAAAGGUUUAUUGCAAAAAUGGGUGCCACCAUCACUAAUGAUUGUUCUAGGGAAACCAAAAAUGAGACAGAAUAUUACUCUUUAAGAAUUUCACUACAACCCUAUGAUCAUUGGUUUUGCAUGGAGUUGCUUCAACCCACUUCGACACAUAGUCCACUGCAACUAAUAUAUACUGAUAACCAAAAGAUGGAGGAAACGGUCCCAUGAAAUCAAUACCCCAUACAUCGAAGAUCUCAACCACAAGAAUAGGAUUGAGUGGCAUCAUGUUCCUCUUUGAAAUGCUACCCAUACGUUGGCACCUAUCACACAAAGAACAGAAAAUAUAAGCGUCAUGAAAAAGAGUAGGUCAAUAAAAACCACACUGUAAAAUUUUUGUUGCUGCCUUUUUAGCACUAAAGUGGCCUCUACAAGCUUGUUCAUGGCAAAAUGAGAUAACACUUUGAAUUUCAUUAUCGGGAACACAUCGCCUAAUAAUCUGAUCAGCACAAUAUUUAAAUAAAUAGGGAUCAUCCCAAAAGAAGUCCUUCACUUUAGUUAAGAACUUUGUUCUAUCUUGCUUAGUCCAGUGCUCUGGGAUUUGACCUGUAGCAAGGUAAUUAACUAUGUCAGCAAACCAUGGUACAACAUUUACACUCAUAAGUUGCUCAUCUGGGAAAGACUCAUUCAAAGGUAAAGAUUCUGGAAUAAAUUUAAGAUCAAGGCGAGAUAAAUGAUCUGCCAUAACAUUUUCAGAACCUUUUUUAUCUAUAAAUUCAAUGUAAAAUUCUUGUAAAAGCAACACCCAACGAAUCAAUCUUGCCUUAGCAUCUUUCUUAGUAAGCAAAUAUUUUAAAGCAGCAUGAUCAGUAAAAAUAAUCACUUUACAACCUAUAAGAUAAGAUCUGAAUUUAUCAAGUGCAAACACCACAGCUAGCAUUUCUUUUUCUGUAGUUGAAUAGUUCAAUUGUGCAUCAUUGAGUGUCAUACUAGCAUAAUAAAUCACAUAAGGCAUACGAUCUAAUCUUUGUCCUAAAACUGCUCCUACAGCAUAAUCAGAUGCAUCACACAUAAUUUCAAAAGGCAAAUCCCAAUUAGGUGGCUGAAUGAUAGGUGAAGAAGUCAACAAUUUCUUAAGCUUUGCAAAAGCAUCAAGACAAGAUUCAUCAAAGAUAAAAGGUGCAUCCUUAACAAGUAAAUUGCAUAAAGGUCUAGAAAUUUUACUAAAAUCUUUAAUGAAUCUUUUAUAAAAACCAGCACGUCCAAGGAAAGAUCUUACUUCUUUUACGGAUUUGGGAUAUGGAAGAUUAGAAAUUAAAUCCACCUUAGCUUUGUCGACUUCUAUACCUUUGCUGGAAAUUAUAUGACCAAGAACAAUACCUUGUUUUACCAUGAAGUGACACUUUUCCCAAUUUAGAACCAAGAUCUUUUCUUUACAUCUCUGCAAAACUAAUGUUAGGUGCUGCAAACAUUCAUCAAAAGAAUCUCCAUAAACAGAAAAAUCAUCCAUGAAUACUUCAAGAAAUCUCUCAACCAUAUCAGAAAAAAUACUAAGCAUGCAUCUUUGAAAGGUAGCAGGUGCAUUGCAUAAACCAAAUGGCAUUCUCCUAUAUGCAAAAGUUCCAAAUGGACAAGUAAAAGUAGUUUUCUCCUGGUCCUCUGGAGAUAUAGGGAUCUGAUUAUAACCUGAAUAUCCAUCUAGAAAACAAUAAAAAUCAUGACCUGCAAGUCUAUCAAGCAUUUGAUCAAUAAAUGGAAGAGGAAAAUGAUCUUUUCUUGUGAAUGAAUUCAAUUUUCUAUAAUCAAUGCAAACACGCCACCCUGUAGUUACUCUAGUGGGAAUUAAUUCAUUAUUAGCAUUAGUAACUACUGUAACACCAGAUUUCUUAGGAACAACUUGCACAGGGCUAACCCAAGAGCUAUCUGAAAUAGGAUAAAUAAUUCCUGCAUCUAAUAAUUUGAUUACUUCAGCUCUUACCACUUCUUUCAUGUUAGGAUUUAACCUACGUUGCAUCUCCCUAAUAGGUUUAGUAUUUUCUUCAAGAUGAAUACGAUGCAUGCAAUCUACUGGAUUAAUACCUUUAAUAUCAGCGAUGGUCCAUUCUAUUGCCUCCUUAUGCUCUUUUAGAAUGCCUAACAACUUACCUUUUUGCUCAAGAUCGAGGGAAGAAGAAAUAAUAACAGGUAGUUGUCAGAUUCUCCCAAGAAUGCAUAUUCCAGAGUGUCAGGCAGUGCUUUGAGUUCCAAUUUUGGUGGUGCCUCUGCAGAUGGGCCAAUUUUCUUCUCAGAAUGAGGCAGUAGUUCUGACUUUGUCUUCCAUUUAAUUGUGUCCGUAAUUAGAGGUGCAUCAAGUAAAGCGCUGACUUCUGCAAUUGCACUGUCAUUAUUAAAAGAUAAAUCAGAAUGAGUUAGACAUGCCUCUAAUGGAUCGUCAGUAUAGUUAGAAAUAAAUGAAUCUUCUACUAAUUCCUCUAUCAUAUUUGCUUCAACAAAUUCAUCUUCUUCUUGUGGCUGCUUGGUAACAUUAAAAAUAUUCAAUUCCAUGGUCAUAUUACCAAAAGAUAGCUGCAUGUUUCCAUUCCUGCAAUUAAUAAGAGCAUCAGCUGUAGCUAAGAAAGGACGACCUAGAAUAACUGGAGUGUGUUUCUUAGGAUCCUGUACAUGCUGAGUAUCAAUAACGAUAAAAUCAACAGGAUAAUAAAAUUUAUCAAUCUGUAUCAACACAUCCUCUAUAAUACCACGAGGUAUUUUCAUAGACCUAUCAGCGAGUUGCAAAAUAAUAUAAGUUGAUUUUAACUCACCUAGUCCAAGCUGCAUGUAAACAGAAUAAGGCAAGAGAUUAACACUAGCGCCUAAAUCCAAUAAUGCUUUAUCAAAACAUUGGUUCCCUAUAACACAUGAGAUAGUAGGAGAACCUGAAUCCUUAAAUUUUGGUGGCAUUUUACAUUGGAGUAAAUUGCUAGUUUGUUCAGUUAAAAAUGCCUUUUUGGUGACAUGCAAAUUUCUCUUUUUAGUGCAUAAAUCUUUCAAAAACUUGGCAUAGGAAGGAACUUGCUUAAUAGCAUCGAGUAAAGGGAUGUUUAUACUUACCUGUUUGAAGAUUUCCAUAAUCUCACCUGUUGAAGUCCCUUUCUUUACCUUUGUUAACCUUUGAGGAAAAGGAGCCUUGGGAAUGUAAGCUGGCAGACCACUCUCUUCUGGAUCAUUUGGUGAUGAGUCUUGUGAUGGAAUUGGAUCUGAAGAAGUAGGCUCAGAUGUCUUCCUUGUUUGAACCUCUACUUUGUUGUCAAAUAAUUUUCCUCUUCUCAAGGUCAUAACAGAUUUUGCUUGUUCAUGCUGAUGACUUGAACUCAAUCCAACUUCGUGCACUCCUUUGGGAUUAGGAACUGGUUGACUUGGAAAUUUUCCUUUUUCUCUCUCCGCUACAGUAGUCGCUAAUUGACCCAAUUGAUGUUCAAGCUUUAGAAUAGCUUGAGUGUUUGACUGAAAAGCUUGUUGGGUUGACUGAAUGAAACUUUGAAGUGUAUCCUCUAAAGAAGGCUUUCUUUGUUGGGGUGCAACAAAUUGAGACAUAGGUUGUUGGGCAGGAGGAUAUACUUGGUUAGGAGGGAUAAAUUGUUGAUUGGGCAUGUUAAAUUGUUGCCCUCCUUGAUUUGACAAAUGUUGAUUUUGUUUCCAAGAAAAAUUAGGGUGAUUCCUCCAAUUAGGAUUAUAUGUGGAUGAAUAUGGACUAUUGGAGGUUUUCUCAUAUGAUUGUAAGGCAUGUACCUGCUUAGAAUAAGCAUCUGGAUAGACUGGUAAUGAUGGACAAUUCUGUGCUGUAUGAGACAAGUUAGAACAAAUAGCACAAACUUCAUUAGCUACACUAGGAUGAUGAUUCAUUGAUUGGUUCAGAGCUAAGGCAUCUACUUUCCUAGAAAGUGUAGCUAGAGUGGAUUUCACAUCAAAAUCAUCCUUAACUUCAUAUAACCCCUUUCUAGAAACUUGAGAUGAUUUUUCCCUUUGAUUUGAAAAAUCCCAUUGUUGAGAGUUUUCAGAAAGUGAAUUAAAGAAAUCCCAUGCGGUCCAUUCAUGUAAGUUCAAAAAUCUCCCACCAUUCAUAGACUCUACCAUAUGACGAUUUGACAUGGUUAAACCGUUAUAAAAGCAUUGUAUAAGUCUCCAUUUUUCAAAACCAUGGUGGGGACACUUGAGGAGUAAAUCAUUGAAUCUUUCCCAACACUCGUAAAAUUGCUCACCCUCUCUUUGAUAAAAAUCACUUAUCUCUGUCCUAAGGGCAUUUGUUUUCGACAUAGGAAAAAACUUGGUGAGAAACUUAUUACUCAAUUCAUCCCAUGUACUAAUAGACCCAGCAGGAAGUGAAUUCAACCAAGCUUUUGCUUUGUCUUUUAAUGAGAAAGGGAACAUACGAAGCCUAAUUGACUCAUCAUUAAAAUUUUGAAAACGAAAUGUAGAGCAUAUGUCAAGAAAUUCCUUAAUGUGCAAAUAUGGAUCCUCUCUCUCUAACCCAUGGAAAGAUGGUAAAAGUUGAAUGACUGAGGGCUUAAGUUCAAAGUGUGUUGCUGUAGUUUGUGGCAACACAAUACAAGAUGGUUGGUUGGCUGCAAGUGGUGAAAAGUAUUCUCUGAGGGUUUUCUCUGCUUGCACUGGUGGAAGUAUUGGCAAUAGUCUAUUUGGGUCAUCCAUCACUUCUAAAGAACUAGUUUGACUACUAUCAAUUUUCGACUCUCUUUUAACCAAACGAUUUGUUGAAUCACGUUCCCAAACACUCAUAAACUAACUAGACAAGAAAAGAAAGAAAAAUAAAAUCAAAUAAACCAACAAUAAUGAGAAUAAAUGAAAUUUAAAAAUAAAAGAAAUCAAACAACCAAACAAUGAAUUUAAAGACAAAUAAAAGUUUUUUUGUGUUUUUUUUUAAUAAAAAAAAUAAAAGACAACCUAAGUUAAAACUAGUGGAAGAAUCAAAUCAACCUAGAUUAAACUGACUUUCUAGCACAAUCCCCGGCAACGGCGCCAAAAACUUGUGUUGAAAAUUUUAAUAUACUCGCAAGCGCACGAAUCUAGAAAUAGAAUAGUGGUAACGAGGUCGAUCCCACAGGGAUUGUUAUAAAUUGAAAAGUCUAAUUUAAAUAUAAAAUUAAUAUUAAUUCUAACCUAGUUGACCAAAUUGAGUUUUAAGAGAAAUUAAACUAAUUAAACUAAGGAAGCAAAAAAUAAAGGAGAAUUCAAUAAGAUAAGAAUUACCAAGGUUUUAGAAUCCACCACUAUUCAACUAGUAAUUAUCUAAUUAUUAAUUAAUCCCCAAUUUAGAGUGACAACUUGAAAUCAAUCUAUGUCAUCUCAUGGAUAUAACAAUUAAGCCCAAAUAAAAUUAAUCUUAUGUAGGUUCUUUUUCUGCUUGAUAAUAUGACAUCUAAGCAUCCCAUGUAAACAUAUUGAAUAACAAAGAAUCAAAGUUUUCCUAAGCACUCUAUGUAAACAAUUUAAUGAAAGACAUAAAAUCAAAGAUAGUCAUGUAUAAACUUUAUAAAUCCAAGCAUAGAUUUAAUCGAAUAUUAAUCCUAACAAUCAAUAAUGCAUGACAGAAUUGAUGAAAAGAUUUUAUUAACAUCCAAUUAAUCAUGUGAGAUAAAAACCAUAAUCAUCAAAGAACAUAUAUAGGGAAUUAAUUAAAUAAAAAGAGAUAAUUAUUUCAUUGAAUAGGGUUUCAUCUUUAACCUCAGUAUAAGAAAAUUAGCUAGACAUACUUGAAUUGAGAGCAACAAGAUAAAUAAAUUCAGCCAUGGGGAAGCCGAAUUGCUGCAGAUUUUCUUCUCUGUCUUGAAUCCUUGCGUCUCCAGUUCUCCCCUUCCUCUGGCGGCUCUCCCCCCUUUAUAUAAUGUUACUGGCUUGCUUAAUCCUUAUCGGAUUCUAAUUGCAUUAACUUAUCAUAAGUCACAAUCAUCCACCGACUUACAAAGCCCACUCACCAAGGCCUUUUUAAAUUAUUUCCUUAUUAAACUUUGAAAACUAGCCACACGUUUGACCACAAAAGCAAAAGACCAAUUAAUGACUUCUUCUUUUAAUGCCCAGCACAUGCACUCCAAAUUGCCAAAUCUUUGCUUUCCAAAUGCAUGCCCACCGUUCAUCUUUUGAAGGGAUUGACUUCCAAUUUUAAUCUUAUUGACUUCCAAAUUUGAACUUCCUCAUGCCCUUUUUAUCCUUAAUCUUCAAUUAAUUCCCUAUUCAACAAAAUAAUUCAAUUAAUUAAAAAUAACAAAUAAAAAUAACUAACAAUUAAAUAAUAAGAGUCAAAUAUGUAUAUAAAUUAUGCUCAUCAAAUACCCCCAAACUUAGAUUUUGCUAGUCCUCGAGCAAAACUAAAACUUAAAACAAAAGUAAAAACAAUGAAAAAAAAAAUAAAUCUUAACUAAACCACUUUCGCAGGUAAUCGCGAUUGCAUUUAGCGUAUGCAACAAGUCUUUAAACCCAUAGGCGGCCCUAGUGGACGAGUUAUAGUCUCGUGAGGGCUUCAGUGAUGUUACCCACAAACAUCAUUUUUCAAAGAAUUAAAAUAAAAAUAAAAUGAAAAGAACAACAAACUUUUAAACAAAACAUGAAGAUAGCCUCAAAGAUUGCAUAAAUUAUAUAGCUCAAAGAAAAUUUCAAAUAUUGGCAAAGUUCUAACUUUAAUUCAAUAGUCAAUCUCAUCUCUCUUUCGAUUCUUGUAGUGUGUGUGUGAAAUCAAUUCAAUCAAAUCCAUUCCCAAAACCCUCAAUAUCAACAGCCUUCGCCUCAAACAAAGAACAGAGUAGGUCAAACUAAUCUUAUCAUCUUGAUCUCCAAUUUUUUUUUUUCACAGGCUUUUAUGUGCAUUUUCUUUUGAAUUUUUUUUUUCAGCACAUGCACUUGAUUUGAUUUUUUUUUCUUUUUUUUUUUAACCAUAGUCAGGAGCUUUCACUCUACCCCUUAAGGUAGCCUUCUUCUCAUGGUAGAUUAUCCUCUACAUACUUGUGGUACAUAGGCCCAAAUUACUCAAGGAUAGCUUCACUCUUAAGGGUUAUAGGUAGCUAUUUCUGACUCUGGCGCCUGUGUAUGCUAUUUUGUAUUGUGGAGAUAAGAAUCAAGAUAAAUAGUCAUUUACUCUAUCUAAAAUUCUCAAUUCAGGCUGUGUCAAUCUCAAAUUUCAAGUCAAAAUCAUGAAAGAACUGAUAUUAGUGCUCAUGGUUUAAAGAAUCUCAAUCAAGAGGAACUAACACAAGAAUCAAGUAUAAACUAAGACAAUAUUCAAUCCUUUCUAAAAACCAUAUUUAUUGUCAAUCAAAUUCUUAUCAUUGGCUUUUCACAUAAAAACAAAAACAACACAAAUUUUUUUUUUGAAUUUUUGAAUUUUUUUAUUUUUUUAUUAUUUUUUUAAACAAACAAAGCACACACUAUUCCCACCCCCAAACUUAUUUGGAACAUUGUCCUCAAUGUUUCACAAACAAAAGAUAUGCAUGCAAACAAAUGAAAGAGAAAUAAUAAUAAUAAUAAAAACAUAAAUAAUAAAAAGAAAGUUGAAGAUAACACACCUGGAUGGGCUGUGAAAGCUUAAAAGAAAAUGCCAAAUGAAAAGAAAACAUUAGAAAAGAAAAACAAACAAAGAAAAGAAAACCUACUGUUAAAAUAAAACAAGAGUGCAAAGAUGAACUUAAUUAAUCCUGAUAAACAGGAUCAUCUAACAGUAUCUCCUCAACUUCUGGUGUUCUUAACUCUAAAAAUGGUUUUAAUCUUUGACCAUUGACCUUAAAUAAAUCACCAUUUUUAGGAUUUUCAAUCUCAAUUGCCCCAUAAGGGAAGACAGUACGAACUAUAAAAGGACCAGACCAUCGAGAACGUAACUUACCUGGAAAGAGAUGCAAUCGGGAAUUAUAUAAAAGUACUUUCUGACCUGGUGUAAAGACUUUUCUCAAAAUGUAUUUGUCAUGAAAGACUUUCAUUCGCUGUUUAUAAAUCUUGGCAUUCUCAUAUGCAUCAUUCCUGAUCUCUUCAAGUUCUGCUAGUUGUAAUCUUCUCUUAGACCCAGCCUGCUGCAUGUCAAAAUUGAAUUUCUUGAUAGCCCAAUACGCACGAUGCUCCAACUCUACUAGCAGAUGACAUGCUUUUCCAUACACAAGUCGAUAAGGUGACAUCCCAAUUGGUGUUUUAAAAGCCUUAAAAAAUGAAAAUUACAAUUUCACCUUAAAAAAUGCCAUUUUACCAUUUUAAGGUAAUUUUUAAGGUGAAAUUGUAAUUUUCGUUUUGGGGGUAAAAUGGUAAUUUUUUUAUGUUUCCGUUAGUUUUCUUAACGGAUUUCAAACGGAAGUGGAAAAGUGAAAUAAAAUGUAACUUUAGGUGGAUUCCAGCCAAAAAAUGAAGGAAUUGUGUAUUUUUGAAAAAUGUGUAAAAAACGGGUGGACGGUGGAUAUUUUCCCUUAAAAAUAUUCUAAUUUAUUUUCUCAAUUUAUCAUCAUAAAUUUACAUUAAUAAACUAAAUCCACAAAUUACCCUAAACCCUAAUUCAUAAAUGCCCAAUCAAUCUAAUAGUUUAAUUCGAUUUCAUAAUUAAAAAAAGCUAAAUUUAUUAUAUUAGUUAUGGUGCAAAGUCAAAAAUGCCCUUAAAGUCAAGGGUAAAAUAACAUUUUAUUUACAUUCUAUAAAUUAUUCUAACAAUGUUAACAUAUUGGUGGACGGUUAAUAUAAGUUACAAACUUAAAAUAGGAAAUCAAAUAAAUUUAAAAUUUCAAACUAUUUAGGGGAAAUUUAGGAUAUAUGGUUAAUAAUUUUCCCACGUCUUUUUACAUUGUUGAUAUAAGUUACAAACUUAAAAUAGAAAAUCAAAUAAAUUUAUAUUUUCAAACUAUUUAGGGCAAACUUAGGGUAUAUGGUUAAUAAUUUUCCUUUAUCUUUUUACGUUAAAUUGAGUUUUAAAGGUAAAAUGGUCAAUUUAUUAUAAUUCUGUUAAUUUUUUAGUGGAAGCAAACGAUAUAAUGGAUGAAUGAUAUAAAUUGUAAAAUUAAGGUGCACAAAUGCUACAACUUUAAAGUAUUAUAGUAAUUUUAAUAAUAGAACAAUUUAAGGGUAGAUUGGCAAUAAUUUAAACUUUAAUGAAGCAACUAAAUUUUUUUUUUUUACAAAAGAAAAAUAAUUGAAAUGCUUUAAGAAAAAUAAAGGCAAUUAAAUAUUUUUAUAAAAAAAAUAAUUGAGUAAAAUCAUUUUACAAAAUGCUCUUUCAAAUGCACAUUCCACAAGCCAGGGAGAACGGGUGGCUAACAAAAAUCUCACUUUUUAUGAGUUUAUAAAAUCUCACUUUUGCAGAAUCCAAAAAUAACCAAUACUAAUCGCACAAAAAAUAAAAAUUAUUGCUGUCACGACAUUACACGCUUUCUUCGCCGUCUAGAAAUGUAGAACAUUUUGAAGUUCCUCAAUACAAAAUGCCUGCUACUACUAAAUUGGCCCAAUUAAUGCCUAUCGAAAAGGCCAUCAAUUAAGCCAUCAAUUUUGUCAAAUUUUCAACAAUUGAAGAAACAACGAUCACAAACGGAACAGGUGAAUUUUGAAGUUGAAUAAAUCUUGAGAUACAUACAACAAAGCCUUGAAACUUUAUUCUUCACAAUUUGAGCACGCACUAAAUAUUAAACAAGUAUAGAACAAAGCUUAUUAUCUUCUUGUGCGAACUGAACACGCUGAAAUGUUUUUUUUUCCUUGGAUUUUUGGAAUUUUUUAAAAUCAUUUAUGUUCGCUGCCAUCUUUUUCUUCGCUGGCGUCUUCAUUGGCAUCCCUCUCUUGGCUGGCAUCUGCCUCGUCUGUAGUUUGCUGUGCCUAUAUAUCCAACCAAUAAAUUGGGCAUUAAAUACGAAUGAUGAAUAAAGUUAUUAAAAAAAAAACAAACAGAGAAAAUUAUAAUAUAACACAUAUAUAUUGAAAGAGAAAUUUUGAUUUUAGGAUAGAUCAAUUAGCUAUCAGAAACGAAAACAUGAACCAACUAUGUAGAGUCAAUUAACUAAAGUUCUCAAGACUUGACCUGUGCUCCAGAAUUCUUGGAAUCAUCUAUCUCCUUCUGAAUUUCCACGAAGCUUGGGACAAUUACGAACAUCUUCAUCGGAUGCAGAUGGAAAUGGGAUCUGAUAACCCGCAGGCCAAAAGUUGGUGAGGUUUGGUAAGUUUAUCAGUUCCAACUUCCGAAGUUCAUUCAUAACAAUUUCAUUGUAAUCCGUGACGUCUGCUCCAUCUUUAUGCCAGAAUACUUCUUCUAAUUCAUCAUUAGCUUCUAUGAAUAGGUACUUCAGUUUUUGAAGACUUGGAGCUACGCUGAUAUGAAAUAGAUGCUUUAGUUUGGGGCAAUAACUGACAGAGAUCUCUGUGAGUUUUGGGAAACAUAGGGGUUGGAGAUGAUCCUUAUCAAUGAUUUGCUCUAAUUCCAAGCAGUUAUCAAUAACCAGCUUCUCCAAUUGCAACAAAUUUCGAGCAAGUGUUGAUGAGAAGAGACGUCUCAGCAUAGUGCACCCGUCCACUCUUAAAUAGGUAAGAUUUUGCAGGCUAAAAUUAUGCGUGGGACCUACAGGUUGGAGAUGCUCCUCAUCCUCAUCCUCAGUAAUGAUUUGCUCUAAUUCCCGGCAAUUAUAAAUUUCCAACUUCUCCAAUUGCAACAGAUUUCGAGCAAGUGUUGAUGAGAAGAGACGUCUCAGCAUAGUGCACCCGUGCACUCUUAAACAGGUAAGACUUUGCAGGCUAAAAUUAUGCGUGGGACCUACAGGUUGGAGAUGCUCCUCAUCCUCAUCCUCAGCAAUGAUUUGCUCUAAUUCCCAGCAAUUAUAAAUUUCUAACUUCUCUAAUUGCAACAGAUUUCGAGCAAGCAUUGAUGAGAGGAGACGUCUCAGCAUAGUGCACCCGUCCACUCUUAAAUAGGUAAGACUUUGCAGGCUAAAAUUAUGCGUAGGACCUUCGUGAUAUAAUACUUGCAGUUCUCGAAGGUUUUCCAACCACAACGACUUCAAACAUGGGAAUAGUUUGUUUUCUUGUCCCUCAACGAUAAUAGCUUCCACUUGAAAUACCACUUGUACUCCAAGUUCUCUAAUAUACAAUGUUUCCAAAUUUUUAAAGCCAUGCUUCAAUAGAGCGUCAAUUGUGUCACGCAAAUGGAAGCAUUCGCCUAUUUUUAGAAUUCGUAAUUUCUGAGACAAAUAAAUAAAUAACUUGGUGUAAUUAAAAUUAGUUAGCAGCUAGGAUUAUCACAUGAUAAGUGAUGCAAAAAACAAAAACAGAAAACAAAAUCAAUACAAAAAUGUAAUAAUACAUAUGUAAACUAAUAAAAUAAUUAAAAAGUAAUGGAAUUUUUUUUAAAUGAAAUUAGUUAGAAGAGAUCAUGUGAAGUGAUAUAAAGGUGACAUUAGAUUGUUUGAGAAAAAUUAGUAUUCUAUUAAUUUCUAUGGCUUGAUCGGCUAAUUAAUUGAAUUUGAGUAAUAUUAUAUACACUUCAAAAGUGUUUGCAUCAAUUCUUUCUAUACCAAAAUGAGAUAUGACUUUCAUUUGAAAAAUAAUUUUAGGCUCUAAAAUAAAGAUAUUUGAGCAUUAUGAUUAUCAUCACCACAUGCACCAUCAUCAUCAUCUCAAUAGGAGUAAAUAAUUAAUGGCUGGUAUAAAAUUUAUUGCUAAAUUAUCAUUUUGACCAAAAAUUGAAGGAAAAUAAAAAAAACAUAAAAACAAACAAACAUACCUCUUCAAGAUACUGCAAAUUGGCUUCAAGUUCAAUACUGUUGAUGGUCAAGUUGGGACAGUGCUCAAGACGUAACUUUUCCAAUGCUGGCCAAAUUGAACAAUAAUUUUCUGAACAGAAGCUGAUGAGUUCUGGGAGAUCAUCAAGUUUUAAUUUUCUCAACAAAGGGAGGGCGAGCAUCGUAUUUCCAUCUCCGACACUUAUUCCCCCUUCAUUAUGAUCAAACGUUGCUUCGACAAUAUAUUCCAGUCUCUCGCAUCCACUUACAUCGAGACUUUUAAGCUGCUUCAAACUUCGAGCUUGUGACAACGUGAAGAUAUAUGUCAACUUGUUGCACCUAUGCACAUUCAAUUCUGUAAGAGUUUGGAGACUGAUCACAUGUUGGGCGGGCGCCUUCCAUAUCCACUUCAGUUCUGGUAAUUGCCACAUAAUUAACUUUGCUAAUCUUGAGAGACUCUUUCCAUGCAGCGACUUAGAGGCAUCCAUUAUGCAUUCUAAAUCUUCGCAAUCGCCGACAUCAAGACAAGUCAACUCAUUUAAGCCCCUUUCAUCUAUGCUUGGCACAAUAUUGUAACAACCUAUUAACCUACUCAAACGAAGAAAUUUCAGAUUUUGAUACAAUGCUGAAAAAAUAACGAGCGAGGUCGCCGCUUCAUGAGGGCAAUUCUCAAUGAUUAAGCUCCUUGUUUCAUCACCAUCUUCCAUUUCAUCAUCAACUCCUUCACCUUUACGGAUGAUGUAUCUUUGCAAUUUCGGGAAUGUAAAGUCUUUUGGAAGACAUACAACAGAUCUGUCGGCUUGGGAGUUCAACUCAGCAAGCCUAGCAUUGCUUUCUUCUGAACUCAUCCCUUCAACCUCCCAAUUUUUUAUCCGACCAUAAAAUUCUUCCAAUUGAGGAAAUUUUUUUAUCGCAAUGGGAGAAAUGGAGCCAGUAGCAAUAUACAGAAGUUUCAAUCUACGAAGUUCAUCCGACAAUUCUUCAAGAAUUUUAAUGGGAGACGUCACGAGAAAAAGAAGUUCAAGCCUCUUCAACUUUCCAAGGAAAGACGCGUCACUCACCUCACAUCGAAUCAACUGCAGAACCUGGAGGUUGGUGAGGAUCUGAAGCGAUUUAAGUGAAAGAACUCCACCUAUUAUAGUGACAACUUUCAAUGCUGGCAUCCCUUCAAAAAAAUGUUCUGGAACUUGCAAUCGGUGGUCGUAUUCAGGAUUCUCCAAUCGCAAAAUAUGAAGGUUAGGGCAUACCAAACCACUAGGAAGCUCUUCUUUUUUAUUUCCCACCAAAGAGAUUCCUCUGUAUUGUUCCAGGCCUUCUUUCAUUGCCCGUUCUGCCAAUCCAAUGCCAACUUUACUAAAAAAUUUCUUCUCCUCUAGAACUAUUGAGCCUAUCCAUAUGGCUACAUCACGAACUAUGUCAUGCAUUUUCACAGAUCUGUCAUUACCAGUGUCUAACAGCAGUGACGCAGCUUUGAGCGCGUUAAUCGUUCCAUGCAGUCGGCUUCUGGCGUUUUCUAUUGACGGAUCACAUUGAUACCAAAUAACCCCCAAUGCGUAUCCAACCAAAUCCUCCAAAUAAAUCUCAUAAUCUUCUGGAAACAGAGAACACAGCAAGAAGCAUAACUUGGACUCCUCACUAUUUAAAUUAUCGUAACUGAAUUUGAGACAACCGUAAACGUCUUGGUCAUCCUUGUCAAUACCUUCUAUUGCAUAGAGUUUUGCUUCCCUUAGGUUAUAUAGUGCUAGAUUCCAAUCAUCAGAUCCUUUUUCUCUUAGUGCACUUCCAACAGCUUCAAUAGCUAAAGGCAGCCCCUUACAUUCGUCAGCAACUUUUUUUGAAACACCAUCCAAGGAGGAGUCGUUUACAUUAAUACCGGCAUUCAUUUUUAGUAGAGUCAAUCCUUCUUCUGGUGUUAGUAUACCAAGUUCAAUCUGUGGGUAACAACUGAAAAAACUACAAAUUGACUUUUUGCGAGUGGUUAGAAGGAUUUUGCAACAAUUGUCUCUAUCCCCAACGGGAAUACCUAAUUUUUUCUCCAAGUCGAGUUGUUUCCAAACAUCAUCAAGGAUUAUGAGGAUUUUGCUGCUUUUACUCUCAGAAAACAUCAACCGCAAUCGAUCUGCUCUCUCUUUUUCAUCUGUCUCAUUAAACGCCCAGCCUAACGACUUUACCAGCUCACCUUGAACCUUUAUUAUAUCUGGAUCCUGAGACACAGUGACUAUCCCAACUUCAUCGAAAAUCUUUUGUUGCCGAAGUUGAUUGCCCACAAAAUUUGCCAAGGUCGUCUUCCCUACACCACCGAGACCGUGCAAUCCCACCAUCUUUGUGCUCUCUUUUUUCAGUGCUUCAGUGAUCUGAAUGCAAGCCAACUCUGUAGCCUUGAAAGGAGAAAAACAUCUCGGUAUAGGCAAUUCUUUGUCUGAUGGUAGAGGUUUAGGACGGGCAACUGUGCUGAAUUUGCUGCGGUCUUGUAGCAGAUCGGACAACUUGCUAGUCUUCUUUGAUGCUUUUCUACCCAGCCAGUAUCGCCAACCCCAAUUAGGACACCAUCCAUUAAGACAACUCUUCUUUUCAUCUAUCUUUGCUUGCAAAUUUCGAACGUCGGCCAUUUCUUUGUCCACAUCCUCCAACCACUUCUCCACAUCUUUCUCGAUUACAAUGGCGCGGUGUUUUUGUCGUUCUUCUUCUACUUUUUCAUUGAUGCCAUCUUGUGCAUUCUUCAAAUUGGUUUCUUUAACCUUAAGUUCUUUAUCUAUGCUGUUGAAACAGAGCAGAUAGCGAGCUUGGUUUAUGGUUGCAUCCGCCAAUAAUUCUGCAAGCUUUGAUCCAAUACAUGAUAAAAUUUCCAUGCUAUUUAUCUGCAAUUAACAAGUUGAUGUCAGUAUGCUAUAAGCAAAACAUCAAGGCUUGAUCACAAGAUCGAACGAGAACGUUUAAUUGCUUUAAUUUUUUUUUUUUUUUGGGCUUAUUAACGCCAUCUUUGAUCAAUAAGAGCAAAAUGCAAAACAGAAGAGAAUGAAAUAAGGUUAACGUUAUAUAUGAUGGAUUACAUUGAAAUUAUAUUACUUUAGAAAUUUUUAAAUAAAAAUAUCAAACAACAAAUUUAAUAGAAUCCGGAUAAACCUAAGAGUUUGUUGUGCAUUGCGAGUGAAGACGGGCAGUUGCAUGGGGAAUAUGAUAAAAGUGAUGAAUAACUGAAAAGCCACCCAUAAUAACAAUUAAAAAGAAUAUUAGAGAUUAGAGGAGUUCAACAUCCCAUGCAAGCCCACUCAUGAAAAAAUAUGAAUGGUUUCAAGAUGAUUACUCCUUUUUUUUUUACCUUUAAUAAAUAUUCUAAUAAAAUAAUACCAUAAUUUUAAAUAAUAUCUUAAUUUCUUUUUCCUUUAAAUGUUCAUUGAACUCACAUAUUGGAUAAUUAAUUUAAUCACUUGUUAAAUUAUUUAUUACCCUAUGUCAUUAUUCGAUAGAUAUAAAUGACACCUUAUUUGGUAUGAUAAAAAUUGGGGUAAAUUUUCUUUUAUUCUCAUAAGUUUGGACUUAUUACUAGUUACAAUAUUUGUAAUUUUUGAAAUUUUACCUAAACGGUCCAUGUCAUUACUUUUAUAGCCAUCGAACAUGACUUUUCAAGUGUAAGAUAAUAUUUUUGUCUGUUAUAAAUUAAAAUUCAAAUGAAUCUAUCACGCAACAAAUAUAAAAAAUUGAUUUUUUAUUAAUUUUUGUGAAUUCUUUUAAUGUUCGAAUUAGAAUUGAAUAAUUUGUAUAAGGAUAAUUUAUAGGAAGAUAAUCUGCAAAAUAAGCUUAUAUGUUGAAUUUAAAAGAGUUAUAUUAGUAAUCAUAUAUUUAUCAAAUUUUUUUAAUAAAAAUUUUGUUUAAAAAUUGGCCAAAUGGGUUUCAUGAAGAAAAUAGAAGAGCAUGAACAGCGCCACUUUCAAUUUUUAUUGUGGUUGUACAAUUGAAAAGACGCAUUAAAUGGACCAAUUUGAAAUGGCAAGAGAGCAUAAUGGACUCAUGUUGGGACUUGGAUAGGAAAAUUAAUUUUAUUUUUGAAAGUAUGGUCAACAGUACUGACUUGGAGGUGAUUGACGUUAAGUUAAAUUAAUGGAAACAAAUGGCAAAAAUAAUUUAAUGAAAAAAAGCAUUAAAAAAUUAGAACUUAAGUUCUUGAUCAUUUUGUCCGUAUGUUUUUAAGCCAACGCCCAGAAUUGGCAUAAAACUAGCCAUUGGAAUUAGGUAAAACAAAAAUCAAAUUAAGGGCUUAUAAAACAAUAAGAUCUCAUACCUUCUUCGUUAUAAAUCCUCAAUUACUGCUGAAAGCUCUAGUUAAGAGAGUCGCACAAGUUCGGAGAAAAUUAAAAAGCUGCAUAUGGCAAUAUAAAUAAACAUCAGAUCAAAACGACAUAGGAUAUAUCUGGCUAAUUAACAUCUUAUAUAAGUCCUUGUUCUCAAUCAAAUCUUUCGUACUUAGAAAAAAAAAAGAUUGAAAUAAUAAUUGUACGUUUUUAAUCCAACGUGCAAAAUUGGCAUAAACAAACUAAUAUAGCAUAAAACAAAGAUCAAAUUAAUAGCCUAUGAAAUAAUAAUAUCUCAUACCUUCUUCCUUAUAUAUCCUCAAUUACUACUGACAGCUCCAGUUAGAGUGGCAUGAUUUCCGAGAAAAUUAAAAGCUGCAUCUAGCAAUAUAAAUAAACAUCAGGUCAAAACAAAAUAGGAUAUAUCUAGCUAAUGAACAUCAUAUAUAAGUCCUUGUUCUCUAUCAAAAUCUUUCCUUCUUAAAAAAAAAAAUAAUAAUAACAAUAAUAAUUGAAAUAAUAACUGUGGGUGACACAGGAAGCAAAAGUAACAUACCGAAAUGAGAGCAGCUCACAUAUCUGGUGACUUCCAAGAGAAUGAAAAAUGAUUGACCUUUGGCAGCAAGAUCCAAAUCAUGUAUCACAAAUUGCUACUGACUUCGUGGCUUCACUUUCCUUUUCUUUUUCUUUUUCUUUUUUAAUUAAAUUUUAUAUCACAGUGUGAAUUGAAAGGUGAAAAGUGAAAUGGUACACAUGCGUAUGAUGAGGAGGUAAUUUUUAGGCACCUCCCCGAGGUUUAAGGUCUUCUGAAUUAGAUGGAUUGUAUUUUCGUAUUAUCAAAUACCUCCCCUGCCCGUUUUUAUUCCAUUUAGUAUUUUCUAUAUGGCUGAAGGUAAAUUGGUAAAAACUCAUUUAAAAUAAAAAAAAAUCAAAGAAAUUCAAGAAGAAGCUUUGUAUCUGCCAUUUGUAUUUGGGGUAUCUUUUUGGUUGUUGAGUGAAUGAGCUUAAAUCUUAAAUAUUUAUUUUCUUAUUAUAUAUUUCUCAUUGGAAAGAAUUUGAAUCUUAUUCUUAUUAAACUUAUUCUCUUUAAAUAAAAAUAGAUUUCUCUCCAUGUAUUUAGCGUGUAUUUUGAAAUUAAUGUUCAACAUAUCUUUAGAUCCUAUUAUAAAUAUUCAUAUCUAAAAUCUCAAUAGAUUCCAACAUAUAAAUAUAUAUAAAGAGAGAGAGUAACGUUCUAAUAAGAAAUUUCUUAAAUUAUCAAAUUAAAGGAUAAUUCAAAAGAUAAAAAAAUACAUAAUCUAAUAUAUUAUAUAACAAAAUAUACUAUAUUAAAAUAUAUAUUUUGCUUAAUUUUUUAAUAUAUCCCAUAAUAACUUAAGAAACCCUUUAUUUACCUGAUAUAUAUAUGUGUGUGUGUGUGUGUGUAAUUUUUUACAAAAUAAACAAUUUAGAGUAAAACAAAGGACAUUCUGGGGGCCUUUUGCUAGACUACCAAUCUACCAUUUUGGAUUGCAAUAAAGUGAAAAUACUGGACUACCAGUCUACUAUUUUGGAUUGCAAUAAAGUUAAAAUGGGUUACACCAAAAAAAGAAAAAAAAAAAGUGACAAUCAAUCUUGUCGGCCAAUACAUCGACUUUUUUGCCGGAUUAGUAUCACCGUCGAAAACAAAUUAUUGCAAGCACUGGCAAAAAGCAAUCGAUGAUUUCGCAAUUUGGUUGUCAAAAAGCAAAUUAGAUCACGAUUCCUCAAUUCAAAAUGGCUAAAGCUACAAUGCCGGGACACAAGUACCCGGUACCAUGCCGGAGUAAUUAAUUUACCGUUGGAUUUAAGUUCAAGGAAUCCAACGGCUCAAAUAUAAUAAUUUUUGAAAUUAGAAAAUAAUUGGCUACCUUUGCAACCGGUUACACACACUCUAUUUUCCUCCUUUUUUUUUUCAAAUUCGUCUCUCAAAUCCCUAAUAAAUUUUUCAUUCUCAAAAUUGGCCUAUCUAUGUUCAAGCCCUAAUUUUUUCAUUCUCAAAUUUGAUAUCUCUCUUCAAGCCCUACAUUGCUCAGUGGGAGGCAGGAAUCAGAAUGAAUAAAGGUAUCCUUUUUUAUUAAAUUUCUAAUUUUUCAAAUUUGGCUUUCUCCUUCAAAGCCCUAACUUUUCAAACUUGAUCUUUCUCUCCUGAAGUCGUACAUUAGCUCGCUGGGGAGCAACGCCGAAUGAAUAAAAGGUAUUUUUUUAUAUUUUAUUUUGUCUUAUUUCUUAUUUUUGGAAUUUGCAUUUCUCUCUAAAAGCACUAAUUUUUCAAAUUUGGUCUCUCUCUCUCAAAAUCCUACAUGAGCUCAAUGGGAAGAUGACUCGUAAUGAACAAAAGAUAUUUUUCUUUCUAAAUCUUUUUUAUUUUGGUUAAAUUUCUAAUUUUUAAGAAUAUGGGUUUUUGCUUUCCAUAUUGAAUAUCUAAGAAUUUGGAUUUUUGGUUAAAUUCUUAUGAAACAGAUCUUGAAUUUAAUUUUAUAUAUUUUUUUUCUAUGGCUUUAAGUGUUCUUGAGCAUUUUGUUAGAUUCUCGUCAGGAAACUCAAGAUUUCAUGAUGGGUGUGUGUGAUUAUUAGGCUUUCCCCCUCCCCUCUCUUUAAAUGGCUAAGUGUUUUGGGUAGACUAUGGUCUUGGAGCUUGGAUUAGUUGCUUAUUUAUUGUGAUAGGUUUUGCUCUAAAAAUUUUCAUUUUUGAUUGCAGUUCAUAUAAUCAAUAUUUCUUUAUUAGGCAGUGAUAUAAUAAAUUCCGGACUUAUUUUUUUUAAAGAUGGAUCUUACUAUUUAUUUCUCGUACAAACUCUGGUUAGGUGUUGACUCAACACUUGGGGCUGGAGCAUAUAUUCUUGUUGGAACAGUUGCUAGAGAGCAUUCAGGACUGGCACUCACCCUUUCGUUUCCUUAUAGCUGGAAUAGCUUCUGCUUUUUCAGCCUUUUGCUAUGCUGAGCUUGUAAGUCGUUGGCCAUCUGCUGGGAGUGCCUAUCAUUAUUCAUACAUAUUUGUUAGAGAAGGGUAAGUCCUUGUUACCUUUAAUAUUGGUAUAACUCGUAAUAGUCAUUUCUUAGAGAUGUAGUUUAUUGAUUCAUAUAAUUGGAUCUUGUUUCUAAAGUGGGAUAAACUAGUGAUUAGCUGGGGCAUAGUAAUCGUUAUUAAUGUUUUGGUCUAAUAAAUUGAUUUAACUUAGUUGAUGUUGUAUUUUGGCAGUGUUAGGUGGUUGAUUGGCUAGCUCUGAUACUUGAGUACACAAUUGGCGGGUCUGCUGUUCCUCGUGGCAUAUACCCGAAUCUGGUCUGGUGAAUUUUAUCGAGCUUUGAUUGUAUAUUUAUUUACUUUAGUUGUUACUAUUGAGUCAUAUGUGUUUUGCACUAUCAACUAAAUUGGAAUGGUUUAAUUGUAUUAUUUGUUCAUUUAGCUUGUUUACUUUUUCCUUUCCCUUAUUUUCUGUGAGUUACCUUUUUGACAACUAAUCAUCUUUGUAUUGAUUUGAAUUCAUAUAUUUUAUGAGGGAGGUCUACAAUUGCCUAUGCAAUUUAAACAUUUCUGUUCUUAUGUUGUUGUUAUUAAUGAUUACAGGCUGUGCAUUCUUCCUUUCUUUUUGGCUCAUCAAGAAAUUCCUAGACUUGACAUUAUUGUUGAUCCCUGUGCUGCAAUUAUUGUGCUUUUUGUUAUUGGACUCCUGUGUGUGGGAAUCAAGGAGGUAUCCAUUUGUUCCUUUCAAUUGUAUUUAUAUUUCUCUUAUCACUUUUUUCUAUAUAUAUUUCUGUAUUGAUUCUCAAAUAUGUCACACCUGAUGAGGUGCCAGUUCUAUCCACACUUCAGUCAUUAAUUAAUUAUGUAUCAUUGCAAUUUAGUCAGAGUUCUCUGGCUAUUAGUGGGGAAAACCUUGUUGAUGUUGGCACUUUGAAAUAAACUCAGCCUUGCCAAAAAGGGUGGAGCAGCCAAUUAUCCUUUUAUAAAAUGAGUUCAAGGUAUUGUGCAACCUUUGUAUUUGGUCAUCUAGACCUUUAAAAUAUGCAAUUCUUGUAAAUUUUCAAAUAAUGAGGUGCAAUUUAUUAUUGCUUGAUCAAUAGCUGCUCUAAUUGGUGUGCCUGAAUUCACUGUGUGGUAAUUUUCCUAAUUUCAAAAGUAAAUAUAUUCUUAACUUGCCAUGUGCUUAAUCCGAAUAUGAAAAGCUGUGUUAUCUAAUGUAAAUUACAUCUCUUUGGAGUGUGUUUGAAUUAUGAUCCUUUCACCAUCAUAUUUAAACUUAUAGAGGUUGGAUUGAGCUGGACUCUUUGAUAUAUUACUCUCUCGAUUCCGCUGCGACAUUUAUUUCUUUUACCAUGCUUUUUGUACUUUAUCUUCUGGGUUCUGCUUAAGUGUUUAAUUAUGUUUUAUAUGACUAUUGCAUACAUUUAUAAUGAAACAAGCAAACAGUUGCUGGAUGGACUGUAAUUGUAAUUAUGUUUUAUAUGACUAUUACAUGCAUAGGGGUGUUUGUAUAGGGAUGUUUGCUCUUACAUAUGGAGCUUCAGAUUUGAGCCUUCAUUAUGUUACCUUUAACUCUUUAUGCGUUUUAUUUCUUUUCUUUCAUAGCUUUCUUUAGCAGUGGAAGAUUUUGCUACUAUCUUAGAUUUUUUCUACUGGUUUUAGGUAGUCUUCCAACUUUUGUUUAUGUUGUUUUUAGGCAUUUUUCACUGUUGUUUUAGGGUAAUUUUUAUUGCUGUUUUGGGCAUCUUUUUCUGCUGUUUUUGGGAAUUUUUUAUUGUUGUUUCUUGGUUAUAUUUGUUGUUUUGGUGCUUUUUUCCUGCUAUUUUUUAGUGUAAUUUGUUGUUGCUUCUUAUUGUGAUUUGUUGUUGCUUCUUAUUAUGAUUAACGGCUAUUUUUAUCUUAUCGAUUAACUUGAAAAUUUUAAUUAUUUGCAGGGGAGAAUUCAACCGGAUAUUGCUUGGUUCUAUAAAUUAUCUGGCAUAAGUGUUUUACUGGAAACUUUUUGAUGUUGCGUAACCUCUUGGUUUACAAAUACGAAUGAAAUUGUAAUUAGUUUGUAACUCAAUUUGACGAUGCUUUUAUUUUUUGGGAGAUUAUGCUUAUAAUAUUUUUUUUUCUUUUUAUAGCCUACUCUUAUAAAUGAGUGCUCUUGAUUUUCAUUAUUUUGUUUUUCAUUAACAAAUUUCUUUUGAAAUAAGUGUACUGUAGUUUGUUUUCACACAAUUAAAAAAAAAUGAAAAAAUUGUGAUAUAAUUUAAUCCAAAAUGAUUUAAGAUAUACUAGGUUCUAAGCCCUCAAAUGUGCCAUCAAUUUGUUGCAAUCUUUAGGUUUGGGGGGUGUUAUUGGUGAUAUUGAAAUUCUACGUCGUCAAUUUUGGAUGUUUAGUAUAUGGAUUUACCCUGGGAAGAUUUUCGCUUCAUUUUUCUUAUAACAAUGAUCAUAGUGAUGUUGCCUUUUUCUUUCUACCAUAUUUUCUUUUUAUCCCUCAAUAUUUUUUUGUUUUGCUAGCAUAUUUUCAUUCAUAAACGAUUGUAAAUUUCAAUUGAGCUUAGAAUUUUUGUGACUCAGUAAUUUAAAAUAUCCACCAUGAUUAGUUUGUUUAAAAAAAAAUCAAACAAAAUACACCUAAAAAAUAUUAUUAUGCAACAAAUAAGAAUAGUGAUUUUCACUUGAAUUAUCAAAUUCUUUUUCAAACUAUUAUUAGACUAAAGUAAGGGAAAAAAUUGGAUAGAUAUGUAAUUUUAUUAUAAUUAAUUGGAUUUUUUUUUCAAAUUACAAGUUCUUUUUAAAGCCAACAUUUUUAUCAAUCAUGUAAAAAAUAGUUAGACAAUUAAAUUUAUAUGUGUAAUGUAAUGAACACAUUUAUAAUUUGUGUAUGAGUUAAAUAAAAAUUAGUAAGUUAGAUAAAUUCCCAAAUAUAAUUAUUGGGUAUAAGUUGAAUUUAAUUCAAUUUAAUGUAUCUUUAUUAAUAAAAUCUAGUUUAGUAAAAUAACAUGAAUCUAAUGAGUAAUUAAUGGGGUUUCACCACAAACAUAAGAUCAAAAUAUUCAUGUGUAUGUAUGCGCGCACUCAUGUCUCUAUAUAUAUAACUCUAUAAUAUUACAAGAGCUUUGAAUAUUUUAAAACGCAAGAGAUUUGAUAAUUCCAAUUCCAUAGCAAAUUAUUUGUUUAUUUUCUAUUAUGUUUUACAAAUUUAUAAUUUAUAAAAUUCUAUUUUUGUUACUAUUAAUUGUAUUUUUUUCAUAAUUUUUUAAUUAAUAUAUUAUCUUAAUUAAUAUUUAAAUAGUACACCGUUUUAAAGUGUUUAAAAUUCUGGACAGUGACAUGAACCAUUAUUGAGCUAACAGUUAACCGACAGUUUCCAAAAACAUGUUAAUUUAAUUCUACAAGAUAACAAUGAAUCGUUUAUUUGAUAACGGUUAGCCGAUAUCUUCCAGAAAGAAGUGUAUUUGGUUAUUUGAUUCUGGAAGAGAACGGUGAACCUUUUUUUAGAUAAUGGUGAACCGAUAUCAUCCAGAAAGGUAUAUGAUUGCAGAUAAAGAUCCGUUAAGGGCAAAGGGUAGCUAAUAGCAAUUGCAAAGUUACUGGACAAACACAGCGAACCGACAUCCAGGUAAUGGUGAACCGCCAUUUUAAAUUUUAAAAUUUUAGGAAAGGUGUGUGUGAAUGAAACGGGGGGGAAAUUUUUAAAAUUUUUACUUUAUUUAAGACAUGUGACAUUAGACGUCAAACAUACAACUCUGACGUCCAACAUGCAACAACUGACGUUAAACAUGAAACCUACAAUAUUUUGCGUCAAACAUGCAACAUAUCACGUAAAGUAUGCAACUUUGAUGUCAAACAUAAAACAAGCGAGAAUAUUCGGGAAUAUUCUUUAUUUUGGCUUUAUUCAAGACAUACAACAUCUAACGCCAAACAUGCAACCCUGACGUCCAACAAGCAACAAUAGACGUAAAACAUAAAACCCGCAAGAAGUCAUGUUAAAUAUGCAAUUUAUCACGUAAAGUAUGCAACUUUGAUGUCAAACAUGAAACGGACAAGAAUAUUCUUUAUUUUGGCUUUAUGUAAAACAAGCAACAUCUAACGUCAAACAUGCAAGCUGGACGUCAGACAUGCAAUAACGGACGUUAAACAUGCAACCUGCAACACCGCACGUGAAAUAUACAACUUAUCACGUAAAGUUUGUAACUUCGACGUAAAACAUGAAACAGACGAGAAUAUUCGAGAAUAUUCUUUAUUUUGGCUUUAUCCCAAAUAUGCAACAGCGAAGGUCAAACAUGCAAGUUGGACGUCAGACAUGCAAUAACGGACGUUAAACAUGCAACCUACAACACUGCACGUGAAAUAUACAACUUAUCACGUAAAGUUUGCAACUUCGACGUCAAACAUGAAACGAACGAGAAUAUUCGAGAAUAUUCUUUAUUUUUGCUUUAUCCAAAACAUGCAACAUCGAACGUCAAACAUGAAACCGGGACGGCCGACAUGUAACAACAGACGUUAAACAUGCAACCUGCAACACUGCAUGUGAAAUAUACAACUUAUCACGUAAAGUUUGCAACUUCGACGUCAAACAUGAAACAGACGAGAAUAUUCGAGAAUAUUCUUUAUUUUGGCUUUAUCCAAAACAUGCAACAUCGAACGUCAAACAUGAAACCGGGACGGCCGACAUACAACAACGGAUGUUAAACAUGCAACCUGCAACACUGCACGUGAAAUAUACAGCUUAUCACGUAAAGUUUGCAACUUCGACGUCAAACAUGAAACGAACGAGAAUAUUCGAGAAUAUUCUUUAUUUUGGCUUUAUCCAAAACAUGCAACAUCGAACGUCAAACAUGAAACCGGGACGGCCGACAUGUAACAACGGAUGUUAAACAUGCAACCUGCAACACUGCACGUGAAAUAUACAACUUAUCACGUAAAGUUUGCAACUUCGACGUCAAACAUGAAACAGACGAGAAUAUUCGAGAAUAUUCUUUAUUUUGGCUUUAUCCAAAACAUGCAACAUCGAGCGUCAAACAUGAAACCGGGACGGCCGACAUGCAACAACGGACGUUAAACAUGCAACCUGCAACCUGCAACACUGCACGUGAAAUAUACAACUUAUCACGUAAAGUUUGCAACUUCAACGUCAAACAUCAAACAGAUGAGAAUAUUCGAGAAUAUUUUUUAUAUUGGCUUUAUCCAAAACAUGCAAUAUCUAACGUCAAACAUGCAAGCGGGACGUCGGACAUGCAACUACGGACGUUAAACAUGCAACCUGCAACACUGCACGUGAAAUAUACAACUUAUCACGUAAAGUUUGCAACUUCGAUAUCAAACAUGAAACGAACGAGAAUAUUCGAGAAUAUUCUUUAUUUUGGCUUUAUUCAAAACAUGCAAUAUCGUACGUCAAACAUGAAAUCCAACCGUCGAACAUGCAACAACUGCUGUUAAACAUGAAACUUGCAGCACUUCACGCGAAAUAUGCAAUUUAUCACGUAAAGUUCGCAACUUCGACGUCAAACAUGAAACGGACGAGAAUAUUUGGGAAUAUUCUUUAUUCUGGCUUUAUUCAAGACAUGCAACAUAUUACGUCAAACAUGCAAGACGUCCGACUUGCAACAACAGACGUUAAACAUGAAACUUGCAACACUUCACGCGAAUUAUACAACUUAUCACGUAAAGUUGCAACUUCGACGUCAAACAUGAAACAGACGAGAAUAUUCGGGAAUAUUCUUUAUUUUGGCUUUAUUCAACACAUGCAACAUCUUACGUCAAACAUGCAAUCGAGACGUCGAACAUGCAAUAACUGACGUUAAACCUGAAAUACUAUUUUUUUCAUUUUCAAUUUCUUUAUUUUUUUUCAUUUUAUUUAAUUAUAUUAUAUUGUAUUAUAGGGUUUGUAUUAUAUUAUUUAAUUUCUUUAUCUUUUGCUAUUAAUUAUAUUAUAAAAAACUAUUUUUGACAUUUUAUUUAAUUUUUUCAUUUUUAUAUUGUAUUUUUAAUAUAUAUUUUUUAAAAAAUAUGGUGCAACCGGUUUGUCAACCGGCUGCAUCAAGUCUUUGGCUGCCAAAUGGCAGCCAAAGACAGUCGGGCUCUCUUUUUGAGAGCCCGGCAUUGUAGCCAAACCCAUUCAAAAUGGGGCAAAAUUAUGGUAUCACAAUGGUACCGUAUUAUGGCCGGAUCCAGCCUACAGUUAUCAUCAUAAUUGGAUUCAACGGUUGGAUCCAUUUGUAGUAUAGUAUCACUGUGGUAUCAUAAAUGGACCCUUUAAAAUAAUACUUUUUUUAAUUAAAUAAGUGAAAAUUAAACCUACAAUUUAAAAUAGAGGACUGUAGAUGCGUAUAAAUUGAAAAAGGUAAAUUUUGUGUAUGCGCAAAUAUUUUAGUUAACAACAAAAAAUUCUAACAAGUUAAUAUAAGAGUAUCAUAGCACAAGAGAAUUUUUUUUUUUUUUAAUGUUAAGAGUUAUCGAGAUACCCAAUAUAUAUGUGUGUGUGAGAGAGUGGAGGAAGAAAAAAAAAUUAAGAAUAGUUUUGGCAUUUUGAUGGGUUUUAUACAGUAAAAUCUAUAUUUUCAAAUAUGAUAAUUCUUUAAUUUAAUUUGGUGUUAUGAAAAAAAGGGCAUUUUAAAUAUGUUUUAAGUUAUAAAUAACACCAUCCAAAAUUUAAAAAUGAAAUCUUAGGGGGGAAAAAAUUUCACCCGAACUAAGGCCCAAAGUAGCCACGGCAUUUUUCACCAAUUCUCCAAUUCCCAAUGUGGUCUAAUUAUUUAUAAGGAAUAUGAGUAGGGGUGGGCACGGUUCGGUCUGGUUCGGUUUGGAUCGAAAUUAAGCAGAACCGAUUAAAAUCGGUUAUUUUAUAAAAAGAACUAAAUAAGAACCAAACUCAAUAAAAACCGAACUCAAUAAAAACCAAACAUAAACGGAUCUUUUCGGAUCGGUUCGGUUUAGUUUUUUUCGAUUUUGGGCCUAUUUUGAAUUUCUAAAUUGUUAGCCCAUUAGGCCUCAUGAAUGUAAUAAUUUUAUUCAACAAUUAAUUUAUCCUAAUUUCAUUACAAAUAUUAACAAUAAAUACAAAGUAUUCAAAACACAUUUUAUCACUAAUAUCUUACUAACUACUAAUAAGGUACUUACAAAAUAUGAAAUAUUAAGAUUUGAAAAUACAUAAUCAAACUACAAUACUCCAUCUACAUAAACAUAAUGUUGUAAAGACAAAUAAAAAUAACAACAAUUAAAACUUACAACACAAAAUAAAAAGAAAAUUUGGAAACAAACACGAACAACAAUUUUUAAAUAUAUAUAUAUAUAUAUAUAUAUACCCGUAAUCGUGUGUGUGCAUGCCUAUUUUAGUUAUCUCACGCAAUCAAUUAAAAUUUAACAUGUGUCUAUUUAAAUAAAAUUCUAAAAAUAACUCGAUUUUUUUGUUCGGUUUUUUGGUUCAGUUGAGUGAACCGAAUACCAAACCUGUAUUUCAAUUUUUUUUACAAACCAUAUAUUUCAGUUAUUUUUUAAAAUUAAAACCAGUCCGAACGGAAUGGAACGGUUCGGAUCGAUUUUCUCUAGUGCACGGUUUUUUUUACCCACCCCUAAAUAUGAGAUUCUCUACCACCCCAAUUUAUCCCAUUGUUAGCAAUCCUAUUAGCUGUUUUAUAUCCUAUUUUUAUUAUGCUCCCCAAACAAAUAUGUUUCACCUAAAGGUGCCCAACGGGCUGCACCGUCCGUCUGAAUGAGCCCACGAGAGGCUCCCCAUGACACGGCAAUCUUUUCUUUUUAACGAGGGCGUGCCUGAUAUGCUUUUUCAAGUCUACAUAUGUAACGUUCUUUUUUUAAAUCCAUAUAUUUUUUUAAGCUCAUGUCAAAUUCAGUAGUAAGAGAAUGCAAUGCUAGUUAAUAAGCUAAAGUGCACCCGUGCCACUUUUUUUUCUAGUUGUUUUAUUUGUAUGAUAAUUAUCAUGGACCCACGUAACUUUCUUUUGCAUUUAAAAUUUCAUAAUAAAUUAAAUUAGACAAAAGAAAUGAGUCCCACAAAUAAUUUAUUUUAUAAUUUUGUAAAUAAUACUAUUUUAAAAUAAAUUAUCAAAACAAAUUUCAUAUUCACUAAAAUUAAUCAUCUUCAUAUUAUAAAAUAAAUAAAAAAAACAACAUUUUAAAAAUAAUGCCAACUACACCCUUAAAUUUUAUGUACGGCACUAGAAUUAAUGAACAAUUUUUGACAAAGAUGCUGCGACCUAAGUAGGGAUGGCAAUUAAAUUCAGAGCCGGCUCGGAUCUGUAAGGAUCCGAAAGAUCCAGAUCUUGAAAAAUCCGUAUCUGCAUAUUAAAAAAUGUGGAUCCGGAUAUAGAAAUUUGGGAUCCGCACGAAUCUAGAUGCAAGUGCAUUCGGAAAACCGGAUAUCGAGAUCCGGAUAAAUUUUAUUUCCAAUUAAAAAUUAAAUGAUACAUUUAAUUUAGAUUAUCAAUCCUAUCUGAAACUUAUUGAAUGAUACAUUUCAUUUCUAUAAAAUUGAGUUACUAUUACCACCUCACAUCUUAUAAAUUCUAGAAAAUAAUCAAGGCUUGACAUACUUUUAUUUAUGCAAAAGCAUAAGAAAAUAAUUUAAAGUACUAAUUAGUGUACUAUUCCUCAAAAUUCUAGAAUAAAUUUGCUAGUUCUCUUUAGUCAUAGAUUGAUCCAUGAUUGGCACCGCAAUAGCUCAGAAUCACCUCAACGAUUGUUCCACACGGCCCAACAUGACACACUGUAAACUAGUCUAAGAUGAACUUUCUGAGUGGCUUUUUAGCAAUAGUCUUAGAGAAAGUGUUUAGUAGUAUGAAGUCUUCUUUUUUAACACAAAUGUUGGCAUGAUAUUCUUAAUAUAUUUCUAAAAUUAAAAUAAGAUGCAUAGAGGACAACAAUAAUUUUAUUUCAUAAUUGAAUUUUUUGCAAAAAAAGUUUGAACAUGAGAGUGAUGAGAGAUGAGAAUAUUGAUGAUGGUGUGUACUUUGGAUGGAAAAGUAGAUUGGAAAUAUAUAUAGACAUAUUAAAAGAAAAAAAUUUGGUCUAUUUCUUAAGAGAAACAAAAAAUUAUAAACGUGGGUGUUAAAAUGUAUUCAGAAUUUAUAAAUUUUUAUAAAUAUGAUAAUCAUCAGACCCUUAUAAAAGUAUAACAAAAAAGUUUAAAAUUUUUUAAUAAAUGUAGAAGAGAUGAACGAAGAAAUCAUCCACCAGUUCAGAAUUAACAAUCAAAGAUAUGAGGACUUGAAUGAAAAAAUGGUGAAAAAUAAAAGGACACUGGGUUGGUUAGCGGGACCCUAAUAUUAAUGGUGAAAAAUAAAAGGACACUAGGUUGCUAUCAAUUUCUACCGUGUGGGUUCAUAGCCGGGGAAGUAAUUGGGCACAAAUAUCUCGGAUGAGAAAUAACCAUUUUAUCCCGCAACCAUAUGUUUAUGGCCUCUAAAAAUUUUCACCUCUUUCACUUCUGGAACCCGUGCUUUCUGGCACAUGCACAAUACUUGGUUGCUACUUAUAGAGCGUUUUUAGAAUUGCAACGACAUGGUGCUCUUUGAUAAUUCAAAAAUCCAAUAUAAUUUAUAGAGAAUUACAGAAUUGUGGUACGUGAUAAUUUUCUGAUGCAAUGAGGCGCCGAAAUUCUUAUACAUGUGAUCUAGGUUAUAUAUGUAUAAUUAAGUAAUUAGAAAAUACUAGUUGGGGGUAUUUAUGUCCAUGAAAAUUUACAGCUGGUUGUUGACAUUACACUGCGGGUGUGUAAGUGUAAUCUUGGAUCCGACCAUUCAAAUUAAAAAAAUGGGGGUCCCGCUAGCUUGCGGAGUUAGUAAUUAUUACAUAUGCAGAUAUGCUCCCGUACGAUAAUUUUAUCAUAAAUUUAAAGGAUACGAGGACUAGCUUGAAGAAAUGAACGAAUAUUUGAAUCAAAACAAAUUUUAGAAUAAAGACAAGUAUUAAUUUACUAUGAAUGUAACUUACAUAUGCUGUAAGUUAGCGUGACACUAUUGAAUCACAAGCAAAAAACAAUCUGUCUUCUUCUUGAUUCCGUAAUUUGGCUGUCAAAAUGCAAUCUAUAAAGAUUACGAUACCUCGAUUCAAAAUAUGUUGUUUUUGAUGAAAUAAAUGAAAAUUGAACGUACAAUCUGUCACGACCACCCUGGAUUCAAAAAAAUAUUAUUUCUAAUGAAAUAAAUGAAAAUUGAACGUACAAUCUGCCACGAACACUAUUCAAUUAACCGUUUAUUUCUCCUUAAAUUUUUAAUCUCAAAGAAACAUAGAUUUAAUGGGAACUACACAUAUAUAAAAAUACUAUAGAUUGAAGAAGUUGAAUUUUUCUUGUGUGUUAAGUAUUUUUGUUAAUACGAAAGGAUUCUAGCAAGUUAAUACAAAAGUAUCAUAAAUUCAUUGUAGUACAAGAGAUUUUUUUUUUCCUUUGAUGUUAAGAGUUUUGGAGAUAAAAAAAAAAAAAAGGUGAAAGAAGAAGAUGAGAGAAGAAAAAAUAUUAAGAAUAGUUUUAGCAUUUUGAUGCGUUUUAUAGAGUAAAAUCUAUAUUUUAUAGUAUAAAAUGGUACACCCAUAAUUUAAUGAUAAAAUUUUAGGAAAAAAUUGCACUCGUCAAAAAAAGAAAAAAGAAAAAAGGCUCAGCUUAGCCCAAAAUUUUUUUAUUAACCUUCUAGUCACUAAUGUAAUCUCUUUUUUAUGAGAUUCUUUGGCGUUUUAAUUCAGUCCAUUGUUAGCAAUCUAAUAGCUUUUAUGUGCAUCUAUUUUUUAUUGAAAUAUGUUUCAAACUUGAAUAAAAUCUGCGGGACAACUGGUAAGUAAUAAAGCUCAUCAUUUUUUUUUAUUUUGAAAAUAAAGGGAAUCACUUACACUUAGCAUGAUAUUAUUUUUGAUAAGUCAUUUUUUUGGUAGAUUAUUUUUUCUGACACGCUCUUAGAUUUAGUGAAAAUAAAUUGUAUACUUUUAAUGAAGAAAAGUAAAGAUCAACAAAAUAUUUUGUUGUUUUCGACAACUUUUGCGUUGUCAAGUGCGCCUGAUACCCUUUUUGUUUUUUUGAACAUGGGCCCACGUGCCAUUGUUUUCAUUUCAAGUUCAUAAUUUAACAGUAGAAAUGGGUUCCACAGAUAAUUUAUUUUAUAAUUUUUUAAAAAAUUACCAAAAUAUAAUAAAUAAGGUAAUAAUAAUUAAUAAAAUAGUAGAUUUUAAGAUGGAAAAAUAUUUUUGUGUACUUAAUAAAGAGAUGAUAAGAAUGGGAUGCUUUUGGUUUACAUUCUCAUAGCUAUUCAUACUGAAAAAUUACAUCAAAAUUUAAUUAAUAAAUCAGUGAACUGCAGACUUAUUAAAUUUAAGCUAUUUUACUUCUCAAAAAAAAAAAUUAAGCUAUUUUAAUAAGUCAUAAAUAUACUAAGUUAAAAUUGUAGUAAACCCAUUGUUACAGAAUACUCUCCAUUGAGUGUUCACCAUUUUAAGAUAAUCAUAAAAUGACACCGGAGGUGCUAUUAUAGCUGCCUCAUGGAAAGCCUUCACCAAUAAAAAUCCGGUGAGCAAAGUUGGUCAUAAGAAAAAGGAGUAUAGAGCACAUACAUCCAGUUUUUAUACCCUUUGAUGCUCAGUCGACACGUGCCAAUGCUAUAGACUAUCUGAUAAUCUACUAAGGUAACGCAUGCCAAUGCCAUAGACUAGCUUUUCAAAGGUUGAAGUGGGUAUACUUUUAGUAAAAAGACCUGCAAAAUUAGGCAAAUGCUAAGUUACAAUAAUUGUAACAUACAUUCCUCAUGUGAACCACAUAAAUUGUGGGUCCUAUAAUUUUGUGUGGUUCACAUGAGGGAUGUAUGUUACAAUUAUUGUAACUUAGAGGCUCCCGCAAAAUUAUAGUGUACCUAUUUGACAUCAACUUUUUUUAUCUGGUUUCGUAUUAUCAAAUACCUUCCCUACCCAUUUGUAUUCCAUUUGAUAUUUUCUAAAUGGUUGAAGGUAAAUUAGUAAAAAUUCAUUUUAAAAAAAAUUCAAAGAAAUUCAAGAAGAAGUUUUGUAUCUGCCAUUUGUAUUUGGGGUAUCUUUUUUUGGUUGUUGAGAGAAUGAGUUUAAAUCUAAAAUAUUUAUUUUCUUAUUAUAUAUUUUUCGUUGGAAAGAAUUUAAAUCUUAUUCUUAUUAGAUUUAUUCUCUUUAAACAAAGGUAGGUUUUUCUACAUGUAUUUAGCGUGUAUUUUAAAACUAUUGUUCAACAUAUCUUUAGAUUCUAUUAUAAAUAUUCAUAUCUAACAUCUCAAUAAUUUCCAACAUAUAAAUAUAUAUAAAGGGAGAUAGUAACGUUCUAAUAAGAAAUUUCUUAAGUUAUCAAGUUAAAAAAUAAUUUAAAAGAUAAAAAAAUACACAUUCUAAUAUAUUAUAUAACAAAAUAUAUUGUAUCAAAAUAUAUAUUUUGCUUACUUUUUUAAUAUAUCCCAUAUUAACUUAACAAAUCCUUUAUUUAACUAAUUAUUAUUAUUAUAUAUAUAUAUAAUAAUAAUAAUAUAUUAUAGUAGUUUUCUGAUAAGGAAUUUUAAAAUGUGAGAAAGUUCGGAAAAAUUUUAAAACCGCACGGCUUUACAAAUUUACAGUUUUAAGUUUGCUUUUAAAAUCAUACAGCUUUAAAAUUUUAUUAUACUUUUUCGUACUUUAAAAAUUUCGACUGAAAUAUAUAUAUAUAUAUAUAUAUAUAUAUAUAUAAUUUUUUAAAAAUAAACAAUUUAGAGUAAAACAAAGGACAUUCUCCGGGCCUUUUACCUGACUAGCAAUCUACCGUUUUGGAAUGCAAUAAAGUGAAAAUACUAGACUACCAGUCUACUAUUUUGGAUUGCAAUAAAGUUAAAAUGGGUUACAGCAAAAAAGUUAGAAAAAGAAAAAAGUGACAAUCAAUCUUGCCGGCAAUAUAUCAACUUUUUUGCUGGAUUAGUAUCACGGUCAAACACAAAUUAUUGCAAGCACUAGCAAAAAGCAAUCUAUGAUUUCGCAAUUUGGCUGUCAAAUUGAAUAACAAUAUGAAACAUAACUAGAAAUAUAAGCAAGACAGGAUUUCGAAAUCACCCAAAACUUUUUUCCUAUUUAUUUUGUUAAAUUUUUAUGGGGAAUUUUGAGAUGUUGCACAUUAACAUAUAUCUCUUACAACUUCAUUUGAACGCGUCAUCACCGAUCACUCAAUCAUAAUUUGCAUCGAAUUCAAUUAUAUGCGUGAAAAUGAAAAGAUCUUUGAGUGGUCAAAAAAUACACCGGUCCGUGUUACCAAUUUCUUAAGAAAUUAUAUGUUAUUCUGGAUUAUUAAUUUUAUUUUUAAGUAUUUCAGGAUUAUUAUAGUUUUUUAACUGUUUUACAAAUAUAAAAAAAUUAUAAGUAUGGGUCAGUUGAAAUUUAAUGGAAAAGUUUACGACAUAGUCAAUGUUCGAGAGCUAUUUUCAAUUUGAGGAUAAAACAAUGUUGCAAUUGUUGGCUUGUUGCAACAUUCCAUAACUUUUUUGUAUUUGUGGCUUUAGUAUAUGGCAGUCCUUGAUAUUGUAUAUUACAUAUAUCCUGCCUUCAACUCACUGAGAGUAAGAGUGCCACUGUUGUCAGUGUCCAUCUCUCUAAAUUUUUCCAUUAGCUUUUGCUUUUCUCCUGUUGGAAGAUUUUCCACAAUGACCUGAAAAUCCACUCAGUUUUAUCAGUAGAGGAAGCACAAUUAAAUGCAUAAAUUUAAUGGCUUGCACAUAUAUAGUGUUGUGGAAUUCCUUCAAGAUCCACUCUAAUUAAUCAAAUAACCUAAGCUUAUAGAACCCAAAUGAUUCAAGAUCAACAAUCUUUAAUCAAGAAAGCUAACCAGAUCAAACACAAGAAAUAACCAGAGAACAACAACAAGAAGAAGAUGAACCAGAAACAAUGAACACAAUAUAACGUGGUUCAGUACCAAAGUACCUACAUCCACGACCAAAUAAACCCCUCUGGGCUUGAAGCUUUUAUUGAACAAAGUGUUUACAAUGAGAGUAUUGAUGACAAAGAUUAAAUCUCUCCUACAGAGAAUUUUCUAUCUCUCAUCCUAGGCUUCUCAAAAUCGUGACUUUUUCUCUCUGUUGAUCAGCCCUGAGCCUAUGUAUAUAUAGCUCUGUUGUCCAGCUGUUAGCAGUAACGAAUUAACUAACUCUGGCCCCACAUAUAAGCUGACUCAGCACGCCACUUAGUCACAUAACAGAAUUAACUAAUCAGGCUUCACAAAUCUCCACCUUAGUUGAUUCUGUACCAGCUUCACUCAGACCUGGUUUAGAUAGUUAAUAUGCUUGACUUACAAGCUUGUAACUCCAAUCAAGUUCAGAGAGUUUCUGAACUUGACUGUUGGUAUUGGUUUUGUCAGUGCAUCUGCUGGAUUGACUUCAGUAGAGAUCUUUACAACAUCCACUACCCCUCUUUCAAUUUCUUCUCUUAUGAAAUGUAACCUCACAUCUACAUGCUUUGUCCUCUCAUGGUAUUUGGAGUUUUUGCUUAACUGAAUUGCACUUGAGCUGUCACAACAGAUUGGAAUUGUAUCCUGAGUCAACCCCAUUUCAGAUAUAAUCCCUCCAUUAUAACCAUGCCAUUUUUUGUAACUUGGAGUUCACCAUUCUCUGCCUUAAUGCUACAGCCUGACUGGUCAACUGUUCCUAAGGAUAUUAGAUUCCUUCUAAGCUCUGGAACAUAUCUUACAUUCUUUAGCUCUCUAUCUACUCCAUCAUGCAUAGUUAUGGUAACAGUUCCAAUUCCAGCAACCUUACAGGCCAAGUUAUUUCCCAAUAAAACCUUACCUGUAUCAACUUUCUCAAAAGUCUUGAAGAGUUGCUUGUUUGGGCUCAUGUGGAAGGAGCAACCUGAGUCCAAGAUCCAUUCUUCAGUGGGUUGUUUUUCUGCAGCUAUGAGAACAUCUGCCCCUUCUGAAUCCCCUUCAUCUUCUGAUGCAAUGGCUGCCUUCCCUGAUGAAUCUUUCUGGAUCUUUUCAAGUUUCUUCUUCUCGAAACAAUCCUUUAUGUAAUGCCCUUCCUUCUGACAGAAAUAGCACUUCCUCUUCUUCUUUUUCUUGUCAGCUUUAUCCUUCUGAUUGUUACUUUUCUUGUCAUGAUUCUUCUUCUUUUCAGGUUUUGAUUUGGCCAUCAGACCUUCACCAAGGCCCUGAUCUUUUCCCUCAGCUCUUUUCUUUAAUUCUUUUGAUUCCAGAGCAUUCUUCACAUCUUUUAAUGUAAGGGUCUGUCUCCCAUACAGUAAUGUGUCAACAAAGUGCUCAUAUGAAUCUGGCAGUGAGCUUAACAAGAUAAGAGCUCUGUCUUCAUCUUCAAGGUUCACAUUAACAUUCUCAAGAUCCAGGAUUAGCUUGUUGAAUUCGUCGAGAUGGUCUUUCAUGGCUGUUCCCUCCUUCAUUGAGAAUGUAUACAGCUUCCUUUUCAUAUAGAGUCUCUUGGCCAAAGACUUCUUCAAGAAUAGUUCUUCAAGUUUCGACCAGAGUCCAGAUGCAGAUUUUUCUUUAGCAACCUCUCUCAGCACUUCAUCAGACAGAUGCAAGAUUAUGGUGCUGUGAUCUUUGUUGUUAAUAGACCUUAUGUCUCCACCCAAGCUUGAGGAGCCUUCUGAUCUCUCCUUUUUGCCAAUCUGAUCUUCUUCAUUAUCAAGAGCACUGUCAAGCCCCUGUUGGAUCAAGAUUGCACGCAUCUUGAGACUCCAUAGGUAGAAGUCAUUUUCUCCAUUAAAUUUUUCUACAUCGAAUCUUGUACUAGCCAUUUGUGAACAAGAGCUGAGAUCUUUUAAUGCUCUGAUACCAGUUUGUUGUGGAAUUCCUUCAAGAUCCACUCUAAUUAAUCAAAUAACCUAAGCUUAUAGAACCCAAAUGAUUCAAGAUCAACAAUCUUUAAUCAAGAAAGCUAACCAGAUCAAACACAAGAAAUAACCAGAGAACAACAACAAGAAGAAGAUGAACCAGAAACAAUGAACACAAUAUAACGUGGUUCAGUACCAAAGUACCUACAUCCACGACCAAAUAAACCCCUCUGGGCUUGAAGCUUUUAUUGAACAAAGUGUUUACAAUGAGAGUAUUGAUGACAAAGAUUAAAUCUCUCCUACAGAGAAUUUUCUAUCUCUCAUCCUAGGCUUCUCAAAAUCGUGACUUUUUCUCUCUGUUGAUCAGCCCUGAGCCUAUGUAUAUAUAGCUCUGUUGUCCAGCUGUUAGCAGUAACGAAUUAACUAACUCUGGCCCCACAUAUAAGCUGACUCAGCACGCCACUUAGUCACAUAACAGAAUUAACUAAUCAGGCUUCACAUAUAGCUUACUGAAUAUAAUAACAAGUACUUCGCAAUAAAACAUUGUUGGUGAGGAAGUGCAGAUGCAGAAAUUCGAUCAAGCAUUUAACUAAUGAUUGUCGCUGUUGUAUCCAAUUCUCAUACUUAGCCCUAAUAUGAGCUAGCUCCUAAAUGGGAAGAAUCUUUUUAAUUACAUGCGUAUGUAUAUAAUUAUUAGUUAGCUAGGUGUGGUCAAUGUCAUCUGUAUUUUAUCAAUGGAAUUUUAAUUAGGUGUGCGCGACAUCACACAUUGUGCACUAGAUCAAUCCUCUUGUCAAUUAAUAUAUAUUAUAUAUAUAUAUAUAGACACGUAUGUGAGUGGAGGAAGAAAAAAAAAUUAAGAAUAAUUUUGGCAUUUUGAUGGGUUUUAUAGAGUAAAAUCUAUAUUUUCAAAUAUGAUGAUUCUUUAAUUUAAUUUGGUGUUAUGAAAAAAAGGGCAUUUUAAAUAUGUUUUAAGUUAUAAAUAACUCCAUCCAAAAUUUAAAAAUGAAAUCUUGAGAAGGGGGGGGGGGGGGGGGGGGGGGCGGAAUUUCACCCGAACUAACAAAGGCCCAGAGUAGCCGCGGCUUUUUUCACCAAUUCUCUAAUUCCCAAUGUGGUCUAAUUAUUUACAACGAAUAUGAGAUUCUCUACCACUCCAAUUUAUCCCAUUGUUAGCAAUCUUAUUAGCUGUUUUAUAUCCUAUUUUUAUUAUGCUCCCCAAACAAAUAUGUUUCACCUAAAGGUGCCCAACGGACUGCACCGUCCGUCUGAAUGAGCGCACGAGAGGCUCCACAUGACACGGCAAUCUUUUUCUUUUUAAUGAGGGCGUGUCUGAUAUGCUCUUUCAAGUCUACAUACCUAACGUUCUUUUUUUAAGUGCAUAUAUUUUUUUUAAAGCUCAUGUGAAAUUCAGUAGUAAGAGAAUGCAAUACUAGUUAAUAAGUUAGAGCCUACAAAAUAAUAAUAAUAAUAAUAAUGGUUAACAUUUUAUUGUUAAUUUGAAUUUACAUACAGAUUAUAGUCCAUAAUAAUAUUAAUACUUACAAGUUUCAAAUUAAAAUUUAAUAAUUAACAUUUCAUAAACACAACUAUAUUAUCUAAUUUUGCAAUAACAAAUUAUAAUACAACAAUACAUAAUUCUAAUUUCAUAGACCAUAGUAAUAAAAUCUCUACGUUAAUGAAAAUUUUAUUUUGAUAUAUGUCGGUCUGCUUGCUAUUGAUGGUCGAUGGUUGUAUGCUAGCUUGCUAAUGAAGCGUGUUUAUUAUUGGUUUUUUCACGUGUCUUGCUUUACCACAUCUCUAAUCAAAUUGUGCUCUUAAAAUCCACAGCCUAACCUAGCCUCUGUGUGUGUCCUGUCGUGCCAUACUAUACAAACACGUAUCCGGUACCAUGCCACGUACCGGUCGGCCGGUCAGCCCUUAGCCAUCUCUAGUUUCACGUUCACACUUUCACUUUCACCCCUAAAUGAAAUCUAAACGGCUACUGGCAAGUAAGAAAACCUGUUAUUCUUUAUUUUGAAAAUAAAGGGAAUUGCUCAGUUUGAUAUUGUUUUUCGUAAGUCAUUUUUUGUUUUGAAACAUUUUUCUGAGAUGUUGUUGUAUUUGGUGAAAAAUAAAUUAUUUUAUUUUAUACUUUUAAUGAAGAAAAGUAGAGAAAAACAUUUUGUUGUUUUCGACAACAUUUGCCUUAUAAGUGCACCCGUGCCACUUUUUUCUUGUUUUAUUUGUAUGAUAAUUAUCAUGGACCCACGUAACUUUCUUUUGCAUUUAAAAUUUCAUAAUAAAUUAAAUUAGACAAAAGAAAUGAGUCCCACAAAUAAUUUAUUUUAUAAUUUUUAAAUAAUACCAUUUUAAAAUAAAUUAUCAAAACAAAUUUCAUAUUCACUAAAAUUAAUCAUAUUCAUAUUAUAAAAUAAAUAUAAAAACAAUAUCUGAAAAGUAAUGCUAAAUACACUCUUAAAUUUUAUGUACGUCAUUAGAAUUGAUGAACAAUCUGACAAAGAUAUUACGACUUAAGUAGGGAUGACAAUUAAAGUCGGAUUUGGAAAAAUUCAUGUCUGCAAAUUAAAAAAUGUGGAUUCAGAUAUGGAAAUUUUGAAUUCACACGGAUCCAGAUAAAUUUUAUUUUAAAUUAAAAAUAUAUAUUAAAAAAUAAAUGAAAAAAAUAAAAAAAUAAAUUUUAUUUGUGGUUUUAUGAUGUUGUUGUAUAUUAUUCAUGUUGAAUUAUUAAUGGUUGGAUUAUGAUUGAAUUUUAUUUGAUAUUAUUAGGUAAAUUAUUGAAUUUUAUUUAAAAUUAAAAAUAUAUAUUAAAAUUAAAUAAAAAAUUAUAUUUUAUUUGUAGAUUUAUGAGAUUAUUGUAUGUUAUUCAUGUUGAAUUAUUAAUUGUUGAAUUAUGAUUGAAUUUUAUUUGAUAUUAUUAGGUAAAUUAUUGAACUUUUAAAUUAUAUAUUAAAUUAUUUAAUUUUAAUUUUUACAGAUCUGGAUAUCCAAAAUAUCCUCCAGUAUCCGUUGCGGAUAUUACCCGCUUCUGGAUCCGCAUCUUUUUAUAUGAAUUCAGAUAUAGAAAUAUGAAUGCGAAUCCGAAUCUGGAUUUUACCAACCCUGAACCUAAGCAUGAAUGGGCCUAAAGUUUUUACAACAAACGUGGAUCAUUCAAUGACACGAGAUGUUUUACAGCUCUCAUUAGUAUAAUUAAAUAAUUAAUUCAUCUCUAUAUUCAACUUACUCCGUCUCAAAUUGCAUGCAAAUACGAAAAUUCACUUCUGAAUCGUUCACUUGAGGACAAUUCCAAAUUCUCCACGUAGAAUUUAGAUUCAAACCAUAGUAAAUUAGACAUAAUUCUAAUUUAUAUGGGAAAUAUAAUUAGCGAAGACACUCUUUAUAUAAAACAUUAUUGUCAUAGGAUGCCAAACCUAAUAAGAUUCAAGGUCUUAACAUAAUUCAUAUGAAAUUUGAUCUUGGAGCGUACCGACACGCAUAACAUCAAGACUCUACUUCAUAUAUUAUAAUGUAACUUCAUGGAUUUUUCGCUCUCUUGUGAAAUUGACAAAUUAUAGGUACUGUGUGGCAGUGGUACAUAAUAAAAUAAACGUUUAUUUUUAGAAUAUUAUUAUUUUAUCUCAAUUUUUUAUUUAAUAGUUAAUUUUAAUGAAUUCUUAAACUGUCAUAAUCAAUUAAUUUUUUACAUUAUCGCAUCUUAAAUAAAUUUUGGAUCUGUAAUAAAUAAAAACUGGUAACGUUUGUUCUUUUAAAACAUAAAACAACCGUAACAUUGGUUUUUACAUUUUGAAUUUUUCUUGCAUCACUAUUUAGAAAAAUGAUGUUAAAUCAACUCACAAAAUAUAUCAAGCCAUCUAAAAUCCAAAUAUUAUUACAUUUGUAUUUGCAUUGUUAAAUUGUUGGAAUGACGGCAAAGCAAUUGAAAAGAUAUUAGAAAAAAAAAAUAAAGAUUGGCCAAGGAUUAUUCAUGUUUAGGAAAUGAAUUAACUUUUGAAAUAAUCAUUGUUAUAAUUGUAUUGUAGAAAUAAUCAAUUACCUAAUGUUUGUCGUGGUAAAUAUUAUUAACUUGUUUUCCUACAUCCGUGUUUAUGGUGGUCUCCUUUUUGUCCAAUUCUGUACAACAAAAUAUUUGCAUGUUUUUGAUAGAAAUUGGUUUAAAUGACAUUUGAAAUAGUAUAUCCCCAGACAAUUAACGAAAUAUUUGGAUGGUAGGAUGAAGUAAUAUAGUUUUACAAAUUACCAUAUUAGAGGUAAAAAAAAUCAAGAGGUUACUUCAGGUUAUUUCAGGCUAUAUCCAAAUAUUUCGUUAGUCUCAGUUGUGGGUUGGGCACUCAAUGAAAAGGAUUACAAAUUACCUAUAAAAGGCUAGAAUAAGCUACAAAACCCUAUCUCAAAACCCCAUCCCAGUUUAGAUGAAUGAAGAAAAAAGGUAAAUCUUGAAACUCCUUAGAAACUGAAGCCCAAAGUGAAGCAAGAAGAUGAACUCUAUCCCAAGCAAGCAAUAUGGCAUAUUUCUCCAUUAAUGGUUCAAAUAAAGUGAAUGGCUUUCUCUGAUGAAUGGGAAAUUGUCAAGAUCAAUAGUCAAACUCAUGCAAAGUAAACGGACUUAAUUCUUAGAGGCUACUCAUUCUAAGUCUUAAAGAAAAUUUUUCUAAUUUCUAAAGAUUAUAUGGGGAAAAAUCAUUAUUUUCUAACAUGGGAAAUUUGAUACGGUGUUUAAUGUCUGAUCACAAUCAUAAUAUGAGUACUAACAAAAACAUCUUUAAUCGGCAUGGUGCGAGUAAAACACCAUCACUUCAUCUUUGAUGGAAAGAUGAUAAUAUAAGGAGAUGGUGAAAUGGAUUUGGUCCCCGGCAGCUUGUAAUCAAAAGAAAAUAAAAAACUACACUAUCAUUAAUGAUUACCGAAGCUACAUAAGUAUCAAAAUCGGAAAGUAAACAAUUGCAAAACACAUCAAUGACUGGAGGUUAGGUUCUAAAACUUCCGCAUUUAAUUUUCAGAGCAUGUUAUGUAUUAUUCAGAAAUAUGCUUUCACUUCAGGCACUUGACCAAGACGCAUUAAACAUAAAAUGCGGCGUUUUCAUGGACUAGUACAUUCCAUGCUUCGAAAGUUUAUAUUUUAGACUGAUUGGUUUGAUACAUUAUUUGUUUAUUGCGUUUUUCUUGCUUUAAAUAUUAUGUUGGAUUGAUAAGUUUUGUACACAUUUAUAUUGCUCGCAGUAAAUAAUUUAUGACAUUUAAAAAACUAUCAACCGUCUAUCAAAAGAUUUCUACUAUAAAUAUAUAUACACAAAAAACUUUUAAUUUGGUCAAUUUGUUCUCUUAUUUAUUUUUGUUCUAUUUCUCUUUUCCUUUCCUUUCAUUUUACUGUUUUAUGGUACAAAAUAAAAAAAAUAACCUUGAAAUUUAAGGGUAAAAUACUCAUUUUACUAAAAUUCCGUUUACUAUGAUAAAGCUGUCAAAUGUCAAUGGCAUAGUACACGAGUGAUACAAAUUAAAAACAAUAAAUUGAAAGUUUUUAUGCGUUUUCAUUUUAUUUUUUUUUAUAGCCGAUUGAGAUUCCCCUUCAUUUUUUUAAAUUCAAUAGGUUUAGACCGUUUAACAAAUCUUAAAUUAAAAAAACCUGUGGUGUAAUAACAAACUCACAUCAAACCCUGUCCACUUUCAUCCCUAAUUAUAUUUACCACUUCAUACUCACAGUGAUAAUAACUGUGUAUCACAAUUGAUUUUGCAUACGGGUAAAAGUUCCAAGUCCGGAUAUUUAGUUAAUGAAAUUUGAUGAAAAGGGCAUGGAAGAAAAUAAGAAAUUAAAUAAUACAGGAGGUAUUAAUCAUUACAUCUUUAGUUAAUGAAAAUUGAUGAAAAUAUUUCUGCAGACGUGAGCCGUAAUUAUAUUACCGUUUAGAAUGAAGCAGAAGAGUUUACCCAAACUUCAAUUUAAAGAAUUUUUAUAUGAGAGUACCGGGACAAAAAGUUUAAUGCAACAACAUACAUUAAGUUAAUUCCAUAAUCUAUCCCCAAAGAAAGACAAACACAAGCUUAUAAGAUUAAAACUUUGGAAAACAUUAAAGAGUCAGACAAAAUUGUGUAAUCUUCAGAGUUUGGAGCAUAGUUCAUCCAGGAAAGCAAAAGAAAUAAUAAUAAUAAUAAUAAUAAUAAUAGUGGUGGUUUGAUCUCAAAAGGUGGCAUCAAAGUGGUAACUUUGAGGUAUUGGAAGCAAUAACAUCUUCAACUUUGUCCUGAUUUCGAAGUCCUUUAACCCAUCCGCCAUCAAUGGAUUGAAUGCUUCCAUUCAACCCAUCAUCCACAAAAUCACCAAUCCGUUUCACCUUCAUCUCCUUGGGCUUAACAGGGUACUUUCCAGAGAAGCAAGCAAAAAAAAAAUAUUCUGAGAAUCAUCGCCUAACACCUUGUUCAAGCUGUCAAUCGGGCAGAAAAGCAAGCGAAUCACACCCAACAAACUCCCUGAUUUCCUCAACGCUGAUCCUGUUGGAAAUCAACUCCUCAGUACUUGGAGUGUCUACUCCGUAGUAACAAGAAGCUAUGAUUGGUGGGCUUGCAAUUCUCAUGUGAACCUCAUUAGCUCCAGCCUCCUUAAGCAACCUAACAAUUUUUGAUGAAGUUCUUUCUCACACUAUCGAAUCAUCCACAACCACAACUCUCUUUCCCUCCAACCACAACCUUACAGGAGAGACUCGAGAGAGCUUAAGCUUGACACCAAAGUCCCUAAUUUUCUGGGAAGGCUCAAUGAAAGUUCUCCCAACAUAAUGUGACCUUAUCAACCCUUGUUGAAAUGGCACCCUGGCUUUCGCAGCGUACUCAAGUGCAGCCACCACUCCAGAAUCUGGUACUGCAAUCACAACUUCACACUCAACAGGAGCCUCGGUAGCAAGUACUUCCCCAAAAUGAUACCUCGACUCAUAAACAGACCUACCAAAAACAACAGAAUUGGGCAAAGCAAAAUAAAUAUGCUCAAAGAUGCACUGCUUAGGUUCAGGGUGAGGCAUCAAACAAAGUGAUUGAACCCCAUCUUUAUCCACCAUCAAAACUUCACCGGGAUAUACCUCUCUCUCUCUCUCUCUCUCGUAAGUGGCCUCAAUCAAAUAGUGCACAAGUCUCUGACGCAAAAACCAGAGCACUAUUACUCCUCCUACCCAUCACCAACGGCAUAAACCCAUACGGGUCACGGACUGCAACAAACUUAUCCUCAGUAACAAACACCAUUGAAUAAGCACCCUCAAGCUUCUCACAAACAUCCACAAUCCUCAAAAAGAACGGCCUAGCUUUCGAUAUCGGAAUCAAAUGGAGAACAACCACAGUAUCAGAACUAGUAUUAAAAAUGGACCCAUUAUCUUCAAGCUUAGCCCUCAAAGUGUUAUAAUUAACUAAUGUGGAACACCAACAGAACCAAACCUGUACCCAGCAACAAAAGGCUGCACAUUCUUAAGCAUAGAACUACCCGCAGUCGAAUAUCUAACAUGACCAAUGGCCAUAUCACCCGGCAAUUGAUCAAGUUUAGACUGAUUAAACACAUCAGGGACUAAACCAACACCAGUAAUAGACUGAAGAACUUUCACAGCAACUAUACCUGCACCUUCUUGGCCGCGAUGCUGCAUCGCGUGUAGCACCAAAUAGCACAAACGGGAGGCCUCUGGGUCACCAUAGAUGCCCACAACACCACACUCCUCACGGGGCUUAUCGUCGUCGUCAUCAUCAAAACUGCCAAAACCGUCAUCUGGGUAUUCUUUAUUUGUGGUGAAAAACUCAGAGAUGGGGUUUUUUGAUAGAACAGUGAAGUUAUUUUUGUGGAUUAAAGAUUGUUGUUUCUGAGGGAAAAAAGGGUUUUUUUGCAGGGUUUUGGAGAAAAGAGAAACAUGGGUUUUUUGCGACGGCUUAGGGUUAGCAGAGGGAGAUGGGUUUGAGAGAGGGCAGAUAUUGGCGGUGCCUGUGGUUGUGGCUGCCAUUAAUGGCUGAAUUUAUUCUAUUUUAUUUUAUUUUUUGGGUUGCCUUGCUCAAAGAAAAAACAGAGGUGGUGUGUGGAGGGAGACAGUGACGAAGGGUACUUUAAGUCGAGGGGAACUUGUUCUAGGUUUUUUUCUGGAAUUGUGAGGGAAUCUGAUCCUGUGUUUGUGCAUAUGAUUCAAUUACUUAUAGCUGAUACUGUUGUGUCACCACAAAAUCUAAUUGGGAAGCUUCAGCUGUCAAUUUUUUUCCAAGGGUUAAUUAGGUAGAACUUUCAUGUCGUCGAUUUUAUUUGGAGAUUCUAAAAGUAGUUUCCAAAUAAAGAGAUGGACCAAAAUCAACAAUGUGACAAAGAUACUUUAGAUUUUUUUUACUUGUGGGACAUGAAAAUUGAUGCAUGUUCCAAUGCAUUGCUCUAUCAGAAUUGGAAUUAAACUUAGUUUGUAUUCUCCUAUUCCGAAAGCAAAACUUAUAAGUGAUAUUCUAAGAAGAAGAAAUUAAGAACCAUAACAAAUUUGAAGAUUCUAAUUUGCUAGAAAUAUUGCAAUCCAAAACUAAGAAAGUUAAAACCAAUUAUUAGAAGAAAAAAGCAAGACGGAAGCUCCCAGAAUAUUGUUAUGUGUUGUGUGUUUCAGUUUGUAUUUCCCAAUCAAUAAGAAAAAGUAAGUACACAUGUUACAAAACUUUAAUAAAAAAGAUUGGAGGUGACAAAAUCGUCAAUCUUCUAAUUAACUUUCUCUCCUUUCAAAUUUCCUGAGUUUGGUAGAGACUGCUUAAGUGGUGUAUCUGUUAUAAACAGGCAAAACUAUGUUGCAACAGUGGUAUGGUACCACUGUUGCAACCAGCCAUUGGAUGCAUAGUUGUACAGUUACAUUAGCAAGAUCUAAUGGUUGAAAGCAACAAUGGUACUGUACUACUGUUGCAACAUAGCUGGACCCAUUAUAAACACCUGAAGUCAAAGUUAAUGUUUUAAUUGUUAAGAAAAGUUAGAAGAAGAAAUUUUUGUAUAAGAGAAUUGGGUUUAAAUUUUAGAAUUCUUUGGGAGGAAAUGAGUCUAAAUUCCAAUAAUAUAAUUCAGCACUAUUUAUAUAUAUCAUUAGUUGGGUGAAAAAUUAAUUUCCCUCCUUUGAUGUGAUUUUCAUCAUUUAUUUUCAUAUGAUGGUAAUUUUUUGUUUAGAGUGAAGUUAUUGGCACCCUUUCAUUAUCCUUAUAAAAUCCUACUUCAAAUAAAAUUACACUUAAAGACAAUAGAAUUAAAUAAAAUAGUUUUUUUUUCAAACAAAUUACUCACAUUCAUAAUUUUUUUUCUUCUAAUUUUCUACAGGUUGCUUUGUAUCUAACUAAAAUCAAUUGUACAAAUUUAGAAUAAUUUAUUAUUCUUUUUAAAUUUCUUAUUGAUUAAAUAUUUGUGUGCUUAAGAUAGUUUUAAAAUUAUAAGAUAAUAUAUAUAUAAUUUAAGCCAAUGAUUAACAUUAAAAAAUUUAUCUCUCAUAAAAGUUUUUAAUUUGUGCGUAGGGUAAUAAUAAAAUUGCAAAAGAAAUGAAAAAUAGCAUAGCACUAUUUUGAGUUUAAACAAUAAAAAAUUAAAUGAAAAAUUAGAAGUGUAUUUAAAAAAAGGAUAUUUUUGAAAAUAAAUAUAAUUUAAAACAAAAAAAAAAAAGAGUUUCAUGAGGGGUGCAAUAGUUCAACUCUUUUGUUUAUAAGUUUUAAGAUGUUGGUAUCCGUAGCUUAGCUUUUCCCUAAUUAUUAUAUUAAAAUGUAACAACAAUGAUGAUAAACCCUAAUUUCAUGGAGGUCAAAGAUUUUGGUCAUGCCGCAUUAAUUAGUUCGGUCAUACUUUCUACAAAUUUAUUUACAUUUAAUAAUUUGACCAAGACUAGGUAAGGCGCCGCUUGGAGUCAUAGAAUUUUAUAUGUCAAAAGUGCGUUUCACUUCAAUUAAGCCAUAAAUGUCGUUUAAUAUGCUCAUUUUGUAUUUUUUUUUUAAAAAGUUUUAUUAGUUUUUUGGUUUUUAAAAAUAUCAUUUAUUGGAGUUGCUAAAGUUGGUGGCGAAAUUGAUGGAAUUCUAGUAUCUCAUAAGGUAUCUCAUGAUUUAGUGCUAGCUUCCAAUCAACGUAAGAACAAAGGCAAAAACGAAAGUAAUGUUGGGCUUACAAAUGAGGACGAGGAGGAAAUAGAAAUGGGCUUGGUUAUUUCCGAUGCUAAAAGGCGAAGGUCUGAAAUUGGGCUGGAGGAAAAUGUGGAUCCUCAAAGUGGCACAUCUACUAUUAUGGAAAUGGUUAUGGUACCAAAAAAGGGGUUAGCGGUGGGUCCUGUCGAUCAGGCCCACUGCUCCCAAUGAGUACCCUUAGCUGGAACUGUCGUGGGCUAGGCCACCCACGGACAGUUCAGGUUCUGACAGAGUUGGUCAAAUCUAGAAAACCUUCUUUUAUUUUUUUAAUGGAAAUUCUUUGUUACAGACAUCAAUUGGAGCAUCUUAAACAAAAAUUAGGCUUUGAAAAUUUAUUUGUGGUGGAUCGAUUGGGCCGUAGUUGUGGGUUGGCAUUACUUUGGAAAGCCAAGUUUAAUGUUAGACUUUUAAAGUUUGCAAAAAAUUUCAUUGAUAUAGCUGUGAGUGAAACGGGUUCGGAUAUGGGUGAAUGACGGUUGACUGGUUAUUAUGGGUAUCCGGAAUUUGCUCGAAGACGAGAAUCUUGGAAUCUCCUCCGCCAUCUUGCUAACAGCUCCUCUCUUCCUUGGGUUUGCUUAGGGGACUUCAAUGAUCUUCUCUCCAGUGCUGAGAAACGAGGGAAGCGAGCUCACCCCAGUUGGAAGUUUAAUGGGUUUCGUGAGGCUGUGUCUGAUGCUGGUUUGGUGGACUUGGGAAUGGAGGGAUACCAAUUCACUUGGGAGAGGUCCCGGGGUACAAAUGCGUGGGUUGAUGAGUGAUGGGUGUCGAAGCCAGCAAAAAUAAAUACCUACUCUAAAUAAAUUGUGUAUAGUAAUUGAGCAGGGUCGUGUUCACAGAGAUCGGUAAUUAUUUAAAUCCUUUUGAAACGUAAAACGUAAAAUGGGGGAAUUGUUGAUAAUAAUAAAAAUCAAAUUAAAAUAACAAGAAUGCAAAUUAAAGUUGUAAUUCAAAUUAGAGAAAGCUCUGGUUGAAGGAAUUAACUCAGCUUGAUUCGACUACUGAUCAUUGAUUCAAAUAUAGAUUAUUAUUACUUAAAAAUAGACUGGUUAUAGCUAUUGAGACCCUCUAAUAGCCAAUCUCUCCUUAACUAGUCGAUAACCAAGGUACAAUCGUUGGUUAUUUCCCUAAUCAAUAGACAACCCUAGAUACGAUCAUAGGAUUUAAUCAAUUGACAGCCUGAAAAACCAGAGAGACCCAAAUCCUAAUAAACACAUCUGAUGAUUCAUUUAAAUUAGAUUGUUUAUUCUCACAACACAACUCUCUGCUAUGUUAUUUGUCACAAACAUUAAAUUCUUCAUACGAUGAAUCCUUUAAUUGACAAUAGAUUAAGUUGAUAAUUAAAUAGUGGCCAAUUACCUAAUUAACAAACUUGAUCAUGAAAAUAAUACAGAGAAUAAACAAAUACCCAAAAAGCAAUAAAACAAUUAAAGCACAAGAAAGAUCUCACAGUAGUGAUGAAUCAAAGCUUCAUUAUCCUUCAACCAGAAAAAUAAGUUUAGUUCUUCAUAGAGAGAAGAGAAAAAUUAAAAUCUAGGGUUUCUUUCUUUUCCUCCAAUCUAAAAUCCCCUAUUUUUCACAAUAGAUUCCUCCCUUAAAUACUCUCUCUCUCUUCUCCUCUAGAAUUCUAUUUAAAAUAAAAUACUAAUAUCUGAAAUAUUAAAUUCGUAAUUACAAAAAUAACCAAAAAUACAAAACACGUUAAACUAAAAACUGCAGGUCCGCAGUUAACAGCACGCACCCACGCCUUAUCAAUAAAGUUCUUCUGAUGCUCAUAAUUUCUCUAAGAGAACAAUCAUCCUUAAACAUCAUCUUAUAGCUCAAUUUUAUCACCAAUCAAUAGAAUUGCACCUACAAAAGUAAAACACAAGUAAAUUACUAUUAUUAAGUGCAAAACAUCGAUAUUAAGGGAAGUAAACAAUGCAAAACUAGUGCAUAAAUUGCACUCUAACAAAUUCCCCCACACCAAGAUGAUGCUUGUCCUCAAGCAUAUAACUCAAGAUUAUUCCCAAAUCUCCACUCAAUUCUCAUCUCAACUCAUCCAAAAAUAAUUUUAAGCAAGCAUACCUCAAGAAAUUAAGUCGAUCAACAUUCGAGAGACAAGGAUUUUAAAGCAUAGAAUUUCAUAAGAUAGAAUAAGAACAUUCAACCACCAAGAAGAUCCAUUCAAAAUUCAAGUGCAACAAGAUUUAAUAGCCCUCUCAAUAACUUCACUCCAUGCACUCAAAGUGUUUAGAGUGUCAUUUAUCCACUCAAAUCAAAUCAAAGAAUGCUAUUACCAUAAGCUUGCUCAUAUAUCACAUCUCAAUCCACAAAACAUGAAUAAAAUGCAAAAAUCUAAGGGUCUUAAAAGGGUUGUAAUGAGGUUAAAUGGGUGAAAUGAAAAAGAAAGGUCUACGAAGGAAAAAGAGAUCAAAACGAGAAGAAUGAACUCAUUGAAUGAACUUAUGAUAUCAAAAUGCUUAUUUCUACUCAAGUCACCAAGAAUGUAAACAUUUUUUUUCUUUUUUUUAAUUUUUCUUUUUCUUCUUUUUCUUCUUUUUUUUUCUUUUUUUUCUUUUUUUUUUGUUUUUGAAUCAAACAAAAGAAACAAACCUUGCACAAUUUAAUUCAAGCAUAAUGCUUGUUGAUCUAAUUGAGAAACUUUAAUACAAGGUAGAAAAAGCAACAAAAUAUAUUCACACAAUGAGUCCAAAAAUCUCCUUAAAUCGAGGCUCAAAAGAAGAAAAAUGGUUAAGUCGACGGAGAGAAUUAGAUGGGUAAUGGUUAAGGCUCAAACAAAGGUAGCAAAUAAAGGUCUUCGGGUAGAGAAAAAAAAAUGCAAGAAUAGAGAAAUGGAAUAUGGUUUGCCCUUAUCAUUUUAAUGCAUAAAAUCCCGUAAUGUGGCUUCAACAUGCAUAACAAAGCAAGUUCUAGAAUAAACAAACUAGGAUUGAUAUUCACAUAACAAAAAAAUAAUUAGAGCAAAGUGGUUGCUCAUAGGCUCAAAUCCUUACAAAGUUGAUAAAUUUGCCAUCAAAUCAUGUACACUCUUCAAAUGAAUCAACCAUCAAUAGUGGUGUAGAAUGAGAAGAAGGUAUGAGUGAGAUAUAAAAGGAAAGGUAAAAAAAAAAAUGUGAGUAAUGAAAGAGUAUGAUAGAAAGAAAAAAAAAUAGAUGUAAAUAAUUUGAGAUAGAUGGGAAAAGAGUAGUGAGAAAGAAAAGAAAAGAAAAUAAUAAUAUAUGAAGCAUACUAACUCCAAAAUCAUUUAAGGAUGAGUAGAGUGAAAAUACUACUUCCAGACAUCAAUAAUGCAAAAAUCCCUCCCCCACACCAAGAACUUACAUUGUCCCCAAUUUAAGAUAAUCAAAGCUCACAUAAAAAUUAAAACGUAAGGAUAAAAGUUUAAGGGCAAAAAGAAACUUCCCUGAAUUGUGAGCUUUGAUCCACAUAACGUUUAUGGGCUUGGCGGAAAUGGUGGGGUAAAUCCCACACUCUUAAAGUAUGCGGCCAAAUUCUGCUCCAUCUUGUUCAGCUUGUGCUCCAUUUUCUCUAACUGAAUGCUCAAAGUGAAAUAUAAGUGUGCAACCCAAGAGGGGGGGUGAAUUGGAAAUUUAAAAAUUAACCUAGCAAAUCCACACAACAAGCAAUCUAAUGCCUUAAUAAAAAUUGAAAGCAAUAAGUUUAAUAAAGGCACAAUAAUUAAAGAGUAAGGAAGAAGAGAAAUAAACACACGAAUUUUUACGUGGUUCGGCAAUCCCCGCCUACGUCCACGCCUCCAAGCGAUCCAAGCUUGAGGAUUCCACUAUCCAAGCCUUUCCAAGGCUUCAACGAUUACAAUUGACUUCGAGGUGUCAAUAAACCUUUACAACAAAGAGAUUAUCUCCCAAUCUCUUCACUCAAGUGUCUCACACACUCAAACUCUUACAAUUGAGAUGAAUAAAUGAAGGUUACAAUGAAACUCACUCAAUGAGUAGAUAUUCAAAAAUGAAGAACAAUUAAAGACUCAAUGUUUGUAUUUCACAAGUUUGAAGGCUCAAGAUAUCACGUGUGCUUUUUGUUCUUGCUUGUUGGAGAGCUUGAAAAUGAGUUGGAUUUGAGUUUUUAUAGUUUGAGCUCGAAAACUAGCCGUUACUCACAUUUUGGUCGUAACCGGAUUACCGGUUAUGGACAUCCGAAAUUCCGCUUAAUGUUACCGUUACAGCCACAAAUUUGAAUUUCUGAACAUCCGGAUUUCCGCUUUGUCACAUCCGGAUUUCCGCUUACGCUCAGUAGUUUACUGCCCAAUAACCGGAUUUCCGUUUGUCAGGAUCCGGAAUUCCGCUUUUAAUUCGGAUAGAUUUUGCCUCGAAUCCGGACUUCCGUUUAUCAGAAUUCGGAUUUUCGCUUGCUACAGUAACUGCUACAGUGAAUAUUUUUCCAAAUUUACAGUUUGACCCCAAAACUUUAUAAAACUAUAAUGUGGCCUAAAACGUUAUGAAAGUUUGCAAAAAGGUCCAAUUUCAGAACUUUAGAAUAAUGCUUUGUCAAUCCCACAACUUUCUGAAAUUAUGACUUUGCCCAAACUUUGUGAAAUUAUAGAAUGGCCCAAAAACAUUUAAAUAGUUUCAAAUAGGUCCAAAUCCGAAAUUUAAAAUACUAUCAAAGAUUUUAAAAAUACUUUCAUUUUAGUCCAAAAUGCUUUAAUUCCAUAACAUCGUUUUCUUAUUAUAAAAGCACAAUUCAUAAAUCUUUGCUUAAUAAAUACAUGUGGUUUGUUAUCAUCAAAAUCAAUAUUUAGCCAUAUAGGCUAACACAAAGGUGGUGCGGAUGUAGAAGGAAUAGUUGGCGGGGCAGCAGUGUCGUCGUCAAACUCAUCAUCAGAGGUAGCACCACUCCUAGCAUAAAGCUUCUUCGGAAGUUGAGUGGGUCCUGGUUCCGUAAAUUGAAAUCUCCCCUCCUUGAAUUCGACCACACCUGUUCUUUCAAACACAGACAUAUCCAAAAAUUCCUUUUUGCAAGCAGGAUGCAAAUCAUUAUUGUCAGGAUCAAGCACACAUAGGUUUAUAGCUAACAUAGUAAUGUAUGGACCAAGAAAUAAAGUCCUAUACCGUUUAAGCACACUUUGAAAUUGAUCCGCUAACCAAAAACCUAAAUUAGGCCUCACAUCAUGUAACAUGCACCAGAUAAAAUAAAAUUCAGUUUUAGAGAAAAUUCAUGAGUGAUCUUUCUUGCCUAAAAAAUUAUAUGCUAAGAAUCGAUGCACGCAUUUCAAAACAGGAUCACGUAAGAAAGAACUCUUUGAUUUACUCGGGUCAUAGGCAUUGUGAUCAACAGAUAAAUUACGCCAAAGACCAUAAGGCUCAAAAUUUUCGCUAAAGUCACAAGUUGUUCCUAAAUAUUCAUCACUAGUAGAAUAAUCAUCAUCAAUGAAUCCUAAAGCUAGGUUAAAAUCCGUGAUAGAGUGUGAAAAAUUUCGUCCCAUUAACCUAAACUUAAUGACAUCUGGAGUAUGCAAAGUAAAAUUAUUCGGCAUAGUAAAUUAAAAAGUAGCAUAAAACUCCCUAAUCAACUCAACAUAACCCAAACAAUCAACAUCAACAAACUUACGCAACCCAAUCUUAUCUAUCAAAGAAUCAAAAUUAUCUUUAACAUUCAAUUUUUCAAGAGUAGGGUAAUGAAUAUACUUAGCUGGAAGUAUUUUGCGCGUGGAAAUAUCUUUGUACCUCUCUUUCUCUUGUUGAGUCGCGAAUGCGAGGCACCCUCCGAGAUUGGAUUCCGCAAGUGGCAAAACACUCAUGCCUUUUCCGUGCUUUGAUCUUUGUCUCACGGCUUGGCGUGAAUUUGAAAUUGUGUUCCAUGGAACCGUAGUGGGAGCGGCAAUCUUAUAUUUCUUUGCGAAAGGAAGAAAAUAAAUUAUUUAUAACCUCGGAAUCAUGUGCGUCAUCAGAGUUGUCUGUCUGCUCCUGGUGGUCAUCAACAGCCACCUCAUCCUCAGAAGUGUCAUGACGCUGCUCUGGUGUUGGGUUUGGUAUGUCGUCAUGCUCGUUUGAUUGCCUUGUAAUGGACGGCAUCGCGUUAAUUGAUGGUUGGUGCUGUAUAAAGUAGCAUUUAAAAUUAGUAAAUGAAAAAUAAAAAAUUUCGAUUAAAUAAAUAAUAGUACUUAUAGGAUACCGACCUUAUGAACCCAGUCUGGAAUGUGUGGCAUGUAAUCCUUUACAGUGAGCCAAUAUUUUAUGCUACUCUCCUUUGUAUUCGGCUCAAGGGUUUGUAAAACGUCCCCCUAUCAUAAAUUCAAUCCAAAAUUUUAAGUAAGUAUAUAUAACUUAAAUUUAGUAACGUUAAAAAAAUAACUAAUACAUAUUACUUACAAGACGAGAUUCGUCGUUGAAGAACGAAUAAACCUCAGCAAAGUUGAUUCUCGAAGACCCCAUGGGCUUCCAUUGCACGAUGCGGGGAAUCUUCUUCUUCGUUUUCACGACCCAUGCUGACGGCAAACCUCCGAUCGCUUUGUAAAUCCAAGCCUGCAACAACCAAAGUGAAAAACCUAUUAAAACAACUAUCAAAUAUUUAAUACUAUAAAACUUAUUAAUAAACAAAAAAACAACGCACCUGAACCCCGGACAUAUAGCCGUAAAGAUUGUACUUUUCAAUGUUAUGAUCUAGGUUUUUCAACCGAGUCGUCUUAAAUUUCUCGUCUUUCUCGAACAGUGCAUUGUCAAGACUCUCGUAUAUCAUUUCCCACGACAAAAGACCCCAUGGAUGCUUUCGGAAGUACUCUAUAUCAUCUACUUCGUUAAGCGAUGAGAAAUUGAUUUGACAGUAAUUUUUUCUUGCAUUUAGAACUAUGUCCGCAAAAUAAAAUAGUGCAAUCUUUAAUGCGUCAAUAUCGUCCAUUUCCUCGAAUUUCAACUUCUUAAAUAAUGCAUCGAAUUCCUUAAGAUUGAUCUUGCGAUGCACACCACCAAAAUACGUAUUCCGUAGCCUAUGCACCGUUUUGUUAUUUCUUAGUUCGGUAUCUACACCAUAUGAAAGUCCAAUAACCAGGCACCAUUCUACAAUUGACAAGCGAAUCAAAUGCUCACCAAUUUGAAACCAUAACUGAUCCUCACGGCUAUCUUCUUCAUGGGCCACUUGCCUCAGUAAAAAAUUGUGCAAAAUUACCCCACUAAAUGAAAAGUUUCGACACUCCAAGAAAUGCCUAAAUAUGUCCUUCUUGAACAGAUUCAAUUGCCGCUUUGUUAAUUUUUUUUCGGUGGCUUUUACGACCGAAGAUAAAUUACACAUGCUCGAAAUUCGACCCGGAAAGUGAUCGGCGUAACGAAAAUACAUCCUGCCUACUUCGAUUUCUGAUGAUUCUGAUUUUUCCAUGUAUCGGUAAUAUUUAUAACAUUAUUACAUUGCAUUUACAACAAAAAUAAAAUAAAUUGACUUGAUGGAAAAAAAAAUUAAACCCACUAUAAUUUGGUGCGACAGCACAGCAAGCGCGUGCGCGCUGUUGCCCAGCGACGGUUCUACACCAUAUGUGCAGCACCAUUCAACCCAAAACAAGUGAAAGAACAAAUCACUCCCAAAACAACAACAACCACCACAAACACCACCACCACCACCACCAUUAUUCUCAAACUACAACCACUAUUAUUCUAAAAUUUCAUUUUAAAUUAAUGAAAUAUAAAUAAAAUGGCUAACUUAGGUUUUGUUGAAGGCUGUAGAUGGUAAAUUGGACGCCGAUAAUAGAUGGAGCAGCCGCCGACGAGGGCUGAUGUUGCCGCCGACUAUAGGUGUUUCUUCGGUUUGGGAGAGAUGAGUGAAAGAGAGAUUAUUGGGGGAGAGAUGUGAGAGGGGUAUUUUGGUCUCAAAGGUUUUUUUGUGGGUAAUGUUGAUAGAAAUUAGUUUGGGGGGUUAAGAUGGAAAAACAAAAACUUUUAUAGUUAUUGGUGUAAAUUUCCCAUUGUAUGUAAUACUUUAGAUUCAGGUAAUGUAGAUUGUGUAUACAACUUUCUAAUAUUCUGUAGAUCUCAAUAUAAAUACUUGUAAUCAACAAAUACAAUAAUAAGAGUCAUCAUUCUUCAUUUUCUCUUUGUUUCUCUCAUAUUUUCUCUUCAUCCAAACACAAUAUUCUCAGUUCUUGACUUGGUAUCAGAGUUGCAGUUUAAUUGUCAUGGCUUCCUUCCUUAAGCACAAAUUAAAAAAAAAUCAGUCUCCUUCAUUCUUUACCCUCACAAAUGCGAUCAAACUGGACAGAUCUAACUAUACGAUCUGGAAAUCUUAGAUCCUCUCUUCAGUGCGUGCCAAUGGACUUGAAGGCUUUCUUAAUGGAACUAAAAUUUGUCCAGAUCAGUUACUUACUCAAGAGAUUGAAAGUUAUGGUGUGUUGAAAUUGCAGUUGGUGAAAGCUCAGCUGAUAGAUCUUAGGAGAAUCCAGCCUUUGUUGCUUGGAAAAGGUAGGAUCAAUUGUUAUUAAGUUGGCUCAUGUCCUCCAUCAGUGUUGAGAUACUUAGUCUAGUGGUAAAUUCUGAUUCUUCUCAUAAACUUUGGACUAAUCUUGAAGAAAAAAUUGGAUUAGAAACUAUGGCUAAGAAAGCACACUUAAAAAUGAUGUUAAGCAAUCUCAGAAAGGGAUCAAUGACAAUAACUGAGUAUUUUGCCAAACUUAGAGCUGUAACUAAUAAACUUGCUCUAACUGGUAGCCCUGUUUCUACUCUUGACUUUAUUAUUCAUCUAAUCUCUAGAUUAGGCCAGCCAUACUACCCUGUUGUUUUGUAUAUUGAAGCUAUUGUUUUGUAUAUUGAAGCUAAUAUGAUGAAAAUAUUCGUCAAUGAAGCAUAUUCUAUGCUUUUAACUCAUGAAGCAAGAAUUAAAGCUAAUCAUCCAAGUGCAAAUAAAGAAGCAAAGUUGAAUUAUGCUGUUAACAUAGCUGAGGCUGGACCGAGUACUAAAUAACAAUAAGAAGUCUAGUAAUCAAGCUAAUUACUAUCAGGGCAACCAAGGUAACUGGAAUAGAAAUGCUCAUUGGUGUGGUAACAAUGGAGGAAGAGGUGGCUUUGGCAGAGGUUUUUCAGGGCAAGGAAGGGGUAAUUAGAAUAAUGGUGGUCAUUGGAACAAUGGACCUUGGAGUAGUAGUCGAGGAGGCUAUAAUGGUUCUAAUAUAAACAAUAUGACAUGGUUGCUGGUGAACCUGCAAACAUAACCACAAAAGUAAGAAGGCAUAAUCUUUUUAUAAGAAACUCAAAAAUGUAUUAAUGAUGAAAAUUUUAAAACAGAUAGUGGACCAGCUGUUCACUAAGAAAACAAAAAACUGAAUAUUUGUGCUAUAAAAAGGCACACCCAAUCUCACCCCUAUAAAAGGCUAGAAUCAACUACAAAUUCCUAUCUCAAAACCCCAUCCCAGUUUAGAUGAAUGAAGAAAAAAGAUGAAUCUUGAAACUCCUUAGAAACUGAAGCCCAAAGUGAAGCAAGAAGAUGAACUCUAUCCCAAGCAAGCAAUAUGGCAUAUUUCUCCAUUAAUGGUUCAAAUAAAGUGAAUGGCUUUCUCUGAUGAAUGGGAAAUUGUCAAGAUCAAUAGUCAAACUCACGCAAAGUAAACGGACUUAAUUCUCAGAGGCUACUCAUUCUAAGUCUUAAAGAAAAAUUUUCUAAUUUCUAAAGAUUAUAUGGGGAAAAAUCAUUAUUUUUUAACAUGGAAAAUUUGAUACGGUGUUUAAUGUCUGAUCAAAAUCAUAAUAUGAGUACUAACAAAAACAUCUUUAAUCGGCAUGGUGCGAGUAAAACACCAUCACUUCAUCUUUGAUGGAAAGAUGAUAAUAUAAGGAGAUGGUGAAAUGGUUUUGGUCCAUGGCAGCUUGUAAUCAAAAGAAAACAAAAAACUACACUAUCAUUAAUGAUUACCGAAGGUACAGAAGUAUCAAAAUCGGAAAGCAAACAAUUGCAAAACACAUCAAUGACUGAAGGUUAGGUUCUAAAACUUCCGUAUUUAAUUUUCAGAGCAUGUUAUGUAUUAUUCAGAAAUAUGCUUUCACUUCAGGCACUUGACCAAGACGCAUUAAACAUAAAACGCGGCGUUUUCAUGGACUAGUACAUUCCAUGCUUCGAAAGUUUAUGUUUUAGACUGAUUGGUUUGAUACAUUAUUUGUUUAUUGCGUUUUUCUUGCUUUAAAUAUUAUGUUGGAUUGAUAAGUUUUGUACACAUUUAUAUUGCUCGCAGUAAAUAAUUUAUGACAUUUAAAAAACUAUCAACCGUCUAUCAAAAGAUUUCUACUAUAAAUAUAUAUACACAAAAAACUUUUAAUUUGGUCAAUUUGUUCUCUUAUUUAUUUUUAUUCUAUUUCUCUUUUCCUUCCCUUUCAUUUUAUUAUUUUAUGGUACAAAAUAAAAAAAUAACCUUAAAAUUUAAGGGUAAAAUACUCAUUUUACUAAAAUUCCGUUUAAUAUUAUAAAGCUGUCAAAUGUCAAUGGCAUAGUACACGAGUGAUACAAAUUAAAAACAAUAAAUUGAAAGUUUUUAUGCAUUUUCCUUUUAUUUUUUUUAUAGCCGAUUGAGAUUCCCCUUCAUUUUUUUAAAUUCAAUAGGUUUAGACCGUUUAACAAAUCUUAAAUUAAAAAAACCCGUGGUGUAAUAACAAACUCACAUCAAACCCUGUCCACUGUCAUCCCUAAUUAUAUUUACCACUUCAUACUCACAGUGAUAAUAACUGUGUAUCACAAUUGAUUUUGCAUACGGGUAAAAGUUCCAAGUCCGGAUAUUUAGUUAAUGAAAUUUUAUGAAAAGGGCAUGAAAGAAAAUAAGAAAUUAAAUAAUACAGGAGGUAUUAAUCAUUACAUCUUUAGUUAAUGAAAAUUGAUGAAAAUAUUUCUGCAGACGUGAGCCGUAAUUAUAUUACCGUUAAGAAUGAAGCAGAAGAGUUUCCCCAAACAAGCUAAAACACAGCACUUCAAUUUAAAGAAUUUUUAUAUCACAGUACCAGGGCAAAAAGUUUAAUGCAACAACAUACAUUAAGUUAAUUCCAUAAUCUAUCCCCAAAGAAAGACAAACACAAGCUUAUAAGAUUAAAACUUUGGAAAACAUUAAAGAGUCAGACAAAAUUGUGUAAUCUUCAGAGUUUGGAGCCUAGUUCAUCCAGGAAAGCAAAAGAAAUAAUAAUAAUAAUAAUAAUAAUAAUAGUAGUAGUGGUUUGAUCUCAAAAGGUGGCAUCAAAGUGGUCACUUUGAGGUAUUGGAAGCAAUUACGUCUUCAACUUUGUCCUGAUUUCGAAGUCCCUUAACCCAUCCGCCAUCAAUGGAUUGAAUGCUUCCAUUCAACCCAUCAUCAACAAAAUCACCAACCCGUUUCACCUUCAUCUCCUUGGGCUUAACAGGGUACUUUCCACAGAAGCAAGGAAAACAAAAAUUCUGAGAAUCAUCGCCUAACAACUAGUUCAAGCUGUAAAUCGGCAGAAAAGCAAGCGAAUCACACCCAAUAAACUCGCUGAUUUCCUCAACGCUCAUCCUGUUGGAAAUCAACUCCUAAGUACUUGUCUGCUCUGUAGUAACAAGAAGCUAUGAUUGGUGGGCUUGCAAUUCUCAUGUGAACCUCUUUAGCUCCAGCCUCCUUAAGCAACCUAACAAUUUUUGAUGAAGUUGUUUCUCACACUAUCGAAUCAUCCACAACCACAACUCUCUUUCCCUCCAACCACAACCUUACAGGAGAGAGCUUAAGCUUGACACCAAAGUCCCUAAUUUUCUGGGAAGGCUCAAUGAAAGUUCUCCCAACAUCAUGUGACCUUAUCAACCCUUGUUGAAAUGGCACCCCGGCUUUCGCAGCGUACUCAAGUGCAGCCACCACUCCAGAAUCUGGUACUGCAAUCACGACAUCACACUCAACUGGAGCCUCGGUAGCAACUACUUCCCCAAAAUGAUACCUCGACUCAUAAACAGACCUUCCAAAAACAACAGAAUUAGGCAAAGCAAAAUAAAUAUGCUCAAAGAUGCACUGCUUAGGUUCAGGGUGAGGCAUCAAACAAGGUGAUUGAACCCCAUCUUCAUCCACCAUCAAAACUUCACCGGGAUAUACCUCUCUCUCUCUCUCUCUCUCUCUCUCGUAUGUGGCCUCAAUCAAAUAGUGCACAAGUCUCUGAUGCAAAACCAGAGCACCAUUACUCCUCCCACCCAUCACCAAUGGCAUAAACCCAUACGGGUCACGAACCGCAACAAGCUUAUCCUCAGUAACUUAUCUCAUUUAUGACUUAUUGUUGCAUUUAAGUGAUUUUGCAAAAAUUAUUUUGCAAUAAUAUUAUUUUUUUGACGAGUAAGUUUGAAGUAAAUAAUACAUAUGGCAAGUGUGAGGUUUGUUAUUGCAUAUAUUUUGUGGAUCCAUUUUAAAGCCAAAAAAAAGGCAUUUUGAUUCAUUCUGAUUCCAGAUAAUUUCAAGCCAUAUGUCAUUAUUGGGAUAAAAAUAAAGUAAAAUGGUUAAAACUAUUUUUAUGUAAUUUAUAAAAAUUAAUGAAGCAGCUACAAAAUUUUUUAAACGAAAAACAAUUGAAAUGUGUGUGGAAAAAGAAGAAAAAAAAUAAGGCAUUUAAAUAUCUUCUUAAAAAAUACGAUUGAGUAAAAUCAUUUUAACAGAAUGCUCUUCCAAAUGCAAUUCCACAUUAUUUUUAUUACAUUGGGAUAUUCCAAAAUUGGCACAACUCAUUAAGAAUUCGGCAACUCAAAUUUUAUUUAUCUCUCUUUGCAUUUGACAAAUUAAAAAGAAAAAAAAAUUCAUAUGUCUUCUGUUCAAAAGAAACCUUGGUAAAUAUUGUAAAACAAAUUACCAAUUUUUUUAAAUUUAUGCCAUUAUAUCGUCGCUAUUUUCUCGCCCACUUUCUUAAAAUACAAUCAAUAUUUAUUGAUGGGUUGCGUUCCAGAGUAAGCACCAAUUCAGCAAAAUGGUUUUAUAGCAGAAAAAGCACUUGUAAGACAUUCAGAACACAUUUUUCAAUUUUGUCUUUUGAAAAUGAGUCUUGAGUUUCCGCAAGCCAAGUAGAAUGGCUAAAAAAUGUAUGGUAUCAAAGAAAGAGAAACACACACACACACACAGAGAUUAGUGGGGAGAUAUAUAUAUGUGUGUAAUUUGUAUAUAUAUCCCCAUUAAUUGUUGAUAGUCCAACGGGUGAGUAUAUGCAAAAGUAAAAAAUUGGCUGUCCUUUAAGACAAGAUUGACUGUCACAUGAAAAUGUUAGCAAACUUGCCACACAACAAAAAUAAAGAUUCAAAGAACAACUUUAUGGUCCCCUUUCUGUCCAAACGUAUGUGAUCGAAAUUAGUGUAAACGACACUUGAAAUAUAUAUGUAGAUCCUCACACAAUUGAUUAAAUAUUUAUAGUAGGAUGAAGUGAUAAAUAGUUUCACAAAAUUAUUGGAAUUAAUUAUUUAAUACAUGAGAUCUAUCUCAUUAAGUAUAAAAGAUUGAGUGCUGCUUCAAAAGCAUGACGUUGCUGGCAACAAAUUUAACACAAAAAUUUAAUUAAUUAUCCUAGUUGAGAUAAUAAAAUCUCGUGUUGAAAACAAAAGGUUUGAGGUUCAAACCUUCUCAUUCAAAAAAAUCAAGUCAAAAUAUUACAUCUUCCAGCACAUAUCAAAGAUUUUUUCAAAGGCAGACUGAUAAUUCAGGGUAAAAAAAAACAAAAAAACAAAAGGAAUAUAUGCUAUUCAAGACAGGUAUACCUUGGACAUGAAGUCUGAAUCCAAAACAUGAAGCACCUAGCUGAUCUUUCACUUUCCAAAACCCAACAAAAUCUUUGUCAAAAUAUAUGAUCUAGUCCCAUAUUAAGCACAUUCAUAGCCAUAUCACCAGGUUCAAAAUAUUUUCCCCAAAAAGAGAUAGAGAUUCCAUUGAAGUUGAGUUGUGACUGUCCCAACGUUUUGUAAUUAUAUGGUUCAGGAUACCAUGCCUAUGACUCUUUUUUUUUUUUUUUUUCUGUUUCCAUGUUUCGAAGUCUAUCAAAUGAAAAUGUAAUUAUAUGGUUCAGGAUACCAAUAUGCCGGAGCUGCAAAGGUUGACUUCCACUAUGCUAUCAAUGUCUAUACUUUCUAUUGAAUUUCCUUGUUUUUUUUUUAAAUUGCAAGAUUUCUUUUUGGAAAUCUUUGACACAUUUUAUGUAAGAUACCAUAAAGCCAAAUACAACCUUUUUUAUUCUCAGCAGCAAUUUUUUUUUUCCUUUUAAAAAAAGGAAGCCAUAUAAAUAAUGCUUAAAACAUUAUUUGCAACAAGGAACAAUUAUUUCAUGCUUUCAUGUAUUAGAAACUUUCCAAAAAAGCUAGCAAGAAAAUGAAAUGGAACUUUACCUAGUCACAGAAUAUUGCUGUUAGCCCAAUUAUUGCUGUUAGCCCAAUUGUUAUGAAGUGGCUUCUGCAUCAGAAGAUUCCAGCUCCCACCAAGCAUUGUUAUCUCUCUUCUGAAUACAAUCUGCAUCGCUGGGCAUGAGUUAUAUCAUUAAUGUCUGCAUCCUCACUUACAUCAUCCCAAUCAAGUGCUUUUUCUCCACAUUUGGAUUAUAAGUCCAAUCUCUUCAAAACAUCCUAGUCCUUCCAUCACAACUGAUACGACUUCCUUCCUAAUUACUUUCCCAUUAAUAAAUCGCUCCAAGAAAAAAAAGCAUUAGCAAUUCUCUUCAACGCCCCAUCACUCAUAUCCCCCACAACAACCAUCUUCAGCCACCUCAACGUUGCCUCUUGAAAGAUCUCCACAAAAUCCGAAUCAUCCGACACAACCACCAAACACCCAAACCUUCUUUUGUCCACCAUAGCCACCAUAUAAUUUCUCAACAAAAUAUCGGCAUCUUGUGGCUUAACUAACACCAUCCUGACCCAAAACCAUGCUCUUUUUAACUCAUCUGCAAAACCAUAACCCACUUUUGGAGUCAAAAUUGCGCUUGCAGCCGUUUUAUUUUUUUCCAUCUUUAUUGAAUAGUUGCCAACCAAAAGCACUCUCACCUGCCCUCUAGCUGAUUCUAUUUGAUUCGACCUUUUCUUUUGUUCACCCUCAUGAAUUUGCCUAAAAUGAUUAACAAGUUUGUCAUUAUUAUAAAAUCUCCUUCCACAAUCACCAAUACAUACGGCUUAGCAUGCCUAAUUACACCCCUGAUUUCUAAUUGGUUAAACAAUUCUCUUUCUUUCUUUGCUCUCUUACAACUUGAGGCACAUAACUAAACGCGUGGCUAUUAGCAUUUGCCACCAUGCAUUUAACAACCCCAAAUGAAGAUAUUAAUUUUUUUAGUUUAAUUGCUGCUUCAAAAUGGGAUACUGAAUUUGGAUUUUGUUAUCCAAAUACCAAAAAUUUCCCAUAUUGUGCUGGACAGUUUUUGGUUCUAAAGUUGAUGACUGGUUUUGCGAAUCAGGCUUUAAAUGAGAACUUCUAAACAAUAAGACAAAUGAGUUUUGAGUUUCUAAUCUUGUAAACUUUGUUCUAUUGUAUAAGUUAUGAAAUCGCUGAAACAUCACUACAGCUACAGGUCUUUAUGUGUCAAUGAACUGCAGAAGCUGAUGAUCUACCUGUAGCAUACUUUUAUUGCCCCUGCCGUUCUAGGAAGACAAACAAGUUCAAGAACUACUUCUGGACCAAACUCAUAAUAUUGCCAUUGCUUUGUGCCAAUCUGAGAGGGAAAGCAUAUUGAAGUUCCUAAAUAAGGCAAAUCAUGAUUUGACAGAAGUACCACUAUGAGGAACAAUUGAUUUCAGGAAAGCACUAAAAUAUGACAUAAUCUCCCCCUGAUGGUCUAAAGUAGUCAAGAAAUGAUAUCAACCAAGUAAAAACACAUAAACUAGUUGAGAUACAAAGUUAUUGUAAAAGUCAAUUUUGAUCACAAAUCCAUUAAAAUUAAAAGACAUCAGAAACAUAGAGAACAUUAUAAUUUAGGACUCAGCUAAGUCGCAGAUUCUGUAACUAACAGCUAAGUCCACAUUGGCCUUGCAUCAACUGAGUUUGGGUUGCUUUUCAUCUCUCCUUCAACGCGUGGAAGCGCCCCAUUUGCUGUGUUAUACAGAGUCGGUACCGUAGCGAGCUCCUAUAAUUUAAGUUUGAUCACUGUAGACAAUAGUCUGCCUCUGCUCAAAAGCUAUGCUGCAAGAUAUAACGUCUUUACAAUGUUAUACUUUCUAAAAGUAAUAAGAAAUGAAACCAAGGGGUAAACCGAACACCAAAAGAAAUUUAGUCGGCCAACUACAUUAUGUUCCCACACAGUCCACUAAUUAAGUUAAUAAUUAAAGGGAAUCAAAAUCUAAUAAAUCUCAUCUUCAAGCAGAAUACAAACACACCGAGAUUAAAAAUCACAAAAUCAUAAAAAGAAGCUGACUUUAAAAGCUCAAAUAUACGUUCAUCAGCCUCUCAACUUAUAUCUAAGAACAAAUGCCUGCAGCUUGUGAAGACAUAGAUAAUUGAAGCUGAUGAGGCAUAUUUAACAGAUGAUAAUCAAAACUCGUGUGAUUAAAAUUAUAAUUCAAUAAUCGAGCACAUAAAACAAGAAGUAACUAGUUGUAUACAUACCAAACAACAUUCUGAAGUUAAGGCGUAAAACCACUAGUGUAAACAAGCGCUAGUGUCAAGAACUAUUGUUAAUAACUCAAAAACCACUAGUGUCAAGAACUAGACUAAUAAGUGAAACCCAUAAUCAAACACAACUACAUCAAAAUCUCUGAAAAUUGAGGUCUAAACAUUGAAAACAAUUAGACAUAUAUAACAGUCAAUCGAAACAAAGCCUCAAAAUAAUAAUGAACUACAAUAAGACAGAACCUAAAUUGUAAACAAGCGCAUACCCAGUAACAAUAAUCAAGUAACAAGUCAAAACCAGAAUCAAACGUAGAAUUUUGAAAUCCAUACGAACUCUAACGUAUUAGAAUGAAAGAAUAAUGACGAUCGAUAAACUAGACUCAAACAAAAACAUGCCCAGUUAAAAAACGAAGGUAAAUAAAUAAAAAUGGUAUAAAAUUGCGAAAAAAAUUAAUGAAAUGAAGAGAAAAUCACAGGAAUCCUAUGAAGAGGAAGGUAAACAAAACCUUCGGGAGCCGAGAAGAUGCCUUUUUUUGUUCACUUUUGUGCCUAUACAUACAUUUUUUUUUUUGUAAUUUUGAAGAAAGUAUUGGUUAAAUAUUGUCAGAACGAAAUAUUAAUAGAUGCUGGCAAUUUCAACAAGGACAAUCUUCGAUUCAAAUGUACCCUUAUGAUAAAGAAAAAGCCAGCUUGUCUAAAUUUUGAGCAUCACAUUACAAGAUUUAGGUGUAUGUUUAACUAUGCAAAAUGAAACAUCUAUUAAUUGUAAGACCAUUGACCUCUGGAACCAGACAACCAGACUCUUUCCUACUAGACAACCUUCCAUUGAUCAGACUAAUAAUAUUUACUAAAUCAAGUUCUACAGUUAAUGAAGUUGGACCAAAGGCAAUUGUUAGCUUAAUGUCAUAGGCCACUCAAAUUUCUCGUAAUUGGAGGAUAAUUUUGUGCACAUGAGUUCGCUUAGCAAAAGUCCGCCUAGGCGUGGAGUGCGCUUAAAGGCGGGAUGCACUUAGAAGUGGGAUGCACUUAGCAAAUCAUUCAAGCCCAACCCAAGAUCUAAAACUCUAUGCAAAUUAUAAAUAAGCUAAAAGUUUCUAUGUUUCUCCACAUAGUUCCCUAGGAUAUUUAUGAAAGUUGCUAGGAAGUUUCCUCCCCUAGAACUCUAAUACCUAUAAAUAGGGGUGGGCCCCCUCAUUUGCCCACCAACCAUACCACACACACAAACACUCCAGCACACACACAAACACUCCAGCACACACACAAGCUCUCUAACUUUUGUAAAAAGCUCUCUUGUAUAUUCUCUCUUUGAGAGUAAUGAAAUCAUAUUCAGCCAUAUUGCUCUACUUCUCUCUACCAUUUUCCGCAAGUGUUCUUGCUUUGCUAGUUUGAGGAGUGUUCUAGGCUUGCUUAGCAACUUGUUUGCUACAAGGACAUCUUGGUCACAAAACAUGGACAUGCAAGGAAAAAAAAAAGAUAUUGAUAUGUUCUAAAAAUAAAACGCAUUCUUCUACAGUGAACCAAAAAAUUUAGGCUAAUGGUAGCAAGUGAAGGAAUUGUGAUUUCACGUGCAUUUUGUUGACAUGAAGGUAAAGAGCUUUUUUAUAGUUUAUAUUGUUUAAUAUAACAUUUGAAUUGCAAAAUAGGGGUACAAAAUGGAUACACGAAGUGAUAAAACUAAGUUGAUUAUGAUAAAUAUUGAAUUAUAAGAUUUAGGUUUAAUCAUAAAGACAUAAGUGGCGCACAAAGUCACGAAUUAUCAUCCAUGAUGUAAGUUCAAACAACUGCAUAAUAAGUUGCCCCAAGCUAAACUAUUAAUCUAGUAACUAUUCUAGUCGAUGUGGGAUAAUUUUCAUAUCACCUCUAUCACGUGCAAGCCGAAUUUGUUGCUUGGUCCUUACAUGUGGUAAGGUAAUAUGAAUCCACUUGUGCAUAAAUUUGGCUCCGAUAUUAUAUAGAAGCCUAUGACCCAAAAUUAUACUUAAAGGUUAUUUCAAGAUUUGAGGGUUGCCUCAAGCUAAUAUUAUUAUUAGCCUGGUAACCCUUUUUUUUGUUGAUAUGUGAUAUUUUCCCUAUAACUUUUAUUAAUCUUUAUGCUUAUGUUUUGUCAUUUAUCCCAAAAUAUAACAUUAACAAAAGUUCCAAAAUUUCCUUCAAGAGAUAUAUUUGAGAAAAGUAAUUUGUGCAAUAACUUUGUGAAUUGAUGAGCAAAUUCAGAGAAAAGAAUAUAUGUGCCAAACGUAACGUUUAUUAUUGUGUUUAUUUGUAGAGCUAUUUAAAGCCCAAAAAAAAAAGCACGGGUCCACUAUUAUUUCAAAUAAGUUCAAGCCCUAUGUCAUUAUUGGUACAAAAAUGUAUCAGAAAGGUUAAAAAAAAUUUUUAUUUAACUUAUAAACUUAGGAAAUUAUCAACUGUCUGCCCUUAAAUUGCACUAUUAUAAAAAAUAUUACAAUAUUUUCAGGUUGUAUCUACCAUAAAUUUACAAUUGCAUCAUUUAUCCACCAAAUCAUUAACUUCGUUAAAAAGUGAUAGACGUCACAAGGGUAGUUCAGACAUUUAACACACAAAAAUAAAAGAGAAAUUAUCUAAGCUUACCAUGUUAUCAAAAUUGCUACAAAAUUUUAAAUUUGUUCAAUUUUUCAAUCUAAGUUUAUGACCUCCAAGAUAUUAAUUGCAGUUUGUAAUUAAUGAGUUCAUAAGGAUAAUUUAGACACUCAAUAUGCAAAAUAAAAAAGGAAAAUUAUCAUUUGUAUACCUUAAAGUUGCGCUUUUAUAAAAAAUAUUACAGCACUUUAAUGGUGUAUCAAUCGUCCACCUUAAAUUGGCAAAACUUAUCUACCGACCACUAAACCAUUAGCUGCCGUUUGAAAGUUAACGGAACUGAAGCGAAUUGACGAUUUUACCCUUGAAAAUUAUCACUUGUAUACCCUUAAAAUCUCUUAUUAUCAAUUAUAUACUCUUAAAUUAUCACUUGUAUCUAUGAAAAGACUAGAUUAACCCUUUGACGUCAUCAUGUUUAAACGGCAACUAAUGGUUUGCUGAACGACAAAUACAUUUUGUCAAUUUAGGGUGGACGACUGAUAUACCCUGAAAGUAUUGUAGUAAAUUUGAUAACGGAGUAAACUAAGGGUAUACAAUUGAUAAUUUCACAAUAAAAAAUAAAAUAAUGGCUUAAAUUAAAACAAAAAACUUGAUAUUCAAUUAAAUACACAUAAACUCUAUUUUUUUCUUAAUUAAAAAUAUUCUAAUUUAGUUUCUCAAUUUAUCAUCAUAAAUUUACAUUAAUAAACUAAAUCCACAAAUUACCCUAAACCCUAAUUCAUAAAUGCCCAAUCAAUCUAAUACUUUAAUUCGAUUUCAUAAUUAAAAAAGCUAAAUUUAUUAUAUUAGUUAUGGUGCAAAGUAAAAAAUGCCCUUAAAUUCAAGGGUAAAAUAACAUUUUAUUUAAAUUCUAUAAAUUAUUCUAACAAUGUUAACAUUUUGGUGGACGGUUAAUAUAAGUUACAAACUUAAAAUAGAAAAUCAAAUAAAUUCAAAAUUUCAAACUAUUUAGAGGAAAUUUAGGAUAUAUGGUUAAUAAUUUUCCCAUGUCUUUUUACAUUGGUUGAUAUAAGCUACAAACUUAAAAUAGAAAAUCAAAUAAAUUUAUAUUUUCAAACUAUUUAGGGCAAACUUAGGGUAUAUGGUUAAUAAUUUUCAUUUGUCUUUUUAUGUUAAAUUGAAUUUCAAAGGUAAAAUGAUCAAUUUAUUAUAAUUCUGUUAAUUGUUUAGUGGAAGCAAACGAUAUAAUGGACGAAUGAUAUAAAUUGUAAAAUUAAGGUGCAUGAAUGAUACAACUUUAAAAUAUUGUAGUAAUUUUAAUAAUAAAACAAUUUAAGGGUAAUGAUACAACUUUAAAAUAUUGUAGUAAUUUUAAUAAUAAAACAAUUUAAGGGUCGAUUGGCAAUAAUUUAAACUUUAAUGAAGCAACUAAAAAAUUUUUUAACAAAAGAAAAAUAAUUGAAAUGCUUUAAGAAAAAUAAAGGAAAUUAAAUAUCUUUAUAAAAAGGCCAUCAAUUUAGCCAGCAAUUUUGUCAAAAUUUCAACAAUUGAAGAAACAAUGAUCACAAACGGAACAUGUGAAUUUUGAAGUUGAAUAAAUCUUGAGAUACAUACAACAAAGCCUUGAAACUUUAGUCUUCACAAUUUGAGCACGCACUAAAUAUUAAACAAGUAUAGAACAAAGCUUAUUUUUAGCUUCUUGUGCGAACUGAACGCGCUGAAAUGUGUGUUUUUUUUUUGGAUUUUUGGAAUUUUUUAAAUUCAUUUAUGUUCGCUGCCAUCUUUUUCUUCGCUGGCGUCUUCCUCCUCUGUAGUUUGCUGUGCCUAUAUAUCCAACCAAUAAAUUGGGCAUUAAAUGCGAAUGAAUGAUGAAUAAAAUGAUUAAAAAAAAACAAACAGAGAAAAUUAUAAUAUAACACAUAUAUUGAAAGAGAAAUUUUGAUUUUAGGAUAGAUCAAUUAGCUAUCACAAACGAAAAUAUUAACCAACUAUGUAUAGAGUCAAUUAAUUUAAAGUUCUCAAGAAUUACCUCUGCUCCAGAAUUCUCGGAAUCAUCUUCUCCUUCUGAACUUGGACGAAGCUUGGGACAAUUACUAACAAAUACAGACUCGGCAGAUGGAAAUGGGAUCUGAUAACCCGCAGGCCAAAAGUUGGUGAGGUUUGGUAAGUCUUCCAGUCUCAAGUACCGAAGUUCAUUCAUAACAAUUUCAUUGUAAUCCGUGACGUCUGCUCCAUCUUUAUGCCAGAAUACUUCUUCUAAUUCAUCAUUACCUAUUAUGUAUAGGCGCGACAGUUUUUGAAGACUUGGAGCUACGCUGAUAUGAAAUAGAUGCUUGAGUUUGAGGCAAUAACUGACAAUGAUGAUUGUGAGUUUUGGGAAACAUACAGGUUGGAGAUGAUCCUCAUCCUCAUCAAUGAUUUGCUCUAAUCCCAAGCAGUUAACAAUACCUAACAUCUCCAAUUGCAACAGAUUUCGAGCAAGUGUUGAUGAGAAGAGACGUCUCAGCAUAGUGCACCCCUUUACAGUUAAUCCAGUAAGAUUUUGCAGGCUAAAAUUAUGCGCGGGACCUUCAUGAUAUAAUAAUACUUGCAGUUCUGGAAGAUCUUCCAAAUGCAACGACUUCAAACAUGGGAAUAGUUUGUUUUCUUGUCCCUCAGCGAUAAUAGCUUCCACUUGAAAUACCACCUGUACUCCAAGUUCUCUAAUAUCCAAUCCUUCCAAAUUUUUUAAUCCGUGCUUCAACAGUGCUGGAAUCGUGUCACUCAAAUGGGAACAAUUGGCCACAUCUAGAGUAUUUAAGUUCUGAGACAAAUAAAUAAAUAACUUGAUGCAAUUAAAAUCUAUUAGCAGCUAGGAUUAUCACAUGAUAAGUGAUGAACACCGCAAAAAUAUCAUAAUACAUAUGUAAACUAAUAAAAUAAUUAAAAAGUAAUGGAUUUUUAAAAAAAAAUUGAAAUUAGUUAAAAGAGAUCAUGUGAAGUGUAUAAAUGUGACAUUAUAUUGUUUGAGAAAAAUUAGUAUUCUAUUAAUUUCUAUCGAUUGAUCAACUAAUUAAUUGAAUUUGAGUAAUAUAAUAUACACUUUAGUAGUGUUUGCAUCAAUUCUUUCUACAGCGAAAUGAGAUAUGACUUUCAUUUGAAGAAUGAUUUUAGGCUCUAAAAUAAAGAAAUUUCCUUAAGAUAUUUGAGCAUUAUUAUUAUCAUCACCACAUCCACGAUCAUCAUCAUCUCCAUAGGACCAAAUAAUUAAUGGCUGAUCAUAAAAUUUAUUGCUAAACUAUUAUUUCGAGUAAAAUUGAAGGAAAAGAAAAAACAUAAACACAAACGAACAUACCUCUCCAAGAUACUGCAAAUUGGCUUCAAGUUCAGUAUUGUUGACAGUCAAGUUGGGACAUUUAUGAAGGUCUAACUGUUCCAAUGCUGGCCAAAUUGAACAAUAAUUUUCUGAACAGAAGCUGACGAGUUCUGGGAGAUUUCGAAGUGUUAAUUCUCUUAACAAAGGGAGGGCGAGCAUCGUAUUUCCAUCUCCGACACUUAUUUCCCCUUCAUUGUGAUCAAACUUUGCUUCGACAAUACAUUCUAGCCUGUCGCAAUAAGUCACACUGAGACAUUUAAGCUGCUCCAAACUUCGGGCUUGUGACAACGUGAAGAUAUAUGUCAACUUGUUGCACCUUUGCAAAUUCAAUUCUGUGAGAGUUUGGAGGCUGAUCACAUGUUGGGCGGGCGUCUUCCAUAUCCACUUCAGUUCUGGUAAUUCCUGCAUAAAUAACUCUGCUAAUCUUGAGAGCACCACAGGAUUCCCACUCUUUCCAUGUGGCAACUUAGAGGCGCCCAUUAUGCAUUCUAAAUCCUCACAUUGUUUGACAAAUAGACGAGUCAACUCAUUUAAGCCCCUUUCAUCUAUGCUUGGCACAAUAUUAUGACAACCUAUUAACCCCCUCAAACGAAGAAAUUUCAGAUUUUGAUACAAUGCUGAAAAAAUAACGAGCGAGGUCGCUUCAUGAGGGUAAUUCUCAAUGAUUAAGCUCCUUGUUUCAUCACCAUGUUCCAUGUCAUGAGCAGAUAAUUGACCAUUACUGAUGACGUACCUUUGCAUUUUCGGGAAUGUAAAGUCUUUUGGAAGACAUAUAACUUGGGAGUUCAACUCAGCAAGCCUAGCAUUACUUUCUUCUGAACUCAUCCCUUCAACCUCCCAAUUUUUUAUCCGACCAUAAAAUUCUUCCAAUUGAGGAAAUUUUUUUAUCCCAAUGGGAGAAACAGAACCGGUAUCAAUAUAUAGAAGUUUCAAUCUACGAAGUUCAUCCGACAAUUCUUCAAGAAUUUUAAUGGGAGACUUCUCGAGAAAAAGAAGUUCAAGCCUCUUCAACUUUCCAAGGAAAGACGCGUCACUCACCUCACAUCGAAUCAAUUGCAGAACCUGGAGGUUGGUGAGGAUCUGAAGCGAUUUAAGUGAAAGAACUCCACCUAUUAUAGUGACAACUUUCAAUGCUGGCAUCCCUUCAAAAAAAUGUUCUGGAACUUGCAAUCGGUGGUCGUAUUCAGGAUUCUCCAAUCGCAAAAUAUGAAGGUUAGGGCAUACCAAACCACUAGGAAGCUCUUCUUUUUUAUUUCCCACCAAAGAAAUUCCUCUGUAUUGUUCCAGGCCUUCUUUCAUUGCCCGUUCAGCCAAUCCAAUGCCAACUUUACUAAAAAAUUUCUUCUCCUCUAGAACUAUUGAGCCUAUCCAUAUGGCUACAUCACGAACUAUGUCAUGCAUUUUCACAGAUCUGUCAUUACCAUUGUCUAACAGCAGUGACGCAGCUUUGAGCGCGUUAAUCGUUCCAUACAGUCGGCUUCUGGCGUUUUCUAUUGACGGAUCACAUUGAUACCAAAUAACCCCCACUGCGUAUCCAACCAAAUCCUCCAAAUAAAUCUCAUAAUCUUCUGGAAACAGAGAACACAACAAGAAGCAUAACUUGGACUCCUCACUAUUUAAAUUGUCGUAACUGAAUUUGAGACAACCGUAAACGUCUUGGUCAUCCUUGUCAAUACCUUCUAUUGCAUAGAGUUUUGCUUCCCUUAGGUUAUAUAGUGCUAGAUUCCAAUCAUCAAAUCCUUUUUCUAUUAGUGCACUUCCAACAGCUUCAAUAGCUAAAGGCAGCCCCUUACAUUCGUCAGCAACUUGUUCUGGAACACGAUCCAAGGAGGAGUCGUUUACAUUAAUACCGGCAUUCAUUUUUAGGAGAGUCAAUCCUUCUUCUGGCGUUAGUGUACUAAGUUGAAUCUGUGUGUCACAACCCAAAGAAUCACAAACUGACUUUUUGCGAGUGGUUAGAAGGAUUUUGCAACAAUUAUCUCUACCACCGACGGUAAUACCUAAUUUUUUCUCCAAGUCGAGCUCUUUCCAGACAUCAUCGAUGAUUAUGAGGAUCUUGGUGCUUUUACUGUCAGAAAACAUCGAGCGCAAUCGGUCUGCUCCAUGUUUUUCAUCUUUCUGUUUUAAUUCCCAACCUAAUGAAUUUGCCAGCUCGUUUUGAACAUUUAUUAUGCUUGGAUCCUGAGAUACAGUGGCUAUCCCCACCAUAUCGAAAAUGUUUUUUUCCCGAAGUUGAUUGCCCACAAAUUUUGCCAGGGUUGUCUUUCCUACACCACCGAGACCAUGCAAUCCCACCAUCUUUGUGCUCUCUUUUUUCAGUGCGUCAAUGAUCUGAUUGCAAGCUGAUUCUGUGGUCUCGAAAAUAGAAGUAAAAUGACUUGGCAAACUUAAUUCUCUUUCUAAUGGUAGAGGUUUAGGAAAGGCAACUGUGUUGAAUUGGCUGCAGUCUUGUAGCAGAUCAGACAACUUGCUAGUCUUCUGUGAUGCUUUUCUACCCAGCCAAUAUCGGCAACACCAAUUAGGACACAAUCCAUGAAGACUACUAUCCUUUUCAUCUAUCUCUGCUUGCAACUUCCAAACAUCGUCCAAUUCUUCGACUCCAUUAUUCAGCCACUCCAUUACAUUUCCAUUGACUACUAUGUCGGGGCAUUUUCGUAGCUCAUCGUAUAUUCUUGUUUUGAUGCCAUCUCGUGCCUUCUUCAACUUAGUUUCUUUAUCCUUAAGUUCUUUAACAAUGCUGUUGAAACAGAACAUAUAGCGAGCUUGGUCAAUUGCUGCAUUCACCAAUAAUUCUUCAACCUUUGAUUUUAAAGCUUCCAUGCUAUUUAUCUGCAAAUAACGAAGUUGAUCUCAGCACGCUAUUAGCAAAACAACAAGGCUUGAUCACUAGACAAAAUGAGAACGUUUAAUUACCUUUUUCUGUACUGUGAAUGCACGUCUAUUAACACCAGCUUUGACCAAUAAGAGCAAAAUGCAGAGGCCGGGGGGGGGGGCUUAAGAGUUUCAGUGGCCUUUAGCUGCAAAACGGAAGAUGACAAAUAAGGUAAACGUUCCCAGCAAACGUGAUUUACGGUGAAUUAUAUUCAAAUUAGAUUAUUUUAAAAGUUGGUAAAUUAUUUAUCACUCUAUCUUAAUGAUACCUUAUUUGGGAUGGUAAAGAUUGGGGGUAAACUCCCUUUUAUUCUCACAUGUUUAUAGUAUUUAUAUUUUUAUAAAUUACCUAAAACAUCCACGUCACUACUUUUAUGGCUAUUGAACAUAUCAUUUCAAAUAUAAAAUACUAUUUCGGUCUAAUAUAAAUUAAAAAUCAAACAAAUCUAUUGUGCAAUAAAUGAAAAGUAAAGAAUAUUAAUUAGGUUUUAAUGGAAACAAAUAUAAAACAUAGAGGUUUUGAGUAACUUUUGUGAUUUUUUUUUUAAUGUUCAAUUUAGAAUUGAAUAAUUUGCAUAAUGAAAUUUUGAGGUUUCUAUAAUUUAUAUGAAGAUAAACUGAAAAAUAAGUUUAUAUGCCGAAAUUAAAAUAGUUAUAUAUUAGCAAUCAUAUAAUUAUCAAAAAAAUUAAUAAAAUUUAUUUAAAAAUUGGCCAAUUGUGUUUCAUGAGGAAAACAGAGAGCAUAAUGGACUUAUGUUGGGUCUUGGGAUUGAAGGACUAAGGGCAAGGGGCUGGGAGGUAGGACGGUAGGAAAAUUAAUUUUUUUUUUUUUUUAAAGUAUGGUCAACAUUAGUGACUUGGAGGUGAUUGCCGUUAAUCAAUUACCUUUAACUUAAGAAUUAAUACAAAUAAAUGGCAAAAAUAAUUUAAUGAAAAUUAAUUUAAUAAAAAAUUGCACUAAAAACUUAGAACUCAAAUUCUCGAUCAUUUUAUCCGUACGUUUUAAUCCGACGCUCAGAAUUGGCAUAAAACAAACUAAUAUAGCCAUUGGAAGUAAAACAAACAUCAAAUCAAGAGCCUAUGAAACGAUAAUAUCUCGUACCUUCUUCCUUAUAGAUCCUCAAUUGCUGCUGAAAGCUGCAUAUGACAAUAUAAAUAAACAUGAGAUCAAAACAUCAUAGGAUAUAUCUAACCAAUUAACAUCAUAUAUAACUCCUUGUUCUCAGUCAAAUCUUUCAUUCUUAGAUUAAAAAAAAAAGAAAUAAUAACUGUUAAGUGAUAUAGGAAGCAAAAGUAACACACCGAAAUGAAAGCAGCAAGUUCACAAAUGACAGAUGCGGUGACUUCAAGAGCAUGAAAAAUGAUUAAACUUUGGUAGAAAGGUCUGAGCCGUGUUUCACAAGUUGCUAUUGACUUCGUGGCUUCGCUUUUAUUUAUUAUUAUUAUUAUUUUUUUAAAUUCUAUAUCAGUGAGAAUUGAAAUGUGGAAAGUGUAAUGAUACACAUGCCUUAUCAUCUAUCAUGAGGGGUGAUUUGGUAAAACCGAUUUAAAAUAAAAAAAAGUUUAAAAAAAUUGAAAAAAGAUGCUUUGUGUCUGACUGCCUGUAUUUGGGGUAUUUUUCGGGUUGUUGAGAGUCAGUUUAAUUAAAUAUAAGAUUUUCAUUUUUCUUAUUAUAUUUUUCUCUUUAGAAUGAAUUUAAAUCUCAUUCUUAUUAAAUCCAUUUUUUUAAAUGAAAGUAGAUUUCUCUCCACACAUUUGAGAUAUAUUUUAAAAUUAAUGUUCAGCAUAUCUCUAAAUUAUAUUAUAAAUAUUUUUAUUUAAAAUCUCAACAAAUUUCAUAACACACAGAGAGAAAUACAUAUAUAUGUUGUAAUGUUUUAAUGAUGGAUCUCUAAAGUUGUCAAGUUAAAAAAUAAAUAAAAAAAUAAAAAAUACACACUUCAACUUAUUAUAUGAUAAAAUAUAGUAUAUUAAAGUGAGUAUUUUUUGUGUGAAAUAAAAUUAAAGUGAGUACUAUUACCACCUCACAUCUUAUAAAUUCUAGAAAAUAAUCAAGGCUUGACAUACUUUUAUUUAUGCAAAAGCAUAAGAAAAUAAUUCAAAGUAAUAAUUAGUGUACUAUUCCUCAAAAUUCUAGAAUAGAUUUGUUAGUUCUCUUUAUCUAUAGAUUGGUCCAUGAUUGGCAUCGCAAUAGCUCAGAAUCGCCUCAACGAUUGUUCCACACGGUCCAAGUCUUCUUAGCAAUAGUUUUAGAGAAAGUGUUUAGUAGUUCCAAGUCUUCUUUUUUUAACACAAAUGUUGGCAUGAUAUUCUUAAUAUAUUUUUAAAAUCAAAAUAAGAUGCAUAGAGGACAAUAAUUUUAUUUGAUAAUUGAUUUUUUUGCAAAGAAAGUUUGAACAUGAGAGUGAUGAGAGAUGAGAAUAUUGAUGAUGGUGUGUACUUUAGAUGGAAAAAUAGAUUGGAAAUAUAUAUAGACAUAUUAAAAGAAAAAAAUUUGGUCUAUUUCAUAAGAGAAACAAAAAAUUAUAAACGCAGGUGUUAAAAUGUAUUCAGAAUUUAUAAAUUUUUAUAAAUAUGAUAAUCAUUAGACCCUUAUAAAAGUAUAGCAAAAAGUUUAAAAUUUUUUAAUAAAUGUCGAAGAGAUGGACGAAGAAACCAUCCACCAGUUCAGAAUUAAUAAUCAAAGAUAUGAGGAUUCGAUCGAAGAAAUGGUGAAAAAUAAAAGGUCACGGGAUUGGUUAGUGGGACCCUAACAUUAAUGGUAAAAAAUAAAAGGACACUGGGUUGCUAUCAAUUUUUACAGUGUAGGUUCAUAGCCGGGGAAGUAAUUGGGCACAAAUAUCUCGGAUGAGAAAUAUCCAUUUUAUCCCGCAACUUUAUGUUUAUGGCCUCUAAAAAUUUUCACCUCUUUCACUUCUGGAACCCGUGCUUUCUGGCACAUGCACAAUACUUGGUUGCUACUUAUAAAGCGUUUUUACAAUUGCAACGACAUGGUGCUCUUUGAUAAUUCAAAAAUCCAAUAUAAUUUAUAGAGAAUUACAGAAUUGUGGUACGUGAUAAUUUGCUGACGCAAUGAGGCGCCUAAAUUCUUAUACAUGGGAUUUAAGUUAAAUAUGUAUAAUUAUGUAAUUAGAAAAUACUAGUUGGGGGUAUUUGUGUCCAUGAAAAUUUACAGCUGGUUGUUGACAUUACACUGCGGGUGUGUAAGUGUAAUCAUGGAUCUGACCAUUCAAAUUAAAAAAUGGGGGUCCCACUAACUUACGGAGUUAGUAAUUAUUACAUAUGCAGAUAUUCUCCCAUACGAUAACCUUAUCAUAAAUUUAAAGGAUACGAGGACUUGAUUGAAGAAAUGAAUGAAUAUUUGAAUUAAAAAAAAUUUAUAAUAAAGACAAGUAUUAAUUUACUAUGAAUGUAACUUACAUAUGCUGUAAGUUAGCGGGACACUAUUGAAUCACAAGCAAAAAACAAUCUGUCUUCUUCUUGAUUCCGUAAUUUGGCUGUCAAAAUGUAAUCUAUAAAGAUUACGAUACCUCGAUUCAAAAAAAUAUUUUUUUUUCUUAUGAAAUAAAUGAAAACUGAACACCAUUCAAUUAACCGUUUAUUUCCCCUUAAAUUUUUAAUCUCAAUGAAACAUAGAUCUAAUGGGAACUACACAUAUAUAAAAAUACUAUAGAUUGAAGAAGUUGAAUUUUUCUUGUGUGUUAAGUAUUUUUGGUUAAUACGAAAGGAUUCUAGCAAGUUAAUACAAAAGUAUCAUAAAUUCACUGUAGUACAAGAUUUUUUUUUUUUUCCUUUGAUGUUAAGAGUUUUGGAGAUUAAAAAAAAAAGAUGAAAGAAGAAGAUGAGAGAAGAAAAAAUAUUAAGAAUAGUUUUGGCAUUUUGAUGCGUUUUAUAGAGUAAAAUUUAUAUUUUAUAGUAUAAAAUGGUACACCCAAAAUUUAAUGAUAAAAUUUUAGGAAAAAAUUGCACUCGUCAAAAAAAAAAAAGAGGCUCAGCUUAGCCCAAAAUUUUUUUAUUAAUCGUCUAGUCACAAAUGUAAUCUCUUUUUUAUGAGAUUCUUUGGCGUUUUAAUUUAGUCCAUUGUUAGCAAUCCUAAUAGCUUUUAUGUGCACCUAUUUUUAUGUGAAAUAUGUUUCAAGCUUGAAUAAAAUCUGCGGGACAACUGGUAAGUAAUAAAGCUCAUCAUUUUUUAUUUUGAAAAUAAAGGGAAUCACUUACACUUUAGCACGAUAUUAUUUUUGAUAAGUCAUUUUUUGGAUAGAUUAUUUUUUCUGACGGGUAAUUUUUAGGACCUCUCCUGAAAUUUGAUGUAUUAACACUUAGAUGAAAUGUAUCCAUAUAAUUACAUAUACCUCCCCUAUUGUUAAUAUAAAAAUAUGUAUAGCGUCAGAUAAAAGGGUAAAUAUGUAAAAAUAUAUUUAAAAUUAAAAAUAUUUACUUUUACCAAAUCAUUAAAAUUUUGACCCACUUGCCCGCUGUUGGCCCAACCUUGACCAGCCGGUCAUGGCUCCACCGGCGACUGGUGGUGGUGCUUUGCCACUGCCGGAGUCCUCUCCUCACACCUGCGACCAAUCCCAUUCACGGCAGCCUUUGAAUCAACUGCAUCAACCAACACACAUUAACACAAGUACACGGCUUUUUGAAGUCUCUUUUGUUUUGCGUUUUCCCUUCACUGAGAAAAUUUGUCAGCUAAUAUAAUAAGCUUUGUUGCCUUAGAUUUGAGAUUACAGAGUCCUGAGCAGAUGUUGUGGCUGUGAUGUGGGUUUUAUUGUAUUUGACUAAUAGGCAAAAUACCUUUUAUUGGCCUACAAGGACGGUGCCUUUUUCUUCUUGUUGGGGAACUUCGUGAAGAAUCCAGCUUGCUUUUUUCUUCCUUUUCUUUCUUCAUUUUAAUUCAUUUUUUAAUUUAUAAUAACUUUUUGAGAUUGAAUUAUCGGCUUCACAUGUAAACAAUGGCAUUUGGUAUGUCACAAGUGCAUAGUUAUUCUUAUUUUUUAAUUUAUUUUUUUCUGAUGUUUUUGUUGCUGGAAUUAAUUUCUCAAGGUUUUGGCAUCACUCCCCAUUGGAUUUGCUAUGUUCAUGGUACAAUUGGCCACAAUCCCAAUCACUCGCACUGGAAUUAACCCAGCAAGGAGUCUCGAAGCUGCUGUUAUUAACAAUAAGGACAAGGCUUGAGAUUGACCAAUGGCUCUUUUGGGUGGUGGUGCUUUGCCACUGCCGGAGUCCUCUCCUCACACCGGCGACCAACCCCAUUCAAAGCAGCCUUUGAAUCAACUGCGUCCACCAACACACGUUAAUCCAAGUAUGCUUUUGUCUCAUCAGAACCCCCACACCCCCGCUGCCCCUUUGGCAAUCGCCGACGCCACCCAAUAGCGGCUAACAUCACCCUUGAACCAUCCCGAUACCAUGCCGCAACCUCUAGCAUCCCAAAACCCAAACUGCACACAACUCUCAAAACCCUUGCUCGAGCUUGUCACGCCGCAUACCACUGCCGUAAUUUGUACCAACAGUGAUGGUUCCAUAUCGUCACUGUCCAUCCCCUCAACCAACCCCCCAUGCAACCCCGACCUCAAUAACAUCUCAACAACCACGAACGCACGAUUUCUUCAACCUGCACUUACGGCCACUUUUAAUGAAAUUCUCACUGCCAACGGAAUUCUCAAAGUUAUAUAUAAUAAUUUAUUAUUUCAGCAGCAAGGAUAGUUUAAUAAUUUUAAAUGUUUAUUAACGGUCAUCUUAAUUAGUAACUAACGGCAGGGGAGGUAUAUGUAAUUACAUAAAUACAUUCUAUCUAAGUAUUAAUAAACCAACCCUCACAGAAGGUCAUUAGAAAUUAUCCUUUUUCUGACAGGCUCUUAGAUUUGGGAAAAUAAAUUGUGUACUUUUAAUGAAGAAAAGUAAAAGAUCAAUAAAAUAUUUUGUUGUUUUCGACAAUUUUUGCGUUGUCAAGUGCGCCUGGUACCUUUUUUUUUUUUUUAACUUUUGAGUUGUUGUUUAAUUUGUAUUAUAAUUAAUUAUCAUGGACCCACGUGCCACUGUUUCCAUUUCAAGUUUCAUAAUUUAACAGUGGAAAUGGGUUCCACAGAUAAUUUAUUUUAUAAUUUUUUAAAAAAAUUAUCAAAAUGUAAUAAAUAAGGUAAUAAUAAUUAAUAAAAAGUAGAUUUUAAGAUGGAAAAAUCUUUUUGUGUACUUAAUAAAAAGAUGAUAAGAUUGGGAUGCUUUUGGUUUACAUUCUCAUAGCUAUUUCUACUGAAAAAUUACAUCAAAAUUUAAUUAAUAAAUCAGUGAACUGCAGACUUAUUAAAUUUAAGCAAUUUUAAUAAGUCAUAAAUAUACUAAGUUAAAAUAGUAGUAAACCCAUCGUUACACAAUUCUCUCCAUUGAAUGUUCACCACUUUAAGAUAAUCAUAAAAUGACACUGGAUGUGCUAUUAUCUGUUUCAUUAAAAGCCUUCACAAAAUAAAAGGCCGGUGAACAAAGUUGGUCAUAGAAAAAAGGAGCAUAGAGCACAUACAUCCAGUUUUUAUAUCCUCUGAUACUGAGUCGUCACAUGCUAAUGCUAUAGACUAUAUGAUAAUCUACUAAGGUGACGCAUGCCAAUGCUAUAGACUAGCUUUUCAAAGGUUGAAGUGGGUAUACUUUUAGUAAAAAGACCUGCAAAAUUAUAAUGUAUCUAUUUGACAUCAACUUUUUUUAUCUGCUGGAGCUUAUGAUUAUAGAAGAUCUUCGGUAAGAUGUGUUUGAUUUUAUCUUCUUUUAUAUAUCCUCCUCUAACUUGUGUAAUAGUAGUAAACCCCUGCCCGUUUUUAUUUCGUUUAGUAUUUUCUAAAUGGCCGAAGGAAAAUUGGUAAAAACUCAUUUAAAAAUAAAAAAAAAUCAAAGAAAUUCAAGAAGAAGCUUUCUAUCUGCCAUUUGUAUUUGGGGUAUUUUUUUGGUUGUUAAGUGAAUGAGCUUAAAUCUAAAACAUUUAUUUAUAUAUUUCUUGUUGGAAAGAAUUUAAAUUUUAUUCUUAUUAGACUUAUUCUCUUUAAACAAAGGUAGAUUUUUCUCUAUGUGUUUAACGUGUAUUUUAAAAUUAAUGUUCAACAUAUCUUUAGAUUCUAUUAUAAAUAUUCAUAUCUAAAAUCUCAACAGAUUUCAUAAUAUAUAAAGAGAGAGAAUAACGUUUCUAAUAAAAAAUUUAUUAAGUUAAAGAAUAAUUCAAAAGAUAAAAUAACACACUCCAAUAUAUUAUAUAAUAAAAUAUAUUGUAUUAAAAUAUAUAUUUUGUUUACUUUUUUUAAUAUAUCUCCUAAUAACUUAAGAAAUCAUUUAUUUAACUAUAUAUAUAUAGAGAGAGAGAGAGAAAAAUGUUCACGAGAAACCUUUAAAACUGCAUGGUUUUAAAUGUUUAAAAUGUAAGAACCGAUGAACAAUUUUUGACAAAGACGUUGCGACCUAAGUAGGGAUAGCAACUAAAUUCGGAUCCAACUCGGAUAUGUAAGGAUCCGAAAGAUCCAGAUCCAGAAAAUUUUUUAUCUGAAUAUUAAAAAAUGUUGAUCCGGAUAUAGAAAUUUGGGAUCUGCACGUAUUGGGAUGGAAGUACAUUCGGAAAAUUGGAUAACGAGAUCUAGAUAACUUUUGUUUCAAAUUAAAAAUAUAUAUUAAAAAUUAAAUGAAAAAUUAAAAAAGUAAAUUUCAUUUGUGGAUUUAUGAUGUUGUUGUAUAUUAUUCAUGUUGAAUUAUUAAUUGCUGGAUAUGAUUGAAUUUUUUUUGAAAUUAUUGGGUAAAUUUUUGAAUUUUAUUUUAAAUUAAAAAUAUUUAUUAAAAAUUAAAUAAAAAUAAAACAUUAAAUUUUAUUUGUAAAUUUAUGAGAUUAUUGUAUGUUAUUCAUUUUGAAUUAUUAAUUGUUGAAUUAUGAUUAAAUUUUAUUUGAUAUUAGUAGGUAAAUUAUUAAACUUUCAAAUUAUAUAUUAAAUUAUUUAAUUAUAAUUUUUACGGAUCCGAAUAUCUAGAAUAUCUGUUCGCAUCCGGAUCUACAUAUUUUUUUACGAAUCCAGAUAUAAAAAUAUGAAUGUGGAUCCAAAUUCGGAUUUUGCCAACCCUAAACCUAAGCAUGAAUGUGCCUAAAGUUUUUACUAAGAACAUGGAUCAUUCAAUGACACGACAUGUUUUGCAGCUCUCAUUAGUAUAAUUGAAUAAUUAAUUCAUCUCUAUAUUCAGCUUACACCGUCUCAAAUUGCAUGCAAAUACGAAAGUACACUUUUGAAUCGUUCACUUGAGGAAAAUUAGAUUCUCCACGUAGAAUUUAGAUUCAAAGCAUAGCAAAUUAGACAUAAUUCUAAUUUAUAUGGGAAAUAUAAUUAGCGAAGACACUCUUUAUAUAAACAUUAUUGUCAUAGGAUGCCAAACCUAAUAAGAUUCAAGAUCUUAACAUACUUCAUAUGAAAUUUGAUCUUGACGCGUACCGACACGCAUAACAUCAAGACUCUACUUCAUAUAAUGUAACUUCAUGGAUUUUUCGCUCUCUUGUGAAAUUGACAAUUAUGGGCGCUGUGUGGCAGUGGUACAUAAUAAAAUAAACAUUUAUUUUUAGAAUAUUAUUAUUUAUCUCAAUUUUUUAUUUAAUAGUUAAUUUUAAUCAAUUCUUAAACUGUCAUAAUCAAUUAAUUUUUUACAUUAUGGUAUCUUAAAUAAAUUUUGGAUCUGUAAUAAAUAAAAACUGGUAACGUUUGUUCUUUUAAAACAUAAAACAACCGUAACAUUGGUUUUUACAUUUUGAAUUUUUCUUGCAUCACUAUUUAGAAAAAUGAUGUUAAAUCAACUCACAAAAUAUAUCAAGUCAUCUAAAAUCCAAAUAUUAUUACAUUUGUAUUUGUAUUGUUAAAUUGUUGGAACGACGGCAAAGCAAUUGAAAAGAGAUUAACAAAAAAGUAAAGAUUGGCCAAGGAUUAUUCAUGUUUAGGAAAUGCCUUAACUUUUGAUAUAAUCAUUGUUAUAAUUAUAUUGUAGAAAUAAUCAAUUACCUGUGUUUAUGUUGGUCUCCUUUUUUUCCAUUUCUGUACAACGAAAUAUUUGCAUGUUUUGAUAGAAAUUGGUUUAAAUGACAUUUAAAAUUGUAUAUCCCCAGACAAUUAACGAAAUAUUUGGAUGGUAGGAUGAAGUAAUAAAUAGUUUUACAAAUUACCAUAUUAGAGGUAAAAAAAAAUAAAAUCGAGAGGUUACUUGACAAUUAUGACGUUACUAACUACAAAUUUAACACAAAAAGUUUAAUUAACUUUUCUUUUUGAGAUGACAAAAUCUCUGGUGUUGAAAACAAUGAGGUUUGAGGUUCAAGCUUGAAUAUUAAGUUACAAUUAGUAGAUGGUCUUAGGACAUAUCAAAGAUUUCUUUAAAGACAAAAUAAUUAUUAUAAGCAAUAGGAAAUUAUGGUAUUCAGAACAUGUAACCUUCGCACAUGAAGCUUGAAUCCAGAACAAGAUGCAGCUAGCCAAUCCUUCCAACUUCCAAAAACCCACAAAAUCUCUGUCAACAUGUCUGUUCUACUUCAAUAAUAAGCACAUUCAUAGCGGUAUCAACAGCUUACAGCGCCAAAAUAUUUUCCCCAAAAAGAGUGAGAGAUUUCACUGAAGCUAAGUUGUGACUUGUGACUGCCCAAAUGUUCUAUAACACGAUAUGAUUAUUCUAGUAACAUCAACAUUUGCAUCCUUCUGUAUCUGUCUGAGCUCCUGAAGCAUGAUACCCGGUUGCCCAGCAAAAGAUGCAGCUAUCACAAUGAAUAAGGGAACAAAAUAGAUAACAAAGUCACAAAAACAAAGCUAAUCACAAUGAAUGAUAAGGUUUAGAGUAAACAUAAAGUUAUAAUCUUGAACAUAAGUGGCGCUCUUGAGGAAAAAAAAAAUUCAUUCUAACACAACAGAAUAAAUUGUAAAGAAAUCCCAGUUUGUAUAAAAGAAAGAAAACAAAAUUAAGGAAAACAUAAGCACAACAAAAUUUGACUGAUUAUUAAAAAUGAGAAAUGAGUUAUAAUGAGAAUUUUGGCUUUGUGGUGAAAUAAAUUGGGAAGUAUCCAAAGUUCGCAUGUAAAUAAUAUAAAUGAUAAGAAGACGAAGGGAACAAAAUGAUAAUAAGCAAGCCAAAUAUUAAAAUGCAGAUUCUACGCUUCCGCCCCCCCAUACUUCAAGUUAGUGUCUCGCUAAUCAUUUUAGAUGUAUCAAUUACAAAGGGAGGCCAUCUAUUUAUGGUAAGCGUACGCCUCUAAUGCUUUGCCAAGUGUCCAUUGAUAAUAUCACAAGGGCAAUUAAAUUGGUGUAUGUGUAUUACACCUCCUAAAGUCAUGUUAAGAUAGUUAGUGAGCUGAUAAAGUUUGUUGCACGUGUGAGUUGGUUAAGUCUGCUAGAAAUGCAAACGUGUAAAGCUGAGUCAGCAAGUUAGUUAACGUUAUUAUGAAUGCUUAGAUUCAGCCCACGUGUAUUGUAUGUAAUACUUAGAUUCAGGUCACGUAGAUUGUGUAUACAACUUUCUAAUAUGAGUAAUGAUACAGCCACAAACUCUUGUACAAACUUAUUUUAUACAAACUGACGUGAUAUUUAAUUCAAACUGAUGUGGGCCAAGUGAUAUUUAAUUCAACCAAUCUUAUCAUGCCACAUCAGUUUGUACAAAAUAAAUUUGUACAAGAGUUUGUGGCUGUAUCAUUACUCUUCUAAUAUUAUUUAGAUCUCAAUAUAAAUACUUGUAAUCAACAAAUACAAUAAUAAGAGUCAUCAUUCUUCAUUUUCUCUCUGUUUCUCUCAUAUUUUCUCUGCAUCCAAACACAAUAUUCUCAGUUCUUGACUGGUAUUAGAGUCGCAGUUUAAUUGUCCUGGCUUCGUUAAGCACAAAUUCAAACACAAAUCAGUCUCCUUCAUUCUUUACCCUCACAAAUGCGAUCAAAUUGGACAGAUCUUACUAUACGAUCUGGAAAUCUCAGAUCCUCUCUUCAGUGUGUGCCAAUGGACUUGAAGGCUUUCUUAAUGGAACUAAAAUUUGUCCAGAUCAGUUACUUACUCAAGAGAUUGAAAGUUAUGGUGUUGAAAAUGUUGUUGGUGAAAGCUCAGCUGAUAGAUCUCAGGAGAAUCCAGCCUUUGUUGCUUGGAAGAGGUAGGAUCAAUUGUUAUUAAGUUGGCUCAUGUCCUCCAUCAGUGUUGAGAUACUUAAGUCUUGUGGUAAAUUCUGAUUCUUCUCAUAAACUUUGGACUAAUCUUGAAGAAAAUUUUUGGAUUAGAAAAUAUGGCUAAGAAAGCACACUUAAAAAAUGAUGUUAAGCAAUCUCAAAAAGGGAUCAAUGACAAUAACUGAGUAUUUUGCCAAACUUAGAGCUGUAACUAAUAAACUUGCUCUAACUGGUAGACCUGUUUCUACUCUAGACUUUAUUACUCAUCUAAUCUCUAGAUUAGGCCAGCCAUACUACCCUGUUGUUGUGUAUAUUGAAGCUAAUAUGUUGAAAAUAUUUGUCAAUGAAGCCUAUUCUAUGCUUUUAACUCAUGAAGCAAGAAUUAAAUUUAAUCAUCCGAGUGCAAAUAAAGAAGCAAAGUUGAAUUAUGCUGCUAACAUAGCUUUGGCUGGACCUAGUAAUAACAAUAAGAAGUCUAGUAAUCAAGCUAAUUACUAUCAGGGCAACCAAGGUAACUGGAAUAGAAAUGCUAAUUGGUGUGGUAACAAUGGAGGAAGAGGUGGCUUUGGCAGAGGUUUUUCAGGGCAAGGAAGGAGUAAUUAGAAUAAUGGUGGUCAUUGGAACAACGAACCUUGGAGUAGUAGUCGAGCAGGUUAUAAUUGUUCUGAUAUAAACAUUAUGACAUGGUUGUUGGUGAACCUGUAAACAUAACCACAAAAGUAAGAAGGCAUAAUCUUUUUAUAAGAAACUCAAAAAUGUAUUAAUGAUGAAAAUUUUAAAACAGAUAGCUGACCAGCUGUUCACUAAGAAAACAAAAAACUGAAUAUUUGUGCUAUAAAAAGGCACACCCAAUCUCACCCCUAUAAAAGGCUAGAAUCAGCUACAAAUCCCUAUCUCAAAACCCCAUCCCAGUUUAGAUGAAUGAAGAAAAAAGAUGAAUCUUGAAACUCCUUAGAAACUGAAGCCCAAAGUGAAGCAAGAAGAUGAACUCUAUCCCAAGCAAGCAAUAUGGCAUAUUUCUCCAUUAAUGGUUCAAAUAAAGUGAAUGGCUUUCUCUGAUGAAUGGGAAAUUGUCAAGAUCAAUAGUCAAACUCACGCAAAGUAAACGGACUUAAUUCUCAGAGGCUACUCAUUCUAAGUCUUAAAGAAAAAUUUUCUAAUUUCUAAAGAUUAUAUGGGGAAAAAUCAUUAUUUUCUAACAUGGAAAAUUUGAUACGCUGUUUAAUGUCUGAUCACAAUCAUAAUAUGAGUACUAACAAAAACAUCUUUAAUCGGCAUGGUGCGAGUAAAACACCAUCACUUCAUCUUUGAUGGAAAGAUGAUAACAUAAAGAGAUGGUGAAAUGGUUUUGGUCCUUGGCAGCUUGUAAUCAAAAGAAAACAAAAAUCUACACUAUUAUUAAUGAUUACCGAAGCUACAGAAGUAUCAAAAUCGGAAAGUAAACAAUUGCAAAACACAUCAAUGACUGAAGGUUAGGUUCUAAAACUUCCGUAUUUAAUUUUCAAAGCAUGUUAUGUAUUAUUCAGAAAUAUGCUUUCACUUCAGGCACUUGACCAAGACGCAUUAAACAAAAAACGUGGCGUUUUCAUGGACUAGUACAUUCCAUGCUUCGAAAGUUUAUGUUUUAGACUGAUUCGUUUGAUACAUUAUUUGUUUAUUGCGUUUUUCUUGCUUUAAAUAUUAUGUUGGAUUGAUAAGUUUUGUACACAUUUAUAUUGCUCGCAGUAAAUAAUUUAUGACAUUUAAAAAACUAGCAACCGUCUAUCAAAAGAUUUCUACUAUAAAUAUAUAUACACAAAAAACUUUUAAUUUGGUCAAUUUGUUCUCUUAUUUAUUUUUGUUCUAUUUCUCUUUUCCUUUCCUUUCAUUUUAUUGUUUUAUGGUACAAAAUAAAAAAAUAACCUUAAAAUUUAGGGCAAAGCUAUGGUACCACAAUUGUAUGGUACCACAGCUGGAUCCAACCAUUGGAUCUAUCCCACAGUUGUCACCAGAAUUAGAUCCAAAGGCUGGAUCCAGCUGUGGUACCAUACAACUGUGGCACCAUAGUUAGACCCUAAAAUUUAAGGGUAAAAUACUCAUUUUACUAAAAUUCCGUUUAAUAUUAUAAAGCUGUCAAAUGUCAAUGGCAUAGUACACGAGUGAUACAAAUUAAAAACAAUAAAUGGCACCCCGGCUUUCGCAGCGUACUCAAGUGCAGCCACCACUCCAGAAUCUGGUACUGCAAUCACGACAUCACUCAACAGGAGCCUCGGUAGCAAGUACUUCCCCAAAAUGAUACCUCGACUCACAAACAUGUUGAAAAGUCAUGCACAUGACAUUCAAAUUCAAAAAUGCAUGCAAAAUUUCAAAUGGCUACCAAACAUUUGAAGAAAAAAAUGAAAAGUUGGCAAAUUUGUCAAAUUUGAGAAAUGGACACCAUUGACUAUUGGCUUAGGUUAGGUGGAAUAGUAAAGGGGUUGGUGCAAUAGUGCUAUUAUUUUUCCUAUAAAUAGAUGGCACUUAUUCCAUUCUUAAGCAUCCCAAAAUUGUUAAGCUUAUAAGUUUCUAAGAUUUUAAGAGAAGUGAGAGAAGUGUGUCUGUGGAAUUUAUCUUUCCUGCAGAGUGUGAGAGUACUGGGUAUAUUUAGGUUUUUGGGAAGUGAGAUUCGUUACUCAAAUAUUGUACUCUAUUAAUUGUUAAAUAAACAAUUAUUCUUUCUUACCUCCGUGGAUGUAGGUUUAAUUACCAAACUACGUAAUUCUUGUGUCCUUUAUUUUUUUGUAAUUAUUUGGUGCGCUUGAUUCCGCAUUCCGCGCACAACAAGUGGUAUCAGAGCCGACGGUUCGUACUUGGGGAGAUACGGUACUGUUCACGUAUACGGUAUUAUUCCCGUAUACAGUACUAUUCACGAAUACGGCGGAGACGGCCAUUUGUACUUGGGAGACAGUCUAUUAUAAGUAGUGUGUAUUUUUGCAUGUCUAGGAAAGUUUUGUCAACAAAGGCGAUAAGAGUCUAAGGAUUCUGGUUUUUAAUUGGGACCGAGUUCCCGUCCAGUCUCCUGAAAACUUUCCUGGUGCAUUUAUUCACGUGAAAUUAACAUUAUAGAGACUGUUUUUCAAGUGGAAAUAGUUCGUUGAGAAAAUGGUAGAAGGUGAAACUUCCAGAAUUGGGGAGAGAUCUACCGAGACUAUUUCAGGAGACACUUCAGGUGGGAGGCGAGAUUUGUCAAAUCGCUAUUCAGCACCUGUUAUAGGAGGCUAGAAGACCGAUGUUGAAAAGUUUGAUAGGAAAAUCAACUUCGGCAUGUGGAGGCGCGAAGUUAUGGAUGCCCUUAUUCAAAUUGAUCUCGGUGUUGUGUUGUUGAGAAAGAUCGAUACCAAAGAUAAUCCAUCAGAUAUAUUGAUGAAGGUAGUUUCUGGAGUUAAGUUUCAACAUUACUUGAAAUUAAUUCAAAUCCUUCAAUUGUAUUAAGAUAUGUCCUUCGGGAAUUAUGAACUACGGUUGGCUUGAUCCCAAAUUUUGGGUACGUAGGCAGUCGAAUCGACACAGCCAUUCUGGAUCCUUAUUGAAGGAUCACUUUGGGGAUGAGGGUUCAUUGGUAGUUGGCUCAGAUUUGGACAAAUUUUCGUCGAGGUGGAGAAUUGUUGAAAAGUCAUGCACGUGACUUUCAAAUUCAAAAAUGCAUGCAAAAUUUCAAAUUGCUACCAAACAUUUGAAGAAAAAAUGGAAAGUUGGCAAAUUUGUCAAAUUUGCCAAAUGGACACCAUUGACUAUUGGCUUAGGUUAGGUGGAAUAGUAAAGGGGUUGGUGCAAUAGUGCCAUUAUUUUCCCUAUAAAUAGAUGGCACUUCUUCCAUUCUUAAGCAUCCCAAAAUUGUUAAGCUUAUAAGUUUCUAAACUUUUAAGAGAAGUGAGAGAAGUGUGUCUGUGGAAUUUAUCUUUUCUGCAGAGUGUGAGAGUACUGGGUAUAUUUGGGUUUCUGAGAAGUGAGAUUCGUUACUCAAAUAUUGUACUCUAUUAAUUGUUAAAUAAACAAUUAUUCUUUUUUACCUCCGUGGAUGUAGGUUUAAUUACCGAACCACGUAAUUCUUGUGUCCUUUAUUUUUCUGUAAUUAUUUAGUGCGCUUGAUUCCGCAUUCCGCGCACAACAAAACAAACCUUCCAAAAACAACAGAAUUAGGCAAAGCAAAAUAAAUAUGCUCAAAGAUGCACUGCUUAGGUUCAGGGUGAGGCAUCAAACAAGGUGAUUGAACCCCAUCUUUAUCCACCAUCAAAACUUCACCGGGAUAUACCUCUCUCUCUCUCGCUCUCGUAUGUGGCCUCAAUCAAAUAGUGCACAAGUCUCUGACGCAAAAACCAGAGCACCAUUACUCCUACCCAUCACCAAUGGCAUAAACCCAUACGGGUCACGAACCGCAACAAGCUUAUCCUCAGUAACAAACACCAUUGAAUAAGCACCCUCAAGCUUCUCACAAACAUCCAUAAUCCUCAAAAAGAACGGCCUAGCUUUCGAUAUCGGAAUCAAAUGGAGAACAACCACAGUAUCAGAACUAGUAUUGAAAAUGGAUCCAUUAUCUUCGAGCUUAGCCCUCAAAGUAUUAUAAUUAACUAAUGUGCAACACCAACAGAACCAAACCUGUACCCAGCAACAAAAGGCUGCACAUUCUUAAGCAUAGAACUACCCGCAGUCGAAUAUCUAACGUGACCAAUGGCCAUAUCACCCGGCAUUUGAUCAAGUUUAGACUGAUUAAACACAUCAGACACUAAACCAACACCAGUAAUAGACUGAAGAACUUUGUUAUUCACAGCAACUAUACCUGCACCUUCUUGGCCGCGAUGCUGCAUCGCGUGUAGCGCCAAAUAGCACAAACGCGAGGCCUCUGGGUCACCAUAGAUGCCCACAACACCACACUCCUCACGGGGCUUAUCGUCGUCAUCAUCAUCAAAACUGCCAAAACCGUCAUCUGGGUAUUCUUUAUUUGUGGUGAAAAACUCAGAGAUGGGGUUUUUUUGAUAGAACAGUGAAGUUAUUUUUGUGGGUUAAAGAUUGUUGUUUCUGAGGAAAAAAGGGGUUUUUUGCGGGGUUUUGGAGAAAAGAGAAAGAUGGGUUUUUUGCGACGGCUUAGGGUUAGCAGAGGGAGAUGGGUUUGAGAGAAGGCAGAUGUUGGCGGUGCCUGUUGUGGUGGCUGCCAUUAAUGGCUGAAUUUAUUUUAUUUUAUUUGUUUUGGGUUGCCUUGCUCAAAGAAAAAACAUAGGAGGUGUGUGGAGGGAGACAGUGGCGAAGGGUACUUUAAGUAGAGGGGAACUUGUUCUAGGUUUUUUUCUGGAAUUGUGAGGGAAUCUGAUCCUGGGUUUGUGCAUAUGAUUCAAUUACUUAUAGGUGAUACUGUUGUGUCACCACAAAUUCUAAUUGGGAAGCUUCAGUUGUCAAAUUUUUUUCCAAGGGUUAAUUAGGUAGAACUUUCAUGUCGUCGAUUUUAUUUGGAGAUUCUAAAAGUAGUUUCCAAAAUCAACAAUGUGACACAGAUGCUUUAGAUUUUUUCCCUUGUGGGACAUGAAAAUUGAUGCAUGUUCCAACGCAUUGCUCUAUCAGAAUUGGAAUUAAACUUAGGUGCCGUUUGUUUUUUUGUCUGAAAUCUGAAUAGACUUGAAUUAGUCUGAAUUCUGAAUAGGUCUAAAUGUCUGAAUCCGAAUAAUAUGUUUGUUUUUUCGUCUGAAUCUCGAAAAAUAAGUAUUAAGUUGUUUUUUUUUUUUCAACUUAAAAAGCUGAAAAUAUGUACUUUUACAUUUGUAUCCUUAUUAAAUUUGAAUGUCAAAUAAAUAAUAUAUUAAAUACCACAAUAUUUUAAUAUUUAUAAAUAAAACUAUAUUCAAGUGAAUACAUAAUUAUUUUAGAAUUUUAAUAUAUAAAAUACCAUAAAUUUCAAAUUUUAUCGUAUAUAAUAUAAGAAAGAAAAAACAUGGAUAUUUUUAUAUGGGGUAAAUAUCUAUAGGUAAGUUUUGGGAUAAACAUGAAAAAUAAAUUAUAAAACAGAGAUAUUUUUGACAUUAGCAAGUAAUUGACUUAAUUCAGAUUUCUCCAUUAAGUAAAAAGCCAAAAAAAUUAGCUUAUUUUAUUAAGUCAAAAUUAUCUAAAAAGUCUCAUUAAGUUAUAAAAACAAACACCUCUAAUUAACUUAAUUAAUUAAAUUAAGUCACUGUAAGUCAUUAAGUUAAACAACAAACGCCACCUUAGUUUGUAUUCUCCUAUUCCGAAAGCAAAACUUAUAAGUGAUAUUCUAAGAAGAAGAAAUUAAGAACCAUAACAAAUUUGAUGAUUCUAAUUUGCUAGAAAUAUUGCAAUCCCAAACUAAGAAAGUUCAAACCAAUUAUUUGAAGAAAAAAGUAGGACGGAAGCUCCCAAAAUAUUGUUAUGUGUUGUAUGUUUUAGUUUGUGUUUCCCAAUCAAUAAGGAAAAGUAAGUACACAUGUAACAAAAAUUUAAUAAAAAAGAUUGGAGGUGACAAAACCGUCAAUCUUCUAAUUAACUUUCUCUCCUUUCGAAUUUCCUCGAGUUUGGUAGAGACUGCUUAAGUGGUAUAUCUAUUAUAAACACCUGAAGUCAAAGUUAAUAUUUUAAUUGUUAAGAAAAGUUAGAAAAAGAAAUUUUUGUAUAAGAGAAUUGAGUUUAAAUUUAGAAUUCCUUGGGAGGAAAUGAGUCUAAAUUCCAAUAAUAUAAUUAAACACUAUUUAUAUAUAUCAUUAGUUGGGUGAAAAUUUAAUUUCCAUCCUUUGAUGUGAAAAACUCUCUUGAUCAUCUAUUUUCAUAUGAUGGUAAUUUUUUGUUUAAAGUGAAGUUAUUGGCACCCUUUCAUUAUGCUUAUAAAAUCCUACUUCAAAUAAAAUUACACUUAAAGACAAUAGAAUUAAAUAAUAUAAUUUUUUCUUUAAAACAAAUUACUCAUCUAAUUUUUUAUAGGUUGCUUUGUAUCAAAUUAAAAAAAUUUUUUACAAAUUUAAAAUAAUCUAUUUUUUUUUCAAAUUUCUUAUUGAUUAAAUAUUUGUGUGCUUAAGAUAGCUUUAAAAUUAUAAGAUAAAAUAUAUAUAAUUUAAGCCAAUGAUUAACAUUAAAAAAUUUAUCUCUCAUAAAAGUUUUUAAUUUGUGCGUAGGGUAAUAAUAAAAUUGCAAAAGAAAUGAAAAAUAGCAAAACACUAUUUUGAGUUUAAACAAUAAAAAAAUUAAAUGAAAAAUUAGAAAUGUAUUUGAAAAAGGAUAUUUUUUGAAAAUAAAAUAAAUAUAAUUUAAAAAGAAAGAGUUUCACGAGGGGUGCAAUAGUUCAACUCUUUUGUUUAUAAGUUUUAAUGUGUUGGUAUCCUUAGCUUAGCUUUUCCCUAAUUAUUAUAUUAAAAUGUAACAACAAUGAUGAUCAACCCUAAUUUCAUGGAGGUCAAAGAUUUUGGUCAUGCCGCAUUAAUUAGUUCGGUCAUACUUUCUACAAAUUUAUUUACAUUUAAUAAUUUGCCCAAGACUAGGUAAGGCGCCGCCUGGAGUCAUAGAAUUUUAUAUGUCAAAAGUGCGUUUCACUUCAAUUAAGCUAUAAAUGUCGUUUAAUAUGCUCAUUUUGUAUUUUUUUUUAAAAAGUUUUAUUAAUUUUUAAAAAAAUAUUAUUUAUUUAUUUAUUUAUUUUUUUAAAGGUAAAGAAGUGGAUAAAGUUCAAAUUUAAUUUUUAUCCCUUACGUCAUGACCCUUAAGAUUUGAACUUAGGUAACCAAACGUAUAAUAAUAAUAUCUCAAAUUUCAUUUCAAAUGAUAUGCAAUAUAUUAAGUGAUUGUUAAUUUUUAUAAGAUCCGAGUGAAUGAAUUGUAUUAUCUCACUAAUUAAUUAAUGAGUGUCAUAUCAUUUAUGAUAACUUUUGUAUAAAAAAAAUUGCAUGGAUGAAAUAUCCUUUUGAGAAUUUAAUGGUUUAUCUCAUUUAUGAUUUAUUGUUGCAUUUAAUGAUAUUGCAAAUAAUUUUCUGAUAAUAUUAUUGUUUUGACGAGUAAGUUUGGAGUAAAUAAUACAUAUGGCAAGUGUGAGGUUUGUUAUUGCAUUUAUUUUGUGGAUCUAUUUAAAAGCCAAAAAAAGGCAUUUCGAUUCAUUAUGAUUCCAGAUAAUUUCAAGCCAUGUCAUUAUUGGGAUAAAAAUAAAGUAAAAUGGUUAAAACUAUUUUUAUGUAAUUUAUAAAAAUUAAUGAAGCAACUACAAAAUUUUUUUAAACGAAAAACAAUUGAAAUGUGUGUGGAAAAAGAAGAAAAAAAAUAAGGCAUUUAAAUAUCUUCUUAAAAAAUACGAUUGAUUAAAAUUAUUUUAACAGAAUGCUCUUCCAAAUACAAUUCCACAUUUUUUUUUAUUGCAGUGGGAUAUUCCAAAAUUGGCACAACUCAUUAAGAAUUCGACAACUCAAAUUUUAUUUAUCACUCUAUGCAUUUGACAAAUUAAAAAGAAAAAAAAUUCAUAUAUCUUCUGUUCAAAAGAAACCUUGGUAAAUAUUGUAAAACAAAUUACCAAUUUUUUUAAAUUUAUGCCAUUAAAUCGUCGCUAUUUUCUCGCCCACUUUCUUAAAAUAGAAUCGAUAUUUAUUGAUGGGUUGGGUUCGAGAGUAAGCACCAAUUCAGCAAAAUGGUUUUAUAGCAGAAAAAGCACUUGUAAGACAUUCAGAACACAUUUUUCAAUUUUGUCUUUUGAAAAUGAGUCUUGAGUUUCCGCAAGCCAAGAAGAAUGGCUAAAAAAUGUAUGGUAUCAAAAGAAAGAGAAACACACACACACAUUUUAUGUAAGAUACCGUAAAAGCCAAAUACAACCUUUUUGAUUCUCAGCAAUAACUUUUUUUUUUCCUUUUAAAAAAAGGAAGCCAUAUAAAUAAUGCUUUAAACAUUAUUUGCAACAAGGAACAAUUAUUUCAUGCUUUCAGGUAUUAGAAACUUUCCAAAACUGCUAGCAAGAAAGUGAAAUGUAACUUUACGUAGUCACAAAAUAUGUAUUGCUGUUAGCCCAAUUGUUAUGAAGUGGCUUCUGCAUCAGAAGAUUCCAGCUCCCACCAAGCAUUGUUAUCUCUCUUCUGAAUACAAUCUGCAUCGCUGGGCAUGAGUUAUAUCAUUAAUGUCUGCAUCCUCACUUACAUCAUCCCAAUCAAGUGCUUUUUCUCCAUAUCUGGAUUAUAAGUCCACUCCAAUCUCUUCAAAACAUCCUAGUCCUUCCAUCACAACUGCUACAACUUCCUUCCUAAUUACUUACCCAUUAAUAAAUCGCUCCAAGAAAAAAAAGCUUAGCAAUUCUCUUCAACGCCCCAUCACUCAUAUCCCCUACAACAACCAUCUUCAGACAAAAUCCGAAUCAUCCGACACAACCACCAAACACCCAAACCUUCUUUUGUCCACCAUAUAAAUCCUCAACAAAACAUCGGCAUCUUGUGGCUUAUCUAACACCAUUCUGACCCAAAAUCAUGCUUUUUUUAACUCAUCUGCAAAACCAUAACCCACUUUUGGAGUCAAAAUUGCGCUUGCAGCCAUUUUAUAUUUUUCCAUCUUUAUUGAAUAGCUGCCAACCAAAAGCACUCUCACCUUCCCUCUAGCUGAUCCUAUUUGAUUCGACCUUUUCUUUUGUUCACCCUCAUGAAUUUGCUUAAAAUGAUUAAAAAGCUUGUCAUUGUUAUAAAAUCUCCUUCCACAAUCACCAAUACAUACGGCUUAGCAGGCCUAAUUACACCCUUGAUUUCUAAUUGGUUAAACAAUUCUCUUUCUUUCUCUGCUCUCUUACAACUUGAGGCAUAUAACUAAACCCGUGGCUAUUAGCAUUUGCCACCAUGUAUUUAAGAAUCCCAAAUGAAGAUAUUGAUUUUUUUCAGUUUAAUUGCUGCUUCAAAACGGGGUACUAAAUUUGGAUUUUGUUAUCCAAAUACCAAAAAUUUCCCACAUUGUGUUGGACAGUUUUUGGUUCUAAAGUUGAUGACUGGUUUUACGAAUCAGGCUUCAAAUGAGAACUUCUAAACAAUAAGACAAAUGGGUUUUUGAGUUUCCAAUUUUGUAAACUUUGUUCUAUUGUUUAAGUUAUGAAAUCGCUGAAACAUCACUACAGCUACAGGUCUUUAUGUGUCAAAGAACUGCAGAAGCUGAUGAUCUAGCUGUAGUAGACUUCUAUUGCCCCUGUCGUUCUAGGAAGACAAACAAGUUCAGGAACUACUUCUGGACCAAACUCAUAAUAUUGCCACUGCUUUGUGCCAAUCUGAGAGGGAAAGCAUAUUGAAGUUCCUAAAUAAGGCACAUCAUGAUUUGACAGAAGUACCACUAUGAGGAACAAUUGAUUUCAGGAAAGCACUAAAAUAUGACAUAAUCUGCCCCUAAUGGUCUAAAGUAGUCAAGAAAUGAUAUCAACCAAGCAAAAACACAUAAACUAGUUGAGAUACAAAGUUAUUGUAAAAGUCAAUUUUGAUCACAAGUCCAUUAAAAUUAAAAGACAUUAGAAACUUAGAGAACAUUAUAAUUUAGGACUCAGCUAAGUUGCAGAUUCUGUAACUAACAGCUGUGUCCACAUUGGUCUUGCAUCAGCUGAGUUUGGGUUGCUUUUCCUCUCUCCUGCAACGCGUACGUGGAAGCGCCCCAUUUGCUGUGUUCUAUACCGAGUCGGUACCGUAACAAGCUCCUAUAAUUUAAGUUUGAUUACUGUAGACAAUAGUCUGCCUCUGCUCAAAAGCUAUGUUGCAAGAUAUAACAUCUUUGCAAUGUUAUACUUUCUAAAAGUAAUAAGAAAUGAAACCAAGGGGUAAAUCGAACACCAAAAGAAAUUUAGUCGGCCAACCACAUUAUGUUCCCACACAGUCCACUAAUUAAGUUAAUAAUUAAAAGGAAUCAAAAUCUAAGAAAUCUCAUCUUCAAGCAGAAUUAAUACAAACACACAGCGAUUGAAAAUCACAAAAUCAUAAAAAGAAGCUGACUUGAAAAGCUCAAAUAUACGUUCAUCAGCCUCUCAACUUAUAUCUAAGAACAAAUGCAGCUUGUGAAGACAUACAUAAUUGAAGCUGAUGAGCCAUAUUUAACAAAUGAUAAUCAAAACUUGUGUGAUUAAAAUUAUAAUUCAAUAAUCGAGCACAUAAAACAAGAAGUAACUAGUUGUAUAUAUACCAAACAACUUUCUGAAGUUAAGGCAUAAAACAACAACGUAGAACAAAUUAAUUAAAUAUACCAGCACCAAUACUCUUAUUAUUAUCCAAAUAUAGAAGACCAAUGUAUCAAACAAGGAAAAUGAAAUAUUGUUAAUAAAUAAAAAACGACUAGUGUCAAGAACUAAAGUAAUAAGUAAAACCCAUAAUCAGACACGACCACAUCAAAAUCUCUGAAAAUUGAGGUCUAAACAUUGAAAACAAUUAGACAUAUAUAACAGUCAAUCAAAACAAAGCCUCAAAAUAAUAAUGAACUACAAUAAGACAGAAACUAAAUUGUAAACAAGCGCAUACCCAAUAACAGUAAUCAAGUAACAAGUCAAAACCAGAAUCAAACGUAGAAUUUUGAAAUCCAUACGAACUCUAAUGUAUUAGAAUGAAAUAAUAAGGGCGAUCGAUAAACUAGACUCAAACAAAAACAUGCCCAGUUAAAAAACGAAGGUAAAUAAAUAAAAAUGGUAUAAAACUGCGAAAAAAAUUAAUGAAAUGAAGAGAAAAUCACAGGAAUCCUAUGAAGAGGAAGGUAAACAAAACCUUCGGGAGCCGAGAAGAUGCCUUUUUUGUUGACGUUUGUGCCUAUACAUGCAAUUUUUUUUUUUAAUUUUGAAGAAAGUAUUGGUUAAAUAUUGUCAGAACGAAAUAUUAAUAAUAGGGACUUGACUAGCUUACAGAAUCUGUAAGGUACAAACUGCAGCAUCAGCCGUUGGAUGUGGUUGGAUGUGGAGUGAGAAACUAAACAAUAGAAAAUCGGAUGGUGGGAUGACGGGAGAUGUUUGUUACAGAAUCUGUACUGUAGACAAGUCCUAAUAAUAGAUGCUGGCAAUUUCAACAAGGACAAUCUUCGAUUCAAAUGUACCCUUAUGAUAAAGAAAAAGCCAGCUUGGCUAAAUUUUGAGCACCACAUUAUAAGAUCUAGGUGUAUGUUUAACUAUGCAAAAUGAAAUAUCUAUUAAUUAUAAGUCCCUUGACCUCUGGAACCAGCCAACUGGUCUCUUUCCUACUAGACAACCUUCCAUCGAUCAGACUAAUAAUAUUUACUAAAUCAUGUUCUACAGUUAAUGAAGUUGGACCCAAGGCAAUUGUUAGCUUAAUGUCAUAGGCUGCUCAAAUUUCCUGUAAUUGGAGGAUAAUUAUGUGCACAUGAGUUCGCUUAGCAAAAGUCUGCCUAGGCGUGGAGUGCGCUUAAAAGUGGGAUGCACUUAGAAGUGGGAUGCACUUAGCAAAUCAUCCAAGCCCAACCCGAGAUCUAGAACUCUCUGCAUAUUAUAAAUAAGCUAAAAGUUUUUAUGUUUCUCCACGUAAGUCCCUAGGAUAUUUAUGGAAGUUGCUAGGAAGUUUCCUCCCCUAGAACUCUAAUACUUAUAAAUAGGAGUGGGCCGCCUCAUUUACCCACCAACCACACCACACACACAAACACUCCAGCACACAUACAAGCUCUCUAGCUUUUGUAAAAAGCUCUCUUGUAUAUUCUCUCUUUGUGAGUAAUAAAAUCAUAUUCAGCUAUAUUGCUCUACUUCUCUCUAGUAUUUUCCGCAAGUGUUCUUGCUUCGCUAGUUUGAGGAGUGGUCCAGGCUUGCUUAGCAACUUGUUUGCUACAAGGACAUCUUGGUCACAAAACAUGGACAUGCAAGGAAAAAAAAAUAUUGAUUCGUUCUAAAAAUAAUAUGCACUCUUCUCCAGUGAACCAAAAAAUUUAGGCUAAUGGUAGCAAGUGAAGGAAUUGUGAUUUCACAUGCAUUUUGUUGACAUGAAGGUAAAGAACUUUUUUAUAGUUUAUAUUGUUUAAUAUAAUAUUUGAAUUGCAAAAUAGGGGUACAAAAUAGAUACACGAAGGGAUAAAACUAAUCUGAUUAUGAUAAAUAAUGAAUUAUAAGAUUUAGGUUUAAUCAUAAAGACAUAAGUGGCACACAAAGUCACGAAUUGAUAUCAUCCACGAUGCAAGUUCAAACAACUGUAUAAUAAGUUGCCCCAAGCUAAACUAUUAAUCUAAUAACUAUUCCAGUCGAUGUGGGAUAAUUUUCCUAUCACCAUCUAUCACGUGCAAGCCGAAUUUGUUGCUUGGUUCUUACAUGUGGUAAGGUAAUAUGAAUCCACUUGUGCAUAAAUUUGGCUCCGAUAUUAUAUAGAAGCUUAUGACCCAAAAUUAUACUUAAAGGUUAUUUCAAGAUUUGAAGGUUGCCUCAAGCUAAUAUUAUUAUUAGCCUGGUAACCCUUUUUUUUUUGUUGAUAUGUGAUAUUUUCCCAAUAACUUUUAUUAAUCUUUAUGCUUAUGUUUUGUCAUUUAUCCCAAAAUAUAACAUUAACAAAAGUUCCAAAAUUUCCUUCAAGAGAUAUAUUUGAGACAAGUAAUUUGUGCAAUAACUUUGUGAAUUGAUGAGCAAAUUCAAAGAAAAGAAUAUAUGUGCCAAACGUAACGUUUAUUAUUGUGUUUAUUUGUAGAGCUAUUUAAAGCCUAAAAACAAAAAGCAUCAGUCUGCUAUUAUUUCAAAUAAGUUCAAGCCCUAUGUCAUUAUUGGUACAAAAAUGUAUUAGAAUGGUUAAAAACUAUUUUUAUUUAACUUGUAAACUUAGGAAAUUAUCAACUGUCCACCCUUAAAUUGCACUGUUAUAAAAAAUAUUACAAUAUUUUCAGAUUGUAUCAUUCAUCUACCAUAAAUUUACAAUCUGCAUCAUUUAUCCACCAAAUCAUUAACUUCGUUAAAAAGUGAUAGACGUCACAAGGGUAAUUUAGACAUUUAACACACAAAAAAAAUAAAAGAGAAAUUAUCUAAGCUUACCAUGUUAUCAAAAUUGCUACAAAAUUUUAAAUUUGUUCAAUUUUCCAAUCUAAGUUUAUGACCUCCAAGAUGUUACUUGCAGUUUGUAAUUAAUGAGUUCAUAAGGAUAAUUUAGACACUCAAUACGCAAAAUAAAAAAUAAAAUAAUGGCUUAAAACAUUAAAACAAAAAACUACAUUUUAUAAUUGAUAUUCAAUAAUACACAUAAAUUCUAUUUUUUUCUUAAUUAAAAAUAUUCUAAUUUAUUUUCUCAAUUUAUCAUCAUAAAUUUACAUUAAUAAACUAAAUCCACAAAUUACCCUAAACCCUAAUUCAUAAAUGCCCAAUCAAUCUAAUAGUUUAAUUCGAUUUCAUAAUUAAAAAAGCUAAAUUUAUUAUAUUAGUUAUGGUGUAAAGUCAAAAAUGCCCUUAAAUUCAAGGGUAAAAUAACAUUUUAUUUAAAUUCUAUAAAUUAUUCUAACAAUGUUAACAUAUUGGUGGACGGUUAAUAUAAGUUACAAACUUAAAAUAGAAAAUCAAAUAAAUUCAAAAUUUCAAACUAUUUUGGGCAAAUUUAGGACAUAUGGUUAAUAAUUUUCUCAUGUCUUUUUACAUUGGUUGGUAUAAGUUACAAACUUAAAAUAGAAAAUCAAAUAAAUUUAUAUUUUCAAACUAUUUAGGGCAAACUUAGGGUAUAUGGUUAAUAAUUUUUCUUUGUCUUUUUACGUUAAAUUGAGUUUCAAAGGUAAAAUGGUCAAUUUAUUAUAAUUAUGUUAAUGUUUUAGUGGAAGCAAACGAUAUAAUGGACGAAUGAUAUAAAUUGUAAAAUUAAGGUGCAUGAAUGAUACAACUUUAAAGUAUUGUAGUAAUUUUAAAAAUAGAACAAUUUAAGGGUGGAUUGGCAAUAAUUUAAACUUUAAUGAAGCAACUAAAAAACAUUUUUAACAAAAGAAAAAUAAUUGAAAUGCUUUAAGAAAAAUAAAAGAAAUUAAAUAUCUUUAUAAAAACAUAAUUGAGUAAAAUCAUUUUACAAAAUGCUCUUUCAAAUGCACAUUCCACAAGGCAGGGAGAACGGGUGGGUAACAAAAAUCUCACUUUUUAUGAGUUUAUAAAAUCUUACUUUCGCAGAAUCAAAAAAUAACCAAUACUAAUCACACAAAAAAUAAAAAUUAUUGUUGUCACGACAUUACGCACUUUCUUCGCUGUCUAGAAAUUAGAAAGCUAGAACAUUUUGAAGUUCCUCAAUACAAAAUGUGUGCUACUACUAAAUUGGCCCAAUUAAUGCCCAUCGAAAAGGCCAUCAAUUUAGCCGGCAAUUUUGUCAAAAUUUCAACAAUUGAAGAAAUAAUGAUCACAAACGGAACAGGUAAAUUUUGAAGUUGAAUAAAUCUUGAGAUACAUACAACAAAGCCUUGAAACUUUAUUCUUCACAAUUUGAGCACGCACUAAAUAUUAAACAAGUAUAGAACAAAGCUUAUUUUUAGCUUCUUGUGCGAACUGAAUACGCUGAAAUGUGUUUUUUUUUUUUUGGAUUUUUGGAAUUUUUUAAAAUCAUUUAUGUUCGCCGCCAUCUUUUUCUUCGCUGGCGUCUUCCUCUCUUGGCUGGCAUCUGCCUCGUCUGUAGUUUGCUGUGCCUAUAUAUCCAACCAAUAAAUUGGGCAUUAAAUACGAAUGAAUGAUGAAUAAAAUGAUAAAAAAAAAACAAACAGAGAAAAUUAUAAUAUAACACGUAUAUAUUGAAAGAGAAAUUUUGAUUUUAGGAUAGAUCAAUUAGCUAUCACAAACGAAAACAUGAACCAACUAUGUAUAGAGUCAAUUAAGUAAAGUUCUCAAGAGUUGACCUGUGCUCCUGAAUUCUUGGAAUCAUCUAUCUCCUUCUGAAUUUCCACGAAACUUGGGACAAUUAUUAACAUCUUCAUUGUAUGCAGAUGGAAAUGGGAUCUGAUAACCCGCAGGCCAAAAGUUGGCGAGCUUUGGUAAACCAAACAAUGUCAAGUUCCGAAGUUCAUUCAUAACAAUUUCAUUGUAAUCCGUGAUGUUUGCUCCAUCUUUAUGCCAGAAUACUUCUUCUAAUUCAUCAUUAGCUUCUAUCCAUAGGCCCUUCAGUUUUUGAAGACUUGGAGCUACGCUGAUAUGAAAUAGAUGCUUUAGCUUGGGGCAAUAAUGGACAGAGAUCCAUGUGAGUUUUGGGAAACAUACAGGUUGGAGAUGAUCCUCAUCCUCAUCCUCAUCGAUGAUUUGCUCUAAUUCCGAGCAAUAUAAAAUACGUAACUCCUCCAAUUGCAACAGAUUUCGAGCAAGUGUUGAUGAGAAGAGACGUCUCAGUGUAGUGCACCCGUCCACUCUUAAAUCGGUAAGACUUUGGAGGCUAAAAUUAUGAGUGGGACCUUCAUGAUAUAAUAAUACUUGCAGUUCUGGAAGGUUUUCCAACCACAACGACUUCAAACAUGGGAAUAGUUUGUUUUCUUGUUCCUCAGCGAUAAUAGCUUCCACUUGAAAUACCACAUAUACUCCAAGUUCUCCAAUACCCAAUGUUUCCAAAUUUUUAAAGCCAUGCUUCAACAGUGCUGGAAUCGUGUCACUCAAAUGGGAACAAUUGUCCACAUAUAGAUUUCGUAAUUUCUGAGACAAAUAAAUAAAUAACUUGAUGCAAUUAAAAUCUAUUAGCAGCUAGGAUUAUCACAUGAUAAGUGAUGAACACCGCAAAAAUAUCAUAAUACAUAUGUAAACUAAUAAAAUAAUUAAAAAGUAAUGGAUUAAAAAAAAUGAAAUUAGUUAAAAGAGAUCAUGUGAAGUGAUAUAAAUGUGACAUUAGAUUGUUUUAGAAAAAUUAUGGCUUGAUCAACUAUUUAAUUGAAUUUGAAUAAUAUUAUAUACACUUCAGAAGUAUUUGCAUCAAUUCUUUCUAAACUAAAAUGAGAUAUGAAUUUCAUUUGAAGAAUGGUUUUAGGCCCUAUAAUAAAGAAAUUUCCCUAAGAUAUCUGAGUAUUAUUAUUAUCAUUACCACAUCCACCACCACCAUCAUCAUCUCCAUAGGAUCAAAUAAUUAAUGGCUGAUCAUAAAAUUUAUUACUAAACUAUCAUUUUGAGUAAAAUUGAAUGAAAAGAAAAAACAUGAAUCCAAACAAACAUACCUCUUUGAGAUACUGCAAAUUGGCUUCAAGUUCAUUACUGUUGAUGGUCAAGUUGGGACAGUUAUGAAGGUUUAACUUUUCCAAUGCUGGCCAAAUUGAACAAUAAUUCUCUGAACAGAACUUGGUGAGUUCUGGGAGAUCUUCAAGUUUUAAUUUUCUCAACAAAGGGAGGGCGAGCAUCGUAUUUCCAUCUCCGACACUUAUUUCCCCUUCAUUAUGAUCAAACUUUGCUUCGACAAUAUAUUCCAGUCUCUCGCAUCCACUUACAUUGAGACUUUUAAGCUGCUCCAAACUUCUAGCUUGUGACAACGUGAAGAUAUAUGUCAACUUGUUGCACCUAUGCACAUUCAAUUUUGUAAGAGUUUGGAGACUAAUCACAUGUUGGGCGGGCGCCUUCCAUAUCCACUUCAGUUCUGGUAAGUCCCACAUAGAUAACUCUGCUAAUCUUGAGAGACUCUUUCCAUGCGGCGACUUAGAGGCUUCCAUUAUGCAUUCUAAAUCUUCGCAAUCGCAGACAUCAAGACAAGUCAACUCAUUUAAGCCCCUUUCAUCU
RNAcentral lists this long non-coding RNA (648860 nucleotides) under Citrus maxima (pomelo). RNAcentral's name for it is "long non-coding RNA (CMAX_LNC003382)". The stretch from base 545887 to 545993 matches the Rfam family "Plant small nucleolar RNA R71". Lineage: Eukaryota; Viridiplantae; Streptophyta; Magnoliopsida; Sapindales; Rutaceae. The record is from RNAcentral.